UUUGCUUGGUUGUGGUCAGAUUUUGGUUUCUCAAAUGGUGUAUGAAUUCUUCAACUGUGCCUGUACAGGAUAGCUGGAUAAGGUAUUAAUUUGGAUGGAAUUCAUGCUAUGUUGUUCGAUUUCAGUUUAUUAAAAUUUUUUUAUCAACUAUUUGGAAUUCAUGUUCUAGCUCUGUUUGGAUAGGUAACAAUAUUUUUUGGGAUCCUAAAAUAUUUAUGCACAGGCAGCACUUAACCUGCAGCUGCUGAUUAAUGUUGUAGUCAUAUGUGCUGCUUUCCAGCUCUCUUGUUUGGAAGUUUAUUUAUUUUAUGUGAUACUAAUAUUUGCCAACCAACCAAUCUCUAGUCUUCUUCUUGAGGAGUUCUGUAAAUGCUGGUUUGGUUUUCUGUCCUCACUAUGCCCUUGCACAUGGGAUGCAAUUUUUUAUUUCCCAGCUGUUUAGUUUAUUGUUUCCUUUGAUGGUGAGGCAUUAAUUCUGGAGAUGCAAUUUUCUUGCUCACAAUAAUACAAUGAAUGAUGGCAUCUCUAUGCUACUUUGAACCAAAUUAUAUAUAUUCCCUCUGUUAAUUAUUUUUCUGUUUUGGGUGAUUGAGUGUAUUCAUUCAUUUUUCAGUAUAGAUGGUUGAAUUGCUUUCACUUCAUAUUAAUAACUAUUCUGUCACACAAUGGAAAUUUGCUGCUGUCCUAACUAAUUAAGUAGAAGCUUGGAUUGCUGCUGUAUGGUCUCUUCCUGACAUUAAAUCCUCCUCUGUUUGUGCUGUCUGAACCAGGUAGCAGCAACCAACUAUUCUGCUGCUGCAGUCUUCUUCGCCGCCAAAAGGAAAAGAUGCUCUACAAAAUCCACUCCCAUGCCGAAAUCCAAGCCCUGCAGGCCUGCACCGAUGAGCUGGGCCACUCCAAUGAGGACAUGCUUGUGAAUCUUGUCUCUCUGGAGUCGGUGCGCAUAGCGUGCGAGUCGUAUGCACUCCUCUGGCCGCUGAUCAAGGAGUUGUCCUGGGCAUGCCCGAAGCUGGAAAACCUCUCGGUCGUGGCAGCCUUGUCGCUGGAAAUCCAAAAGCUCGAGCAUGAUGUGUUACCCCAGCUCAUGGUUCAGGAGGCCAAGCUGGAAAGGGGCGCCCUGCAAGCCGUCCUAGUCAUGCAGAACUCAGCAGUUAAGCUCUUACAUCUGGCGAAGUGCUAUAAGGAAGCCUUGGGUAGAUUGCAGGAUCUGGUCUCACGCCGAGCCGAAGAUGUGAGCAUAAUGCUAGAUGAUAUUGUUGUUCAUGUACUCGAAGGUAAUUGCAACAUUUUCUGGCUUCAGGCGCGUCUCCUGGUGCUGUUCCGGAUGGUCACCAUUAUGUUGGAGACCCCGGUUUGUUUCUGUGAUCCUGUUGAGUAUUCUGAUGAGUAGACUUAUCAGCCAGCUCGAGGCUGUUGUGAUGAGUAUUUCUUUGGGGCGUGGCAAACAGUUUAGAAUCAACCCUUUAUGUUUGGAUGUGUUAUUAAUGGAUUUUAAAUGAUAUGUAUGUUGGGUAGUGUUUUCUCAUUCUGUGUUACUUUCAGUCUUUUUUUUUGAGAAAUACAGUCACAUGGAGGUAUUCGCUCUUUUUGGGGAAUAUAUGCCAAAAGAAUAUAGUAUCUUAGAAAAGAAAUCCCAAAUAUAAGUCUUUUAAGAGGUUUCACUAAAAGACUACAUACGGAUGAAUAUAGGCAUACUUUAGAAUGUGGAUGGAUUCACUCAUUUCGCUCCGUAUAUAGUUUUCUACUAGUGAAAUCUCUUAAAAGACAUAUAUUUAGGAACGGAGGGAUCUGUGAGUGUCCAUGAUUAAAGCUUUGCAAAUACCAUAAACAAAACAUCACCUUGUACAUAUAAAGUGAUGAUUAUUUUUAAACUAACCGGUUUGGCAAGUAGUACUUCCUCCAUAAAUAAAGAAACAUAAGAGUGUUUGGAUUAUCAUUUCUUUAGAGAGGGAGUAGUAUAUAUAUAUAUAAUUGAAUUAAUAAUCUCUACUCCUAAAGUAUCAGUUGGUAGUCUCCGUUCACCGGUUAAUUUUCGUCCCACCAACACCGAUUUUUUUCGUCCUCCCACCCAACCCCCGGGCCAUCGAAAAAAUAAGGGCUGGCUUAGCUAUGCCCCCACAAAGUCAAGGGGCCAAACCUCCGAUCGAAACAGAGAGAACCGGAUGAAAAAAAAUCUACGAAAAAAGACCUACGAAAUUAAACCAGCGAAAAAAACGAAUCGCACGCAGGUAUACGAGCGAUUCCUCCUUCCUUCGAACCACUCGCACGCUUGCUCCUUCCCUUCGCCCCCGCCGCUUGAUCCCUUCGCCGCCGCCCUCCCACAUCAAAGCCGCCACCGAUAUGCCCCGCCGGAUCUCGCCUCAGCCCCGCCGUCUUGUGAUCUGGAGUUCACAGCCUCCGCCGCCGAUAUCCUCGCAUGCAUUAGGGUUCCUGCACGCGUUAGGGUUCCUGCGCCGCCGCCACACAGUAGCUCGUCGACCAGCCCAGCGUCCUGCUGCUCCGCGCUUGCUUCCUUCGUCGGUCGCCUUUGGACCCCUCGCUUCGGACUCCGCGCCAAGCCGCCGCCUCUUCGCCGAGAAAGAGGGCUCCCGAUCUCCGCCGUGGUCGACCAUCAGCGCGACGGGCAGAGCACCCAGCCCGUAGGCUCAUCCCCUUCUCCGAUCCACUCCGGCAGCGGCCAUCGUCGGUACGUUCCGCUCAUGAUAUAUUGGUGUAGGCUCAUCCCCUUCUCUUUAUCUAAAAAGGCUAUUCUACAUACGCCGAGGAGAAGAUGCUCACCUUCUUGCCCCUCACCCUACCGUGAUGUACGUGGAUGAAUCCGACGGCAACGACGACGACCUCGUAGGAUCCAGCCACGGUUGUGCGGAAUUUCGCGGGGACGAAUCUACCUGGCCUCUCGUCCUAUCCGCCGCCGGUAGAGGCAUCCAUGGCCGAUGGUGUGAAUUUUGGCUGGUUCCAUGAGCACUUCGUUCCCUGCCGUGUAGUCUUCGUUGAUUCGGGAAGAUGGUGGUUGUCUGUUUAGCCAUUUCAAUCUGCUAUUAAUCAUGCUCAUUCUUGUUAUAUUCAGUUAUAUUGGAAACACCAUCUGAUUCAGUUAUAUUCUUGAUCAUGCUCAUGCUCAUCCUUAUUCAAAUAAGAAUACUUCUAUUUGGAGAGCUCGGGCGUCAGCUGUGUGGAAGCACCAGCUGAUUUGUAACUGGUCGGAAGAUGAGCUUCUCAUACUCGCUGCCGUCGAAGCACAGCACCUCGCCGCCACUUAUGUUGCUGUUGUUGUGCUGUAGGUCCUUGGGGUUGGGUGCGGCAACUCGCGACUCGAAGACAUUUCGUGCAUGUGCUCCCCUGCGCUUGGUGACCAAUACAUCUACUCCGUCGUGAACAUGUGCUUCGUGUCAUACAGGUCGCCGCCAAGGGUGAGCUCGUGCAGCGGUACAGGUAUAGAUGUGCAUCCCAUAAGGGCAGCUACAUUUUCUUUCAUAAAGUUAUUUGUGUGAGUGCCCUGCAUAUUGAAGUAAACUGGAUCGGCUAAUCUUGAGUUCCUCCACCAAGUUAUAUUACUUCGACAAGAAAAAGUGCAGAAAGACCAUAUAAAGUACUCUGGUGACUCUCUCAAUUGAACUAGAAUUUUUUUAGAUGCGUGAAACAUGCACAACGAUUUGCUCUAUUGAGUCUAUGUAUGUUGAACUAGCACUCGAAAUUAUAGCUCAUGCCGGUAUGCUAAUUUUCUCUUUCUCAUAUCAGCUCUCCUUCUUUUUGUCCAUUUUUCUUCACUACUACCUGAAGGAAACUGUACUGGAUAGCAGCCUAUCAUAUAUAGUUACAUGUACCGAGUGAUUUAGCUUCAUUUUAAUGAUACUGUCAACAACUAACUACUGCUGCGACAUAUUUGAUGCAACCUGUAAAAUAUUUUUUGUUUAAUUUCAGCAUAUCAUUUAUAUACUGAAGUCUUUUCUGGACAUGUUGUCUAAUUGCGUCAUGUAUGUUAGAUAUUUGUUCUAUAAUACUUGCCAUUGACUAUUUUUCUUUUAUUUAGGUUAUGUGCAUUAUUGAUCAGCCAAUCUUGAGAGAGAGAUGGGUUGGCGUGAAUGGGAAGAAAACUACAUUGAAUGGACAAGAAGUAUGCCCUCAACUUUUUCAUGGUAUGUCUUACUUAUUGUUCUUGUGAUUUUUCCAUCAGUUUCACUUUACAUUUCUUCUUUGCUUUUUCAUGGCAUCGGGAUGCCCACUGCCGACGGCGCUGCGUUGCUACCAAAGGGGCACCCUGCCGCGGCCGGGGACUCGCUGCUGUCGAAGCACGACACCUUGCCGUCAUGUAUGUUGGGUGUUGUGGUGCUGCAGGUCCUUGGGGUUGGGUGCGGCAACUCGAGACUCGAAGACGAUCUUCUGUGGUAGGGCGUCGCCGGCGGCGGCGGCACCUGUAUAGACCGUCUCGGUGUGACAGAAGAGUUCAGAGUUCACUCCGAGAAAGAAUUGCUUUGCAUGUACAUUUGCUGAAAGACUGAUGUGCUGAACUUUCGAUGAUUUCGAUUGGUCUCUAACAUAACCUUUAUUCUUUUUGUUGAUAUGUCCAAAAGAGAUCCUUAUUUCACCUUUUGUUUAUAGGUAUUCAACUUGAGGAAUUUCAUACUUUUGGAGUGGAGCUAUCAAAUAUAUGUGUGCUCGAUGUUGGUGUUUUAAUCUGGAUCUCUCGCUGAAGGUGCUCGAUGUUGGUGUUUGAAUACUGCUACCGUACUUCAAGGUCUGUAGCAGCUCUUACAAUGGAUUCUUUUUAAUGACAGUACAAUUUAUUUUUGUUUCGAUUUGGUAUUGUUGUUCUGUUCACUUAACCCAGUCUGUAGCAGCAGCUUUUCAUGUCGUUUCCUCGCCAACAAAUGUCAUAAUUUAUCACGUACGUGUGCAAAUGGUUUUUUGGCUAUAGUAUGAGUAUAUGGUUCAGAGAAGUUCGGUCAGAUGCAAAGCAUGCUUAGCAUCUCAUAGUCGUAGGCUAUUCCUUUUAAAAUUGAAGCCAUCCAGGUUUUCAAUUAUGGAGAUGAUUUGGAAACUCAGCAUAGAAAAUUAUUUACUCUAAUGCAGAUUACACAUAUUAAGGCCUUUAUUCUUUUAUAUUAAGGUCUCCAGUGCAAGCAUUAGCCCAUCUUUAGCUGCUCAUAAGCAGUAUCAGUGAUAUAUAUAUAUAAGUACACUCUUGCUAAGGUUAAUCUUUGAUAUAUAUAAUUCAUUGCCUGGAUAUAGUUUGCUUUGAAUGUUUUUUUGCUCUUUAGUCUAUGAAGAAUUGCAAGGAGGAGGAUAAUAGAGCAGCAACCAGAGCUGACAAUUGGCCUGUAAAUGCAGCAAAGUUCUCCUAGAGGUGUGAUGUUGGUGGUGAUUUUCUUAUCCGGGGAUAUGGAUGUGGCGGGUCUGUGGGCACCAUGCUGACGCGGAGAAGGAGGUGCAGGUAGCGGGGCGCUUGAGGUGAGGUGGCUGCAGGGUCGCUCGAGAAGAACAGGCUCAUCAGCACCACCUGGAUGCCUUCGUCAUCAGCAAUGUGGACAAGGUGCAAAAGGGAUAUCUCCCUUACCUCUUAUUCAGUCUGGAAAAUUAUGCAAUGUUUGGUUUGGCAGAUUUAACAAUCGCUGGUUUGGAAAUUUGUUACCUAUAGAAGUAUAGGAAUAACAUGACUAAUAUUUAUUUAAUUUAUAGAGUUACUAUUUUUUUUCUACAAAGUCAUUUGUUACAUUAGGAAGAACAUCGUCUAAAAUCUUGACAACAUAAAGGAGCAUAGAGUUAAUAGAUUAUGAAAUCCUGUAGUGCAUCAGAUGCACCCUUCACUAAUUUUUGAACACAUUUAUAUUAUCCAGGUUCCGACCUCAUUCGCUGUGAUGUUUGUCUUUUUUAUGUGGGCGAGGAAAACAUUUUUAGGAGUGAUACUCCCAAACUUUGAUUUCUUGGUUGUCGAAUCAUGGUGCUGAUUAAAUUUUACUUAACCUUAAUUAAUCUAUUUAUAUUGCGGCUUUGCCUUUUAGCUCAUCUUUUAGUUUCUCUUCUCCACUUCACACAAGAUUUUAUUGUAGGCUACCAAGUACAGUUAUACCACUUAUACUCUUUCUAUCUGAUUAUGCAAAGCUUGAUCUAUAUUCAUUGAACUUUGUUAGAUAGUAGGCCCUCCUAUUAGUGUGCCUAAAUAUAAUUGUUUCUCUGUGUCUAUAGUAUCUUAGUCCAGUAGAAUGAAUGUUCUCGAGUAAUUAGAGGUAGUUGGAUCAAGUGAAUGUCUGAAUACCACUAAAAUCGAAAUCAUAAUUAAAAAAUACUGACCUUUUUCUUCAGGGCGUCUGUUCCUCCUCCCAUGGUCAGCACCACCACCUACUCUGAAUCUCCGAUCAAAAUAGUAUGAACUAUUAAAUAGGGAACUUAAUGCUUAUCAUUGUUGAUGUACAUAUGUACAACUAACGAUGUUUGUGCUGCAACCAGCUUACUUUAUUCCUUGCUGAAAUUUAUCUUGAUUUAUUUCACAUCAGAUAGUUCUGAACCUAGAUGAUCUCAAUUAAGGUCAUUGAAAUUUGUUAAAUUAUUUUUAUCCGCUCUUCUGAACGAGCGUAUACGAUGAUCUGAUUUGUAUAUCAUAUUACUGAGGCAGUGCUGGGCCAUGCUGUGGUGAGAACAUACGAGAGAUAAUUGGGGUGUGUGGCUGAUUGCUUCAUAUGCUGCUAAUGAUAUAUGUAGACUGCUGAUUGCUCCUGAUAUACAGUGUCGAUUGCAGAUGAUAGUAGGAUUGUACUCAAUUUGAUAGGUAAAGUGGGAUGGCGGGAUUGUAUAGUGCUCAUAAGCCAGUCCGGGCAUUGUCCUUCCUCGAAUGAAUCUGAGACUACUCCUCAUAUGUUAAUCAGUUGCUCCUCCCUAGCUUUGGUUUGGUCUGAACUUCAAAGUUUUCAUCCACUCAAUGUUGAUUCAGUCAAAGAUCUCUUGGAAAAAUUAUUUCGACAAGAUUCACUCUAUAAUGUUGUUAUCAUUGUCCUCUGGAAUAUAUGGAAGCGCAAAAACUCCAAGGUCUCCCGGGAUGUUUUUGAGGAAUUGCACAUUACUGCUAGCAAGAUUGCUGAUGAUUGAUACCAUGGUCCAACAGGUAUUCACAUGAAAUUAAUAAAUGGCACCUUACGGAUUGGAGUACUCUACUGUAUCACCUAUCUGGGAGAUUUUAAUUUUUUCCUUCUAUUAUUUCUCUUAAUCCCUGUGUACUCAUUGGACUUUGUAUAGUUCUCAGUUUUAUGAAGUGGUUCAGGCUGGUGUAAGCCGCCAUAGUCCCAGUAAAAAAAGGCUACAAGCUUCGCUUCGGCCUUUCGGAACUAAAUAUUAUGUAGUUUUAUUGAGAUUAUUGAUAGUGCUUCUCUACUAUCAAAGAAGGUAAUAGUCUCUUAUGUGUUUCUUUUUGUCCUUUUGAAUGCACUCCAUUUUUUAGUGUAUUAAUUAACAUCAAACCUCCCAUUCUUUCUAGAGUGCUGAUGUAUUAUUAUUUUUAGCUUAACACAUCUAACUUCCUAUAGAUUUCAUGGUUUAUGUAGAUAAACUGAGCUAAGAAUUUUUGUGAAGCUAAAGCUGGUGAUAAGAUGAAAGCCGCUAUGUAUAUAUUUGAAACAGUUAGAUACAUGCUUGACAAACUAUAUAGGGGUGAUCAAAACCAUGCAAAGCAUUAUGGGACAAGUUUCUCUACCUUAAAUAAGUGUUCGUUCUCUCAUGUUUACUAUUCGUUUAAGGGUCAUCAACCCGUGUGUUUAUUUUCAUUGACCAAGUUUUACAUUUUUCUUCAGUAGUGUUCAUUGUGCAGUUCUAGAUUGUUAAGAGAGUAGAGUUUAUUGAUUUAUUACAUGGAGAGACCAGUAGUGUCGUAGUGGUCUUGACAUAAUUGCUAACAUUUUCUACUAGCCAAAGUUUAAUUGCACUAAAUACAAAUUAGAACAUGCAUAGACAUUUAUCUUCUUUCUACAGAAUGGUUAGUGUAAACGUACUUUGAGUUGUACAUGAUUCUGUAUCUGACCAUUUUAUCUCAUAUGUUGAUGUGGUUGCAGAUAUGAACUUCAAAUUAUCCUGCAAUGUAUUGACUGCUCGGAGCUAACUUGACUACGCCAGUUUUCUUUUAUGGCUCAAAGUAGUUAGUGUCCCCCCUUAUUAUGAGAGAGGUACUACUUCAAACAUCUCUUCUUAAUGUUUUAUGUCAUGGCAUCCAGUAUGAGGGAGUGUUAGUUGGCUUGACUUUCGUGGCACUCAUUGAUAACCUUUCAGUUUAGGAGUUUUUGUGGCCUCUUAAUCCAUGAGAGUAUGCUCAUGUUGAAGAAGUUAGUCAUAAUGAGGGGCACCAUAAAUGUUUGUUAUCUGGCACAAAUUCCUAAUGAAUAUCACAUGUGAACCUUUUACUGUUGUGUUAUUCAAAUUUCAUUGUACUAUUCAUACAGUAAAAUAUGAGUGCCAUGUCAGAAUAUGGUUCUCGAUUUGAAAGAUCAUAUUCGAAAUUGCAGGUUCUAUGGCAGUGGAGUAAUGUUCGUAAAUUAUAUAUUGCUUUCAAGUUUGGAGCUGGAAUAAUAUAUGUGCUGCAUUCAGUUAUAGUCUUAUAGAUAUACAUGAACAUCCAUUGUAUAUUUCUUGCAAGACAUGGUAACUACUAUUAUUUUGAUUGUUUCCGUGAACUAUUUUGACCUUGAUUAAGAAGUAGAAAGUUUUUAGCCUCGUAGGUUGUUUGAUCUACUAUAUCAAGGGGCACUUGGCUUCUCAUGGCUCUCCUCGCAUUUGCGAAAACAAAGUUAGUACACACUACCUAGAGCUCUGGAAAUUAGAACUGAAAAAUGGUCAUGCGGUUUAUUAGCUGAUAUAAAUCAUGCACAAUCCUCUACAUUUAAAAAUAAACCGGACACAAAGCAGUAUACUUUUUUCCGAGUACUACCUUGAGAGAGCCAAGGGGUUCUGCAUUUUAUAAAGAAGAAGAAAGCUGCCCGGUUCCAUACAUGCUUAUCUGAGAAAUAUAUCUUAUCUAUUUAGUGGAAACCAGGCAAAAACCUACAGAUACAAAAGGCACAAAGUCCCCCACCGGUUGUGACCGAACUACUGUUUUUGGAAAUAUCACAUGAGCUAGAUUACUAACAUUGAUGUAAUGCUUGUAUGGCAACCUAUUCCUUUAUCGGUUCAAUUACAGAGUUUUGUUAUUAUGUGAAUGGCGUAAUGGAGAGCUAAGAAAAAACAAGGUAACAGUUAGUGUUACUCUUGCGAGGUAGUUUCAAUCAUAUCAUUGUUUGCUUUCCCUUUUCUCCUGCCUAGGUAUGUACAAUUAUUCCAACCCAGGUUUCUUUCAAGAAGGAUAUGGGUAUGUAUUUGAGGAAUGUCUACAUGAUAAAACACACCUUCAAGUUUGGUGAUAGUUAUGCUAUCAAACUUACAAUGGGGGUCUUAAUCUGUAUUUUUAAUAGAGCACUGGGUUCAUUGGUGAGACUUGUAAGGAUAUGCCUAGGCUAAAGAUGGCUGCUAUGUCGGUACCAAGUGGCAUGUGUUUAAAUGGAGUAUCCUUGUCAGGAGAGCUGAUUUCUGAAAUAUCGUACUUUAUGGGUGCAAGGAUUCACCAUGUUGCGGUCUUCGUCAGCGGAGUGGUCUCCUAGGAAUUAGUCAAGGCCGCUAUGUUGUUUUAAGCUGAUAUUCUAUCGUACUUGUAUAUAUUUUUUUGCUUAUCUAGCUGUUUGCUAUGCAGUUCUCGUUGUUGGUGGGAACAUUUGUUGUCUAAGAUCGACCUCAAAUAUCUGGUGGCACUAUAGCAUGGCUUUUGAUAUUCUAAUGUAUAUCUCUUACAAAAUAUUUCAAGAGCCCAUGGCAAUGCACGGGCAUUAUACUAGUGUAAGUAAGGAUGGAGAUGAAGAUGGUGUGGCGACAAGGAUAUAACAAAACGCCUGGUUCCUUCAGCCAAAAGUUGGCGACGUUCCUUGUUACACACGCUCCGCCCAACAAAUGCUCCAAAAGCCAAAAUACAAUUCCUCAAAAAACGGCCAAAGACUACUUCCCCACAUGGAAAAGAAAUACGCACAUGGCGUUACAAUGUUGGCUACUCAUGUCUGAGUUCCUAAACCCUUGCAAAACAGAAAGAAAGGUUGUUUGCUAAACAAAAGAAAGGCCAACACAAUCCUAUCCAAACACUCCACAUUUUUACUAUGUGGCAAAAAUAUGCAACUUUUUUUUGUUUUUAGGUACAUACCAAUUUUUUAAAAAUAACACAAUUUUUUUAUGUUCACACGCCAAGGUAUUUUGUACACAUGGCAAAAUUUUCCGAAGAAGAAAAAUCUCACGACCCCAUGGAUAAUUCAUAACUUUUUGUCUUUCAAACAGGGCAAUUUUAAGUCAUUUUGUAAUGCUAUUGUGGCAAACGAUGGGAUUUUUAAUCAAUUUUCAUGGAGAAUUUGGGAUUCUUUUCCCUACUUUUCCACAUGGCAAUUUUAUUAUGAUUAAAAUGGAGAUCCUAUUAUUCAAAACAUGGCAGCUUUACUAUUAAGAGCAUGGCAAUUUAAGUAUGAUAGAAUCUCCUCCCCUGCUCGGUCUACCCCACAUGCAUGGCGUAUAACAUCCUUUAGCCCCAACUGCCGCCAAACCUCUCUAGCCUUAUGGCAUCGAAAUAGUACAUGAAACACAUCUUCUGCUCCUUGUUUACAUGCAGGACACGUCGGCCGGACUGGGAUGUGUCUAUUAGCAAGAACCACAUUGCAUGGCAGUGUUCCGUGUAAGGUUCUCCAAAGAAAAUUUUUAACUUUCGCCGGACAAUUCAGUUUCCAAACCUUUUCGCAUGUUGGGUUAGCACUAGUGGCUCCCAAACCAUCUGUCCUCUGCAAUUUACGGCCAUGCUGAAAGUACCAUAGAGCAUGGUAGGCCGAUUUCACUGUAAAAAUUCCAUGUUUAUUUAAACUCCAUGCUACAAAGUCACUCAUAUCAUGUGUAGGUAGUGGUAAAGCAAGGACCCGUUCCACAUCAAUCGGCCAGAAGGUUUGCUCCACACGUGGCACAUCCCAGUGACCUGUAGCUGGAUCAAUUAAAUCACUCACCUUUGAUAGUAACUGGUUACCUCUUGGGGUAAUAAUCAUUCUGGAUGGUGAGUUAGGAAUCCGCGCAUCCCUCCAAAUAUUUAUUUUUUCACCAUCCCCUACUCUCCAAAUGUAUCCAUGUUUCAGGGUAUUCACCCCCACUAGUAGAAAAGGGGGCAAUGGUCUAGGCCGGGUCAGCCCAUUAGUCCCGGUUCUGCCACGAACCGGGACCAAUGAAGGUAUUUGUCCCGGUUCGUGAUCCCAGGGGGCCGGCCGGGGCCUCGUGGGCAUUGGUCCUGGUUCGUCUGGCCCUUUUGGUCCCGGUUGGUGGGAUGAACUGGGACCAAUGGGCCUCGCUCCUGGCCCACCACCAUUGGUCCCGGUUGGUGGCUUGAACCGGGACCAAAGGCUCCCCUUUAGUCCUGGUUCAUGCCACCAACCGGGACCAAUGAGGUGCCUAUAUAUACCCCCUCGCGUAAGAGCAGAGCACACUGCUCUAUUUUUUCUCGCCACCGAGGGGGAGAGGGCUUGGUGGUGCUCUAGCUCACCUCCUAUGCACACAAGGUGUUCGAUGGAAUGCCCGAGCCACACUACUUAAGCUUUCUCCUCUCCAAGCUCGACCUCCAAGCUCCUUUUUCCUAAAUAUUUGUCUAGGUUUAGCAGUCCGUCACGCCCCGUCCCCGUCUUCACCGCCGUCGAUCACCCGCGCCGAUCUCAUCGCCGGCACCACCGUGGUGAGCCUCUUGUUCUUAUCUUCUUUCCGAAAGGAAAAAUAUUCUUACUUGUAUGUUUAGAUAGAUACUUGUAUUAUUUUCUUACAUUUAUUAUUGCAUCUUAUAUAGUGCGAUGGUUUUGGUAUCCGCCCCCGUCGGCCCUCGUCCUGUCUAUGAUUCGGAUGUGGUAUAUAUUAUCUUUUCAUAACUAUUGGUUCAUUUAUUGUUUAUGAAAAUUAUGCCGACCAACGUGACAUAGAUUUUAUUUAUCUAGGAGGUUGUUGAACCGGAAAUUCCAAGCUACCCUAUUGUCGAGAGGUUAAAUUUAGUUGAAGAAGAAAACAAUUUCUUGAAGGAAAAAAUAAAAAAAACUUGAGGAGGAGAAUAUGAUAUUGGAGUUGCAUGUUGCGGAUGUCGUCGAUGAUCACAAGAUCAAGAUGGAUGCAAUGCGCUUGAAGAUUAGAAAGAUUAGAAAAUAUGUCAUUCAUACCGAGGCUUGGUAUCAUUAUGCCAUUGGAUCAGUUGUUACCUUGGUUGCGAUUAUGAUCGCAUUUGUUUUCGCAUUGAAAUGUUUUACAUAGUUUCAAUGUAUGGUUUAAUUAAUUUAGAUGCUCUGCAGAGCUUUAUGUUGUUAGAUGAGAACUAUGUAUGUACUUUGGUUUUGAUGUGAUGAUGAACUUCUAUUAAUUUGGUCACUUAAUUAUCUAUUCAUGAUGUUCUAUAAUGAUUUUUGACACACUUAAUUAUAUAUAAUGCACGCAGAUGAACCGGCAAUGGAUGUAUAGUGAUAGACACACCUCCGAGUACAUUAAGGGCGUGCAUGAUUUUCUCGAAGUGGCCGAGGCAAACAAGCAGAAUGGUUUUAUGUGUUGUCCAUGCCCUAUAUGUGGGAAUACGAAGUCUUACUCUGACCGGAAAAUCCUUCACACCCACCUACUUUACAAGGGUUUCAUGCCACACUAUAAUGUUUGGACGAGGCACAGAGAAAUAGGGGUUAUGAUGGAAGACGGCAAAGAAGAAGAGUACGAUGACAACUAUGUGCCCCCUGAAUACGGUGAUGCUACUGAACAUCAAGAGGAACCAGACGAUGUGCACGAUGAUGCUGCAACAGGCGAAGCUGCUGAAGAUCAAGAGGAACCAGACGAUGUGCCCGAUGAUGAUGAUCUCCGCCGGGUCAUUGUCGAUGCAAGGACGCAAUGCGAAAGUCAAAAGGAGAAGCUGAAGUUCGAUCGCAUGUUAGAGGAUCACAAAAAAGGGUUGUACCCCAAUUGCGAAGAUGGCAACACAAAGCUCGGUACCGUACUAGAAUUGCUGCAGUAGAAGGCAAAGAAUGCUGUGCCUGAUGAAGGAUUUGAGAAGCUACUGAAAAUAUUGAAGAAGAAGCUUCCAAAGGAUAACGAAUUGCCCGACAGUACAUACGCAGCAAAGAAGGUCGUAUUCCCUCUAGGAUUAGAGGUGCAGAAGAUACAUGCAUGCCCUAAUGACUUCAUCCUCUACCGCGGUGCAUACAAGGAUCUGAACGCAUGCCCGGUAUGCGGUGCAUUGCGGUAUAAGAUCAGACGAGAUGACCCUAGUGAUGUUGAUGGCGAGCCUCCCAGGAAGAGGGACCCUGUGAAGGUGAUGUGGUAUGCUCCUAUAAUACCACGGUUGAAACGUCUGUUCAGAAAUGGAGAGCAUGCCAAGUUGAUGUGAUGGCACAGUGAGGACCGUAAGAAAGACGGGAAGUUGAGAGCACCCGCUGACGGGUCGCAGUGGAGAAAAAUUGAGAGAAAGUACUGGGAUGAGUUUGCAAAGGACCCAAGGAACGUAUGGUUUGCUUUAAGCACGGAUGGCAUUAAUCCUUUCGGGGAGCAGAGCAGCAAUCACAGCACCUGGCCCGUGACUCUAUGUAUGUAUAACCUUCCUCUCUGGAUGUGCAUGAAGCGGAAGUUCAUUAUGAUGCCAGUUCUCAUCCAAGGCCCUAAGCAACCCGGCAACGACAUUGAUGUGUACAUACGUGGAAUGGAAACGGUGUACGUACGUGGGAUGAGCACAAACAGGAGGAAUUUGACCUAAAGGCGUUGCUGUUCGUGACCAUCAACGAUUGGCCCGCUCUCAGUAACCUUUCAGGACAGACAAACAAGGGAUACCAUGCAUGCACGCACUGUUUACUUGACACCGAUAGUAUAUACCUGGGAAGCUGCAGGAAGAAUGUGUACCUGGGCCAUCGUCGAUUUCUUCCGACCAACCAUCAAUGUCGAAAGAAAGGCAAGCAUUUCAAAGGCGAGGCAGAUCACCGGAAGAAGCCCGGCAUGCGUACCGGUGAUCACGUACUUGCUAUGGUCAAUGAUUUACACGUAAUCUUUGGAAAGGGUCCCGGCGGACUAGCUGUUCCGAAUGACGCUGAGAAACACGCACCCAUGUGGAAGAAGAAAUCUAUAUUUUGGGACCUACCCUACUGGAAAGACCUAGAGGUCCGCUCUUCGAUCGACGUGAUGCACGUGAUGAAGAACCUUUGCGUGAACCUGCUAGGCUUCUUGGGCGUGUAUGGGAAGACAAAAGAUACACCUGAGGCACGGGAGGACCUGCAAUGCUUGCACGAAAAAGAGGGCAUGCCUCCAAAGCAGUAUGAAGGUCCUGCCAGCUACGCUCUUACGAAAGAAGAGAAAGAAAUCUUCUUUGAAUGCCUGCUCAUUAUGAAGAUCCCGACUGGCUUCUCGUCGAGUAUAAAGGGAAUAAUAAAUAUGCCAGAGAAAAAGUUCCAGAACCUAAAGUCUCAUGACUGCCACGUGAUUAUGAUGCAACUGCUUCCGGUUGCAUUGAGGGGGCUUCUACCGGAAAACGUCCGAUUAGCCAUUGUGAAGCUAUGUGCAUUCCUCAAUGCAAUAUCUCAGAAGGUGAUCGAUCCAGAAAUCGUACCAACGCUAAGGAGUGAUGUGGCGCAAUGUCUUGUCAGUUUCGAGCUGGUGUUCCCACCAUCCUUCUUCAAUAUCAUGACGCACGUCCUAGUUCAUCUAGUCGACGAGAUUGUCAUUCUGGGGCCCGUAUUUCUACACAAUAUGUUCCCCUUUGAGAGGUUCAUGGGAGCCCUAAAGAAAUAUGUCCGUAACCGCGCUAGGCCAGAAGGAAGCAUCUCCAUGGGCCAUCAAACAGAGGAUAUCAUCGGGUUUUGUGUUGACUUCAUUCCUGGCCUUAAGAAGAUAGGUCUCCCUAAAUUGCGGUAUGAGUGGAGACUGACUGGAAAAGGCACGCUUGGAAGGGACUCAAUAAUAUGCAGGGACGGAUAUUCUUGGUCUCAAGCACACUACACAGUUCUACAGAACUCUACCUUGGUGACCCCGUAUGUCGAUGAACACAAGAACAGUCUGCGCUCCAAACACCCGGAGCAGUGCGACGACUGGAUUACAUGUGAACACAUCAGGACUUUCAGCAGUUGGUUGGAAACACGUCUCAGAGGUGACAGCACUGUUUGUGGUGAGCUGUACUUGUUGUCCAGGGGACCAUCUUCGACUGUAAUGAAUUGGAAAGGAUACGAGAUAAAUGGGAAUACAUUUUACACAAUUGACCAAGAUCAAAAGAGCACCAACCAAAACAGCGGUGUCCGCUUUGAUGCAACAACCGAGAGGGGAAAGGACACAUAUUAUGGUUACAUAGUGGACAUAUGGGAACUUGACUAUGGACAUAAUUUUAAGGUCCCUUUGUUUAAGUGCAAAUGGGUCAGUCUGUCAGGAGGCGGGGUACAGGUAGACCCACAGUACGGAAUGACAACAGUGGAUCUGAAAAAUCUUGGGUACACUGACGAACCGUUCGUCCUAGCCAAUGAUGUGGCACAGGUUAUCUAUGUGAAGGACAUGUCUACCAGACCGAGAAAAAGAAAAGAUAAGGAAGAGAAUACAUCAUACGAUGAGCCAAAGCGCCACACAGUUCUUUCAGGAAAAAGGGACAUCCUGGGAGUGGAGGGCAAGACAGACAUGUCUGAAGAGUAUGAAAAGUUUCAUGAAAUUCCUCCCUUCAAAGUCAAGGCUGACCCAAGCAUCCUGAUAAACGAUGAAGAUUAUCCAUGGUUACGGCGCAAUAAGCAAAUGACACAAGCGAAGAAAAAGUGAAGACUUUCUCCCGCAACUAUUAUGAUGAUACCAUGCCAACUUUGUAACAGACGAGUAUGAUACCAUUGUCCGCUUUGUACAUGCACAUGCUAUGCCAACUUUUCCAGAGUUCAUUUUAAAACUAAGAAAUCACUAAAAAACUAUAAGCAUUUAGUUCUAAGUAGAAAUGAAAAAAUAAAUAGCAAAAAAGAAAAAAAAUGCCACCUACUGGGCCAGCACGGCCUGAAUAUGACUAGAAACCUAACCAUGGGCCAGGAUUCAGGCCCGCAGCAGGCCCAGUAGGCCCACAGGCAUUGCAGUGUCCGAUUAGGCCCGUAAGCCAACAGUUCAGAGGAGUUCGAAAGGGAACACAGAGCAGGGCUUAUAAACAGGUGCGGGAGCUCUUCGGCUAGCGAGGUGGGACUAAAAAUCCCACCACCGCGCCAGCGCAAGGCCUUUGGUCCCGGUUGGUGGCACCAACCGGGACUAAAGGGCGCAUUGGUCCCGGUUCGUGGCACAAACCGGGACCAAUGCCCCCUUUUGUCCCGGUUGGUGCCACCAACCAGGACCAAAGGCCGCCUCUUCCCGCCCUUUGGGCUGCUGAAAAGAGGCCUUUGGUCCCGGUUGGUGGCACCAACCGGGACUAAAGGGGGANNNNNNNNNNNNNNNNNNNNNNNNNNNNNNNNNNNNNNNNNNNNNNNNNNNNNNNNNNNNNNNNNNNNNNNNNNNNNNNNNNNNNNNNNNNNNNNNNNNNNNNNNNNNNNNNNNNNNNNNNNNNNNNNNNNNNNNNNNNNNNNNNNNNNNNNNNNNNNNNNNNNNNNNNNNNNNNNNNNNNNNNNNNNNNNNNNNNNNNNNNNNNNNNNNNNNNNNNNNNNNNNNNNNNNNNNNNNNNNNNNNNNNNNNNNNNNNNNNNNNNNNNNNNNNNNNNNNNNNNNNNNNNNNNNNNNNNNNNNNNNNNNNNNNNNNNNNNNNNNNNNNNNNNNNNNNNNNNNNNNNNNNNNNNNNNNNNNNNNNNNNNNNNNNNNNNNNNNNNNNNNNNNNNNNNNNNNNNNNNNNNNNNNNNNNNNNNNNNNNNNNNNNNNNNNNNNNNNNNNNNNNNNNNNNNNNNNNNNNNNNNNNNNNNNNNNNNNNNNNNNNNNNNNNNNNNNNNNNNNNNNNNNNNNNNNNNNNNNNNNNNNNNNNNNNNNNNNNNNNNNNNNNNNNNNNNNNNNNNNNNNNNNNNNNNNNNNNNNNNNNNNNNNNNNNNNNNNNNNNNNNNNNNNNNNNNNNNNNNNNNNNNNNNNNNNNNNNNNNNNNNNNNNNNNNNNNNNNNNNNNNNNNNNNNNNNNNNNNNNNNNNNNNNNNNNNNNNNNNNNNNNNNNNNNNNNNNNNNNNNNNNNNNNNNNNNNNNNNNNNNNNNNNNNNNNNNNNNNNNNNNNNNNNNNNNNNNNNNNNNNNNNNNNNNNNNNNNNNNNNNNNNNNNNNNNNNNNNNNNNNNNNNNNNNGUCGCCCUCGCCCUCGCCCUCGCCGACCCCGAGCCCGUCUUCGUCGCCGUCGCCCCCGACACCGGCUGCCCGCGUCUCCUCCCGAUCCCGCCGGGAGAGGUAGCUACCGCCCCAUCCUCCCCCCUUCCUUCCCCUGUUCCUUUGCAAAAUAUAUCUAUGUAUGUAUGAGUUGGGGAGAAAGUUUAUAAUUUUUGUUCAUAUAUACUGUAGAUGUAUGUAUGAUGAAUUUUGAUUUUUUUUUGUUCAUAUAUAAUGUAGAUGUCUAUGUAUGUAUGGAAUGAUAUCGAUGGAUGUAUGUAUAUAGAACAUUCGUACAAAAUAUGACGAAUCCGAUAUGACCAAUGUCCCCCUCAGGUUAACUCGGGAACACUAACUCUCUCGGAGAAAAAAAUGUUAUCGGGGAAAAAAUGUUAUCAGGGUCGAGGGUCAUCGAACAUGAGAGGAAGAAGAGGAUAAAAAAGAAGAGGAAGAAGAAAAAAAAGAGGAGAAGAAAGAAUAGAGGAGUUCUUCUCCUCUAUUCUUUCUUCUCCUCUUUUUUUUCUUCUUCCUCUUUUUUUAUCAGGAACUAGGGUCGUCGAGGGUCGCCGAGCGGUAGAGGAACCCGAAUUAAAUAGCAAGUAUCGUCGGUGUGAGAUACAUGUGGCCGUCGGCAUCGGACACUACAUCCACGUCCCACAAGUGAAGCAGGCGUCGAUGCCCACGUCACUUGUGGGACAUAGAUGUAGUGUUCAACGCCGAUGCCGACGUCUCAUUCUUUUUUUCUAAAAUUUCUAUUUGAACAUUAUUUUAAGAAAACAAGCAAUACUACUUCAUGUAUUUUUAAGAAGGAAAAAAUAAGCAUAUUAUUUUCCCAUGUACGUAUGUCGUCGUUGUCGAUAUACCCCCUCCCAAUAGCUUCAACACGUGGGGGGUCGAUAUUACCCCCUCCUUGAAGCGUUCUCGAGGCCACCCCUAACCCUUGAAGCGUUGUCGAGGCCACCCGAAACCCUAGAGAAGCAGCGUCGAGGCCACUAAUUAAUAUGAUUCCUUAUUGUGAUUAGCUAGCUAGUUCUACGUUUGCCACUAAUAUAUCCAUCUGUCAUGUUUGAAUAAUAAUUGCCAUGUUGUAAAUAUUUGUAGAAAAUGUGGACACCCCCCGAGACGAAGCACAAGAAGCGUUGUUGAGGGACAUAAUCGCAGAAGGAAGUGAUGACGUCUGCUCGUUGAUGUUUCUCAAUGACACCGAUGGUCUGGAAGGAGAGGGUGAAGAAGCAGCUGGCUAUGAUUAUGAUGGCUCCGAUGACCCAAUGUCGGUGCAAGAAGUAGACCGUGAGGACGGCUCCGGUGACCGAACCGAGUACGGCCAGGUAUAUAUAUUAGUUAAGCCUGUGCUGACUAGCUAAUUGAUGCAUUCAUUGUUUUGGUAUGUACACAUAUUAAUUAACUCUCAUCUUUGUUCUUUUUCUAGCCCUCCGGAUCGAGCACAACUUCGGUAAAGAGACGAGGCCCGAAGAAAAAGUUGAGCUCGGAUGAAAGGUUUGAGAUCAUAGCAAUCGCGCGCGACGGCCAACCGAUUGAACCCAUCCGGACAAAGAAGGCAUUUGUUGCUCAGUGCGGGGUUCUGGUUAGGGACAAGAUCCCGAUCAGCAUCCAGCAAUGGUAUAAGCCUAAGAACGAAGACCCUGAGGUGUCUUAUGUCAAUGAUAUGCAGAAAAAUGAUCUUUGGACUGAGCUGAAGUCAAAUUUCACCCUACCGCCAGAGGAUGAUCCGGAGAAGCCAGUUAAAGAGCAAUUAAUCAAGUCUUUUGCUCUUAAGAAGAUGGCAAACCUAUUCAUGAAUUGGAAGAAAGACCUGAAUAGGUUUGUCGAUAAAAAAGAGACACCAAAAUUCAAGGGCAAAUAUGAGAAGAUCAGAGAUGACUGGCCCGCAUUUGUGGCCCACAAGACAUCGAAAAAGAGUAAAAAGAUGUCAGCGACAAACAAGAAAAAUGCUGCGAAGAAGAAGCUUCACCAUCGCACGGGGUCAGGUGGCUACCUCAUAGCCCGGCCUAAGUGGGCCAAGGCUGAGAAUGAUCUGCUUGAUAAAGGGAUCGAACCAGAGACAAUGAACUGGCCAGACCAUUGCCGGACUUGGUUCUUCGGGGCUGGCGGAACCUUGGACCCUCUAUCAGGGAGGUGCAUUUGGACGGACGAUCAAUUGGACAUACCAGUCAAGAGGCUUCAGCAAUAUAUCGAAGCAGCACAACAAGGGGCGUUCGUUCCAGACAGAGAGAACGAUGAGCUCACAAUGGCCCUCGGGAAUCCUGAGCACCCUGGACGGACACGAGGCACGCCAGGCUCCGUUUCGUGGAAGGUUGGGUUUCCGGACGCAGGCGGUUACAAAUGCCAGGAGAGGAGGAAGAAAGUGCAGCAGACUGAACUGCAGGCGCUGCAUGCAAGGGUACAAGUGAUAGAGGAACGAGAAGCAAAUCGCAGCAAACGACCUGCCGAAGCUUCCCCCGAAGCUACCCCGCCAUCUCAGCGGAGAAGCAGCGUGGCUUCCACCGAGCUGCUUCAGCCGGAGCAUGCCUUGACGGCUCCUGCCAGCUAUCCCGUGGAUGCUAUCACGGAGGCUCAAAAUUGCCACCUUAUGGCGCAAUGGAUGAAUUUGAAGGUCAAGGAGGCUGUUGGCUCUGUUUAUCCUACUGAAUCCAGCGCAACUUUUCACUGCCGGCCGAUUCCAGAAGGAUAUGCUAGGGUGAUGGUGGAUGAAAUAACGGAGGUAUUUGAGGAUCUCCGGCUUGACCACCUACCCGUGAAGGGGAGACUCGGCUGGGUUCUGCUCUGAAGACUCCAUGCCUAUCGCGGAAGGAUCUCAUCAACCUUCCGAACUGGACGCCUCCGCCUCCUCCUCCUCCUCCAGAGAGUCCGGGCACUUCGCCUCCUCCACCGCCUCCUCCUCCGGCGAGUGACGAUCAGGGCACUCGGCCGGCUCCUUCUCCAGUGCGUGGCGGCACUCCGCCUCCUUCUCUUCCUGCGCCAGCGCGCCUGAGCAGCCAGCCUCCUCCCUCUCCGCCUCGUCAGCAAGGGCGAAAGAGACCCACCGCCGCUCCGGCUGCUCCAGCGCGUCGUAGUCCUUCUCCUCCUCCUCGUAAGAAAGAAAAGAAUACAUCCGCUCUAUCUGCUCUGCCGGUGUCUAGCAGUACAGCCAAAGGCGGGAUGACAUACAGAUUCAGUUCUUCUCUGAAGACUCCAGAGAAAUUACCAUACGAGAUGACACCGGAGGAGAACGUGAAGAUCGCGCGAACCGAAGUGAAGGACUGGUUUCAAGGGUUGAAAGCAUAGAGACAUCCACCUCCGGAGGAGAAGGUAGAUCCGGUGAAAGCGAAGCGCAUUCUGGCUGCCCUGACAAAACCACCCAAGUCUCUGCCGAAAGGCAACUAUGAGCGCAUUAUUGGAAAGGCAUUUGCCGAAGCGGAGAGGUCGAGAAGUACUGUCAGUCAUCAAAGGAUGAAAGAACGACGAGCUGGGAAACAAAUUGCCCAGCUCGGCGAACAAGUGAAGCAAUCGUGCCCCCCACUCAAGGUGCCUGUUAGCGACAUCGUCGAUCCGAGGAUGGUGCCCGGUUAUAGCAAUCUUGGAGAUUACCACUAGAAGAAAUAUGUCAACUAGUGACCUUCUGUCAGUGACCCUGGAAGAAUUGGUCAUAGAUCUAUGACCAUUUCAGACCAAUUGGUCAAAAGCUGUUCGGGGGGCUCCAAACCCUAAACCAUUGCGACCAUUUUGGUCAGAAAGGUCGUAAUUUCCUUACACGAAAUGGUCAUAAAGCAAACAGCGCUAGUCCGCUGCCUUAUUUCUAGUUGUUAACGACCAAUAUAGAUGGUCCUAGCUUUGUAAAUUGUGGUGGGUUGCUAUGACUAGGCGCCACCUCAUCAGUUUUGCCUAUGUGUCAUGUCCAUGUGGCAGUUUUUGCCCUAGGUUGUGAAGCAACCUAUGUUUCUGUCAUUCCCAAAAUUCCCAAAAAAAUCUCAUAAAUUCUUUGGGUCAUAUCUUCGUCAAAUAUGUAAAUACCUUCCUUGCCUAGUUCAAAAAUAAUUCAAAAAUAUUAAUUUUCCUAUCCUGUUCAGAACAACAGUUUGUGAAGGAAGUACCACUUUGGCAUGUCCAAAUAGUAUCCAUUUUCUACAGUGCUUUCCUAUGCCCAAAUAACCAUCCUCAACCAAAUGCCAGCUCAAUCCAUUCAUUAUUUUGAGCCGAGCUUCAACAUUCGUAGUUAUGUCCAGUGUGGUAGUUUGCAAAGCAAGUACCACCUAGGCUCCUCCUUUUGAGCUGAAAAUUUGUGAACACGGUCUUCUUAGUAACUGGUCAUCCUCACCAAAACUCACGCCCAUUAGCCAUGUACAUUUCCCGUACCGCUAAUCAAACACUUGGCUGCUAAUUCAUGUUUGAGCAUCGAUCGGUCUCCUCGUGAGAAUCUUAUGUUGUAAUUUUCUUCCUAGCACCAACCUGGGGAGUGCCCAACCCACUAGACAUGCCUAGGCCGCCAAGAACACAUGGCAACGCCACGGUCACGCGGUGACCACGCGGUGGGCAUGCGAGUUUACGCGCUCUAGAGUUGGGGCCCUCGGCCACCGCCCAAACCUCGACGUAUCGCUACCAAACCAUGUAUUUAUGAUUAAAUAGAUCCUUAUGUAACUAGAAAUGAUUUUUGGAAAAAAUAAAUAGAAAACUAUGAGGCAGCUGCAGUUCAAAUUUGACCCGCUUCCAGCUGAAUCGGCGGAAAUUUGUCUUUUUCACGAGAAGUGGAUCAAAAAAAUUUACACCCAACCAUUUUGUAAAUUGUUCAUUAAAUAUGGCCUAGUAUUUUAUAAAAAUGAUUUGGUCCAAUUUUGCAACAAUUAUUUGGUAGUUCCUUCACAAAAAAAUCUCCUUUCGGGCACUCGAAAAAUGGAAAAUGGUUUUUUCGUCCAACAAAAAUGAAAACUUCCUUAGGCAACAUCGUUUGCCAUUCCAAUAUGCACCCUUGUGCACAAUAUGAGAUCAUUUGAACAAACUAUGCCAUGAAUGUGGCCAUAAGAUUCAUCAUUUGGCUUGAAAGCCAUUGAUCUCCACACGUGAUAGCUCGUUUCUGAGAACACUUUUUUAAAAUAAUUGUCGUAUUACAAGUUUAUUAUUUUUCCUGGGAACUUGGCCACAUAUUAUGACACAAUGCGAAGGUUUCCCAACUUUUUGAUUUUUUUUUAAAUUUUUUAUGCUCGUUUCAAAAUGCGGUCAAAACGGCGGGAAUGACCAUUCCUAGCUAGUGGUUGAAUCUUGGAAUUUUUUUGGUGUUUCUCUAAUUAAAUAGAUACUUAUGUACCUACAAAUGAUUUUCGAAAAAAAUAAAGAGCAGACUAUGAGGCAGCUGCAGUUCAAAUUUGACCCGCUUCCAACUAAAUCGGUGGAAAUUUGUCUUUUUCACCAGAGGUGGAUAAAAACUUUUGACACCCAACCAUUUGGUUAAUUGUGAAUCAAAUAUGUCCUAGUAUUUUAGAAAAAUGAUUUGGUCCAAUUUUGCAACAAAUAUAUGGUAGGUCCUUCACAAAAAGAACUCAUUUCGGGCACUCAAAAAAUGAAAAAUGAAUUUUUCGUGUAAAGAAAAUGAAAACUCCCUUAGGCAACAUUGUUUGGAAUUCCAAGAUGCACCCUUGUGCAUAUAUGAGAUCAUUUGAACAAACUAUGCCAUGAAUGUGGCCAUAAGAUUGAUCAUUUGGCUAGAAAACCCUGAAUCUUCACGCGUGAUAGCUCAUUUCUGAGAACACUUUUUUAAAAUAAUUUCCGUAUUAUAAGUUUAUAUUUUUCCUGGAAACUUGGUCACAUAUAAUGACACAUUGCGAAGGUUUCCCAAUUUUUUGAUUUUUUUUUAAUUUUUUAUGCCCGUUUCAAAAUGCGGUCAAAACGGCGGGCAUGACCGUUCCUAGCUAGUGAUUGAAUCUUGGAAUUUUUUUGGUGUUUCUCUGAUUAAAUAGAUACUUUUGUACCUAGAAAUGAUUUUUGGAAAAAAUAAAGAGCAAACUAUGAGGCAGCUGCAGUUCAAAUUUGACCCGCUUCCAACUAAAUCGACGGGAAUUUGUCUUUUUCACCAGAGGUGGAUCAAAAGUUUUGACACCCAACCAUUUGGUUAGCUGUGAAUAAAAUAUGACCUAGUAUUUUAUAAAAAUGAUUUGGUCCAAUUUUGCAACAAAUAUAUGGUAGGUCCUUCACAAAAAAAAGUCAUUUCGGGCACUCGAAAAAUGGAAAAUGAAAUUUCAGUCCAAUGAAAAUGAAAACUUCCUUAGGCAACAUUGUUUGCCAUUCCAAGAUGCACCCUUUUGCACAAUACGAUAUCAUUUGAACAAACUUUGCCAUGAAUGUGGCCAUAAGAUUGAUCAUUUGGCUUGAAAGCCAUGAAUCUUCACGCAUGACAGCUCAUUUCUGAGAACAUUUUUUAAAAAUAAUUUCCGUAUUACAAGUUUAUUAUUUUUCCUGGAAACUUGGUCACAUAUAAUGACACAAUGCGAAGAUUUUCUAAUUUUUUGAAUUUUUUUGAAUUUUUUAUGCCCAUUUCAAAAUACGGUCAAAACGGCGGGAAUGACCAUUCCUAGCUACUGGCUGAAUCUUGGAAAAAGUUUGAUGUUUCUCUGAUUAAAUAGAUACUUAUGUACCUAGAAAUGAUUUUAGGAAAAAAUAAAAAGCAAACUAUGAGGCAGCCGCAGUUCAAAUUUGACCCGCUUCCAGCUGAAUCAGCGGAAAUUUGUCUUUUUCACAAGAGGUGGAUCAUAACUUUUCACACCCAACCAUUUGGUCAAUUGUGCAUUAAAUAUGGCCUAGUAUUUUAUAAAAAUGAUAUGGUCCAAUUUUGCAAGAAAUAUAUGGUAGGUCCUUCACAAAAAAACUUAUUUUGGGCACUCGAAAAAUGGAAAAUUGAAUUUUCGUGCAAAGAAAAUAAAAACUCUCUUUGUCAAUAUUGUUUGCCAAUCCAAAAUGCAAACUUUGUGCAAAAUAUGGUACCAUUUGAAAAAUAUUUGGUUGAUCCUUUAAAAAAUACUCAUUUUAAGCACUCAAAAAAUGAAAAGGAAGUUUUCAUGAAAAUUUUUAUCUUUAAUCUAAUUGAUUUCGACCAAUUUAGAUGGUCAUAAAAUGUUUAAAUUGCUUGCUGCGUUUUGAUUGGUCUAGGAGCCUAUCACGUGGAUCAUGCAUCAGAACCGUCGGAUGCUCCGGAAUUCAACGGCAGCCCUCACCCCUCACCCUCUCACCCACGCCCCCACUCCCCACCGUACCCGCAGACCCCACGCACCCACUCACCACCGUACCCGCAGACCCCACGCACCCACUCACCACCGUUCCAAACCUCACGCACCCACUCACCACCAUUCCAAACCCCACGCACGCACUCACCAUCGUUCCAAUCCCGCACCCGCACCCGCUCGCCGAAACCCUAGCCGCCGCCGCCGCCCCCUCCCCGUCCCCUCUACCAAGAUCGCACCAACCACCCCGAUGACCGCCGCUGCACCGCCGCACGCCUCGGCGCUCCUGGACGCCCUCCCCCUNNNNNNNNNNNNNNNNNNNNNNNNNNNNNNNNNNNNNNNNNNNNNNNNNNNNNNNNNNNNNNNNNNNNNNNNNNNNNNNNNNNNNNNNNNNNNNNNNNNNNNNNNNNNNNNNNNNNNNNNNNNNNNNNNNNNNNNNNNNNNNNNNNNNNNNNNNNNNNNNNNNNNNNNNNNNNNNNNNNNNNNNNNNNNNNNNNNNNNNNNNNNNNNNNNNNNNNNNNNNNNNNNNNNNNNNNNNNNNNNNNNNNNNNNNNNNNNNNNNNNNNNNNNNNNNNNNNNNNNNNNNNNNNNNNNNNNNNNNNNNNNNNNNNNNNNNNNNNNNNNNNNNNNNNNNNNNNNNNNNNNNNNNNNNNNNNNNNNNNNNNNNNNNNNNNNNNNNNNNNNNNNNNNNNNNNNNNNNNNNNNNNNNNNNNNNNNNNNNNNNNNNNNNNNNNNNNNNNNNNNNNNNNNNNNNNNNNNNNNNNNNNNNNNNNNNNNNNNNNNNNNNNNNNNNNNNNNNNNNNNNNNNCCGCGUCCACAGAACCAGAACCCCUCGUGCCCCGCGGCUCCUCGUCGUCCUCAUCUCCCCCGACUCCCUCGCUCUCCUCCCCUCCCCCCUGCAGCAGUCCCACGCGCCCAUGCGCAUCUACCUCCACCCGUUGAGCAGCAGCAGGUCAGGCGGCGGCCAGAUCCGCCGCGUUGCUUCCGGAUCCGCGCCCUCGUCACGCGCGCUUGACACCAUGGUACUCGUCAACAAGGUCGUCUCUCGCCCUCUUCUCUUGUCCUUUCAAUUCGAUCUGGAUGUUGCUCACACAUGCCCGAUUUGUUUUUCUUCCUCACACAGGUCGUCGUCAAGCCCUCGAUCUGGCUGCGACCUCCAGCCAUCGCGAGAUCUGAAGGACUCGCGCAACCCUUCUCGCCGCAUCCUACUCGGCGGCCACCAUGGUGCCCUUCGACCCGCCCUUCCCUCUGCUUUGCGCGCCAGUCCCUUCCUCUUCCUCCGCCGCCUCCGCCGAGCCCCCCGGCCUCGCCUUCCGCGACGCCGCGAGCUGGCGAGCCGCCUAGGAGGCCGUCGAGGCCAGCCUCUUCUCCUAGUGCGAGGUAACCCGUUCCCUCUCAUCUCAUAUCCAUCCUAAUCUGUGUCUGUUUCGCAUGCCUGAAUCAUCGCAUGACUAGACGCCGAUUGUUUGGACUUACUUGACGCUGGUUGUUUAGAUCUGUAAGGUAGACGCUGAUUGCUGAUGGCAGUGCGAUUCCUAGCACCAGUAGUAUUUGUCCUCUUUUUGUUCUUGCAGCUGGCCGAGCUGCCUCGCGCUAGUCAAUGCCAGGCAGCAAGUUUAGCAGCUACGUACAUCAAACAGUGCUGACAAACCCCUGGCUAGUGCCCAAGAUUACUUACUAUUCGGAGUUUCCGUAACAUGGCAUAUAUUCCGCGUGCGUGUUUUACUUCUGCGGUGUUGCUACUAUGCUAAUUCUCAGUCGACCGAGAUGUUCUUGGGUCUCAAUUGAUUUCUCGGAAGACCAGGAAUGUUUACUUUUGUAGCUGGCCGAGCUGACUUGCUCUAGUACUGCUAGUCGGUAAAUUUCUCAGCUGAGCACAGUGAAGAGAGCAAAAACCACUUCAUGGCUGCUUAGCAUUAGCUAUCUUGGUUGGUGAUGCUCUACAGUUGAUCUGGAUCGAACUGAAACAUGUAUAGUUAAGGAAUUCUAAUCAAUAAUCGCACAAUCUAGAAUAGAUGAAGUAUCAGCAGCUGCGUAUGGUCUACACAGCUGGUUCCAGUCUUGCUUUUCAAUUUUGUAUCAGCAGCUGCGUAUGGUCUACACAGUUGGUUCCAGUCUUGCUUCUGAAUAGAUGAAGUAUUUUAUUUAUAUCACUGGAAGUCCUUUUUUUGUCCAAGUAAUUAGUGCUUUGGUGGCAGAUUAAAUAAAUAAAUAAUACUUUUAAGCAUUUAAGUGUUGAUACUCACUAGUUUUAACCCGCUCGGAAUGUGGCAGACAUUGUUACAUCUGUCUGUCUACAGGCGUCGUUUUAGUACUACCUAAUUAAGUCAUCUACUGUCAUGUGCCUGCGCAAUGUUUCCUCCUUAUAUCACCUUUAAUCCAAGGCAAAAUCUGGACCAACGAGUACCUAUUGCACUAAUGGGUGAUUAGUACGCUGACAGAGAUAUUUGGAAAUAGGAAUUCUACAGCGCAUACUAUUCAGAGCAGAACGGUAAUUUCCUUAAUGAAGUAGGUGACUGUAAUUUGUAUAAUAACCACGCAGGCUACUUUAAUUAAUGUUUCCACUUUUCUUUGAUUAAAUGGUUUAGUUUUGAUUAAUAACUCAUUGGAUUUUAAAUAUGGUAGUAAGAAGUUGCAACAGUGCUAUGUGGCGUUUGCACAAAUUCCUUGAUUUUCUAGCAUAGCAGGUGCUCGGACUUGUCAAACAAGAGUUUAGUUUCCAUAGAAGUAUACUCAGUUAUAUGAGAUACUUGGUUGGCAUAGUAAACCAAACCAUGUUACUGAUAAUUUUUUUGCUCCUUCUCAGGACUGCUCCCGUGUGGUGGCCUCCUUGAGACUUGGCACUUAGCAGCAGAAUCUAAUUAAUUAUACUGAUUUCUUUGUUCUUCCAGAAUCUUGGCACUUUGCUUGUCUAUGGAUCAUCUUCCACUUGAUAGCUGGCAGGAGGUCAUUAUUCCGUUGCUGCCUCAUCACUUACCUCCAGUUCUGAAUUUGUGUGAUAAAUGCUUCUGAAUUCCAAUGACAAGUGCUACUGAAAAUUUUCUGUUCUUGUUUCUUUAAUACGCAUGUUCAUGAAUAAUCGCUUCAGUUAUUUGUUCUUCUGAAAACUUCAGUAUGCAAGUACCUAUUCCUGGUACAGCAAGUACCAGUUCUUGAGCAUUUGCACAGUUUUCAUUAUUUGUUCUUCUGAAAAUUUGCUCUAUUGUGAAUCAUAGUAGUAUGCACUAGCAGCAAUCUGUCAAUGUUUGAUUCAAGCUUACUCUCGUUAUAAUGUAUUGUGUAGUUGUUGUUUCAAAUUGUUUUGCUACAAGUACCAUAAUUUGCAUUGAAGAUAUUGUAUUCUGUUGAUGUAUCAUUGUUUAAUAAAACCACAGCAUGAUGCUCACAUGAGAUAUCCACAUGUUUUUGUGCUGUUUCUUUCCAGCAUGAUGCUCUCGUUAUAAUGUAUUCUGUUGCUGUUUUGCUACAAGUUGUGUGUUGAUUUGAUAACAGGAGUUUCCUUGUCCUGGUCCUAUACUGCAUUUUGACUCCUAUGUUUCUAUGCGUGUGUGUUUAAUUGAUGUUCUUUCAACUUUGAACCGCUUCUGCAUAUGCCCUAUACUGCAAUUGAGAUUUAAAUUUGUGGUUGUUCCUCUUUUACAGAUGCUCAAGUGUGAAGUGUGAAGCAAGUGUGAAGUUGUGAAGUGUGAAGCCAUCAAGUUCUACUUAGUGAAGAGUAGCAUAUUGUAGCAUAUAUGUGUUGUAAAGAUUGUAAUAGAUUUAUUUAGUGGUAUAUUUGAUGAAAUUUAUGUGUUCUUUUUGAUUAUGUAUGUGAUCUGAAAACUUGUGAAAUGGAAACUUGACCAAUGGGUCCACUUAUGAAAAUAAUCUGUCAAAUUUGUACAUUUCUGAUACGUGGGACCAAUUUGAGAGAUGAUCAUGACAAGUGGGACCCAUCUGACUAGUGGGACCAGCUUGAAUAUAUAAUGGCUGAAAAUAGAAAAGCAAUAAAUAAUAAAAGGCCACGGGCCAACAAUAAAAAAGGCUACAACGUUGCGCUUGGCCCAUGAAGCGGACCAGAAUAACAAGGAAAAAUAAUAAUAAAAGGCUGAAUUAAUGGGCUCGGCCAUGUAAAACACCUAAUCGGACCGGGACCGGGCUGAUUCUUGUGCCACAUCAGAUUGCCACGUCAAAUGCCUACGUGGCCUGAGGAGGCUGCUAGUGACCAAAACAAAACAGUAGGCCUAUUUUGGUUGUAAAUGUCUACGACCUUCUCACAGAGAAGGUCUCUAUAGUCAGUUUACGACUGCCAGCUUUUGACCUUCUGUUUUUGGUCACAAAAAGGCCGCAAAUGAAAAACCAUGACCUUUCAGUGACCAAUAGUAGAGGUCACAAGUUGACAUAUUUCUUGUAGUGUACUUGUCCGACGAUGUACAUUAUGAUUUCUUGGAGGUGCAGAUACAAAGAUACGAGUACGGGAAGCCUCUCGUCAAAGAUGAAAGAUCUCUAUCAACGAUGAUGCAAAGAUUACAUGAUUGGUACAUGAAAACCUGCAGAGACACUGAGGGGAGGAGUACUUUGUAUGUGAGAGUUAAAAAGGAGCAUGACCUCGUUGGAAUUGAACUGUUGCCUGUUCCAUUUGAGGAGUUCUUUCAGUUUUUCAAUCAAUUGGCCCUCGAUAAAGCAACGGUCACCUGCUACUGUCUAUAAGUAGUACUACUUCUGUCAUUAAGUCUCUCUAUAUAACUCAGCUCUUUCAUUGCAUGUAUUUAUAAUUAUCCUCACUAUAUUAUGCAGAUUGAAGAUCGCCGAAUUGAAGAAAAGACAAGUGGGUAAUAUUGGGUUCAUUAACACAUAUCUCAUAGAUGCAACUGAGGUUAAAUAUCAUGCCGAAGAUACCGAGGCCAACUUGUUACGAUCGUUGGUAAUAAAUGAACACAAAGAUAUAAUACUCUUUCCUUACAACUUCAAGUGAGUGUUACUUUCUUGUGGCAUAUUCGGUUUCCCUUAUUAGUCCAGGUUAUAGUAAUGUAAUUGAUGAGUUAUGCAUGCGUGCGCAGGUUCCACUAUAUUCUCCUAGAGAUUAAGCUUGAGCAGGGAGUAGUAACUGUCUUCGACUCGAGACAAAAAGAUCCCAAGGAGUAUGCGGACAUGACUCAAAUGCUCGAGAAGUAAGUUAAAUCAAUCAUUAUCCACCAUAUCAGCAACUUUGUUCAUUUCUGAUAUCAAGUAAUUGUUUUCUUUGUAUGGCAGGGUUUGGAGAAAAUUCACCAAAAAAGCUCCGGGACUGCCGAAGAAGCUGCAAUUUAGACACCCGAAAGUAAGUACUAUAGUAGCAUGUUCCACGCAUCUCCUAGUGAUUCAAGCGCUAGUUUCAUCAAUACCAUUUGGCAUUCUUGCUUAUCAGUUUGAUAGACCUCUAUUUCUUGUAAAGUGGUUGUGGCAGGAACAAGGGAACGAUUUCUGUGGAUACUACGUUUGCGAGUCGAUCCGCCACAUGACCUGUGAGCGGGGCUACUCUGACGAACAAUAUGAAGUGCGUAAAUAACAAUAUUCACAAUUUUAUUUUAUUACCAUCAUUUGUGUUGAGUUUCAUUCAUUCAUAUAUAUAUAUAUAUAUAUAUAUAUAUAUAUAUAUAUAUAUAUAUAUAUAUGUAUAUGUAUUGACCCCCUUCUUAAAAUUAGAUGUUUCGGAUGCGGAAUGAACUCCGAGCACUAGAUCGCAUGCGAGCAAUUCAAGAGGAAUUGGCGGCAUUCUUUCUUGACCACGUGAUCGCUGAAGACGGAGAAUACUAUGUGGACCACGCGCCCGUAUGUUAGGAGAUUAUAUUUGUAAAAGAUAAUUAUUGUAUAUAUGUAGCCGGUAGUGUCGGAUAGAUAUACGAGAACUUGUUGUUCAACCAAUCUCUCGGAGAAGGAGAGGUAGUCGAUAUCACUUGUCUCUGUAUGCAUAUAUGUUCAUGACGAUCUUCUGUUUCCUUCGUUUGCUUACUAUCUAGCUAGCGUGUCUAGCUAGUCCUCUCUAUACGUAUGUAUAGUACGUAGCGUCGACCAAGCACGGACAAAAGAGAGGACACUUCUCUCUAUUAAUUAGCUAGCUAACACAAUAUAUGAAACACCUAAAUUAACCCCCCAAAACCCCCAACCCCCCCCCCCUUCAAAAAAACAAAAACAUAAGCCACAGAAAUGCUGACGCGUGGAUGCCUAUUGGUCCCGAUUGGUGACACCAACUGGGACCAAAGGCCCUCCUGCCUGGGCUCGGCGCACAGGCCACGUGGAGGCCCAUCUGUCCUGGUUCUGGACUGAACCGGAACUAAAGGGCCAGGGCAUUAGUAUCGACCCUUUAGUCCCGGUUCAGGAACCGGGACUAAAGGCCCUUACCAACCGGGACAAUAGGCCCUUUUUCUACCAGCCCUUGCAUAAUGCUCUGCCAAGUGUAGGAGGAAUUCUUUUUCAGCUUAAUUAAUUUACCAGCACAAGAAGUGGCCGUGCUGGGAGUGAAAAACUUCCAUGACUUGAUGUCCACUUGCUGCUGGUACCUUUGGUGGGAGAGGAGAAAGCUUGUGCACAAUGAGCCGGUACAAGAUGCGAAGAGAGUUGCGCAAGCGGUAUGUGCUUUAGCUGCUAACUAUGCUAUUGCAUGUGACCCAAAGGCCUCGUUAAAGAGGGGAGGUUGGUGCAAACCCCCUAGUGGAUAUGUCAAGUUGAAUGUUGAUGCGGCCUUUGAUUGGGAUUUGCUUCAGGGGGCGAUGGGAGCAGUCAUCCGAGAUGAUAGAGGACAUAUGGUUGUAGCUGGAAACAAGCUCAUUGAUUCCUGUUAUGAUGUACUAACUGUUGAGGCAAUGGCUCUGAAGUUUGGGUUGAAUAUGGCGCUCACAGCUGGGUGCAAUAGACUGAUUGUCAACUCGGAUAAUAUGGAACUCAUGGAAAUAAUGAAUAAGGAUGGCCAAUAUGCUGGAGAUGCCGUGGCCAUUGUUGAUGAUUGUUUUUUUUUUUGACAUGGAAGACUGCAGGGCUAACACCCCACAGCAAUUUAUUAAAGCUUCAAACAAUAAGUACAAGAAAUGUUCCUCAAGAUAAGGAACUAAAAAGAAAAGAAGAAAACUGUACAAGCUAGUCUAAACAAAGGAAGAAAAGUCUAACUAGAAAAAAGAAAGAAGUACAAAUGCAUGAUCUCUCAAUGAGGUAGGAAAUCUAUCCAUUUGAUCAAUGCUUCUCUGUGUCUGGACUUGAUUCUGUGAGCCAAGAGGGAUAUGUCAUGGAUAAAUCCAUUCCUCCACUGCCUGAAAGAGGGUCUGAUAUGCCUAAAGGCUUUGUCAUUUCUGACUUUCCAAAUAUUCCACCAAGUGAGGAAGACCACCUCAGAGAAGAAAGGCUUAUUGAAAUCCUUCCUAGCAUGAUGUGCAAUCUGAACCAUAUCCUGACUAUCUAACCAGGUAAUUUGAAGGUAGUUCCACACUCUCAUACUAAAGUUGCACUGAAAGAAUAAAUGAUUCCUGGCUUCCAGUGCACCAGUGGGACAGAGAACACAUUCAGGCCCAUCAUUAAUCUUCCACUUCCUGCGCUAAAUCAUAUCCUUGGUGUUUACUCUAUCCAUAAUGACAAAGCCAGGCAAACUUUUUAAUUGACAUUGUACAACAAGACCUCCAUAUCCAACUAAGAAUAGGGUUGGCAGUCAUUGGCUGGUGAACGAAGUCAUAAUAUUUCUUUGCUGAAAACCCAGCCUUUUCCCAUGUCUCCAUUUCCAAGAAUCAUUAGAAGCCACAUCCAGAGAGAACCCAGCCAAAACUUCAGUCAGUUGAUUGAACUCCCUAAAGGCCAACUCUGACAAGGGCAAGGAAAACAAACUCUGCAACUCACCAGUCUGCAACACUUCACAAACAGAGGAAUUCUUUUGUAAGUAGAAAGAAAACAGUCUAGGGAAUCUGUUAUGUAGUGGGAUGCAUGAAUUAUCAAUCUCCCAAGAAUCAGACCAGAAAAGCAAAGAAUCUCCUCUUCCAACUGUGACUGAAGUAAGAGCCCUGAAUUUGUCCAUUAAUUUGCAUAUGUCCCUCCACCAAAAGGAGCCACAUAAAGCAGUAUCAUGACGCACUCUCUGAUAAUAAUAAGAAUCCCAGAUCAAAUGAACCCAAGGCACAUCAUCUUUGUUAUAGAACUUGUUGAGGAAUUUCAUUAACAAAGCUUCAUUUUGCAAACCCAGGUUAAGUAUGCCAAGCCCACCUUUAAGUUUGGGCCUGCAUACCAGAGGCCAAGCAGCCAAAGAAUUCCCCUUCUCCUGACCAUAUUUUCUCGACAGACAUUGUCUCUGAAUUCUUUCUAGUUGCUUUAAAAUCCCUUGUGGUAUAGAUAAACUACAAAGGAAGAAAAUUGGCAAAGAAGAGAUAACAGAGCUUACCAACUACAAUCUGCUACCUUGGGGCAUAAACCAUGUACUAGCAGUCAAUCUCCUUUCCAUACAGUCAAACUAGAGGUAGGAGGUCCACAAUUUUGGGCCUAGUUGUGCCCACAGGCAAACCCAAAUAUGUAAAGGGUAAAACCCCAUGCUGACACCCAAGCUGAGCAGCAAAAGCAGUGGCAGCAGUGGCUUCCACAUUGAUUGGGUACAUUGAAGAUUUAUGGUAGUUGAUCUGCAAACCAGUUGACAGGGAGAAAGAGUGCAGAACAAAUUUCAACACCUCCAACUGAGCUGAGUCAGCAGAAACAAACAGCAAAGUGACAUCUACAUACUGUACCACUGGGAAGUCAGGGUCAUGAGUUACCAGGGGUAGAGAAAGAAGGCCUUUACUCAGGGAAUCAUUAAUCAUAGUCUGUAGCAGAUCAGCAACAAUCACAGACAACAAAGGUGAAAUGGGAUCACCUUGCUUUACCCCACACUUGCACUUGAAGUGAUUUCCUCGUACCCCAUUGAGCAGAAUUGAGGAGGUUGCAGAUGAUAAUAACUGCUGUAUCCAGGAGAUCCAUUUGUUAUCAAAACCCUUUGCCACCAAGAUUUUUAUAAUUGCCUCAUGUUGAAUGGAAUCAAAAGCUUUUUCAAAAUCAAGCUUGAGUAACAUGAUUGGCCUUUUUGACUGGUUGCAUUGAUGGAUAUACUCAAAGGCCCAGGCAAUACAAUCCUGAAUGGUUCUAGACUUGAUAAAGCCAUAUUGAUUCUUAUGCACACACUUGGUGAUUUCAUCUUGGAAUCUGUUAGAAGCAAGCUUAGUUAGGAAUUUCAAUCCCACACUAGUCAAAGAAAUUGGCCUAAAAUCUCCAGCAGUUUCUGGUGACAACUUCUUAGGGACCAAAGUUAUGAAAGCCUCACUCAGAUUUUCCAGCUGUGCUCUUCCAGCAUGAAACUCAUUCACCAAUGUAAUGAAAUCACUAGAGAUGAUGGGCCAACAUUUCUUCAUAAAAAGGCCAUUAAAUCCAUCAGGUCCAGGAGACUUGUCAAUUGGCAAUUCCUUCACAACCUGCUCAAUUUCUCUCACCUCAAAAGGCCUUGUGAGCACUUCCAGCCCCUGCACCCUGGGGAUAAUAGAGAGUAUAUCAUUACCCAGAGAAAUUGGCUUCAGUUCCCAUUCUGCCCUUAAAAAUAUCAAGAAAUUCCUUUGCAAUUCUGUCAUGGUUUGGAGAAACUAUACCAUCAGAUAACUGCAGGGUGGCAAUUGAAUUUUUCCUGUAUCUUUCAGUUGCCAUGGCUUCGAAGAAUUUAGAGUUUUCCUCACCCACUUUGAUAUAUCUAAUAGUGCAUCUCUUCUUCCUGUAUAGGAACUGCAGGUGUAGAAGAUGUUCAUGAUGCAACUUUACAAGUUUUCUGAAAUUGGAUUCAGAAUGGAAUCAAGUCCUGGAGUCUUCCAAGUCAUCAAGCCAAAGGAUCACCCAGUUGAACUUCUCAAUCAGCACUUUAAUAUGUGACAAACCCUUCUGCCACUUCUUAAGGGCAUACCUCAAAGACUUAUGUUUGUCCAUUAUAAUUGUUGAUAUGUGAGUUUUAUGAGAAUGUUGUUGCCAAACCUUCUGAACACACUCCAUAAAACCUGGUUGAUGAAUCCAAAAAUUUCAAAUCUAAAGAGGUGGGUUUUGGGAUGUUGGUACAUAUAGAAACCACACAUGGAACAUGGUCUGAAGCAGUCUUGGCCAAAGGUGUGACUUGAGUAUUUGGGUACUGACAAAUCCAGCUGGCAGAGGUAAAGAACCAAUCCGACUGCUCAAGAAGUGGGGCAUCCUGCAUAUUAGACCAUGUGAAUCUUCUUCCCUUUAAAGGCAGUUCUAGCAGACCCAAAUGUCCAAUGACCUCAUUAAACAUGAAAAUGUCAUUAACAUCACCACUAGGAAGGUUUCUAUUAUCCAAGGAUCUUAUGAAGUUAAAAUCUCCCAACAACAUCCAAUUCUGUUCAGGUUCCACAUUAAGAUUGUAAAGCCAAUUAACAAAUUCAUCCCUUAAAAUACCCUGGCAAGGACCAUAAACAUUGACCAGGUACCAUGGGUCACCAUUGUGCACCGAUUUGAAAUUAAUCACCAUCCCAUAGGAUUUAACUUCAAUUAAGGUGCCUAAGUUGUCGAUGAUUGUUAUCAUCUGGCUUGCGAAUUUAGCUCUAUUGUCUUCGAAUUUUGCCCCAGAGAGUCAAAUGGGGUUGCACAUGAACUAGCUAGGAUUGCUAGAAGUUCGCUUUGUAAUGAGUGGUUAGAUAAUGCUCCUUCUGAGCUUCUUCCCCUACUACUUAAAGAUGUAAGUCUGAUCACGAGUGAAUAAAGAGGAAGUAAAGUUGUCAAAAAAAAGAGCAUGGCAAUUUUAUUUUUAAUGGCAUGUCAUUCUUACCUUUUUUUGAGAAAAGCAUGUCAUCUUUACUAUGUCCUUUCCGCCUGCUGUAUGAAGUAGGCGGACCCUAGAUGGGCUUUCCCAAUAUGGGUUCCUGGGACCGGGUUCCUGCAGAGUUUCUUUUUCCUUUUCGUCUUGUGUGUUUCCUGGUCCAAUUUUCAUCUUUUUGUUUGGUUUUCUGUCUUAUGUGUUUCUUUAUGGAUUUUAUUUCUUUCCCAAUACAUGUCCAUUUUUCUAAAUACAAAGUGUAAAAAUUUACACAUCUUGAACAUUUUUUAUUAAUUGGCAUAAACCUAUUUUUGGAGUGUGUGAGCAUUUUUUAAUUGUCAUGUACAUUUUUCUGAAAGGCAGUAUUUAUUUUGUUGAAUUACGUGAGCAUUCUAUACACAUCUUGAACAUUUGUCCAUAUUUUUUUGAAACACAUGAACAUAUUUUUGAAUGCUAUAAGCAUUUUUUAUAUCAUGCUGCAUUUGGUCUAUAUUAGUUUAAACUAAGUCAGUGACAAUUAAUAUGGAUCAUAGAGAGUACAAUUUUGUACAUGAAGUUUAUACUUUUAUAUUUCACUUUCAACUUUUUUAUUUAUUAAACUCUAUUGUGUUUUUGGAAUAAGUGUAUUUAGAAUAUUUUUUAAAAAAUGUAAAUAAAAUGGAGCGAAUGAAGAAGUAGAGAAGAAAAACGAAGGCCGGCCAAAUGUAUGGCGUUCCCUGCCUCAUACCUGCAAAUCAAGCUAAGCAGCGGGUGAUAAUUUUUUACACAAUGUUUAUAGUUUUCUAUUUCACUUUGAACAUUUCAAAAUUUUAAGGAAAUUAUUAUUUUUAAAUAAAUGUUUUUAGGUUUUUUUAAUAAAAAGGUGAAAAAAAGGAAAUUGAGCGAAUGAAGAAGCAGAGAAGAAAAACGCCCUUUCUUUCAUCAACUGAACUACGUGCGUGCAUGGAAGGGCUAUCAUCUGCCCUUAAGAGGAGUGACUUACCUAUCAUUGUGGAGAUGGACUCUAUUCUUGCAUAGAAAUGUUAGUACUCAAAAUGUGCGACCAAUAGUGAUGGUAUUGAACUACGGUCACAUCUAUUUAGGAAUGAUGGUAAAAUAUUUACUAUUUGUCCUUAGUGCAUAUUUUGCAUACAUAUUUUUUUGCUAAACUUUCAUUGCUAAGUAUAUUAAUUAAGUACUAUACGAUGUUCUUCAACAGGGACUCCCGAUGAUAGUUGUGCCUCAGGGGAUCGAGACUAAAGGUCAGAUGUCAAUUGUUAGCUUACGGCCAAGAUAUCCUGCAUUGCACAUGAAUGCAUUCAGGAUUUCUAGAAGCGAUGAAUGCUUAAUAGUGAAAGAUUGGAGGAAAAUUGUUAAUGAUCGUAGAGAAGUACUAGGGGGCAGCAAUGAGAAGCGCAGCCCACGAUUAGGAGACAGGUUCAACGGCAUGCUUCAGUAUGAUCAAUCAGGAGAGCUAUACAUGUUCUAUGCUAUUUUACCAGAGAGAGAGUAGCUAGCAGGAGUGAUUUAGCUAGUUCUUCAUGCUGCUCUUAAUUAGUACUUGUCCUUUCAUGUCCAUGUUCUUCGUUCUGAACUUAGGUGAUUUGCUUUUGUGGUGUUAUAUAUGAACGCUUAUAAUAUCAUGACAAUCAUGUUGAACUCGAUGAUUGGUUCUACUAGAAAUUAUAUAUAUAUAUAUAUAUAUAUAUAUAUAUAUAUAUAUAUAUAUAUAUAUAUAUAUAACGUGUACAAUGUGUAGUAUCGUAAAAUACCAGCAAAUGAAAAAGAAUUAAAAUGGAAACACAAAAUUAAAUGAAAAAGAAAUCAUAAAACUAAAAAAAACCCAAACCUUAUAGUACCGGUUGGUCUUACCAACCGGUACUAAAGGGCUCCAGGCCCCCGGAGCUGCCUCGUGCCACAUGGUUGCCCUUUAGCACCGGUUCGUGCUGAACCGGUACUAAAGGGGGGCCUUUAGUGACCAUAAUUUAGUGCCGGUUAUAUAACCGGCACUAAAGGGCCUUACGAACCGGUGCUAUUGCCCAGUUCUACACUAGUUCUUUUACCCCUGAACCCCUCUUGCCCUCCUAUAAUAUAAAAGCCGCCCGCCUCCGUCUCUCCCCCGCACUCCAUCGCCUCGCCGCCGUUCCCCGCAACCUAUCGACCCAAUCUCACAUCACCCGACGGGACGGGACCUGGCGCCUCGUCCUCUCCAGAUCUUACGCCCGCCCGAGGUGAGCACUUGUACAUCCCGAUCAGCUCGUCCCGAUUAUUUGCCAAUGUCAGAUUGACCAUUAUUAACAUGCCAAUUUUACCUAAAUCCCCAUGGCAAUAUUUAACCUUUAUCGCCAUGGCAAGUUUUGCUUUUUAUUUGCCAUGGAUAAUUUACCUUUAUUAAGAUGGCAAAUUUACCUAAAUUCCCAUGGUAAUUUUUAACUUGUAUUGCCAUUGCAAGAUUUACUAUUUAUUUGACCUUUAUUAAGAUGGCAUAUUUUACCUUUUUAUUGCCAUGUGAAUUAUAUGCACAUUUUAAUAUGAUUUUGGUUAUGGUGUAUUUUCUUUGUUCUUUUUUUGUUUUUUCAACUUUUUUGUGGUUUUCACACACGACAUUUUUCUCAUACAUUACAUGUAAUUUUAAGAAAAUUACCAUUACAUUUUGUGCUAUGAAUUUGCCAUUUGCAAAUUAUUUUGUGCUGUAUGAUGGAAAUUGCCUUGACUUCCUUUUCCUUUUAUGGGUUAUUGUUAAAAUAUAUUCACCCAUGUCAAUUUUCCGCGUUUGAAAAUUGAUGGCAGUUUUACUUAACAAAGCAAAAAAAUUGUUCCUUUUUACCACAGCAAAAAGAAAAGAAAUAUCCGGGUGUUUUCUUUUUUUCAUUACUAGUCUUUUUAUUCACCUUUUUGGGCUGUUGGGGGCUGGGGAGGUGUUCAGGCUAGGGCUUUUAUCAUUCCGAACGAGUGGGUUCGACAGUUGCCCCUCCCAUACUGAACGAAACAUUCAAUCUGGGGUGCUCCCAAACCGUUCGUCAGCGCCAUAUCGGGUCCUAAAUUUAAAUAUAUAUUUUUGCCAUCGCAAUCCUCAAUUGGCAUGACAAAUUUUAGCUAAAUAUAAUGGCAAAUUUUCACAUUUAUUUUCAUGGCAUUUCUUACUCUUUUUAUUUGCCAUGGCAAUUUUAACAAAUUUUCAUGCCUAAAUUACCUAUAUCUACAUGGAAAAUAUUUAACUAUUAUUGCCAUGGAACUUUCAUAUUUAUUUUCUUACCAAUACUACCUUGGAAAAUUUACUUAAACCGCCUUGGUAAUUUAUACUCUUUAUUUUCCAUGGCUAAAUUAUGUAUAUCAACAUGGGAACAUGGAAAAUUUCACUUUCAUCUUUUUUCAAGGGAUUUUUGCUUACAAAGCAACUUGCCAUGACAUUUUUUAUGUGCCAUUGCAUCUUUUUGUCCAUGGAAAAAUCUUUUUUGUGAAAGACGAAUGUCAUUCUCUGGUUUGCAUCAAUGGGAUUUUUUAGUUCUCAAUUUCCCCCUUUUUAAUGGCUUUUUUUUUUGCAUAGCAUAGCAAAGUCUGGUCUUUAUUUCACAAGCUUAAAAUAUGUCUUUUAGUCAUAGUACAAACUGGGCCAUAUUGGGCUCUGUGCUUUUACCCCUCUUGAUUGAUAACCCCUCUUGCCCUCCGUCCCUCCUAUAUCAUAAAAGCCGCCCGCACUCCAUCGCCUCACCUCGUCGCCGUUCCCCGCAACCCGCUAUCUGUCGACCCAAUCUCACAUCGAUCACCCGACGGGACCGUCCUCUCCAGAUCUUACGCCCGCCCGCCCGCCCGCCCGAGGUGAGCACUUGUUGGAGUUCCGAUUGAUUGGUUGGUAGGCGCUGAUUCGUAGGUCUGGGAUCCAGCCAGCGUGGUCUCCCUCCGCCUCCGGAGUUGCUCGUUCCGAUUGUGGUUGGUAGGCGCGGCGCGGCGCCGUCUUGUAUCCUGCCCGGCUCUGGAUUUGGUUUCUCAAAUGGUGUAUGAAUUCUUCAACUGUGCCUGUCGCGAUUUUGGUUUUCUGUGCUCACUAUGCCCUUGCACAUGGGAUGCAAUUUUUUUAUUUCCCUGCUGUUUAGUUUAUUGUUUCCUUUGAUGGAGAUGCAAUUUUCUUGCUCACACAAUAAUACAAUGAAUGAUAGCAUCUCUAUCUACUUUGAACCAAAUUAUAUUAUAUUCCCCCCUCUGUUAAUUAUUUUUCUGUUUUGGGUAUUCAUUUUGUUUAGUUGCCUAUCAGUAUAAAUACAUGGCUGGAUUGCUUUCACUUCAUAUUAAUAACUAUUCUGUCGCACAUUGCAAAUAUAUAUAUGCUGUCCUAACUAAUUAAGUAGAAGCUUGGAUUGGUGCUGUAUGGUCUCUAACUGACAUUAAAUUCUCCUCUGUUUGUGCUGUACUGUUCUGCUGCUGCAGCCUUCUUCGCCGCCAAAAGGAAAUGAUGCUCUACAAAAUCCACUCCCAUGCCCAAAUCCAAGACCUGCAGGCCCGCUCCGAUGAGCUGGGCCACUCCAAUGAGCACAUGGAUGUGAAGCUUUUCUCUCUGGAGUCGGUGCGCAUAGCGCUUGAGUCGUAUGCACUCCUCCGCCCGCUGAUCAUGGAGUCCAGGAUGUGGUUUUGCCCGGAGCUGGAAAUCCUCUCGGAGGUGGCAGGCUUGUCGCUGUAAAUCCAAAAGCUCGAGCAUGAUGUGUUACCCCAGCUCACGGUUUAGGAGGCUAAGCUGGAACCGGGCGCCCUGGAAGCCCUCCUACUCAUGAACAACUCAGCUGUUGCGCUCUUACAUAUGAGGAAGUGCUUUAAGGAAGCCUUGGGCUUUUUUCUUCGCGAGGAUUAUGUGGUCUCAGCCAAAGUCAAAAAGCUGAGCAAAAUGCUAAAGGAUAUUGCUGUCCCGUUGCUUCAGGAGCAUGAAUGCAACAUUGUCUGGCUUCAGGAGCGUGUCCCGUUGCGGGUCCAGCUGGUCACCGAUGUGUUGGAGACCCGGUUAAUUUCUGUGAUUCUGAUGAGUCUUCUGAUGAUGAGUCUUCUGAUGAGUAUUCUGAUGAGUAGACUUAUCAGCCAGCUCGAGGCUGUUGUGAUGAGUAUUUCUUAGGGGCAUGGCAAACAGUUUAGAAUCAAAUGUUGCGAUGUAUUUCUUGGAACCUCCUUUAUGUUUGGAUGUGUUAUUAAUGGAUUUUAAAUGAUAUGUAUUUUGGGUAGUGUUUUCUCAUUCUGUCCUAGUAGGGUACAACUUGCAAUUACUUUCAUUUUUUUUAGAAACAUCCAUUCUGUGUUUUACAUGGAGGUAUUCGCUCUUUUUAGGGAAUAUAUGCCAAAAGAAUAUAGUAUGUUAGAAAAGAAAUCCCAAAUUUAAGUCUUUUAAGAGGUUUAACUAAAAGACUACAUACGGAUGAAUAUAGACAUACUUUAGAAUGUGGGUUUACUCAUUUUGCUCCGUAUGUAGUUUGGAUGAAUAUAGACAUACUUUACAACGUGGGUUUACUCAUUUUGCUCCGUAUGUAGUUUGGAUGAAUAUAGACAUACUUUAGAACGUGGAUUCACUCAUUUUGCUCCGUAUGUAGUUUCCUAGUGAAAUCUCUUAAAAGCUUAGUCCCUGUUUGUUUAAAAAGUCCUAGGACUUUUUUUAGUCUCAAGUAAAAAGUCUCUAGUCCCUAUCUGUUUGUUUCAAGGAACUAAACAUGGACUAGAGGAUAAUAAAUGACAUGCUAAAAGAUCAUGUUGCCCCUAAACAUGAACUAGAGGAUAAUGAACUAGUAGUUGCGGGGGCAGAUCAGGGAAAAGUCUCGAAAAGACUCUCAUAUAGGAUCUUCUUCUUUUUAGUCUCAAAUGCCUAGUUUAGUCCCUAAAAGUCCCUCUCAUUUGGUUAAAAAGUCUCUAAGAGGGACUUUUUCUAGUCCCUACACCAAAAAGUCCCUGGAAACAAACACCCUCUUAUAUUUAGGAACCGAGGGAGUAGUGCUUAUCUGUGAGUGUCCAUGAUUAAAGCUUUGCAAAUACCAUAAACAAAACUUCACCUUGUACUUGAAGCUGAAUUGAAUUGAAAUGUGAUUAGCCUUCCACUAGCCAGCCAAGGAGGAAGGAGCCCACCGUUCCAUCCUCCCUAUCUCUAUUUCCUCUUGUUGCGCCCACCUUCCCCUUCUCCUGACACGUAAAUCUAGUUGAGGACUGCAGCAGAUCUAGUUGCGUUGGUCACCGCGCAACAACCCUAGCCACGACGAGCUCCACCACCGUGCGGUCCGAGAGCCACGUCGCAGUCCUCAACUAAACUAGGCUGCUCCACCUUGCCGUCACCAGCCCCUUCUCCGCCCACCUCCCCCUUCUCCUAACACGUAGAUCUAGUUGCAUCGGUCGCCGUGCAACAACCCUAGCCACGACGAGCUCCACCACCNNNNNNNNNNNNNNNNNNNNNNNNNNNNNNNNNNNNNNNNNNNNNNNNNNNNNNNNNNNNNNNNNNNNNNNNNNNNNNNNNNNNNNNNNNNNNNNNNNNNNNNNNNNNNNNNNNNNNNNNNNNNNNNNNNNNNNNNNNNNNNNNNNNNNNNNNNNNNNNNNNNNNNNNNNNNNNNNNNNNNNNNNNNNNNNNNNNNNNNNNNNNNNNNNNNNNNNNNNNNNNNNNNNNNNNNNNNNNNNNNNNNNNNNNNNNNNNNNNNNNNNNNNNNNNNAACUAGGCUGCUCCACCUUGCCGUCACCAGCCCCUUCUCCGCGCACCUCCCCCUUCUCCUUGACACGCGGAUCUAGUUGUGUCGGUCGCCGCGCAACAAGCCUAGCCAUGACGAGCUCCACCACCGUGCGGUCCGGGAGCCGCGCUGCAGUCCUCAACUAAACUAGGCUGCUCCACCAUGCCGUCACCAGCCCUUUCUCCGCCCACCUCCCCCUUCUCCUGACACGCACUAAACCCCCUCGAUCUUAAAAGCCUCGUAUCUUUAUUCUGUUAGGUUUUUGGGGAUUCUAAAAAUCUCCAACGCGGUUCCCCCAGUAGAAUUCGAACGUAACUUUUCGAGUAGAUGAUUUUUCAUAUAAAAAAAUUUUUAAUCCGAGUUCGUAUGCAAAAGUUAUGCCCAUUUUACUAAAUUCCAGAGAGAUUUUGUAAAUAAAGUCGAAAUUCAUAUUUGUAAAUUUUCCCAACAACUAGACCACAUAUCACAUGGGAAACUUAUUUUCUUUUAUUUUUUCGACAUUUCCAUCAUUUUCUUUUAUUUUAUUUUUUUUAACUGAAAAGGCGGUCCACAAGGGGGUGCAUUUAGUAAUGACGCACCUUCACAAAGUGCGCCAUUACUAUGUGUAUGACUUGGUCAAACCUUGGUCAAAGUUAGUAAUGGCGCACUUUGUAUAGGUGCGCCAUUACUAAGUUUGACAUAGUAAUGGCGCACAUAUGCAAAGUGCGCCAUUACUAAGUUUGACCAAGGUUUGACCCAGUCAUACACAUAGUUAUGGUGCACUUUGUAAAGGUGCGCUAUUACUAUGUCAACUUAGUAAUGGCGCACGUAUAAAAAGUGGGCCAUUACUAUGUGUAUAACUGGGUGGAACCUUGGUCAAACUUGGUAAUGGAGCACUUUUCACCUAGUGCGUCAUUACUGUUUUGGUUACUAAUGGCGUACAUACACAUGACGCGCCAGAUGUAUAGUGUGUCAUUAGUGUCCAUAUUAGCUAUAGCUGUUUUUCUAGUAGUGUGCUAUAUGCCUAGACUCAUUGCAGCCUCGUCGAUCAAACUAAGCUGCCAUCCAGAGGCUACGGAUUCAAGUACACAGGUAGGAAGAACAUAUUGCAGAGAAUCAAAUUAAGCAAGUGGCAAGUAAUGAUGAAUGAAAUUCAGCAAUCUUACCCUAAACAUAGCUACGGCCGCCGUUCAGACGAGGAGAGCGGCGAGGGAAGCGUGGAGAACGGCGGGGAAGCGAUGUCGCAACCAUUGUCCUCCUCCUCUUGUGCUUCGGAGUCAUCUUCGACUCGGUUGGAGGCUCCACAAUCUGCAACGGCACCUCGUGCACCGUGGGUUCCUGAUCUAGUGGAUUCUCUACCUUGGAUCUGAACAUCCCACCACCUUCGCCAGGUCCAUGGGCUGGACGAAUCGGCCUGCUUCAUCGCCCAGAGGAGGAUCUCGACGAAGUGCAUCGGUUGUGCGGGUGGGGGGAGGAAGCUUUGCCUUCUCCCUACUCGUCAUUUGCUUCAAAGUGGCCAUUGCCGUCCAGUGCAUCUGACUUGUGUUGUGAAACCAAGAACGGAUCUCCGUCAACCUUCUCAUCUUGACCUGGUCGCCGCAGGCGAUCUCUAUGAAGUCAGCGUUCUCGCUGCCGGCGAUCUGCUCGAUCUGCUGCUCCAUCGAGGUUUUUGCGUGGAUGGAAGAGGGGGAUGGAUGUGGAAACUGGGAAGAGCAAAGUUGCGGCCGCGAGAAGGAGGAGAAGGGUAGGAGAUGGUCACGGUUGUAAUGGUGAUGGAAGAGGGGAAGUUUCACGGCGGUGGCCAUUUGCAUUGGACGAGAGGGGCGGCGGUUUUGAAUUGGACGAGAGGGCCACCUUAUCAUAUUUUUCCUAGGACUAAAAUGCCCCUAGAUUAAAAGGUGUCCCCACCUUGUCAUUAGUACUUUCGAAUACUUUCAUCUGCGUACUUUCGAGUACCACGUAUGUAUAUAUGCACUGUUAGAUCGAGGCAAACGAACGGCUCCAAAAAACGCCAACUACUGUAAAAGUUGUACUGAAGUAAUUAUCAUAUCUCAUGUUCAUGUACCCUUUUGUCCCAAAAUAAGUGUCAUGGUUUUAGUUUUAAAUUUAAACUAAAAGCACGCCACUUAUCAAGGAGUACUUAGUACAUAGUUAGUACAGAAUAUUUACCUGCAAAAAAAAAGUUAGUACAGAAUAUAAGCGUCAGCAAAGCUUUCUCUUCUUGUGCUUGGAGGUUUUAGUACAUGCGCUCACCAGCCUCUUCUUAUAGGCAGACAGGUGCGCUACCUUGUCAGUGAGAGUAGAAGAGUGGGCCGCGAGCUUGGACAUCAACUCCUUCAACAGAGCAGGGCAGCUUCUGGAGACAUGAUCGAUCGAAGUCGUGUUCGAUCGCCAUGGCCUCGUCUAGCUUUUUUUUUUUGAGGGGGAGGCCUCGUCUAGUUUGGUNNNNNNNNNNNNNNNNNNNNNNNNNNNNNNNNNNNNNNNNNNNNNNNNNNNNNNNNNNNNNNNNNNNNNNNNNNNNNNNNNNNNNNNNNNNNNNNNNNNNNNNNNNNNNNNNNNNNNNNNNNNNNNNNNNNNNNNNNNNNNNNNNNNNNNNNNNNNNNNNNNNNNNNNNNNNNNNNNNNNNNNNNNNNNNNNNNNNNNNNNNNNNNNNNNNNNNNNNNNNNNNNNNNNNNNNNNNNNNNNNNNNNNNNNNNNNNNNNNNNNNNNNNNNNNNNNNNNNNNNNNNNNNNNNNNNNNNNNNNNNNNNNNNNNNNNNNNNNNNNNNNNNNNNNNNNNNNNNNNNNNNNNNNNNNNNNNNNNNNNNNNNNNNNNNNNNNNNNNNNNNNNNNNNNNNNNNNNNNNNNNNNNNNNNNNNNNNNNNNNNNNNNNNNNNNNNNNNNNNNNNNNNNNNNNNNNNNNNNNNNNNNNNNNNNNNNNNNNNNNNNNNNNNNNNNNNNNNNNNNNNNNNNNNNNNNNNNNNNNNNNNNNNNNNNNNNNNNNNNNNNNNNNNNNNNNNNNNNNNNNNNNNNNNNNNNNNNNNNNNNNNNNNNNNNNNNNNNNNNNNNNNNNNNNNNNNNNNNNNNNCGCGUGGGGCGCGGCGGCUCGCCGGCGCUGGCAGGCCUUGGGGCGGGCCACCGUGGGGGGGGGCGGGGCAGGCUGGUCGGGACGCGGCUGUUUCGGCCGGCGUCUGCAGGCACGUGGCGGCGGCGGUGUGCCACGAGUGAGGACGGCGACGCUGCGGCGUCGCACGGGACGGGCGGCGCGCAGCUUCUCUUCUGCGGCCGGUGGAGGCGUGGCUGCACUUCCUCGAGGGAGGCUGUGUGGUGAUGCAUGGACGAGCCUGCCAGCCCUGUGGUGCGGGGGUGGGCUCGGGCGGCGGCUUCGGCCGCGAGGGGCGUGGCAGGACGUCGCGAGGACGCCCUGGUGAUGCACGGGUCGAGGGCCCGGGUUGUCGGCGAAGAGCGCCCCAGCUCUGGGUGAUGCUGAUUCGUCGUUGGGCAGCUCCGAUGGUGGUGGUGGUUGGUGGGCUCGCUGGUGCCGGUGCAGGAUGAUGUGUGGCUGAGGUGGUGUGGGAGCUUCGGUGAAGACCCUGUCCCGGUCUUGUGCCGUGACCAAUGAUGGCGGCGGUUGUGGCCGUCGUUGACCUUCCUGGAGGCAUCGCUGUUUUGUUGCCGCUCCCCUCCUGCACGGAUCCGGCCAUCUCGGCCUCUUCGGGGGAAACCCUUGAUCUGUGAUCGGACGAUGGCGGCGCCUUGGCGUCGUUUUCCCUCUUGGGGGCUUCGUCUUGGGAGCCCGGCAUCGGUGGGCGGGACCCGUGGAUGGCGGCGGUUGUGGCGACCAGGCUUCUGUAGCAACGAUGAUGGUGGGAGCGAUGUCGACGACGCGGCAAUGGUUGCGGUAGUCGGCUCUUCUCCGGCGUGUCCGCAGUUUUGCCUCGGGUUGUUUGUUGCUGCGGAGUUGAAGCUGUAGUGGCGGGGCCCUGUGGUAUACGAUGACCGGCUGCAGGUGGCCCGUUCGGCGAUCUCCCGUGGCGCCAGCCGUGCAUGGUUUUGUUCUUCAGAGUUCUCCGUUAGAGUCGGAGCUGCGCUGUCUGGCCGCAGGUGGCUGAGAUUUGGUGCAGAUCUUCAUGUAGCUUCACACGUCCGCUUUGGUGUGGGUUGAGUCGACGAUCGCCUGCGGUGAAGUCGAAGUCGUUUGCUCAGAGUGUAGGGAUGGCGAUGACGCCUCUAGGGGAGGAGUGAUGACGAUGAUGCCUGCGUGCUGUCUCGACGAGACCCUCUUUGGAGUGGUGUGUGUGGGUAUCUUAUGUGUGCAGCUCAGCUGUUGUGAGGGUUUUCGAUCGGUUCUCCAUAAUUAACCGUGCAAUCUGGUUUUCGCUCGGUUUUCCUUAAUUAACCGAGCAACUCUCUUCUGCUUAUUUAAUCGAUGAGGCAAAACUUUUGCCUCCGUUUUAAAAAAAAAGCACGCGUCCUUGAGCCCUUGGCCAGUGAUGCUGCUCAGCGUGGUUGCCACGGUGCUCACGUCCAUGUGCGGCCCAGUAGCCCAAUAAGCCAGGGUAGGCCAACAUAAAAAUAUAUUUUUUCGUAAUAUUUUUUACCAUUUUUCCUAUGCUAUAAAGCUUUUCAAAAAAUCCCAGGGUGGGCCUCUACCUCCGCCACUGCAUGUGCCUCCACAAUCUAUCCUCGCAAACCAGCUUGAGACUCUCCAUGUCCGCGACCUCCAUGAGAUGCUGAGCCAUGGCGACCCCAUCCCCUUCUUCCUCUGGCUGACAGCGAGUGGGUGUACACGAAAUGCAGCAGAUGCCUGAAUACCUCUCCUCGCAUGCCGUCGAUUUGCACGCCGCUCUCUUUCAUUGCGCCAUAAAGCUCCGCCCUGAGGACCGUGGACCGUGCCGCGAGCACGCACCGAAGGUCUCCCAGCCGAUCACGUUCGCCGCUCCGGAGGAGGCCACGGAAAUGGUGAGGCCAAUCAAACGGCCACGCCGACGACGGACCAUUCGAUCGUAUUCAUAUGCGAGGACCUCGAUGACCGUGAAGCAGUCGUCCUUGAGGAGGUGUGGCGCUCCACCUCCAGGUCGGCCCUCUCGACCAAGUCGUCGCAGCUCCAGUAGGCGCCGGCGCCCACCAAGUCGCGCACCUCGCCGCUGGUCCUAGCGUAGCGCGGCACCGGCCGGGUUGGCGUGGUGGUCGAGCACGUCGAACGCGACCACGGCCUUUGUUAGAGUUGUGUCGAAUAUAGUGUACAAGGUAGGUUACAAUUGGACUUGUAGUUGUAUUGUGUUUAGAUAGGAUAUGAAGUUGUGUCGUAAUAGGACACUUGUAUCCUAGGCCUCUAAUAUAUAGCGGGGCUAGACACACGAUGUAACCUAUGCCAACAUAAUAGCACCGGAACGCAAGGGAAGCCGGCGGCAUGUGUCGGUGUCCAGGGCGACCGGGUGCGGUAUUGUAGCGGUGUCAUGGGGAGGAGCGCCCAUAGUCAGGCCCCGGGGAUGUAGCCAUAUCGGUGAACCUCGUUAACAAAUCUCGGUGUCGCGCUCGUGUGAUUGCUUGGUCCUCGGAUGAUCGACGGUAUGCCUCGAAUUUAUUCUAACAAGUGGUAUCAUGAGCAAAGUUACGAGGAGGCUGUGGAUUGUUGAUCUGGAGGAAGGUUUGAUGUGUUGAUCGGUAUCAUGAAGUCGCCGUAGAGCAAGUGGUGUGCGCGUUGUGAAUGAUUGGAAAAUAUGUCAGACGAAGGCAAUCUCGACGAGUUGUAGAGAUCGGAUUGUGAGUUGUCAGCAGACGCAGGAGGCAACGCUAGACAGCGUGUACGGCUCGAUCGCAAGGUGAUGCGUUGCGUUCCAGAGGCGCGCGACGCUCGACAGGCCAAGCGGCCGAAGUCGUGGCGCGCGCGGUGUGGGCUGGCCCAACGGGGCUAGCUGGUGCACGUGGUGUGCCGGCGGACGUGCGGAAGGCUGCCUAGCGCUAAGCGGCAGGGCUGCAAUGCAGGUUCGAUCGACUCACCAGAUUUGUUAUGAAGAAAAGGAGGACACGGACGGAGGCAGCAUCAGAUCAAAUCGAGCAGAAAAAUAAUUCAUUGAUACACAUGCAUCGGGAAGGCUAAGGCGAGGCAAAAGCAAUUAGCUUAGCAUUGAAAGUUGUGCCUGGGUGCUAAUACAUGUGAGUACUGGUAGGAAUUUGUUGCUCGUGCACCUCGUGUACUUGAGCACGUGUUGGAAGCUCGUGUAUUUUUCGCAAGGUCAGCCGUACAAAGAAUCAUGGCACCAAUAGGUACCAGGUUUGAGGUGGAGAAGUUCGUUAAAACCGAAAACUUUGGGUUAUGGCAGACAAGAGUGAAAAAUUGUUGGCACGAUAGGGAUGCUUGAAGGAGUUGCGGGAAGUCAGUUUAGCUAGGAUGGAAUUGUGAUGUGAUGGAUGGAAAUUCGCAGAAGACGAUUUGAGAGCCUGAAGUGUGUCAUGCAGCCGAACAAGUACGGCUGGGUCGGACUAGAUAGUCUGACGGAUCGACGUGAGUCGGUUGGAACAGAAGACGGUGGUGGGAUCAGCGACAGCGACAUAGGAGCGUGAUGCUGAUGGUGACCGACUUCUGGGGUGUGGAAACACGUGGCGCGGGCCCAAGGGCUUGUGUGGCUUCGACAAGACUAUGGCGCGAGGUUGAUUCAAGGUGGUGUACACACGGAGCUUGAAGUCGACGGGGCGCGAGGGUGGACUGAUCAUCUGCUAUGGAGCCAUGUUGAAGGUGGAGCUGGAUUGAGGGGCUACGGUGUAAGGAUCCAUGGAAUCGAAGCCUAUUCAGCAAGGAGGAAAAGCGAGUGACAUGCAGUUCGAACUGGAGCCCAGUGGUCUGAUGGAAGCGUGAAACUCGUCAUCGGUCGGUGAUGAUCGGUGGUACUCUGCAGUGGGGGUCGAAUGGUGUGGGUUCGCGACCCUUGAGACUCGAACGGGACAGCGGAGGUCGACGCGGUGAUAGCGGCGAGGUGUGCGGUACGCACGGGACAUGGAGACGGGCCAGGGCUCUGGUGGUCAUACAUGUGGUGAGACAACUGCGAAUUUGACUCGGGAUGACUACAAGCAACGGUGAAAUUCUUUCAAGUUUCAGACAGGCGGUCAAGAAAGGAGCGGUGAUGUUGAGUUCAGGUAACUCUUAUGUGUGACAUCCAACAUGUGAGUUGUUCACUUUCAUGCAGGUCAGUGAUCGGUGUGUGAUGGCGUUGACGGAUACUCUGGAAGUUGGGAGCACACACUAGAGUAACAAGGAACUUAAUUUUGCUCGAGUGUUGACUGUAGUCAAGAAAAGAAGGGACUACAAGUUGCAGGUGGAGUCACAUGGAGUCUUUGGAGUAGCAGCGAUACUCACGGAAUAAGCUCAAGUCCAAUCUACAUGGAAGUUUGAUGCAUGGACAAAUGCAGGAUGGUGGAGUAUAUUCGCCAAGGUGGAGUUUGUUGGAGUUGUGUCGAAUAUAGUGUACAAGGUAGGUUACAAUUGGACUUGUAGUUGUAUUGUGUUUAGAUAGGAUAUGGAGUUGUGUCCUAAUAGGACACUUGUAUCCUAGGCCUCUAAUAUAUAGCAGGGCUAGACACACGAUGUAACCUAUGCCAACAUAAUAGCACCGGAAUGCAGGGGAAGCCGGCGGCAUGUGCCGAUGUCCAGGGUGACCGGGUGUGGUAUUGUAGCGGUGUCAUGGGGAGGAGCGCCCAUAGUCAGGCCCCGGGGAUGUAGCCAUAUCGGUGAACCUCGUUAAUAAAUCUCGGUGUCGCGCUCGUGUGAUUGCUUGGUCCUCGGAUGAUCGACGGUAUGCCUCGGAUUUAUUCUAACAAGAUAGGCGGCGUCGAGGACGGCCUUGACAGACACGAAACCAGUGGUUUCCGGGGUGGUGCCGCUGGGGUAGAAGCCGCGAGGUGCCGUCUCCGACGCGGAAGGAAGGAGAUGAGACGCCACAGCUGUUGGGGUUGCUCUUCCUCAUCCACGUACGAGUAGCCUUGGAUCUUCAUCAUGCAUGUGGAUGUGGAUGUGGUGCGUCGUCGGCGUCGUAGCACAGAGAAUGGAGGCCGAGUCGCCGUUCGCAGCAGCCAUGACGGCGUACCUGGGUCCGGUCCGGCGGCCGUCCAGCUCUGACGACCUAGGACUAGGAGCGAGUGAGACAGCUUGAUGAGGUCGGACUUGUCUCCGAUCGAAGAGUCUGUAAGAUGAAAAGCGUUCCCUACCCCUUGAGGGGGAGUCGCAGGCUGUAUAUAUUGAUGUGGCCGAAGCCAGCCUUGGCGUACAAGGAAGAUUUACAAGAGUUUGAGUAGAACAAGUAAAGGAAGGAGUUGGAGACUACUACGGAAACUAUAUUCGCUAACACCCUCCCUUAAUCUUAACUACCCUAGAUUAAGAUUACUCUUGAACUCCUCAAACGGUCUUGCUGGUAAAGCCUUUGUAAAGCCGUCCGCCAUUUGGUCCUUAGAGGGAAUAAACCGUAUCUCAAAAUUCGUUGCUGCAACCCUCUCUCGCACAAAGUGAAAAUCAAUUUCUAUGUGCUUUGUUCUUGCAUGAAACACAGGGUUUGCAGACAAGUAUGUUGCUCCCAAGUUAUCACACCAUAAACAUGAGAUACGAUUUUUCUUGAUCCCCAAUUCCUCAAGAAGUGAUUCAACCCAAAUGAUUUCAGCAGUUGCAUUCGCCAAGGACUUGUAUUAAGCUUCUGUGCUUGAUCGUGACACAGUUGCUUGCUUUCUAGCACUCCAAGAAAUAAGAUUGGACCCAAAGAACACUGCAAAGCCUCCAGUUGAUCUUCUAUCAUCACUGCAUCUUGUCCAAUUAGCAUCAGAGAAUGCACUCACAAGAGAGGAGCCAGAACAUUUGAAGUGAAGUCCUGUUCCCAUAGUAUGCUUCACAUAUCUUACAAUUCUCCUUACAGCUGACCAAUGUGCGGAAGUGGGAGCAUGAAGAUAUUGACAAACUUUAUUAACAGCAAAUAAGAUAUCUGGACGUAUGAGAGUUAUAUAUUGUAAUGCUCCCACAGUACUUCUGUACCUUGUGCUCUCUUCUUCUUGAAGUGGCUCACCUUCAUAUGCUGAGAGUUUUUCUGAGGAAGAUAAAGGUGUAGGUACUGGCUUGCAAUUCUUUAUUCCCAUGCGAGACAAAAACUCAAUGAUGUAUUUCUCCUGAUUUAACACAAUACCAUCUUGAUGAAGGAAAUAUGCCCUAGAGGCAAUAAUAAAGUUAUUAUUUAUUUCCUCAUAUCAUGAUAAAUGUUUAUUAUUCAUACUAGAAUUGUAUUAACCGGAAACAUGAUACAUGUGUGAAUACAUAGACAAACAUAUAGUCACUAGUAUGCCUCUACUUGACUAGCUCAUUAAUCAAAGAUGGUUAUGUUUCCUGACCAUAGACAUGUGUUGUCAUUUGAUUAAUGGGAUCACAUCAUUAGAAGAAUGAUGUGAUUGACAUGACCCGUUUUGUUAGCCUAGCACUUGAUCAUUUAGUGUACUGCUAUUGCUUUCUUCAUGACUUAUACAAAGUUACUACAACUAUGAGAUUGUGCAACUCCCGAUUACCGGAAGAACACUUUGUGUGCUACCAAACGUCACAACGUACUGGGUGAUUAUAAAGGUGCUCUACAGGUGUUUCCGAAGGUACAUGUUGGGUUGGCAUAAUUUGAGAUUAGGAUUUGUCACUCCGAUUGUCGGAGAGGUAUCUCUCGGCCCUCUCGGUAAUACUGAUCACCUAAGCCUUGGAAGCAUGUAACUAAUAAGUUAGUUAUGAGAUGACGUAUUACGGAACGAGUAAAGAGACUUGCCGGUAACGAGAUUGAACUAGGUAUUGGAUACCGACGAUCAAAUCUCGGGCAAGUAACAUACCGAUGACAAAGGGAACAAAGUAUGUCGUUACGCGGUUUGACCGAUAAAGAUCUUCAUAGAAUAUGUAGGAACCAAUAUGGGCAUCCAGGUCCCGCUAUUGGUUAUUGACCGAGAAUAGUUUUCGGUCAUGUCUACAUAGUUCUCGAACCCGUACGGUCCGCACGCUUAAUGUUUCGAUGAUAGUUUUAUUAUGAGUUUAUAAGUUUUGAUGUACCGAAGUUUGUUCGGAGUCCCGGAUGUGAUCACGGACAUGACGAGGAGUCUCGGAAUGGUCGAGACAUAAAGGUUGAUAUAUUGGACGACUAUAUUCGUACACCAGAAAGGUUCCGGGAGUUUUCGGAGAAAACCGGAGUACCGGAGGGUUACCGGAACCCCCCCGGGAAGUAAUGGGCCUUAAUGGGCCCUAGUGGAGAAAGAGAGGGGCCGGCCAGGGCAAGUGGCGCGCCCCCUCCCCUUGAGUCCGAAUAGGACAAGGAAGGGGAGGCGGCGCCCCCCUUGCCUUCCCCCUCUCCUACUCCUUCCUUCCCCCUCCCUCUUGGAUCAGGAAAAGGAGGGGGGAAACCUACUUGGAGUAGGUUUCCCCCUCCUAGGGCGCGCCUCCCCUUAGGCCGGCCCCCUCCUCCCUCCCUCCUUUAUAUACGGGGGCGGGGGGCACCCCAUAGACACAAGUUGAUCUACGGAUCGUUCCUUAGCCGUGUGCGGUGUCCCCCUCCACCAUAUUCCACCUCGGUCAUAUCAUCGCGGAGUUUAGGCGAAGCCCUGCACCGGUAGAACAUCAUCAUCGUCACCACGCCGUUGUGCUGACGAAACUCAUCUCCGGAGCUCGGCUGGAUCGGAGGCCGGAGAUCGUCAUCGAGCUGAACGUGUGCAGAACUCGGAGGUGUCGUACGUUCGGUACUUAGAUCGGUCGGAUCGUGAAGACGUACGACUACAUCAACCGCGUUGUCAUAACGCUUCCGCUUACGGUCUACGAGGGUACGUGGACGAACACUCUCCCCUCUCGUUGCUAUGCCAUCACCAUGAUCUUGCGUGUGCGUAGGAAAUUUUUUGAAAUUACUACGUUCUCCAACAGUGGCAUCCGAGCCUAGGUUUUAUGCGUUGAUUUUAUAUGCACGAGUAGAACACAAGUGAGUUGUGGACGAUAUAAGUCAUACUGCCUACCAGCAUGUCAUACUUUGGUUCAGCGGUAUUGUGAGAUGAAGCGGCCUGGACCGACAUUACGCGUACGCUUACGCAAGACUGGUUUCACCGUUACGAGCACGUGUGCUUAAAGGUGGCUGGCGGGUGUCUGUCUCUCUCACUUUAGUUGAACCGAGUGUGGCUACGCCCGGUCCUUGUGAAGGUUAAAACGGAGUCUAUUUGAAAAACUAUCAUUGUGGUUUUGAUGCGUAGGUAAGAACAGUUCUUGCUAAGCCCGUAGCAGCCACGUAAAAUUUGCAACACCAAAGUAGAGGACGUCUAACUUGUUUUUGUAGGGCAUGUUGUGAUGUGAUAUGGUCAAGACGUGAUGCUAUAUUUUAUUGUAUGAGAUGAUCAUGUUUUGUAACCGAAGUUAUCGGCAACUGGCAGGAGCCAUAUGGUUGUCGCUUUAUUGUAUGAAAUGCAAACGCCCUGUAAUUGCUUUACUUUAUCACUAAGCGGUAGCGAUAGUCGUAGAAGCAAUAGAUGGCGUAACGACAACGAUGCUACGAUGGAGAUCAAGGUGUCGCGCCGGUGACGAUGGUGAUCAUGACGGUGCUUCAAAGAUGGAGAUCACAAGCACAAGAUGAUGAUGGCCAUAUCAUAUCACUUAUAUUGAUUGCAUGUGAUGUUUAUCCUUUAUACAUCUCAUCUUGCUUUGAUUGACGGUAGCAUUUUAAGAUGAUCUCUCACUAAAAUUAUCAAGAAGUGUUCUCCCUGAGUAUGCACCGUUGCCAAAGUUCGUCGUGCCGAGACACCACGUGAUGAUCGGGUGUGAUAAGCUCUACGUCCAUCUACAACGGGUGCAAGCCAGUUUUGCACACGCAAAAUACUCAGGUUAAACUUGACGAGCCUAGCAUAUGCAGAUAUGGCCUCGGAACACAGAGACCGAAAGGUCGAGCGUGAAUCAUAUAGUAGAUAUGAUCAACAUAGUGAUGUUCACCAUUGAAAACUACUCCAUCUCACGUGAUGAUCGGUUAUGGUUUAGUUGAUUUGGAUCACGUGAUCACUUAGAUGACUAGAGAGAUGUCUGUCUAAGUGGGAGUUCUUAAGUAAUAUGAUUAAUUGAACUUAAAUUUAUCAUGAACUUAGUACCUGAUAGUAUCUUGCUUGUCUAUGUUUGUUUGUAGAUAGAUGGCUCGUGCUGUUGUUCCGUUGAAUUUUAAUGCGUUCCUUGAGAAAGCAAAGUUGAAAGAUGAUGGUAGCAAUUACACGGACUGGGUCCAUAACCUGAGGAUUAUCCUCAUUGCUGCACAGAAGAGUUACGUCCUGGAAGCACCGCUGGGUGCCAGGCCUGCUGCUGAUGCAACUGACGACGUUAAGAACGUCUGGCAGAGCAAAGCUAAUGACUACUCUAUAGUUCAGCGUGCCAUGCUUUACGGCUUGGAACCGGGUCUUCAACGACGUUUUGAACGUCAUGGAGCAUAUGAGAUGUUCCAGGAGUUAAAGUUAAUAUUUCAAGCAAAUGCCCGGAUUGAGAGAUAUGAAGUCUCCAAUAAGUUCUACAGCUGCAAGAUGGAGGAGAAUAGUUCUGUCAGUGAACACAUACUCAGAAUGUCUGGGUAUAACAAUCACUUGAUUCAACUGGGAGUUAAUCUUCCUGAUGAUAGUGUCAUUGACAGAAUUCUCCAAUCACUGCCACCAAGCUACAAGAGCUUUGUGAUGAACUAUAAUAUGCAAGGGAUGAACAAGACUAUUCCCGAGCUCUUCGCGAUGCUGAAAGCUGCGGAGGUAGAAAUCAAGAAGGAGCAUCAAGUGUUGAUGGUCAAUAAGACCACUAGUUUCAAGAAGAAGGACAAAGGGAAGAAGAAGGGGAACUUCAAGAAGAACGGCAAGCAAGUUGCUGCUCAAGAGAAGAAACCCAAGUCUGGACCUAAGCCUGAAACUGAGUGCUUCUACUGCAAGCAGACUGGACACUGGAAACGGAACUGCCCCAAGUAUUUGGCGGAUAAGAAGGAUGGCAAAGUGAGCAAAGGUAUAUGUGAUAUACAUGUUAUUGAUGUGUACCUAACUAGAGCUCGUAGUAGCACCUGGGUAUUUGAUACUGGUUCUGUUGCUAAUAUUUGCAACUCGAAACAGGGACUACGGAAUAAGCGAGCACUGGCCAAGGACGAGGUGACGAUGCGCGUGGGAAACGGUUCGAAAGUCGAUGUGAUCGCAGUCGGCACGCUACCUCUACAUCUACCUUCGGGAUUAGUUUUAGACCUGAAUAAUUGUUAUUUGGUGCCAGCGUUGAGCAUGAACAUUAUAUCUGGAUCUUGUUUGAUGCGAGACGGUUAUUCAUUUAAAUCAGAGAAUAAUGGUUGUUCUAUUUAUAUGAGUAAUAUCUUUUAUGGUCAUGCACCCUUGAAGAGUGGUCUAUUGAAUCUCAAUAGUAGUGAUACACAUAUUCAUAAUGUUGAAGCCAAAAGAUGCAGAGUUGAUAAUGAUAGUGCAACUUAUUUGUGUCACUGCCGUUUAGGUCAUAUCGGUGUAAAACGCAUGAAGAAACUCCAUACUGAUGGACUUCUGGAAUCACUUGAUGAUGAAUCACUUGGUACUUGCGAACCGUGCCUCAUGGGCAAGAUGACUAAAACACCAUUCUCCGGAACUAUGGAGAGAGCAACAGAUUUGUUGGAAAUCAUACAUACAGAUGUAUGUGGACCGAUGAAUGUUGAGGCUCGUGGCGGAUAUUGUUAUUUUCUCACCUUCACAGAUGAUUUAAGCAGAUAUGGGUAUAUCUACUUAAUGAAGCACAAAUCUGAAACAUUUGAAAAGUUCAAAGAAUUUCAGAGUGAAGUGGAGAAUCAUCGUAACAAGAAAAUAAAGUUUCUGCGAUCUGAUCGUGGAGGAGAAUAUUUGAGUUACGAGUUUUGUUUACAUUUGAAACAAUGCGGAAUAGUUUCGCAACUCACACCACCCGGAACACCACAACGAAAUGGUGUGUCCGAAUGUCGUAAUCGUACUUUACUUGAUAUGGUGCGAUCUAUGAUGUCUCUUACCGAUUUACCGCUAUCGUUUUGGGGUUAUGCUUUAGAGACGGCCGCAUUCACGUUAAAUAGGGCACCAUCUAAAUCCGUUGAGACGACGCCUUAUGAACUGUGGUUUGGCAAGAAACCAAAGUUGUCGUUUCUUAAAGUUUGGGGUUGCGAUGCUUAUGUGAAGAAACUUCAACCAGAUAAGCUCGAACCCAAAUUGGAGAAAUGUGUCUUCAUAGGAUACCCAAAAGAGACUGUUGGGUACACCUUCUAUCACAGAUCCGAAGGCAAGACAUUCGUUGCUAAAAAUGGAUCCUUUCUGGAGAAGGAGUUUCUCUCGAAAGAAGUGAGUGGGAGGAAAGUAGAACUUGAUGAGAUAACUGUAUCUACUCCCUUAUUGGAAGGUAGUUCAUCACGAGAACCAGUUCCUGUGACGACUACACCAAUUAGUGAGGAAGCUAAUGAUAUUAAUCAUGAAACUUCAGAUCAAGUUUCUACUGAACCUCGUAGGUCUACCAGAGUAAGAUCCGCACCAGAGUGGUACGGUAAUCCUAUUCUGGAAGUCAUGUUACUUGACCAUGAUGAACCUACGAACUAUGAGGAAGUGAUGAUGAGCCCAGAUUCCGCAAAAUGGCUAGAGGCCAUGAAAUCUGAGAUGGGAUCCAUGUAUGAAAACAAAGUAUGGACUUUGGUUCACUUACCCGAUGAUAGGCAAGCCAUUGAGAAUAAAUGGAUCUUUAAGAAGAAGACUGACGCUGAUGGUAAUGUUACUGUCUAUAAAGCUCGACUUGUUGCGAAAGGUUUUCGACAAGUUCAAGGGGUUGACUACAAUGAGACUUUCUCACCCGUAGCGAUGCUUAAGUCUGUCCGAAUCAUGUUGGCUAUUGCUGCAUUUCAUGAUUAUGAAAUUUGGCAAAUGGAUGUCAAGACUGCAUUCUUGAAUGGAUUUCUAGAAGAAGAGUUGUAUAUGAUGCAGUCGGAAGGUUUUGUUGAUCCAAAAGGUGCAGACAAAGUGUGCAAGCUCUAGCGUUCCAUUUAUGGACUGGUGCAAGCAUCUCGGAGUUGGAAUAAACUCUUUCAUAGUGUAAUCAAAGCAUAUGGUUUUAUAGAGACUUUUGGAGAAGCCUGUAUUUACAAGAAAGUGAGUGGGAGCUCUGUAGCAUUUCUAGUUUUAUAUGUUGAUGACAUAUUAUUAAUUGGAAAUGAUAUAGAAUUUCUGGAUAGCAUAAAGGGGUACUUGAAUAAAAGUUUUUCGAUGAAAGACCUCGGUGAAGCUGCUUACAUAUUGGGCAUCAAGAUCUAUAGAGAUAGAUCAAGACGCUUAAUAGGACUUUCACAAAGUACAUACCUUGACAAAAUUUUGAAAAAGUUCAAAAUGGAUCAGGCAAAGAAAGGAUUCUUGCCUAUGCUACAAGGUGUGAAGUUGAGUCAAACUCAAUGCCCGACCACAGCAGAAGAUAGAGAGAAAAUGAAAAAUGUUCCCUAUGCUUCAGCCAUAGGCUCUAUCAUGUAUGCAAUGCUGUGUACCAGACCUAACGUAUGCUUAGCAAUAAGUUUGGCAGGAAGGUACCAAAGUAAUCCAGGAGUGGAUCACUGGACAACGGUCAAGAACAUCCUGAAAUACCUGAAAAGGACUAAGGAUAUGUUUCUCGUAUAUGGAGGUGAAAAAGAGCUAGUCGUAAAUGGUUACGUCGAUGCAAGCUUUGACACUGAUCCGGACGAUUCUAAAUCGCAAACCGGAUACGUGUUUUUAUUAAACGGUGGAGCUGUAAGUUGGUGCAGUUCUAAACAAAGCGUCGUGGCGGGAUCUACAUGUGAAGCGGAGUACAUAACUGCUUCUGAAGCAGCGAAUGAAGGAGUCUGGAUGAAGGAGUUCAUUUCCGAUCUAGGUGUCAUACCUAGUGCAUCGGGACCAAUGAAGAUCUUCUGUGACAAUAUUGGUGCAAUUGCCCUGGCAAAGGAAUCCAGAUUUCACAAGAGGACCAAGCACAUCAAGAGACGCUUCAAUUCCAUUCGGGACCAAGUCCAAGUGGGAGACAUAGAGAUUUGCAAGAUACAUACGGAUCUGAAUGUUGCAGACCCGUUGACUAAGCCUCUCUCACGAGGAAAACAUGAUCAGCACCAAGACUCCAUGGGUGUUAGAAUCAUUACUAUGUAAUCUAGAUUACUGACUCUAGUGCAAGUGGGAGACUGAAGGAAAUAUGCCCUAGAGGCAAUAAUAAAGUUAUUAUUUAUUUCCUCAUAUCAUGAUAAAUGUUUAUUAUUCAUGCUAGAAUUGUAUUAACCGGAAACAUGAUACAUGUGUGAAUACAUAGACAAACACAUAGUCACUAGUAUGCCUCUACUUGACUAGCUCAUUAAUCAAAGAUGGUUAUGUUUCCUGACCAUAGACAUGUGUUGUCAUUUGAUUAAUGGAAUCACAUCAUUAGAAGAAUGAUGUGAUUGACAUGACCCGUUCUGUUAGCCUAGCACUUGAUCGUUUAGUGUACUGCUAUUGCUUUCUUCAUGACUUAUACAAAGUUCCUACAACUAUGAGAUUGUGCAACUCCCGUUUACCGGAAGAACACUUUGUGUGCUACCAAACGUCACAACGUAACUGGGUGAUUAUAAAGGUGCUCUACAGGUGUUUCCGAAGGUACAUGUUGGGUUGGCAUAAUUCGAGAUUAGGAUUUGUCACUCCGAUUGUCGGAGAGGUAUCUCUGGGCCCUCUCGGUAGUACUCAUCACCUAAGCCUUGCAAGCAUGUAACUAAUAAGUUAGUUAUGAGAUGACGUAUUACGGAACGAGUAAAGAGACUUGCCGGUAACGAGAUUGAACUAGGUAUUGGAUACCGACGAUCAAAUCUCGGGCAAGUAACAUACCGAUGACAAAGGGAACAACGUAUGUUGUUAUGCGGUUUGACCGAUAAAGAUCUUCGUAGAAUAUGUAGGAACCAAUAUGGGCAUCCAGGUCCCGCUAUUGGUUAUUGACCGAGAAUAGUUUUAGGUCAUGUCUACAUAGUUCUCGAACCCGUAGGGUCCGCACGCUUAACGUUUCGAUGACAGUUUUAUUAUGAGUUUAUAAGUUUUGAUGUACCGAAGUUUGUUCGGAGUCCCGGAUGUGAUCACGGACAUGACGAGGAGUCUCGGAAUGGUCGAGACAUAAAUAUUGAUAUAUUGGACGACUAUAUUCGGACACCGGAAAGGUUCCGGGAGUUUUCGGAGAAAACCGGAGUACCGGAGGGUUACCGGAACCCCCCCCCCCCCGGGAAGUAAUGGGCCUUAAUGGGCCCUAGUGGUGAAAGAGAGGGGCCGGCCAGGGCAAGUGGCGUGCCCCCUCCCCUUGAGUCCGAAUAGGACAAGGAAGGGGGGGCGGCGCCUCCUUGCCUUCCCCCUCUCCUACUCCUUCCUUCCCCCUCCCUCUUGGAUUAGGAAAAGGAGGGGGGAAACCUACUUGGAGUAGGUUUCCCCCUCCUAGGGCGCGCCUCCCCUUAGGCCGGCCCCCUCCUCCCUCCCUCCUUUAUAUACGGGGGUGGGGGGCACCCCAUAGACACAAGUUGAUCUACGGAUCGUUCCUUAGCCGUGUGCGGUGCCCCCCUCCACCAUAUUCCACCUCGGUCAUAUUGUCGCGGAGUUUAGGCGAAGCCCUGCGCCGGUAGAACAUCAUCAUCAUCACCACACCGUCGUGCUGACGGAACUCAUCUCCGGAGCUCGGCUGGAUCGGAGGCUGGAGAUCGUCAUCGAGCUGAACGUGUGCAGAACUCGGAGGUGCCGUACGUUCGGUACUUAGAUCGGUCGGAUCGUGAAGACGUACGACUACAUCAACCGCGUUGUCAUAAUGCUUCCUCUUACGGUCUACGAGGGUACGUGGACGAACACUCUCCCCUCUCGUUGCUAUGCCAUCACCAUGAUCUUGCGUGUGCGUAGGAAAUUUUUUGAAAUUACUACGUUCCCCAACACUUGAGUUUUUCUAACUUCAAUCCCAAGGAAGAAAUGCAAGUCACCCAGGUCUUUCAAGGCAAACUCUGAGAUCAAGUCAUGCAGAAGUGCAUUAGUAGCAUUUUGUGAAGAACUUGCAACUAUGAUAUCAUCAACAUAUAUAAGCACAAAAAUGACUACUCCAGCCUUGUUAUAAAUAAACAAAGACAUGUCAGCUUUAGAGGCAAUGAAACCAAGAUAUUUCAACUGUAAGCUUAAUCUGGAGUACCAUGCUCUGGGUGCUUGUUUUAGACCAUAGAGUGCUUUGUCAAGCUUGCAAACAUAAUGUGGUGAUUCCUUAUCCUCAUAUCUAGGUGGUUGUCUCAUGAACACUUCCUCUUCCAGAACACCAUGCAAAAACGCGUUCUGUACAUCUAGCUGUCUUAGGCUCCAACCCUUAGAUACAGCAAUGGCUAGCACAAGUCUGAUAGUUGCAGCUUUCACAACAGGACUAAAGGUAUCCUCAUAAUCAAUACCAUAACGUUGCUUAAAGCCCUUUGCAACUAGACGUGCCUUAUACCUGUCAAUGGAGCCAUCUGCCUUCUUUUUGAUUCUGUACACCCAUUUGCAAUCGAUGAUAUUUUUGCCUUUUUGGUUUGGUACAAGAUGCCAGGUCUUGUUCCUCAUAAGUGCAGAAUAUUCCUCAUCCAUUGCCUUCUUCCACUUAGGAUCGUCAAGUGCACUACUCAACGUUGUUGGCUCUCCUGAAAUACACAAUAUUCCAUAUGGUAUAGUUCCAUCUUUUCUUAUUUUAGGAUUCCGUAUACCUUUCUGUAGACGUGUCAUAACCCGUGAAGAAGCUGCUGGCUGAACCUCAGGAAUGCUGGCCACAGAAGAUCCUGACGAGCCUGCAUGUGCUGACACAGGGGAAUCUGCCGCCUCCUGCGCAGAUGAUCCUACAGCCGAUGGUGUGGCCGCCUCCCCAGUGCGCACAUGAGAACCAGCCGCCCGGUCCGGCACAGCAGAUCCGCAGCCCGACCGCGGUUGCAGGCGCACGCGGGGCGAGGGGGAUCCGGCCCCGCUGCUGGUCCCGCCUGUUGCUGAGGUGGCGGCGCGGGAGUGGCCCUCCCUUGAUUCGUUGCCGCAGCUGACAGAGGCGCGAUCCGAGGCGGAUCUGCUUGCGCGAUCCGAGGUCUGCCCGCGCACAGGAGUUCCAGGCGCCGCCGGAUCACCUUCGUUGUCCGUGCCAGGUUCGUCUUCUUCCUCAACAUGCAAUAUAGGAUCAAUUUGAGCUAUAUUUUCAGGGUUUUGAUCAAGUUGAGCCCUGUUUUCUCCAGAGACCUGCACAGGCAACAGAAAAGAGCAAGUACCAGUAGAAAUAUCGUCACUUUGAUUAGUACAAUUGUCGCCCCCAUGAUCAAAAGACCGAAGAUGUGGAGGAAGAAGAAGAAUUUCCUUGCGAAGAAGUGCACCGGCAUUGGGAUGAAGUGAUGCAAACGGAAACACGGAUUCAUCAAAGACAACAUCUCGGGAUAUGUAGACCCUACCACUAGGAACAUCAAGACAUUUGACCCCUUUAUGCAUGGGACUAUAGCCUAAAAAGACACAAUUUUUUGAGCGGAAUGCAAGUUUGCGUGUAUUGUAGGGUCUAAGAUUGGGCCAACAUGCACAACCGAAAACACGAAGAGAUGUGUAGUUUGGUAUGACACCAAAGAGUCGUGUAAUAGGAGUUUCAAAUCUGAUAACUUUGCUUGGAAGCAAAUUGAUAAGAUAUGUAGCAGUUAAGAAUGCUUCAUCCCAAAAUUUAAGUGGCAUCGAUGCAUUUGCGAGGAAUGCAAGCCCCAUAUCAACUAUGUGACGAUGCUUUCUUUCAGCAGAUCCAUUUUGUUGGUGAGCAUGAGGACAUGAGACAUGAUGUGAUAUGCCAAGUUUUUGGAAGAAAGAGUUCAAUUUUUCAUACUCACCACCCCAGUCACUUUGGAUAGCAAUGAUUUUAGAGUUCAGUUUGCGUUCAACAAGAUUUUGGAAAUUGAUAAAGACUUGGAAAACAUCAGACCGUUUCUUUAACAAAUAAAUCCAAGUAAAUUUACUAUUUCCAUCAAUAAAGCUUACAUAAUAAGAAAAUCUCCCAGCUGAAGUAGGGGCUGGCCCCCAUACAUCUGAAAAUAUGAGUUGUAGAGGAGCAGUAGACACACUAGUAGAGAUGGAAUAAGGUAAUUGAUGACUUUUUGCUUGUUGACAUGGAUCACAAACUGACUCAACACUAUUCUCAUAAGAGAGUUUAUUUUUGCUAAGAACGUAUUUAACUAUGACUGAAGAUGGAUGACCUAAACGACUAUGCCACCUUGAUGAUGAUGGCUUGGUGACAAUGUUGGCUUGCUUAUUUGACCAUGAAGAUGAUGAUGAUGAUAUAAGUAGAUAGAGGCCUCCCACGCACCGUCAUCUAAGAAUGAUUCUCCUUGUUCUCAAAUCCUUAACCAAGAAAAAAUAAGGGUAGAAUUCUAUGAGAACAUUGUUAUCAAGGGUGGAUCGAUGAACGAAAACAAGAUUUUUUGAUGUUUGAGGAACAUGCAAGACAUCUUUCAGGUGCAAAUUUUUCAUGGGGUUUUUAACAAUUGAACUACCAAUGUGAGUGAUGUUCAUACCAGAACCGCUUGCCGUGCGAAUUUGGUCGCCUCCAUUGUACUUCUCCCGUGUUGUCAGCUUCUCAAGUUCACCUGUGAUGUGAUUUGUUGCUACACUGUCGGCAUACCAGUUUGUAUCUACGCCAUAGGAGACAGCAUGCGCCUCCUUCUCUUCCUGAUCGUUCUCUUCAUAGCGCCACCAGCAAACACGUGCGCCUCCUGGAUGGUGCCUAUAGCAUAUCUGACAUUUAGGGUAAUCGUGCUGCUGUUCGCGCACUUGCUGUUGCCGUUGUUGUCGAGGGCGUCCUCUGAAUCCGCCGCCUCUGUUUGCAGGAGAGGGCUGGCGGUCACCGCGGUCACCGCGAUCACCACGGCCGCGCCCCCUUCCUCCUCGCCCACGGGGUCUGCCGCGGGACUGGCCACGGCCUCUGUAAACUGCGCUGGCCGAUGAAUGAAAUCCUCCUGAAGAUGAAUCACCCAGCAUCUCCAUCCUCUGAUCAAAAGCAGAAAUCUGAGCGAAGAGGUCGUCGGCGGUGAUAGUGUUCUUGACAGCACCAAUCGUUGCAACCACAGAGUCAUAGUCGCGAUCAAGUCCCGCCAGGAUGUAGUCCACCAUCUCCGGGUCAGAGACAGGGCGCCCAGCAGCAGCAAGUUCGUCCCCAAGGCUCUUCAUCUUUGCCAUAUACGCCGAGCUCGACAUGGUGCCCUUCUUGGUGUUGGUGAUUGCGAUCCUCAGAUUGGUGAUCCGGGAUAGUGAUUGUGAGGCGAAGAGAUUUGUCACCGUCGUCCAGAGCUCGUAGGUGGAGUCCUUCCUGAUGACUUGUGCAAGGAUUUCAGGAGACAUGGAAUUGAGUAGAUAUGAUAGGACCUAUUGAUCUUUGGCGAUCCAGGGCCCGUAGAGGGGAUUCGGCUCUAGGGUCGUGGUUUUAUCCGCCUUCGUGAUAUCCACCACCCUCGAUGGAGCGGCAUCGGAGUUGUCCAGGAGCCCAGUAACCUGCGCACCUCGCAGAGCUGGGAGAACCUGUGUCUUCCAGAGGAUGAAAUUUCCUCUUGCGAGCUUCUCUGACGGUGGCGAUCCAAGGUUAAGAGCAACGCCGGCUGAGGAAGCCAUGGAGACAAUGGUAUGUGGUUUAGGGUUUUGAUCUUUGGCUAGAUGUUUUGGGAAGAGGUGGCUCUGAUUACCAUGUAAGAUGAAAAGUGUUCCCGACCCCUCGAGGGGGAGUCGCGGGCUGUAUAUAUUGAUGUGGCCGAAGCCAACCUUGACGUACAAGGAAGAUUUACAAGAGUUUGAGUAGAACAAGUAAAGGAAGGAGUUGGAGACUACUACGGAAACUAUAUUCGCUAACAGAGUCUCCCUUCGCUUAUAUGGAUGGAGAUGGACCUCAGCUCAGCACCUACUCCCUCCCAAUCCGAGCAAGGGAACUGAGGUCAACACGGACUGAGGCCCGGGGCAAGAAGGGCCAAGCCUGGCCGCUUUCCCCUGAAAAAAUGGAAAACUCGUUUGCGGCAAGUUGUCCGGACUAGGCCCACGACAGAGGAGAAAGACCAGUAAUGCUAAACAUACAAAGGUUUACAUGCUUUUACAUCAUGAUUAGGUUCUUUUCAAACUAACUAAUCACUCCCCCGAUUUUCAUGGGGAUGGGCCCCUUCUCUUCCUUAAUCUUCAAUCAAAACCCACCUUUAUGUACAAGCAUGUAUCCUUUUGUAUAUUUUUUUUGGAGAAAUCUCGCCCACUUUCAUUGAUUUGAUAACUAUGUUCAUAGGUACACGGUUCGGCUUAUAGGGGUUACCCAACCACACAUGUCUACCUACUCCUAAAUUACAAGCAAACUUGGUGAGAGUAUGAGCCUCGAAAUUAAAAUUCCUACACUCAUGAAUAAAAGACCAAGACGUACAUAUAAGAAGAUAUACGCGCCGCAAUCUCUUGGAUGAUAGCCGCAUUAGGACCUCCCGUCCCCUUGUUGAUAUCUUUUACCACUUCUAGGCAGUCUGAUACUACUACCAUAUUCUGAAUAUGAAGAUCAUUUGCUAGGGCAAGAGCUUCACUGCAUGCAAAAGUUUCGAGCAUCAUUGGAUCACCAGUUUCUUUUUGUACGUGUAGCAUUACUAGGAGAAAGACGAGCGUUUCAGGAUGGGCUGGCCCGUUAAACAUUUCAACCAUUCCGGUUUUGGGAAGGUUUAGCCGAUUUUUUCCCCGGUUUGGGAAUCUUCCUUCUAGAAGGUUCCUGAAGCGGUUUUUUUUUCUGUUCCUUUUUCUUUUUUAGUUUUUUUCUGUUCUUUUUCUUUCUUUCGGCGCCCUGUAUCUUCAAAAAAGAAAGCUAUUAAUGACUGUUUCGAUCAACAAGCACGGCGGCGGCUAUCACUUCCAUUUUCUUCUUUUUUCAUGUUUAUUUUCUUUUUAAAAAAGUUUACUGAGUUUAUUGAAAAAAAGCGUAAGUUUUAAAAAAUGUUUGUGUUUUUCUUAAAUUGUUGAAAACUUCAAAACAAAUCCUGUUUUGCAAUUUUGUUAACAAAUUUAGAAAAAUUGUCGCCUUUUCCCCAAAAAACAGGGCUUCAAAAAAAUUAGCAUUUUCAAAGCUUUUAUUUAGAGUUUAAAAAAAAGCUCUCUUUUUUUCCAAAAAUGUCCGUUCUUUCAAUUUUGCUCAAAAAUCUCCCCUUUCCCAAAAGUUGUUUAAGAUUUAAAAAUAUAUGAGUUUUCCAAAGAAUGUUGGUGUUUUCAAAUAAAUUUCAAUUUUUUAAAAAAUUAUUCAAAAAAAUUGAAAUGAUUUGAUUUCAAUAAACAUUCUAUUCUCUCAAUAAAAUCAUGUUCAAAAUCCAAAAAAUAUUUAGAUCUGUUGCCACUCAUAGGUGUUAUGCACCGCAAUGCAUAUUUAGACACCAAUAUUAUGCGGCUUUCCAUUGGCGGCUAUGUAACAGCGUUGACUGACAGGAUGUGUGCCCGACAUUUUCAGGAAUUUUAUGCCGCUGGAGUUGGUCCUUACAAGUUUGCGCUGCUUAUUAUUAAUAAAAUUUAUUCAGCUCUUGCGUCUUAGGACGCCGGGAGUUCGGUCCCACUUUAUCACCAAGUAUAUAUAUUUUUCGGAUGUUUUUGGGGAGUCGCUACCAACUUUGGGCAAUGCGACGUUAGUUCGGCACCCCAAGAAAGAAGGCUAUCCGUGAAAUGAAGAACUAUUGUACAGACAUGGGGAUGAACACGAAUUAAGCGAAAACUUUGCACCCGUUCUACCUUAGCAUGGAAGCGAACUGUAAAUAUGAGACGAAAAUUAAUUUAGGGAACAAAAUUUGCGGAAACGAAAAUGAAAUUGGGGAACAUAAUUUUCGUAUCUGCACAUGCAUAUUGUGUUUUUUCAUGUAUAGCCAAAUCUAGACCAGCCUAGAUACCUGGGCUAACUCAAAUGUCCUUGAACUUAACUAUACUUGUAUAUGCUGCCAAAAAUAAAAAUCACGCAUAAUAGUAUACAUUAUUGUGAUAUAUCAUAAUAGUUACAGUCACCUUAGCAAUUGUCUUUUUGGAUUUUAUUCUAUAUUUCUUUGAAGUUCAAUAGUUUUUUGAGUUCCAGCGAUUUUCCACUUUUUAUUUGUGCCCCCACGGUAGUAUCUUCUUUCCUAUUCAUUUCCACACAAAUUUAUACUCCCCCCUAUCCAUAUCUCAAUUAGCGAAAGGUAGUUUCGCUCCCGGACGCCGUCCAAGCUUGAGGAUCUGGCCGUCUAUUUCGAUAGAAGAUGGUGGAUCCAAGCAGUGGCAGAGCAAGACAAAAACCACUGGGGGGCAAAGGUAGAUUACAAAGAUCUGGGGGCAAAACACUGAUUUUCCUCUCAUCUAGGCCCUUCAAAAAAUCUUCUCACUUUUCUCCAAAAGCUGGGAGGGUGGGUCCCCCUGGCCUCAACAUAGCUUCCCCACUAGAUCGAAGACCUGUGGUCGUCCAUGCAUCCUUUGGUCACCUUUCCCUGGAAGAAGUUGUGGUAACUGCUCCAGGGCGUUGGUUCGUCCAUAGGUGGUUGACUUCCUGACCGCAAGAUAAAAAGUCUUGCCGGCUCUACAGAGGAGCAACGUCGGCACCGGCGCGCCAUCCCCUUGUCCCGAAGGUUGUUGUCGGAGAUACCCCAGAUGUUUGUUUUUGAUUUCUUGUUUGUUUGGGUUGUUUUUUUUUGUAAUGUUGGUUCUUUGAAUUUAUUGAGCUAGGCUUUUUUUCACUAGUGCUAACUUUUUUGGUUCUUAGAUUAGAAUAAUUUGCUUUUUGAGACAAUAUAAUUCUCUGCUAAAAGGCAUGAAAAUGAAGGUAAAAUAUGGUAGAAAUCAGCCCACUCCGUUUUCACCCAGUUGACAAUGGAUUGCUCAAAUGCGGGAGCUAUUUCUCGCAUUCAGCGAGCCAAAAGAUUUCUCUCGCUGAAGGAUUCCGACUAGGCUAUCGCGCCGGCCCACUAUCGCACAACAAAAUAGAAAACCCUAUCAAGAAAACGAGGGCGCAAGCAAACUUGGCCAAAAUGGGCCGGCCCGGCCCGGCCUGGGUCCAACGAGCCAGGCAUGCUAAGUACGCGUGCCGGCCUCUUUGGCCCAGGCACGACCCCUUCACUACAUGGGUCGGCACGUCGGCCGGUUUGUCCUGAGUAGGCACGUCGAGGCAUCUAUCGUUAUUGCCUCAUUGGCAUUGCUGAAGAAAAAAUGAUGGUUGGCGUCUACAGGAAUAAUGAAUAAAGAAUUGCAGUGCGCUCUUGAGCUUGUGUCGCGCUAAAGGCACAUCGAUUUGCAGGAAUAAGGUUACAAAAAAAAGAUUUGCAGGAAUAAAGAAUUGCAGGCAGGCACGUCCCCCUGGUCCCUGCCUGGCUGCCUCCCUGUCCCUGGUAUACGUAGUUUUUUUUUUGUUGAGAAAUUGGUAUACGUAGGUAGCAGUAGGUUUUGCUCAAGAGAAAAUGUGCUAGUCGUGCCGUGCCGGGCUGGCAAGGCAGCCCAGGCACGACCUAGCCGAGCCACGUGCCAGGCACGGCCCACUAAGUCGCGUGCCAUGCCGGGCCGGGCACAUGGGCUAUCGUGCCGGCCCGACAAUACCGGCCCAUUUGGCCAGGUUUGGGCGUGAGGGGGAAUCGAACCGUGGUUUUACGAACGAGCAUAGAGCCGGUAGCCACUGCACCACUUAUGACUUCAUGUAAAAUACACACUACUUGAUGUAAAAUACCAGAGGUUUUUUUAUUUCUUCAUUUUUCCUUUCUUUCGUUUCUUUGGUUUUUUGUUUGGUCUUCUUAUUUUUCUCCGGUUUUGUUUUAUUCAUCAUUAUAAUUCGAUUUUCUCAAUUUUUUUGCUUUUUUCAUUUCAUUUUUCUGUUUUCAAUUUUUUUUCUUCUCUGUUUUUUGUUUUGUUUUCCUUUUUUAUUCUCGAUUUUUUGUUUUCCUUUGGUGCUUUCUUAUGUUGUAAUUUUCACUCUACACUUACACACAUGUCAAAAACAUUUUUUGUAACAAGUGAUCAACAUUUUCUGUGUACAAGUUCAACAUUGUCCCAAUGCUAUUUCAACAUUUUUCAAAUACUUGUUCAACAUUUUUAAUAGUUAUUCAAUAUUUUAUCAUAUACUUGUUCAACAUUUUUAAUACUUACUCAACAUUUUCAAAUACUUGUUAAACAUUUUUAUAUACCCAUUCAACAUUUUAAUACCUUUUUCAACAUUUUUAAUAGCUAUAUGAAUGAGUCUUAAAAGGAGAAAUCAAUGGCUCACAAAUCGACCGAGCCAAAUUCAUUUUUCAGGUGACUUGCAUAUAGCUGAACUAAAGUGAGAGUUUGCAGAUUUUAUUGUGUAAUAAGAAUUUCUUUAUGGCACAAUAGUUUUUUGAGUUUUGGGGAUUUUUCACUUGAUGAAUGUUUGUGGCCGCUUCGUAGUGUCUACUAUGUCGUAUUCGUUUCACAAUGUGUACAUUUUUUUUGAGGGGUUCACAAUUUGUACAUUUUUUAGGGGUACAAUUUGUACAUUUUUUUUGAGCAUGGUACAAUUUGUACAUAGGAGUAUUUGUUUUCACUUCCCGUAGAAGAUAGUAUGAAAACAAGACAAACAUGGCAGACAUGAGCUCAGACAUGCAUUAUGCCCCCACAAGGAACGAGGAAGCAUCCGAUCAACGGUUAAUAAGAAUCAAAAGCUUUGCUCUGAAGCCAGGUCUGACAAGAUUGAAGCAAGGUCCCAGAAGAUUGAUGCGGCAUCCAAGGUGGUGAUAGAUGCGGCGUUGGACAAGAUUGAUGCAUCAUCCAAGGUGGUGAUAGAUGCGGCGUUGGACAAGAUCGACGAUGCAUCCAAGGUGGUGAUAGAUGGGCGUUAGAGAAGAUUGAUGCCGCAUCCAAGGUGAUGAUCAAUGCAUCAUCCAUGGUGAUGAUAGAUUCGGCGUUGGAGAAGAUCAAUGCAUCAUCCAAGGUAAUGAUAGAUUCAGCAUUGGAGAAGAUCAAUGCAUCAUCCAAAGUGAUGAUAGAUUCGGCGUUGGAGAAGAUCAAUGCAUCAUCCAAGGUAAUGAUAGAUUCGGCAUCCAAGGUGAUGAUAGAUUCGGCGUUGGAGAAGAUCAAUGCGUCAUCCAAGGUAAUGAUAGAUUCGGCAUCCAAGGUGAUGAUAGAUUCGGUGUUGAAGAAGAUCAAUGCAUCAUCCAAGGUAAUGAUAGAUUCAGCGUUAGAGAAGAUCGGCGUUGAACAUUUUUUAAAAACAUGAACAUUUUUUAAAACACUGACAUUUUUUGAAAUUAUGAGCAAAAUUUAAAACAAGAACAUAUUUUGAAAUUCCUGAAAUACUUUAUGAAACACGAACAGUUCUUGAAAUUGUGAACAAAAUUUGGAAGCAGGAACAUUUUAUGAAAUUUCUGAACAUUUUUUGAAAUUGAGAGCAAAUUUUGAAAACAAGAGCAUGUUAUAAAAUUCCGAAUAAAUAUUUGAAAUUCUCAAACAAAAGAAACAUGACUAAAGAAAAAACGAAAGAAUAAAGAAAAGAAAAAAAAAAGAGAAAGAAAAGAAGAUGGUGGAUAAACCAGAUCUGGUGGUCUACUCGGAUAGAAGAUGGGGUCGUCCACGCGUCCUUUGGUCACGUUUCCUCUUUGGAACCAGUAGCGGUAACUGCUCCAGGGCGUUGGUUUGUCCAUAGGUGGAAUACUUCUCGGCCGCAAGAUAGAAAGUCAGGCUGGCUCUCGAGAGGAACAGCAGCGGCACCGGCGCGCCAUCCCCUCGUCCCCAAGAUUGUUGUCGGAGUUUACCCCAAAGGCUUGUUUUGUGAUUUGUUGUUUGUUUGGGUUGUUUUUUGUAAUGUUGGUUCCUUUAAUUUAUUGAGCUUAGGCUCUUCAGCAUAAAAAAACGACAAUUAAUAUGUUCUCCCUCCGUCUCGAAAUGUAAGAUGGUUUUUGGUACUAUGAUAGUGUCGAAAACCGUCGUCUUAUAUAUGUAUUGACCCCUUCUUUAAAUUAGAUCUGGCAGAUGCAGGAUGAACUCCUACCACAUGAUCGCAUACGAGCAAUUCAAGAGGAAUUGGCGGGAUUCUUUCUUGACCACGUCAUACCUGAACAAGGAGAAUACCAUGUGAAAUUGAAAUUGUUGUAAGGGAUGUUAUAUAUUGUACAUUUGUAGCAGCGUCACCAAGCACGAAGAAAGAGAUGUCACUUCUCUCUAUAUAUGUUCAUGGCGAUCUUGUGUAAUUAAUGGUUUCCUUUAUUUGCUUACUAGCUAGCGUCGAGUUCUCUCUAUAUGUGUAGUAGCUAGAGUCGACCAAGCACGAAAAAAGAGAGGUCACUUCUCUCUAUUAGCUCGCUAACACAAUAUGAAACCCCUAAAUUAACCCUCCAAAACUCCCAAACCCCCCCUUCCAAAAAAACAAAACCCCCAGCGACUGCGAGCUGCUGACGCGUGGCCGCCUUUUGGUCCCAGCUGGUGUUACCAACCGGGACUAAAGGUCCUCCCUCCCCCGCCCCAGGCAGCGCCACGUGGAGGGCCUUUGGUCCCGGUUCAAAAGCAAACCGGGACUAAAGGUUUUGGCUAUUAGUCCCGACCCUUUAGUCCCGGUUCCAGAACCGGGACAAAUGGCCCUCUGGAACCGGAAAAAAUGGCCCUUUUUCUACUAGUGAAUUCUCAUAGGAGAUACUUUCAGAUAGACAUAAUCUCCUACUUCGAAAAUUAAUUCUCUUCUUCGAUUAUCUGCAUAGCUCUUCUGACGAGUUUGUGCCACUCUCAAGUUCUCUCUAAUCAACCUGACUUGUUCCUCGACAUUCCUGAGCACAUCUAGUCCAAAGACUUAACUUUCACCCAUUUGAUUCCAGAACAACGGUGUUUUACACUUACGUCCAUACAAUGCUUCAAAGGGUGCCAUCUUUAGACUAUUCUGGUGACUGUUGUUGUAAGAGAACUCCGCAUACGGUAAACUUUUAUCCCAACUAGUACCAUACUGCAAUGCACAAGCUCUCAACAUAUCUUCAAGAAUCUGAUUGAGCCUUUUUGUCUGUCCAUCAGUCUGAGGAUGAUGUGCCGUACUGAAAUUCAACUUUGUUCCCAAAGAUUUAUGCACUUCCUGCCAAAAGAUGGAUGUGAACUGCGUACCUCUAUCAGACACAAUCUACUUAGGAAAUCCAUGCUGACAUAUUAUUCUUUCCAUGUAUAGAUCUGCCAAUUUUGCCCCGCUAUAAGUAGUCUUGACAGGCAAAAAGUGAGCGACUUUAGUGAGACAUUCCACUAUUACCCAUAUAGAAUCAUAACCUUGUUAAGUAUGUGGUAAUCCCACUAUAAAGUCCAUUCCGACUUCUUCCCAUUUCCACUCAGGAAUCUUCAUUGGUUGCAACAAACUAGCGGGUCUCUGAUGCUCAGUAUUUACCCUCUGACAAGUGUCACAUAUAGCUACAUACUCAGCCACAUCUCUUUUUAAUCCAUACCAGCAGUACUUCUCCUUAAGAUUUAGAUACAACUUAGUACUUCUAGGAUGAAUAGAAUAGGCUGACUCAUGUGCUUCACGCAAAAUUGUAUCAUGAAUGGCUUUCACCUGAGGAACACAUAUCCUUUUUCCAAACCAUAAGGUUCCAUUCUCAUCUAUUCUGAAGCCAGGUGCUUUACCAAUCACCACAUUCUCAGCUAUCUCCUUUAACUUUUCAUCUUCUAGCUGACCCUUACGUAUUUCUUGCUCCAACGUAGGAAUCCAUUUUAUCUCCAUAGCACUAGCAACAACACCAAGGUUCAGAUGUUGCAACCCCGCAUACAACUCUUCUGCCUCUGGUCUCAACUUAUGAUUGUUGUCAUAUUUCUUCCUACUGAGAGCAUCAGCUACUACAUUCGCCUUACCUAGAUGAUAAUGUGCCUCCGGUUCAUAAUCCUUGAUUAACUCUAGCCAGCGACGUUGUCUUAAAUUCAUACCUGUCUGAGUGAAUAUAUACUUCAAGCUCUUAUGAUCGGUGUAGAUAUCACUCUUGUGACCAAUCAGAUAGUGUCUCCAGAUCUUCAAUGCAUGUACCACAGCUGCUAACUCCAGAUCAUGAGUAGGAUAAUUUAACUCAUGCUUCCUCAACUGUCUUGAUGCAUGCGUUGGUGGUGGUAACCUCAUGUCCGCUUGCACCGUGUUCGAUGAAACACCAAGGAGGGUCAAAAGCUUCAAACUGCAUCGGAGUCGCUCGGAGUAGCAGCGGGUACACGCUGGAGUGCUGGAUGUGAUGCUUGGCCUGAAGGAAAUAUGCCCUAGAGGCAAUAAUAAAGUUAUUAUUUAUUUCCUUAUUUCAUGAUAAAUGUUUAUUAUUCAUGCUAGAAUUGUAUCAACCGGAAACAUAAUACUUGUGUGAAUACAUAGACAAACUAAACGUCACUAGUAUGCCUCUACUUGACUAGCUCGUUGAUCAAGGAUGGUUAUGUUUCCUAACCAUAGACAUGUGUUGUCAUUUGAUUAACGGGAUCACAUCAUUAGGAGAAUGAUGUGAUUGACAUGACCCAUUCCAUUAGCUUAGCACCCGAUCGUUUAGUAUGUUGCUAUUGCUUUCUUCAUGACUUAUACAUGUUCCUAUGACUAUGAGAUUAUGCAACUCUCCCGUUUGCCGGAGGAACACUAUGUGUGCUACCAAACGUCACAAUGUAACUGGGUGAUUAUAAAGGUGCUCUACAGGUGUCUCCAAAGGUACAUGUUGGGUUGGUGUAUUUCGAGAUUAGGAUUUGUCACUUCGAUUGUCAGAGAGGUAUCUCUGGGCCCUCUCGGUAAUGCACAUCACUUAAGCCUUGCAAGGAAUGCAAUAAUGAGUUAGUUGCGAGAUGAUGUAUUACGGAACGAGUAAAGAGACUUGCCGGUAACGAGAUUGAACUAGGUAUUGAGAUACCGAUGAUCAAAUCUCGGGCAAGUAACAUACCGAUGACAAAGGGAACAACGUAUGUUGUUAUGCGGUCUGACCAAUAAAGAUCUUCAUAGAAUAUGUGGGAGCCAAUAUGAGCAUCCAGGUUCCGCUAUUGGUUAUUGACCAGAGACGUGUCUCAGUCAUGUCUACAUUGUUCUCGAACCCGUAGGGUCCGCGCGCUUAACGUUACGAUGACAGUUUCAUUAUGAGUUUAUAUAUUUUGAUGUACCGAAGGUUGUUCGGAGUCCCGGAUGUGAUCACGGACAUGACGAGGAGUCUCGAAAUGGUCGAGACAUAAAGAUCUAUAUACUGGACGGCUAUAUUCGGACACCGGAAACGUUCCGGGUGAUUUCGGAGAAAACCGGAGUGCCGGAAGGGUUACCGGAACCCCCCGGGGAAGUAUGGGGCCUUAGUGGGCCUAAGGGGAGAGAGAUGGCAGCAGCCCAGGAGGUGGCGCGCCCCCUCCCAUGGGGAGUCCAAAUUGGACUAGGGGAAGGGGGCGCGGCCCCUCUUUCCUCUCCCUCUCCCUCUCUUUCCUUCCCCCUUCUCUCUUCUUAGUUGGACUAGGAAAGGGGAGUCCUACUCCUACUAGGAGGAGGACUCCUCCCUCCUUGGCGCGCCCCAAGGGCCGGCCGGCCUCCCCCCUUGCUCCUUUAUAUACGGGGGCAGGGGGGCACCUCUAGACACACAAGUUGAUAUUCGUGAUCGUUCUCUUAGCCGUGUGCGGUGCCCCCCUCCACCAUACUCCUCGAUAAUAUUGUAGCGGUGCUUAGGCGAAGCCCUGCUACGGUAGAACAUCAAGAUCGUCAUCAUGCCGUCGUGCUGACAGAACUCUUCCCCGACACUUUGCUGGACCGGAGUCCGGGGUCGUCAUCGAGCUGAACGUGUGCUAGAACUGGGAGGUGCCGUAGUUUCGGUGCUUGAUCGGCCGGGUUGCGAAGACGUAUGACUACAUCAACCGCGCAUAACGCUUCCGCUUUCGGUCUACGAGGGUACGUGGACAAUACUCUCCCCUCUCGUUUCUAUGCAUCACCAUGAUCUUGCGUGUGCGUAGGAAUUUUUUUGAAAUUACUACGUUACCCAAUAGUGGCAUCCGAGCCUAGGUUUUAUGUGUUGAUGUGAUAUGCACGAGUAGAACACAAGUGAGUUGUGGGCGAUAUAAGUCAUACUGCUUACCAGCAUAUCAUACUUUGGUUCGGCGGUAUUGUUGGAUGAAGUGGCCUGGACCGACAUUACGCUUACGCUUACGCGAGACUGGUUCUACCGACGUGCUUUGCACGCAGGUGGCUGGCGGGUGCCAGUUUCUCCAACUUUAGUUUAACGGAGUGUGGCUACGCCCGGUCCUUGCGAAGGUUAAAACAGCACCAACUUGACAAAGUAUCGUUGUGGUUUUGAUGCGUAGGUAAGAUUGGUUCUUGCUUAAGCCCGUAGCAGCCACGUAAAACUUGCAACAAACAAAGUAGAGGACGUCUAACUUGUUUUUGCAGGGCAUGUUGUGAUGUGAUAUGGUCAAGACAUGAUGCUAAAUUUUAUUGUAUGAGAUGAUCAUGUUUUGUAACCGAGUGAUCGGCAACUGGCAGGAGCCAUAUGGUUGUCGCUUUAUUGUAUGCAAUGCAAUCGCCCUGUAAUGCUUUACUUUAUCACUAAGCGGUAGCAAUAGUCGUAGAAGCAUAAGAUUGGCGAGACGACAACGAUGCUAUGAUGGAGAUCAAGGUGUCACGCCUGUGACGAUGGUGAUCAUGACGAUGCUUCGGAAAUGGAGAUCACAAGCACAAGAUGAUGAUGGCCAUAUCAUAUCACUUAUAUUGAUUGCAUGUGAUGUUUAUCUUUUAUGCAUCUUAUCUUGCUUUGAUUGACGGUAGCAUUAUAAGAUGAUCUCUCACUAAAUUUCAAGAUAAAAGUGUUCUCCCUGAGUAUACAUCGUUGCCAAAGUUCGUCGUGCCCAGACACCACGUGAUGAUCGGGUGUGAUAAGCUCUACGUCCAUCUACAACGGGUGCAAGCCAGUUUUGCACACGCAAAAUACUCAGGUUAAACUUGACGAGCCUAGCAUAUGCAGAUAUGGCCUCGGAACACUGAGACCGAAAGGUCGAGCGUGAAUCAUAUAGUAGAUAUGAUCAACAUAGUGAUGUUCACCAUUGAAAACUACUCCAUUUCACGUGAUGAUCGGUUAUGGUUUAGUUGAUUUGGAUCAUGUGAUCACUUAGAAGAUUAGAGGGAUGUCUUUCUAAGUGGGAGUUCUUAAGUAAUAUGAUUAAAUUGAACUUAAAUUUAUCAUGAACUUAGUCCUGGUAGUAUUAGCAUAUCUAUGUUGUAGAUCAAUAGCUCGCGUUGUUGCUUCCCUGUGUUUAAUUUUGAUAUGUUCCUAGAGAAAAUUGUGUUGAAAGAUGUUAGUAGCAAUGAUGCGGAUUGGAUCCGUGAUCUGAGGUUUAUCCUCAUUGCUGCAUAGAAGAAUUAUGUCCUUGAUGCACCGCUAGGUGACGGACCUAUUGCAGGAGCAGAUGUAGACAUUAUGAACGUUUGGCUAGCUCAAUAUGAUGACUACUUGAUAGUUUAGUGCACCAUGCUUAACGGCUUAGAAUUGGGACUUCAAAGACAUUUUGAACGUCAUGGACCAUAUGAGAUGUUCCAGGAGUUGAAGUUAAUAUUUCAAGCAAAUACCCGAGUUGAGAGAUAUGAAGUCUCCAACAAGUUAUAUAGCUAAAAGAUGGAGGAGAAUCGCUCAACUAGUGAGCAUGUGCUCAGAUUGUCUGGUACUACAAUCGCUUGAAUCAAGUGGGAGUUAAUCUUCCAGAUAAGAUAGUGAUUGACAGAAUUCUCUGGUCACCAUCACCAAGUUAGUAGAACUUUGUGAUGAGCUAUAGUAUGCAAGGGAUGACGAAAACGACUCCCGAGCUUUUCAUGAUGAUGAAAUCGAUGAAGGUAGAAAUCAAAAAAAAGGAGCAUCAAGUGUUGAUGGUUGACAAGAUCACUAGUUUCAAGAAAAGGGCAAAGGGAAAAAGGGGAACUUCAAGAAGAACAGCAAGCAAGUUGUUGCUCAAGUGAAGAAGCCCAAGUCUGGUCCUAAGCCUGAGACUAAGUGCUUCUACUGCAAAGGGACUGGUCACUGGAAGCAGAACUACCCCAAGUGAUUGGCGGAUAAGAAGGAUGGCAAAGUGAACAUAAGUAUAUUUGAUAUACAUGUUAUUGAUGUGUACUUUACAAGUGUUUCUAGCAACCCCUCAGUAUUUGAUACUAGUUCAGUUGCUAAGAUUAGUAACUCGAAAUGGGAGUUGCAGAAUAAACAGAGACUAGUUAAGGGUGAAGUGACGAUGUGUGUUGGAAGUGGUUCCAAGAUUAAUAUGAUCAUCAUCGCACACUUCCUAUACUUUCGGGAUUAGUGUUGAACCUAAAUAAGUGUUAUUUGGUGUUUGCGUUGAGUAUGAAUAUGAUUUGAUCAUGUUUAUUGUAAUACGGUUAUUCAUUUAAGUAAGAGAAUAAAUUGUUGUUCUGUUUACAUGAAUAAAACCUUAUAUGGUUACACACCCAAUGAAAAUGGUUCAUUGGAUCUCAAUCAUAGUGAUACACAUAUUCAUAAUAUUGAAACCAAAAGAUGCAAAGUUAAUAAUGAUAGUGCAACUUAUUUGUGGCACUGCCGUUUAGGUCAUAUUGGUGUAAAGCGCAUGAAGAAACUCCAUGCUGAUGGGAUUUUGGAAUCACUUGAUUAUGAAUCACUUGGUGCUUGCGAACCAUGUCUUAUGGGCAAGAUGACUAAAGACUCCGUUCUCCGGAACAAUGGAGCGAGCAACUGACUUAUUGGAAAUAAUACAUACUGAUGUAUGCGAUCCGAUGAGUGUUGAAGAUCGAGGCGGGUAUCGUUAUUUUCUGACCUUCACAGAUGAUUUAAGUAGAUAUGGGUAUAUCUACUUGAUGAAACAUAAGUCUGAAACAUUUGAACAGUUCAAAGAAUUUCAUAGUGAAGUGGAAAAUCAUCAUGACAAGAAGAUAAGGUUUCUAUGAUCUGAUCGCGGAGACGAAUAUUUGAGUUACGAGUUUGGUCUUCAAUUAAAACAAUGUGGAAUAGUUUCACAAAUUCAUGCCACCUGGAACACCACAGCAUAAUGGUGUGUCCGAACGUCAUAACCGUAUUUUAUUGGAUAUAGUGCAAUCUAUGAUGUUUCUUACCGAUUUACCACUAUAGUUUUGGGGUUAUGCAUUAGAGACAGUUGCAUUCACGUUAAAAAAGGGCACCAUCUAAAUCCGCUGAGACGACACCGUAUGAACUGUGGUUUGGCAAGAAACCAAAGUUGUCGUUUCUUAAUGUUUGGGGUUGCGAUGCUUAUAUGAAAAAGUGUCAUCCUGAUAAGCUCAAACCCAAAUCGGAGAAGUGCAUCUUCAUAGGAUACCCAAAAGAAAAUGUUGGGUACACCUUCUAUCACAGAUCCGAAGGCAAGAUAUUCGUUGCUGAGAAUGGAUCCUUUCCAGAGAAGGAGUUUCUCUCGAAAGAAGUGAGUGGGAGGAAAGUAGAGAACUUGAUAAGGUAAUUGUACCUUCUCCCUUAUUGGAAAGUAGUUCAUCACAGAAAUCUGUUCUUGUGACUACUACACCAAUUAGUGAGGAAGCUAAUGAUGAUGAUCAUGUAACUUCAGAUCAAGUUACUACCGAAUCUCGUAGGUAAACCAGAGUGAGAUCCGCACCAGAGUGGUACGGUAAUCCUGUUCUGGAAGUCAUGUUACUAGACCAUGACGAACUUGCGAACUAUGAGGAAGUGAUGAUGAGCCCAGAUUCCGCGAAAUGGUUUGAGGCCAUGAAAUCUGAGAUAUGAUCCAUGUAUGAGAACAAAGUAUGGACUUUGAUUGAUUUGCCCGAUGAUCGGGAAGCCAUAGAAAAUAAAUGGAUCUUCAAGAGGAAGACGGACGCUGAUAGUAGUGUUACUAUCUACAAAGCUAGACUUGUCGAAAAAGGUUUUUGACAAAGUUCAAGGUGUUGACUACGAUGAGAGUUUCUCACUCGUAUCUAUGCUUAAGUCUGUCCGAAUCAUGUUAGCAAUUGCCGCAUUUUAAGAAAUCUGGCAAAUGGAUAACAAAACUGCAAUCCUUAAUGGAUUUCUUAAAGAAGAGUUGUAUAUGAUGCAACCAGAAGGUUUUGUCAAUCCUAAAGGUGCUAACAAAAUAUGCAAACUCCAGCAAUCCAUCUAUGGACUGGUGCAAGCAUCUCAGAGUUGGAAUAUACGCUUUGAUAAGUUGAUCAAAGCAUAUAGUUUUAUAUAGACUUACGAUGAAGCCUGUAUUUACAAGAAAGUGAGUGGGAGCACUACAACAUUUCUGAUAAGUAUAUGUGAAUGACAUAUUGUUGAUCGGAAAUAAUGUAGAAUUAUUCUGCAAAGUACAAAGGAGUGUUUGAAAGGAGUUUUUUCAAAGAAAGACCUCGGUGAAGCUACUUACAUAUUGAGCAUCAAGAUCUAUAGAGAUAGAUCAAGACGCUUGAUAAGUUUUUACAAUGAGUACAUACCUUGACAAGAUUUUGAAGUAAGUUCAAAAUGGAACAGUCAAAGAAAGAGUUCUUGCCUGUGUAACAAGGUGUGAAAUUGAGUAAGACUCAAAGCCCGACCACGACGGAAGAUAGAAAGGGAGUGAAAGUCAUUCCCUAUGCCUCAAUCAUAGGUUCUAUAAAGUAUGUCAUGCUGUGUACCUAUUGUAUACCCUACACUGAUUUUGGCAAGGGAGUACAAUAGUGAUCUAGGAGUAGAUCACUGGACAGCGGUCAAAAUUAUCCUUAGUUGAAUAAGGAUAUGUUUCUCUAUUAUGGUGGUGACAAAAAGGUUCGUCGUAAAGAGUUAUGUCGAUGCAAGCUUUGACACAGAUCUGGAUGACUCUAAGUCUCGAUCUAGAUACAUAAUGAAAGUGGGAGCAAUUAGCUAGAGUAGCUCCGUGCAGAGCAUUGUUGACAUAGAUAUUUGCAAAAUACUUACGGAUCUGAAUAUGACAGACCCGUUGACUAAAAUUAUCUCACAAGCAAAACAUAAUCACACCUUAGUACUCUUUGGGUGUUAAUCACAUAGCGAUGUGAACUAGAUUACUGACUCUAGUAAAACCUUUGGGUGUUGGUCACAUAUCGAUGUGAACUAUGGGUGUUAACCACAUAAAGAUGUGAACUAUUGAUGUUAGAUCACAUGGCGAUGUGAACUAGAUUAUUGACUCUAGUGCAAGUGGGAGACUGAAGGAAAUAUGCCCUAGAGGCAAUAAUAAAGUUAUUAUUUAUUUCCUUAUUUCAUGAUAAAUGUUUAUUAUUCAUGCUAGAAUUGUAUUAAACGGAAACAUAAUACUUGUGUGAAUACAUAGACAAACUAAACGUCACUAGUAUGCCUCUACUUGACUAGCUCAUUGAUCGAAGAUGGUUAUGUUUCCUAACCAUAGACAUGUGUUGUCAUUUGAUUAACAGGAUCACAUUAUUAGGAGAAUGAUGUGAUUGACAUGACCCAUUCCAUUAGCUUAGCACCCGAUCGUUUAGUAUGUUGCUAUUGCUUUCUUCAUGACUUAUACCUGUUCCUAUGACUAUGAGAUUAUGCAACUCCCGUUUGCCGGAGGAACACUUUGUGUGCUACCAAACGUCACAACGUAACUGGGUGAUUAUAAAGGUGCUCUACAGGUGUCUCCAAAGGUACAUGUUGGGUUGGCGUAUUUCAAGAUUAGGAUUUGUCACUCCGAUUGUCGGAGAGGUAUCUCUGGGCCCUCUCGGUAAUGCACAUCACUUAAGCCUUGCAAGCAAUGCAACUAAUGAGUUAGUUGCGAGAUGAUGUAUUACGGAACGAGUAAAGAGACUUGUCGGUAACGAGAUUGAACUAGGUAUUGAGAUACCGACGAUCGAAUCUCGGGCAAGUAACAUACCGAUGACGAAGGGAACAACGUAUGUUGUUAUGUGGUCUGACCGAUAAAGAUCUUCGUAGAAUAUGUGGGAGCCAAUAUGAGCAUCCAGGUUCCGCUAUUGGUUAUUGACCGGAGACGUGUCUCGGUCAUGUCUACAUUGUUCUCGAACCCGUACGGUCCGCACGCUUAACGUUACGAUGACAGUUUCAUUAUGAGUUUAUAUAUUUUGAUGUACCGAAGGUUGUUCGGAUUCCCGGAUGUGAUCACGGACAUGACGAGGAGUCUCAAAAUGGUCGAGAAAUAAAGAUCGAUAUAUUGGACGGCUAUAUUCGGACACCGGAAGCGUUCCGGGUGAUUUCGGAGAAAACCGGAGUGCCGAAAUGGUUACCGGAACCCCCCGGGGAAGUAUUGGGCCUUUGUGGGCCUAAGGGGAGAGAGAGGGAAGCAGCCCAGGAGGUGGCGCGCCCCCUCCCAUGGGGAGCCCGAAUUGGACUAGGGGAAGGGGGCGCGGCCCCUCUUUCCUCUCCCUCUCCCUCUCUUUCCUUCCCCCUUCUCUCUUCCUAGUUGGACUAGGAAAGGGGAGUCCUACUCCUACUAGGAGGAGGACUCCCCCCUCCUUGGCGCGCCCCAAGGGCCGGCCGGCCUCCCCCUUGCUCCUUUAUUUACGGGGGCAGGGGGCACCUCUAGACACACAAGUUGAUCUUUGUGAUCGUUCUCUUAGCUGUGUGCGGUGCCCCCCUCCACCAUACUCCUCGAUAAUAUUGUAGCGGUGCUUAGGCGAAGCCCUGCUACGGUAGAACAUCAAGAUCGUCACCACGCCGUCGUGCUGACAGAACUCUUCCCCGACACUUUGCUGGAUCGGAGUCCGGGGAUUGUCAUCGAGCUGAACGUGUGCUAGAACUCGGAGGUGCCGUAGUUUCGGUGCUUGAUCGGUCGGGUCACGAAGACGUACGACUACAUCAACCGCGUUGUCAUAACGCUUCCGCUUUCGGUCUACGAGGGUACGUGGACAACACUCUCCCCUCUCGUUGCUAUGCAUCACCAUGAUCUUGCGUGUGCGUAGAAAAGUUUUUUAAAAUUACUACGUUACCCAACAUGGCCAUCUCCAACUCACGAGCGUGCAAGAGAGAAAUCAUGAGACAGUAAUGAUUUAAUUUGGUUUUGCAAUGUUUUUAUUUUAAAAAUAGUUGGUUUAUCUUUGUAAAAUAGUUAUUUACAUGAGAAUUAUUGAACAAAAUAGUUUUUAAAGAGAAAUUUGCAUUCAAAAAGUCUUCAUUCGUAACCAAGCUACGAGUUCACAUUUGCUCUUUUUCCGCGUUUGAAAAUUGAUUGCAGUUUUACUUAACAAAGCAAAAAAAUUGUUCAUUUUUACCACAGCAAAAAGAAAAGAAAUAUCAGGGUGUUUUCUUUUUUUCAUUACUAGCCUUUUUAUUCAUCUUUUUGGGCUGUUAGGGGCUGGGAAGGUGUUCAGGCUAGGGCUUUUAUCAUUCCGAACGAGUGGGUUCGACCGUUACCCCUCCCAUACCGAACGAAACAUUCGAUCUGGGGUGCUCCCAAACCCCAUAUCGGGUCCUAAAUUUAAAUAUAUUUUUUGCCAUCGCAAUCCUCAAUUGGCAUGGCAAAUUUUAGCUAAAUAUAAUGGCAAAUUUUCACUUUUAUUGCCAUGGCAUUUCUUAAUCUUUUUUAUUUUCCAUGGCAAUUUUACAAAUUUUCAUGCCAAAAUUACCUAUAUCUAAAUGGAAAAUAUUUAACUAUUAUUGCCAUGGAACUUUCACAUUUAUUUGCUUACCAAUACUGCCUUGGAAAAUUUACUUAAACCGCCUUGGUAAUUUUUACUCUUUAUUUUCCAUUGGCUAAAUUAUCUAUAUCAACAUGGGAACAUGGAAAAUUUCACUUUCAUCUUUUUUCAAGGGAUUUUUACUUACAAAGCAACUUGCCAUGACAUUUUUUCUGUGCCAUUGCGUCUUUUUGUCCAUGGCAAAAUCUAUUUUGUGAAAGACGAAUGUCAUUCUCUGGUUUGCAUCAAUGGGAUUUUUUAGUUCUCAAUUUCCCCCUUUUUAAUGGCAAUUUUUUUUUGCAUAGCAUAGCAAAGUCUGGUCUUUAUUUCACAAGCUUAAAAUAUGUCUUUUAGUCACAGUACAAACUGGGCCAUAUUGGGCUCUGUGCUUUUACCCCUCUUGAUAACCCCUCUUGCCCUCCCUCCUAUAUCAUAAAAGCCGCCCGCACUCCAUCGCCUCGCCGCCGUUCCCCGCAACCCCCUGUCCUCUGUCGACCCAAUCUCACAUCGAUCACCCGGUGCUUCGUCCUCCUCUCCAGAUCAAAUCUUACGCCCGCUCGCCCGAGGUGAGCACAUGCUUGUACAUCCCGAUCAGCCUGGAGUUCCGAUUGGUUGGUAGGCGCUGGUUCGUAGGUCUCGGAUCCAGCCAGCGUGGUCUCCCUCCGCCUCCGGAGUUGCUCGUUCCGAUUGUGGUUGGUAGGCGCGGCGCGGCGCCGUCUUGUAUCCUGCCUGCCUCUGGCUUUGAGUAUUCAUUCGUAUGAGGAGGAACCUCGACUAGGAUAGGAUUUAAUUAGUUAGGGUUUGUUUGUUUGGUAACACCACCUAGUUAGGGUUUGUUCGGUUAUCCGUAAUAAGGAAUCAAUCUGACGUUUUAGGGUUUAGGGUUUGCUUGGUUGUGGUCAGAUUUUGGUUUCUCAAAAGGUGUAUGAAUUCUUCAACUGUGCCUGUACAGGAUAGCUGGAUAAGGUAUUAAUUUGGAUGGAAUUCAUGCUAUGUUGUUCGAUUUCAGUUUAUGCCUGCCAGAAUGUUAAAUUUUUUGUUUUAUCAACUGUGUUUGAGCGUACUAGAUUUUUUGUUGCAUAUUCAUCUUCUUGCUCUGUUUGGAUAGGUAACAAUUAAUAUUUGGGAUCCUAAAAUAUCUAUGCACUGGCAGCACUUAACCUGCAGCUGCUGAUUAAUGUUGUAGUCAUAUGUGCUGCUUUCCAGCUCUCUUGUUUGGAUAGGUAUUUGGUUAUCGUUUGUAAAUGCUGGUUUGGUUUUCUGUGCUCACUAUGCCCUUGCACAUGGGAUGCAAUUUUUUUAUUUCCCUUCUGUUUAGUUUAUUGUUUCCUUUGAUGGUGAUGCAAUUUUGUUGCUCACACAAUAAUACAAUGAAUGAUGGCAUCUCUAUCUACUUUGAACCAAAAUAUAUUAUAUUCCCCCCUCUGUUAAUUAUUUUUCUGUUUUGGGUAUUCAUUCAUUUUGUUUAGUUGCCUAUCAGUAUAAAUACAUGGCUGGAUUGCUUUCACUUCAUAUUAAUAACUAUUCUGUCGCACAAUGCAAAUAUACAUAUGCUGUCCUAACUAAUUAAGUAGAAGCUUGGAUUGGUGCUGUAUGGUCUCUUCCUGACAUUAAGUCCUCCUCUGUUUGUGCUGUCUGUUUCUGCUGCUGCAGUCUUCUUCGCCGCCAAAAGGAAAUGAUGCUCUACAAAAUCCACUCCCAUGCCCAAAUCCAAGACCUGCAGGCCCGCUCCGAUGAGCUGGGCCACUCCAAUAAGUCCAUGCUUGUGAGUCUUGUCUCUCUGGAGUCGGUGCGCAUAGCGCGCGAGUCGUAUGCACUCCUCCGCCCGCUGAUCAUGGAGUCGAGGUCCUGGGAAUGCCCGCAGGUGGAUUCCCUCUCGGACGUGGCAGGCUUGUCGCUGGAAAUCCAAAAGCUCGAGCAUGAUGUGUUACCCCAGCUCAAGCUUCAGGAGGGUAAGCUGGAACGGGGUGCCCUGGAAGCCCUCCUACUCAUGAAGAACUCAGCAAGUAAGCUCUUACAUUCGAGGAAGUGCUUUGAGGAAGCCUUGGGCGUAUUGCUUGCCAAGGAGGAUCUGGUCUCAGCCAAAGUCAAAAGGCCGAGCAUGAUGCUAAACGAUACUGCUGUUCAUGUACUCAAAGCUAACAACACUCGCUUGUUUAAGGAGCUUGUCCAGCUGGUCACCGAUGUGUUGGAGACCCCGGUUCGUUUCUGUGAUACUCGUAAGCAUAAGUAUUCUGAUGAGUAGACUUAUCAGCCAGCUCGAGGCUGUUGUGAUGAGUAUUUCUUAGGGGCGUGGCAAACAGUUUAGAAUCAACCCUUUAUGUUUGGAUGUGUUAUUAAUGGAUUUUAAAUGAUAUGUAUCUUGGGUAGUGUUUUCUCAUUCUGUGCUAGUCGGGUACAACUUGCAAUUACUUUCAGUUUUUUUUUUUGAGAAAUACAGUCACAUGGAGGUAUUCGCUCUUUUUGGGAAUAUAUGCCAAAAGAAUAUAGUAUCUUAGAAAAGAAAUCCCAAAUAUAAGUCUUUUAAGAGGUUUCACUAAAAGACUACAUACGGAUGAAUAUAGGAACGUGGAUGGAUUCACUCAUUUUGCUCCGUAUAUAGUUUUCUACUAGUGAAAUUUCUUAAAAGACAUAUAUUUAGGAACGGGGGGAUCUGUGAGUGUCCAUGAUUAAAGCUUUGCAAAUACCAUAAACAAAACAUCACCUUGUACAUAUAAAGUGAUGAUUAUUUUUACACUAACCGGUUUGGCAAGUAGUACUUCCUUCGUAAAUAAAGAAACAUAAGAGUGUUUGGAUUAUCAUUUCUUUAGAGAGGGAGUAGUAUAUAUAUAGAAUUGAAUUAAUAAUCUCUACUCCUAAAGUAUCAGUUGGUCGUCUCUGUUCAUCGGUUAAUUUUCGUCCCACCAACACCGAUUUUUUUUCGUGCUCCCUCCCACCCAACCCCCGGGCCAUCGAACAAAAAAAAAAGGGUUGGCUUAGCUAUGCCCCACGAAGUCAAGGGGCCAAACAUCCGAUUGAAACAGAGAGAACCGGAUGAAAAAAAAUCUACGAAAAAAGACCUACGAAAUUAAACCAGCGAAAAAAAUGAAUCGCACGCAGGUAUACGAGCGAUUCCUCCUUCCUUCGAACCACUCGCACGCUCGAUCCCUUCGCCGCCGCCGCUCCAUCCCUUCGCCCCCACCGCUCGAUCCCUUCGCCGCCGCCCUCCCACAUCAAAGCCGCCACCGAUAUGCCCUGCCGGAUCUCGCCUCAGCCCCGCCGUCUUGUGAUCUGGAGUUCACAGCCUCUGCCGCCGAUAUCCUCGCACGCGUUAGGGUUCCUGCGCCGCCGCCACACAGGAGCUCGUCGACCAGCCCAGCGUGCUGCUGCUCCGCGCUCGCUUCCCUCGUCGGUCGCCUUUGGACCCCUCGCUUCAGACUCCGCGCCAAGCCGCCGCCUCUUUGCCGAGAAAGAGGGCUCCCGAUCUCCGCCGUGGUCGACCAUCAGCGCGAUUGGCAGAGCACCCAGCCCGUAGGCUCAUCCCCUUCUUGGAUCCACUCCGGCAGCGGCCAUCAUCGGUACGUUCCGCUCGUGAUAUAUUGGUGUAGGAUCAUCCCCUUCUCUUUAUCUAAAAAGGCUAUUCUACAUACGCCAAGGAGAAGAUGCUCACCUUCUCGCCCCUGUUGGAAAUAUGCCCUAGGGCAAUAAUAAAUUGGUUAUUAUUAUAUUUCCUUGUUCAUGAUAAUCGUUUAUUGUCCAUGCUAUAAUUGUAUUGAUAGGAAACAUAGAUACAUGUGUGGAUACAUAGACAACACCAUGUCCCUAGUAAGCCUCUAGUUGACUAGCUCGUUGAUCAAUAGAUGGUUACGGUUUCCUGACCAUGGACAUUGGAUGUCGUUGAUAACGGGAUCACAUCAUUAGGAGAAUCAUGUGAUGGACAAGACCCAAUCAUAAGCCUAGCACAAAGAUCGUGUAGUUCGUAUGCUAAAGCUUUUCUAAUGUCAAGUAUCAUUUCCUUAGACCAUGAGAUUGUGCAACUCCCGGAUACCGUAGGAAUGCUUUGGGUGUGCCAAACGUCACAACGUAACUGGGCGGCUAUAAAGGUACACUACGGGUAUCUCCGAAAGUGUCUGUUGGGUUGGCACGAAUCGAGACAGGGAUUUGUCACUCCGUGUGACGGACAGGUAUCUCUGGGCCCACUCGGUAGGACAUCAUCAUAUGCGCAAUGUGACCAAGGAGUUGAUCACGGGAUGAUGUGUUACGGAACGAGUAAAGAGACUUGCCGGUAACGAGAUUGAACAAGGUAUCGGAUACCGACGAUCGAAUCUCGGGCAAGUACAAUACCGCUAGACAAAGGGAAUUGAAUACGGGAUUGAUUAAAUCCUCGACGUCGUGGUUCAUCCGAUGAGAUCAUCGUGGAACAUGUGGGAGCCAACAUGGGUAUCAAGAUCCCGCUGUUGGUUAUUGACCGGAGAACGUCUCGGUCAUGUCUGCAUGAUUCCCGAACCCGUAGGGUCUACACACUUAAGGUUCGAUGACGCUAGGGUUAUAAAGGAAGUUUGUAUGUGUUUACCGAAUGUUGUUCGGAGUCCCGGAUGAGAUCCCGAACGUCACGAGGAGUUCCGGAAUGGUCCGGAGGUAAAGAUUUAUAUAUGGGAAGUCCUGUUUUGGUCACCGGAAAAGUUACGGGUUUUAUCGGUAACGUACCGGGACCAUCGGGAGGGUCCCGGGGGUCCACCAAGUGGGGCCACAAGCCCCAGAGGGUUGCAUGGGCCAAUUAUGGGAGGGGACCAGCCCCAGGUGGGCUGGUGCGCCCCCCCCCACAAGGGCCCAAGGCGCCUAAGGAGAGGAGAGGGGGCAAACCCUAAGGGCAGAUGGGCCUUAGGGCCCAUACCUGGUGCGCCUCCCUCUCCCCCUCCACCUGGCCGCCACCCAGAUGGGAUUGGGGCUGGCUGCCGCCCCUAGGGUGGAACCCUAGAGGGGGCGCAGCCCCCUCCCUCUCCCCUAUAUAUAGUUGAGGUCUUUGGGGCUGCCAACACAAGAGUUUUGACCUCUCCCUGGCGCAGCCCUGCAUCUCUCUUUCCUCCUCUCCCGCGGUGCUUGGCGAAGCCCUGCAGGAUUGCCACGCUCCUCCACCACCACCACGCCGUCGUGCUGCUAUUGGAUGGACUCUUCCUCAACCUCUCCCUCUCUCCUUACUGGAUCAAGGCGUGGGAGACAUCACCGGGCUGUACGUGUGUUGAACGCGGAGGUGCCGUCCGUUCGGCACUAGGAUCUCAGGUGAUUUGGAUCACGACGAGUACGACUCCUUCAACCCCGUUCUCUUGAACGCUUCCGCUUAGCGAUCUACAAGGGUAUGUAGGUGCACUCUCCUUCCCCUCGUUGCUGGUUUCUCCAUAGAUAGAUCUUGGUGACACGUAGGAAAAUUUUGAAUUUCUGCUAUAUUCCCCAACAGUGGCAUCAUGAGCUAGGUCUAUUGCGUAGAUUCUUUGCACGAGUAGAACACAAAGUAGUUGUGGGCGUUGAUUUUGUUCAAUAUGCUUACCAUUACUAGUCCAAUCUUGAUUUGGCGGCAUUGUGGGAUGAAGCGGCCCGGACCGACCUUACACGUACACUUACGUGAGACAGGUUCCACCGACUGACAUGCACUAGUUGCAUAAGGUGGCUAGAGGGUGCCAGUCUCUCCCACUUUAGUCGGAUCGGAUUCGAUGAAAAGGGUCCUUAUGAAGGGUAAAUAGCAAUUGACAUAUCACGUUGUGGUUUUGCGUAGGUAAGAACCGUUCUUGCUAGAAACCCAUAGCAGCCACGUAAAACAUGCAAACAACAAUUAGAGGACGUCUAACUUGUUUUUGCAGGGUAUGCCAUGUGAUGUGAUAUGGCCAAAAGGAUGUGAUGAAUGAUAUAUGUGAUGUAUGAGAUUGAUCAUGUUCUUGUAAUAGGAAUCACGACUUGCAUGUCGAUGAGUAUGACAACCGGCAGGAGCCAUAGGAGUUGUCUUAAUUUAUUUAUGACCUGCGUGUCAACAUAAACGUCAUGUAAUUACUUUACUUUAUUGCUAACCGUUAGCUAUAAUAGUAGAAGUAAUAGUUGGCGAGACAACUUCAUGAAGACACGAUGAUGGAGAUCAUGAUGAUGGAUAUCAUGGUGUCAUGCCGGUGACGAUGAUGAUCAUGGAGCCCCGAAGAUGGAGAUCAAAAGGAGCAAAGUGAUGAUGGCCAUAUCAUGUCACUAUUUGAUUGCAUGUGAUGUUUAUCAUGUUUUUGCAUCUUAUUUGCUUAGAACGACAGUAGUAAAUAAGAUGAUCCCUCAUUAAAAUUUCAAGAAAGUGUUCUCCCUAACUGUGCACCGUUGCGAAAGUUCGUCGUUUCGAAGCACCACGUGAUGAUCGGGUGUGAUAGAUUCUAACAUUCACAUACAACGGGUGUAAUACAGAUUUACACACGCGAAACACUUAGGUUGACUUGACGAGCCUAGCAUGUACAGACAUGGCCUCGGAACACAAGAGUCCGAAAGGUCGAGCAUGAGUCGUAUGGUAGAUACGAUCAACAUGAAGAUGUUCACCGAUGAUGACUAAUCCGUCUCACGUGAUGAUCGGACACGGCCUAGUUGACUCGGAUCAUGUAAUCACUUAGAUGACUAGAGGGAUGUCAUUUCUUUAGAGAGGGAGUAGUAUAUAUAUAGAAUUGAAUUAAUAAUCUCUACUCCUAAAGUAUCAGUUGGUCGUCUCUGUUCAUCGGUUAAUUUUCGUCCCACCAACACCGAUUUUUUUUCGUGCUCCCUCCCACCCAACCCCCGGGCCAUCGAACAAAAAAAAGGGCUCACUUAGCUAUGCCCCCACGAAGUCAAGGGGCCAAACCUCCGAUCGAAACAGAGAGAACCGGAUGAAAAAAACCUACGAAAAAAGAUCUAUGAAAUUAAACCAGCGAGAAAAACGAAUCGCACGCAGGUAUACGAGUGAUUCCUCCUUCCUUCGAACCACUCGCACGCUCGAUCCCUUCGCCGCCGCCGCUCCAUCCCCCACCGCUCGAUCCCUUCGCCGCCGCCCUCCCACAUCAAAGCCGCCACCGAUAUGCCCUGCCGGAUCUCGCCUCAGCCCCGCCGUCUUGUGAUCCGGAGUUCACAGCCUCUGCCGCCGAUAUCCUCGCACGCAUUAGGGUUCCUGCGCCGCCGCUACAUAGGAGCUCGUCGACCAGCCCAGCGUGCUGCUGCUCCGCGCUCGCUUCCCUCGUCGGUCGCCCUUGGACCCCUCGCUUCGGACUCCGCGCCAAGCCACCGCCUCUUCGCCGAGAAAGAGGGCUCCUGAUCUCCGCCGUGGUCGACCUGUUAGGUUGAUCUCUCCACCAAUGGGCCCAACGGCUCAUUGCGCCCUUGACCCACGCCCUGAUCGGGAGCGUCCAGCCCAAGCAAGGCUGGUGGGCCCCUAUCACGCAGUGCUAUAAAGAGGAGGUGGGGACCAGGGGCACAGGGUACGAGGUUCGUCGCCGCCACUGUUCCCCACUCCUAACCCUAAUCCGAUCCAGAGGGAGGCACUGAAGCGAUGGGAAGCGCCACCAGCCACUUCAUCGUCACCCUCUACACCAACCGUCGCUGCCCGUGCGCAGACCAUCACUGACGAACCAGCGAUGGCCGGAAGGCUAAGGUAGACACCCAAACAGAGAAGAUAUGCCACCGAUCUACUCCUAGUCGAUCCAGUAAGUCUAUCAAUGGUAUCAGGCCAUGUAGGCUAAGAAUUUUGGUACAAAGUGCAUACACAGAAAGAACAUCCCUCUCUCCCCACCCCUCCCCAAAGAACCCUAGCAGGGCAGAGACAAACAACAAAAAGAAAGCAAAAAGUUCACCGGCAGAGGGCCCAGGCCCCCGCCGGCAAAGUGCGCCGCCACUCCGGCCGCGCCAGUUCCUCUCGAUCCGAACGGGCAUCGGCUAGCCGAGCCGUCCGGACGAAGAACAACCCCGCAAGGGGCAAAGGGCACUGCGACCAAUCCGCUCGACAGCGGCGCGCUCACCGCAAGGUGGACGCGCAGCCGGCGAGGGGGAAGGCCACGGCGCCGCUGCCGUUCGCUCUGCCGUCGUCGAACUCGAAUGGGAGCAAAGGAGGCAGCAGGAUCUCUCUCUCUCUCGCCGGGGUGGUGGUGGAUGUAAAAAAGAGAACGGGAAAGGGAAGGGGGGGCUCGCGCAGCCGCAUCCCUCUCUGCCACUAGAUGCGGUGGACGGAGGGAGAAAAGGAAGAAGGAAUGAAAGGGGAAAAAGAAGGCAGCCAGGCUCGCGCGACGCAGCGCAGUGGUCGGUCGACACCGUUGCCGGCGUCCAGGGCACGGCACGGUGGCCCGGCGUUCGGGAUAGAGCGAGAGUCACGAGAGGGAGGUGAGCGGCGCACACGGGGGAAAUGAGCGAGGGUUUUCCCCUCGGCAGCGUCGCCAGCUGGUUUUAAUCCAGCGAGAUGCACGGGCCACCGUCAGAUCGCGUUUGACGACCAAGAUAGAAAACCUAAGGAGGAGCGGGCCUUUUUGGGCCAAAAGAGGCUGAGGCCAGCAGCAGUAUGGGCGUUGCCGCGCGAGCUGGGCCGAGGCCGCAGCCGCGCGCUGGGCCAGCUGCAAUUUUUUUUAGUAGUUUUAUGUCCAGUUAUUUUUGGGCAGAUUUACUAUAGCUUUUCUAUACAAAUUUUUCCAACGAAAAGUUUGUUUUGGAAAAUAGAAAAAAAAGGGUAAACAGAAAAGUUCUGAAAAUGAAAAUAGAAAAUUUUCAGAAAAAGAAAAGUUCAUGAAUUUUAUAAAGAAAUUUAAAAGUUCAUGAUUUUUUUAUUUGGUCAAAUAAAAGUUUCUAUAAAGAAUAUAAAGUCCAUGAAUUUUUUAUUCAUGUUUUCCGCUGCAAAAUAAAGAAAAGUGCUCUUUUAAGAGAAAAAGAAAAUUCUUAUGAAUAGAAUAUUGUAAAGUUUCGCUGCAAAAUAAAAGUUUUAUUCUCCAAUUAAAUUGGAACCAACAGGAAAAUUUAAUUAGAAGAACGGUUUUGAGAGAAGUUUUUUCACUUGUGGGUGAAAUCAGAUUCAUAUAGUUUCUGCUAUGACAGUAGAAAGAUAUUUGAUUAAAGGUUAAUUAUGGUAUUGUUAUUUUCUGACCAACGGUGAUGAUGACGAUAUUAUAAUUCUAUGAGUCUUAUGUUCAAAGCUUAAAUCUCUGAUAAAAGUUGUAUCAAAAUUUUCAGAGAACAGAUAAAAGAUCAAGAAAUGCUCUUGAACAAGAGAACUGUAUAUUUAUUGUUCCCGCUGUAAUAAAGUUGGUGAUGAUGGUUAUUUCUUAACAAAGUUGUUUAAUAGACAUACUAUGAAAAAAAAGUUUAUACUAUCAUCACAUUGUUUAUGAGUUAUAUGCAUUAUUUUCAUUUCCGCCCAACGGUGAUAUGGAAUUAAUGUAGAAGGAUGAUGUUUUGUUCUAAUUCUGCCCAACGGUGAUUUAGAAUAUAAAAGAAAGUUUUAAAAGUUUAAUGUGCAUAUUUUUUAACUAGUAAACAUGGGGUUAUUUUUAUGCUCAUUAUUGUUGAUUAUUGGUUAAGUUUUCUCAGACUAAAAGUUUUCCAUGCCUUCAUUCGUGAAAGCGAAUGGCUGGGUACUUGUGACCCGAGAGAUGACCAAGAAAGGUCAACGUAAGGGAGUAUGUUCUCUCUAGAGAAUGGCUUCAAAAGAAAAGAGAUAUAUAAUUGAGAGUCUUGCUCGACGAUGUCUUCAUGUACUCUCCAUGGAAAAAGAAUUCUCAUCUUCUAUGAGAUGCAAUAAGUGAGAUGCGUGAUUAAUUUGACCAACGUCGGAUUAAGCAUGUGUAUUAAAGAAUAUUCGGAUUUACUCCUAAAUUUGAUGAUUUAAUAUGUAUUCAAAAGAGCCAAUUCUGGCAUUUAUGUCCCUUACAGGGAAUUACCCGCAUGGCGGGAAAAGAUGAUUAUGAUAAAACCAGCAUGGCAGGAAAAGUCUGGGAAAAUCCCUGCGUAACCCGUAUGGCGGGAAAUUUUCUCAGACUUAUCAUGUAUGACAGGAGAAAAACAUGAUGACUCAUGUGCUUUUAAUGUGUCCCAUUCUGGGAGAAAAGUAUGGAGUAGCUAUUAUGCCUUCCUCGUAUCGACCGUACAUCUUAUGUGUAACGGUCAUUAAGCGCUCAAUAAAUCCGAAGAGAACAAAAGUUACAGACGAACCUGAAGAUAAGAAUGAUAUGCAAGUGUGACUUGCAAAAGUACUAAUGAUAAAGAACUCUGUUGAGUUUCUGAAAUGGAAUAAGGAAAAGGUACUCCCAUACCAGUUAACAGAUAACUUCAUUACAUAUGAAGUAAUCAAAUAAAUGAAGUAGAUACUCAAAGUUUCCUCAAUUCACAAGAGUUGUGAAUGGUUUUUCGAAAUUGUGGCAGAAAAGUUCUUGCCACAUUUCGAGGGGGAGAAAGAAAUAUGAGAUACCCAUUAAUGAAGAAUGUGAUCGUCUGGGGGAGUACGAUGAUCAUAAUAAUACCCCUAAAGAAAAGAAAUAGUUGUAUUCCUGGAUCUUUUGCAGUUCCGAAAGCAGACUAAGGAAUACUAAGACGAUGCUUAAAGUGCCAUAAAGAAGAAAAUUUUAACAGAAUAAACCCAAAUAAUAAAUUUUAAAGAUACGCCAUUCUUAGUGAAAAUGGAGUAAUCUGGAGGAGCAUGGUAUGAAGAUACCAAGACUCAAAUAGAUUGUAUCUGGGGGAGCAUGUUGUAUGACCUAUACAACACCCGUUGUUAGCUCUAUAAAGGAGGAAUGAUUAAACAUGGAUCUUGUGAUAAAGGUCCCUGUAAAACCUAUUGCCUCUUGGAAAUGAAAGACUAUAAAAUAAUUUGCCUCUUGGCAAUGACAGAGCAACAACAGCCCCAUAUGAAAGAAGUGCUAGUACCUGAGACUCAGAUGGUCUCAAGGAAUGAGAAAAUCAGAUACUUCUAAUUACUAUAAAGUCUAUGUUAGUGAAAUUCAAAUGGAGGUUGAUCCCACCUCAUUUAAAGCGCUCAAUCGAGCUUUGAGAAGUGUCUGCUUAUCUAAAUGAUAAGAGACUAUGUGAGAUGAAAAUUGGUGAAUUCUGACGAUGUUCGGGACUCAUAAGUAAUUUCCUAUGGAGCCAAAACAGUAGGCUGUUAAGAGUCAACAAGGACAAUGUGACUCCAAAGUAAAUACGUAAAGGUGUAAAACACGACUUAAAUCGAAAGGUUUUUGCGGGUUUACACUGAAUAGAUUACAAUAAGUGUUGGUAGCACAUCAUGAUCUGAGUUACAUCAGAUGAAAGAUAUUAUAAUUUGAGUUAUAUCAGAUGAAAAAGUAAAGAACACAGGGGAUACUGCCUGAAGAAGUCUUUUAUGGACUAAAGCAAUCAAAUGUUGUUUUGGGUUAAAGAAAAUGCGAGGACAAUUGUAUUCGUGCAAAGUUAUAGAAUGGGAAAUUCAUUUCCUAAUCAUGUGCAUGUGGAUGACAUCCUACUUGCUAGUGGUGAUGUCAACCUACUGCAGGAGGAGAAAAGAAGUUCUUGUCCUCAAAUUUCAAAAGAAUGUUCUCGGUAGAGUGUCUCUCGUUAUAAGUAUCGAGAUUCACGAAGAAAAGAAUAAAAGGGGGUAUUAGGGAUGUCGAAUGGACAUGCUAAGAAAGGUCUCUAAAGUAUGCAUGCGAGAAAACCUACGCCUGUUCUUACAGUCAAGGGUAAUGGAAGUGGAAGCUAUGGUGUUCCAAAAGUUGACGAGAAAAGAUUCAAACAUAUAUGGUACCAUAUGCUUUAGCUGUUGGAAGCUCAAUAUAUUGCCCUGACACAGUUCACAUAUCCGGGUUGUUUUGGCAAUGUCCAGUCCAUAUAUAGAUCACUGGAAUGGAGACAAAGAUAUCGGCCUCAUGCUGAAAGAAAUAAGUGCUCUCAAAAGAUUGUGAGUACAAAGACAUGACUUGUGAAAUGUAUAGCGAAAUCCACAAUUGUCGCUAACUUUCAUACUUGGAGGUUUUUGUGUGGAAAAGCUUCAAAGAAUGAAACAAUUAUCUUCAAUGUGAUGCAAAGAUAUUUUAUAGCUUGAUAUGAGGCUGAGGGACAGGCAAAAUGGUUAAGGAGACCUGUACCCGAAGUUGAUAAUGGUUGACAACAGUGAUAACUAUUAGUCUUUCGCUCCUGUGACAACGGGUCAAGUGUUGGUGCCAAACACAUUGACACAAAGUUAUACGUUGUUAAGGAGAAAGUCCGGAAUUAUGUUGAAAUGCUUGGAGCAUGAAAGCAACAGACAAGUAUUUGCAGAUCUGCUUAUUAAAGGCUUACCGCCCAGUGUGUUCGGAGAACACACAGUCGACAUGGGUUUUAUGGUAUAGUCUAACAUUUCCGGACAAUAAAAGGGCCCAAGGUUAAAGAAACUGUUUCAAAACAGAAGAGUGUGUUGUGGGUGUUGAUUCUAUCGGGAUAGACCGUGAUGAUGAGACAUGCUCUACAUGCAAAUCUGUGAUGGAACGAGUACUUUGAAAAGAGUUAUUUCGAAGUACAAAGUUAAAAGUAUAUGAUGAGAUCAAGGGGGAGAAUGUUAGGUUGAUCUCUCCACCAAUGGGCCCAACGGCUCAUUGGGCCCUUGACCCACACCCUGAUCGGGGGCGUCCAGCCCAAGCAAGGCUGGUGGGCCCCUAUCGCGCAGUGCUAUAAAGAGGAGGUGGGGACCAGGGGCACAGGGUACGAGGUUUGUCGCCGCCACUGUUCCCCACUCCUAACCCUAAUCCGAUCUAGAGGGAGGCACUGAAGCGAUGGGAAGCGCCACCAGCCACUUCAUCGUCACCCUCUACACCGACCGUCGCUGCCCGUGCGCAGACCAUCACCGACGAACCAGCGAUGGCCGGAAGGCUAAGGUAAACACCCAAACAGAGAAGAUAUGCCACCGAUCUACUCCUAGUCGAUCCAGUAAGUCUAUCACGACCAUCAGCGCGACGGGCAGAGCACCCAGCCCGUAGGCUCAUCCCCUUCUCCGAUCCACUCCGGCAGCGGCCAUCAUCGAUACGUUCCGCUCGUGAUAUAUUGGUGUAGGCUCAUCCCCUUCUCUUUAUCUAAAAAGGCUAUUCUACAUAUGCCGAGGAGAAGAUGCUCACCUUCUCGCCCCUCCCCCUACCGUGAUGUACGUGGAUGAAUCCGACGGCAACGAGGACGACCUCGUAGGAUCCAGCCACGGUUGUGCGGAAUUUCGCGGGGACGGAUCUACCCGGCCUCUCGUCCUAUCUGCCGCUGGUAGAGGCAUCCAUGUCCGAUGGUGUGAAUUUUGGCUGGUUCCAUGAGCACUUCGUUCCCUGCCGUGUAGUCUUCGUUGAUUCGGGAAGAUGGUGGUUGUCUGUUUAGCCAUUUCAAUCUGCUAUUGAUCAUGCUCAUUCUUGUUAUAUUCAGUUAUAUUGGAAACACCAUCUGAUUCAGUUAUAUUCUUGAUCAUGCUCAUGCUCAUCCUUAUUCAAAUAAGAAUACUUCUGUUUGGAGAGCUCGGGCGUCAGCUGUGUGGAAGCACCAGUUGAUUUGUAACUGGUCGGAAGGUGAGCUUCUCAUACUCGCUGCCGUCGAAGCACGGCACCUCGCCGCCACUUAUGUUGCGUGUUGUUGUGCUGUAGGUCCUUGGGGUUGGUUGCGGCAACUCGCGACUCGAAGACAUUUCGUGCAUGUGCUCCCCUGCGCUUGGUGACCAAUACAUCUACUCCGUCGUGAACAUGUGCUUCGUGUCAUACAGGUCGCCGCCAAGGGUGAGCUCGUGCAGCGGUACAGGUAUAGAUGUGCAUCCCAUAAGGGCAGCUACAGUUUCUUUCAUAAAGUUAUUUGUGUGAGUGCCCUGCAUAUUGAAGUAAACUGGAUCGGCUAAUCUUGAGUUCCUCUACCAAGUUAUAUUACUUCGACAAGAAAAGGUGCAGAAAGACCAUAUAAAGUACUCUGGUGACUCUCUCAAUUGAAAUAGAAUUUUUUUAGAUGCGUGAAACAUGCACAACGAUUUGCUCUAUUGAGUCUAUGUAUGUUGAACUAGCACUCGAAUUAUAGCUCAUGCCGGUAUACUAAUUUUCUCUUUCUCAUAUCAGCUCUCCUUCCUUUUGUCCAUUUUUCUUCACUACUACCUGAAGGAAACUGUACUGGAUAGCAGCCUAUCAUAUAUAGUUACAUGUACCGAGUGAUUUAGCUUCAUUUUAAUGAUACUAUCAACAACUAACUACUGCUGCGACAUAUUUGAUGCAACCUGUAAAAUAUUUUUUGUUUAAUUUCAGCAUAUCAUUUAUAUACUGAAGUCUCUUCUGGACAUGUUGUCUAAUUGCGUCAUGUAUGUUAGAUAUUUGUUCUAUAAUACUUGCCAUUGACUAUUUUCUUUUAUUUAGGUUAUGUGCAUUAUUGAUCAGCCAAUCUUGAGAGAGAGAUGGGUUGGCGUGAAUGGGAAGAAAACUACAUUGAAUGGACAAGAAGUAUGCCCUCAACUUUUUCAUGGUACUCCCUCCGUCCGGAAAUACUUGUCAUCAAAAUGGAUAAAAGGGAAUGUAAUCUCUUUUUAUCCAUUUUGAUGACAAGUAUUUUCGGACGGAGGGAGUAUGUCUUACUUAUUGUUCUUGUGAUUUUUCCAUCAGUUUCACUUUACAUUUCUUCUUUGCUUUUUCAUGGCAUCGGGAUGCCCACUGCCGACGGCGCUGCGUUGCUACCAAAGGGGCACCCUGCCGCGGCCGGGGACUCGCUGCCGUCGAAGCACGACACAUUUCCGUCACGUAUCUUGGGUGUUGUGGUGCUGCAGGUCCUUGGGCUUGGGUGCGGCAACUCGAGACUCGAAGAUGAUCUUCUGUGGUAGGGCGUCGCCGGCGGCGGCGGCACCUGUAUAGACCGUCUCGGUGUGACAGAAGAGUUCGGAGUUCACUCCGAGAAAGAAUUGCUUUGCAUGUACAUUUGCUGAAAGACUGAUGUGCUGAACUUUCGAUGAUUUCGAUUGGUCUCUAACAUAACCUUUCCUCUUUUUGUUGAUAUGUCCAAAAGAGAUCCUUAUUUCACCUUUUGUUUAUAGGUAUUCAACUUGAGGAAUUUCAUACUUUUGGAGUGGAGCUAUCAAAUAUAUGUGUGCUCGAUGUUGGUGUUUUAAUCCGGAUCUCUUGCUGAAGGUGCUCGAUGUUGGUGUUUGAAUACUGCUACCGUACUUCAAGGUCUGUAGCAGCUCUUACAAUGGAUUCUUUUUAAUGAUAGUACAAUUUAUUUUUGUUUCGAUUUGGUAUUGUUGUUCUGUUCACUUAACCCAUUCUGUAGCAGCAGCUUUUCAUGUCGUUUCCUCGCCAACAAAUGUCAUAAUUUAUCACAUACGUGUGCAAAUGGUUUUUUGGCUAUAGUAUGAGUAUAUGGUUCAGAGAAGUUCGGUCAGAUGCAAAGCAUGCUUAGCAUCUCAUAGUCGUAGGCUAUUCCUUUUAAAAUUGAAGCCAUCCAGGUUUUCAAUUAUGGAGAUGAUUUGGAAACUCAGCAUAGAAAAUUAUUUACUCUAAUGCAAAUUACACAUAUUAAGGCCUUUAUUCUUUUAUAUUAAGGAAUCCAGUGCAAGCAUUAGCCCAUCUUUAGCUGCUCAUAAGCAGUAUCAGUGAUAUAUAUAUAUAAGUACACUCUUGCUAAGAUUAAUCUUUGAUAUAUAUAAUUCAUUGCCUGGAUAUAGUUUGCUUUGAAUGUUUUUUUGCUCUUUAGUCUAUGAAGAAUUGCAAGGAGGAGGAUAAUAGAGCAGCAACCAGAGCUGACAAUUGGCCUGUAAAUGCAGCAAAGUUCUCCUAGAGGUGUGAUGUUGGUGGUGAUUUUCUUAUAUGGGGAUAUGGAUGUGGCGGGUCUAUGGGCACCAUGCUGACGCAGAGAAGGAGGUGCAGGUAGCGGGGCGCUUGAGGUGAGGUGGCUGCAGGGUCGCUCGAGAAGAACAGGCUCAUAAGCACCACCUGGAUGCCUUCGUCAUCAGCAAUGUGGACAAGGUGCAAAAGGGAUAUCUCCCUUACCUCUUAUUCAGCCUGGAAAAUUAUGCAAUGUUUGGUUUGGCAGAUUUAACAGUCGCUGGUUUGGAAAUUUGUUACGUAUAGAAGUAUAGGAAUAACAUGACUAAUAUUUAUUGAAUUUAUAGAGUUAUUGUUUUUUUCUACAAAGUCAGUUGUCACAUUAGAAGAACAUCGUCUAAAAUCUUGACAACAUAAAGGAGCAUAGAGUUAAUAGAUUAUGAAAUCCUGUAGUGCAUCAGAUGCACCCUUCACUAAUUUUUGAACACAUUUAUAUUAUCCAGGUUCCGACCUCAUUCCCUGUGAUGUUUGUCUUUUUUAUGUGGGCGAGGAAAACAUUUUUAGGAGUGAUACUCCCAAACUUUGAUUUCUUGGUUGUCGAAUCAUGGUGCUGAUUAGAUUUUACUUAACCUUAAUUAAUCUAUUUAUAUUGCGGCUUUGUCUUUUAGCUCAUCUUUUAGUUUCUCUUCUCCACUUAACACAAGAUUUUAUUGUAGGCUACCAAGUACAGUUAUACCACUUAUACUCUUUCUUUCUGAUUAUGCAAAGCUUGAUCUAUACUCAUUGAACUUUGUUAGAUAGUAGGCCCCCCUAUUAGUGUGCCUGAAUAUAAUUGUUUCUCCGUGUUUAUAGUAUCUUAGUCCAGUAGAAUGAAUGUUCUCGAGUAAUUAGAGGUAGUUGGAUCAAGUGAAUGUCUGAAUACCACUAAAAUCGAAAUCAUAAUUAAAAAAUACUGACCUUUUUCUUCAGGGCGUCUGUUCCUCCUCCCAUGGUCAGCACCACCACCUACUCUGAAUCUCCGAUCAGAAUAGUAUGAACUAUUAAAUAGGGAACUUAAUGCUUAUCAUUGUUGAUGUACAUAUGUACAACUAACAAUGUGUGUGCUGCAACCAGCUUACUUUAUUCCUUACUGAAAUUUAUCUUGAUUUAUUUCACAUCAGAUAGUUCUGAACCUAGAUGAUCUCAAUUAAGGUCAUUGAAAUUUGUUAAAUUAUUUUUAUCCGCUCUUCUGAACGAGCGUAUACUAUGAUCUGAUUUGUAUAUCAUAUUACUGAGGCAGCGCUGGGCCAUGUUGUGGUGAGAACAUACGAGAGAUAAUUGGGGUGUGUGGCUGAUUGCUUCAUAUGCUGCUAAUCAUAUAUGUAGACUGCUGAUUGCUCCUGAUAUACAGUGUCGAUUGCAGCUGAUAGUAGGAUUGUACUCAAUUUGAUAGGUAAAGUGGGAUGGCGGGAUUGUAUAGUGCUCAUAAGCCAGUCCGGGCAUUGUCCUUCCUCGAAUGAAUCUGAGACUACUCCUCAUAUGUUAAUCAGUUGCUCCUCCCUAGCUUUGGUUUGGUCUGAACUUCAAAGUUUUCAUCCAUUCAACGUUGAUUCAGUCAAAGAUCUCUUGGAAAAAUUAUUUCGACAAGAUUCACUCUAUAAUGUUGUUAUCAUUGUCCUCUGGAAUAUAAGGAAGCGCAAAAACUCCAAGGUCUCCUGGGAUGUUUUUGAGGAAUUGCACAUUACUGCUAGCAAGAUUGCUGCUGAUUGAUACCAUGGUCCAACAGGUAUUCACACGAAAUUAAUAAAUGGCACCUUACGGAUUGGAGUACUCCACUGUAUCACCUAUCUGGGAGAUUUUAAUUUUUUCCUUCUAUUAUUUCUCUUAAUCCCUGUGUACUCAUUGGACUUUGUAUAGUUCUCAGUUUUAUGAAGUGGUUCAGGCUGGCGUAAGCCGCCAUAGUCCCAGUAAAAAAAGGCUACAAGCUUCGCUUCGGCCUUUCGGAACUGAAUAUUAUGUAGUUUUAUUGAGAUUAUUGAUAGUGCUUCUCUACUAUCAAAGAAGGUAAUAGUCUCUUAUGUGUUUCUUUUUGUCCAUUUGAAUGCACUCCAUUUUUUAGUGUAUUAAUUAACAUCAAACCUCCCAUUCUUUCUAGAGUGCUGAUGUAUUAUUAUUUUCAGCUUAACACAUUUAACUUCCUAUAGAUUUCAUGGUUUAUGCAGAUUAACCGAGCUAAGAACUUUUGUGAAGCUAAAGCUGGUGUUAAGAUGAACGCCGCUAUGUAUAUAUUUGAAACAGUUAGAUACAUGCUUGACAGACUAUAUAGGGGUGAUCAAAACCAUGCAAAGCAUUAUGGGACAAGUUUCUCUACCUUAAAUAAGUGUGCGUUCUCUCGUGUUUACUAUUCGUUUAAGGGUCAUCAACCCGUGUAUUUAUUUUCAUUGACCAAGUUUUAAAUUUUUCUUCAGUAGUGUUCAUUGUGCAGUUCUAGAUUGUUAAGAGAGUAGAGUUUAUUGAUUUAUUACAUGGAGAGACCAGAAGUGUCGUAGUGGUCUUGACAUAAUUGCUAACAUUUUCUACUAGACAAAGUUUAAUUGCACUAAAUACAAAUUAGAACAUGCAUAGACAUUUAUCUUCUUUCUACAGAAUGGUUAGUGUAAACGUACUUUGAGUUGUACAUGAUUCUGUAUCUGACCAUUUUAUCUCAUAUGUUGAUGUGGUUGCAGAUAUGAACUUCAAAUUAUCCUGCAAUGUAUUGACUGCUCAGAGCUAACUUGACUACGCCAGUUUUCUUUUAUGGCUCAAAGUAGUUAGUGUCCCCCCUUACUAUGAGAGAGGUACUACUUCAAACAUCUCUUCUUAAUGUUUUAUGUCAUGGCAUACAGUAUGAGGGAGUGUUAGUUGGCUUGACUUUCGUGGCACUCAUUUCGAGACUAGUCGUCCAAUAUAUCAAUCUUUAUGUCUCGACCAUUUCGAGACUCCUCGUCAUGUCCGUGAUCACAUCCGGGACUCCGAACAAACUUCGGUACAUCAAAACUUAUAAACUCAUAAUAAAACUGUCAUUGUAUCGUUAAGCGUGCGGACCCAACGGGUUCGAGAACUAUGUAGACAUGACCUAGAACUAUUCUCGGUCAAUAACCAAUAGCGGAACCUGGAUGCCCAUAUUGGUUCCUACAUAUUCUACGAAGAUCUUUAUCGGUCAAACCGCAUAACAACAUACGUUGUUCCCUUUGUCAUCGGUAUGUUACUUGCCCGAGAUUCGAUCGUCGGUAUCCAAUACCUAGUUCAAUCUCGUUACCGGCAAGUCUCUUUACUCGUUAUGUAAUGCAUCAUUCCGUAACUAACUCAUUAGCUAUAUUACUUGCAAGGCUUAUAGUGAUGUGCAUUACCGAGAGGGCCCAGAGAUACCUCUCCGACAAUCGGACUGACAAAACCUAAUCUCGAAAUACGCCAACCCAACAUCUACCUUUGGAGACACCUGUAGUACUCCUUUAUAAUCACCCAGUUACAUUGUGACGUUUGGUAGCACCCAAAGUGUUCCUCCGGUAAACGGGAGUUGCAUAAUCUCAUAGUUUCAGGAACAUGUAUAAGCCAUGAAGAAAGCAAUAGCAAUAUACUAAAUAAUCAAGUGCUAGGCUAACGGAAUGGGUCAUGUCAAUCACAUCAUUCUCGUAAUGAUGUGAUCCCAUUAAUCAAAUGACAACACAUGCCUAUGGUUAGGAAACAUAACCAUCUUUGAUUAAUGAGCUAGUCAAGUAGAGGCAUACUAGUGACGUUAUGUUUGUCUAUGUAUUCACACAUGUAUCAUGUUCCCGGUUAAUACAAUUCUAGCAUGAAUAAUAAACAUUUAUCAUGAUAUGAGGAAAUAAAUAAUAACUUUAUUAUUGCCUCUAGGGCAUAUUUCCUUCAUCUCCUCCCCUGCUCGGUCUACCCCACAUGCAUGGCGUAUAACAUCCUCUAGCCCCAACUGCCGCCAAACCUCUCUAGCCUUAUGGCAUCAAAAUAGUACAUGACACACAUCUUCUGCUCCUUGUUUACAUGCAGGACACGGCGGCCGGACUGGGAUGUGUCUAUUAGCAAGAACCAUUUUGCAUGGCAGUGUUCCGUGUAAGGUUCUCCAAAGAAAUUUUUUAACUUUCGCCAGACAAUUCAGUUUCCAAACCUUUUCCCAUGUUGGGUUAGCACUAGUGGCUCCCAAACCAUGUGUCCUCUUCAAUUUACGGCCAUGCUGAAAGUACCAUAGAGCAUGGUAGGCCGAUUUCACUGUAAAAAUUCCAUGUUUAUUCAAACUCCAUGCUACAAAGUUACUCAUAUCAUGUGUAGGUAGUGGUAAAGCAAGGACCCGUUCCACAUCAAUCGAGAUGGUUUGCUCCACAAGUGGCACAUCCCAGUGACCUGUAGCUGGAUCAAUUAAAUCUCUCACCUUUGAUAGUAACUGGUUACCUCUUGGGGUAAUAAUCAUUCUGGAUGGUGAGUUAGGAAUCCACGCAUCCCUCCAAAUAUUUAUUUUUUCACCAUCCCCUACUCUCCAAAUGUAUCCAUGUUUCAGGGUAUUCACCCCUUGCAUAAUGCUCUGCCAAGUGUAGGAGGAAUUAUUUUUCAGCUUAAUUAAUUUACCAGCACAAGAAGCGGCCGUGCUGGGAGUGAAAAACUUCCAUGACUUGAUGUCCACUUGCUGCUGGUACCUUUGGUGGGAGAGGAGAAAGCUUGUGCACAAUGAGCCGGUACAAGAUGCGAAGAGAGUUGCGCAAGCGGUAUGUGCUUUAGCUGCUAACUAUGCUAUUGCAUGUGACCCAAAGGCCUCGUUAAAGAGGGGAGGUUGGUGCAAACCCCCUAGUGGAUAUGUUAAUUUAAAUGUUGAUGCGGCCUUUGAUUGGGAUUUGCUUCAGGGGGCGAUGGGAGCAGUCAUCCGAGAUGAUAGAGGACAUAUGGUUGUAGCUAGAAACAAGCUCAUUGAUUCCUGUUAUGAUGUACUAACUGUUGAGGCAAUGGCUCUGAAGUUUGGGUUGAAUAUGGCGCUCACAGCUGGGUGCAAUAGACUGAUUGUCAACUCGGAUAAUCUGGAACUCAUGGAAAUAAUGAAUAAGGAUGGCCAAUAUGUUGGAGAUGCCGCGACCAUUGUCGAUGAUUUUUAUCAUCUGGCUUGCGAAUUUAGCUCUAUUGUCUUCGAAUUUUGCCCCAGAGAGUCGAAUGGGGUUGCACAUGAACUAGCUAGGAUUGCUAGAAGUUCGCUUUGUAAUGAGUGGUUAGAUAAUGCUCCUUCUGAGCUUCUUCCCCUACUACUUAAAGAUGUAAGUCUGAUCACGAAUGAAUAAAGAGGAAGUAAAGUUGUCAAAAAAAAGAGCAUGGCAAUUUUAUUUUUAAUGGCAUGUCAUUCUUACCUUUAUUUUUGAGAAAAGCAUGUCAUCUUUACUAUGUCCUUCUCGCCUGAUGUAUGAAGUAGGCGGACCCUAGAUGGGCUUUCCCAAUAUGGGUUCCUGGGACCGGGUUCCUGCAGAGUUUUUUUUUCUUUUCGUCUUGUGUGUUUCCUGGGCCAAUUUUCAUCUUUUUGUUUGGUUUUCUGUCUUAUGUGUUUCUUUAUGGAUUUUAUUCUUUCUCAAUACAUGUCCAUUUUUCUAAAUACACACUGUAAAAAUUUACACAUCUUGAACAUUUUUUAUUAAUUGGCAUAAACCUAUUUUUGGAGUGUGUGAGCAUAUUUUAAUUGUCAUGUACAUUUUUCUGAAAGGCAGUAUUUAUUUUGCUGAAUUACGUGAGCAUUCUUUACACAUCUUGAACAUUUGUCCAUAUUUUUUUGAAACACAUGAAAAUAUUUUUGAAUGCUAUAAACAUUUUUUAUAUCAUGCUGCAUUAGGUCUAUAUUAGUUUAAACUAAGUCAGUGACAAUUAAUAUGGAUCAUAGAGAGUACAAUUUUGUACAUGAUGUUUAUAAUUUUAUAUUUCACUUUCCACAUUUUUUAUUUAUUAAACUCUAUUGUGUUUUUGGAAUAAGUGUAUUUAGAAUAUUUUUUAAAAAUGUAAAUAAAAUGGAGCGAAUGAAGAAGCAGAGAAGAAAAACGAAGGCCGGCCAAAUGUAUGGCUUUCCCUGCCUCAUACCUGCAAAUCAAGCUAAGCAGCGGGUGAUAAUUUUUUACACAAUGUUUAUAGUUUUCUAUUUCAAUUUGAACAUUUCAAAAUUUUAAGGAAAUUAUUAUUUUUAAAUAAAUGUUUUUAGUUUUUUUUAAUAAAAAGGUGAAAAAAAAGGAAAUUGAGCGAAUGAAGAUUGAAGAAGCAGAGAAGAAAAAUGCCCUUUCUUUCAUUAACUGAACUGCGUGCGUGCAUGGAAGGGCUAUCAUCUUUACUUAAGAGGAGUGACUUACCUAUCAUUGUGGAGAUGAACUCUAUUCUUGUAGUCAAACUGAUCCAAUCGAGGGAUUUGGACAAAUCUAUUUAUGCUUGGAUAGUUAAGGUGAUCAAGUAUGUUUUGGGGAUUCGUGGUUCUUGUAUUACUCAUGUAAAUCGCUCUCAAAAUAAAGUUAGCGACUGCUUAGCUAGAUUUGCUAAAUUAGAAGGACAAACCAUGACUUGGGUUGGUUCUGGUCCAGAUGUUGUUGUUGAGCUAGCUGUUGCUCAAUGUAUGGACACCAUGAGUUGAGUAAUGCAAAAAAAAAAGUUUGCGCAAAAUUAUUUUCAAUUUUUUUUUGAAAAUUUUAAAUAUGGUUUUUGUUUUUUUUCUUUUCAAAAAAAAUACCACACAAAUUUGGCAUUCGUUCCAUGGCUCAUAUCUCUACUCCUAAUGGACGACUUGGUGAAUAGUCUUCAUGGUUUAUUUUCGCUGGGUUUUUUCAUCAUCCUCCCACCUCACGGUUUCAAAAAAACCAACCAAAACUAGAGGCCCGUCCCACGAAACGAAACCCAAUUUGCCCUCGUACCACCACUCCUCCCUCUCCCUUGACCUCCCUUGUCUAGGGUUCCCCGGCACCACUGCGGCAGCCGCCGCCGAAUCCUAGGUCGCCGCACAUCGUCGCCGCCGCCGCGAAUCCCCAGGGACGCCGCACGCCACCGCCGUUGCGAAUCACCAGAGACGCCGCACGCCGCCGCCGCACGCCGCCGCCGCGGAUCCCUAGGGAUGCCGCCGCCACCGCCGCGGAUCUCCAAGGGCGUGGUCACGUUGUACUAGACAAAGUGUGUUCGUCGCCGGCCUCUCCUCGUCCGACCUUGACUUCACCCCUUCGACUCCGGUGACUCCUCUGUGGCCCGGUGGGCGCCAACUGUCGUGGAAUUUUCAUGGCAGAUGUCCUAGUGUGAGGACUUAGUCGUGAGGCCAACGCAUCUACGCGGUAGCUUGAAGGGAUUGGUCGGAAUCGAGAGAUGCGAGGCGGAUCAACACACAAGACAAGGAUUUAGACAGCUUCGGGCCCCAGGAAACAUCAUCCGGUAAUAGCCCUACAUGAUGUUUGUGGCUAGCUCUCAUUAUGCUCACGAGGGAGUCGCCGUAAACCGGCUCUCCUAGUUAUGUCUAGCCCUAGAGAUUGUUUCUUCUUGCUUGUCCCUCUUUGGGGAGCCUUGUCCCUCCUUAUAUAAGUUAGAGGGGCGGGUUACAUGUGGAGUCCUAUUAGGAUUAGGACUAGUCUACCUUCUAAUACAAACCGGAUACAAGUCCAGGUCUUAACUCCUUGUAAGACAAAUAUUUCUCACGCCUUUCCUCUUAAACCGGCCCACCAUAACAUGAGCCGGCCUUCUGGGCCUUGGGACUUGUCAUCCGUCUGUCCCGCCCGCCGGGUUACCAGUGAAUCAUAAUGUUCAGUCAGGUUGCUUGUAAACUGUCUGGUCAGUGCGGGUCGCCGGUGAAUCGCCAAGUCCGGCUGGGCUAUACUUCCGGCCGGGUUACGCCGCGGGGUAUAUCCCCGACAUCUCCCGUGAUAUCUGACGAUAUAUUUAUAAGUAAUGCGCAUGGAUGGUCCGUCCUUGAUUUUAGGGUGGCUUAGUCGGUUGGAAGAUUUGUUAGUUAGCCUAUUUAAAGGUAGCACGAUGCUCUGGUGCUAUUGUCAGGGCUUGCUAGCCCAGCGGAGGAGUCCCUAGUUCUUCUCUUACCCAAAGUAUUACGACCACCGUCUGUCAUUGCCGCAGUCGCCUGACACCAAAUCAACCAUGUCAUCGUCGAGCUCCAUUAGGUACGCGCUGAGGGGCCGAUCAGUUGAUGUGCCCCUGAUCCCUUGCCCUGACUGUGGCGAAACGGUUAGAUUCUAUCUCUCUAGUACCGAAGAGCAUGAUGGUUGGGUGUUCUACAAGUGCAAACACCACGAUGUACAAUCCCUUUACACUUUGGGUUGACAUUUACUGCAUGAGUAAUUUUUUCUACUGUUUCGUUAGUGCUGGUUUGAUUUGUGUUCACUUGAUUCAUAGGAUCCAUGUGAUUUCUGGCGCUGGGAACUAGAGUACGUGGAUCAUCUUGUUGGUACAAGUGUCCUUGUUGGUGCUUAUGCCCUUGACGCAAUGGCUGCGGCACAGGAUAGAAGGGAACAGCUACAGCGCGCAAAAAACAGUGGGAAAAGAAUGCAUGUACCAAGAGUGGCAACAUUGGAGGCAGGACAAAUUACAUUCAGAGCAAUGUGGCAACCAUUACGAAGCACCAAGCUUAUAUGAUGUUAGGACUAGGGAGACAAAUUGUUUUCAUGCUGAAGCUGUUGACGGCUAGUGUAAUGGUGUUGUGUGUGUUGUGUGUGAUGUUGAUUGUGAAGAAAUAAUAUAUUUGUGAUCGUAUCAAGGCGAUUAUCAUGGUUACAUGUAAUAACAACUUAAUAAGAAGGUGUGUUCUAACAUGAUAACUCUUAUACGCCCCCAACCCUAUUUUAACAUGACAUGUAAGAGUAAGAAAUAAAUCUUAUACGAUGAUUCCACGAAAUAGUUGUUUUGGUUAUUUCUUACGUUCUUGACUAUUAUGAGAAAAUAAGAGGUAAGACGGAGCAUGUUAAAAUUGUUAAAAAAUAAUGAAUAAACCGAGUUGCAAUGAAGGCAAUCGAAUGGAAAAACAUAAAUGACCAUUUAAAUUCUUGCCCACUAUGUUGUGCACAAACACAAGAGUACCAUGUUAACACCACAUACAAAUGAUUCCAACUUUUUUUCAUGCCCUCCCAUGAGCAAAUCAAGCAAACAUGCAAAUAUGGUUCUCAGUUUCGACAACUUCUCCACGUAUUGGGAUUUUUUUAUCAAAAAUGCCUGAAAACUGGCCCCACGUGACAUUAGUUGCAAACUUUACUAAGAAUACAUCAAACUUGGCAUGGAGGACUAACAUGACCAUGAGUUGUUACCCCAAAAUUUUUGUGUUGAUUUAAGAAAUGUCAACAAACCAGCAUGUGUCUUCUCAGAGGAUGCCAUGUUAGCCCAAAGGAAGGGCGCGUAUUGGAGCACCUCCGUCUUUACAAUAUCCACAAAUGAUGCCAACUUUAUUUCAUGAUCUCCCAUGAAAAAAUCAAUAAUGCAUUCACAAAGAUUUUUAAUUUGGCCAACAUUUAUAAUCCUUCUGCAAUUUCGAAACGAAAAAGAAACAUCGUCUGCAUGGUCUACCCCCCUAGCCACACAUCGAAAGCAUGGGGCACAUGAUGCAUUACACUUUGUUUGUCUUAUGGUGGACCUAGUUGACACACCAGGCCUAGUUGGAUCAUUGGCCUACACCGGAUUCCAUGUCAUGUGAAACCUCGGCCACAUCAACUGCUCCCGUCUAGAACCUUCGAACUGCACUUUCCACUUUGUGAAGCAAGUACAACAUGAAAUUUGUGAAAUUUCCCCAAGCUUUUAAAGUGCAUCUCAUGACAAAAUCAAGUAAGCAUGCAAAAAUGCUAUUCAGUUUACACAGAAUUUUGCAUGUACAGUAAUUUUUUCGGCCGAAAAUACUAGAAAACUGGCCACAUGUGAAUCAUAUUGCAAACUUUACAAAAAAAUGGUUCAAACAUGGCAUGGAGGCCUAACAUGGCCUUCAAUACUCACCCCAAAAAGUUGGGUCAAUUUCAUACAGGCCAGGAUAGUACUAUAGCAUCUGCUCUCAAAGCGCGCCAGGCUCGGCCGGAAGGGCUUGUGUUGGGGAACCUCCAUGAUCACACCAGCUUCAUAUUUGGUAAAAUAUAUUUCAUGGCCUCCCAUGACCAAAUGAAGCAUGAACACAAUAAUUGUAAGCUUCUACUAGAUUUUCCAUUUUCUUCCAUUUUUCGGUCAAAAAUGCCCGAAAAGUGGCCGCAAUUGCCAAAACUUGGAAAUUUUGCUGAAACUCGUUUUAAUGUUGUCCUAGAAGCCUGUAAUGUAACAUUUUCCUUUGCAUGUCAUAAGUUGGGUUCAAUCCACAUGAAACAUGAUCUACUUGGUUUGUACAUUCGACAGUGUAGUCGCGCUUCUGACCGGGAGCUUUACAAAGGUUCUCGACGGAGGCAGCGCGUGUACCGCAUCGACUCCAUGGAUGGAAUCCAAUUUGAACCAAUGUUCGCACUUGGUAUGGUAUCAAUUAGGUCCACCCUUAGGCAAAGAAGCUUGAAGGCAUCAUGUGCUACCACUUUCGAUGGUUGUCUAGGGGGGUAGACCGUCUGGGAGGAAAUGAAAAAAUCAUGAAAAUCAUGUGUAACCUUGAACGCACUGUGCAUGCAUGCUUGAUUUGGUUCAUGGGAUGGCAUCAAAAUAACUUGGAAUCCUAUGUACAUGGUAUAUUGAAGGAGAUGGCCCGAGACGGGCCCUUCCGGGCUAUCCUUGUACCCUCCGAAAGCACGUGUUGGUUUAUUGACCUAUAUUAAAUGAUCGUCAAGUUUGUAGGGUUACAAUCCAUGGCCAUGUUAGGGAUACAUAUGCCAAGUUUGAACCAUUUUCAUCUAAGUUUGCAAGUUUUUUCAUGUGUAAAUCUUAGUCUAAACUGAGAAGCAUUUCGCAUGGUAGCUUGUUUUGGUCAUGGGAUUCCAUGGGAAAUAGUAGACAUCAUUUUGUAUUGUAGAUGAUCUACUAUAAACAUGGGGGUGCCCCCAAACACGUCCUUGCGGCCUUGACAUGCACCCUCCAAAAUCACAUGUUGGUUUGUUGACCUACCUGAAAUCAACCCAACUUUGCAGGGUUGCAAGCCAUGGUAAUUAUUGGGGUAAGUACAAAUUUCAACCAUUUUUAGCAAAGUUGCAAGUUUUGUCACGUACGGACAAUUAUCGGGCAUUUUCAGAACAAACAACAUAUUUUAUACCACUUAAAAAAUGCAUUCCUUUCUCGAUGACACAUUUGUUUUUUCUUCAGAACAUUACAUUUGUUUUGGCCAAUUACAUGCUAAUGUUUCAACCUCCCAUAACUCACGCCACCCAGAUCUCCCGAAAUCCCAUGAUUACAGCUCCUCCCUCGUAACCACCCGCGGCAUCCAGGUCCCGUACCACCUCCCACGACUGCUGCAAGAUCAGAUUGUAGCCGCCGCCCACCAGGAACAUCGCCUGAGGGGUCGGACCACAGUGGUGUUGUCGCCGUCUCCUACGCGCGUUAACGCGCGCUGCUCCUGUUGCUGCCGUCGAGCGCCACACAUCCACAUCUAGUGUGGGACGCACUAUCCGCGUGGAGCAUUGGGCCGCCACCAUCGACGACAGAAUGUUACGUGAUCAUAGCUCUUUUGUAACCUUUCUUGGACACGCAUGUCUACUAGUAAAGCCCUAAUAGGUUUCCCACAAGUUAUUCCAGUCGUUAAGAUUACCUGAUCAUAUCUCUCAUUAAUAACUAUCAACAUGAUCAAUCUUGGCACACUACACGAACGUCCGAAGAGGUAAUACUACAACAAGGGUAUCUCUUUCAUGAAAUAACAUGUCGUAUGUUUAUGCAAUCCCAAAACCCUAGUUGAACUGUCCCAAUGUUAUGCAUGACCAAAAUCUGUGGUGUGCUUAAAGUUACAUGUAGUUCAUAUUAUUUAAUAAACUCAUCCAUGCUUGCGUAUAAGAAUCUAUUUUUGUUACACAUUUCUCAAUGUGAAGGUCAAAUAAAUUGAACUGGUUUUGCUUCUGUUCCAUAGGUGCAGUAAAAUGGAAACUACUGUUAAAAGUGCUAUUAAUGGAGAAAAAUACGUCUCCGAAAUGACCGAUGAGGUACAUAGUUGACAUUUCGUUUGAAAACUGUACUUGCAGACACUUCUUUCAUACUCGAUAAAAUUUAUUGCUACUUUUAAAGGAAAUCUUGAGGAAGCACGGCCAAACAAAGUUAGUGUGCUCAUCGUCAAGGCUCGCCAAAGUCAUGAAAUUGUUGUCACCAGAACACAUAGAGAAAAUCAUAAGCGAUACCGGUCUUGGGUGUCUAAACAUGAUUCGUGAAUUUAAACUCCGGCGCAUUAUGUGGUAAGACUAACAUAGAGCUUCAAUAGUGAGACAUCGUCCAUUACCAUAGGUAAAACACCCAUUCCUAUCACCACAAAAGACGUGCACCAUAUAUUUGGCCUUGCGAUAGAAGGGGAGGAUAUUGAUGAAAAGCUGCAAAGCACGCCGGAUCCAAAUUUGUUUAACACAUUUCAAAACAAUGGGAGCAUUGAUCUGGCUGACCUUGAGACAGCGGUCUUAAGUUCCAAACCUUCGGACAAUGAUUUCCUGGCGCGGUUCGUUCAAUUCGCUAUUGGCACAGUUUUAGCACCAACAGCACAAUGUUAUGUCGACGCGAAAUACCUUCAACUUGCUGCGGAUAUUAAAAGCCUUCGAAAAUUGAACUGGGGAUGUUUCACAAUGAAACACUUGUUGAGGUACAUACACAAAUUUAGCUCUCUUGAUCAAGUAUCUCUACAGGGAAAUCUACCUCUGCUUCAGGUUAGUGCAACAUCACUAGUUAACAUUGUAUAAUUGUUUUUCUUUUCUAUAUCUCUCUAUAUUGACGAAGUAAUUUAUUGUGAAGAUUUGGUACUGGGAGCACCCGCGUUCCGGCAAAUUGAUGUAUACUCCUAUACCCCCACCAUUGGUCACACGAUGGGACGAAUGCACGUGUGUAAUAAGAGCAGAAGCUUACACCUCAGGAGGUCUUCAUAAAGGACUGGUGUGUUUCUAGAUUUGACCCAUGUAUGUAUCCGGUUAUUUAUUUGCUACUACUGAUUCAUUGUACCUGAUUCAAAGGUUGUGAUGGAAAUUUGUGCUCGACAACCAGAGGCUAACAUUAGAAAGGAUCCAGGAAGCAAAAAAAUUGUACGUGAGGAUGAAGGUGAUUCAUCUCGAGCACAAUCACAAGGUCAAAAUAUGAGUAGCCACCAAGUAAGCCCAACAAAGACAAUUUUCAUUUUCCAAGAUCAGUAAAAGGUUGCAUCGAAACUCAUUCAUUUUGCUUUGUUCUGAACGGGGUGUUAUUUCGUUUGCACAGGUGCAAAUGAUAGUUGCAGCCCUGAAUGCACAUUGUGCUGAGCAAGAAAAGAAGAUAGACAGACAGUUAAUGGAAUUUCAGCAUAGAUUUGAUGCGAAAUUCCUCACCCUGAGCGAAGAGUUAAUCGACAUUAAGAGUAAAUCUGGCAUUAAUCCUAGGCUCUCGCUGCUCGAGGACGAAAUUAAGAACUUAAGGAGGGAACUGAAGGUAUGUCAUGUUGUGCAUUUUUUAUUGUUAUGAAUAUGUUCCUCCAUAUUCAUUAUUGUUAUAAUUGUUAUAGGAAUUAAAAAACCAAACUAAAGUCAGCCGACAAUCCGAGUCACAGAAAGCAGGCGUCGAGGUAAUAAUUAUGGCCCACGACAUAAGUAGUAUUACCAAACUAAUUAUAAUUAACCAUUUUUGUUGCUGUAGGAACAAGUCAAUGUGUGCAGUGAUCCCUUCAUGGCGACUCCUAAGUUCGACGCAUCCACGCCACGUACUUCGACUCCAACACCAAGUGCCAGACACGUCCUGCCAAACAAGGACGAUCCUCGAAUCACACCGUUGAAGCCUCUAUUUGAUAAUGAUUACGUGCUCACCGCUGAGGACAAAGAGGCAGCCAUUUUCAUCUGGGGAACACACGGCCCUGUUGAAGUCGUUCAAAUCGGAGACAUUCCCCUAAGAGCGGAACAACUGAAGCCAAUUUAUGAUAAAAAAUACAUCUGUGGUGAUGUAAGCCCCUUGUACUCCAUUGUACAUCAACUAUUUGAACUGUUGGCACAUCAUUAUAUGAUUACAAAUUUGGCAGGUUAUUAUGGUGUAUGCUCACAUCAGCGGAGUUGAGACUGAUACUACCUCAGUCAUAUCCCCCAAUGAAACCAGAAAGCUUUUACAAACAAAAGGGGUUAUUCCAAAGGGCCGUGGAAGCUCGUUGCUUCAACUUAUUGCAAAUAAAUUUGUAGGACGCCGGAAGGUACCUAUUUUCCUCACUUCCAUAUAUCGUAAUAGAUAGUGUAGAUGAAAUAUUUCAGGGGUCCCCCGAACCAUAAUUGUUACCUUAUAUACAUUAUUCCGUGGAAUGAGUCCUCUUUGACUUCAUGGCAGGUCCACACCCCGUUUAAUGUGAAUGAUAAUCAUUGGAUGGGAAUGGUGUUCAAUUUCGACAAAGAAGAGAUUCAAAUCCUAAACUCCUUGAAAAAUCAAUUUGGCGAGUCGAAGGAAACUGCUCUUGUAAGCUUUAUCUUGCUGCCUCUUUACUGUCGCAUGGCACAUUAACUCCAAAUCAUCGUAACCCUUCGUAAUACUCGUAUUAUGCUAGGUGGAGGCAAUUCAGGCCUGCAUGGACGGAGCGGUGAAGGAUGUCUUGGUAACACCAGAUAAUCCCAUCAAAUUUACCGACUUGGAAGUAGUACACUAUGACGACAUACCGCAACAGAAUGACGGGUACGUACGACCUCCUAAAUUAUUCCUUGCCGACACGUCCAAGUUUACUAAAACCUAAACUAAACACUGCAUGCAUUCAUGUGCGUUUUUUACACUGAAGUACAUGUUGACAUGGAACAGUGAAGUAUUUACCGACAAAGUGGAGUAGGUGAGCCAAACACUAUAUUUUCUUGUAGAAUAUCUUAUGACUGAACGAUGUGCUGACAUAUGUGUCGCUUAUCAAAUGUAGUCACAAAUAGAUAUAUUUAGCUGGAAAAUAGUUUCAAGCUUGCUGCGUCCAGAUUGCAAUAGUCUUCGCAUGGAAACAUACAAGUACCCCAUAACGGUUAGCGAAAAAGCACUGAUAUUUUAUUGUAUUCACAUGUGUCAUGACGCUACCGAAUGCACUGAUGUCUGCUGUACAGGCAGAGACGUAUGAAGCCCACGUUGCAUCGGAACCUAUCAAUUCACAAGACGAUGUCCAAGAAAUUAUCGGUACUGUUGAGUGCAAGAUAUCAGACACGUCGAGCUCCCCAAAGGAUCCCGACACCCCGAGCUCCCCAAAAAAGCGAAGAGCACGUGGACGCCCGAGGAAGCUUGUUGAUUAAGUGCAAGCUAAAAAAACAAAAACUAUGGAAGAGCUCAGAGUGAAAUUUGAUAGCAAGACCAUUUCUAAACAAGUGUCUUCUUCGAUAUCAAGACGAUCACGCAAGCCAUCACAUGCUAUAUCGAGCCCAUUCAAGUUAACCAAAUGGUAGUUUAGGUACGUACUGGGUAGCACUAUAGUUAGCACUACUUAUGAUACAUUUGUCAUUUACGAUUUGGUGAUUGAACUUUAUCAAACGUGCAUCGACGAGCGGUGAAAGAUGGCUUGCUAACAAGAGCUAAGACCGUAAAAAGUAGUGUAUGAUAACAUACCUCAAUAUAGCAAUCUAUGUUGUCGCAGUACAUACUUUUGGCAAUCACGAACAUUAUAUAAUUUCGGCAAUUAGGAUCAUGUGCAUGCUACAUUUCUGGCAAUUACUAAUGCAUGCUCAUUUGUUUUGCUUCAAAUGGCAGUAUGUACUCCUGGCGAACAUUUGUGUGCUCUACUUUUGGCAGCUAUUAAUACAGGAUCAUUUAGAAUGGUUUAACUGUCCAUAGAAAUAACUAGAAUGUCAUUAUUUCUAAACAUACCAAAUUCAGUGCAAGAUAUAGCAUUAGCAUCUUCAGUUAGAGUCAUAACAUAUAUGUACCAUAUAUCACCAUAGUGGAGGUAUUAGGCAAGGUUGACCGCAAUGCACUUAUUAGUACAGGGUAGGUGCUUACAAGAUAAACAAUAGUUUAAUGAAACAACAACGCAUAUUAGUACAUGGUAGACGCUUAAUUAGGCGCCUAUCAUGUACAAAUUGGCACUGCUGCUUCCAAAAACCAUGUUUAAUAUAGUUAGCAUGUACCUAAGCACAUAGCAUUGGUAGUUGGCCAUUACUAUAAAUGAUCAAUGUACUACCAAACACUUAAACAUAGCAUGUUAAACACUCGCAACCCAAAAGAUAAACCGGCACAUAAGUUCAAGCAGUACGGUGGGGCAGAAGUAUCACACGACAACCAUAACAUAAAAAAAGUCUUAACUAGGGUGGGCCUGUAGUAACAACCAAGUAGCGCAUUAGAUCCUCGGCAUCUUGGCCGGACGAGGAGGCCUCGGGAGGUAGAAUGGAAGAUGCCCCUUCGCGUACUUCCCGAGGAAGGCACCAAAAGCGGAAUGUUCAGCCCGGUCCUGGGGCUUGCGGUUCCUCCCAUUACCACGGCUGAUAUCGGUGCCAUGCAUGAUUAGGUUGUCGUAGUUGCUCUUGAUUCUCGCGCAGCAGAAGGGGCAGGCUAUGUUGCCGUAGAGCCUGUUGGAGCCGCUGAGGUAUGGGAUUUCCCCAUUCCGCAGCCUCCUGAGGACGUAGCGGCUCUUGCUUUCCCUCCUCUCCUUACUAUCAUCCACGUCUUCGUCAUCUUCCUGUGUGUUAGUUGAUCGACAGCUAUGUCAGAUUAGGAAUACAGAAAUGUAGCAUUUCAUAAGAGUAUCAAGUACAUUCCGAAAGUAGGAACACAAAAAUAUGAUCAAUCAGAUGAUUCACACAACAUGUACCUCAUGUAUUGCUAUAUAUGUUUAUGUAUUAUUUGUUAUCUUUCUUGUUCUUUUUUCUUUGCUUUGCAUGCGUACCUGUUCUCCCCUGUAAAGAUGUACUCCUAUUUGUACAAUCUAAGUUGACAAUUAACUAAAGGGUUCGGGUUUUAGGGUAUGAACAAAUCAUUUUACUGCAUUCAAGCACAUAUUUUAUUUCAUAUUGAAAAUAGAUAAUUCCAAAAAUAGGAUCAUUUCCUGCCAUUUCUUACAACAAUAUUUUGUAUGAUCUGGUUUUAUCAUAAAGAGAUACCAGACAAUAUCUAAUUUAAUUAUAUUCAAACUAGAUGAGUACAUACUACAAAGUAAAACUACUGCAUCAACAAAGAAAAGAUUGCCCUCACUUGAUAUUGUGAAGACAACAAAUUAUAUGAAUCAUGUCAUGAAUUAUGUAUAAAAAGAGAAAUUUUUGACUGAGGUACAUCGGUUGCGAACAUAAGAAAUUAUGGCUUUAAUUACUCCUUGUUGCUAAUAAUUACAUAGGGUUCGUACAUAAGAAACUCUACAAUGAAUUACUUACUGCAAUCAGAAAAUGUCUUCACAAUAUAGCUGUAAGGCUUCAUGAUUUUCAUCAAAUAAACUAGUUUUUCUGACAACUAAAUAAAUGUACUGUUUACUAGGUCUCAACAGAUUUGGCAAUCAGAUUGAAAAUAAGAUGCAUAGUCCACUUCAUUAUAUGGAAAUCAUGAAGCAGAUAGAAAAGGUUUGCACUGUUAAGGUAUGGAAGAUUCUAUAAGAAAGGAGAAAAUGUGGUAUCAGCUUUGUGCAUAUGGAGCAUUAUGAUUACGCUUAGUAAUGAAAAUUUUCUAUAUAGUAAGAAUGCAAAAGAAAAUCUUGUUGCUAGAAAUGUACUGUUGCAUGGACUUGACAUGCAUGAUUACUGAUGUGGCAUAGUUUCAUGGAUUGAUUUGUCCAAGAGAAGAACUAAUCCAUGUUUGUUGUUAAUGGCAGGCAGUGGCCGUAAAUUGUUACUACAUGCAUCAGUACUGACCAUAUGCAUAACUCGAUGAUGUGGCCCAGUUUCAUGCAUACCAAAACCAGAUAAUGGGUUGCCACUAUUGAAGAACGGAGCAUAGUUUCAUGAAUAGCAAAACCAGAUAAUGGGUUGCACAAUUGAGGAACAGAGCAUAGUUGUAACAGGGGUUCUCUGAUUUAAACUCUCAUCAUUGAUAGUAUUGUUGGUCACUAGCGAGGCACACGUGCAUUGGGCGUGAAAGCAAGAGUUAAUGUCAAUUAUUUUAGAUGCACUUUACAUUGCUAUGUUACUGUAGCAAUGGAUUUUUGUGUGUGUUUUCUUUAAUAAAGAGAUAAUGUUUGUGCAUAAUAUGCAUUCAGAUUCACAAAGUUCAAAGCAUUAGCAAUUCAUUUAGAAGGAAAGACUUUGCGCUGUUAAAGUAUCCAAGAUUCUAUAACAAUGGAGAAACAUAGUGCUAUGAGGUUGUUUGUGCAUAGGUAAAAUUGUGCUUAAGCUUACAAAUGGAAUAUUCUAGAUAGUACGCAUGCUUGGAAUUUUUCUUUUGUAGUAAAUAAGAUAUCGAAUGGCCAACAAUGCUGGGAUUUACCAUCUGUCCACCGUUGGAUUGGCUUCAUCCAACAGCAAAUAUUCAAAGUUGUUUCCAAAGUACAUGUUUUAAAAGUUACCAUUUAUAGAAGCUCAAGCACCGUUGAUAAAUAUUUACUGUUGCAUGUCAACUUUUCAAGUUCUAGAUAUUAAUCAUUGAUCCUCUUGUUGAUUGUCAUGAAAUAAACAAAUUUGUAGGAAAUUUUCCAUCCACUCAAACCUGUCUAAAAGAAUCCUACGUUUUUAGUAUGCACAAUCAAACACUCAUACAAUCCUGUAGGAUUCAAGAUGACAUGCCAUUCUAAUCCCACGUUUUCCCUAUUCCUGCAUUUUGGAAAUCGUACGAAUCAAAGAGGUGAUACCUAACAAAUACACCAUUUUCUACAGCAGAACUGGUUCAUAAUCAGUUUCUAAAUCAUAUUCUUACUCAUCUUCACAAAAUAAUUGCACGCACAGGGGGAUGUUAGGCCUACAUUACUACUGUUCCAUGCCAGGUUUCAGAUUGAAGGGGUUUCCUUCCAAAUGUAUGAAACAACUAGUACUAAUCCUAACCCUAAGGGAGAGAUCAAGAAACAUAACCUAUCUGGACGAAAUCUAAUCCGUGCUGCAUGCAAUUUAGGAGAAAACCCCAUGGGAGAAAACCCCCAAAACAGAGUAGGAGAAUAGAGCAGAACAGAGUAGUACCUCCGAGAGCUCGUCGUCGACCUCCUCGUCGAACUCGACUGCCUUGUCCUGCACUUCCUUAGUGUCGAGCUCGGCCUCCUCGUAGUACUUGUCGAUGAGCUCGUACUGCUCGCGCUUCUGCUUGGCCCUCUGCUCCUCCAGAUCCACCUCCACCUCCUCCUCCACCUGCUCCCCGACCGCAGGCUCGGACGUUGUGAUGGCGGCCAGAGCAGUCACAACAGAUGGUGCACCGCCUCUCGUCGCCGCGAUGGCGCCAUCGGCCACGCCAACCGCGGCGGCAAUGACCACAGCAGGCUUCUCCACUGCUUCUACCGUUGCAUCCUUCUCCACCGCCGUGUCUUCACGGCCGGCCUUCAUCUUCCGACGAUGAAGGGCAAGGGAGAUGAUUGCUGGCUCGUAGGAGGUAGGGUUCGAGGUGAGAGGAGAGGGUUUUUGCUGAUUUGGGGAAGAAAAGUAGCAGGGGUGGGGGAGUGGGAGAGACGGGGUGGGGGAGGCGGCUUUUAUUUAGCUUGUGGGUGGACGUUUGGAGUUACCGAGGCUAGACGCGUGGAGUCGUGCGCUCGUGCACGCCCCAACCACUUUAAUUUUUUUGUCAUGAAUUUGUAUUUUUUUGACCUGUGGUUUAGCGAGGAAAUUAUACAAACCACCUACUUUUGGUGUUACUCUUGCAUAGAACACCUACUUUACAGGUUUGUUCCAAAAAAACACAUAUUGGGGUAAUUUGUUGCAGCAAGGUCUAAUCCGCCAUUUUGGGUGGGUUGACAUGAUUUCUAACAAGUGAGUCCAUUUAGUAAGUGCACCGCAGGAAAAAAACAUUCCACAUCAGCACCCAACUAGAGUUGUGCAAAAUUUACAAAUAGGUACUCCAGAAAUAAUUCUCAUUGUUUCUGGGCCCACAUAAAUGAACUAUUGAUAGUUUUUUUUGUUCCCACAUAACAUGUUGGCACACAAGAGCAUGCACCAAACUUGUUCUCCUUCGACACACAGACGCUAUAACGACGGACAUGUACCAGUAAUAUUCACAUUGCACGUGUCGAUACCAUCUUGACCAACACGCAACAACAUUGGUCUCAUUGGACUCACACAAGCCAAAAGGGGUCCAAAUCAUUCACCAAUUCUUCUAGUCACAUUCCACUCCAAGAUGCGACAAUGGACCGACAUGUAUCAAUCUUGAUCUAUUUGCACAAAUAAUUGGUAUAAGGGCCAGAUGCACCAAUAGAGGUCACAAUGCACUGACACGUGUCACUUGGGCCAACACACACCAUGCCCACAUACAAGGAACAAAUAAGCCUAUAGGAUCCACAUGCACCGAUAAACUACGUCUCGACAUGCAACAACUUUUUGUAGUCACAUUGCACGCAAAGUGCAUACCAAGACACGCCAAUGGCCCGUCAUGUAGCAAUCUUCAUGUGUUUUCACUAAUCAUGGUUUCUUUGGCCUCACGGAUGCCAUAAGGGCCAAAUGCACCAAUAUUGACACGUUGCACUCAAAUGUGCCACUUGGGCCAACAUGGAUCAUGGUUUCUUUACUAGCAAGGAUCACAUAAGCCAUUAUAUAGUGUUGGUACUCUAGCAAAUAACAACAUAUAUCAACAUUGGUCCUAGUUGCAGCUACAUAGGACCACUUAUGCCACACAUGGAGCGCAGCCUCGGUGCAUGGUUUUCUUUCCGUGCGUCUAUGUCUGGAUAAAUGUCUUAAGGAGAGGCAAAUUGGUUCUGCCGAACACACUGCAUCAACCGAACUGGCUAGACCCUUUACCUCACACCCGCAUGGCCCUGGUUCAAAUCCCCGUGAGGCAGUUGGAAAUGCCAAAAAAAUUUCUGUGGGUACUAACACGUGGGGUUCCCUUGUCAUCCACACAAACGCGCCACCACAUGUACCACAUUUGGCUAAGUGCACCUACUAAUCCACAUCAUUUUCAACUUUCUUCUUCCCCUUCUCGACAAGCGCCGCCGCCGCCAUCUCCAGACGACGCCUCUCUUCGCCGCCGGAUCUGCGUGGCCGCUGCCAACUCCAGCAAGUAGGUGAGAUCUCUCCUCAUCCCCCUCGUGAAUCUUCUUCCCUUCCCCAACCGCGUGCGUCCCCCUCUGGACGCGGAUCCGAUCUAGAAAUUUUAAUUGGUACAUGCGGUAGAUGAUUUGUUGAUGGAUAUGAUGGUUCUUUCAUAGAUUGAUGGACGUCGUAGUGUAGGAUCUGAGUUGUACCAGGGAAAAGUGAGGCCCUAUGCAAAUCAAAAUGCGGCCCUAUGUGUGAAAAAAUAAAUCAAAAUAAUUCAUAUGUUCUUCACUAUAGUAUGUAGUACUGACAUUGGAUUGGAUUGGAUUGGGAUUUAUUAGGUAGAUGAUACUGGCAUUGCCAUUGUCAUUGGCAUUGCUUUUUUAGGUAGAUGAUAGUAAACAGAUUUAAUAGGUAUUGCAUUUUAUGUUAUCACUAUGAUUUAUUAUAUGUAUGAUCUUUGUAUUGUACUAUGGUAUCGUACAAUUCAACUUAGAGUUCAACAUGUUCUAUGUAGAAUGGAGGAAGCACCAUGUGGACGGUGCAAGUCACGGUGCCGGACCAGCCUUUGUACUGCCACGCUGUUCGGCAUCUACUUCCAGCCUACUUUUGUUUUGCAGCGGUAACAAUUUAUAUGAACCUUCUGACAGUUCAUUUUUUUCUAUUUCCACUAAUGCAUUGUGUUUGUUAUUUGUUUUUUCUUGCACAGAUUGUCCCAUGCAAUGUGAGAUUGACAUUCAAUGAGCUCAUCGGAGAUACCGUGAUCUUCGACGCUCUUGGGGGGCCGUACACUAUGCAGGUCGAUAAGGGGCGAACGAUAACCCAGAUUGGAGGAGAUGAAUGGGAUCGUUUCUAAAAGCACAAGUGCUCCCUAGGUGGUUUUGGUAAUUAAUGACAACAUAUCUCUUGUUGGACUAACACUCCUAUCUAGUAUAUUUCAGAUAAGUUCAACAAUGGAGUGGCAUGGACUAAAGGAUGUGGGAACUCCUUCAAGAUGCUAAGGACAAAGGAUUGGCUAAAGCUUCAAGCUCAAGACUCUUCAUUUUACAUUUUAGUGAUCCAAGAUCACAUUGAGUUUAUAGGAAAAGCCAAUACUAUCAAGGAGGGAUAAGGUGUUGCUUAAUGAGCCUCUUGCUUCAUGUGCUUAGUGAUAUGCUCCAAAACCCUCAGCUACUUUCUCACAUCCACAAAUGACCUAAACCCAAAGCCAAAAUCGGUCACACCGAUCCUUCCUAUCCGGCGCCACCGAUUCCAAAAGUCAUAGCCACUAUCACAAACCCUAAGCAAAUCGGUUCUACCAAUAGGGAUCUCGGUCUCACCGAGAUGGGAUUGUAAUCUCAAUGUGUAUAUCCAUUACCAAAAUCGGUCUCACCGAGUUUGUGCAAUCAGUACUACCGAGAUUACAAUGCAAAGUUUCUGGUUAGCCUAUUACCAAAAUCGGUCUCACCGAGUUUGGGUGAUCGGUCUCACCGAGUUUGCCUGACCAACUCUCUGGUUAGCUAAUUACCAAAAUCGGUCUCACCAGUUUGUGUAAUCGGCCUCACCGAGAUUAUGUUAUGCCCUAACCCUAACCAUAUCGGUCUCACCGAGAUGCAAGUCAGUCCCAUCGAAAACCCUAACGUUCACUAGGUUUACUAAAUCGGUCCGACCAGUUUAACAAUUCGGUCCCACCGAGUUUGGUAAAUUGUGUGUAACGGUUAGAUUUUGUGUGGAGGUUACAUAUACCCCUCCACCUCCUCUUCAUUCGUGGAGAGAGCCAUCAGACUGAACCUACACUUCCAGCAUCCUAUUUCUGAUAGAGAACUACCUACUCAUGUGUUGAGGCCAAGAUAUUCCAUUCCUACCAUAUGAAUCUUGAUCUCUAGCCUUCCCAAGUUGCUUUCCACUCAAAUCUUCUUUCCACCAGAUCCAAAACCUAUGACAGAGAGUUGAGUGUUGGGGAGACUAUCACUUGAAGCACAAGAGCAAGGAGUUCAUCAUCAACACACCGUUUGUUACUUCUUGGAGAGUGGUGUCUCCUAGAUUGGCUAGGUGUCACUUGGGAGCCUCCGACAAGAUUGUGGAGUUGAACCAAGGAGUUUGUAAGGGCAAGGAGAUCGCCUACUUCGUGAAGAUCUACCGCUAGUGAGGCAAGUCCUUCGUGGGCGACGGCCAUGGUGGGAUAGACAAGGUUGCUUCUUCGUGGACCCUUCGUGGGUGGAGCCCUCCGUGGACUCGCGCAACCGUUACCCUUCGUGGGUUGAAGUCUCCAUCAACGUGGAUGUAGGAUAGCACCACCUAUCCGAACCACGCCAAAAACAUCCGUGUCUCCAAUUGCGUUUGAAUCCUCCAAACCCUUCCCUUUACUUUCUUGCAAGUUGCAUGCUUUACUUUCCGCUGCUCAUAUACUCUUUGCAUACUUGCUUGAUAUGUAUCGUGAAUGUUGAAGUUGUGCCUAAACUCCACUUGAACUUCAAAAAGACUAAAAACUGCAACUUUGGUACUUAGUGUCUAAUCCCCCCCCCCCUCUAGACACCUCUUCUCAAGAUCAUACAGUUUCAUCGCCCGCUUGCGUCUUAGUGGGGGUGAACGGAUCCUCUUCUCCUUAAGAGGACAAAGGCCCAGGAUUUCUGUUAUCUAUCUGAAUUUGAUUGACGAUAGUGAGGAUGAGGUUCAUGAGGAGGACGAUGGUGAGGAUUCAGAUGAUGAUGAGAACCCACUUGAUGAAACCCUCUAUGUCCAAGGAGUGAGGCUGAGCGACAAGGAAACCAGCAACCUCUGGGACAUGUUUCCGCUACGUGAAGACUACGUCGGGAUGCCAUUCGUGACCCGCCUCACAAAGACGAAUGUUAAACAGCAUCUCAUGGUAUGUUACUUAGUGUGGUAAUUACAUGAUAUGCAUGCUUAAUUAGUGUAGUAUUUGAUAUGAUAUGCAUGUUGUAGUACUGUGAUGAUAUGCCUAGUGUAGAAUUCAUUUAGUGCAGAAUUUUAUGGUAUGCAUGUGUUGUAGUAAUGCGAUAUAUGCUUAUGUAGUGUAGUAAUAUGCGAUGAUAUGCUUAGUGUAUGUAGUAUAUAAUCUAAUGAUAUGCUUAAUUACUGUAGUAAUUUGAUGAUUAGCGUGUAUUGUAGUGAUGUGACGUGACAUAUGUGUCUUGAAGUGUAUGGUUUGUUGAUAAUUGCACGUGACAUGCUCAUAUAUCAUAUCAACUGUUUUCAGAAAUUACCUAAGAGGUUAUCUGAUAGCUGUGGCAUCGAGCCGGAUGAAGAAGGCAUGGCUGCUGGACUACGCCUUACCAGAACGGGCUCCAUCACCACCUGUGCAUAUGCAGUGGACACGCACGGUCGCACUAUCUUCAACCGGGAGGGGUGGAAGAAGUUCCUUCAUGGCAAGAAUCUUUCGGUAGGUCAGGGCAUCCUACUCACUAUUGCGAAUACCCGUCGCCGUGACUUGAGGAUGAUGAUCACCAUCAACCUCAUUUGGAACUGGCUGGGCCAUGUUUCGAUGUGAAAUGAACUUCGUAUGUUAGCUCUUGUUUCAGAGUACUUGUCGUGUAUUACUGUACCUAUAUAUAUAUAUUAUAUUAUAUAUAUAUAUAUAUAUAUAUAUAUAUAUAUAUAUAUAUACACAUAAACACUAUUCUGAUCACGGGAUCAGAAUAAUAUUCUGAUCACAACCUGAACUGCCUGAGUAACGCGCCUGAACUUCUCUCUGUACAAACCCGACCUUCGGGCUAUUUUCGCAACCGUGCCUUCUACCGCGAGUUUUUCUGGUUAGUCGUGUUCCAUGUGAUGUAAGUGUAAUCUUCAAACGAUUUUUAGCAACUAAAUACUCGUUUUAGAUAGCAAUCUCGCUCAUAGGCGGAUUUUGCACUCGGGUCGUGAAGAACUCGCGUUUUUUGCGAUUUUACGGCCUGAGUUGUUCGACCUGAACUUCCCCCUGUGCUAGGUUGAACUUCCCGCAACAUUGCCCAAAUAGGUCUUACUAUAUACCGUUGGAAAGCUAUGGACACGUGUAUCAUGACCCAAGUUAAAUUUUUCGCAAAAUGUAAGCGGUUUAAGAGCAGUUUUGAAAACCGUUUUUUCUUCACACAAAAAAUGUGAAUCGUAAUUUCGAUCGCAUUUCUAAACCGUUUAUCGGAAUGAGACAUAUAAUAUGGCGUUGAAAAGCUGCUGCAAAACCGCUCCUUCCACAUGUUUAAAGUUUUUUCUAAUUUCCUAUGGUUAAAGAGUAAUUUGAAAAAACGUAAAAUUUCGUAAACCGGACAGCUGAGUUCGUUUUUUCGAUGUAAUUUCUAAACGGCUAAUCCAAUGGAGGCAUAUGAUAUGGCGUCGGAAAGCUUAGAAAAAUGCUCUACUUUUUCAUCUUGACGGUUUUUUUCUAAUUUUGAAUGGUUUAAGAGUAAUUUAGAAAAUGAUCCAAGUCCUACCGAGUUCGUAUUUUCGAGCUAAUUUUUUAACCGUGCGUCCGAAUGCAGCAAAUGAUAUGGCGUUCGAAAGCUUGAACAAAUGCGAAACUUUUUGGUAUGUAUUGUUUCUCCCAAUUGUUUACGGUUUUAAGUCAGUUUCAAAAAUGGCGAAAAACGUAUUUUCGCCAUAAUUUCUACAAACUUUAUCGGAAUUGGGCAAAUAAUAUACCGUUGAAAAGCUACGGAAAAUGCGAAACUCUUUCGUGUUGAUGGUUUUCUCUGGUUCCUAGCGGUUUUUAUGUAAUUUCGAAAACGGCGAGAUCACUCGUUCUGCCUUUAUUUCAAAACAGAUUCUUCGAAAAUGCACCGCAUGAAGAACCUGAACUUCUCGGCGCGUGUACCUGAACUUCACUCUGUUUUUCACGUGAUUUUUUUGCUCAUAGCUCUCGAUCCACUGCUCGUACCUCUCCAUCCACUCACCGGAAUUGGGCAAGUGAUAUACCGAUGGAAAGCUGUUGUAAACACGCAACUUUCCCGUGUUGAUCAUUUUUUCAUACUCAUGACGAUUUUAAAAGUUUUUUAUCCGAAAUUCAUUUAGCGUAGUAGUUGAACUUCCUGCUAUUUUCACGUUGAACUUCUGUGACGUAUUUUUGUUUGUAAUUUUCUCAUCCACUCGUCGGUGACAAAUUAUAUUCCUUUUGUACAAACCGCUCUCAAAAUAAUUUUUCUAACUUUCUCCGACCGAGGACUUGAACUUAUGACAACAACAAAUUUGGACCUUACCUUUUUAUUCAUUUUUCUCAUAUUAAACACACACCAUGUAGUACAUGAACUUUUUCCAUUUUUAUAAUUUGAAUUUUUUAUUUUCUUUUUGAAAUCAAAUUGCUUCCAAAUAAUAACUGAACUUCUUUGUGGAUUGAGAUAAUUAUUUUAAAAAUCAAAAAUAUUUUUUUUGUGUUUUCGAACAUGGAAAUAUAAGGUGAACCUCUCUCGCAAGAAUUUUUGAACUUCCCCGGACAGAGCACGUGAACUUCUUGCAACAAACCUUUUAAGCUGUUAGUUUUCUAUUCUUUUCUGAAAUGCAUUCCGUGUAGUAGUUGAACUUCCCGCUGUUUUCACCUUGAGCUUCUGUCACGUAUUUUUGUUCAACUUCUCUCACAACAAUUUUUGAACUUUAUCGGGCCGAGCACUUGAACUUCUAGAAACAAAAUCAUUAGCCUUUGCUUUUUCAUUCUUUUUUUAUACAAAAUGCACACCGUGUAGUACGUGAACUUCUGGUAGUUAUCAAUCUGAACUUCUCUCGGUUACGUGAAAAUAUCUGAGUUUUUUAUGAAUAUUAAUCUGACUUUCUUAAUAUUUUUUUAUGAAUUCUGAAGCGCUCUAUUUUUAAAAGUUGAACUUCUUGUUAUUUUAUUUUUGAACUUCUUGUUUCCAUUCUUUAAUAACAAGGAAAAUCCGAGUUUUCUAUAAUCAUGGAACUUCUCCAUCUUUUUAAUUUGGACUUCCUGGUUUUAUUUCUUAACUUUUUUAUGAAUUCUGAAGCGCUCUAUUUUUAAAAGUUGAACUUCUUGUUAUUUUAUUUUUGAACUUCUUGUUUCCAUUCUUUAAUAACAAGGAAAAUCCGAGUUUUCUAUAAUCAUCGAACUUCUCCAUCUUUUUAAUUUGGACUUCCUGGUUUUAUUUCUUAACUUUUCUAUGAAAUUUGAAGCGCUCUAUUUUUAAAAUUUGUUGUCUUUAAAAUUUUCAAUUACUAAGUAGUUAUUCUACAUGACCCAUCCACAUAAUAAUAUAUGAACUUCUCAGGAACUUAUUUUUCAUUAAGCACAUUUAAGUACAUAAUAUACAGGAAGGAGGUCGAAGAUGUGAGCGCGGAUGCAUCUACAUGUAGGAAAAUUUUUGGGUGCUCUUCUUUUUUGAAUGUAGGGUGCUAUUUUUUUAAGAGUGCAAGGUCAGAACAAGUCUCAUAUCCAUUGAACAUCUACAAUAUUAACUCUCAAACAUCAGCAAAACAACUUGAAGAAAAACAGUACCAGUUCUCAUUUGGCAUAUCAACAAGCAUAUACAGAGCACGUAAUCAGAACCUACUCUCGGCAUAAAUUCACCAUGAUGUUUUUAUUGCAUGCUGGCCUGUUCUCCUGGAGCACAAGACAGAGGAGAGGCGAGACAUUGUGCAUGCUUCCCAACCAGUACUUUUUGAACUUCCAUAUUUUUUUUGGAACCAUGAUCAUGGGGAAGUUCUAUGAAAUUUGACGGGGAAGGUCGCUGAGAGAAGCGACAACAGGUAACACACGAGCGAUGGUGACCAUAUGGCCAGCUUGCGGCGAACCAGCAACCUGUACUCGAGAGAAGGAAGCUGCACUGCAGUUGAAAGUCCAAGAACCGAUGUCGCGUGAUGCCGAGCGUGGGGAAGAUGACCGGAGCUGGUGCAAGGGGGAGCAGGAGGCCGCCCCAUGCAUGCCUCUUCCCAUGCCUUGCCGGGGGUCGUGGCCGGCUGGAUCCAGCCGCCCGCUCGACUGGAUCGGCGAUAAGGUUUACGGGGGCGGCGUGAUCCGCGCGGUGGCUAGGUCCGCUGCACGGCGAAGGGAUGGUGGCGCUUGGAGGUGAGGAUGAGGGCGUGGCGGCGGGGUUCUCCGGGGAGGGCGUGCGCCGGCGUGGGGAUCGGGGAUCCGGGGAGGUGGCUCGGCUACGGGGGGAAGCGGGGGCGUGGCGGCUCCGCGGGCCGGGAAGGAGGCGGCGGUGGUUGCGAGGGCCGGGGAGGGAGGCGGCGGUGGCUGCACGGGCGGAGGGAGGCGGUGGCCGCGCUGGCCAAGGAGGGAGGCGGUGGUCGCGCCGGCCAGGGAGGAAGGCGGUGGUGGCCGCGNNNNNNNNNNNNNNNNNNNNNNNNNNNNNNNNNNNNNNNNNNNNNNNNNNNNNNNNNNNNNNNNNNNNNNNNNNNNNNNNNNNNNNNNNNNNNNNNNNNNNNNNNNNNNNNNNNNNNNNNNNNNNNNNNNNNNNNNNNNNNNNNNNNNNNNNNNNNNNNNNNNNNNNNNNNNNNNNNNNNNNNNNNNNNNNNNNNNNNNNNNNNNNNNNNNNNNNNNNNNNNNNNNNNNNNNNNNNNNNNNNNNNNNNNNNNNNNCUGUGUGGUGUGGUUCGUAGCAGAGGGCAGAUGGGAUCGGGGAGGGGAUCGUGGGGAUGGUGGGGGUGGGUGGAGAUUUUUUCCUUUUUUACCGAUUCGGGAGUUUGGAAGGAUCCCGUCACUCCAUAUAUAAGCACCCCGUGAUCCAAAUAGUUAUUUUGAUCCCAUGAUCAUAAUAGUGCUACUCUCUCUCUCUCUCUCUCUCUCUCUAUAUAUAUAUAUAUAUAUAUAUAUAUAUAUAUAGGUUCAAUAAAUGGGCCAUGUAUCGAUGUGAAAUGAACUUGUUAUGUUUGGGCUUGCUUUGCUAUUGCCCCAGCGGUUAUUUGUGACUUCCUUGAACUUGAAUCUGUCUUGAAAUGUUAUUGGAUGCUUGGUGAUGUUGCUUUAUAGUAUAAAGCUGGGGGCGUUGGGGGACCUUUUUAGUAGGUUUGGUUAAUGGAGUUUAGCUCUUAUUGUACUUAUUGUUUUCUUUUCCAUACAAUUCUGAACCCAAACUACACAUGGCACAACCUUCUGUGAUUAGUUCCUUUGAUAACUAGUACUCCCUCUGUAAACUAAUAUAAGAGCGUUUAGAUUACUAAAAUAGUGAUCUAAAUGCUCUUAUAUUAGUUUACGGAGGGAGUAUUGAAGAGCAGCCACAGAGUUCCAUUCACAAUUUACUUGAAUUUUUGUUUUGAUGGAUAAACAAAAUAGGAAGCUAGCAAACUUAUUUAACAAGAUAAGCAAACUAUGUACUUGAUUACAUAAGCAAACUUAUUCAACCCUGACAAACUAGACAUAAACAAACAGGUUCAACUAUGACACACAUGACAUAUACAAGCUGGUUUAACCCAAGAAAAGCAAACUACAAAUUUCAAACAAUAAGAUAAAGGACAAGCACAAGCGCAAGCAACACGAAGGCAGAUUUUGAUGUCUCCUCAUCCCGCAUAGUGGCAGUGGUAGGAGGGGUCCUCUUCCUGCUCUUUUGAAAUUUCCAGACCUCUUUUGAUGUUGUUGAUUAUCUUCCACGACUUGUAGGUGGCGUACGCAUCUAUUGUUGCGUACUCGAUGAAUUAAUCUGGCAGUGGGCUGACCCCCCACAGUUUAUGGUUUGCCUGCUUGUCGAUCUUGUUCUUCAUCUUGCUGUAGAAUGGGUGGAUGACGCUGGCUGCAACAUUAGCCAAGGAGUCAUACGGUUUUCCGUUGUAUGGAACUCUCCAGUUGCGCUGAAUGUCGAUGUGCUUGUUGGGGUUUAUCUCCAAACCAGACAUCUUCAACUUGUCCCUGUCAUUUUUAAUGCUGAAACCGGCAAAGGUGAACAACUUCUCCUCCUGUAGGAACUCUUUGAGGCGCUUUGGCCUGCUAGGGGAGAGACAAGUGAUGAAUACAUGGAGUACUAGUGUUUAUUUUCAAGAUUUAAUCAUCUGUUUUUUACGGUUUACAAGUGAAUAAUACAUGGAGUAGAUGCUUAUACAGUAUAAGUCAUGGAUGAAUGUAGUUCAGAAACUAGUACACAAAGUUCUGAAAUUAAAAUCAAGUACACCAUGUUAUUUUUCUUUUUGGAAUAUAUAGUUGAGUCAAUGAUCUAUUUGCUUUCUUAGUGCCAGUUUAGUUUUAUUUUGUUGAAUAAAAUAACAUAUACCUCUGCUUCACCAAGUUCUUAAGUUUUUUUGGUGGUGAAAAUAACACCAGACCAAGUUCAGAAACUACUUGACUACAUCAAGUUCAGAAAAUUAGACUAAUGAAUCAAGAUGAGAAACUACACUUGUACAUCAAGCUCACAAAUUAAUCUUGUGCAACAAUUUCAGAUACUAUUCAAGUGCACCAGGUUCAAAAUAUAUUCUAGUGCAUCUACUUUGAGGAACUGCACUAGUGCAUCCAUUUUCACAAACUACACUAGUACAUCUAGUAUGAAACUAGUCUAAUGAAAUUUUGAGGGAGCAGUAUUGAUGAAUGGAAGAGGGUGAAUGAGUAGGAUUUUUCACCAUUUUGUGGCCGCAGCAAUGUGGUACACGAGGCAGAGACCCUCCACGCAGAACUGCAGAACUGCUGCCAUCUGCGGAGGUUCAUCAUCUUUGGUAAACUCCACAUCAACACCGAUGAUGUGGGGAUACGAGCCGCAUGCGCUCCUCUUGAUCCAAAAGAUCAUCUCGUCGGCCUUGUCUGGUUCGCUAGUGCAGACGACCUCCAUCAUCUCCUUGCCGUGGAGCUCAACCCCUUUGAGGGUUACGGUGUACUUGCGCUUCUGACCGGGAACGUGAAUGACGUCAAGGUUGCCGCUCUGGUCGGACAUCUGGCCACAAUGACGCUUGGCAGACGCUUCCUCCGCCAUUACCCUCCUCCUACGACUGCGAUGUUUGUGGGUUGUUUGUAGAAGAGAUGGAAGCGGCAAUGGAGGUUCUCGGAAUGAGGCAGUGAUGUAGUCGAUUUGGGGCUUUUCCACGACUGGGAUGGGGACGUGGGGGAGGUGGUUCGUGUGUAGGAUGUGGGGUUAGUGGUGGUGGGGCGCAGUUGCAAUCCGACGUGGCAACUGCGCUCUAUGCACUGCUGGGUUUGCGUGCGUCUGAGUUUAGUCCCACCACGGGCCUGCAUCCUGGCCCAUAUCACUGGGUUUGUUGUCGUAUGCGAGCCGUGGUGUGCGAAAUAUCAUGUUAGGUAGGUGGGCUUUUUUCUAUAAAAUCUUUUUUUGCCUAUGUGACAUGUUGACUUAUACUAAAAUAACACUUCCUUUUUUUAGGUACACGUUACUUAUGUGAAAAGUUUAAGUUUGAUAACAAUUAAAAACAUUUAAAACCUUGCCACAUUGGCUUUCUUGGACAUGUCUAAAAAGUUUAAGUUUGAAAACAAUUGAAAAACAUGUAAAACCUUGCAUCAUUGAAUUUUAAUUUUAAAAUAAAUUUGAAAUAUUGCAGUUAAUUUGUAGACCAUCUCUAAAUCAAACCAAAUUUGUUUUACAUUGUCACAUACAUGUGACAAACAUUGUUAUUUACAGAUCAUGUGUGCAAAAACUAAGGUGAUUUAGAUGUGGUCGAAAAAAGGUGAUUUUUUUUCACCACCUCCAAAUCACCUAAAAUUUAUUCUACAUGCUCAAAUAGAUGAGCCAAACAUGUCUAUGACAGAAAUUUGAAAAAAAAUGUAUCCUACAAUUCCCGCUUAAGGUGUAGACCAUUGUUUUGAUCAGUCAGUCUACAAGGCAGAAUAAAUUCAAAACAAAUUAAAAAAUUAUAAAACAUUGAAAACCUAGCUAUGUUUGUGCAACAUAUCAAGUGUGCAAAAUUAGAGAUGAUUUAGAGGAGGUCAAAAAAAUCACGCUAAAACACGAGGGGCCAUUUGGUCUCACUUAAGCCAGUUUUUGUAUAAAAUGUGAUUUUUCUACCACCUCCAAAUCACCACAAAUUUGUUCUACAUGCUUAAAUAGAUGUGCCUAGCAUGUCUAUGAGAGAAAUUUGGAAAAAAUGUAUUCUACAAUGUCCGCUUAAGGUGUAGACCGUUGUUUUGAUCAGUCAGUCUACAGGACAGAAUAAAUUCAAAAAAAAUUAAACAAUUAGAAAACCUUGAAAACCUAGCUAUGUUUUUGCGACAUAUUAAGUGUGCAAAAUUAUAGGUGAUUUAGAGAAGGUCGAAAAAAUCAUGCUUAAACACGAGGGACCAUUUGGUCUCACUUAAGCCAUUUUUUGUAGAAAAUGUGAUUUUUUUACACCACCUCCAAAUCACCCCAAAUUUGUUCUAGAUGCUCAAAAUAGAUGUGCCAAGCAUGUCUAUGAAAGAAAUUUGGAAAAAAAUGUAUCCUACAAUGCCUGCUUAAGGUGUAGACCAAUGUUUUGAUCAGUCAGUCUACACGGCAAAAUAAAUUAGAAACAAUUAUAAAAUUUUAAAACCUUGAAACCUAGCUAUGUUUGUGCAACAUAUCAAGUGUGAAAAAUUAUAGGUGAUUUAGAGGAGGUGGAAAAAAUCACGCUAAAACACGAGGGACCAUUUGGUCUACACUUAAGCCAGUUUUUGUAGAAAAUGUGAUUUUUUUCCACCACCGCCAAAUCACCACAAAUUUGUUCUACAUGCUUAAAUAUAUGUGCCUAGCAUGUCUAUGAGAGAAAUUUGGAAAAAAAUGUAUCCUACAAUGCCCGCUUAAGAUGUAGACCGUUGUUUUCAUGAGUCAGUCUACAGGGCAGAAUAAAUUCAAAAAAAAUUCUAAAACCUUGAAAACCUAGCUAUAUUUGUGCAACAUAUCAAGUGUGAAAAAUUAUAGGUGAUUUAGAGAAGGUCUAAAAAAUCAGCUUAAACACGAGGUACCAUUUGGUCUCACUUAAGCCAUUUUUUGUAGAAAAUGUGAUUUUUUCCACCACCUUCAAAUCACCCCAAAUUUGUUCUAGAUGCUCAAAUAGAUGUUCCAAGCAUGUCUAUGAAAGAAAUUUGGAAAAAAUGUAUCCUACAAUGCCCGCUUAAGGUGUAGACCGAUGUUUUGAUCAGUCAGUCUAUAGCGCAGAAUAAAUUCAAAAAAAAUUAUAAAAUCUUGAAAACCUAGCUAUGCUUGUGCAACAUAUCAAGUGUGCAAAAUUAGAGGUGGUUUAGAGGAAGUCGAAAAAAUCAUUCUAAAACACGAGGGACCAUUUGGUCACUUAAGCCAGUUUUUGUAGAAAAUGUGUUUUCCACCACAUCCAAAUCACCACAAAUUUUUUCUACAUGCUUAAAUAGAUGUGUCUAGCAUGUCUAUGAGAGAAAUUUGGAGAAAAAUGUAUCCUACAAUGCCCGCUUAAGGUGUGGACCGUUGUUUUGAUCAGUCAGUCUACCAGGCAAAAUAAAUUCAAAAAAAAUUAAAAAAUUAUAAAACCUUGAAAAUCUAGCUAUGUUUGUGCAAAAUAUCAAGUGUGCAAAAUUAUAGGUGAUUUAGAGAAGGUCGAAAAAAUCACACUUAAACACGCGGGACCAUUUUCUCUCACUUAAGCCAUUUUUUGUAGAAAAUGUGAUUUUUUUUCCACCACCUCCAAAUCACCCCAAAUUUGUUCUAGAUGCUCAAAUAGAUGUGCCAAGCAUGUCUAUCAAAGAAAUUUGAAAAAAAAUGUACCUACAAUGCCCGCUUAAGGUGUAGACCGAUGUUUCGAUCAGUUAGUCUACAGGGCAGAAUAAAUUCAAAAAAAAUAAAAAAAAUUAUAAAACCUUGAAAACAUAGUUAUGUUUGUGCAACAUAUCAAGUGUGCAAAAUUAUAGGGUAUUUAGAGGAGGUCGAAAAAAAUCACGGUUUAAUUUGUGUGUGGGGGGAGGGGGGGGUAGACCUCCCGAGAGCCGUUUACUGGUCAUUUUCGUUCCGUAUAUGUGUAAACAUUCCAAAUUUUGCCCAACAUGAAAAGAAUAUUAUGCGUGCAUGCUCUAUGUGGUCAAGGGAUGCGAUGCAGCAAAAUUGGGAUCAUUAGUGCAUGUAUACGCAAGUAGGGUCUCUGAAACGCACUUUUUGGGGAUAGCCUGUCACCACCCCGAGAGCACUAGCUCGGUUUCUCACCUGUAUGAAACCAACCCAACAUUUUACGAUGACAAGUCAUGGCCAUGUUAGGGCUACUUGCCAUGUUUCAACCAUCUUCAACAAAUUUUGAAAGUGUCGUCACAUGCGGGAUUUUUUCGGUCAUUAGUACAAUGUGGACCAUUUUCAACAUUUAUUGCAUGUUUUGUCACGUAUGGCAUUUUUCAGGCAUAUGCGACAUGAAAAAACCAUUUUUAAUACUUAAAAAACAAGGACAAUAUUUUCUAGAUUUUUUGGGAUAUCAUUGUGAUAUGAUUGAAAUCUCACAUAACUCACGCGGCCCACCCCUCCCUAAAUCCCGCAAUUACAGCGCCUCAUUCUAACCACCCGGCCGUGCCAUCCACAGCUCCCACGGCUGCUGCACGAUCAGAUCGGAGAUGCCGGGCUCACACGGAUUACAGCAGUCGCCGGCCACCGCCCACCACCAUGAGGGGUCGGACUUCAGUGUUCUUCUCCCGCUCCCUCCGUUUAUCCUUGUCGCCGUCUACUGCACUAUAGGGGCACUUCUAGUUUGCGACGCACUGUCCACGGCCAUCAACUCGGCGCCGCCGUCUCCGAGAGAAGGUAUUUCCUGAUCGUAGCUUUUUUUAAUCGUUGUCGGCCGCUCCUUUAGUAGUUGAACCCUCAUAGGUUUUGCACAACUUCACGUGGUUAAGCAAUUGGAUACCCAUGUUAAACUACGCUUAUUUUAUGCACGACCAACUAGGUUGUGUGCUUAAAGUGAUAAGUGGAUCAUAUGUUAAAUGAUGCACUUAUUUUUUUUUAAUAUUAGUUGACUGCUAAUUUUGUUAUACAUCUUUUAAUUAUUGUCUUCAUAUUAAUUGACCCGGUUUUCAUCAUUGCAUACAAGCUAGCAAUGUCAGUUUUAGAUAAAAGUCUUUGUAACAGAGAAAAGCCUUGAAGAACUCAAACUAAAAUUUGACAGCAAGACCGUACGCAAACAAAUGUUUUUGUUAUCAUCACGGUCACGUAGAGCCAUGAGCAGCUAUGUUGAGCCCAUUCAAACACAAAUAGGUAGCAUCAAUUGAUACAUGAUCUUGCUCAUGCUCUACUUUUAGCAUCAUUUGAUACAUGUUCAGUUCUUAUCAUAAAGUGGAUAUAUGUACCUUUGGCAAUCAUGAGCAUCCUCUACUUAUUGCUAUAACUAAUGCAUCCUUAGUACAAAAAUUGAAUUGGCAAUACGGUUGUAUUGGCAAUGAUUUGCAUGCUUUACUUUUGGCAAGAACUAAUGCAUAGAUGAGUUAUAACUGGUCAUAGAUAUGGCUGGAACAUCUAGAGUUAUCAUCACGGUCACGCGGAGACCCUAAACCAUCACCAGAUAUGUUGAGCCCAUUCAAACACAAAUAAAGCAGCAAUUGAUACAUGUUCAUGCUCAUGCUUUACUUUUGGCAUAAUUUGAUACAUGUUCAGUUCUUACCAGAAAGUGGAAACAUGCACUUUUGGGAAACAUGAGCGUCCUCUACUUAUUGCAAUAACUAAGGCAUCCUCAGUACAAAGCUUCAAUUGGCAAUAGGUAGAAUUGGCAAUCAUUUGCAUGCUUUACUUUUGGCAAAAACUAAUGCAUAGUUCAGUUGUAACUGGUCAUAGAUAUGGCUGGAACAUCCUGAGUUAUAAACUGAACAUAAUCAUGCCAAGCUAUAACUACCAUAUUUAUAGUAAUAGAGUUCCUAGCAUGCAUCACCAUAUGAUUCAAGAACGGUUGAAUUAACACAGCUAACAUAACAUAGACCAUCGUACGAUACUUGAGUUGCUAUGGCCUUGUACAAUGCAAGGUGAUUAGGCGAGGUGUUUAGAGAGAUAAACCAGGCUUUUCUUAAGCACCGGUGCUUAUUUGUACAGGGUAGACGCAUAACUAGGCGUCUGUCCUGUACAAAUAGCCAAUGGUGCUUCAGGAAAAACCCAGUUUAUUUUUCUAAGCACCACCCUUAGCAUCUACCAUUGUAUAAUGCCUAACAUGCAUCAGCAAAAUAGUACUAAUAACAACUUAGACAACUUAAGCAGGUUAGCAGCAAACACUUAGAUAAACGGCAGAUUAACCACCGCACACCAUAAGUUCACACCCACCAUAGACCAUAGGACAUAAGUUCUUACACACCAUAGAUAAUAAGUUUUAGAGUCGACCAGUGAAUACCGAUAACAUAAAAGGACACGGCGGUCCUGGGGCAGCAGCAGUAGUCUAGCAGCACAUCACUUGUCUCCCAUGUUCAGCAGCGGCGCGGCGGGAUGUAGUAGGGCUCAUUGACUUUGACAAUCUUUAGGAAGCGCCCGUAGGCCGCAUAUUUGGCCAGAGUACUGGCCUUUUGCUUCCUACUGUAGGAGUUGCCAGUGGCAACAGCAUGCUGCAUCAAGCCAUCUAUGCCGCCCUUGAUCGCCUUGCCAUAGAAGGGGCAACCAAGCUUGCCAUAGAAACAGUACUUGAAUUUUCCAGCAAUCAGCUGCCUCAUGAUGUAGCGGCUCUUGUUGUGCCUGCUGUCCAUGUCAUACCCCACAUCAUCGUCAUCCUCCUGUGAAUUAGUACACAAAGAAGAAUUCAGUUAAUCUAUUCUGCUACAUUGCUCUUAAUUAGAAUGUUUGAAAAGUACAGACGUGUAACAUGACAACUAUCUAUUUGCUGGAAAUAAGGCGUAUAUGCACAUACAUACUUGACCCAAAUAAUUUGACAUGCAUAAAUAUGGAUGGUGGAAUAGUUGCAUUGAUAGAUUAGUGCACAAGAAGUACAUAAUUAACACAUGAAAGAAUUCAUGAUGUGGCUUGGUUUAAUGAUACUUGAUACUUGUUACAGGUGUAAUUCUGAUUGGAAUCAGAAAAAAGGCUUCAUUAUACUCCUCCAUGUUACACACAAGGGGGUAUUCUUCUAUCUACUAGAAUCAAGAAACCAAUAUUCUUUCUAAGAGCAGCAAUACUAAUUCUCCAACAUUGUUAGCCCCUGAUAACUUUUAGAAGGAAAUUGAUAAAGGAGCUAUGGGCUACUAUCUUUAUCCCUUAACUUGUGACUCUGAUGAUACCGGUGUGGAAAAUACUUUGGAGGAACUUAACUUGGAAAAGGAAAUUUUGUCAUGCAAAACAAAGUGUUUUUUGUCUAUUUAUUGGAAUCAGAAAUUGAAUUCCAGUUUUACAAAUAUAUGCUAAAAAAGAUUCAUUCCAGUGGUCUAAAAAAAGAUUCAUAAAUUGAAUUCUAGUUUUACAAAUACAAGUUGAGUAUUUAGGGCAUGUUGUCUAAAAAACAUUCAUUCCAGUGGUCAGAUGCUGAAAUUGAGGCCUUCACAACAUUGAAGAAUUGUCUGGUCACUGCUCUUGUUAUGGCUUUGCCUUAUUUGACCCUACCAUUUACUUUUUAAAUAGAUGCAUCAGGUGAAGGUAUUGGUUCUGUCCUCAUGCAACAAGGCAGACCAAUUGCUAGAAAAGGAAAUGUUGUCAUGCAAAACAGGGGUUGUCAAAGACAUAAUCAAGUGGUCGGAACAGGAUUCUUACUAAUUAAAUCUGAAUGUAGAUGCAUCAUAUGAUAGUUAAGAAGGAGAUGAGUCGACGGGUGGUGUUUUAAGAGAUCAGUAUGGCAACUUUGUGUCAAUUCAGUAAAUUACCAUUAUAUUGCAAAUGCAUCAUCUGCCUGCUUGAUGGAUUCAGUGGCAAUGAAAGAAGGCCUAUCUUUGGUAGCACCUGUAGGCUAUCAUCAAAUUAUUGUAGAAUGGGAUUUCUUACAAGUUGUUCAAGCUUUUACUCGAGGUAACACAUGGUGGAAUGAAGGAUCACGUAUUAUUGUUGAUAGUUUUGAUCUAGUUCUGGAGAUAGGAACUGCGCAUUUUCUCACUGUCCUCGGGAAGCCAAUGGUGUCGCACAUGAGAUCGCUAGAAAUAGCUAUGAGAAUCAUCUAUCUUGUAUUUGGGUUGAUUACCCCACUUCUUUCAUUCAUGUAUCCCUUGUGAACAAUGUAAGUUUGCUUAAUCAAUAAAACAUGCCGUGAUGGAAUCAGAUAAUGAAUCUCUGUUUUAGCUAUACUAGUGGUUUUUUCUUCUGUCUAUUCGAAUCAGAAAAUAAAUCAGAUUCUAAAACCAUCAUCCAACAAGAAAAUAUAUGCUGGAUCCCUAGCUACAAUCCUACAUGUACGCAAACAUUAUGGUUGGGCCAGUACAUGAGUAGAAAUACCUCAUCAACACGUGAAGAAAAUGAUUCAGAUUCAAAAACCACCAUUCAUUAUGCAAGAAAAUCUAUGCUAGAUCCUUUCAACUAGCACGCCCAUAUGAAAUUGAUGCUCAUGUACUUAACAAAAAAAAACCAAUGCCAUGAAAAAACAGAGUACUUACAGGAAAUAUAAAUCUAAUAAAAUCAGAUUAGUACCUCAGAUAGCUCGUCGAUGACAUCCUCAUCGUAGUCGCUGCCCUUCCUGGGAUCCGCAGCCAUCUCGAACUCUAUUUCCUCCACGUCAUUCCCCUCGUAGAACUCCUCGAUUUUGUCAUAGAGCUCGCGCUUCAGCCUCACCUUCUGCUCGUCCAGAUCUUCAUCGACCUUCUCCUGCAUAGGCUCGCCGUCGGAUAGCUCGCCGGCCGGGAUGACAGCGGGAGGAGGCACAACAGUUGCUGCACCGCCUCCAUCACCGCUACGGCGGACUCAGCCGCUGCAACUGCGGCGGCAGCCACGACAGCAGACUGCUCUCCACCGAUGGUUGCCUCCGGCUCUUCCAUCGCAUCUUCACGGCCGCGCUUCAUUGGCGGUCGAUGAGAGGACGAGGGACGUGUUGGAAGGGAGGAGAGGAGUGGAGUGGUGAGGAAGGGAGGAGGGUUUGGGAGAGGACGAGGUGGUAUGGCUGGAGUGGGAGAGGACGAGGGUUUUCUACCCGAUUUGUGGAAGAAAAUGAAUGCGGCUGCCUCUUCGAGUUACCGAGGGGUCGAGGGGGGUGAUUUGUCUCACAUACCAGGGCCUUCCACAGUGAGGACGCGUGGGGUUUGCCCUGCGCCAUGCACCUCGCGUGCGGUUUGCCCCGCGCCGCCCUUCAAACUGCUGACACGUGGACACCAGCAGUGGUUACACAUGAUAGAUAUGGUAAAUGAAUUUCUUAAAUCUGAGGGCACGUAAUUUGUAUCAAAAUGCAUCAUCAGCUUAGUGGUAAGACCCUCACGAUCACAUACUAAUGCCCUUGGUUCGAAACUCCGUCGUGCAGUUUAGUUCCCUCUUUUUUGCCUAUGUGGUUUUUACAUGUGUGGAUCCCACAUGUCAUUCACACACAUGGAGAACACGUACAAACAAACUUGCCGGACAUGAUGUAAAUGGACCCAAAAAAUUUCUACUUCUAUGUAUCAUUCUUGUAUGGAUUUUCUAGUACGAUUAAGUGCUUAAAAUACUUCUCGGAGGUGAUGCGACAAGCGCACGUUGUCGAUCCACUGGGGUGGCCAUGCCCACAACAAGGAAAAAUUUGGUGUCCUUCUUAACAUGGCCAAAAAUUCACCUCCUUCACCGGCGGCUGUUCGGGUAGGAGGUAAGGGUCCGUGUGGAAGGACAGUUUUUUCUCGACAUGCUUCAAAUGGACCUAUAUUCUUUCUACACCCUUGUACCAACAUGAGAAGCAUCCAUGACUAGUUCCAUUGAUUUUCGAUGUUUUUAUUAUUUUUCUAGGGUUAUCACGACGAUAAAACCCUAAAAUAUUUCCCACCAGCGCCACCCUUCCCUCUGAUCACUCUGACUAGCAUGUACUUAACUUAGCAUCAAGGCCAUGAAAACAGGAAUCAGAACCGUAUUAGAUUUUGAUCCCACACAUACAAAAUAGAUAACACAAAUCACAGAUUGCAGGUACUACAAUUAUCUGAGUGAACUUCUAAUGCAUAACAACUUCUGGUAUUCAAAUACAUCACAUGAAGUACUGGGACAACUAGAAAUGCAAAACAGCUUCUGAUGUUGAGAUUGAGCAAGGGAUUUUUAUUGUGAGGCGCAGCAUCUUCAGCAACCUAUCCAUGAUUCCACCUGUAGCAUAUAAGUAACUGAAAAUUUUAGAUUGAAUACAGUUGGUAUUGGAAAAAUGAUAGUACGGUAAUUUGAAGAUGCCAAGGAAAUCUGUCACAACAACUGUAGGAGGAUACAAAUUUGAAUACAAAGUUCAUAGAUGUCAAUGUUGAAUUAAUAAGACCUUUGUAAGAUGCAAAAUCACUGCUGUGAUGAGAGUAAACAGCAUGUAGGCCAUAGCACAUGCAAGAAGCACUUACAGGAAGUGAAGGAAAAGGUUGUACAGCACGGCAACAUGAGUAAGCCAACAUCCCUACUAAAAUUAUUUCACUGCUUAUGUCUAGUUUUUUUCUUGAAUCAUUAGGAAGCCCUAAAUAUUUUGAUGCAAGAUCACCGACAGGGCAUUAAUGAAAUAUUUCAAUGUCUACAUCUCUCUACUGAAAGGCGUUACUGAAAUAUUUCAGUGGCUACGUGUGUGUGUAGUGAAACAACACCACUGAAAUAUUUCAGUUGCUACAUGCGUGUACUGAAACAGCACCACUGAAAUAUUUUAGUUGGUACGUGUGUGUACUGAAAGUGAACCGCUGAAAUAUUUCAGUGGAUACGUGCGUGUACUGAAAGUGCACUACCGAAAUAUUUCAGCGGCUACUUGCUUGUACUGAAACAGCACCCCAGAAAUAUUUCAGUGGCUACGCGUGUGUCCUGAAACUGCUACACUGAAAUAUUUCAGGGGUUGCAUGCCUGUACAAAAACUACAGUAUUGAAUUAUUUCAGGGGUUGCGUGCGUGUACUGAAACUGCAGUACUGAAAUUUUUCAGUGUCUACCCGUGUGUACUGAAAUUGCAUUGCACUACUGAAAUAUUUCAGUGUGUACCCGUGUGUACUGCAAUUGCACUACUCAAAUCUUUCAGUGUGAACCGGUCAGUACUGAAAUAUUUCAAUGCCUACAACUAUCUACUGAACUUGCAGUAUUGAAAUAUUUCAGUGUCAACCCAGAGUCUAUCACUCUAAAACUGUGUACUGAACUUGUCUGGAGGCACUUCUUGCAGCCUCGAUGGUGCAAGUUCAAUUUACACAGAUUGCAUCACGUAAUUUGAACACAACUCUUGAGGUGACAGAAAAAAUUUCAUAUCAUGGAUACCACUCCAGAACAUCAAAACAUAGCAAUGAUGGUGAAUCAGAGUAUAGAUCUGAAGCCUAAAAAUAACUAAGUGAGGAAGAACAAGUUUCACAGUUUCACAUUAGAAUUUUAGAUCUACCGCAUGACAGGAAAAGGAAAAUAUUUAGACCUAAAGGUUGGUGCUUGAGCAGUUCAUGAAGUUCCAGAUCAGGUUUUUAUACACAAAAGAGAUGAUCUGAUGGCAAAAGAAGGAUUAUCAUUACUACUGCAUAAGAGUAUAUCACAUUUGGAGUCUAUCCUAUAGGACUUAAUGAAGAACAGGGGAAGAACACCAUGAAGCUUCGAGGAGCCCGUGCGAACCCUAAACAGAUCUAUGGAGGAAAGGAAGAAGAACUCACCAAAAACUGUUGAACAGCGGAGAGGCGCCGUGAUUUUCUGGUACUGGCAGGGUGAUGCAGCGGCCAAGGUCGGGGCAUGAUACGUCUCCAACGUAUCUAUAAUUUUUUAUCAUUCCAUGCUACUAUAUUAUCAACUUUGGAUGUUUUAUAUGCAUGAUUAUGCUAUUUUAUAUUAUUUUUGGGACUAACCUAUUAACCUAGAGCCCAGUGCCAGUUCCUGUUUUUUCCAUGUUUUUAACCUUUUUCAGAUAGGAAUAUCAGACGGAGUCCAAACGGAAUAAAACCUUCGCUGUGAUUUUUUAUGGAAAAUAUCAAAAAUACCAGAAAGAAAAGAUACCAGAGGGGAGUCCCGAGGAGAUCACAAGCCAGGUAGGCGUGCCCACCCCCCUGGGCGCGCCUGGUGGGCUUGUGACCCCCUCGUGGGUCCCUCCAACUUGUUCUCGAUGCCAUCUGGUCGUAUAAAUACAGAAACCUCCAGAAGCCUCUGUAGCCACCAAAAACCAAUCGGGAGCCCUUUCUGGCACCCUGCCGGAGGGGGAACCCAUCUCCGGUGUCCAUCUUCAUCAUCCCUGUGAUUUCCAUGACGAGGAGGGAGUAGUUCUCCCACGGGGCUGAGGGUAUGUACCAGUAGCUAUGUGUUUGAUCUCUCUCUCUCUCUCUCUCUCUCUCUCUCUCUCUCUCUCGUGUUCUUGAGAUGUAAUGAUCUUGAUGUAUCGCGGACUUUGCUACUAUAGUUGAAUCUUAUGAUGUUCUUCCCCCUCUCCCUUCUUGUAAUGAAUUGAGUUUUCCCUUUGAAGUUAUCUUAUCGGAUUGAGUCUUUAAGAACACUUGAUGUAUGUCUUGCACGUGUCUAUCUGUGGUGACUAUGGGAUAUUCAUGUGAGUACUUGAUGUAUGUUUUGGUGAUCAACUCGCGGGUUUCGUGACAUUGGGAACCUAUGCAUAGGGGUUGGCGCAUGUUUGACUCUCCUGUAGAAACUUUGGGACACUCUUUGAAGUUCUAUGUGUUGGUUGAAUAGAUGAUUCUGAGAUUGUGUGAUGCAUAUCGUAUAAUCAUGCCCACGAAUACGUGAGGUGACAAUGGAGUAUCUAGGUGACAUUAUGGUCUUGGUUGAUAUGUGUCUUAGGGUGUUAUUCUAGUACGAACUCUAUGAUAGAUUGAACGAAAAGAAUAGCUUCGUGUUAUUUUACUACGGACUCUUAAAUAGAUCGAUCAGAAAGAAUAACUUUGUGGUGGUUUCGUACCCGACAAUAAUCUCUUCGUUUGUUCUCCGCUAUUAGUGGCUUUGAAGUGACUCUUUGUUGCACGUUGAGGGCUAGUUAUAUGAUCCAGUUAUGUUAUCAUUGUUGAGAGAACUUCCACUAGUGAAAGUAUGAACCCUAGGCCUUGUUUCCACACAUUUCAAUAUCGUUCGUGCUCACUUUUAUUGUUAUUUAACUUGCUGUUUUUAUUAUUUCAGAUUACAAAAACCUAUAUCUACUAUCCAUAUUGCACUUGUAUCACCAUAUCUUUGCUGAACUAGUGCACCUAUACAACUUACCAUUGUAUUGGGUGUGUUGGGUACACAAGAGACUCUUUGUUAUUUGGUUGCAGGGUUGCUUGAGAGAGACCAUCUUCAUCCUACGCCUCCCAUGGAUUGAUAAACCUUAGAUCACCCAUUUGAGGGAAAAUUGCUACUGUCCUACAAACCUCUGCACUUGGAGGCCCAACAACGUCUACAAGAGAAGGUUGCGUAGUAGACAUCAGGGCAGAGGUGAAGGUCGACGGCGGCGGCAGCGCUCGAGUGCUGAGGCGACGUGAGGUGGAAGAAAGACGAAGAGGCAAGGGGAGAAAAGGAAAGGGACCCUCGGCCCUAUUUAUAAGGCGAAGAGAUAAGUGACAGGCGCAGGAAUCGAGGAGCCCAAAAAAAUGGAUAUGUCCCAGAGCUGUCUCCUCGAUUUUCGGAGGCUCAUUAAUAAAAGUAAGGUAUAUACAGUUUUUUAAUGAAUAGGUGAAGUCAUAGCGAUUUAUUAUAAUCCUGGAAGAUGACGUCAUGGCGGUUUAUUAUAAUCCUGUAAGAUGACGUCAUGGUGGAUUACAAGGUUUACUCGAAGGUACUAAAGAAGAAGUUUUUCUAAAGUGUUGAAGAUUGACAUGAACAGGUUCAAAUCAAUCCGGGGCCUAAUGUUGGGGAUAUAACUACUGAGUAUAAACCGCCCGGGAGGGGCCGGGUUAUACCUGUAAUGAGUUAUUCAUAUUGAAGCCCAUGAAGACAAGGUGUAUGAUGCUUUAAUAUAAGAGAUCUAAAAGCCCAAGGCCCAAAGGCGGAUUAGGGCCCAUAGACAUAAACCGCCAUAAGGUGUGUAACUUGUGUUGUAAGAUAGGAAAGAGUAGAAACUGAGCCGGACACGUUUAUGAGCCGGUCGGGAUUCUGUAAACCGCCGGGCGUCAAGCUGUGUAUAUAAAGGGAUGACCCAGCGGUGGUUCAAGGACAAGAAACAACAACUCGAGAGCCAGGCAAAGCGUAUUCGCUCCCUGGUCAUCGAAACCAUAGCAAUCCCAUCAUAACUGGAGUAGGCUUUACCUUCAUCGUAAGGGGACGAACCAGUAUAAUUCCUUGCGUCCUUUGUCCGCUUUAACCCCUUUAAGUUCACUACGUUGCAAUGGCUCCACGACUAAGUCCUCACACUAGGACAUCUGUCGUGCCAAUCCCACGACAAGCGGGGAAAUAUUUAACAGAGAAACAAUAAAUCAUAUCCUGGGGACUACGCACACAACCAGGAUCAAGAGAAUUAAACCAUGUUUUAGCAUCACCCUUUAAUCAGAACGGGAAUAACUUAAGGAUAAAGUAAUAGCGAGUUUUCUCAUCAUUAGUGAAUAGGGUGGCUAUAUCAUUUAAUUUAGUAAGAUGUGUCACAACAGUUUCAGAUUCAUAGCCAUAGAAAGGAUCAGAAUCAACCAAAGUAAUUAACUCAGGAUCGACAGAGAAAUCAUAAUCCUUAUCGGAAAUAAAGAUAGGUGAAGUAGCAAAAGCAAGGUCAUAUUUCAUUCUAGCAUUCAAAGACUUUUCUUUAAGCUUAGCUAAUAAUUUCUUAAGAUCAGAUCUAUCAUUGCAAUCUAAGAAGUCUCUAGUAGUUUCUUCAUCCAUAACAUAACCCUCAGGCAUAAUAGGCAAUUCAUAUCUAGGGGGAGAAUCUUCAUCAUCACUUUCAUCAAUAUUUUUAGUUUCAGUAAUUUCAUUCUCUCUAACCCUAGCAAGUUGUUCAUCAAGAAAUUCACCUAAUGACACAGUAUUAUCAAGCAUAGAAGUAGUUUCAUCAUAAGUGUCAUGCAAAGCAGAAGUGGCAUCAUCAAUAACAUGCGACAUAUCAGAAUGAAUAGCAGGAGUAGGUGUCACAAGUUUACUCAAAACAGAAGGUGAAUCAAGUGCUGAGCUAGAUGGCAGUUCCUUACCUCCCCUUGUAGUUGAGGGAAAAUCUUGGUUCUUUUAUCUUUCAAGUUCUUCAUAGUGAUCAGCAGAUAUAAAUCCCAAGUAACUCAAAGAAUAGAGUUAUGCUCCCCGGCAACGGCGCCAGAAAAUAGUCUUGAUAACCCACAAGUAUAGGGGAUCACAACAGUUCUCGAGGGUAGGGUAUUCAACCCAAAUUUAUUGAUUCAACAGAAGGGGAGCCAAAGAAUAUUCUCAGGUAUUAGCAGCUGAGUUGUCAAUUGAACCACACCUGGAAACUUAAUAUCUGUAGGAAAGUAUUUAGUAGCAAAGUAACAUGAUAGUAGCGGUAACGGUGGCAAAAGUGACGGUAGCAGUUUUGUAGUGAUUGUAACAGUGGCAGCGGAAAAGUAAGUAAGCAAAGAUCAAUAUAUGAAAAGCUCAUAGGCAAUGGAUCAGUGAUGGAUAAUUAUGUCGGAUGCGAUUCCUCAUGCAAUAGUUAUAACAUAGGGUGACACAGAACUAGCUCCAGUUCAUCAAUAUAAUGUUGGCAUGUAUUCAGAUAUAGUCAUACGUGCUUAUGGAAAAGAAAUUGCAUCACAUCUUUUGUCCUACCCUCCCGUAGCAACGGGGUCCUAUUGGAAACUAAGGGAUAUUAAGGCCUCAUUUAAUAGAGUACCGGGAAUACAUGAACUCCUCAAACUACGGUCAUCACCGGUAAGUAUCCCGAUUAUUGUCACUUCGGGGUUAACGGAUCAUAACACAUAAUAGGUGACUAUAGACUUGCAAGAUAGGAUCAAGAACUCACUUAUAUUCAUGAAAACAUAAUAGGUUCAGAUCUGAAAUCAUGGCACUCGGGCCCUAGUGACAAGCAUUAAGCAUAGCAAAGUCAUAGCAACGUCAAUCUCGGAACAUAAUGGAUACUAGGGAUCAAACCCUAACAAAACUAACUCGAUUACAUGAUAAAUCUCAUCCAACCCAUUACCAUCCAGCAAGCCUACAAUGGAAUUACUCACGCACGGCGUUGAGCAUCUUUAAACCUCGCCUCGGCAACUUGCAAUACCCGUCACGAAGCUUCAGAAGUAUAUCACCUCAGCGCAGGAAGGGAUGUUCAUUCCCGACAGAGAAAAGGACAAGCUGACUGAGGCCCUAGGGAAUGCUGAGCACCCUGGACGAACACGAGGCACUCCAGGCUCCAUUCUGUGGAAGUUUGGGUUUCCCGACGCAUGCGGUUACAAAAGCCGGGAGAGAAAGAGGAAAGAGGAGAUGAGCGACAUGUAGAAGCUCAAUGCAAGAGUACAAAAGCUAGAGGAAGCUGAGAGCAAGCGAGCUGCCGACCAACCAUCUCAGCGGCAUGAAGCUACCCCAGAAGCUACCCCGCCAUCUCAGCGGAGAAGCAGCGUGGCUUCCACGGAGCCCGUUCAUCCUGACUUCACGUCUCCUAGCUACCCCGUGGAUACUAUCACGGAGGCUCAACAUUGCGAGCUUAUGAAGAAAUGUCGGAACCUCACUUUCAAGGCGUCUACAGGUGAAGGGGAAAAUUGGCUGGUUCAUGCUCUGAGGAGUACAUGUCUAUGGCAGAAGGAGUACAUCAAACUUCCAAACUGGACGCCUCUGCUUCCUGCUCCUCCUCCGGCGAGUCAGGGCACUCCGCCUCCUCCUCCUCCGGCGAGUGAUCAGGGAACUCCGCCUCCUUCUUCGGCUCCUCCGACACGUGAGGGCACUCCACCUCCUCCUUCGCAUACUCCGGCGCGUCGGACUAGUCCGCCUCCUCCUUAGCCUCGUCGGCAAUGGCGGAAGACAAACGUCGUCACACCUGCUCCUUCGGUGCGUCAGAUUUCUCCGCCUCAUCAGCAACGACGGAAGAGAGACGCCGCCGGUCCGGCGGCUAGUAGUACAAGCAGAGGCGGGAGCCAAUUCAGAUACGGUCCAUCUCUCAAGCCUCUGGAAAGUUACCAUAUGAGAGGACCGAGUAGGAAAAUGAGGACAUAUGUCGUGCCCAACUAAGGGACCAUUUUGCAAAGAAAAAUCCACCUCUGAAGGAGAAGGUAGAUCCGGUGAAAGUGAAGCGCACUAUCAAUGCCCUGAAGCGACCACAACCGCCUCCGCCGGAUUCCAACUAUGGCCGCAUAAUUACUAAGACACAUGCUAAAGCGCAGCAGUCGGGAAGUACUUCUAGUGCUGCAAGAGCGAAAAAACGAAGAAGUGGGAAAACAAUUCCUCAGCUCAGCGAACUGGAGAAGCAAUCGUGCCCCCCGCUCAAGGUGUCUAGCGAUAUCGCUAAUCAUCCGAUGCUACUGCCCAGUACCACUCUUGAUGAUUACCUGCCCAAUGAUGUACAGUUUGAAACGGCUGAGGUAGUAGACGUCUUCAGAUACGAGCAUGGGAAGCCUCUCGUCAAACCUGAUCAUCCUCAUCUAACAACGAUGAUGCAAAAAUUGCAUGACUGGUACAUGGAAACCUACAGGAAGUCUGGGAAAGACAUUUAUUAGUCGGAAUUAAAAAAGAGCAUGACUUCCCUGGAAUCGACAUGCUUCCUGUUGAAUUUGUGGAGUUAUUUCAAUUAUACAAUCAAAAGGCCCUCGACAAACAACUCAUGACUUGCUACUGUCUGUAAGUAUUACUUCUAUAAUUAAGUCUCUAGCUCAGCUCGUUCAUUGCAUGUAUAUAUAAUUAUCCUCACUAUAUUAUGCAGAUUGAAGAUGGUCGAAUGCAAAAAAUAGGAAUCUUCGACGUUGGGUUCAUUAGCCCAAAUACCGUAAAUGAAUGGUCGGUACGAAAGGUGGCUGAAGAUACUGAGAACAACUUACUACAAACGUUCCUUACACAUCAAAACAAAAGGGAAAUACUCUUUCCUUACAACUUCAAGUGAGUGUUACUGUCUUCUGCAUAUUCGGUUCCACUUACCCGUGGUUAAAUAAUGUAAUUGAUGAGUUAUGCGUGCGUAGCUUCCACUAUAUUCUGCUAUCCAUUAACCUUGAUGGGGCAUUAGUAAUUGUCUUAGACUCGCUCCGUAAAGAUCCCAAGUAUUAUGCGGACAUGACUGCAAUGCUCCAGAAGUAAGUUCAAUCAAUACCGGGACCAUAUCGGCAACUUUUAUUCAUUUCCUGAUAUCAAGUAAUCAUUUUCUUUGCCUGCCAGGGUUUGGAAAACGUUCACUGCUAAGGUUCCGGGUCUGAAGAAGGAGCUGCGAUUUACACACCCCAAAGUAAGUAGUACAAGCUAGUUUCGCGCAUCUCUCAUUGAUUCUAGUUUAAUCAAUAUCAUUAUCAUGCUUGCUUAUCAGUUUGAUUGAACUCUAUUCUCGUAAAGUGCUUGUUGCAUGCACCCAACACUCAUUUAUGUGGAUACUACGUAUGCGAGUUCAUUCGCUACUAUACCUCUGAACGUGCCUCCUAUGAGAAACAAUUUGAAGUACGUAAACAAUAUUCACAAUUUUAUUUUAUAUAUUACCAUCAAUUGUGUUGAGUUUCAUUCAUAUAUAUGUAUUGACCCCUUCUUUAAAUUAGAUCUGGCAGAUGCGGGAUGAACUCCUACCACGUGAUCGCAUACGAGCAAUUCAAGAGGAAUUGGCGGGAUUCUUUCUUGACCACGUCAUACUUGAACAAGGAGAAUACCAUGUGAAAUUGAAAUUGUUGUAAGGGAUGUUAUAUAUUGUACAUAUGUAGCAGCGCCGGAUAGAUAUACGAAAACUUGUUGUUCGACCAAGCACGAAGAAAGAGAUGUCACUUCUCUCUAUAUAUGUUCAUGACGAUCUUGUAUAAUUAAUGGUUUCCUUUAGUUGCUUACUAGCUAGCGUCGAGUUCUCUCUAUAUGUGUAGUAGCUAGAGUCGACCAAGCACGGAAAAAGAGAGGUCACUUCUCUCUAUUAGCUCGCUAACACAAUAUGAAACCCCUAAAUUAACCCUUCAAAACCCCAACCCCCCCCCCCUUCCAAAAAACAAAACCCCCAGCGACUGCGAGCUGCUGACGCGUGGCCGCCUUUUGGUCCUAGUUGGUGUUACCAACCGGGACUAAAGGUCCUCCCUCCCCCGCCCCAGGCAGCGCCACGUGGAGGGCCUUUGGUCCCGGUUCGUAAGCAAACCGGGACUAAAGGUUUUGGGUAUUAGUCCCGACCCUUUAGUCCCGGUUCCAGAACCGGGAAAAAUGGCCCUCUGGAACCGGGACAAAUGGCCCUUUUUCUACUAGUGACUUCUCAUAGGAGAUACGUACUUUCAGAUAGACAUAAUUUCCUACUUCGAAAAUUAAUUCUCUUCUUCGAUUAUCUGCAUAGCUCUUCUGACGAGUUUGUGCCACUCUCAAGUUCUCUCUAAUCAACCUGGCUUGUUCCUCGGCAUUCCUGAGCACAUCUGGUCCAAAGACUUAACUUUCACCCGUUUGAUUCCAGAACAACGGUGUUCUACACUUACGCCCAUACAAUGCUUCAAACAGUGCCAUCUUUAGACUAUUCUGGUGAUUAUUGUUGUAAGAGAACUCCGCAUACGGUAAACUUUUAUCCCAACUAGUACCAUACUGCAAUGCACAAGCUCUCAACAUAUCUUCAAGAAUAUGAUUGAGCCUUUCUGUCUAUCCAUCAGUCUGAGGAUGAUAUGUUGUACUGAAAUUCAACUUCGUUCCCAAAGAUUUAUGCACUUUCUGCCAAAAGAUGGACGUGAACUGCGGACCUCUAUCAGACACAAUCUUCUUAGGAACUCCAUGCUGACAUACUAUUCUUUCCAUGUAUAGCUCUGCCAAUCUUGCCCCGCUGUAAGUAGUCUUGACAGGCAAAAAGUGAGCGACUUUAGUGAGACGAUCCACUAUUACCCAUAUAGAAUCAUAACCUUGCUGGGUGUGUGGUAAUCCCACUAUAAAGUCCAUUCCGACUUCUGCCCAUUUCCACUCAGGAAUCUUCAUUGGUUGCAACAAACUAGCGGGUCUCUGAUGCUCAGUCUUUACCCUCUGACAAGUGUCACAUAUAGCUACAUACUCAGCCACAUCUCUUUUCAAUCCAUACUAGCAGUACUUCUCCUUAAGAUUUAGAUACAUCUUAGUACUUCCAGGGUGGAUAGAAUAGGCUGACUCAUGUGCUUCACGCAAAAUUGUAUCAUGAAUGGCUUUCACCUCAGGCACACAUAUCCUUUUUCCAAACCAUAAGGUUCCAUUCUCAUCUAUUCUGAAGCCAGGUGCUUUACCAAUCACCACAUUCUCAGCUAUCUCCUUUAGCUUUUCAUCUUCUAGCUGACCCUUACGUAUUUCUUGCUCCAAUGUAGGAAUCACUUUUAUCUCCAUAGCACUAGCAACAAUGCCAAGGUUCAGAUGUUGCAACUCCGCAUACAACUCUUCUGCCUCUGGUCUCAACUUAAGAUUGUUGUCAUAUUUCUUCCUAUUGAGAGCAUCAGCUACAACAUUUGCCUUACCUGGAUGAUAAUGUACCUCCAGUUCAUAAUCCUUGAUUAACUCUAGCCAGCGACGUUGUCUUAAAUUCAGACCUGUCUGAGUGAAUAUAUACUUCAAGCUCUUAUGAUCGGUGUAGAUAUCACUCUUGUGACCAAUCAGAUAGUGUCUCCAGAUCUUCAAUGCAUGUAACACAGCUGCUAGCUCCAGAUCAUGAGUAGGAUAAUUUAACUCAUGCUUCCUCAACUGUCUCGAUGCAUGCGUCCGUGGUGGUGACCUCAUGUCCGCUCGCACCGUGUUCGAUGAAACGCCAACGAGGGUCAAAAGCUUCGAACCACAUCGGCAUCGCUCGGAGUAGCAACGGGUACACGCUGGAGUGCUGGAUGUGAUGCUUGGCCAUCUCCAACUCACGAGCGUGUAAGAGAGAAACCAUGAGACAGUAAUGAUUUAAUUUGGUUUUGCAAUGUUUUUAUUUUAAAAAUAGUUGGUUUAUCUUUGUAAAAUAGUUAAUUACAUGAGAAUUAUUGAACAAAAUAGUUUUUAAAGAGCAAUUUGCAUUCAAACAGUCUUCAUUCUUAAUGAAGCUACGAGUUCCCAUUUGCUCUAACCAAACGAUCUUCAAUUUUUGCCACCACAGGAGCCUUGUAUUAGCUCUUGCGGUGCGAGCGGGAGCUCGGAUGUCCGUGCGACGAAGCUGAUCUAUGAAAGUGGCCUUGGUGAUCCUGUGCCCCGGUUGGUAGGUUGGGAGACAGCAAGGAUGCAAACCAGCGCCAACGAUGGGCGAAGAUUGCACGACGGAUGAGCGGCGCUAGAGAUGGAAAGUCUGCUGGAGCAGUUUAGGUGAAAGGAUAAAGAUGUAGUUUUCAUUUUUUUUUCUAAUAAUGAAAGUCGGACUCAACUUUAUGGAACUGGGCCUUAUGACACGUAGGGCCCAUCUGAAGCUUCUAGAGUUGUUAAUCCUGUGGUUGAGAAUGUGUGUGACAAAGCCUGUGUUUGAGUAUUUACUAUCUAGGGAAGUAUAAACAAUUUACAAUCUCAGUGGACCCAUAAGCCAAUAUCCUUGAAUGUUUUUUUUUCUGUUUGUGUGUAUAUGUCGCAAGUUUUCUUGUUUUAUUUUAGGUUUGGUACUGUAGCUAGGUCUAGAAUAGUUUUUUUUGUUCUUUUUUUAAUUUCAAAAAAAUCGAGGGAUGUCUCAGUUUUUAUUAAAAGAAAGAAAUAUUUGGUCCAAAGUUGAAUGAGCGUGUCAUGCAGGGUUAAAUCACAAGAUAAACUGAUGAAACACAUGAUGCAUUAGUGGAUAAAUCACACGGGUGAUUUGAAGACAAAUUGAAAAACAUGAUGUGUUAGUUAAAUAAAUAAAUAUCAUGAUACAAUUAUAAGUAACCAUGCAAUAAACUAUAUGUCCAAUACUUGCACUCACAGGCAUUUUUGCUACUAUUAAUAAAUUGGUAAAAAUCAGAGAAUGCGAGGCGGAUACCAAACCUAGCCAAAUGGGCCGGCCUGGGUUAAACGGGCCCGAACCCCUCUUGCCCUCGCUCCUAGAAAAGCCGCCCGCCUCCGUCUCUCCCCCGCACUCCAUCGCCUCGCCUCGCCUCGCCGCCGUUCCCCGCAACCCCCUGUCUGUCGACCCAAUUCAUCUCAGGGAUAUCACCCGACGCCUCGUCCUCCUCUCCAGAUCAGAUCUUACGCCCGCCCGCCCGAGGUGAGCACAUGCUUGUACAUCCCGAUCAGCUUGGAGUUCGUUCCGAUUGGUUGGUAGGCGCGGCGCUGGUUCGAGGCCAGCGUGGUCUCCCUCCUCCUCCGGAGUUGCUCGGGCGCGGCGCGGGUUCAUAGGUGUCGGAUCCAGCGCCGUCUGUAUCCUAUUCGUAUGAGGAACCUCGGCUAGGAUAGGAUUUAAUUAGUUGGUUUUUGUAUUAGGGUAACACCACCUAGGGUUCGGUUGAUUAUCCGUAAGAAGGAAUCAAUCUGACGCUUUAGUUAGGGUUUGCUUGGUUGGUUGUGGUCAGAUUUUGGUUUCUCAUGAAUUCUUCAACUGUGCCUGUCGCGAUUUUGGGCGGAAAUUGAUGAUUGAUUUCGGGGGCAAAAUCCGAGGGAUUUUGUGGAUGAAAGAUGGGGAAACUUGGGGAAACCAAGCAAAUCCAUGGAUCAAAAUAAACAAACUUCAUCAUGCCAACAAAUCACAAAAAAAAUUUGGUGGGGAAAUUUCGAAUUAGGACGAAAAACAACAAGAUCAAAGCUAGAAAACGAAUAUUAAUUUGGAUGGAAUUCAUGCUAUGUUGUUCGAUUUCAGUUUAUGCCUGCCAGAAUGUUUUAAUUUUUUGUUUUAUCAACUGUGUUGGAGCGUACUAGAUUUUUUGUUGCAUAUUCAUCUUCUUGCUCUGUUUGGAUAGGUAACAAUUAAUAUUUGGGAUCCUAAAAUAUGUAUGCACUGGCAGCACUUAACCUGCAGCUGCUGAUUAAUGUUGUAGUCAUAUGUGCUGCUUUCCAGCUCUCUUGUUUGGAUAGGUAUUUGGUUAUCGUUUGGGUUUAUUUAUUAUCGUUUGUAAAUGCUGGUUUGGUUUUCUGUGCUCACUAUGCCCUUGCACAUGGGAUGCAAUUUUUUUAUUUCCCUGCUGUUUAGUUUAUUGUUUCCUUUGAUGGUGAGGCAUUAAUUCUGGAGAUAGAUGCAAUUUUCUUGCUCACACAAUAAUACAAUGAAUGAUGGCAUCUCUAUCUACUUUGAACCAAAUUAUAUUAUAUUCCCCCCUCUGUUAAUUAUUUUUCUGUUUUGGGUAUUCAUUCAUUUUGUUUAGUUGCCUAUCAGUAUAAAUACAUGGCUGGAUUGCUUUCACUUCAUAUUAAUAACUAUUCUGUCGCACAAUGCAAAUAUACAUAUGCUGUCCUAACUAAUUAAGUAGAAGCUUGGAUUGGUGCUGUAUGGUCUCUUCCUGACAUUAAAUCCUCCUCUGUUUGUGCUGUCUGUUUCUGCUGCUGCAGUCUUCUUCGCCGCCAAAAGGAAAAGAUGCUCUACAAAAUCCACUCCCAUGCCGAAAUCCAAGCCCUGCAGGCCCGCACCGAUGAGCUGGGCCACUCCAAUGAGCACAUGGAUGUGAAGCUUGUCUCUCUGGAGUCGGUGCGCAUAGCGCGCGAGUCGUAUGCACUCCUCCGCCCGCUGAUCAUGGAGUCGAGGUCCUGGGAAUGCCCGGAGCUGGAUUCCCUCUCGGACGUGGCAGGCUUGUCGCUGGAAAUCCAAAAGCUCGAGCAUGAUGUGUUACCCCAGCUCACGGUUCAGGAGGCUAAGCUGGAACGGGGUGCCCUGGAAGCCCUCCUACUCAUGAAGAGCUCAGCAGCUAAGCUCUUACAUAUGAGUAAGUGCUUGAAGGAAGCCUUGGGCGUAUUGCUUGCCGAGGAUGUCAAAAAGCUGAGCAUAGUGCUAAGCGAUACUGCUGUUCAUGUACUCAAAGGUAAGUUCAACAGUGGCUUGCUUCAGGAGCGUGUCCCGUGGCUGGUCGAGCUGGUCACCGAUGUGUUGGAGACCCCGGUUCGUUUCUGUGAUACUCGUAAGCGUAAGUAUUCUGAUGAGUAGACUUAUCAGCCAGCUCGAGGCUGUUGUGAUGAGUAUUUCUUAGGGGCGUGGCAAACAGUUUAGAAUCAACCCUUUAUGUUUGUAUGUGUUAUUAAUGGAUUUUAAAUGAUAUGUAUCUUGGGUGGGUAGUGUUUUCUCAUUCUGUGCUAGUCGGGUACAACUUGGAAUUACUUUCAGUUUUUUUUUUGAGAAACAUCCAUUCUGUUUUUUACUGUCACAUGAGGUAUUCGCUCUUUUUAGGGAAUAUAUAGAAGAAAAGAGGCAUACUUUAGAACGUGGAUGGAUUCACUCAUUUUGCUCCGUAUAUAGUUUUCUACUAGUGAAAUUUCUUAAAAGACAUAUAUUUAGGAACGGAGGGUUCUGUGUGUGUCCAUGAUUAAAGCUUUGCAAAUACCAUAAACAAAACAUCACCUUGUACAUAUAAAGUGAUGAUUAUUUUUACACUAACCAGUUUGGCAAGAAGUACUUCCUUCGUAAAUAAAGAAACAUAAGAGUGUUUGGAUUAUCAUUUCUUUAGAGAGGGAGUAGUAUAUAUAUAUAAUUGAAUUAAUAAUCUCUACUCCUAAAGUUGGUCGUCUCCGUUCAUCGGUUAAUUUUUGUCCCACCAACACCGAUUUUUUUUCGUCCUCCAGGCCGUCGAACAAAAAAAAAGGGCUGGCUUAGCUAUGCCCCUACGAAGUCAAGGGGCCAAACCUCCGAUCGAAACAGAGAGAACUGGAUGAAAACAAAUCUACAAAAAACACCUACGAAAUUAAACCAACGAAAAAAACGAAUCGCACGCAGGUAUACGAGCGAUUCCUCCUUCCUUCGAACCACUCACACGCUCACUCCUUCCCUUCGCCCCCGCCGCUCGAUCCCUUCGCCGCCGCCCUCUCACAUCAAAGCCGCCAUCGAUAUGCCCCGCCAGAUCUCGCCUCAGCCCCGCCGUCUUGUGAUCUGGAGUUCACAGUCUCCGCCGCCGAUAUCCUCGCACGCGUUAGGGUUCCUGCGCCGCCGCCACACAGGAGCUCGUCGACCAGCCUAGCGUCCUGCUGCUCCGUGCUUGCUUCCCUCGUCGGUCGCCUUUGGACCCCUCGCUUCGGACUCCGCGCCAAGCCGCCGCCUCUUCGCCGAGAAAGAGGGCUCCCGAUCUCCGCCGUGGUCGACCAUCAGCGCGACGGGUAGAGUACCCAGCCCGUAGGCUCAUCCCCUUCUCCGAUCCACCCCGGCAGCGGCCAUCGUCGGUACGUUCCGCUUGUGAUAUAUCGGUGUAGGCUCAUCCCCUUCUCUUUAUCUAAAGGACUGUGCUAACCACCAGUCGACUGGUGGUUAGCAACAGAUCCGCACGACCUUGGAUCGAUCCUUCCGCUGCCUCGUUCCUCCCGCUUCCACUAUUUUUUUUCCUUCUCUUAAAAACCGUAGUAAAUUGCUAGUGGUUUUUUCUGGUUUUUCGCUGCAUAAUAUGAAAAGAAAAUAAAAGUGCUUGAAAGAGGAUUUGAACCCAGGUCUAUGUAAUACCUAUCAAGCCUAAUAACCAACUAAGCCACCUUUUGUUGUUGUCUAUUAUAGAAUGGCAAUGUUAUUUGAAUCUUUCUUAUUUCUGCCAUAUCAAAAGAAAAAGGAAAGUUUGGCUUGGUAACUUUGGCAAUGACCAGCGUGAUAACUAUGGUCUGAGUAACAUGAUAACUAUACCAUGAUAAGGCUGGUAACUACAGUAUGAGAAGGUUAAAAGCAUGGGAAAGUAUGGUAAUUUAACAUAGAAAUUACCGGUGAAAUGUUUCAAAAAAAUUUUUCCCUUGGAUGAAAGACACCAUGGUGUUUAAACGUAAAAUAUUAGUUAUCAAGUCUGCGAUGAUACAUCAUCAUGUUAUUUACACAGAAAUUAUCGAGUGUAUGUUUUUCAACAAAAAAGUUUCAGGUCAAAAGUUAUAGUGGCGUUUGUAUGGGAGUUAUCAAUUUUGUAUGUUUCUGUUACCAUGUUAUUUACACAGAAAUUAGCGGGGCAUCACCCCCCCUCGCCACAGUCGCCAUAUUACCAGGAUCGGGUACAUAAGUUAUCAAGUCUGCGAUGUGUGAGUUAUCAUGUUAUUUGCAUAAGAGUUAUUGUGGUAUGGUUCAACAACUCCUCCCACCCCUACCCCCACCGACAAAGUUACCAGGACUGGGUAAAUAAUUUAUCAUGUCUACGAUGUGUGAUUUAUCAUGUUAUUUGCAUGGAAGUUACCGUGGUAUGUUUCAACGACUCCCCCCACCCCUACCCCCACCGACAAAGUUACCAGGACUGGGUACAUAAUUUAUCAUGUUUACGAUGUAUGAGUUAUCAUAUUAUUUGCAUAAAAUUUAUCAGGACAGUGAUGCGUAAACUAUCAUCAUAUUUAUACAGAAGUUAUCGAGAGUAUAUUUCAUCAAAACCCCUCCCUCCGGCGGAGGGAAAAGUUAUCAUAUUUGCGGUGCGUAAAUUAUUGGGGGUAUAUUUCAGCACCCCUUCUCGCCAAAGUUACCAGGACUGGGGUGCAUAAGUUAUCGGGUCUCUGAUGUCUGAGUUACCAUGUUGUUCACAUCAAAGUAACUGGGGAUAUUUCAUCAACACCACUUCCCUCAAAGUUACCAGGAUCGAGGUACAUAAGUUUAUCAGGUAUGUGAUGUGUGAGUUAUCAUGAUAUUCACACAAAAAUGACCCGGGAUAUUUCAUCAACGCCUCCCUCCCGAUCGCCAAAGUAAUCAGUACCGAGUACACAAGUUAUCAGGUAUGUGAUGUGUGAGUUACCAUGCUAUACAUACACAAAAAUUACCAACGGUAUAUUUCAUCAACCUCCUCCACCAAAAUUACCAUGGUAUCAUCAACUCGAGACGAGUUGGUAAAAUAAUCUACUUAAGUGCGGAAAAGAUCGGAUAUUGCAUUCACUUUUGUGCAAACAUAGAAAAGGAGACAUGUUAAAAAGCCUAUUUGCUUUCAUUUUUACAAAAGAGGAACGUAGGUGAGGUGGUUGGCUAGUGGGUUACCUUGUAAAAGUUACAAUGAUUGAAUCCUGUUGGCACACUAUUUUUUGACGAGAAAAAUUCAUGUCCCUCGUCACAAUUCUUUGAUUUUGGAGUUUGACUCUAGCUCCCAGCAAAAAAAUUCUGGAAUUAGCACAACUUUUAUUUUGAUGCUAUGAGGUAUAAAAGGUUAAGUUCUUAUGUUUUCCAGUUUGAACAACUAAGAUGUUGUAGCUUGUUGGUCGAAGGGAGCAUGCGGAGCCUGUGUGUCCUGGGUUCAAUUCCCAUCGGGUGCUUUAUCUUUUUCCUCGAAAAAUAAAGUAGCUAGUGAUCUAUCGGGAGGUCGAACGUGGAUCGUGCAUCGAGCGAGUCGUGCGUGCCUGCCACUAAUGACCAGUCGGCAGGUAUUUAGCUUUGUCGUUAUCUAAAAAGGCUAUUCUACAUAUGCCGAGGAGAAGAUGCUCACCUUCUCGCCCCUCCCUCUACCGUGAUGUACGUGGAUGAACCCGACGGCAACAAGGACGACCUCGUAGGAUCCAGCCACGAUUGUGCGGAAUUUCGCGGGGACGAAUCUACCCGGCCUCUCGUCCUAUCCGCCGCCGGUAGAGGCAUCCAUGUCCGAUGGUGUGAAUUUUGGCUGGUUCCAUGAGCACUUCGUUCCCUGCCGUGUAGUCUUCGUUGAUUCGGGAAGAUGGUGGUUGUCUGUUUAGCCAUUUCAAUCUGCUAUUGAUCAUGCUCAUUCUUGUUAUAUUCAGUUAUAUUGGAAACACCAUCUGAUUCAGUUAUAUUCUUGAUCAUGCUCAUGCUCAUCCUUAUUCAAAUACGAAUACUUCUGUUUGGAGAGCUCGGGCGUCAGCUGUGUGGAAGCACCAGCUGAUUUGUAACUGGUCGGAAGGUGAGCUUCUCAUACUCGCUGCCGUCGAAGCACGGCACCUUGCCGCCACUUAUGUUGCAUGUUGUUGUGCUGUAGGUCCUUGGGGUUGGGUGCGGCAACUCGCGACUCGAAGACAUUUCGUGCAUGUGCUCCCCUGCGCUUGGUGACCAAUACAUCUACUCCGUUGUGAACAUGUGCUUCGUGUCAUACAAGUCGCCGCCAAGGGUGAGCUCGUGCAGCUGUACAGGUAUAGAUGUGCAUCCCAUAAUGGCAGCUACAGUUUCUUUCAUAAAGUUAUUUGUGUGAGUGCCCUGCAUAUUGAAGUAAACUGGAUCGGCUAAUCUUGAGUUCCUCCACCAAGUUAUAUUACUUCGACAAGAAAAAGUGCAGAAAGACCAUAUAAAGUACUCUGGUGACUCUCUCAAUUGAACUAAAUUUUUUUUAGAUGCGUGAAACAUGCACAACGAUUUGCUCUAUUGAGUCUAUGUAUGUUGAACUAGCACUCGAAUUAUAGCUCAUGCCGGUAUGCUAUUUUUCUCUUUCUCAUAUCAGCUCUCCUUCUUUUUGUCCAUUUUUCUUCACUACUACCUGAAGGAAACUGUACUGGAUAGCAGCCUAUCAUAUAUAGUUACAUGUACCGAGUGAUUUAGCUUCAUUUUAAUGAUACUGUCAACAACUAACUACUGCUGCGACAUAUUUGAUGCAACCUGUAAAAUAUUUUUUGUUUAAUUUCAGCAUAUCAUUUAUAUACUGAAGUCUCUUCUGGACAUGUUGUCUAAUUGCGUCAUGUAUGUUAGAUAUUUGUUCUAUAAUACUUGCCAUUGACUAAUUUUCUUUUAUUUAGGUUAUGUGCAUUAUUGAUUAGCCAAUCUUGAGAGAGAGAUGGGUUGGCGUGAAUCGGAAGAAAACUACAUUGAAUGGACAAGAAGUAUGCCCUCAACUUUUUCAUGGUAUGUCUUACUUAUUGUUCUUGUGAUUUUUCCAUCAGUUUCACUUUACAUUUCUUCUUUGCUUUUUCAUGGCAUCGGGAUGCCCACUGGCGACGGUGCUGCGUUGCUACCAAAGGGGCACCCUGCCGCGGCCGGGGACUCGCUGCCGUCGAAGUACGACACCUUGCCGUCACGUAUGUUGGGUGUUGUGGUGCUGCAGGUCCUUGGGGUUGGGUGCGGCAACUCGAGACUCGAAGACGAUCUUCUGUGGUAGGGCGUCGCCGGCGGCGGCGGCACCUGUAUAGACCGUCUCGGUGUGACAGAAGAGUUCGGAGUUCACUCCGAGAAAGAAUUGCUUUGCAUGUACAUUUGCUGAAAGACUGAUGUGCUGAACUUUCGAUGAUUUCGAUUGGUCUCUAACAUAACCUUUCCUCUUUUUGUUGAUAUGUCCAAAAGAGAUCCUUAUUUCACCUUUUGUUUAUAGGUAUUCAACUUGAGGAAUUUCAUACUUUUGGAGUGGAGCUAUCAAAUAUAUGUGUGCUCGAUGUUGGUGUUUUAGUCCGGAUCCCUCGCUGAAGGUGCUCGAUGUUGGUGUCUGAAUACUGCUACCGUACUUCAAGGUCUGUAGCAGCUCUUACAAUGGAUUCUUUUUAAUGAUAGUACAAUCUAUUUUUGUUUCGAUUUGGUAUUGUUGUUCUGUUCACUUAACCCAGUCUGUAGCAGCAGCUUUUCAUGUCGUUUCCUCGCCAACAAAUGUCAUAAUUUAUCACAUACGUGUGCAAAUGGUUUUUUGGCUAUAGUAUGAGUAUAUGGUUCAGAGAAGUUCGGUCAGAUGCAAAGCAUGCUUAGCAUCUCAUAGUCGUAGGCUAUUCCUUUUAAAAUUGAAGCCAUCCAGGUUUUCAAUUAUGGAGAUGAUUUGGAAACUCAGCAUAGAAAAUUAUUUACUCUAAUGCAGAUUACACAUAUUAAGGCCUUUAUUCUUUUAUAUUAAGGUCUCCAGUGCAAGCAUUAGCCCAUCUUUAGCUGCUCAUAAGCAGUAUCAGUGAUAUAUAUAUAUAUAAGUACACUCUUGCUAAGAUUAAUCUUUGAUAUAUAAAAUCAUUGCCUGGAUAUAGUUUGCUUUGAAUAUUUUUUUGCUCUUUAGUCUAUGAAGAAUUGCAAGGAGGAGGAUAAUAGAGCAGCAACCAGAGCUGACAAUUGGCCUGUAAAUGCAGCAAAGUUCUCCUAGAGGUGUGAUGUUGGUGGUGAUUUUCUUAUAUUGGGAUAUGGAUGUGGCGGGUCUAUGGGCACCAUGCUGACGCGGAGAAGGAGGUGCAGGUAGCGGGGCGCUUGAGGUGAGGUGGCUGCAGGGUCGCUCGAGAAGAACAUGCUCAUCAGCACCACCUGGAUGCCUUCGUCAUCAGCAAUGUGGACAAGGUGCAAAAGGGAUAUCUCUCUUACCUCUUAUUCAGUCUGGAAAAUUAUGCAAUGUUUGGUUUGGCAGAUUUAACAGUCGCUGGUUUGGAAAUUUGUUACCUAUAGAAGUAUAGGAAUAACAUGACUAAUAUUUAUUGAAUUUAUAGAGUUAUUGUUUUUUUCUACAAAGUCAGUUGUUACAUUAGGAAGAACAUCGUCUAAAAUCUUGACGACAUAAAGGAGCAUAGAGUUAAUAGAUUAUGAAAUCCUGUAGUGCAUCAGAUGCACCCUUCACUAAUUUUUGAACACAUUUAUAUUAUCCAGGUUCCGACCUCAUUCCCUGUGAUGUUUGUCUUUUUUAUGUGGGCGAGGAAAACAUUUUUAGGAGUGAUACUCCCAAACGUUGAUUUCUUGGUUGUCGAAUCAUGGUGCUGAUUAGAUUUUACUUAACCUUAAUUAAUCUAUUUAUAUUGCGGCUUUGUCUUUUAGCUCAUCUUUUAGUUUCUCUUCUCCACUUCACACAAGAUUUUAUUGUAGGCUACCAAGUACAGUUAUACCACUUAUACUCUUUCUAUCUGAUUAUGCAAAGCUUGAUCUAUACUCAUUGAACUUUGUUAGAUAGUAGGCCCUCCUAUUAGUGUGCCUAAAUAUAAUUGUUUCUCUGUGUUUAUAGUAUCUUAGUCCAGUAGGAUGAAUGUUCUCGAGUAAUUAGAGGUAUUUGGAUCAAGUGAAUGUCUGAAUACCACUAAAAUCGAAAUCAUAAUUAAAAAAUACUGACCUUUUUCUUCAGGGCGUCUGUUCCUCCUCCCAUGGUCAGCACCACCACCUACUCUGAAUCUCCGAUCAGAAUAGUAUGAACUAUUAAAUAGGGAACUUAAUGCUUAUCAUUGUUGAUGUAUAUAUGUACAACUAACAAUGUUUGUGCUGCAACCAGCUUACUUUAUUCCUUGCUGAAAUUUAUCUUGAUUUAUUUCACAUCAGAUAGUUCUGAACCUAGAUGAUCUCAAUUAAGGUUAUUGAAAUUUGUUAAAUUAUUUUUAUCCACUCUUCUGAAUGAGCGUAUACUAUGAUCUGAUUUGUAUAUCAUAUUACUGAGGCAGCGCUGGGCCAUGCUGUGGUGAGAACAUACGAGAGAUAAUUGGGGUGUGUGGCUGAUUGCUUCAUAUGCUGCUAAUGAUAUAUGUAGACUGCUGAUUGCUCCUGAUAUAUAGUGUCGAUUGCAGCUGAUAGUAGGAUUGUACUCAACUUGAUAGGUAAAGUGGGAUGGCGGGAUUGUAUAGUGCUCAUAAGCCAGUCCGGGCAUUGUCCUUCCUCGAAUGAAUCUGAGACUACUCCUCAUAUGUUAAUCAGUUGCUCCUCCCUAGCUUUGGUUUGGUCUGAACUUCAAAGUUUUCAUCCACCCAAUGUUGAUUCAGUCAAAGAUCUCUUGGAAAAAUUAUUUCGACAAGAUUCACUCUAUAAUGUUGUUAUCAUUGUCCUCUGGAAUAUAUGGAAGCGCAAAAACUCCAAGGUCUCCCGGGAUGUUUUUGAGGAAUUGCACAUUACUGCUAGCAAGAUUGCUGAUGAUUGAUACCAUGGUCCAACAGGUAUUCACAUGAAAUUAAUAAAUGGCACCUUACGGAUUGGAGUACUCUACUGUAUCACUAUCUGGGAGAUUUUAAUUUUUUCCUUCCAUUAUUUAUCUUAAUCCCUGUGUACUCAUUGGACUUUGUAUAGUUCUCAGUUUUAUGAAGUGGUUCAGGCUGGCGUAAGCCGCCAUAGUCCCAGUAAAAAAAGGCUACAAGCUUCGCUUCGGCCUUACGGAACUGAAUAUUAUGUAGUUUUAUUGAGAUUAUUGAUAGUGCUUCUCUACUAUCAAAGAAGAUAAUAGUCUCUUAUGUGUUUCUUUUUGUCCAUUUGAAUGCACUCCAUUUUUUAGUGUAUUAAUUAACAUCAAACCUCCCAUUCUUUCUAGAGUGCUGAUGUAUUAUUAUUUUCAGCUUAACACAUUUAACUUCCUAUAGAUUUCAUGGUUUAUGCAGAUUAACCGAGCUAAGAAUUUUUGUGAAGCUAAAGCUGGUGUUAAGAUGAACGCCGCUAUGUAUAUAUUUGAAACAGUUAGAUACAUGCUUGACAGACUAUAUAGGGGUGAUCAAAACCAUGCAAAGCAUUAUGGGACAAGUUUCUCUACCUUAAAUAAGUGUUCGUUCUCUCGUGUUUACCAUUCGUUUAAGGGUCAUCAACCCGUGUAUUUAUUUUCAUUGACCAAGUUUUACAUUUUUCUUCUGUAGUGUUCAUUGUGCAGUUCUAGAUUGUUAAGAGAGUAGAGUUUAUUGAUUUAUUACAUGGAGAGACCAGUAGUGUCGUAGUGGUCUUGACAUAAUUGCUAACAUUUUCUACUAGACAAAGUUUAAUUGCACUAAAUACAAAUUAGAACAUGCAUAGACAUUUAUCUUCUUUCUACAGAAUGGUUAGUGUAAACGUACUUUGAGUUGUACAUGAUUCUGUAUCUGACCAUUUUAUCUCAUAUGUUGAUGUGGUUGCAGAUAUGAACUUCAAAUUAUCCUGCAAUGUAUUGACUGCUCGGAGCUAACUUGACUACGCCAGUUUUCUUUUAUGGCUCAAAGUAGUUAGUGUCCCCCCUUAUUAUGAGAGAGGUACUACUUCAAACAUCUCUUCUUAAUGUUUUAUGUCAUGGCAUACAAUAUGAGGGAGUGUUAGUUGGCUUGACUUUCGUGGCACUCAUUGAUAACCUUUCAGUUUAGGAGUUUUUGUGGCCUCUUAAUCCAUGAGAGUAUGCUCAUGUUGAAGAAGUUAGUCAUAAUGAGGGGCACCAUAAAUGUUUGUUAUCUGGCACAAAUUCCUAAUGAAUAUCACAUGUUAAUCAAAUUUCAUUGUACUAUUCAUACAGUAAAAUAUGAGUGCCAUGUCAGAAUAUGGUUCUCGAUCUGAAAGAUCAUAUUCGAAAUUGCAGGUUCUAUGGCAGUGGAGUAAUGUUCGUAAAUUAUAUAUUGCUUUCAAGUUUGGAGCUGGAAUAAUAUAUGUGCUGCAUUUAGUUAUAGUCUUAUAGAUAUACAUGAACAUCCAUUGUAUAUUUCUUGCAAGACAUGAUAACUACUAUUAUUUUGAUUGUUUCCGUGAACUAUUUUGACCUUGAUUAAGAAGUAAAAAGUUUUUAGCCUCGUAGGUUGUUUGAUCUACUAUAUCAAGUGGCACUUGGCUUCUCAUGGCUCUCCUCGCAUUUGACAAACAAAGUUAGUACACACUACCUAGAGCUCUGGAAAUUAGAACUGAAAAAUGGUCCUGCGGUUUAUUAGCUGAUAUAAAUCAUGCACAAUCCUCUACAUUUAAAAAUAACCGGACACAAAGCAGUAUACUUUUUUCCGAGUACUACCUUGAGAGAGCCAAGGGGUUCUGCAUUUUAUAAAGAAGAAGAAAGUUGCCUGGUUCAAUACAUGCUUAUCUAAGAAAUAUAUCUUAUCUAUUUAGUGGAAACCAGGCAAAAACCUACAGAUACAAAAGGCAUAAAGUCCCCCACCGGUUGUGACCGAACUACUGUUUUUGGAAAUAUCACAUGAGCUAGAUUACUAACAUUGAUGUAAUGCUUGUAUGGCAACCUAUUCCUUUAUUGGUUUAAUUACAGAGUUUUGUUAUUAUGUGAACGGAGUAAUGGAGAGCUAAGAAAAAACAAGGUAACAGUUAGUGUUACUCUUGCGAGGUAGUUUCAAUCAUAUCAUUGUUUGCUUUCCCUUUUCUCCUGCCUAGGUAUGUACAAUUAUUCCAACCCAGGUUUCUUUCAAGAAGGAUAUGGGUAUGUGUUUGAGGAAUGUCUACAUGACAAAACACACCUUCAAGUUUGGUGAUUGUUAUGCUAUCAAACUUACAAUGGGGGUCUUAAUUUGUAUUUUUAAUAGAGCACUGGGUUCAUUGGUGAGACUUGUGAGGAUGUGCCUAGGCUAAAGAUGGCUGCUAUGUCGGUACCAAGUGGCAUGUGUUUAAAUGGAGUAUUCUUGUCAGGAGAGCUGAUUUCUGAAAUACGGUACUUUAUGGGUGCAAGGAUUCACCAUGUUGCGGUCUUCGUCAGCGGAGUGGACUCCUAGGAAUUAGUCAAGGCCGCUAUGUUGUUUUAAGCUGAUAUUCUAUCGUACUUGUAUAUUUUUUUGCUUAUCUAGCUGUUUGCCAUGCAGUUCUCGUUGUUGGUGGGAACAUUUGUUGUCUAAGAUCGACCUCAAAUAUCUGGUGGCACUAUAGCAUGGCUUUUGAUAUUCUAAUGUAUAUCUCUUACAAAAUAUUUCAAGAGCCCGUGGCAACGCACGGGCAUUAUACUAGUGUAAGUAAGGAUGGAGAUGAAGAUGGUGUGGCGACAAGGAUAUAACAAAACGCCUGGUUCCUUCAGCCAAAAGUUGGCGACGUUCCUUGUUACACACGCUCCGCCCAACAAACGCUCCAAAAGCCAGAAUACAAUUCCUCAAACAAUGGCCAAAGACUACUUCCCCACAUGGAAAAGAAAUACGCACAUGGCCUUACAAUGUUAGCUACUCAUGUCUGAGUUCCUAAACCCUUGCAAAACAGAAAGAAAGGUUGUUUGCUAAACAAAAGAAAGGCCAACACAAUCCUAUCCAAACACUCCACAUUUUUACUCUGUGUCAAAAAUAUGCAACUUUUUUUUGGUUUUUAGGUACAUGCCAAUUUUUUAAAAAAAAACACAAUUUUUUUAUGUUCACACGCCAAGGUAUUUUGUACACAUGGCAAAAUUUUCCGAAGAAGAAAAAUCUCACGACCCCAUGGAUAAUUCAUAACUUUUUGUCUUUCAAACAGGGCAAUUUUAAGUCAUUUUGUAAUGCUAUUGUGGCAAACGAUUGGAUUUUUAAUCAAUUUUCAUGGCGAAUUUAGGAUUCUUUUCCCUACUUUUCCACAUGGCAAUUUUAUUAUAAUUAAAUGGAGAUCUUAUUAUUCAAAACAUGGCAGCUUUACUAUUAAGAGCAUGGCAAUUUAAGUAUGAUAGAAUCUCCUCCCCUGCUCGGUCUACCCCACAUGCAUGGCGUAUAACAUCCUCUAGCCCCAACUGCCGCCAAACCUCUCUAGCCUUAUGGCAUCGAAAUAGUACAUGAAACACAUCUUCUGCUCCUUGUUUACAUGCAGGACACGUCGACCGGAUUGGGAUGUGUCUAUUAGCAAGAACCACAUUGCAUGGUAGUGUUCCGUGUAAGGUUCUCCAAACAAAUUUUUUAACUUUCGCCGGACAAUUUAGUUUCCAAACCUUUUCCCAUGUUGGGUUAGCACUAGUGGCUCCCAAACCAUCUGUCCUCUGCAAUUUACGGCCAUGCUGAAAGUACCAUAGAGCAUGGUAGGCCGAUUUCACUGUAAAAAUUCCAUGUUUAUUCAAACUCCAUGCUACAAAGUCACUCAUAUCAUGUGUAGGUAGUGGUAAAGCAAGGACCCGUUCCACAUCAACCGGCCAGAAGGUUUGCUCCACAAGUGGCACAUCCCAGUGACCUGUAGCUGAAUCAAUUAAAUCACUCACCUUUGAUAGUAACUGGUUACCUCUUGGGGCAAUAAUCAUUCUGGAUGGUGAGUUAGGAAUCCACACAUCCCUCCAAAUAUUUAUUUUUUCACCAUCCCCAACUCUCCAAAUGUAUCCAUGUUUCAGGGUAUUCACCCCUUGCAUAAUGCUCUGCCAAGUGUAGGAGGAAUUCUUUUUUAGCUUAAUUAAUUUACCAGCACAAGAAGCGGCCGUGCUGGGAGUGAAAAACUUCCAUGACUUGAUGUUCACUUGCUGCUGGUACCUUUGGUGGGAGAGGAGAAAGCUUGUGCACAAUGAGCCGGUACAAGAUGCGAAGAGAGUUGCACAAGCGGUAUGUGCUUUAGCUGCUAACUAUGCUAUUGCAUGUGAUCCAAAGGCCUCGUUAAAGAGGGGAGGUUGGUGCAAACCCCCUAGUGGAUAUGUCAAGUUAAAUGUUGAUGCGGCCUUUGAUUGGGAUUUGCUUCAGGGGGCGAUGGGAGCAGUCAUCCGAGAUGAUAGAGGACAUAUGGUUGUAGCUGGAAACAAGCUCAUUGAUUCCUGUUAUGAUGUACUAACUGUUGAGGCAAUGGCUCUGAAGUUUGGGUUGAAUAUGGCGCUCACAGCUGAGUGCAAUAGACUGAUUGUCAACUCGGAUAAUCUGGAACUCAUGGAAAUAAUGAAUAAGGAUGGCCAAUAUGCUGGAGAUGUCGCGGCCAUUGUCGAUGAUUGUUAUCAUCUGGCUUGCGAAUUUAGCUCUAUUGUCUUCGAAUUUUGCCCCAGAGGGUCGAAUGGGGUUUCACAUGAACUAGCUAGGAUUGCUAGAAGUUCGCUUUGUAAUGAGUGGUUAGAUAAUGCUCCUUCUGAGCUUCUUCCCCUACUACUUAAAGAUGUAAGUCUGAUCACGAAUGAAUAAAGAGGAAGUAAAGUUGUCAAAAAAAAAGAGCAUGGCAAUUUUAUUUUUAAUGGCAUGUCAUUCUUACCUUUUUUUUUUGAGAAAAGCAUGUCAUCUUUAGUAUGUCCUUCUCGCCUGCUAUAUGAAGUAGGCGGACCCUAGAUGGGCUUUCCCAAUAUGGGUUCCUGGGACCGGGUUCCUGCAGAGUUUCUUUUCCUUUUCGUCUUGUGUGUUUCCUGGGCCAAUUUUCAUAUUUUUGUUUGUUUUCUGUCUUAUGUGUUUCUUUAUGGAUUUUAUUUCUUUCUCAAUACAUGUACAUUUUUCUAAAUACACACUGUAAAAAUUUGCACAUCUUGAACAUUUUUUAUUAAUUGGCAUAAACCUAGUUUUGGAGUGUGUGAGCAUUUUUUAAUUGUCAUGUACAUUUUUCUGAAAGGCAGUAUUUAUUUUGUUGAAUUACGUGAGCAUUCUUUACACAUCUUGAACAUUUGUCCAUAUUUUUUUGAAACACAUGAACAUAUUUUUGAAUGCUAUAAAAAAAUUUAUAUCAUGCUGGGUAUGUAUUAGUUUAAACUAAGUUAGUGACAAUUAAUAUGGAUCAUAGAGAGUACAAUUUUGUACAUGAUGUUUAUACUUUUAUAUUUCACUUCCAACAUUUUUUAUUUAUUAAACUCUAUUGUGUUUUUGGAAUAAGUGUAUUUAGAACAUAUUUUUUAAAAUGUAAAUAAAAUGGAGCGAAUGAAGAAGCAGAGAAGAAAAACGAAGGCCGGCCAAAUGUAUGGCGUUCCCUGCCUCAUACCUGCAAAUCAAGCUAAGUAGCGGGUGAUAAUUUUUUACACAAUGUUUAUAGUUUUCUAUUUCACUUUGAACAUUUCAAAAUUUUAAGGAAAUUAUUAUUUUUAAAUAAAUGUUUUUAGUUUUUUUAAUAAAAAGGUGAAAAAAAGGAAAUUGAGCGAAUGAAGAAGCAGAGAAAAAAACGCCCUUUCUUUCAUCAACUGAACUGCGUGCGUGCAUGGAAGGGCUAUCAUCUGCACUUAAGAGGAGUGACUUACCUAUCAUUGUGGAGAUGGACUCUAUUCUUGCAGUCAAACUGAUCCAAUCGAGGGAUUUGGACAAAUCUAUUUAUGCUUGGGUAGUUAAGGUGAUCAAGUAUGUUUUGGGGAUUCGUGGUUCUUGUAUUACUCAUGUUAAUCGCUCUCAAAAUAAAGUUAGCGACUUCUUAGCUAGAUUUGUUAAAUUAGAAGGACAAACCAUGACUUGGGUUGGUUCUGGUCCAGAUGUUGCUGUUGAGCUAGCUGUUGCUCAACGUAUGGACACCAUGAGUUGAGUAAUGCAAAAAAAAAGUUUGCGCAGAAUUAUUUUCGAUUUUUUUGAAAAUUUUAAAUAUGGUUUUUGUUUUUUUUCUUUACAAAAAAAAUACCACACAAAUUUGGCAUUCGUUCCCUGCCUCAUAUCUCUACUCCUAAUGGACGACUUGGUGAAUAGUCUCCAUGGUUUAUUUUCGCUGAUUUUUUUUCGUCAUCCUCCCACCUCACGGUUUCAAAAAAACAACCAAAACCAGAGGCCCGUCCCACGAAACGAAACCCAAUUUGCCCCCGUACCACCACUCCUCCCUCUCCCUCGACCUCCCUUGUCUAGGGUUCCCCGCCACCACUGCGGCAGCCUCCGCCGAAUCCUAGGUCGCCGCACACCGUCGCCGCUGCCGCGAAUCCCCAGGGACACCGCACGCCACCGCCGUCGCGAAUCACCAGAGACGCCGCACGCCGCCGCCGCGGAUCCCCAGGGAUGCCACCGCCACCGCCGCGGAUCCCCAAGGGCGUGGUCGCGUUGUACUAGACAAAGUGUGGUCGCCGCCGUCUUCUCCUCGUCCGACCUUGACCUCAUCCCUUCGACUCCGGUGACUCCUCUGUGGCUCGGUGGACACCAACUGUCGUGGAAUUUUCACGGCAGAUGUUGUAGUGUGAGGACUUAGUCGUGAGGCCAACACAUCUACGCGGUAGCUUGAAGGGGUUGGUCGGAAUCGAGAGACGCGAGGUGGAUCAACACACAAGACAAGGAUUUAGACAGCUUCGGGCCCCGGGAAACAUCAUCCGUUAAUAGCUACAUGUUGUUUGUGGCUAGCUCUCAUUAUGCUCGCGAGGGAGUCACCGUAAACCGGCUCUCCUAGUUAUGUCUAGCCCUAGAGAUUGUUUCUUGUUGCUUGUCCCUCUUUGGGGAGCCUUGUCCCUCCUUAUAUAAGUUAGAGGGGCGGGUUACAUGUGUAGUCCUAUUAGGAUUAGGACUAGUCUACCUUCUAAUACAAACCGGAUACAAGUCCAGGUCUUAACUCCUUGUAAGACAAAUAUUUCUCACGCCUUUCCUCUUAAACCUGCCCACCAUAACAUGAGCCGGCCUUCUGGGCCUUGGGCCUUGUCAUCCGUUUGCCCCGCCCGCCGGGUUACCAGUGAAUCAUAAUGUUCAGUCAGGUUGCUUGUAAACCGUCUGGUCAGUGCGGGUCGCCGGUGAAUCGCCAAGUCCGGCCAGGUUACGCCGCGGGGUAUAUCCCCGACAUCUCCCGUGAUAUCUGAUGAUAUAUUUACAAGUAAUGCGCAUGGAUGGUUCGUCCGUGAUUUUAGGGUGGGUUAGUCGGUUGGAAGAUUUGUUAGUUAGCCUAUUUAAAGGUAGCAUGACGCUCUGGUGCUAUUGUUAGGGUUUGCUAACCCAGCGGAGGAGUCCCUAGUUCUUCUCUUACCCAAAGGAUUACGACCACCGUCUGUCAUUGCCACAGUCGCCUGACACCAAAUCAACCAUGUCAUCGUCGAGCUCGAUUAGGUGCGCGCUGAGGGGCCGAUCAGUUGAUGUGCCCCUGAUCCCUUGCCCUGACUGUGGCGAAACGGUUAGAUUCUAUCUCUCUAGUACCGAAGAGCAUGAUGGUUGGGUGUUCUACAAGUGCAAACACCACGAUGUACAAUCCCUUUACACUUUGGGUUGACAUUUACUGCAUGAGUAAUGUUUUCUACUGUUUCGUUAGUGCUGGUUUGAUUUGUGUUCACUUGGUUCAUAGGAUCCAUGUGAUUUCUGGCGCUGGGAACUAGAGUACGUGGAUCAUCUUGUUGGUACAAGUGUCCUUGUUGGUGGUUAUGCCCUUGAUGCAAUGGCUGCGACACAGGAUAGAAGGGAACAGCUACAUCGCGCAAAAAAACAGUGGGAAAAGACUGCAUGUACCAAGAGUGGCAACAUUGGAGGCAGGACAAAUUACAGUCAGAGCAAUGUGGCAACCAUUACGAAGCACCAAGCUUAUACGAUGUUAGGACUAGGGAGACAAAUUGUUUUCAUGCCGAAGCUGUUGACGGCUAGUGUAAUGGUGUUGUGUGUGUGGUGUGUGAUGUUGAUUGUGAAGAAAUAAUAUAUUUGUGAUCGUAUCAAGGCGAUUAUCAUGGUUACAUGUAAUAACAGCUUAAUAAGAAGAUGUGUUCUAACAUGAUAACUCUUAUAUGCCCCCCAACCCUAUUUUAACAUGACAGGUAAGAGUAAGAAAUAAAUCUUACACGAUGAUUCCAUGAAAUAGUUGUUUUGAUUAUUUCUUACCUUCUUGACUAUUAUGAGAAAAUAAGAGGUAAGACGGAGCAUGUUAAAAUUGCUAAAAAAUAAUGAAUAAACCGAGUUGCAAUGAAGGCAAACGAAUGGAAAAAUGUAAACGACCAUUUAAAUUCUUGCCCACUAUGUUGUGCACGAACACAAGAGUACCAUGAAAUAAAAAUAAAGUACGUCAUUACACCAAUGACUUAAAAAUCCCUUAAUUUAUUUUCGCACACUACGUUUUGCCAAAACUACUCUAGAGGCACAUCAGGAACAUGGCAAACAAAUAGAUAAAUCCCAUGAUCUCCUAGGUACAGCAACAUCAGCACCUUCUGUCCUAACAGCAAGAGGUUUUCCUUCUUCAUGAACUCGUUCCAUUUGUUGACGCAUACAUGACCAUCAAUAUCAGAAAUGGUGUAUGUACUUGACACAACACUGUGUGGAUGAUAAACAAUGGUUAUGGCACCAUAUUCCUCCAUUUCUUCAGGGAAAACACGAUUAGGCAGUUUCUGUUUGAAAACAAUAUUUGUUACAUCAACACGUGGCAACUUAAUGUUAUGUAGUAAAGGAAGAACAAUUAAUUUGGAACAAAACUAAAAACAUAUUGAAAUGACACAAAGUGAAUGAAGUACCGAAAGAUGGUUACCGAGAAGUUCUUGUUGCAAUUUGACCAUGUCAACGUAUGGAGGAAUGCAUAUGCUCUCCCUGAUCAUAGUUUCCAGCAUCAUGACACUCCACUAACUUUUAAGGUCCAUCACUUGGCGUAUGACAUACUCCAUUAUUCUCCAGUUUAAGCUUGUCCCCUCAGUUACAACGACAUUGUCAAUAAUAUCUCUUUUCUCAUUGGACAAUUGGUAGUAUGCUACAAUAUUAUAGCAUAGACAAUUUAAUUUAUUAUAUAUGGAUAUGAUAAAGUUAGAGUAAUAAAACUUGCAGGAGCAAAAAAGUAUCUUACUCAGAUGUAUGAUAGGCAAAUUCCUAGUUGUCAAUACGCUACUUGGUACUUCUGAAUUGUCAGUACUGAACGUAAUCUCCUGACCCACAUGUAGCGUGUAAACUCUAACAAAUUCCUUCCAAUACUUCCCUGAAAUGUAUGUCAACUCAUUGUCAUUGGUAAUCACACAUGGGAAUUCAAACCCCUCAUUGGUACUGAAACUUGCUUCAAAGUUCCCAUAUUUUCCCAAGGACACGCCAAAUUUCUGUGUGAAACUGUAUCUGUCGUAGCAGGGAUUACCUGAGUAGCAUAUCUACGAUUGUUAAUAUAUAUGAACUGCCUGUUAAUCUAAAGAAUUUGUCCAAUCUUAGAUGACUAGCAUAGUAUAGUUCACUACUUCUUAGCAGUAUUAUCAUAUAACCCCAUAGAAGAUUUAAAUUAACAUGCACGUACACAAAACCAUUUUAUCAUCUAAGAAAUCAAGAUGCAAUAUAACUCUUUUUGCAGUAAACAUUACGAACAACUGACUGAGUACAAAGGGUCCGAGUACAAUAUUCGUUCAAUAUUACUGCCUCCGUCCAAAAAUUUGUGGACAAAAUUUUGUACAUACGGAUGUAUCUAUGCAGAAAACAUGACGAGAUAGGUGCGUAUCUACAUGGAUCUAACACAUUAAUUUUGGAUCGGAUGGAGUACUAAAUUUCUCAUGAUAUUUGCUACGGGUCAUGUCAGACUGGAUCUUACUGUCUUGUUUGCAAAUCCCUCGCGCACGGUGACGGUACAAAACUCCCUCAUACAAUGCUCACCGGGGCACAAACCCUUGGUGUCCAAACAAAUGCCACACUCCAAAUCGAGAUCAAUCUCAUUACUAGUACGUACAGUCUUAAAGAUUAGUGCUAGCAGUUGAAUUUAGAUCUGACAGAUUCUAUAGUGCAAAUACGUACCGCGCUGAUCUCCUUAACCAUUUUCACGAAGGUUCUCGACGGCGGCAGUGCGUGUACCGCAUCGACUCCAUGGAUGGAAUCCAGUUUGAACCAAUGUUCGCACUUGCUAUGGUGUCAAUUAGGUCCACCCUUAGGCAAAGAAGCUUGAAGGCAUCAUAUGCUACCACUUUCGAUGGUUGUCUAGGGGGGUAGACCGUCUGGGAGGAAAUGAAAAAAUCAUGAAAAUCAUGUGUAACCUUGAACGCACUGUGCAUGCAUGCUUGAUUUGGUUCAUGGGAUGGCAUCAAAAUAACUCAGAAUCCUAUGUACAUGGUGUAUUGAAGGAGAUGGCCCGAGACGGGCCCUUCCGGGCUAUCCUUGUACCCUCCGAAAGCACGUGUUGGUUUAUUGACCUAUAUUAAAUGACCGUCAAGUUUGUAGGGUUACAAUCCAUGUCCAUGUUAGGGAUACAUAUGCCAAGUUUGAACCAUUUUCAUCUAAGUUUGCAAGUUUUUUCAUGUGUAAAUCUUAGUCUAAACUGAGAAGCAUCACUACAAGAAAUAUGCUAUCUUGUGACCUCCACUAUUGGUCACUGAAAGGUCAUAGUUUUUCAUUUGCGACCUUUUUGUGACCAAAAACAGAAGGUCAAAAGCUGAGGGUCGUAAACUGACUAUAGCGACCUUCUCACAACGACCUUCUCUGUGAGAAGGUCGUGGACGUUUAUGACCAAAAUAUUCCUACUGUGGUGUUUUGGUCACUAGCAGCCUCCCCAGUCCACGUAGGCAUCCAGCGUGGCAAGCUGAUGUGGCACCAGAUUCAGCCCGGUCCAAUUCGGUUUUCUACAUGGACCUAGCCCAUUAAUUCAGCCCAUUUAGUAUAUUUAUUUUUGUUAAUUUUGUUCAGCUACAUGGGCCAAGCCCAACUAGUCAGCCCAUAAAUUUUUAUGCACGUUUGGCCUUUCAAGAAUAUAUAUACAAUUUUGUGCAGCCCAUUUCUGGUUUACAUUCAGCCUUUUUAUACAUUCAAAUAAUAAUUCAAUCCUGAUGUUGGUCCAAUACUCUUUUCAGCCCAUUCACAUAUUCGUACAAAUGAUCCUCAUUUUCGACAAAAUUUGCAAAUAAUUUCAUAUUUCAGCACUAAAUAUGUUUACAUCACAGGCCAUAAAGCCGUACAAACUAGUAUCACUUGUUCCUAUACAAAACUAUCAAAUGAUACAUACAACAAAACAGAAUACAGAAAAUUUAGUUCAACAAAAAUAUGUUUUCUUCCUCUUCCAUCUUCCAGGACAUAAAACACCUGUGAAAGUAAAUAUGCCACAACAAAAAUGGAAGGAUCAGCCAUUAGAAGCAUAUUGAGUACAAGGGAAACACGCACUGUGAAAAUUUUGACAGCACGAAUAUUUUUUAUAUUACAAUAACAAACAGAAAUGUAAUCUGAUUGCAUAAGACAUAUGGCAUUAUCAACAAGACAAAGCAAAAUUUAUAGUGCCAACUCGGGAAUAAGAUAAAGCAAAAUUUAUAAAUCUAUAGCAUCGCACACGAGGUCUAAAUUUAUACUAUGUUCCUUUAGAAGCAAGAGUUGGUUAGUGUCUAGCUUUUAUUGCAGAUAACUAGUAAAUUUCCACAAAAAAUAGGAGCGACAUAUGUUUUAAUCUCGUGUUUGCAGUAUAUAUUCACAGCAUGUAAGAAUACUUUGAUUAACAAACUAACCAACCAUCAACUAACACUUCACAGUACCAACUAACACUUCACAGUACCAAAAAGAUGGGGUGGCGCUCACCAAUUCAGAUGUGCAGCAGCCAUGAGGGCUUCUUUGUGUUCCACCUAUAGCAGCGGCAACUUCUACAAAUCUGAGACACAAAACAAACGCAUGCAGAAGGAAUCAGAGGGAGGGGAGAUGAAGAACAUGGCAGGCAUUUAUAUGAUCGCAGUACAUAUGGAACAAACAGCAGUCCAUACUUGCAUCAUCAUGUGUAUAACAAAAUCACGGUCGCCUCUACAGAUAGCACUACUAGAGUAGAGAGCCAAGCAUAAUAAUUCUACCAGGAGACAAUGUAAACACAGAGUCACACCAUUGACAGAUUAAGCCUUACAACAUGUUUGGUGGCUCAGUGGGCGAUGUAUGCAUGCACAAAAAGGGGGGCAAUUUUUCAAUCAAACUGAAGAAAAACACACAUCAUUUAGUAACCAGUACAAAUCCCGGUAGCUGUAGGUGCAUGCAUUGUGUAACAAUGAGUAAUCAAUAGCAUUUCAGAGUUGUGCAGUUACUAGUGUGUCGUCCUCUGUUUACCACACCACACAUGGGCAUGAGAAAAUUGCUAAAAACCACUGAUCGUGUGCUAAUCUACUUGGAAAAUUAUAUGUUUGAAAAAGAGCAGCUUGCAUCCUUUUUAUUAACCUACAAAGCAUAUGCGGUCACAGAAAGCAGUACUAAAGUAGAAAACACAAAGCAGUAGAAUAAACUAUGCACAUGUACUCGGCAGCCCACUCACAUUACCAGCUCCCUUAUAGAAAUAGCAAUCAUUUUAAAAGCAUCAUGACAGAUGUUAGCAACUGAACAUCUAAGGCUAAUCCAGCAGCAAAUGAACAUAGUGAAGAAUUUAUUUGCAAAGAACACAAAAGGCGGAAGAAAAAUUACAUGUUGAAGCAGCCCUGUUACUUGACGUCCUGCAACAGAUAACACUUGAUCAUUAGAACCACUAUAAUCCAAACAGAGAAACAAAAAUGCCAAACUUAAGCAUAACGAAUGCACUGACCCUAUUGCGGCCACAUUUUAACCACUAGUGUUGUGAUAUAGACAAGAUAGUCAGCCGCUUACAUGGUAAAAGGAACAUGGCAGCACUAAGUUACACAGGAAUGUCAAGUAGGAGAUAUGAUCUGAUAGAUCCACAGAAACAACUCAGACCAGAACAGCACUAAGUGUUCACUCACAAAUUGGUACUAGCAUAGAGAUUUUCGUAUGCCUAGAACCUGUGGCAAUACAGGUUGACGUAUAUGCAAGGGUAUAUAUAUACUCGUAUUUGAUAGGACUAACAACACAUGAAUCAAAGAUAAUCACGAUCAGCCGCGUAAUCUACCACAAACCCGUGGUAACAGACACCAUUACACAGCUACACCAACAGCCUACCGAAGCAAAACUCCAAAUCGGAUGAAAAAUUAACUAGGAUGGGAUCUGACACUGGCAUCAACUAACUAGGGAACAGCCUAAACAAACACCGCUGAGAAUGGUGCCGAAACGGAUCAGAUGACGAAAUUGGCUUACCCGGCCUCCGGGUGCUGCUGCUUGAACUCGAGGUGGUGGGAGGCGACGGGGCUGGCGUGGCGGUCGUAGAUGAUGAACCUGGUGCUGGUGGUGCCCUGGUCGAUCGAUGCCACGUACACCUCCUCUUCCUUCCCCUUCCCCGCCAUACUCCUUUCCCUUCCCCUUCCUCCACACGCCCCAGAGCAUGCUCGCCAGAAAAACAAGCGCCGAACCCUCUGCCGGCGGGCAAACAGAGGGGGGCGGCCGGAGCAGCGGACUGAGCCGGUGGAACAAGCGAGGAGGCGGUCGGCGUUGAAGUGGGAGGCAGUGGGACGCAAAUCCUGGUCGUCCUCCUCCUCAUUGUCGAUGUCGUCCAUGGAGGUCACCUGCCAGUUCAAAUCCAACCCAAUAAAGGGGAUCAGACAAGGAAGUAGAGAGAGGAUCUGGGCUGGGGAAGGGGAAGUAGAGACAAGGAAGUCGGCGUCGCGCUCGGCGUACUUGUCGGCCUUGAGGUAGCGCGCGAUGCGCCCGACGGGGAAUUGGAGCCCGGCCUUGGACGGCCGCGACACCGACUUGGUCUCCUUCGCCUUGCCGCGGCCUAGGUAGCGCGCGAUGCGGCCGACGGGGAACUGGAGCCUGGCCUUGGACGAUCGCGACACCGACUUGGUCGCCUUUGCCUUGCCGCGGCCGACGACGCCUCCGGUGGAACUCAUCGCCGAUUCGCCUUUGGGGGAGGUCCGGACGCGGUUGGUGACGACGAAGGAGAAGAUGAUGAAGACGCGGCAGGAGCAGCGCCUCCAGCGCGAUGACCGGCCGCUCCAGGAACCGCUCGCAGUCGGCGGCGGCGGCCCGGUGGCUCAGCCAGAUGCCGCCGCCGAGGACGACGAGAGGGACGAGGGGGAUCUGGAUCGGGGGAGAGGAGGGAGGGAGAGAACGAAAGAAAGAAAGGAGGCGGGGGGUGGAUGGAAGAUGCCAGCUAGGGUUUCGCCUCAGGCGGGGAGGCGAGGAGCGACGGCUACCGUAGGAUCCGGGAGGAUCCAAUGGUGUUUUGUGCAUGAUCCGUGUGCCUUGUCCACGGAGCAAUCAGAACGCAAUACAAUAUUAUGUCCAAUUGAAUUGGUCGUGAUAAAUUUAAAAAUAAGAUGUUAGAUCAUCUUAGCUAUUUACUUGACCUGAUAAAUUGGAAAAAAAUGAAACAAAUGAAAAACCUUCUCAUCAUGUCAUCAAAUGUGACCUAGUUUUUAGAAGAAAAAAAUAACAAAAUAGUAAUAAGGAACUUUUCAUUUUCUUUGCACGAAAAUUCAUUUUUCAUUUUUCGAGUGCUCAAAAUGAGUUUUUUUGUGAAGAACAUACCAAAUAUUUGUUGCAAAAUUGUAUCAAAUCAUUUUUCUAAAAUACUAGACCAUAUUUAAUGUACAAAUAACCAAAUGGUUGGCUGUAAAAACUUUUAAUCCACCUCUCGUGAAAAAGACAAAUUUCCGCCGAUUCAGUUGGAAGCUGGUCAAAUUUGAACUACAGCUGCUUCAUAGUUUGCUAUUUAUUUUUUCCAAAAAUAAUUUCUAGGUACAUAAGUACCUAUUUAAUCAGAGAAACACCAAAAAAAUUUCAAGAUUCAACCACUAGCUAGGAACGGUCAAGCCCGCCGUUUUGACCGCAUUUUGAAACGGACAUAAAAAAUUCAAAAAAAAAUCAAAAAAUUGGUAAACCUUCGCAUUGUGUCAUUAUAUGUGACCAAGUUUCCACGAAAAAUAAUAAACUUGUAAUAUGGAAAUUAUUUUAGAAAAGUGUUCUUAGAAAUGAGCUAUCAUGUGUGAAGAUUCAUGGAUUUCAACCCAAACGCUCAACCUCAUGGCCACAUUCAUGGCAUAGUUUGUUCAAAUGAUCUCAUAUUGUGCACAAGGGUGCAUCUUGGAAUUCCAAGCAAUGUUGCCAAAGGGAGUUUUCAUUUUCUUUGCACGGAAAAUUCAUUUUCCAUUUUCCGAGUGCCCGAAAUGAGGUUUUUUGUGAAGGACCUACCAUAUAUUUGUUGCAAAAUUGUACCAAAUCAUUUUUUAUAAAAUACUAGGCCAUAUUUAAUGCACAAUUGACAAAAUGGUUGGGUGUCAAAAGUUUUGAUCCACCUCUGGUGAAAAAGACAAAUUCCCGUCGAUUCAGUUGGAAGCGGGUCAAAUUUGAACUGCAGCUGCCUCAUAGUUUGCUCUUUAUUUUUUCUAAAAAUCAUUUCUAGGUACAUAAGUACCUAUUUAAUCAGAGAAACACCAAAAAAAUUCCAAGAUUCAACCACUAGCUAGGAACGGUCAAGCCCGCCGUUUUGACCGCAUUUUGAAACGGGCAUAAAAAAUUCAAAAGAAAACAAAAAAAUUGGAAAACCUUCGCAUUGUGUCAUUAUAUGUGACCAAGUUUUCAGGAAAAAUAAUAAACUUGUAAUACGGUAACUAUUUAAAAAAAGUGUUCUCAGUAAUGAGCUAUCAUGCGUGAAGAUUCAUGGCUUUCAAGCCAAAUGAUCAAUCUUAUGGCCACAUUCAUGGCAUAGUUUGUUCAAAUGAUCUCAUAUUGUGCACGAGGGUGCAUCUUAGAAUUCCAAACAAUGUUGCCUAAAGAAGUUUUCAUUUUCUUUGCACGGAAAAUUCAUUUUUCAUUUUCCGAGUGCCCAAAAGGAGGUUUUUUUGUGAAGGAACUACCAAAUAAUUGUUGCACAAUUGGACCAAAUCAUUUUUAUAAAAUACUAGGCCAUAUAUAAUGCACAAUUGACAAAAUGGUUGGGUGAAAAAAGUUUUGAUCUACCUCUGGUGAAAAAGACAAAUUGUUGUCCAUUCAGUUGGAAACGGGUCAAAUUUGAACUGUAGCUGCCUCAUAGUUUGCUCUUUAUUUUUUCCAAAAAUCAUUUAUAGGUACAUAAGUAUCUAUUUAAUCAUAGAAACACCAAAAAAAUUCCAAGAUUCAACCACUAGCUAGGAACGGUCAAGCCCGCCGUUUUGACCGCAUUUUGAAACAGGCAUAAAAAAUUCAAAGAAAAUCAAAAAUUGGAAAACCUUCGCAUUGUGUCAUUAUAUGUGACCAAGUUUCCAGGAAAAAUAAUAAACUUGUAAUACGGUAAUUAUUUUAAAAAAGUGUUCUAAAAAUGAGCUAUCAUGCGUGAAGAUUCACGGCUUUCAAGCCAAAUGAUCAAUCUUAUGGCCACAUUCAUGGCAUAGUUUUUUCAAAUGAUCUCAUAUUGUGCACGAGGGUGCAUCUUGGAAUUCCAAACAAUGUUUCCUAAGGAAGUUUUCAUUUUCUUUGCACGGAAAAUUCAUUUUUCAUUUUCCGAGUGCCCAAAAGGAGGUUUUUUUAUGAAGGAACUACCAAAUAAUUGUUGCAAAAUUGGACCUAAUCAAUUUUAUUAAAUACUAGGCCAUAUAUAAUGCACAAUUGACAAAAUGGUUGGGUGUUAGAAGUUUUGAUCCACCUCUGGUGAAAAAGACAAAUUCCCGCUGAUUCAGCUGGAAGCGGGUCAAAUUUGAACUGCAGGUGCCUCAUAGUUUGCUAUUUAUUUUUUCCAAAAAUCAUUUCUAGGUAAAUAAGUAUCUAUUUAAUCAUAAAUACAUGGUUUGAUGGCGAGACAUCAAGGUUUGGAGGUGGCCGAGGGCCCCAACUCUAGAGUGCAUAAGCUCGCAUGCCCGCCGCGUGGUCACCGCAUGACCGUGGUGUUGCCAUGCGUUCUGGGAGGCCUAGGCAUGUCUAGUGGGUUGUUCACUCCCCAGGUAGAUGCUAGGAAGAAAAUUAUAACAUAAGAUUCUCACGAGGAGACCAAUCGAUGCUCAAACAUGAAUAAGCAGCCAAGUGUUUGAUUUGCGGUACGGGAAAUGCACAUUGCUAAUGGGCAUGAGUUUUGGCUGAGGAUGAUCAGUUACUAAGAAGACCUCUUCACAAAUUUUUAGGGAAAUCAAGAAUAUAUAAAUAACACUUCCUUCACAAAGUGCUGCUCUGAACAGAAUAGGAAAAUGAAUAUUGUUGAGUUAUUUUUGAACUAGGCAAGGAAGGUUUUUGACAUAUUUGAUGAAGAUAUGAUCCAAACAAUUUAUGAGAUUUUUUUGGGAAUUUUUGGAAUGACAGAAAUAUAGGUUGCUUCACAACCUAGGGCAAAAACUGCCACAUGGACAUGACACAUAGGCAAAACUGAUGAGGUGGCGCCUAGUCAUCACAACCAACCACAAUCUACAAGGCUAUGACCAUCUAUUUUGGUCGUUAACAACUAGAAAUAAGCCAGUGGACCAGCCCUGUUUGCCUUGUGACCAUUUGGUGUAAGGAAAUUACGACCUUUCUGACCAAAAUGGUCGCAAUGGUUUAGGGUUUGGAGCCCCCCGAACAGCUUUUGACCAAUUGGUCUCAAAUGGUCAUAGAUCUAUGACCAAUUCUUCCAGGGUCACUGAUAGAAGGUCACUAGUUGACAUAUUUCUUGUAGUGCAUUUCGCAUGGUAGCUUGUUUUGGUCAUGGGAUUCCAUGGGAAAUAGUAGGCAUAAUUUUGUAUUGUAGAUGAUCUACUAAACAUGAGGGUGCCCCCAAACACGUCCUUGCGGCCUUGACAUGCACCCUCCGAAAUCACAUGUUGGUUUGUUGACCUACCUGAAAUCAACCCAACUUUGCAGGGUUGCAAGCCAUGGUAAUUAUUGGGGUACGUACAAAUUUCAACCAUUUUCAGCAAAGUUGCAAGUUUUGUCACGUACGGACAAUUUUCGGGCAUUUUCAGAACAAACAACAUAUUUUAUACCACUUAAAAAAUGCAUUCCUUUCUCGACGACACAUUUGUUUUUUCUUCGGAACAUUACAUUUGUUUUGGCCAAUUACACAUGCUAAUGUUUCAACCUCCCAUAACUCACGCCACCCAGAUCUCCCGAAAUCCCACGAUUACAGCUCCUCCCUCGUAACCACCCGCGGCAUCCAGGUCCCGUACCACCUCCCACGACUGCUGCAAGAUCAGAUUGUAGCCGCCGCCCACCAGGAACUCGCCUGAGGGGUUGGACGACAGUGGUGUUGUCGCCGUCUCCUACGCGCGUCAACGCGCUGCUCCUGUUGCUCCCGUCGAGCACCACACAUCAACAUCUAGUGUGGGACGCACUAUCCGUGUGGAGCAUUGGGCCGCCACCGUCGACGAUAGAAGGUUACGUGAUCAUAGCUCUUUUUGUAAUCUUUCUCGGACACGCACGUCUACUAGUAAAGCCCUAAUAGGUUUCCCACAAGUUAUUCCAGUCAUCAAGAUUACCUAAUCAUAGCUCUCAUUAAUAACUAUCAACACGAUCAAUCUUGGCACACUACACGAAUGUCCGAAGAGGUAAUACCACAACAAGGGUAUAUCUUUCAUGAAAUAACAUGUCGUAUGUUUAUGCAAUCCCAAAACCCUAGUUGAACUGUCCCAAUGUUAUGCAUGACCAAAAUCUAUAGUGUGCUUAAAGUUACAUGUAGUUCAUAUUAUUUAAUAAACUCAUCCGUGCCUGCGUAUAAGAUUCUAUUUUUGUUACACAUUUCUCAAUGUGAAGGUCAAAUAAAUUGAACCGGUUUUGCUUCUGUUCCAUAGGUGCAGUAAAAUGGAAACUACUGUUAAAAGUGCUACUAAUGGAGAAAAAUACGUCUCCGAAAUGACCGAUGAGGUACAUUGUUGACAUUUCGUUUGAAAACUGUACUUGCAUACACUUCUUUCAUACUCGAUAAAAUCUAUUGCCACUUUUGCAGGCAAUCUUGAGGAAGCACGGCCAUACGAAGUUAGUGUGCUCACUGUCAAGGCUCGCCAAAGUCAUGAAAUUGUUAUCACCAGAACACAUAGAGAAAAUCAUAAGCGAUACCGGUCUUGGGUGUCUAAACAUGAUUCGUGAAUUUAAACUCCGGCGCAUUAUGUUGGUAAGACUAACAAAGAGCUUCAAUAGUGAGACAUCGUUCAUUACCAUAGGUAAAACACCCAUUCCUAUCACCGCAAAAGAUGUGCACCAUAUAUUUGGCCUUGCGAUAGAAGGGGAGGAUAUUGAUGAAAAGCUGCAAAGCACGCCGGAUCCAAAUUUGUUUUAACACAUUUCAAAACAAUGGGAGCAUUGAUCUGGCUGACCUUGAGACAACGAUCUUAAGUUCCAAAACUCCGGACAAUGACUUCUUGGCGCGGUUCGUUCAAUUCGCUAUUGGCACAGUUUUAGCACCAACGACACAAUGUUAUGUCGACGCAAAAUACCUUAAUCUUGUUGCGGCUAUUAAAAGCCUUCGAAAAUUGAACUGGGGAUGUUUCACAAUGAAACACUUGUUCAGGUACAUACACAAAUUUAGCUCUCUUGAUCAAGUAUCUCUACAAGGAAAUCUACCUCUGCUUCAGGUUAGUGCAACAUCACUAGUUAACAUUGUACAAUUCUUUUUCUUUUCUAUAUCUCUCUCUAUAUUGACGAAGUAAUUUAUUGUGAAGAUUUGGUACUGGGAGCACCUGCGUUCCGGCAAAUUGAUGUAUACUCCUAUACCCCCACCAUUGGUCGCACGAUGGGACGAAUGCACGUGUGUAAUAAGAGCAGAAGCUUACACCUCAGGAGGUCUUCAUAAAGGACUGGUGUGUUUCUAGAUUUGACCCAUGUAUAUAUCCGGUUAUUUAUUUGCUACUACUGAUUCAUUGUACCUGAUUCAAAGGUUGUGAUGGAAAUUUGUGCUCGACAACCAAAGGCCAACAAUAGAAAGGAUCCAGGAAGCAAAAAAAUUGUACGUGAGGAUGAAGGUGAUUCAUCUCGAGCACAAUCACAAGGUCAAAAUAUGAGUAGCCACCAAGUAAGCCCAACAAAGACAAUUUUCAUUUUCCAAGAUCAGUAAAAGGUUGCAUCGAAACUCAUUCAUUUUGCUUUGUUCUGAAUAGGGUGUUAUUUCGUUUGCACAGGUGCAAAUGAUAGUUGCAGCCCUGAAUGCAUGUUGUGUUGAGCAAGAAAAGAAGAUAGACAGACAGUUAAUGGAAAUUCAGCGUAGAUUUGAUGCGAAAUUCCUCACCCUGAGCGAAGAGUUAAUCGACAUUAAGAGUAAAUCUGGCAGUAAUCCUAGGCUCUCGCUGCUCGAGGACAAAAUUAAGAACUUAAGGAGGGACCUGAAGGUAUGUCAUGUUGUGCAUUUUUUAUUGUUAUGAAUAUGUUCCUCCAUAUUCAUUAUUGUUAUAGUUGUUAUAGGAAUUAGAAAACCAAACUAAAGUCAGCCGACAAUCCGAGUCACAGAAAGCAGGCGUCGAGGUAAUAAUUAUGGCCCACCACAUAAGUAGUAUUACCAAACUAAUUAUAAUUGACCAUUUUUGUUGUUGUAGGAACAAGUCAAUGUGUGCAGUGAUCCCUUCAUGGCGACUCCUAAGUUCGACGCAUCCACGCCACGUACUUUGACUCCAACACCAAGUGCCAGACACGUCCUGCCAAACAAGGACGAUCCUCGAAUCACACCGUUGAAGCCUCUAUUUGAUAAUGAUUACGUGCUCACCGCUGAGGACAAAGAGGCAGCCAUUUUCAUCCGGGGAACACACGGCCCUGUUGAAGUCAUUCAAAUCGGAGACAUUCCCCUAAGAGCGGAAUAGCUGAAGCCAAUUUACGAUAAAAAAUACAUCUGUGGUGAUGUAAGCCCCUUGUACUCCAUUGUACAUCAACUAUUUGAACUGUUGGCACAUCAUUAUAUGAUUACAAAUUUGGCAGGUUACUAUGGCGUAUGCUCACAUCAGCGGAGUUGAGACUGAUACUACCUCAGUCAUAUCCCCCAAUGAAACCAGAAAGCUUUUACAAACAAAAGGGGUUAUUCCAGAGGGCCGUGGAAGCUCGUUGCUUCAGCGUAUUGCAAAUAAAUUUGUAGGACGCCGGAAGGUACCUGUUUUCCUCACUUUCAUAUAUCAUAAUAGAUAGUGUAGAUGAAAUAUUUCAGGGGUCCCCCGAACCAUAAUUGUUACCUCAUAUACAUUAUUCCGUGGAAUGAGUCCUCUUUGACUUUAUGGCAGGUCCACAUCCCGUUUAAUGUGAAUGAUAACCAUUGGAUGGCAAUGGUGUUCAAUUUCGACAAAGAAGAGAUUCAAAUCCUAAACUCCUUGAAAAAUCAAUUUGCUGAGUCAAAGGAAACUGCUCUUGUAAGCUUUAUCUUGCUGCCUCUUUACUGUCGCAUGGCACAUGAACUCCAAAUCACCGUAACCCUUCGUAAUACUCGUAUUAUGCUAGGUGGAGGCGAUUCAGGCCUGCAUGGAUGGAGCGGUGAAGGAUGGCUUGGUAACACCAGAUAAGCCUAUCAAAUUUACCGACUGGGAAGUAGUACACUAUGACGACAUACCACAAUAGAAUGACGGGUACGUACGACCUCCUAAAUUAUUCCUCGCUGACACGUCCAAGUUUACUAAAACCUAAACUAAACACUGCAGGCAUUCAUGUGCGUUUUUUACACUGAAGUACAUGUUGACAUGGAACAGUGAAGUAUUUACCGACAAAGUGGAGCAGAUGAUCCAAACACUAUAUUUUCUUGUAGAAUAUCUUAUGACUGAACGAUGUGCUGACAUAUGUGUCGCUUAUCAAAUGUAGUCAUAGAUAGAUAUAUUUAGCUAGAAAAUAGUUUCAAGCUUGCUGCAUUCAGAUUGCAACAGUCUUCGCAUGGAAACAUACAAGUACCCCAUAACGGUUAGCGAAAAAGCACAGAUAUUUUAUUGUAUUCACAUGUGUCAUGACGCUACCGAAUGCACUGAUGUCUGCUGUACAGGCGGAGACGUAUGAAGCCCACGUUGCAUCGGAACCUAUCAAUUCACAAGACGAUGUCCAAGAAAUUAUCGGUACUGUUGAGUGCAAGAUAUCAGACACGUCGAGCUCCCCAAAGGAUCCCGACACCCCGAGCUCCCCAAAAAAGCGAAGAGCACGUGGACGCCCGAGGAAGCUUGUUGAUGAAGUGCAAGCUAAAAAAACAAAAACUACGGAAGAGCUCAGAGUGAAAUUUGAUAGCAAGACCAUUGUUAAACAAGUGUCUUCUUCGAUAUCAGGACGAUCACGCAAGCCAUCACAUGCUAUAUCGAGCCCAUUCAAGUUAACCAAAUGGUAGUUUAGGUACGUACUGGGUAGCACUGUAGUUAGCACUACUUAUGAUACAUUUUUCAUUUACGAUUUGGUGAUUGAACUUUAUCAAACGUGCAUCAACUAGCGGUGAAAGACGGCUUGCUAACAACAACUAAGACCGUAAAAAGUAGGGUAUGAUAACAUACCUCAAUAUAGCAAUCUAUGUUGUCCAAGUACAUACUUUUGGCAAUCACGAACAUUAUAUAAUUUCGGCAAUUAGGGAUACAUGCUCAGUUCUUUUGGUUGAACUGCCAAUAGGUCAUUCUGCCAAUCAUUUGCAUGAUGUACUUUUGGCAAUAUAUUAUACAACCUAAGUGCAUGUCAAAAAUGGCAAUAGGUACUUUUGGCAAUCAUGUGCAUGCUACAUUUCUGGCAAUUACUAAUGCAUGCUCAUUUGUUUUGCUUGAAAUGGCAGUAUGUACUCCUGGCAAACAUUUGUGUGCUCUACUUUUGGCAGCUAUUAAUACAGGAUCAUUUAGAAUGGUUUAACUGUCCAUAGAAAUAACUAGAAUGUCAUUAUUUCUAAACAUACCAAAUUCAGUACAAGAUAUAGCAUUAGCAUCUUUAGUUAGAGUCAUAACAUAUAUGUACCAUAUAUCACCAUAGUGGAGGUAUUAGGCAAGGUUGACCGCAAUGCUUACAAGAUAAACAGUAGUUUAAUGAAGAAACAACACUUAUUAGUACAGGGUAGACGCUUAAUUAGGCGCCUAUCAUGUACAAAUUGGCACUGCUGCUUCCGAAAACCAUGUUUAAUAUAGUUAGCAUGUACCUAAGCACGUAGCAUUGGAAGUUGGCCAUUACCAGAAAUGAGCAAUGUACUACCAAAAACUUAAACGUAGCAUGUUAAACACUCGCGACCCAAAAGAUAAACUGGCACAUAAGUUCAAGCAGUACGGUGGGGCAGAAGUAUCACAUGACAACCAUAACAUAAAAACAGUCUUAACUAGGGUGGGCCAGUAGUAACAACCAAGUAGCGCAUCAGAUCCUCGACAUCUUGGCCGGACGAGGAGGCCUCGGGAGGUAGAAUGGAAGAUGCCCCUUCGCGUACUUCCCGAGGAAGGCACCAAAAGCAGAAUGCUCAGCCCGGCCGUGGGGCUUGCGGUUCCUCCCAUUACCACGGCUGAUAUCGGUGCCAUGCAUGAUCAGGUUGUCGUAGUCGCUCUUGAUUCUCGCGCAGCAGAAGGGGCAGGCUAUGUUGCCGUAGAGCCCGUCGGAGCUGCUGCGGUAUGGGAUUUCCCCAUUCCGCAGCCUCCUGAGGACGUAGCGGCUCUUGCUUUCCCUCCUCUCCUUACUAUCAUCCACGUCUUCGUCAUCUUCAUGUGUGUUAGUUGAUUGACAGCUAUGUUAGAUUAGGAAUAUAGAAAUGUAGCAUUUCAUAAGAGUAUCAAGUACAUUCCAAAAGUAGGAACACAAAAAUAUGAUCAAUCAGAUGAUUCACACAACAUGUACCUCAUGUAUUGCUAUAUAUGUUUAUGUAUUAUUUGUUAUCUUUCUUGUUCUUUUUUCUUUGCUUUGCAUGCGUACCUGUUCUCCCCUAUAAAGAAGUACUCCUAUUUGUACAGUCUAAGUUGACAAUUAACUAAAGGGUUCGGGUUUUAGGGUAUGAACAAAUCAUUUUACUGCAUUCAAGCACAUAUUUUAUUUCAUACUGAAAAUAGAUAAUUCCAAAAAUAGGAUCAUUUCUUGCCAUUUCUUGCAACAAUAUUUUGUAUGAUCUGGUUUUAUCAUAAAGAGAUACCAGACAAUAUCUAAUUUAAUUAUAUUCAAACUAGAUGAGUACAUACUACAAAGUAAAACUACCGCAUCAACAAAGAAAAGAUUGCCCUCACUUGAUAUUUUGAAGACAACAAAUCAUAUGAAUCAUGUCAUCAAUUAUGUAUAAAAAGAGAAAUUUUUGACUGAGGUACAUCGGUUGCGAACAUAAGAAAUUAUGGCUUUAAUUACUCCUUGUUGCUAAUAAUUACAUAGGGUGCGUACAUAAGAAACUCCACAACGAAUUACUUACUGCAAUCAGAAAAUGUCUUCACAAUAUAGCUGUAAGGCUUCAUGAUUUUCAUCAAAUAAACUAGUUUUUCUAACAACUAAAUAAAUGUACUGUUUACUAGGUCUCAACAGAUUUGGCAAUCAGAUUGAAAAUAAGAUGCAUAGUCCACUUCAUUAUAUGGAAAUCAUGAAGCAGAUAGAAAAAGUUUGCACUGUUAAGGUAUGAAAGAUUCUAUAAGAAAGGAGAAAAUGUGGUAUCAGCUUUGUGCAUAUGGAGCAUUAUGAUUACACUUAGUAAUGAAAAAUUCUAUAUAAUAAGAAUGCCAUGGAAAUCUUGUUGCUAGAAAUGUACUAUUGCAUGGACUUGGCAUGCAUGAUUACUGAUGUGGCAUAGUUUCAUGGAUUGAUUUGUGCAAGAUAAGAACUAAUCCAUGUUUGUUGUUAAUGGCAGGCAGUGGCCGUAAAUUGUUACUACAUGCAUCAGUACUGACCAGAUGCAUAACUGGAUGAUGUGGCCCAGUUUCAUGCAUACCAAAACCAGAUAAUGGGUUGCCACUAUUGAAGAAAGGAGCAUAGUUUCAUGAAUAGCAAAACCAGAUAAUGGGUUGCACAAUUGAGGAACAGAGCAUAGUUGUAACAGGGGUUCUCUAAUUUAAACUCUCAUCAUUGAUAGCAUUGUUGAUUACUAGCGAGGCACACGUGCAUUGGGCGUGAAAGCAACAUCUAAUGUCAAUUAUUUUAGAUGCACUUUACAUUGCUAUGUUACUAUAGCAAUGGAUUUUUGUGUGUGUUUUCUUUAAUAAAGAGAUAAUGUUAGUGCAUAAUAUGCAUUCAGAUUCACAAAGUUCAAAGCAUUAGCAAUUCAUUUAGAAGAAAAGAGUUUGCGCUGUUGAAGUAUCCAAGAUUCUAUAACAAUGGAGAAACAUAGUGCUAUGAGGUUGUUUGUGCAUAGGUAGCAUUGUGCUUAAGCUUACAAAUGGAAUAUUCUAGAUAGUACGCAUGCUUGGAAUUUUUCUUUUGUAGUAAAUAAGAUAUCGAAUGGCCAACAAUGCUGGGAUUUACCAUCUGUCCACCGUUGGAUUGGCUUCAUCCAACAGCAAAUAUUCAAAGUUGUUUCCAAAGUACAUGUUUUAAAAGUUACCAUUUAUAGAAGCUCAAGCACCGUCGAUAAAUAUUUACUGUUGCAUGUCAACUUUUCAAGUUCUAGAUAUUAAUCAUUGAUCCUCUUGUUGAAUGUCAUGAAAUAAACAAAUUUGUAGGAAAUUUCCAUCCACUCAAACCUGUCUGAAAGAAUCCUACGUUUUUAGUAUGCACAAUCAAACACUCAUACAAUCCUGUAGGAUUCAAGAUGACAUGCCACUCUAAUCCCACGUUUUCCCUAUUCCUGCGUUUUGGAAAUCGUACGACUCAAAGAGGUGAUAUCUAACAAAUACACCGUUUUCUACAGCAGAACUGGUUCAUAAUCAGUUUCUAAAUCAUAUUCUUACUCAUCUUCACAAAAUAAUUGCAUGCACAGGGGGAUUUUAGGCCUACAUGACUACUGUUCCAUGCCAGGUUUCAGAUUGAAGGGGUUUCCUUCCAAAUGUAUGAAACAACUAGUACUAAUCCUAACCCUAAGGGAGAGAUCAAGAAACAUAACCUAUCUGGACAAAAUCUAAUCCGUGCUGCAUGCAAUUUAGGAGAAAACCCCAUGGGAGAAAACCCCCAAAACAGAGUAGGAGAAUAGAGUAGAACAGAGUAGUACCUCCGAGAGCUCGUCGUCGACCUCCUCGUCGAACUCGACUGCCUCGUCCUGCACUUCCUUAGUGUCGAGCUCGGCCCCCUCGUAGUACUUGUCGAUGAGCUCGUACUGCUCGUGCUUCCGCUUGGCCCUUUGCUCCUCCAGAUCCACCGCCACCUCCUCCUCCACCUGCUCCCCGACCGCAGGCUCGGACGCUGUGACGGCGGCCGGAGCAGUCACAACAGAUGGUGCACCGCCUCCCGUCGCCACGACGGCGCCGUCGGCCACGCCAAUCGCGGCGGCAAUGACCACAACAGGCUUCUCCACUGCUUCUACUGCUGCAUCCUUCUCCACCGCCGUGUCUUCAUGGCCAGCCUUCAUCUUCCGACGACGAAGGGCAAGGGAGAUGGUUGCUGGCUCAUAGGAGGUAGGGUUCGAGGUGAGAGGAGAGGGUUUUUGCUGAUUUGGGGAAGAAAAGCAGCAGGGGUGGGGGAGUGGGGGAGACGGGGGUGGGGGAGGCGGCCUUUAUUUGGCGUGUGGGUGGACGUUUGGAGUUACCGAGGCUAGACGCGUGGCGUCGUGCGCUCGUGCUUGCCCCAACCACUUUAAUAUUUUUUGUCAUGAAUUUGUAUAUUUUUUGACCUGUGGUUUAGCGAGGAAUUACACAACCACCUACUUUUGGUGUUACUUUUGCAUAGAACACCUACUUUACAGGUUUGUUGCAAAAAAACACAUAUUGGGGUAAUUUGUUGCAGCAAGGUCUAAUUCGCCAUUUUGGGUGGGUUGACAUGAUUUCUAACAAGUGAGUCCAGUUAGUAAGUGCACCACGGGAAAAAAACAUUCCACAUCAGCACCCAACUAGAGCUGUGCAAAAUUUACAAAUAGGUACUCCAGAAAUAAUUCUCAUUGUUUUUGGGCCCACAGAAAUGAACUAUUGACAUUUUUUUUGUUCCCACAUAACAUGUUAGCACGCAAGAGCAUGCACCAAACUUGUUCUCCUUCGACACACAGACGCUAUAACGACGGACAUGUACCAGUAAUAUUCACACUGCAUGUGUCGAUACCAUCUUGACCAACACGCAACAACAUUGGUCUCAUUGGACUCACACAUGCCAAAAGGGGUCCAAAUCAUUCACCAAUUCUUCUAGUCACAUUCCACUCCAAGAUGCGACAAUGGACCGACAUGUAUCAAUCUUGAUCUAUUUGCACAAAUAAUUGGUAUAAGGGCCAGAUGCACCAAUAGAGGUCACAAUGCACUGACACAUGUCACUUGGGCCAACACGCACCAUGCCCACAUACAAGGAACAAAUAAGCCUAUAGGAUCCACAUGCACCGAUAAACUACGUCUCGACAUGCAACAACUUUUUGUAGUCACAUUGCACGCACAGUGCAUACCAAGACACGCCAAUGGCCCGUCAUGUAGCACUCUUCAUGUGUUUUCACUAAUCAUGGUCUCUUUGGCCUCACGGAUGCCAUAAGGGCCAAAUGCACCAAUAUUGACACGUUGCACUCAAACGUGCCACUUGGGACAACAUGGAUCAUGGUUUCUUUACUAGCAAGGAUCACAUAAGCCAUUAUAUAGUGUUGAUACCCUAGCUAAUAACAACAUAUAUCAACAUUGGUCCUAGUUGCAGCUACAUAGGACCACUUAUGCCACACAUGGAGCGCAGCCUCGGUGCAUGGUUUUUUUUCUGUGCGUCUGUGUCUGGAUAAAUGUCUUAAGGAGAGGCAAAUUGGUUCUGCCGAACACACUGCAUCAACCGAACUGGCUAGACCCUUUACUUCACACCUGCAUGGCCCUGGUUCGAAUCCCCGUGAGGCAGUUGGAAAUGCCAAUUUUUUUCUAUGGGUACUGACACGUGGGGUUCCCUUGUCAUCCACACAAACGCACCAGCACAUGUACCACAUUUGGCUAAGUGCACCUACUACUCCACAUCAUUUUCAACUUUCUUAUUCCCCUCCUCGACAAGCGCCGCCGCCGCCAUCUGCAGACGACGCCUCUCUUCGCCGUCGGAUCUGCGUGGCCGCUGCCAACUCCGGCAAGUAGGUAAGAUCUCCCCUCAUCCCCCUCGUGAAUCUUCUUCCCUUCCCCAACCGCGUGCGUCUCCCUCCGGACGCGGAUCUGAUCCAGAAAUUUUAAUUGGUACAUGCGGUAGAUGAUUUGUUGAUGGAUAUGAUGGUUCUUUCAUACAUUGAUGGAUGUCGUAGUGUAGGAUCUGAGUUGUACCAGGGAAAAGUGAGGCCCUAUGCAAAUCAAAAUGCGGCCCUAUGUGUGAAAAAAUAAAUCAAAAUAAUUCAUCUGUUCUUCACUAUAGUAUGUAUUACUGACAUUGGAUUGGAUUGGAUUGGGAUUUAUUAGGUAGAUGAUACUGGCAUUGCCAUUGUCAUUGGCAUUGCUUUUUAGGUAGAUGAUAGUAAACAGAUUUAAUAGGUAUUUGCAUUUUAGGUUAUCACUAUGAUUUAUUAUAUGUAUGAUCUUUGUAUUGUACUAUGGUAGCGUACAAAUCAACUUAGAGUUCAACAUGUUCUGUGUACAAUGGAGGAAGAACCAUGUGGACGGUGCAAGUCACAGUGCCGGACCAGCCUUUGUACUGCCAUGCUAUUCGGCAUCUACUUCCAGCCUACUUUUGUUUUGAAGCGGUAACAAUUUAUAUGAACCUUCUGACAGUUCAUCUUUUUCUAUUUCCACUAAUGCAUUGUGUUUGUUAUUUGUUUUUUUCUUGCACAGAUCGUCCCAUGCAAUGUGAGAUUGACAUUCAAUGAGCUCAUCGGAGAUACCGUGACCUUCGACACUCUUGGGGGGCGUACACUAUGCAGGUUGAUAAGGGGCGAACGAUAACCCAGAUUGGAGGAGAUGAAUGGGAUCGUUUCAUCGCCCGCUUCCGUCUUAGUGGGGGUGAACGGAUCCUCUUCUCCUUAAGAGGAGAAAGGCCCAGGAUUUAUGUUAUCUAUCUGAAUUUGAUUGCCGAUAGUGAGGAUGAAGUUCAUGAGGAGGACGAUGGUGAGGAUUCAGAUGAUGAUGAGAACCCACUUGAUGAAGCCCUCUAUGCCCAAGGAGUGAGGCUGAGCGACGAGGAAACCAGCAACCUCUGGGACAUGCUUCCGCUACGUGAAGACUACGUCGGGAUGCCAUUCGUGACCGGCCUCACAAAGACGAAUGUUAAACAGCAUCUCAUGGUAUGUUACUUAGUUUGGUAAUUACAUGAUAUGCAUGCUUAAUUAGUGUAGUAGUUGAUAUGAUAUGCAUGUUGUAGUACUGUGAUGAUAUGCCUAGUGUAGAAUUCAUUUAGUGCAGAAUUUUAUGGUAUGCAUGUGUUGUAGUAAUGCGAUAUAUGCUUAUGUAGUGUAGUAAUAUGCGAUGAUAUGCUUAGUGUACGUAGUAUAUAAUCUAAUGAUAUGCUUAAUUACUGUAGUAAUUUGAUGAUUAGCGUGUAGUGUAGUGAUGUGAUGUGAUAUAUGUGUCUUGAAGUGUAUGGUUUGUUGAUAAUUGCAUGUGACAUGCUCAUAUAUCAUAUCAACUAUUUUCAAAAAUUACCUAAGAGGUUAUCUGAUAGUUGUGGCAUCGAGCCGGAUGAAGAAGGCAUGGUUGCUGGACUACGCCUUACCAAAACGGGCUCCAUCACCACCUGUGCCUACGCAGUGGACACGGACGGUCGCACUAUCUUCAACCGGGCGGGGUGGAAGAAGUUCCUUCAUGGAAAGAAUCUUCCGGUAGGUCAGGGCAUCCUACUCACUGUUGCGAAUACCCGUCGCCGUGACUUGAGGAUGAUGAUCACCAUCAACCUCAUUUAGAACUGGCUGGGCCAUGUUUCGAUGUGAAAUGAACUUGGUAUGUUAGCUCUUGUUUUAGAGUACUUGCCGUGUAUUACCGUACCUAUCUAUCUAUCUAUCUAUAUAUAGGUUCAGUAAAUGGGCCAUGUAUCGAUGUGAAAUGAACUUGUUAUGUUUGGGGCUUGCUUUGCUGUUGCCACAUCGGUUAUUUGUGACUUCCUUGAACUUGAAUCUGUCUUGAAAUGUUAUUGGAUGCUUGGUGCUGUUGCUUUAUAGUAUAAAGCUGGGGGCGUUGGGGGACCUUUUUAGUAGGUUUGGUUAAUGGAGUUUAGCUCUUAUUGUACUUAUUGUUUUCUUUUCCAUACAAUUCUGAACCCAAACUACACAGUGCACAACCUUCUGUGAUUAGUUCCUUUGAUAACUAGUACUCCCUCUGUAAACUAACAUAAGAGCGUUUAGAUUACUAAAAUAGUGAUCUAAAUGCUCUUAUAUUAGUUUACGGAGGGAGUAUUGAAGAGCAGCCACAGAGUUCCAUUCACAGUUUACUUGAAUAUUUUUUGAUGAAUAAACAAAAUAGGAAGCUAGCAAAUUUAUUUAACGAGAUAAGCAAACUAUGUACUUGAUUACAUAAGCAAACUUGUUCAACCCUGACAAACUGGACAUAAACAAACAGGUUCAACUAUGACACACAUGACAUAUACAAGUUGGUUUAACCCAAGAAAAGCAAACUACAAAUUUCAAACAACAAGAUAAAGGACAAGCACAAGCGCAAGCAACACGAAGGCAAAUUUUGAUGUCUCCUCAUCCCGCAUAGUGGCAGUGGUAGUAGGGGUCCUCUUCCUGCUCUUUUGAAAUUUCCAGACCUCUUUUGAUGUGUUGAUUAUCUUCCACGACUUGUAGGUGGCGUACGCAUCUAUUGCUGCAUACUCGAUGAAGUAAUCUGGCGCUAGGCUGACCCCCCACAGUUUAUGGUCUGCCUGCUUGUCAAUCUUGUUCUCAUGUUGCUGUAGAAUGGGUGGAUGACGCUGUCUGCAACAUCAACCAAGGAGUCAUAUGGUUUUCCAUUGUAUGGAACUCUCCACUUGCGCUGAAUGUCGAUGUGCUUGUUGGGGUUUAUCUCCAAACCAGACAUCUUCAACUUGUCCAUGUCAUUUUUAAUACUGAAACCGGCAAAGGUGAACAACUUCUCCUCCUGUAGGAACUCUUUGAGGCGCUUUGGCCUGCUAGGGGAGAGACAAGUGAUGAAUACAUGGAGUACUAGUGUUUAUUUUCAAGAUUUAAUCAUCUGUUUUUUACGGUUUACAAGUGAAUAAUACAUGGAGUAGAUGCUUAUACAGUAUAAGUCAUGGAUGAAUUUAGUUCAGAAACUAGUACACAAAGUUCUGAAAUUAAAAUCAAGUACACCAUGUUAUUUUUCUUUUUGGAUAUAUAGUUGAGUCAAUGAUCUAUUUGCUUUCUUAGUGAUAGUUUAGUUUUAUUUUGUUGAAUAAAAUAACAUAUACCUCUGCUUCACCAAGUUCUUUAGUUUUUUUGGUGGUGAAAAUAACACCAGACCAAGUUCAGAAACUACUUGACUACAUCAAGUUCAGAAACUAGACUAAUGAAUCAAGAUGAGAAACUACACUGGUACAUCAUGCUCACAAAUUAAUCUUGUGCAACAAUUUCAGAUACUAUUCAAGUGCACCAGGUUCAAAAUAUAUUCUAGUGCAUCUACUUUGAGGAACUGCACUAGUGCAUCCAUUUUCACAAACUACACUAGUACAUCUAGUAUGAAACUAGUCUAAUAAAAUUUUGAGGGAGCAGUAUUGAUGAAUGGAAGAGGGUGAAUGAGUAGGAUUUUUCACCAUUUUGUGGCCGCAGCAAUGUGGUACACGAGGCAGAGACCUUCCACGCAGAACUACAGAACUGCUGCCAUCUGCGGAGGUUCAUCAUCUUUGGUAAACUCCACAUCAACACCGAUGAUGUGGGGAUACGAGCCGCAUGCGCUCCUCCUGAUCCAAAAGAUCAUCUCGUCGGCCUUGUCUGGUUCGCUGGUGCAGAUGACCUCCGUCGUCUCCUUGCCGUGGAGCUCAACCCCUUUGAGGGUUACGGUGUACUCGCGCUUCUAACCGAGAACGUGAACGACGUCGAGGUUGCCGCUCUGGUCGGACGUCUGGCCACAAUGACGCUUGGCAGAUGCUUCCUCCGCCAUUGCCCUCCUCCUGCGACUGUGGGCUUCGAAGAGAGAUGUUUGUGGGUUGUUUGUAGAAGAGAUGGAAGCGGCAAUGGUGGUUCUCGGAAUGACGCAGUGAUGUAGUCGAUUUGGGGCUUUUUCACGCUUGGGAUGGGGACGUGGGGGAGGUGGUUUGUGUGUAGAACGUGGGGGUGGUGGUGGUGGGGCGCAGUUGCAAUCCGACGUGGCAACCGCGCUCUGUGCACUGCUGGGUGCGCGUGCAUCUGAGUUUAGUCCCACCACGGGCCUGCAUCCUGGCCCAUAUCACUGGGUUUGUUGUCGUAUGUGGGCCGUGGUGUGCGAAAUAUCAUGUUAGGUAGGUGGGCUUUUUUUCUAUAAAAUCUUUUUUUGCCUAUGUGACAUGUUGACUUAUACUAAAAUAACACUUCCUUUUUUUAGGUACACAUGUCUUAUGUGAAAAGUUUAAGUUUGAUAACAAUUAAAAACAUUUAAAACCUUGCCACAUUGGCUUUCUUGGACAUGUGUAAAAAGUUUAAGUUUGAAAACAAUUGAAAAACAUGUAAAACCUUGCAUCAUUGAAUUUUAAUUUUAAAAUAAAUUUGAAAUAUUGCAGUUAAUUUGUAGACCAUCUCUAAAUCAAACCAAAUUUGUUUUACAUUGUCACAUACAUGUUACAAACAUUGUUAUUUACAGAUCAUGUGUGCAAAAACUGAGGUGAUUUAGAUGUGGUCGAAAAAAGGUGAUUUUUUUUCACCACCUCCAUAUCACCUAAAAUUUAUUCUACAUGCUCAAAUAGAUGAGCCAAACAUGUCUAUGAAAGAAAUUUGAAAAAAGCGUAUCCUACAAUGCCCGCUUAAGGUGUAGACCGUUGUUUUGAUCAGUCAGUCUACAAGGCAGAAUAAAUUCAAAACAAAUUAAAAAAUUAUAAAACAUUGAAAACCUAGCUAUGUUUGUGCAACAUAUCAAGUGUGCAAAAUUAGAUAUGAUUUAGAGGAGGUCAAAAAAAAUCACGCUAAAACACGAGGGGCCAUUUGGUCUCAUUUAAGCCAGUUUUUGUAUAAAAUAUGAUUUUUUCCACCACCUCCAAAUCACCACAAAUUUGUUCUACAUGCUUAAAUAGAUGUGCCUAGCAUGUCUAUGAGAUAAAUUUGGAAAAAAUGUAUUCUACGAUGCCCGCUUAAGGUGUAGACCGUUGUUUUGAUCAGUCAGUCUACAGGACAGAAUAAAUUCAAAAAAAAUUAAACAAUUAUAAAACCUUGAAAACCUAGCUAUGUUUUUGCAACAUAUCAAGUGUGCAAAAUUAUAGGUGAUUUAGAGAAGAUCAAAAAAUCAUGCUUAAACACGAGGGACCAUUUGGUCUCACUUAAGCCAAUUUUGGUAGAAAAUGUGAUUUUUUUACACCACCUCCAAAUCACCCCAAAUUUGCUCUAGAUGCUCAAAUAGAUGUGCCAAGCAUGUCUAUGAAAGAAAUUUGGAAAAAAUGUAUCCUACAAUGCCUGCUUAAGGUGUAGACCGAUGUUUUGAUCAGUCAGUCUACAGGGUAAAAUAAAUUAAAAACAAUUAUAAAAUUUUAAAACCUUGAAAACCUAGCUAUGUUUGUGCAACAUAUCAAGUGUGCAAAAUUAUAGGUGAUUUAGAGAAGGUCGAAAAAAUCACGCUUAAACACGAGGGACCAUGUUCUCUCACUUGAGCCAUUUUUUGUAGAAAAUGUGAUUUUUUUUCCACCACCUCCAAAUCACCCCAAAUUUGUUCUAGAUGCUCAAAUAUAUGUGCCAAGCAUGUCUGUGAAAGAAAUUUGAAAAAAACAUGUAUCCUACAAUGCCCGCUUAAGGUGUAGACCGAUGUUUCGAUUAGUUAGUCUACAGGGCAGAAUAAAUUCAAAAAAAAUAAAAAAAUUAUAAAACCUUGAAAACCUAGCUAUGUUUGUGCAACAUAUCAAGUGUGCAAAAUUAGAGGUGAUUUGGAGGAGGUCGAAAAAAAUCACGGUUUAAUUUGUGUGUGGGGGGGGGGGUAGACCUCCCGAGAGCCAUUUACUGGUCAUUUUCGUUCCGUAUAUGUGUAAACAUUCGAAAUUUUACCCAACAUGAAAAGCAAAUUAUGCGUGCAUGCUCUAUGUGGUCAAGGGAUGCGAUGCAGCAAAAUUGGGAUCAUUAGUGCAUGUAUACGCAAGUAGGGUCUCUAAAACGCACUUUUCGGGGAUAGCCUGUCACCACCCCGAGAGCACUAGCUCGGUUUCUCACCUGUAUGAAACCAACCAAAAAUUUCAGGAUGACAAGUCAUGGCCAUGUUAGGGCUACUUGCCAUGUUUCAACCAUCUUCAACAAAUUUUGAAAGUUUCGUCACAUGCGGGAUUUUUUCGGUCAUUAGUACAAUGUGGACCAUUUUCAACAUUUAUUGCAAGUUUUGUCACGUAUGGCAUUUUUCGGGCAUAUGCAACACGAAAAAUCCAUUUUUAAUACUUAAAAACAAGGACAGUAUUUUCUAGAUUUGUUGGGAUAUCAUUGUGAUAUUAUUGAAAUCUCACAUAACUCACGCGGCCCACCCCUCCCUAAAUCCCGCGAUUACAGCGCCUCAUUCUAACCACCCGGCCGUGCUAUCCGCAGCUCCCACGACUGCUGCAAGAUCAUUUCGGAUACGCCGGGCUCACACGGAUUACAGGAGUCGCCGGCCAACGCCCACCGCCAUGAGGGGUCGGACUUCAGUGUUCUUCUCGCUGCUCCCUCCGUUUAUCCUUGCCGCCGUCUACCGCACUAUAGGGGCACUUCUAGUUUGCGACGCACUGUCCGCGGCCAUCAACUCGGCGCCGCCGUCUCCGAGAGAAGGUAUUUCCUGAUCGUAGCUUUUUUUAAUCGUUGUUGGCCGCUCCUUUAGUAGUUGAACCCUCAUAGGUUUUGCACAACUUCACGUGGUUAAGCAAUUGGAUACCCUUGUUAAACUGCGCUUAUUUUAUGCACGACCAACUAGGUUGUGUGCUUAAAGUCAUAAGUGGAUCAUAUGUUAAAUGACCCACUUAAUUUUUUUAAUAUUAGUUGACUGCUAAUUUUUUUUAUACAUCUUUUAAUUAUUGUCUUCAGAUUAAUUGACCCGGUUUUCAUCAUUGCAUACAAGCCAGCAAUGUCAGUUUCAGAUAAAAGUCUUUGAACAGAGAAAAGCCUCGAAGAACUCAAACUAAAAUUUGACAGCAAGACCGUAGGCAAACAAAUGUUUUUGUUAUCAUCACGGUCGCACAGAGCCAUGAACAGCUAUGUUGAGCCCAUUAAAACACAAAUAGGUAGCAUCAAUUGAUACAUGAUCUUGCUCAUGCUCUACUUUUAGCAUCAUUUGAUACAUGUUUAGUUCUUAUCAUAAAGUGGAUAUAUGUACCUUUGGCAAUCAUGAGCAUCCUCUACUUACUGCUAUAACUAAUGCAUCCUCAGUACAAAAAUUGAAUUGGCAAUACGGUUGUAUUGGCAACGAUUUGCAUGCUUUACUUUUGGCAAGAACUAAUGCAUAGUUGAGUUAUAACUGGUCAUAGAUAUGGCUCGAACAUCUAGAGUUAUCAUCAUGGUCACGCGGAGACCCUAAACCAUCACCAGAUAUGUUGAGCCCAUUCAAACACAAAUAGAAGCAGCAAUUGAUACAUGUUAAUGCUCAUGCUCUACUUUUGGUAUAAUUUGAUACAUGUUCAGUUCUUACCAGAAAGUGGAAACAUGCACUUUUGGGAAAUAUGAGCGUCCUCUACUUAUUGCAAUAACUAAUGCUGAUGUAGGUGGCGGGUCGUCCGGGGGCCAGCCGGACUGAUGGAGUUGCUGAACUAAAGCGGCAACUCGAUGCUGCGGAUGCGGACAUCACGCUGGUCAACAGGCGACUUGAUGAGUCGCAAGGUAAGUGUUACUGCGCGGUCACUUGGUAAGGGAGCCAAAGCCAUCUCCUUACAACAUGUGCGUGAAAUGCAGAUAGUGCCGCUGCCGUGGAGAGCCUUCGGGCCGAACUUGAUCGAGCCAAGGAGCAGGCCAGAAGGAGUAAUGCGGCGGCCUCGAAGGCGGCCGAGGAGUUGGCGGCCGAAAGGGUCGCACACUGCCGGAGCAGGGAAGAGAUAGCCGAAAUGGCCGUGAAGUUAAAGGAUGCUACUGACCGCAAUGAGGCUCUUGGGAAGGAGUGCCUAGCGGGGCAAGAAGACCUGCGGAAGGCCACCGCCGAAGCCAAGAAUGCCCGCUCGGCAAUGCGGGCUAUGAAGGAAGAGCUGCGCCAGGCCGGGGAUAUUGUAGCUGGCAAGCCUUUUCUGCUGCGCCGAAGGUUCACGGAUCCAAAAUAUGCUCAGCUGGGCCAACUGUGGUGUCCGGAGGACCCUUAUAUGGACUUAGCAGCGAGUGCGGCGGAUGCCGUUGUGCAUUUUCGAAGCCAGAAGGAUCACAAGAUGGAAGAGCUAUUUUGGUCUCAAUUCCAUAGUCCGGAGCGUUCACUUCCGCUGACCGAUCAUUUGGCUGAGUGGGCUGAGCUAAAUAGGUUGUCCGGGCUUGCUAUGACGGAUAUAGUGACCCAUAUCCGGCCGGAUAGGCCCCAGCCGAAGAGUUACUUUGGCUUAUUGCAGCAAUUUCUUGGGGCGGUGCCGCAUAUCAAGGCGAUGAAGUGGUCGGCCUGCAUAGAGGGUGCGCGGAUGGCGCUCGCCCGUGUGAAGACACAUUGGACAGAGAUGGAUGCCACCGCUGUUGCGACCCCGAGUUCGGAUGAUAACCGGUUACCCGCCGAGCACUAUUUUGGCGAAGUGUUGCGUGGUGCUCGUGUAAUAGAGUCGCAGUGCUCAAAAAAUGUUACGUUCAAAUGAACGUUUGUAAAACGAUAUUUAUGAUGUAAGCGCCUUUUAUACUUGUGCGUGCAAGUAAUAGAAUAUCUCCUAUGCGGCCGUUCAUGUAUACGUGUGUAUAACCUGAAAGAUGGCAGUCGUCGGCUUCAGCCCCCACGCACAAGGUGCGGGGGUGUUCGCAAAAAAUAGCGCAUUUUCACACUUAAUCCGACGUCUCGGUCCUGUAAAGGAGGUGGUAGCGUAGCAAACGAGACAACCGGACUAUAAUGCUUUAUCACUUUCACUUAGCCAUGGAGUUCGAGGGUGGGGCUACGACAUAGCCCCUGGGGGCACCGCGCUCUCCGAAUUCGGGGCGCGUAUGUGCCUGGCCGGGAAACGGCCCUUCGUCAAAGCGGAGGAAUCCUAAACAUUCCCAUAGUCGAUUGAGUGGUUGACCAGUCUCUCGCUGUAUCAUGACAGUCAGUUUUCGGCUUUCUCUACUGAGGUGCUCGCCCAGCCGAACUGGGGCACAAUCGCAGUAGUUCUCCUGGAGCCGCGUUAGCCGAUGAUAUGGAACGUAAGGCAACAAAACACAGGAGCCGGGCAAACCCAACAUUUGACCAAAGACAUGAUUCGGAGCUGAUGCAUAUAAGGCCUAACUCGAGACACCGAACACUCCCGAAGGUGUUCGGUCUUUAUAAUAGUGGGCAAAACAAAGCCCUAAGCCCCUUGUGUCCAGGUACGGGCAGAUUCUUCUGGCGCGGCCGAUGCCAAAACGCCAGUCUCCACUCUGGUUAUAAUGAUAAACUAGGGGAUUAUAGCAACAAGAGACAGUAAGAAAGGUUUACGUAGGGUCUUAGUCUGAAAAGAGUCCUUGCAACGGGUCCCUACUGCACGUCUGCGCCUGUGUCUCCGUUGUGCCGUAUCCUGGACGGGUGUGCAUGCUGUUCAUCUGAAAAAAGAGAAGAACUUGGUUGGAAAAGAAAUCGUGCGAGAAAGUUCAUAAAAAAUUGAAAUAGAGAUUAAGAAAAUUGAGCCUAUGCUAGCUCAUUAUGGCUUAUAUGUGCAAACCCUUGUGAAGGGAUGUGCGGCUAGGUAGCCCCUAGCUUUUUUAUUCCGGACUCGUCCAGCCGUGUCCGGGGUCUCGAGCGACCUUUUAAUGAAAUGAUACCGCGUGGAACGGGCAUCUUAAGCAUAAGAGACGCGUAAUGUGGUAUUGCAUUGAAGCGGAUGCAAGCUUCCCGUCCCAGUGAUGCUUGAUAGCUACUUUUAUAUGGUGCGACAUGAAAGGUUAGCUUUUCUCGUCGGAAGUUGUCAGGUGACCCUGACACAACUUCUAGCAAUAAUGAAACUGUGCACCUAGCGUAAGGGCCUGGCGCCACUCCUUUGAAGGAAGUGCGGCUAUGCCGAAUUGUAGUAGGGUCUAUCCCAACUUGCGGAUUGUGUCCGGAAAUAGCAGGUUCAAGUCCCUGCCGCCGUCCAUCAAAACCUGCGUUAAUUGCAGUCCGUCUAUUAUGCGAUCCAAUAUCAGGGCAGUCUAUCCUAUGUUCCGGAUACUUCUGGACUAAUCCAGCUGGUCGAAAGUGAUUGGUUUUGACGUCCAAUCUCGGUCCACUGGGGUGGACCGUGCGACACUUGUCUUAGCGAGUGCCGUGUUGGCUUUCCGUACUAUCACGUGAAGCGAGUUUACUGUUUUGACUUCUUGUGGGAAAGUCUUUUGACUUCCGGUGCUCUGCUGGUGGGGUUCGUCAUCGUCCUCGCUUGGCGCAUCGAGCCCCUUGUGUCCGGCGUUGAGUCUGCUGGACUGUUUAAAAACCCAACAAUUUCGGUUGGUAUGGUUUGCAGGCCUUCCGGAGGUACUGUGGAUUUGACAUAUCCGAUCUAAAAUUUUGUUUAAAUUUGAUAGCUCGUCUUUGUUCUCCUUAAGAGGCGUGUUGUAUUGUUUGGCCGCGAGCUUUUGAAUCCGGCGUUGACCGCCGUGCCCUUUGGGCUUUUUUCUUUAUUCCGGCGCUGGUCUUUCCUGCGCCGUGACUGUCCGUUUCCAUCUCUGAUCUCGGAUGUAUUCGGGUCGCUGGUGCUGCAUCUUGCUAGCCAGCUGUCUUCUCCUGCGCAAAAGCGAGUCAUGAGGCUUGUUAGUGCGGCCAUUGUUCUUGGCUUCUCUUGGCCGAGGUGUCUGGCGAGCCAUUUGUCUCGGGCGUUGUGUUUAAAAGCUGCUAGGGCUUCUGCGUCCGGACAGUUGACUAUUUGGUUCUUUUUGGUAAGGAACCUGUUCCAGAAUUUGCGCGCUGACUCUCCGGGCUGUUGGGUUAUAUGACUCAAAUCGUCUGCAUCCGGAGGGCGGACAUAAGUCCCUUGAAAAUUUGCUCUAAACGCGUCCUCAAGCUCUUCCCAACUUCCAACAGUAUUUUCUGGGAGGCUUUUGAGCCAAUGCCGAGCUAGCCCUUUGAGCUUGAGGGGUAGGUAUUUUAUGGCGUGGAGAUCAUCUCCUCUAGCCAUGUGUAUGUGUAGUAUAUAAUCUUCUAUGCAGACUCCGGGGUCUGUUGUGCCGUCGUAUGCCUCUAUGUUUAUGGGUUUGAACCCUGCUGGAAAUUCAUGAUCCAGCACCUCAUCAGUAAAACAUAGCGGGUGUGCGGCGCCCCUGUAUUUGGGUGUGCCGCUGUCUUCGAACACUUGUCGUGUUGUGUUAGUUCCUGGGGUCCUCUUUUUUUGGCCCGUAGAUGGACCUAGUUGGGCCGUCUGUUUUUCCAGGAUUAUAAUUCGGCUUGUGUGCAGCCCCGCUUGUCGCUUUGGGCCUGUCAUCUGGCCGUCUAACCGGCUAGGCGGCCUCUUUAUUUUUUGACUGUGAAGGCUCUAUGGCUUCCUCGUCAAAUUCUGGCAGCAACUUGCGCUUCGGGUAGCUCUUAGUUUGAUGGCCAUUGCCAUAUUUGUCUGCGGUCUUGAAUACUUUGCUCCACUUCAUUCUGAGCGUGUCUUCUGCUGUUUUGAGCUUCCGUUUCGCCUUCUUCAAACUUCUUGCAGUGGCGACGAGUUUUUUGUGUAUGUUCUUAUGCUCCGGUGUUGGCUCCGGACUGUUGAUUGCUCCGUGAAGGGGUUGAUUAUCCGGCUCGUCCUGUUCGUCGUCCGCUGGUUUGCCCUGCUCUAUCGCUGGGUCGUUAGGAAGGCUGCUUUGAUCGAGGCGGGACUUAGGGCGGCGUCUACGUCGCUGUUUUGGUUCUUUAUCGGCGAGAUUAUCCUCUGCCGCAUCCUGUUGUUCCUCGUUAUCGCUUCCCUUUGGGGUGUCCACCAUGUAUAUGUCAUAUGACGGGGUGGUCUUCCAGUGUCCUGUAGGCACUGGUUCUUGGUAGUCUCCGGCAUCGUCGUCCAUACCGUCGAUGUCUUCGGAGUCAUAGUUGAGUACGUCGGUUAAAUCGUCGACGGUGGCUACGAAGUGGGUGGUGGGUGGGUUCUGAAUUUCUUCGUCGUCCGCGUCCCAACCAUCCUGGCCAUAGUUCGGCCAGGGCUCUCCGGAUAGCGAGAGAUGCUUUAGUGAAUUUAUAAUAUCGCUGAAGGGCGAGUGCUGAAAGAUGUCCGCAGCGGUAAAUUCCAUGAUCGGUGCCCAAUCGGAUUUGACUGGUAGGGGCGCAGGAGGUUCGGAGUCCGGCAGGGAGUCUGGCACCUCGGAGUCAUGAGCUUUAUGCGGGAUAAGGUAAGUGUUCGGCUCCAUCGCCGUAGGAGUUGCGGCUCCCGAGGCGGUGUCCAGCCAUCCGUCCUCGAUCCGAGCGAUCGGCUCCGAACUAUGAGUCGGAGCGGACUCGUGUGCGGCCUCCAAGGUGUUGUCCGGCGGCAGAGUUAGGUCAUGCCCCUCGUGACAGCGCGGCACGCUCGGCUGUGGCUCAGAUCCAUCGAAGAUCAAGUCCCCGCGGAUAUCGGCCAUGAAGUUUAGGCUUCCAAACCUGACCUGACGGCCAGGGGUGUAGCUUUCGAUCUGCUCCAGAUGGCCAAGCGAGUUGGCCCGCAGUGCGAAGCCGCCGAAUACGAAGAUCUGUCCGGGGAGAAAAGUCUCACCUAGGACUGCGUCGUUGUUGAUUGAAGAGGCCAUCAAGCCUAUCGGUGACAACACAGAGGAACCCUCAAUGAAAGCACCAAUGUCGGUGUCAAAACCGGCAGAUCUCGGGUAGGAGGUCCCGAACUGUGCGUCUAGGCGGAUGGUAACAGGAGACAAGGGACACGAUGUUUUACCCAGGUUCGGGCCCUCUUAAUGGAGGUAAAACCCUACGUCCUGCUCGAUUGAUAUUGAUAUUGUGGAUGUUUACAAGAGUGAAUCUACCACGAGAUCAAGGAGGCUAAACCCUAGAAGCUAGCCUAUGGUAUGAUUGUAAGGGUUGUUCUCAUAGUCCUACGGACUAGAGCCAUCCGGUUUAUAUAGACACCGGAGAGGGCUAGGGUUACAUAGAGUCGGUUACAAUGGUAGGAGAUCUACAUAUCCGUAUCGCCAAGCUUGCCUUCCACGCCAAGGAAAGUCCCAUCCGGACACGGGGAGAAUUCUUCAAUCUUGUAUCUUCAUAGUCUUGGAGUCCGGUCGAUGAUGAUAGUCCGGCUAAUGAUAGUUCGGCUGAUGAUGGUAGUCCGGCUAUCCGGACACCCCCUAAUCCAGGACUCCCUCACUUAGCAUCUACCAUUGUAUAAUGCCUAACAUGCAUCAGAAAAAUAGUACUAAUAACAACUUAGACAACUUAAGCAGGUUAGCAGCAAACACUUAGAUAAACGGCAGAUUAACCACCGCACACCAUAAGUUCACGCCCACCAUAGACCAUAGGACAUAAGUUCUUACACACCAUAGACAAUAAGUUUUAGAGUCGACCAGCAAAUACCGAUAACAUAAAAGGACACGGCGGUCCUGGGGCAGCAACAGCAGUCUAGCAGCACAUCACUUAUCUCCCAUGUUUAGCGGCGGCGCGGCGGGAUGUAGUAGGGCUCAUUGACUUUGACAAUCUUUAAAGCGCCCGUAGGCCGCAUGUUUGGCCAGAGUACUGGCCUUUUGCUUCCUACUGUAGGAGUUGCCAGUGGUGACGGCAUGUUGCAUCAAGCCAUCAAUGCCGCCCUUGAUCGCCUUGCCAUAGAAGGGGCAGCCAAGCUUGCCAUAGAAACGGUACUUGAAUUUUCCAGCAAUCAGCUGCCUCAUGAUGUAGUGGCUCUUGCUGUGCCUGUUGUCCAUGUCAUACCCCACAUCAUCGUCAUCCUCCUGUGAAUUAGUACACAAAGAAGAACUCAGUUAAUCUAUUCUGCUACAUUGCUCUUAAUUAGAAUGUGUGAAAAGUACAUACGUGUAACAUGACAAAUAUCUAUUUGCUGGAAAUAAGGCGUAUAUGCACAUACAUAAUUGACCAAAAUAAUUUGACAUGCAUAAAUAUGGACGGUGGAAUAGUUGCAUUGAUAGAUUAGUGCACAAGAAGUACAUAAUUAACACAUGAAAGAAUUCAUGAUGUGGCUUGGUUAAAUGAUACUUGAUACUUGUUACAGGUGUAAUUCUGAUUGGAAUCAGAAAAAAAGGCUUCAUUAUACUCCUCCAUGUUACACACAGGGGGGUAUUCUUCUAUCUACUGGAAUCAAGAAACCAUUAUUCUUUCUGAGAGCAGCAAUACUAAUUCUCCAACAUUGUUAGCCCCUGAUAAGUUUUAGAAGGAAACUGAUAAAGGAGCUAUGGGCUACUAUCUUUAUCCCUUAACUUAUGACUCUGAUGAUACCGGUGUGGAAAAUACUUUGGAGGAACUUAACUUGGAAAAGGAAAUUUUGUCAUGCAAAACAAAGUGUUUUUUUGUCUAUUUAUUGGAAUCAAAAAUUGAAUUCUAGUUUUACAAAUAUAUGCUAAAAAAUAUUCAUUCCAGUGGUCUAAAAAAAGAUUCAUAAAUUGAAUUCUAGUUUUAGAAAUACAAGUUGAGUAUUUAGGGCAUGUUGUCUAAAAAACAUUCAUUCCAGUGGUCAGAUGCUGAAAUUGAGACCUUCACAACAUUGAAGAAUUGUCUGGUCACUGCUCUUGUUAUGGCUUUGCCUUAUUUGACCCUACCAUUUACUUUUUAAAUAGAUGCAUCAGGUGAAGGUAUUGGUUCUGUCCCCAUGCAACAAGGCAGACCAAUUGCUAGAAAAGGAAAUGUUGUCAUGCAAAACAGGGGUUCUCAAAGAAAUAAUCAAGUGGUCAGAACAUGAUUCUUACCAAUUAAAUCUAAAUGUAGAUGCAUCAUAUGAUAGUUAAGAAGGAGAUGAGUCGACGGGUGGUGUUUUAAGAGAUCAGUAUGGCAACUUUGUGUCAAUCCAGUAAAUUACCAUUAUAUUCCAAAUGCAUCAUUUGCCUGCUUGAUGGAUUCGGUGGCAAUGAAAGAAGGCCUAUCUUUGGUAGCACCUGUAGGCUAUCAUCAAAUUAUUGUAGAAUGGGAUUGCUUACAAGUUGUUCAAGCUUUUACUCGAGGUAACACAUGGUGGAACGAAGGAUCACGUAUUAUUGCUGAUAGUUUUGAUCUAGUUCUGGAGAUAGGAACUGCGCAUUUUCUCACUGUCCUCGGGAAGCCAAUGGUGUCGCACAUGAGAUCGCUAGAAAUAGCUAUGAGAAUCAUCUAUCUUGUAUUUGGGUUGAUUACGCCACUUCUAUCAUUCAUGUAUCCCUUGUGAACGAUGUAAGUUUGCUUAAUCAAUAAAGCAUGCCGUGAUGGAAUCAGAUAAUGAAUCUCUGUUUUAGCUAUACUAGUGGGUUUUUUCUUCUGUCUAUUCGAAUCAGAAAAUGAAUCAGAUUCUAAAACUGCCAUCCAACAAGAAAAUAUAUGCUAGAUCCCUAGCUACAAUCCUACAUGUACGCAAACAUUAUAGCUGGGCCAGUACAUGAGUAGAAAUACCUCAUCAAUACGUGAAGAAAAUGAUUCAGAUUCAAAAACCACCAUUCAAUAUGCAAGAAAAUCUAUGCUAGAUCCUUUCAACUAGCACACCCAUAUGAAAUUGAUGCUCAUGUACUUAACAAAAAAACCAAUGCCAUGAAAAAACAGGGUACUUACAGGAAAUAUAAAUCUAAUAAAAUCAGAUUAGUACCUCAGAUAGCUCGUCGAUGACGUCCUCGUUGUAGUCGCUGCCCUUCCUGGGAUCCACAGCCAUCUCGAACUCUAUUUGCUCCUCGUCGUUCCCCUCGUAGAACUCCUCCUCGAUUUUGUCAUAGAGCUCGCGCUUCAGCCUCGCCUUCUGCUUGUCCAGAUCUUCAUCGACCUUCUCCUGCAUAGGCUCACCGUCGGGUAGCUCGCCGGCUGGGAUGAUACCGGGAGGAGGCACAGCAGUUGCUGCACCGCCUCCAUCGCCGCUACGGCGGACUCAACCGCUGCAACUGCGGCGGCAGCCAUGACAGCAGACUGCUCUCCACCGAUGGUUGCCUCCGGCUCGUCCAUCGCAUCUUCACGGCCGCGCUUCAUCGGCGGUCGACGAGAGGACGAGGGACGUGUUGGAAGGGAGGAGAGGUGUGGAGUGGUGAGGAAGGGAAGAGGGUUUGGGAGAGGACGAGGUGGUAUGGCUGGAGUGGGAGAGGACGAGGGUUUUCUACCCGAUUUGUGGAAGAAAAUGAAUGCGGCUGCCUCUUGGAGUUAUCGAGGGGUCGAGGGGGGUGAUUUGUCUCACCUACCAGGGCCUUCCACAGUGAGGACGCGUGGGGUUUGCCCCGCGCCAUGCACCUCGUAUGCGGUUUGCCCCGCGCCGCCCUUCAACUGCUGACACGUGGACACCAGCAGUGGUUACACAUGAUAGAUAUGGUAAAUGAAUUUCUUAAAUCUGAGGGCAUGUAAUUUGUAUCAAAAUGCAUCAUCAACUUAGCGGUAACACCCUCACGAUCACAUACUAAUGCCCUUGGUUCGAAACUCCGUCGUUCAGUUUAGUUCCCUCUUUUUUGCCUAUGUGGUUUUUACAUGUGGAUCCCACAUGUCAUUCACAUACACGGAGAACACGUACAAACAAACUUGCCGGACAUGAUGUAAAUGGGCCCAAAAAAUUUCUACUUCUUUGUAUCAUUCUUGUAUGGAUUUGUAUGGAUUUUCUAGUACGAUUAAGUGCUUAAGAUACUUCUCGGAGGUGAUGCGACAAGCGCACGUUGUCGAUCCACUGGGGUGGCCAUGCCCACAACAAGGAAAAAUUUGGUGUCAUUCUUAACAUGGCCAAAAAUUCACCUCCUUCACCGGCGGCCGUUCGGAUAGGAGGUAAGGGUCUGUGUGGAAGGACGGUUUUUUCUCGACAUGCUUCAAAUGGACCUAUAUUCUUUCUACACCCUUGUACCAACAUGAGAAGCAUCCAUGACUAGUUCCAUUGAUUUUUGAUGUUUUUAUUAUUUUUCUAGGGUUAUCACGAUGAUAAAACCCUAAAAUAUUUCCCACCAGCGCCACCCUUCCCUCUGAUCACUCUGACUAGCAUGUACUUAACUUAGCAUCAAGGCCAUGAAAACAGGAAUCAGAACCGUAUUAGAUUUUGAUCCCACACAUACAAAACAGAUAACACAAAUCACAGAUUGCAGGUACUAUGAUUAUCUGAGUGAACUUCUAAUGCAUAACAACUUCUGGUAUUCAAAUACAUCACAUGAAAUACUAAGACAACUAGAAAUGCAAAACAGCUUCUGUGUUGAGAUUGAGCAAGGGAUUUUUAUUGUGAGGCGCAGCAUCUUCAGCAACCUAUCCAUGAUUCCACCUAUAGCAUAUAAGUAACUGAAAUUUUUAGAUUGAAUACAGUUGGUAUUGGAAAAAUGAUAGUACGGUAAUUUGAAGAUGCCAAGGAAAUCUGUCGCAACAACUGUAGGAGUAUACAAAUUUGAAUACAAAGUUCAUAGAAGUCAAUGUUGAAUUAAUAAGACCUUUACAAGAUGCAAAAUCACUGCUGUGAUGAGAGUAAACAGCAUGUAGGCCAUAGCACAUGCAAGAAGCACUUACAGGAAGUGAAGCAAAACAUUGUACAGCACGGCAACAUGAGUAAGCCAACAUCCCUACUAAAAUUAUUUCACUGCUUAUGUCUAGCUUUUUUUCUUGAAUCAUUAGGAAGCCCUAAAUAUUUUGAUGCAAGAUCACCGACAGGGCACUAUUGAAAUAUUUCAAUGUCUACAUCUCUCUACUGAAAGUGCGUUACUGAAAUAUUUCAGUGGCUACGUGUGUGUGUACUGAAACAACACCACUGAAAUAUUUCAGUUGCUACAUGCGUGUACUGCAACAGCACCAUUGAAAUAUUUUAGUUGGUACUUGUGUGUACUGAAAGUGAACCGCUGAAAUAUUUCAGUGGAUACGUGCGUGUACUGAAAGUGCACUACCAAAAUAUUUCAGCGGCUACUUGCUUGUAUUGAAACAACACCCCAGAAAUAUUUCAGUGGCUACGCGCGUGUCCUGAAACUACUACACUGAAAUAUUUCAGGGGUUGCGUGCGUGUACAGAAACUACAGUAUUGAAUUAUUUCAGGGGUUGCGUGCGUGUACUGAAACUGCAGUACUGAAAUAUUUCAGUGUCUACCCGUGUGUACUGAAAUUGCAUUGCACUACUGAAAUAUUUCAGUGUGUACCCGUGUAUCUGCAGUUGCACUACUCAAAUCUUUCAGUGUGAACCGGUUAGUAGUGAAAUAUUUCAUUGCCUACAACUAUCUACUGAACUUGCAGUAUUGAAAUAUUUCAGUGUCAACCCAAAGUCUAUCACUCUAAAACUGUGUACUGAACUUGUCUGGAGGCACUUCUUGCAGCCUCGAUGGUGCAAGUUCAAUUUACACAGAUUGCAUCACGUAAUUUGAACACAACUCUUGAGGUGACAGAAAAAAAUUCCUAUCAUGGAUACCACUCCAGCACAUCAAAACAUAGCAAUGAUGGAGAAUCGGAGUAUAGAUCUGAAGCCGAAAAAUGACUAAGUGAGGAAGAACAAGUUUCACAUUAGAAUUUUAGAUCUACCGCAUGACAGGAAAAGGAAAAUAUUUAGACCUAAAGGUUGGUGCUUGAGCAGUUCAUGAAGUUCUAGAUCGGGUUUUUAUACACAAAAGAGAUGAUCUGAUGGCAAAAGAAGGAUUAUCAUUACUACCGCAUAAGAGUAUAUCACGUUUGGAGUCUAUCCUAUAGGCCUUAAUGAAGAACAGGGGAAGAACACCAUGAAGCUUCGAGGAGCCCAUGCGAAACCUAAACAGAUCUAUGGAGGAAAGGAAGAAGAACUCACCAAAAACUGUUGAACAGUGGAGAGGCACCGCGAUUUUCUGGUACGGGCAGGGUGAUGCAGCGGCCAAGGUCGGGGCAUGAUACGUCUCCAAUGUAUCUAUAAUUUUUUAUCAUUCCAUGCUACUAUAUUAUCAACUUUGGAUGUUCUAUAUCCAUGAUUAUGCUAUUUUAUAUUAUUUUUGGGACUAACCUAUUAACCUAGAGCCCAGUGCCAGUUCCUAUUUUUUCCAUGUUUUUAACCUUUUUCAGAUAGGAAUAUCAGACGAAGUCCAAACGGAAUAAAACCUUCACUAUGAUUUUUUAUGGAAAAUAUCAAAAAUACCAGAAAGAAAAGAUACCAGAGGGGAGUCUUGAGGAGAUCACAAGCCAGGUAGGCGUGCCUGGUGGGCUUGUGACCCCCUCGUGGGUCCCUCCAACUUGUUCUCGACGUCAUCUGGUCUUAUAAAUACAGAAACCUCCAGAAAAAAACCUAGAUCGGGAGUUCCGCCGCCGCAAGCCUCUGUAGCCACCAAAAACCAAUCGGGAGCCCUUUCUGGCACCCUGCCGGAGGGGGAACCCAUCUCCGGUGUCCAUAUUCAUCAUCCCUACAAUUUCCAUGACGAGGAGGGGAGUAGUUCUCCCUCGGGGCUGAGGGUAUGUACCAGUAGCUAUGUGUUUGAUCUCUCUCUCUCUCUCUCAUGUUCUUGAGAUGUAAUGAUCUUGAUGUAUCGCGGGCUUUGCUACUAUAGUUGGAUCUUAUGAUGUUCUUCCCCCUCUCCCUUCUUGUAAUGAAUUGAGUUUUCCCUUUGAAGUUAUCUUAUCAGAUUGAGUCUUUAAGAACACUUGAUGUAUGUCUUGCACGUGUCUAUCUGUGGUGACAAUGGGAUAUUCAUGUGAGUACUUGAUGUAUGUUUUGGUGAUCAACUUGCGGGUUUCGUGACAUUGGGAACCUAUGCAUAGGGGUUGGCGCAUGUUUGACUCUCCGGUAGAAACUUUGGGACACUCUUUGAAGUUCUAUGUGUUGGUUGAAUAGAUGAUUCUGAGAUUGUGUGAUGCAUAUCGUAUAAUCAUGCCCACGGAUACUUGAGGUGACAAUGGAGUAUCUAGGUGACAUUAUGGUCUUGGUUGAUAUGUGUUUUAGGGUGUUAUUCUAGUACGAACUCUAUGAUAGAUUGAACGGAAAGAAUAGCUUCGUGUUAUUUUACUACGGACUCUUAAAUAGAUCGAUCAGAAAGAAUAACGUUGUGGUGGUUUCGUACCCGACAAUAAUCUCUUUGUUUGUUCUCCGCUAUUAGUGGCUUUGGAGUGACUCUUUAUUGCACCUUGAGGGCUAGUUGUAUGAUCCAAUUAUGUUAUCAUUGUUGAGAGAACUUCCACUAGUGAAAGUAUGAACCCUAGGCCUUGUUUACACACAUUGCAAUACCGUUCGUGCUCACUUUCAUUGUUAUUUACCUUGCUGUUUUUAUUAUUUCAGAUUACAAAAACCUAUAUCUACUAUCCAUAUUGCACUUGUAUCACCAUAUCUUCGCCGAACUAGUGCACCUAUACAACUUACCAUUGUAUUGGGUGUGUUGGGUACACAAGAGACUCUUUGUUAUUUGGUUGCAAGGUUGCUUGAGAGAGACCAUCUUCAUCCUACGCCUCCCACGGAUUGAUAAACCUUAGGUCACCCACUUGAGGGAAAAUUUCUACUGUCCUACAAACCUCUGCACUUGGAGGCCCAACAACGUCUACAAGAGAAGGUUGCGUAGUAGACAUCAGGGCAAAGGUGAAGGUUGAUACGUCUCCAACGUAUCUAUAAUUUUUGAUUGCUCCAUGCUACUUUAUCUACUGUUUUGGACUAUAUUGGGCUUUAUUUUUCACUUUUAUGUUAUUUUUGCCUAUUUCAGUGUUUCGAAGAAACAAAAUAUCAAACGGAGGCCAAACGGAAUGAAACCUUCGGAAACGUGAUUUUCUAGCCGAACGUGAUCCAGGAGACUUGGACCCUACUCCAAGAAGUAACAGAGGCGGUCACGAGGGUGGGGGCGCCCCCUCCCCAGGGCGCACCCCCCGGCCUCGUGGGCCCCCUGUUGCUCCACCGACAUACUCCUUCCUCCUAUAUAUACCUACGUACCCCCAAACGAUCAGAACAUUAGCCAAAAACCUAAUUCCACCGCCGCAACUUUCUGUAUCCACGAGAUCCCAUCUUGGGGCCUGUUCCGGAGCUACGAGGGGGCAUCCACCAUGGAGGGCUUCUACAUCAACACCAUAGCCCCUCCGAUGAAGUGUGAGUAGUUUACUUCAGACCUUCGGGUCCAUAGCUAGUAGCUAGAUGGCUUCUUCUCUCUUUUUGGAUCUCAAUACAAUGUUCUCCCCCUCUCUCGUGGAAAUCUAUUUGAUGUAAUCUUCUUUUCGCGGUGUGUUUGUUGAGACCGAUGAAUUGUGGGUUUAUGAUCCAGCUUAUCUAUGAAUAAUAUUUGAAUCUUCUCUGGAUUCUUUUAUGUAUGAUUGAGUUAUCUUUGCAAGUCUCUUCGAAUUAUCCGUUUGGUUUGGCCAACUAUAUUGGUAGUUCUUGCAAUGGGAGAAGUGCUUAGCUUUGGGUUCAAUCUUGCGGUGUCCUUUCCCAGUGAUAGAAGGGGCAGCAAGGCACGUAUUGUAUUGUUUCCAUCGAGGAUAACAAGAUGGGGUUUUUAUCAUAUUGCAUGAAUUUAUCCCUCUACAUCAUGUCAUCUUGCUUAAGGCAUUACUCUGUCUUUAACUUAAUACUCUAGAUGCAUGCUGGAUAGCGGUCGAUGAGUGGAGUAAUAGUAGUAGAUGCAGAAUCGUUUUGGUCUACUUGUCUUGGAUGAUGCCUAUAUACAUGAUCAUACCUAGAUAUACUCAUAACUAUGCUCAAUUCUGUCAAUUGCUCAACAGUAAUUUGUUCACCCACCGUAGAAUAUCUAUGCUCUUGAGAGAAGCCACUAGUGAAACCUAUGGCCCCCAGGUCUAUUCUCAUCAUAUAAAUCUCCAUUACUAUAAUACUUGCUUUGUUUUUACUUUGCCUUUUACUUUUCACUUUGCACCUAUAUACCAAAAAUACCAAAAAUAUUAUUUAUCAUCUCUAUCAGAUCUCACUCUCGUAAGUGACCGUGAAGGGAUUUGACAGCCCCUAAUCGCGUUGGUUGCGAGGAGCUAUCGUUUUGUGUAGGUACGAGGGACUUGUGCGUGGCCUCCUACUGGAUUGAUACCUUGGUUCUCAAAAACUGAGGGAAAUACUUACGCUACUUUGCUACAUCAUCCUCUCCUCUUCGGGGAAAUCCAAAGCAGUGCUCAAGAGGUAGCAAGAAGAGUUUCUGGCACCGUUACCGGGGAGGCUCAUGCAAGAGCAAGUCAACCAUACCAAGUACCCAUCACAAUCCCUAUCUCUCGCAUUACAUUAUUUGCCAUUUGCCUCUCGUUUUCCUCUCCCCCACUUCACCCUUGUUGUUUUAUUCGCCCUCUCUUUCCCAAUCUCCUCCUCUUUUUCCCGCUUGCCUUUUUGUUUGCUCGUGUGUUAGUUUGCUUGCUUGUCGUCCUGACUAGUCUCAUAUCUUCUCCAUUAUCUCCAGAGAAUGAAGUUCUAAAUUUUAAACAAAGGGAGGGAGAAAAUCUAAAAGACUCUUGGUAUAGAAUUUGCAAUGCUCAAAAUAGAUCUACCAGGAAGCAAUCUACUUCAGUUCUUCUUCGUAAUACGUAGGUGCUAAUCCUUGGUAUAGAUAUAUCCUUGAUACCAUUACCGGAGGGAAUUUCUUGGGUAGCCAUACUUUUGAUUCUUAUAAUGCUUUAAUAGAUUUAUUUGGCUCACCACCUCUUUUGAUUAAUGGAACUAUGUUAACUUUGGAGCAUGUUAUGCAAAGACUUGAAAUUAUUGAGAAUAAAGUUGCUACCAUUGAAUCAAUUGAAAAUCUUGAUAAAAAGAUCCACAAUCAAAUUACCCAAUAUGGAUCUAAGGUAGGAAUGAAUUUGAAAAAUAUUAAAGAAAAAGAACCCAUAGUUAAUGAGAAAAUAAAUCUAGAUUCCACAAGAAUCCAUAAACUUGAGGGUAUCAUUACCAACUUGGGAACCGCUUUUUCUUCCGUACAAAACACUCCAAGUUAGUCUACUAAAAAUACUAAGCUUAUUUAUGUUCCUAAGAAUAAGGGUGAAUCAUCUAGUAAGGAAUCUGCGGAUCUUAAAUCUAUAAGUGUUCAUCCCAAUCUUUUUGCCAUCAUUAAGGAACCAUUUGCUAUGAAUGAAUUUUUUGAUCUUUUGCCUGAGAAUUCGACAAUUACUAGAAAGAAAUAAAAUUCUAAAGGAGGUAGAUGCCUCAUUGAAGAAUUGCCUACCAAAGAUGGCAAUACCUAGAUCUAUCCUUGCUUUUAUGCCUAGCUAGGGGCGUUAAACGAUAGCGCUUGUUGGGAGGCAACCCAAUUUUAUUUUUAAUUUUUAGUUUUUGCUUCUGUUUAGGAAUAAAUAAUCCAUCUAGCCUAUAUUUAGAUGUGUUUUUAUGUUUUAAUUAGUGUUUUUGCCAAGUAGAACCUAUAGGAUAACCUACGAUGAUAGUUGAUUUGAUUCUGCUGAAAAACAGAAACUUUGCGCGCACGAAUAUAAUUUUGUUAAAUCACAGAAACAUGCUUUUGCGUUGAUUAUUUUUUCUGCUGUUCAAUAAACAAAUUGUACAGGACUUCCUAUUUUGGUAGGAUUGUUAGAGUUCUAGAAGUUUGCGUUAGGUACAGAUUACUACAGACUGUUCUGUUUUUGACAGAUUCUGUUUUGCGUGUGUUGUUUGCUUAUUUUGAUGAAUCUAUGGCUAGUAAAAUAGUUUAUGAUCCAUAGAGAAGUUGGAAUACAGUAGGUUUAACACCAAUAUAAAUAAGGAAUGAGUUCAUUACAGUACCUUAAAGUAGUCUUUUGUUUUCUUUCUCUAACGGAGGUCACGAGAUUUCUAUUGAGUUUUGUGUUGUGAAGUUUUCAAGUUUUGGGUGAAUUCUGUUGAUGGAUUAUGGAAAAAGGAGUGGCAAGAGCCUAAGCUUGGGGAUGCUCAUGGCACCCCCAAGAUAAUACAAGGACACCAAAAAGUCAAAGCUUGGGGAUGCCCCGGAAGGCAUCCCCUCUUUCGUCUACUUCCAUCGGUAAUUUACUUGGAGCUAUAUUUUUAUUCACCACAUGAUAUGUGUUUUGCUUGGAGCGUCUUGUAUUAUUUGCGUCUUUUGCUUGUUAGUUUACCACAAUCAUCCUUGCUGUACACACCUUUUGAGAGAGCCAUACAUGAAUUGGAAUUUGCUAGAAUACUCUAUGUGCUUCACUUAUAUCUUUUGAGCUUGAUGGUUUUGCUCAUAGUGCUUCACUUAUAUCUUUUGAGCGUGAUAAUUUUUGCUCUAGUGCAUCACUUAGAUAUUUUAGAGCACGGUGGUGGAUUUGUUUUAAAGAAACUAUUGAUCUCUCAUGCUUCACUUAGAUUAUUUUGAGAGUCGUUAAUAGCAUGGUAAUUUGCUUAAUAUUAAUAUAUUUGGUAUUCAAGAUAUGUGAAACUUUCUUUUGAGUGCGUUGAAUACUAAGAUAAGUUUGGUGCUUGAUAAUUGUUUUGAGAUAUGGAGGUGAUAAUAUCAAAGUCGUGCUAGUUGAGUAAUUGUGAAUUUGAGAAAUGCUUGUGUUGAAGUUUGCAAGUCCCGUAGCAUGCACGUAUGGUUAAAGUUGUGUAACAAAUUUGAAACAUGAAGUGUACCUGGCUUGUGCAUCCUUAUGAGUGGCGGUCGGGGACGAGUGAUGGUCUUUUCCUACCAAUCUAUCCCCCUAGGAGCAUGCGCAUAGUACUUGAUUUUUGAUGACUUCUAAAUUUUUGCAAUGAGUAUAUGAGUUCUUUUGACUAAUGUUGAGUCCAUGGAUUAUACGCACUUUUACCUUUCCGCCUUUGCUAGCCUCUUCGGUACCAUGCAUUGCCCUUUCUCACCUUGAGAGUUGGUGCAAACUUCGCCGGUGCAUCCAAACCCCGUGAUAUGAUACACUCUAUCACACAUAAACCUCCUUAUAUCUUCCUCAAAACAGCCACCAUACCUAUCUAUCAUGGCAUUUCCAUAGCCAUUCCGAGAUAUAUUGCCAUGCAACUUUCAUCAUCAUAUACAUGACAUACAUUACUUUUGUCAUAUUGCCAUUGCAUGAUCAUGUAGUUGACAUCGUAUUUGUGGCAAAGCCACCAUGCAUUAUUUUUCAUACAUGUCACUCUUGAUUCAUUGCACCAUCCCGGUACACCGCCGGAGGCAUUCAUAUAGAGUCAUAUCUUGUUCUAGUUUCGAGUUGUAAUCCUUAUGUUGUAAUCAAUAGAAGUGUGAUGAUCAUCAUUAUUAGAGCAUUGUCCCAAAAAAAAGAAAAAAAGAAAAAAAAAGAAAGGCCAAAAAGAAAAAAGAAAAAGGAAAGGCCAAAAAAAAGAGAAAAAAAGAAAAAAAAGAGAAAAUAAAUAAAAAGGGGCAAUGCUACUAUCUCUUUUUCCACACUUGUGCUUCAAAGUAGCACCUUGUUCUUCAUGUAGUGAGUCUCAUAUAUUGUGCUUCAAAGUAGCACCUUGUUCUUCAUGUAUUGAGUCUCAUAAGAUGUCUUUUUAUACUAGUGGGAAUUUUUCAUUAUAGAACUUGGCUUGUAUAUUCCUACAAUGGCCUUCCUCAAAUGCCCUAGGUCUUCAUGAGCAGGCGAGUUGGAUGCACACCCACUAGUUUUCUUUUGUUGAGCAUUCAUAGCUCUAGUGCAUACGUUGCAUGGCAAUCCCUACUCCUCAUGUUGACAUCAAUUGAUGGGCAUCUCCAUAGCCCAUUGAUUAUUAUCCUCGUCAAUGUGAGACUUUCUCCUUUUUUUUGUCUUCCCCACACAAUCCCCAUCAUCAUAUUCUAUUCCACCCAUAGUGCUAUAUCCAUGGCUCACGCUCAUGUAUUGCGUGAAGGUUGAAAAAGUUUGAGAUUAUUUAAGUAUGAAACAAUUGCUUGGCUUGUCAUCGGGGGUAUAGAAGUUGGAAACAUCUUUGUGUGACGAAAAUGAAGCAUAGCCUAACUAUAUGAUUUUGUAGGGAUGAACUUUCUUUUGCCAUGCUAUUUUGAGAAGACAUGAUUGCUUUGAUUAGUAUGCUUGAAGUAUUAUUAUUUUUAUGUCGAUAUGAACUUUUGUCUUGAAUCUUUCAGAUCUGAAUAUUCAUGCCACAAUUAAGAAGAUUUACAUUGAAAUUAUGCCAAAGUAUCACUCCGCAUAAAAAAUGCUCUUUUUAUCAUUUACCUACUCGAGGACGAGCAGGAAUUAAGCUUGGGGAUGCCUGAUACGUCUCCAACGUAUCUAUAAUUUUUGAUUGCUCCAUGCUACUUUAUCUACUGUUUUGGACUAUAUUGGGCUUUAUUUUCCACUUUUAUGUUAUUUUUGGGACUAACCUAUUAACCGGAGGCCCAGCCCAGAAUUGUUUUUUUUUCUAUUUCAGUGUUUCAAAGAAACGGAAUAUCAAACGGAGUCCAAACAGAAGGAAACCUUCGGAAACAUGAUUUUCUCACCGAACGUGAUCCAGGAGACUUGGACCAUACUCCAAGAAGUAACAGAGGCGGUCACGAGGGUGGGGGGCGCGCCCCCUGCCUCGUGGGCCCCCUGUUGCUCCACCGAUGUACUCCUUCCUCCUAUAUAUACCUACGUACCCCCAAACGAUCAAAACAGGAGCCAAAAACCUAAUUCCACCACCGCAACUUUCUGUAUCCAUGAGAUCCCAUCUUGGGGCCUGUUCCAGAGCUCCGCCGGAGGGGGCAUCCACCACAGAGGGCUUCUAUAUCAACACCAUAGCCCCUCCGAUGAAGUGUGGGUAGUUUAAUUCAGACCUUCGGGUCCAUAGCUAGUAGCUAGAUGGCUUCUUCUCUCUUUUUGGAUCUCAAUACAAUGUUCUCCCCCUCUCUCGUGGAGAUCUAUUCGAUGUAAUCUUCUUUUUGCGGUGUGUUUGUUGAGACCGAUGAAUUGUGGGUUUAUGAUCCAGCUAUCUAUGAAUAAUAUUUGAAUCUUCUCUGAAUUCUUUUAUGUAUGAUUGAGUUAUCUUUGCAAGUCUCUUUGAAUUAUCCGUUUGGUUUGGCCAACUAGAUUGGUAGUUCUUGCAAUGGGAGAAGUGCUUAGCUUUAGGUUCAAUCUUGCGGUGUCCUUUUCCAAGUGACAGAAGGGGCAGCAAGGCACGUAUUGUAUUGUUGCCAUCGAGGAUAACAAGAUGUGGUUUUUAUCAUAUUGCAUGAAUUUAUCCCUCUACAUCAUGUCAUCUUGCUUAAGGCGUUACUCUGUUUUUAACUUAAUACUCUAGAUGCAUGCUGGAUAGCGGUCGAUGAGUGGAGUAAUAGUAGUAGAUGCAGAAUCGUUUCGGUCUACUUGUCUUGGACGUGAUGCCUAUAUACAUGAUCAUACCUAGAUAUACUCAUAACUAUGCUCAAUUCUGUCAAUUGCUCAACAGUAAUUUGUUCACCCACCAUAGAAUAUCUAUGCUCUUGAGAGAAUCCACUAGUGAAACCUAUGGCCCCCGGGUCUAUUCUCAUCAUAUCAAUCUCCAUUACUUUAAUACUUGCUUUGUUUUUACUUUGCCUUUCACUUUUCACUUUGCAUCUAUAUACCAAAAAUACCAAAAAUAUUAUUUAUCAUCUCUAUCAGAUCUCACUCUCGUAAGUGAUCGUGAAGGGAUUGACAACCCCUAAUCGCGUUGGUUGCGAGGAGCUAUCAUUUUGUGUAGGUACGAGGGACUUGUGCGUGGCCUCCAACUGGAUUGAUACCUUGGUUCUCAAAAACCGAGGGAAAUACUUAUGCUACUUUGCUGCAUCAUCCUCUCCUCUUCGGGGAAAUCCAGCGCAGUGCUCAAGAGGUAGCAAAGGUCGACGGCGGUGGCAGCGCUCGAGUGCUAAGGCAACGUGAGGUGGAAGACAGACGAAGAGGCAAGGGGAGAAAAGGAAAGGGACCCUCGGCCCUAUUUAUAAGACGAAGAGAUAAGUGACAGGCGCAGGAAUCGAGGAGCCCAAAAAAUGGAUAUGUCCCAGACCCGUCUCCUCAAUUUUUGGAGGCUCAUUAAUAAAAGUAAGGUAUAUACAGUUUUUUUAAUGAACAGGUGAUGUCAUGGCGAUUUAUUAUAAUCCUGGAAGAUGACGUCAUGGCGGUUUAUUAUAAUCCUGGAAGAUGACGUCAUGGCGGAUUACAAGGUUUACUCGAAGGUACUAAAGAAGAAGUUUUUCUAAAGUGUUGAAGAUUGACAUGAACAGGUUCAAAUCAAUCUGGGGCCUAAUGUUGGGGAUAUAACUACUGAGUAUAAACCGCCCAGGAGGGGUCGGGUUAUACCUGUAAUGAGUUAUUCAUAUUGAAGCCCAUGAAGAUAAGGUGUAUGACGCUUUAAUAUAAGAGAUCUAAAAGCCCAGGGCCCAAAGGCGGAUUAGGGCCCAUAGACAUAAACCGCCAUAAGGUGUGUAACUUGUGUUGUAAGAUAGGAAAGAGUAGAAACCGAGCCGCACACGUUUAUGAGCCGGUCGGGAUUCUAUAAACCGCAGGGCCUCAAGCUGUGUAUAUAAAGGGAUGACCCGGUGGCAGUUCAAGGACAAGAAACAACAACUCGAGAGCCAGGCAAAGCGUAUUCGCUCCCUGGUCAUCGAAACCAUAGCAAUCCCAUCAUAACUGGAGUAGGCUUUACCUUCACCGUAAGGGGACGAACCAGUAUAAUUCCUUGCUUCCUUUGUCAGCUUUAACCCCUUUAAGUUCACUAUGUUGCAAUGGCUCCACGACUAAGUCCUCACACUGGGACAUCUGCCGUGACAAUCCCACGACAAGCGGGGAAAUAUUUAGCAGAGAAAUAAUAAAUCAUAUCCUGGGGACUACGCACACAACCAGGAUCAAGAGAAUUAAACCAUGUUUUAGCAUCACCCUUUAAUGAGAACGGGAAUAACUUAAGGAUAAAGUAAUAGUGAGUUUUCUCAUCAUUAGUGAAUAGGGUGGCUAUAUCAUUUAAUUUAGUAAGAUGUGUCACAACAGUUUCAGAUUCAUAGCCAUAGAAAGGAUCAGAAUCAACCAAAGUAAUUAACUGAGGAUCGACAGAGAAAUCAUAAUCCUUAUCGGAAAUAAAGAUAGGUGAAGUAGCAAAAGCAAGGUCAUAUUUCAUUCUAGCAUUCAAAGACUUUUCUUUAAGCUUAGCUAAUAAUUUCUUAAGAUCAGAUCUAUCAUUGCAAUCUAAGAAGUCUCUAGCAGUUUCUUCAUCCAUAACAUAACCCUCAGGCAUAAUGGGCAAUUCAUAUCUAGGGGAGAAUCUUCAUCAUCACUUUCAUCAAUAUUAUCAGUUUCAGUAAUUUCAUUCUCUCUAACCCUAGCAAGUUGUUCAUCAAGAAAUUCACCUAAUGACAUAGUAUUAUCAAGCAUAGAAGUAGUUUCAUCAUAAGUAUCAUGCAAAGUAGAAGUGGCAUCAUCAAUAACAUGCGACAUAUCAGAAUGAAUAGCAGGAGUAGGUGUCGCAACUUUACUCAAAACAGAAGGUGAAUCAAGUGCUGAGCUAGAUGGCAGUUCCUUACCUCCACUCAUAGUUGAGGGAAAAUCUUGGUUCUUUUAUCUUUCAAGUUCUUCAUAGUGAUCAGCAGAUAUAAAUCCCAAGUGACUCAAAGAAUAGAGCUAUGCUCCCUGGCAACAGCGCCAGAAAAUAGUCUUGAUAACCCACAAGUAUAGGGGAUCACAACAGUUCUCGAGGGUAGAGUAUUCAACCCAAAUUUAUUGAUUCAACACAAGGGGAGCCAAAGAAUAUUAUCAAGUAUUAGCAGCUGAGUUGUCAAUUCAACCACACCUGGAAACUUAAUAUCUGCAGCAAAGUAUUUAGUAGCAAAGUAAUAUGAUAGUAGCAGCAACGGUGGCAAAAGUGACGGUAGCAGUUUUGUAGUGAUUGUAACAGUGGCAACGGAAAAGUAACUAAGCAAAGAUCAAUAUAUGAAAAGCUCAUAGGCAAUUGAUCAGUGAUGGAUAAUUAUGUCGGAUGCGAUUCCUCAUGCAAUAGUUAUAACAUAGGGUGACACAGAACUAGCUCCAGUUCAUCAAUAUAAUGUUGGCAGGUAUUCAGAUAUAGUCAUACGUGCUUAUGGAAAAGAAAAUGCAUGACAUCUUUUGUCCUACCCUCCCGUGGCAAUGGGGUCCUAUUGGAAACUAAGGGAUAUUAAGGCCUCCUUUUAAUAGAGUACCGGGAAUACAUCAACACCUCAAACUACGGUCAUCACCGGUAAGUAUCCCGAUUAUUGUCACUUCGGGGUUAACGGAUCAUAACACAUAAUAGGUGACUAUAGACUUGCAAGAUAGGAUCAAGAACUCAAAUAUAUUCAUGAAAACAUAAUAGGUUCAGAUCUGAAAUCAUGGCACUCGGGCCCUAGUGACAAGCAUUAAGCAUAGCAAAGUCAUAGCAACAUCAAUCUCGGAACAUAAUGGAUACUAGGGAUCAAACCCUAACAAAACUAACUCGAUUACAUGAUAAAUCUCAUCCAACCCAUUACCAUCCAGCAAGCCUACAAUGGAAUUACUCACGCACGUCGGUGAGCAUCUUUAAACCUCGCCUCGGCAACUUGCAAUACACGUCACGAAGCUUCAAAAGUAUAUCACCUCAGCGCAGGAAGGGACGUUCAUUCCCGACAGAGAAAAGGACGAGCUGAUUGAGGCCCUAGGGAAUGCUGAGCACCCUGGACGAACACGAGGCACUCCAGGCUCCGUUCUAUGGAAGUUUGGGUUUCCCGAUGCAGGCGGUUACAAAAGCCGGGAGAGAAAGAGGAAAGAGGAGCUGAGCGACAUGUAGAAGCUCAAUGCAAGACUACAAAAGCUAGAGGAAGCUGAGAGCAAGCGAGCUGCCGACCAACCAUCUCAGCGGCACGAAGCUACCCCAUAAACUACCCCGCCAUCUCAGCGGAGAAGCAGCAUGGCUUCCACGGAGUCCGUUCAUCCUGACUUCAUGUCUCCUAGCUACCCCGUGGAUACUAUCACGAAGGCUCAACAUUGCGAGCUUAUGACGAAAUGCCGGAACCUCACUUUCAAGGCGUCUACAAGCGAAGGGUAGAAUUGGCUGGUUCAUGCUCUGAGGAGUACAUGUCUAUGGCAGAAGGAGUACAUCAAGCUUCCAAACUGGACGCCUCUGCUUCCUGCUCCUCCUCCGGCGAGUCAGGGCACUCCGCCUCCUCCUCCUCCGGCGAGUGAUCAGGGCACUCCACCUCCUUCUCCGGCUCCUCCGACACGUGAGGGCACUCCGCCUCCUCCUUCGCAUACUACGGCGCGUCGGAGCAGUCCGCCUCCUCCUCAGCCUCGUCGGCAAUGGCGGAAGACAAACGCCGUCGCUCUGGCUCCUUCGGUGCGUCAGAUUUCUCCGCCUCAUCGGCAACGACGGAAGAGAGACGCCGCCGCUCCGGCGGCUAGCAGUAUAAGCAGAGGCGGGAGCCAAUUCAGAUACGGUCCAUCUCUCAAGCCUCUGGAAAGUUACCAUAUGAGAGGACCGAGCAGGAAAAUGAGGACAUAUGUCGUGCCCAACUAAGGGACCAUUUUGCAAAGAAAACUCCACCUCUGAAGGAGAAGGUAGAUCCGGUGAAAGUGAAGCGCACUAUCAAUGCCCUGAAGCGACCACCACUGCCUCCACCGGAUUCCAACUAUGGCCGCAUAAUUACUAAGACACAUGCUAAAGCGCAGCAGUCGGGAAGUACUUCCAGUGCUGCAAGAGCGAAAAAAUGAGGAAGUGGGAAAACAAUUCCUCAGCUCGGCGAACAGGAGAAGCAAUCGUGCCCCCNNNNNNNNNNNNNNNNNNNNNNNNNNNNNNNNNNNNNNNNNNNNNNNNNNNNNNNNNNNNNNNNNNNNNNNNNNNNNNNNNNNNNNNNNNNNNNNNNNNNNNNNNNNNNNNNNNNNNNNNNNNNNNNNNNNNNNNNNNNNNNNNNNNNNNNNNNNNNNNNNNNNNNNNNNNNNNNNNNNNNNNNNNNNNNNNNNNNNNNNNNNNNNNNNNNNNNNNNNNNNNNNNNNNNNNNNNNNNNNCUAAUCAUCCGAUGCUACUGCCCGAUACCACUCUUGAUGAUUACCUGCCCAAUGAUGUACAGUUUGAAACGGCUGAGGUAGUAGACGUCUUUAGAUACGAGCAUGGGAAGCCUCUCGUCAAACCUGAUCAUCCUCAUCUAACAACGAUGAUGCAAAAAUUGCAUGACUGGUACAUGGAAACCUACAGGAAGUCUGGGAAAGACAUUUGUUAGUCAGAAUUAAAAAAGAGCAUGACUUCCUUGGAAUCGACCUGCUGCCUGCUGAAUUUGUGGAGUUAUUUCAAUUAUACAAUCACAAGGCCCUCGACAAACAACUCAUGACUUGCUACUGUCUGUAAGUAUUACUUCUAUAAUUAAGUCUCUAGCUCAGCUCAUUCAUUGCAUGUAUAUAUAAUUAUCCUCACUAUAUUAUGCAGAUUGAAGAUGGUCGAAUGCAAAAAAAUAGGAAUCUUCGACGUUGGGUUCAUUAGCCCAAAUACCGUAAAUGAAUGGUCGGUACGAAAGGUGGCUGAAGAUACCGAGAACAACUUACUACAAACGUUCCUUACACAUCAAAACAAAAGGGAAAUACUCUUUCCUUACAACUUCAAGUGAGUGUUACUGUCUUCUGCAUAUUCGGUUCCGCUUACUCGUGGUUAAGUAAUGUAAUUGAUGAGUUAUGCGUGCGCAGCUUCCACUAUAUUCUGCUAUCCAUUAACCUUGACGGGGCAUUACUAAUUGUCUUAGACUCGCUCCGUAAAGAUCCCAAGUAUUAUGCGGACACGACUGCAAUGCUCCAAAAGUAAGUUCAAUCAAUACCGGGACCAUAUCGGCAACUUUUAUUCAUUUCCUGAUAUCAAGUAAUCAUUUUCUUUGCCUGCCAGGGUUUGGAAAACGUUCACCGCUAAGGUUCCGGGUCUGAAGAAGGAGUUGCAAUUUACACACACCAAAGUAAGUAGUACAAGCUAGUUUCGCGCAUCUCUCAUUGAUUCUAGUUUAAUCAAUAUCAUUAUCAUGCUUGCUUAUCAGUUUGAUUGAACUCUAUUCUCGUAAAGUGCUUGUUGCAGGCACCCAACACUCAUUUAUGUGGAUACUACGUAUGCGAGUUCAUUCGCUACUAUACCUCUGAACGGGCCUCCUAUGAGAAACAAUUUGAAGUACGUAAACAAUAUUCACAAUUUUAUUUUAUAUAUUACCAUCAGUUGUGUUGAGUUUCAUUCAUAUAUAUGUAUUGACCCCUUCUUUAAAUUAGAUCUGGCAGCUGCGGGAUGAACUCCUACCACAUGAUCGCAUACGAGCAAUUCAAGAGGAAUUGGCGGGAUUCUUUCUUGACCACGUCAUACCUGAACAAGGAGAAUACCAUGUGAAAUUGAAAUUGUUGUAAGGGAUGUUAUAUAUUGUACAUAUGUAGCAGCGUCGGAUAGAUAUACGAAAACUUGUUAUUCGACCAAGCACGAAGAAAGAUAUGUCACUUCUCUCUAUAUAUGUUCAUGACGAUCUUGUGUAAUUAAUGGUUUCCUUUAGUUGCUUACUAGCUAGCGUCGAGUUCUCUCUAUAUGUGUAGUAGCUAGAGUCAACCAAGCACGGAAAAAGAGAGGUCACUUCUCUCUAUUAGCUCGGUAACACAAUACGAAACCCCUAAAUUAACCCUCCAAAACCCCAACCCCCCCCCUCCCCCCCGUCCAAAAAAAAACAAAACCCCCAGUGACUGCGAGCUGCUGACGCGUGGCCGCCUUUUGGUCCUGGUUGGUGUUACCAACCGGNNNNNNNNNNNNNNNNNNNNNNNNNNNNNNNNNNNNNNNNNNNNNNNNNNNNNNNNNNNNNNNNNNNNNNNNNNNNNNNNNNNNNNNNNNNNNNNNNNNNNNNNNNNNNNNNNNNNNNNNNNNNNNNNNNNNNNNNNNNNNNNNNNNNCCCCAGCGACCGCGAGCUGCUGACGCGUGGCCGCCUUUUGGUCCUGGUUGGUGUUACCAACCGGGACUAAAGGUCCUCCCUCCCCCGCCCCAGGCAGCGCCACGUGGAGGGCCUUUGGUCCCGGUUCGUAAGCAAACCGGGACUAAAGGUUUUGGGUAUUAGUCCCGACCCUUUAGUCCCGGUUCGAGAACCGGGACAAAUGGCCCUCUGGAACCGGGACAAAUGGCCCUUUUUGUACUAGUGACUUCUCAUAGAAGAUACUUACAGAUAGACAUAAUCUCCUAUUUCGAAAAUUAAUUCUCUUCUUCGAUUAUCUGCAUAGCUCUUCUGACGAGUUUGUGCCACUCUCAAGUUCUCUCUAAUGAACCUGACUUGUUCCUCGGCAUUCCUGAGCACAUCUGGUCCAAAGACUUAACUUUCACCCGUUUGAUUCCAGAACAACGGUGUUCUACACUUACGCCCAUACAAUGCUUCAAACGGUGCCAUCUUUAGACUAUUCUGGUGAUUGUUGUUGUAAGAGAACUCCGCAUACGGUAAACUUUUAUCCCAACUAGUACCAUACUGCAAUGCACAAGCUCUCAACAUAUCUUCAAGAAUCUGAUUGAGCCUUUCUGUCUGUCCAUCAGUCUGAGGAUGAUAUGUUGUACUGAAAUUCAACUUCGUUACCAAUGAUUUAUGCACUUUCUGCCAAAAGAUGGACGUGAACUGCGGACCUCUAUCAGACACAAUCUUCUUAGGAACUCCAUGCUGACAUACUAUUCUUUCCAUGUAUAGCUCUGCCAAUCUUUCCCCGCUAUAAGUAGUCUUGACAGGCAAAAAGUGAGCGACUUUAGUGAGACGAUCCACUAUUACCCAUAUAGAAUCAUAACCUUGCUGAGUGUGUGGUAAUCCCACUAUAAAGUCCAUUCCGACUUCUUCCCAUUUCCACUCAGGAAUCUUCAUUGGUUGCAACAAACUAGCGGGUCUCUGAUGCUUAGUCUUUACCCUCUGACAAGUGUCACAUAUAGCUACAUACUCAGCCACAUCUCUUUUCAAUCCAUACCAGCAGUACUUCUCCUUAAGAUUUAGAUACAUCUUAGUACUUCCAGGAUGGAUAGAAUAGGCUGACUCAUGUGCUUCACGCAAAAUUGUAUCAUGAAUGGCUUUCACCUCAGGCACACAUAUCCUUUUUCCAAACCAUAAGGUUCCAUUCUCAUCUAUUCUGAAGCCAGGUGCUUUACCAAUCACCACAUUCUCAGCUAUCUCCUUUAGCUUUUCAUCUUCUAGCUGACCCUUACGUAUUUCUUGCUCCAAUGUAGGAAUCACUUUUAUCUCCAUAGCACUAGCAACAAUGCCAAGGUUCAGAUGUUGCAACUCCGCAUACAACUCUUCUGCCUCUGGUCUCAACUUAAGAUUGUUGUCAUAUUUCUUCCUAUUGAGAGCAUCAGCUACAACAUUUGCCUUACCUGGAUGAUAAUGUACCUCCCGUUCAUAAUCCUUGAUUAACUCUAGCCAGCGACGUUGUCUUAAAUUCAGACCUGUCUGAGUGAAUAUAUACUUCAAGCUCUUAUGAUCGGUGUAGAUAUCACUCUUGUGACCAAUCAGAUAGUGUCUCCAGAUCUUCAAUGCAUGUAACACAGCUGCUAGCUCCAGAUCAUGAGUAGGAUAAUUUAACUCAUGCUUCCUCAACUGUCUCGAUGCAUGCGUCCGUGGUGGUGACCUCAUGUCCGCUCGCACCGUGUUCGAUGAAACGCCAACGAGGGUCAAAAGCUUCGAACCACAUCGGCAUCGCUCGGAGUAGCAACGGGUACACGCUGGAGUGCUGGAUGUGAUGCUUGGCCAUCUCCAACUCACGAGCGUGUAAGAGAGAAACCAUGAGACAGUAAUGAUUUAAUUUGGUUUUGCAAUGUUUUUAUUUUAAAAAUAGUUGGUUUAUCUUUGUAAAAUAGUUAAUUACAUGAGAAUUAUUGAACAAAAUAGUUUUUAAAGAGCAAUUUGCAUUCAAACAGUCUUCAUUCUUAAUGAAGCUACGAGUUCCCAUUUGCUCUAACCAAACGAUCUUCAAUUUUUGCCACCACAGGAGCCUUGUAUUAGCUCUUGCGGUGCGAGCGGGAGCUCGGAUGUCCGUGCGACGAAGCUGAUCUAUGAAAGUGGCCUUGGUGAUCCUGUGCCCCGGUUGGUAGGUUGGGAGACAGCAAGGAUGCAAACCAGCGCCAACGAUGGGCGAAGAUUGCACGACGGAUGAGCGGCGCUAGAGAUGGAAAGUCUGCUGGAGCAGUUUAGGUGAAAGGAUAAAGAUGUAGUUUUCAUUUUUUUUUUCUAAUAAUGAAAGUCGGACUCAACUUUAUGGAACUGGGCCUUAUGACACGUAGGGCCCAUCUGAAGCUUCUAGAGUUGUUAAUCCUGUGGUUGAGAAUGUGUGUGACAAAGCCUGUGUUUGAGUAUUUACUAUCUAGGGAAGUAUAAACAAUUUACAAUCUCAGUGGACCCAUAAGCCAAUAUCCUUGAAUGUUUUUUUUUCUGUUUGUGUGUAUAUGUCGCAAGUUUUCUUGUUUUAUUUUAGGUUUGGUACUGUAGCUAGGUCUAGAAUAGUUUUUUUUGUUCUUUUUUUAAUUUCAAAAAAAUCGAGGGAUGUCUCAGUUUUUAUUAAAAGAAAGAAAUAUUUGGUCCAAAGUUGAAUGAGCGUGUCAUGCAGGGUUAAAUCACAAGAUAAACGGAUGAAACACAUGAUGCAUUAGUGGAUAAAUCACACGGGUGAUUUGAAGACAAAUUGAAAAACAUGAUGUGUUAGUUAAAUAAAUAAAUAUCAUGAUACAAUUAUAAGUAACCAUGCAAUAAACUAUAUGUCCAAUACUUGCACUCACAGGCAUUUUUGCUACUAUUAAUAAAUUGGUAAAAAUCAGAGAAUGCGAGGCGGAUACCAAACCUAGCCAAAUGGGCCGGCCUGGGUUAAACGGGCCCGAACCCCUCUUGCCCUCGCUCCUAGAAAAGCCGCCCGCCUCCGUCUCUCCCCCGCACUCCAUCGCCUCGCCUCGCCUCGCCGCCGUUCCCCGCAACCCCCUGUCUGUCGACCCAAUUCAUCUCAGGGAUAUCACCCGACGCCUCGUCCUCCUCUCCAGAUCAGAUCUUACGCCCGCCCGCCCGAGGUGAGCACAUGCUUGUACAUCCCGAUCAGCUUGGAGUUCGUUCCGAUUGGUUGGUAGGCGCGGCGCUGGUUCGAGGCCAGCGUGGUCUCCCUCCUCCUCCGGAGUUGCUCGGGCGCGGCGCGGGUUCAUAGGUGUCGGAUCCAGCGCCGUCUGUAUCCUAUUCGUAUGAGGAACCUCGGCUAGGAUAGGAUUUAAUUAGUUGGUUUUUGUAUUAGGGUAACACCACCUAGGGUUCGGUUGAUUAUCCGUAAGAAGGAAUCAAUCUGACGCUUUAGUUAGGGUUUGCUUGGUUGGUUGUGGUCAGAUUUUGGUUUCUCAUGAAUUCUUCAACUGUGCCUGUCGCGAUUUUGGGCGGAAAUUGAUGAUUGAUUUCGGGGGCAAAAUCCGAGGGAUUUUGUGGAUGAAAGAUGGGGAAACUUGGGGAAACCAAGCAAAUCCAUGGAUCAAAAUAAACAAACUUCAUCAUGCCAACAAAUCACAAAAAAAAUUUGGUGGGGAAAUUUCGAAUUAGGACGAAAAACAACAAGAUCAAAGCUAGAAAACGAAUAUUAAUUUGGAUGGAAUUCAUGCUAUGUUGUUCGAUUUCAGUUUAUGCCUGCCAGAAUGUUUUAAUUUUUUGUUUUAUCAACUGUGUUGGAGCGUACUAGAUUUUUUGUUGCAUAUUCAUCUUCUUGCUCUGUUUGGAUAGGUAACAAUUAAUAUUUGGGAUCCUAAAAUAUGUAUGCACUGGCAGCACUUAACCUGCAGCUGCUGAUUAAUGUUGUAGUCAUAUGUGCUGCUUUCCAGCUCUCUUGUUUGGAUAGGUAUUUGGUUAUCGUUUGGGUUUAUUUAUUAUCGUUUGUAAAUGCUGGUUUGGUUUUCUGUGCUCACUAUGCCCUUGCACAUGGGAUGCAAUUUUUUUAUUUCCCUGCUGUUUAGUUUAUUGUUUCCUUUGAUGGUGAGGCAUUAAUUCUGGAGAUAGAUGCAAUUUUCUUGCUCACACAAUAAUACAAUGAAUGAUGGCAUCUCUAUCUACUUUGAACCAAAUUAUAUUAUAUUCCCCCCUCUGUUAAUUAUUUUUCUGUUUUGGGUAUUCAUUCAUUUUGUUUAGUUGCCUAUCAGUAUAAAUACAUGGCUGGAUUGCUUUCACUUCAUAUUAAUAACUAUUCUGUCGCACAAUGCAAAUAUACAUAUGCUGUCCUAACUAAUUAAGUAGAAGCUUGGAUUGGUGCUGUAUGGUCUCUUCCUGACAUUAAAUCCUCCUCUGUUUGUGCUGUCUGUUUCUGCUGCUGCAGUCUUCUUCGCCGCCAAAAGGAAAAGAUGCUCUACAAAAUCCACUCCCAUGCCGAAAUCCAAGCCCUGCAGGCCCGCACCGAUGAGCUGGGCCACUCCAAUGAGCACAUGGAUGUGAAGCUUGUCUCUCUGGAGUCGGUGCGCAUAGCGCGCGAGUCGUAUGCACUCCUCCGCCCGCUGAUCAUGGAGUCGAGGUCCUGGGAAUGCCCGGAGCUGGAUUCCCUCUCGGACGUGGCAGGCUUGUCGCUGGAAAUCCAAAAGCUCGAGCAUGAUGUGUUACCCCAGCUCACGGUUCAGGAGGCUAAGCUGGAACGGGGUGCCCUGGAAGCCCUCCUACUCAUGAAGAGCUCAGCAGCUAAGCUCUUACAUAUGAGUAAGUGCUUGAAGGAAGCCUUGGGCGUAUUGCUUGCCGAGGAUGUCAAAAAGCUGAGCAUAGUGCUAAGCGAUACUGCUGUUCAUGUACUCAAAGGUAAGUUCAACAGUGGCUUGCUUCAGGAGCGUGUCCCGUGGCUGGUCGAGCUGGUCACCGAUGUGUUGGAGACCCCGGUUCGUUUCUGUGAUACUCGUAAGCGUAAGUAUUCUGAUGAGUAGACUUAUCAGCCAGCUCGAGGCUGUUGUGAUAAAUAUUUCUUAGGGGCGUGGCAAACAGUUUAGAAUCAACCCUUUAUGUUUGGAUGUGUUAUUAAUGGAUUUUAAAUAAUAUGUAUCUUGGGUAGUGUUUUCUCAUUCUGUGCUAGUCGGGUACAACUUGCAAUUACUUUCAGUUUUUUUUUUGAGAAAUACAGUCACAUGGAGGUAUUCGCUCUUUUUGGGAAUAUAUGCCAAAAGAAUAUACUCCCUCCGUUCCUAAAUAUUUGCCUUUUUAAGGUUUCAAAUAGACUACCACAUACGGAUGUAUAUAGACAUGUUUUAAAGUGUAGAUUCACUCAUUUUGGUCCGUAUGUAGUCAUUUGUUGAAAUCUCUAGAAAGACAAAUAUUUAGGAACGGAGGGAGUAGUAUCUUAGAAAAGAAAUCCCAAAUAUAAGUCUUUUAAGAGGUUUCACUAAAAGACUACAUACGGAUGAAUAUAGGCAUACUUUAGAACGUGGAUGGAUUCACUCAUUUUGCUCCGUAUAUAGUUUUCUACUAGUGAAAUUUCUUAAAAGACAUAUAUUUAGGAACGGAGGGAUCUGUGAGUGUCCAUGAUUAAAGCUUUGCAAAUACCAUAAACAAAACAUCACCUUGUACAUAUAAAGUGAUGAUUAUUUUUACACUAACCGGUUUGGCAAGUGUUAGAGUUUAAUUAACGUGUGUUAAUUAUGGGGUAAAUCUCUCCUUGUAACUGCCAUCUCUCCCGGAUGCCUCUUCAUCGCAUCCCUUCUCCUUGUAUAAAUGCUUACAAUCAUCUAAUGAAAGGGAUAGAGGAUUCACUUUUCUCUCAACACGUUAUCAGCACGCUCUGGCGAGAGCAGAAGGCCACGAGAGAUUAGGCCAUCCCGGCGGUUACGGAUGUUACUUUCGUCGCCGAUGGCUUACAGGCGAUGCAACCGGAAGCGGUUCCAUUGAGCGCUCGCGGCGAGACAUCUUCCGGUGACGAGGCGAUGGAGCCCAGGUGCCGGCGCUCGACCGCAGCGUCCUCCAGCGCAUGGUUUGGUCUCACCCUCUCCUUCCCCUUCUCCCAGACGCCGUCCACAGUGGCCGCAUAAGCGGCCCUCUCCGGCACGGCCUACCGCGGCGCAUCUGCGACCCCGGCCUGCUACGCAAGGCACGGCGGCGUGGCAAGCGCCUCCCGACCGGAGACUCGACGCCUAUUGCGGGGAACAACCCGGCCUCGACCUCCCGGCGCGCGGAGCCCACAGCGGAUCGCAGAUCCUCGACAGCGGCGCACCCGCAUCUUCUACGUCGAAGACGGGCGAUGGAGGCGAGGCAGCCAGCGCCCGACGCGGCUCCCGGCAUCCACGUGGAGUUCCUGCAGCCACGGUCCUACCCGUGGUGAAGAUGGAGCGGGCUCUCCCUUCAGCUGACUGUGUGCAGCCCGCCCCCGAUGGUCGGCACAGGCCUCCUCCGGCGCGGCGAGGCCCAGAGUGCGAACGGUGUCGUUUCCACCGCCAGACUACGGCGGUGGCGACCCUCGACCUGCGCUCCUUCCUCCGGCCGGCUGGUGCGCGGCUACGCGGAGCGGGACGUCGAGUACGGCCUCGGCCCGGUCCUUCUCGCGUAGCCAUGGCCCUGCCCCUCGGCCUAGGUUGACGCGGACCUCCAUGGCACGCGGCGCGGUGCCCGUGGCGUCGUUCAGCGUACGCCGACGAACUCCGGUGCGAGGCAACUCAGCACCGCGCGCGAGGCGAAGGCAUCCAUGACUGGAUCUCCCGGAAGCGGCGGCGAUGGCUUCUGUGUAAAGCUAACCGAAUCGAUUGAUUCGUGUACUAAUUACAGGCCAACACAGGACAACGAUGGGAACCUUAUCUCUUUGAUGAAGGGUUUUUUUCACAAGUGGCUAUGUAUUUGCAUUGACCAUCAAAUCAGGCCACAGGCUGUGCAUUGGAGACCGUCAGAUAUCUCCAUAUCACAUUUACAAUAUAUGUAAAUGAUGAUUUCAGAUAUACUAUGUGAAAAUGGGACAUGUUCAUCGUAUUUGCUCUCUAUCAAUUCCUUUCAAAUAAUUCAGAUCUUAAGUUGAUGUAAUAUAUUUCCACGUUUACCACGUGUUGAGAUUAAUUACGUUCAUUUGCAAUUGAGAUUUCUCAUCUCUUGCAAAGAUAAAUUCAAUACCUCUGCAGUAUUGUUUCUCCGUUGAGUACGAUGUAUUCCGGAAUAUUUAAAACUAUGAUUGCGAUUGAGAUUAAGUUUUCUCGCACAACAAUAUUGAUUUGCGAUUGAGAAUUUUUUUUCUCGCAAAAUAAUUGCGGUUGAGAUCAAUUUUCUCUUGCAAAAUAUUAAUUCACUUCGCUGAAUUAUCUUGCAAUUUGAUACAAGAUCUCAUUUAAUUUGAGAUCUAUACAAUUCAAGUUUUUCACUUGAACAUCAAGUUUGCAACAUCAUUACUAUUCAUUAUAAUAGUGGUGUAGUUCUGUUGAGUACGAUGUAUUCCGGAAUGUAUGUAUCUCCAUGUUCACUAUAUGUUGAGAUUAAUACGUCUAUUUGCAAUUGAGAUUUUCAAUUUCUUGCAAAUACAUAUGCAAAAUUCAAGGUGAUUUCUUCAAAUUGAUGCUUUUUUUGGGAUCACAAGGUAGUCAUAUGGAUCUACUGCCUACGCAGAUUAUCAAUGACUACUGAUAAAGCCUAUAUUUUGUCGUUUCGACAUUAUGAUUGCUUCACAAAGUGCUCUCCCACCCAUUUUACUAAGUUAUGAAGUAAGGCAUCAUGAGUGAGUAUCUACUGAUUUCAUCAGGUUAUACUCCCUAUGCUGCAGAUCUACUUCAUUUUGGAGAUUAUCUUCAAGAUGUCAUACUUAGCAAUUUGAGAUUGACACUAAUGGUUUCAAGAUAACUUCUUGAAAUACCCAUUGAUUUUGCUAAGUUGAUUACAACAUCAACCACGAUGAUCUUUAAUUUACUGCUGUAAAUUAAUUAUCUUUGGUUUACCCAUAGAGGUAACACAUGGCUAUAGAGUUUGAGGCAUUCACCCUCAAUGGCCACCACUGCCCUAUCUGGGCCAUGGAUAUCAUGAUCGCUCUUGUGUCUCAUGGGAUAAUGUGUGCAAUAGUGUCUUAUAUAUCAUAAGGCAUUAGAUUCAGAUCUCAGCAUCUGCUUAUUCUGAAUCAACAAUUCCUGGAAUACAAUGAACCCCAAGGGCAAAUGUUUGAAUCUUACUUCAACCUUCAAUCCGACAUCACCAGCUGUGACGGAACCCUAUGGGCACAGAGAGUGUGAUGGUUGAAUAUGCCUCAAUCGGCAUGUUUGGAGACUAUGAAUAGUAUCUCAAUCUCCUGAGUGAUCAAUAUAAUUUAUGUCCAUUUACAAUGUUGCAACAUAAGUAUUGUUGUCAUCAUAUAUUGUAUAUCACAAUAUAUUGUAUCAGCACUUUGAUACAAAUACAUUUGUAUGCAUUCUAUAUAUUUGACAGUGAUUUUCAUAUUGAGAAUCUUCAUGUCUAUAUAUAGUUUUCUACGGGAGUCAAUCCGAUGAAAAAUGAUAUGUGCCUUGUGGACAUAUGCACCACAAACUUUAUACUCAGGGAAGCCCAAUGUUUCCACUCUCUUGAGAGAAAGGAGAUAUUUAAAUCGCUAGACGCGAUGAGGUAUUUGUUGGCUCAACUCGAGUCAUAUUUACUAUCCCUGUGGGUACUCGAGUAAUGUCGGGAUGCUUUAUUGCUUCCCAGGUUUAACUCGUACCCUACUAAACUAUGAAGGUAUCCGUCAAAAUAGUUUCCAUAGCGAAACUUAUUAUGACAACAAAGAGAAAUAACUUCUCUUUACCAUAUGCAACGGAUAUGGCAAAUACAUUCUCUGUGUAUCAUCUGGAUUGUACUACACAUACGACACAACCCGUACCACAUGUCGUGUACGUGAUAGUUUUCCAGAGUGUCUUGUACAUGACAUACUUGGCAUACUGGCCUUGGUCAUCGAGACAUUGGGUUGAAACCGAAACUAUCAGCAAUUCCAAUAGUUUACAAUUAUUAUGAUGCCAAAUUCUAACAACAUUUGGAUUUUAUGUGCACUACAAGUGACACAGGGAAGCUAAUUUUAAGGAUCGCACACCUUAAAGUCUACGCUGAACCACUCAGACUCCUUGAAUGCAUCAAGUUGAGGAAACCAUUGGCUCAUUAUCCUGACAUCGAUUUCAAGCAAAUCGAAUGGAUAACAUUGCAACAUUCUCCUUGAGUGCCUUCUCUAUGGCCCUUGGAUUGAAGUUUAGCAAUUUGUCCUAAUGUCUAGACUCCAAAUGGUUUGGUAGAAUCCUAUCCAAAUAGUUAAGCUCAUUACAUUAUCUUUACUUUGGAAUUGCAACUUACCAACUUUACGUUGGAGUCAUGCAGUUUUACACGCUCAUGACAGAACUGCAUAAUAUUAUUCCCCUCUAUCUUUGAUAUGUGGAUAUCUACCAAGUAUUUCCUAUCUGCGGUAAUUCGGUUGCAUACCGAUAUCACCACCCGGCAUACAUCAUUGGCCCCUCAACAUAUAGUUGGGAUCUAUGUGAGGAAUAACUGUAUUUCCGUCAAUACCUCAAGCCCCUCGCAUGGGGAGUUAUUCAAGGCCUGUAUGCUGAUUCAAUGAGGAACAUUUCCAGGCAUUAGGGGGAGAUUUCAAGUACCAUAAAGAAUGCCAGGAAAUUAGUGGAAUGUUCAACACAUUUCUGCCUCAAAUCCACAUACUCAAAGAUCUGAACCAUGCGUUCAGAAGAUUUGCAACACAUUGCAAAUAACCUGCCAGAUUCAUUUACUGACUAUAAAGGUGUCACACAAUCCUACAAUCCUGAAAAAUAUGUCCGAAAGAGUGGAGGUACCAACUAAAACCACUCAACUCCCCGUUCAAAGCAACGGGGGGAGAAGUACGGCAAUAGUACAUCAGGAUUCAGCUUCUCGCAAGCAAGGAUAUCAAGGCCUGUGAAUCAGUAAAUGCAAGUCAACUUCACGUUGACAGACACCUGAUGGGUAGUAUACACCUAGUGGACGGGAAACCUCCACCAACCCAGGUCAUAGUGCACACAAUGACCGGGACAUCGGAAUACCCGACUCAAUCGCAUUGGGAAAUCGCGAGCAGUCACCAUGGGUAACAAUAUUUCCAUCAACUAUAUAUUGAUAUAUAGAUUCUGGAGAAACAUACAACUGGAAGUCUACAAUUGUCGACGUACAUUUCUCAACUAGAUUGCAAAAACCUUUUCAAAUGAUUCAGAUCCAAAGACCAUGGCCAUGGCAAAGUGUGAACAACACUCGGACUGAACUCAAGCAAAGGGUAUAAUCUAGGUAGAAAUGAUCUUGCUCAGUAAUGGCAAGGUAUUCAUAAGCAAUACCUACACCCGUUUUCUUCUGGAAACGGAAUUGAGAACAACAAGGUGGUGAACAGGGAGCAAGUAUUGUAGCACAAGGGUUCACGCAGAUACCCAACUAUUCUCCAGAGGUGGAAUCUCUUUCCGAUAACUUGUAUCAUUGGCAGUACAAAAUCAUCUAUCUCUGCAGUUGAUAGAUGUAGUGAUUACAUAUCCAUGUGGAUCACUAGAUUCAGUGAAUAUGGUUGAUCCCGGAUGGAAUCUCAAUUCUGAAUCGAAAUACAAAAUGCAAACAUGCAUUGUGCAAAUUUAGUAAGUCACCAUACGACUUAUUAUUGUCAGUACAUAUGGUACAACUGACGUAGUGAGAUCCUUAUACACAAGGAUUACUCAUACAAUGAUGAUUAUCCAUGUUUGUGUGUCUGCAAUGACGACACUUGUAAUCAUCUAAAUGGCGGAGUUUAAAAUGAAGGAUUUGGGUAAACCAAAAUACCGCUCGUUACUACAACUUGAGCGCCUUCAUUCAUACAUUAUGGUAUACUAUGUUGUCUAUAUCCAAAAUAUAUUGGAGAAAUUCAUUGUGGACAAAUCUUAUCCAUCCAUAACUCUCAUGGUAGUUCAUUCUCUAGACGUAGAGAAAUAUCUAUUUAGACCAAGAGAUGAUGGAAAUGAGAUAUUGGGACUCAACGUUCCAUAAUGCCAUUGGAUCCACCAAAUAUAAUUGGUUGGUACUCAAGAAUAUCUUUCGAUAUCUCCAAGGCAUCAAACAUCUUGUCCUGGUUUUCAGUUUCACAGGAAUGUGAACACCGAUAUCAUUGGAUACAUCGAUCAGAUCCCCACUAUGUCAGAUCAUAGACAAGCUUAGUGUUCCUACUAGGUGUGGUAGCCCUCUCAUGAAGAGUCUUCGAAACGGACCUUAUGGCUACAUCCACCAACCAUUAUCUCAACGAUAAUGUUUCUUGUGUUGCCCGGAUGCAAACAGGUUACAUAAUAAGUAAUAUCACUAUAUUGCAUAUCUUGCAAGUCAAAUCAGCGACUGAUUUGUUCAGCGAGUCUCUACCAAUUUCUAUGUUUUGGUAUGUGACGACUUUGAAUUUUUGCAAGAAUCAGGGGGAGUAUCUUCCUGAAUUGUUCCUGUUCAAUGCAUCAUAUUAUACUCUUUUUCCCUUCAUGAGUUUACUUUACAGAUUCUCAUAAAGGUUUUUAAUGAGGUAAUAUCAACAUGAGAUCAUAUGUCAUACUUUCUGUUUUCCCCACCGGGGUUUUUGGGAAAGUAUAUACGACAUAUUUAUUGUCCUCUGAACUCUAUGGGUUUUCUCGUAUUGAGUUAAAAGAGACAAUAACCAUUAUAUGUUGUAUCAUUUUCUCCUUAUUUUUCCCAUUGGGUUUGAAGGAGUUUUGGCAACAUAUCAAACACUAUACUCCUCAUAUUUUUCCCACAGGGUUUUUAGAGGAGCCUCUAAUCAAGAUGAUGAUUCUGGAUGAACAAGUGUAGAUUAGGGGGAGUGUUAGAGUUUAAUUAACAUGUGUUAAUUAUGGGGUAAAUCUCCCCUUGUAACUGCCAUCUCUCCCGAACGGAUGCCUCUUCAUCGCAUCCCUUCUCCUUGUAUAAAUGCUUACAAUCAUCUAAUGAAAGGGAUAGAGGAUUCACUUUUCUCUCAACAUCAAGUAGUACUUCCUCCGUAAAUAAAGAAACAUAAGAGUGUUUGGAUUAUCAUUUCUUUAGAGAGGGAGUAGUAUAUAUAUAGAAUUGAAUUAAUAAUCUCUACUCCUAAAGUAUCAGUUGGUCGUCUCUGUUCAUCGGUUAAUUUUCGUCCCACCAACACUGAUUUUUUUUCGUGCUCCCUCCCACCCAACCCCCGGGACAUCGAACAAAAAAAAGGGCUGGCUUAGCUAUGCCCCCACGAAGUCAAGGGGCCAAACCUCCGAUCGAAACAGAGAGAACCGGAUGAAAGAAAAUCUACGAAAAAAGACCUACGAAAUUAAACCAGCGAAAAAAACGAACCGCACGCAGGUAUACGAGCGAUUCCUCCUUCCUUCGAACCACUCGCAUGCUCGAUCCCUUCGUCGCCGCCGCUCCAUCCCUUCGCCCCCACCGCUCGAUCCCUUCGCCGCCGCCCUCGCACAUCAAAGCCGCCACCGAUAUGCCCUGUCGGAUCUCGCCUCAACCCCGCCGUCUUGUGAUACGGAGUUCACAGCCUCUGCCGCCGAUGUCUUCGCACGCGUUAGGGUUCCUGCGUCGCCGCCACACAGGAGCUCGUCGACCAGCCCAGCGUGCUGCUGCUCCGCGCUCGCUUCCCUCGUCGGUCGCCUUUGGAACCCUCGCUUCGGACUCCGCGCCAAGCCGUCGCCUCUUCGCCGAGAAAGAGGGCUCCCGAUCUCCGCCGUGGUCGACCAUCAGCGCGACGGGCAGAGCAACCAGCCCGUAGGCUCAUCCCCUUCUUGGAUCCACUCCGGCAGCGGCCAUCGUUGGUACGUUCCGCUCGUGAUAUAUUGGUGUAGGAUCAUCCCCUUCUCUUUAUCUAAAAAGGCUAUUCUACAUACGCCGAGGAGAAGAUGCUCACCUUCUCGCCCCUGUUGGAAAUAUGCCCUAGAGGCAAUAAUGAAUUGCUUAUUAUUAUAUUUCCUUGUUCAUGAUAAUCGUUUAUUGUCCAUGCUAUAAUUGUAUUGAUAGGAAACAUAGAUACAUGUGUGGAUACAUAGACAACACCAUGUCCCUAGUAAGCCUCUAGUUGACUAGCUCGUUGAUCAAUAGAUGGUUACGGUUUCCUGACCAUGGACAUUGGAUGUCGUUGAUAACGGGAUCACAUCAUUAGGAGAAUCAUGUGAUGGACAAGACCCAAUCAUAAGCCUAGCACAAAGAUCGUGUAGUUCGUAUGCUAAAGCUUUUCUAAUGUCAAGUAUCAUUUCCUUAGACCAUGAGAUUGUGCAACUCCCGGAUACCGUAGGAAUGCUUUGGAUGUGCCAAACGUCACAACAUAACUGGGUGGCUAUAAAGGUACACUACGGGUAUCUCCGAAAGUGUCUGUUGGGUUGGCACGAAUCGAGACUGGGAUUUGUCACUCCGUGUGACGGAGAGGUAUCUCUGGGCCCACUCGGUAGGACAUCAUCAUAUGCGCAAUGUGACCAAGGAGUUGAUCACGGGAUGAUGUGUUACGAAACAAGUAAAGAGACUUGCCUGUAACGAGAUUGAACAAGGUAUCGGAUACCGACGAUCGAAUCUCGGGCAAGUACAAUACCGCUAGACAAAGGGAAUUGAAUACGGGAUUGAUUAAAUCCUCGACAUCGUGGUUCAUCCGAUGAGAUCAUCGUGUAACAUGUGGGAGCCAACAUGGGUAUCCAGAUCCCGUUGUUGGUUAUUGACCGGAGAACGUCUCGGUCAUGUCUGCAUGAUUCCCGAACCCGUAGGGUCUACAUACUUAAGGUUCGAUGACGCUAGGGUUAUAAAGGAAGUUUGUAUGUGGUUACCGAAUGUUGUUCGGAGUCCCGGAUGAGAUCCCGGAUGUCACGAGGAGUUCCGGAAUGGUCCGGAGGUAAAGAUUUAUAUAUGGGAAGUCCUGUUUUGGUCACCGGAAAAGUUUCGGGUUUUAUCGGUAACGUACCGGGACCACCGGGAGGGUCCUGGGGGUCCACCAAGUGGGGCCACAAGCCCCGAAGGGUUGCAUGGGCCAAGUAUGGGAGGGGACCAGCCCCAGGUGGGCUGGUGCGCCCCCCACAAGGGCCCAAGGCACCUAAGGAGAGGAGAGGGGGCAAACCCUAAGGGCAGAUGGGCCUUAGGGCCCAUACCUGGUGCGCCUCCCUCUCCCCCUCCACCUGGCCGCCACCCAGAUGGGAUUGGGGCUGGCCGCCGCCCCUAGGGUGGAACCCUAGAGGGGGCACAGCCCCCUCCCUCUCCCCUAUAUAUAGAUGAGGUCUUUGGGGCUGCCAACACAAGAGUUUUGACCUCUCCCUGGCGCAGCCCUGCAUCUCUCUUUCCUACUCUCCCGCGGUGCUUGGCGAAGCCCUGCAGGAUUGCCACGCUCCUCCUCCACCACCAGGCCGUUGUGCUGCUGUUGGAUGGACUCUUCCUCAACCUCUCCCUCUCUCCUUGCUGGAUCAAGGCGUGGGAGACGUCACCGGGCUGUACGUGUGUUGAACGCGGAGGUGCCGUCCGUUCGGCACUAGGAUCUCAGGUGAUUUGGAUCACGACGAGUACGACUCCUUCAAUCCCGUUCUCUUGAACGCUUCCGCUUAGCGAUCUACAAGGGUAUGUAGAUGCACUCUCCUUCCCCUCGUUGCUGGUUUCUCCAUAGAUAGAUCUUGGUGACACGUAGGAAAAUUUUGAAUUUCUGCUAUGUUCCCCAACAGUGGCAUCAUGAGCUAGGUCUAUUGCGUAGAUUCUUUGCACGAGUAGAACACAAAGUAGUUGUGGGCGUUGAUUUUGUUCAAUAUGCUUACCGUUACUAGUCCAAUCUUGAUUCGGCAGCAUUGUGGGAUGAAGCAGCCCGGACCGACCUUACACGUACACUUACGUGAGACAGGUUCCACCGACUGACAUGCACUAGUUGCAUAAGGUGGCUAGCGGGUGCCAGUCUCUCCCACUUUAGUCGGAUCGGAUUCGAUGAAAAGGGUCCUUAUGAAGGGUAAAUAGCAAUUGACAUAUCACGUUGUGGUUUUGCGUAGGUAAGAACCGUUCUUGCUAGAAACCCACAGCAGCCACGUAAAACAUGCAAACAACAAUUAGAGGACGUCUAACUUGUUUUUGCAGGGUAUGCCAUGUGAUGUGAUAUGGCCAAAAGGAUGUGAUGAAUGAUAUAUGUGAUGUAUGAGAUUGAUCAUGUUCUUGUAAUAGGAAUCACGACUUGCAUGUUGAUGAGUAUGACAACCGGCAGGAGCCAUAGGAGUUGUCUUAAUUUAUUUAUGACCUGCGUGUCAACAUAAACGUCAUGUAAUUACUUUACUUUAUUGCUAACCGUUAGCUAUAGUAGUAGAAGUAAUAGUUGGCGAGACAACUUCAUGAAGACACGAUGAUGGAGAUCAUGGUGUCAUGCCGGUGACGAUGAUGAUCAUGGAGCCCCGAAGAUGGAGAUCAAAAGAAGCAAAGUGAUGAUGGCCAUAUCAUGUCACUAUUUGAUUGCAUGUGAUGUUUAUCAUGUUUUUGCAUCUUAUUUGCUUAGAACGACGGUAGUAAAUAAGAUGAUCCCUCAUUAAACUUUCGAGAAAGUGUUCCCCCUAACUGUGCACCGUUGCGAAAGUUCGUCGUUUCAAAGCACCAUGUGAUGAUCGGGUGUGAUAGAUUCUAACGUUCACAUACAACGGGUGUAAGACAGAUUUACACACGCGAAACACUUAGGUUGACUUGACGAGCCUAGCAUGUACAGACAUGGCCUCGGAACACAAAAGACCGAAAGGUCGAGCAUGAGUCGUAUGGUAGAUACGAUCAACAUGAAGAUGUUCACCGAUGAUGACUAGUCCGUCUCAUGUGAUGAUCGGACACGGCCUAGUUGACUCGGAUCACGUAAUCACUUAGAUGACUAGAGGGAUGUCUAUCUGAGUGGGAGUUCAUAAGAUGAACUUAAUUAUCCUGAACAUAGUCAAAAGGACUUCGCAAAUUAUGUCAUAGCUCGCGCUUCAGUUCUACUGUUUAGAUACGUUCCUAGAGAAAAGAUAGUUGAAAGUUGAUAGUAGCAAUUAUACGGACUAGGUUCGUUAACUGAGGAUUGUCCUCGUUGCUUCGUAGAAGGCUCAUGUCCUUAAUGCACCGCUCAGUGUGCUGAACCUUGAACAUCGUCUGUGGGUGUUGCGAACAUCUAACAUACAUGUUUUGAUAACUACGUGAUAGUUCAGUUAAACGGUUUAGAGUUGAGGCACCAUAGACGAUUUCGAAACGUCGCGGAACAUAUGAGAUGUUUCGAGGGCUGAAAUUGGGAUUUCAGGCUCGUGCCCACGUCAAGAGGUAUAACACCUCCGACGAGUUUCUUAGCGUACAAACUAAGGGAGAAAAGCUCAAUCGUUGAGCUUGUGCUCAGAUUGUCUGAGUACCACAAUCACUUGGAUCGAGUGGGAGUUAAUCUUCCAGAUGAGAUAGUGAUGUUUUUCCAAAGACAUUAUCACCAAGCUGCUAGAGCUUCGUGAUGAACUAUAACAUAUCAGGGAUAGACAUGAUGAUCCUUGAAAUAUUCGCGAUGUUUGACACCGCGAAAGUAGAAAUCAAGAAGGAGCAUCAAUUGUUGAUGGUUAGUGAAACCACUAGUUUCAAGAAGGGCAAGGGCAAGAAGGGAUACUUCAUGAAACGGCAAAUCAGCUGCUGCUCUAGUGGAGAAACCCAAGGUUGAACCCAAACCCGAGACUAAGUGCUUCUGUAAUAAGAGGAACAGCCACUUGAGCAGAAUUACCCUAGAUACUUGGUAGAUGAGAAGGCUGUCGAUAGAAGUAUAUUGGAUAUACAUUAUGUUAAUGUGUACUUUACUAGUACUCCUAGUAGCACCAGGAUAUUAGAUACCGGUUCGGUUGCUAAGUGUUAGUAACUCGAAACAAAAGGCUACGGAAGAAACGGAGACUGGCUAAAAGGUGAGAUGACGAUAUGUGUUGGAAGUAUUUCCAAGGUUGAUCAAAUAUCGUACGCUCCCUCUACCAUCGAGAUUGGUAUUAAAACCUAAAUAAUUGUUAUUUUGUGUUUGUGUUGAGCAUAGACAUGAUUGGAUUAUGUCUAUCACAAUACGGGUAUUCAUUUAAGGAGAAUAAUUGUUACUCUGUUUAUUUGAAUAAUACCAUCCCAAUCGUAGUGAUACACAUUUUCAUGCCAAAGGUAUAAGAUAGUAAUGAUAGUACCACACAAUUGUGGCACUGCAAUUUUAGUCACAAUGGUAUAAAAUGCAUGAAGAAGCUCCAUGUUGAUGGAUCUUUGGACUCGCUUGAUUUUGAAUCACUUGAGACAUGCAAAUCAUACCACAUGAGCAAGAUGACUGAAAGGCCUCGUUUUCAGUAAGAUGGAACAAGAAAGCAACUUGUUGGAAGUAAUACAUCUUGAUGUGUGCAGUCCAAUGAGUGCUGAGGCAUGUAGUGAAUAUCGUUAUAUUCUUACUUCACAGAUGAUUUAAGUAGAUACUGAGUAUAUUUACUUGAUGAAACACAAGUCUGAAUUAUUGAAUGGUUCAAGUAAUUUCAGAGUGAAGUUGAAGAUCUUCGUGACAAGAGGAUAAAAUGUCUAUGAUAUGAUCAUAGAAAUGAAUAUCUGAGUUACGAGUUUGGCACACAAUUAAGACAUUGUGGAAAUUGUUUCACAACUAAUACCGCCUGGAACACCAUAGUGUGAUGGUGUGUCCGAACAUCAUAGUUGCACCCUAUUGGAUAUGGUGCGUACCAUGAUGUCUCUUAUCGAAUUACCACCAUCGUUCAUGGGUUAGGCAUUAGAGACAACCGCACUCACUUUAAUAGGGCACCACGUAAUUCUGCUGAGACGAAACCGUUUGAACUAUGGUUUGGAGAAACCUGAGUUAUCGUUUCUUAAAAGUUUGGGGCUGCGACGCCUAUGUGAAAAAGUUUCAGGUUGAUAAGCUCGAACCCAAAGCGGAUAAAAUGCAUCUUCAUAGGACACCAAAAACGGUUGGGUAUACCUCCUAAUUCAGAUCCGAAAGCAAUAGGGAUUGUUUCUAGAAUCGGGUCCUUUCUCGAGGAAAAGUUUCUCUCGAAAGAAUUGGGUGGGAGGAUGGUGGAGACUUGAUGAGGUUAUUGAACCGUCACUUCAACUAGUGUAUAGCAGGGCACAAAGAGUUGUUCCUGUGGCACCUACACCAAUUGAAGUAGAAGCUUAUGAUAUUGAUCAUGAGACUUCGGAUCAAGUCACUCCCAAACCUCGUAGGAUGACAAGGAUGCGUGCUAAUUUAGAGUGGUACGUAAUCCUGUCAUGGAAGUCAUGCUGCUAGACAACAAUGAACCUACGAGCUAUGGAGAAGCGAUGGUGGGCCCGGAUUCCGAUAAAUGGCUCGAGGCCAUAAAAUCCGAGAGAGGAUCCAUGUAUGAAAACAAAGUGUAGACUUUGGCAGAACGACUCGAUGGUCGUAAGGCUGUUGAGUACAGAUGGAUUUUAAAAGGAAGACAGACAAUGAUGGUAAGUGUUACCAUUGAGAAAGCUCGACUUGUCAUUAAUAUGUUUCCCGACAAGUUCAAGGAGUUGACUGCGAUGAGACUUUCUCACACGUAGCGAUGCUAAAAGUCUGUUGGAAUUAUGUUAGCAGUUACUGCAUUGUUUAUGAAAUCUUGCAGAUACGAUGUCAAAAUAUUGUUUCCUUGAUGAUUUUCUUGAGGAAAGGUUGUAUGUGAUACAACCAGAAGGUUUUGGCAGUCCUGAAAAUGCUAACAAGUAUGCAAAGCUCCAGCAAUCCUUCUAAGGACUGGAGUAAGCAUCUCGGAGUUGGAAUGUACGCUUUGAUGAGAUGAUCAAAGCUUUUGGGUUUAUACAAAGUUUAUGAGAAACUUGUAUUUCCAAAGAAGUGAGUGGGAGCACUAUAGAAUUUAUGAUGAGUAUAUGUUGUUGACAUAUUGUUGAUCGGAAAUGAUAUAGAAUUUCUGGAAAGCAUGCAGAGUUGUUUGAAAAGUGUUUUCAAUGAAAAACUGGAUUAGGCUACUUGAACAUUGAGCAUCAGGAUCUAUAAGGAUAGAUCAAAAACCGCUUAAUGGUACUUUCAAAUGAGCACAUACCUUGACAUGAUCUUGAAGGUGUUCAAGAUGGGUCAGCCAAAGAAGGAGUUCUUGCCUGAGUUGUAAGGUAUGAAGUUAAGACUUAAAGCUCGACCACAGCAGGAGAAAGAGGAUGGACGAAGGUCGUCCCCUAUGCUAUUGUCAUAGACUCUAUACGGUAUGCCAUGCUGAGUACCGCACCUGAUGUGUGCCUUGCCACAUGUCUGGCAAGAGGGUACAAAGGUGAUCUAGGAGUAGAUCACCAGAUAGCGGUCAAAAUUAUCCUUAGAGUAAUAAGGAUAUGUUUCUCGGUUAUGGAGGUGAUAAAGAGUUCGACGUAAAGAGUUACAUCGAUGCAAGCUUAACACCUAUCCGGAUAGCUCCGAGUAGAGAUACCGGAUACGUAUAAUGGAGCAACAGUUUGGAAUAGCUCCAAGUAGAACAGUUAUUUCAAAUGGCUCCAAAUAUAGCGUAGAGAUUUGCGAGGUACAUACGGAUCUGAAUGUUGCAGACCCGUUGACUAAAACCUCUCUCACAAGCAACAUGAUCAAACCUAGAACUCAUUGAGUGCUAAUCACAUAGUGAUGUGAACUAGAUUAUUGACUCUAGUAAACUCUUUGUAUGUUGGUCACAUGGCGAUGUGACCUGUGAGUGUUAAUCACAUGGAGAUGUGAACUAGAUUAUUAACUCUAGUGCAAGUGGGAGACUGUUGGAAAUAUGCCCUAGAGGCAAUAAUAAAUUGGUUAUUAUUAUAUUUCCUUGUUCAUGAUAAUCAUUUAUUAUCCAUGCUAUAAUUGUAUUGAUAGGAAACACAGAUACAUGUGUGGAUACAUAGACAACACCAUGGCCCUAGUAAGCCUCUUGUUGACUAGCUCGUUAAUCAAUAGAUGGUUACAGUUUCCUGACCAUGGACAUUGGAUGUCGUUGAUAACGGGAUCACAUCAUUAGGAGAAUCAUGUGAUGGACAAGACCCAAUCAUAAGGCUAGCACAAAGAUCGUGUAGUUCGUAUGCUAAAGCUUUUCUCAUGUCAAGUAUCAUUUCCUUAGACCAUGAGAUCGUACAACUCCCGGAUACCGUAGGAAUGCUUUGGGUGUGCCAAACGUCACAACGUAACUGGGUGGCUAUAAAGGUACACUACGGGUAUCUCCGAAAGUGUCUGUUGGGUUGGCACGAAUCGAGACUGGGAUUUGUCACUCCGUGUGAUGGAGAGGUAUCUCUGGGCCCACUCGGUAGGACAUCAUCAUAUGCACAAUGUGACCAAGGAGUUGAUCACGGGAUGAUGUGUUACGAAACAAGUAAAGAGACUUGCCGGUAACGAGAUUGAACAAGGUAUCAGAUACCGACGAUCGAAUCUCGGGAAAGUACAAUACCGCUAGACAAAGGGAAUUGAAUACGGGAUUGAUUAAAUCCUCGACAUCGUGGUUCAUCCGAUGAGAUCAUCGUGGAACAUGUGGGAGCCAACAUGGGUAUCCAGAUCCCACUGUUGGUUAUUGACCGGAGAACGUCUCGGUCAUGUCUGCAUGAUUCCCGAACCCGUAGGGUAUACACACUUAAGGUUCGAUGACGCUAGGGUUAUAAAGGAAGUUUGUAUGUGGUUACCGAAUGUUGUUCGGAGUCCCGGAUGAGAUCUCGGACGUCACGAGGAGUUCCGGAAUGGUCCGGAGGUAAAGAUUUAUAUAUGGGAAGUCCUGUUCUGGUCACCGGAAAAGUUUCGACUUUUAUCGGUAACGUACCGGGACCACCGGGAGGGUCCCGGGGGUCCAUCAAGUGGGGCCACAAGCCCCGAAGGGUUGCAUGGGCCAAGUAUGGGAGGGGACCAGCCCCAGGUGGGCUGGUGCGCCCCCCCACAAGGGCCCAAGGCGCCUAAGGAGAGGAGAGGGGGCAAACCCUAAGGGCAGAUGGGCCUUAGGGCCCAUACCUGGUGCGCCUCCCUCUCCCCCUCCACCUGGCCGCCACCCAGAUGGGAUUGGGGCUGGCCACCGCCCCUAGGGUGGAACCCUAGAGGGGGCGCAGCCCCCUCCCUCUCCCCUAUAUAUAGUUGAGGUCUUUGGGGCUGCCAACACAAGAGUUUUGACCUCUCCCUGGCGCAGCCCUGCAUCUCUCUUUCCUCCUCUCCCGCGGUGCUUGACGAAGCCCUGCAGGAUUGCCACGCUCCUCCACCACCACCACGCCGUCGUGCUGCUGUUGGAUGGACUCUUCCUCAACCUCUCCCUCUCUCCUUGCUGGAUCAAGGCGUGGGAGACGUCACCGGGCUGUACGUGUGUUGAACGUGGAGGUGCCGUCCGUUCGGCACUAGGAUCUCAGGUGAUUUGGAUCACGACGAGUACGACUCCUUCAACCCCGUUCUCUUGAACGCUUCCGCUUAGCGAUCUACAAGGGUAUGUAGAUGCACUCUCCUUCCCCUCGUUGCUGGUUUCUCCAUAGAUAGAUCUUGGUGACACGUAGGAAAAUUUUGAAUUUCUGCUAUGUUCCCCAACAGCCCCUCCCCCUACCGUGAUGUACGUGGAUGAAUCCGACGGCAACAAGGACGACCUCGUAGGAUCCAGCCACGGUUGUGCGGAAUUUCACGGGGAUGAAUCUACCCGGCCUCUCGUCCUAUCUGCCGCCGGUAGAGGCAUCCAUGUCUGAUGGUGUGAAUUUUGGCUGGUUCCAUGAGCACUUCGUUCCCUGCCGUGUAGUCUUCGUUGAUUCGGAAAGAUGGUGGUUGUCUGUUUAGCCAUUUCAAUCUGCUAUUGAUCAUGCUCAUUCUUGUUAUAUUCAGUUAUAUUGGAAACACCAUCUGAUUCAGUUAUAUUCUUGAUCAUGCUCAUCCUCAUCCUUAUUCAAAUAAGAAUACUUCUGUUUGGAGAGCUCGGGCGUCAGCUGUGUGGAAGCACCAGCUGAUUUGUAACUGGUCGGAAGGUGAGCUUCUCAUACUCGCUGCCGUCGAAGCACGACACCUCGCCGCCACUUAUGUUGCGUGUUGUUGUGCUGUAGGUCCUUGGGGUUGGGUGUGGCAACUCGCGACUCGAAGACAUUUCGUGCAUGUGCUCCCCUGCGCUUGGUGACCAAUACAUCUACUCCGUCGUGAACAUGUGCUUCGUGUCAUACAGGUCGCCGCCAAGGGUGAGCUCGUGCAGCGGUACAGGUAUAGAUGUGCAUCCCAUAAGGGCAGCUACAUUUUCUUUCAUAAAGUUAUUUGUGUGAGUGCCCUGCAUAUUGAAGUAAACUGGAUCGGCUAAUCUUGAGUUCCUCCACCAAGUUAUAUUACUUCGACAAGAAAAAGUGCAGAAAGACCAUAUAAAGUACUCUGGUGACUCUCUCAAUUGAACUAGAAUUUUUUUAGAUGCGUGAAACAUGCACAACGAUUUGCUCUAUUGAGUCUAUGUAUGUUGAACUAGCACUCGAAUUAUAGCUCAUGCCGGUAUACUAAUUUUCUCUUUCUCAUAUCAGCUCUCCUUCUUUUUGUCCAUUUUUCUUCACUACUACCUGAAGGAAACUGUACUGGAUAGCAGCCUAUCAUAUAUAGUUACAUGUACCGAGUGAUUUAGCUUCAUUUUAAUGAUACUGUCAACAACUAACUACUGCUGCGACAUAUUUGAUGCAACCUGUAAAAUAUUUUUUGUUUAAUUUCAGCAUAUCAUUUAUAUACUGAAGUCUCUUCUGGACAUGUUGUCUAAUUGCGUCAUGUAUGUUAGAUAUUUGUUCUAUAAUACUUGCCAUUGACUAUUUUUCUUUUAUUUAGGUUAUGUGCAUUAUUGAUCAGCCAAUCUUGAGAGAGAGAUGGGUUGGCGUGAAUGGGAAGAAAACUACAUUGAAUGGACAAGAAGUAUGCCCUCAACUUUUUCAUGGUAUGUCUUACUUAUUGUUCUUGUGAUUUUUCCAUCAGUUUCACUUUACAUUUCUUCUUUGCUUUUUCAUGGCAUCGGGAUGCCCACUGCCGACGGCGCUGCGUUGCUACCAAAGGGGCACCCUGCCGCGGCCAGGGACUCGCUGCCGUCGAAGCACGACACCUUGCCGUCACGUAUGUUGGGUGUUGUGGUGCUGCAGGUCCUUGGGGUUGGGUGCGGCAACUCGAGACUCGAAGACGAUCUUCUGCGGUAGGGCGUCGCCGGCGGCGGUGGCACCUGUAUAGACCGUCUCGGUGUGACAGAAGAGUUCGGAGUUCACUCCGAGAAAGAAUUGCUUUGCAUGUACAUUUGCUGAAAGACUGAUGUGCUGAACUUUCGAUGAUUUCGAUUGGUCUCUAACAUAACCUUUCCUCUUUUUGUUGAUAUGUCCAAAAGAGAUCCUUAUUUCACCUUUUGUUUAUAGGUAUUCAACUUGAGGAAUUUCAUACUUUUGGAGUGGAGCUAUCAAAUAUAUGUGUGCUCGAUGUUGGUGUUUUAAUCCGGAUCUCUCGCUGAAGGUGCUCGAUGUUGGUGUUUGAAUACUGCUACCGUACUUCAAGGUCUGUAGCAGCUCUUACAAUGGAUUCUUUUUAAUGAUAGUACAAUUUAUUUUUGUUUCGAUUUGGUAUUGUUGUUUUGUUCACUUAACCCAGUCUGUAGCAGCAGCUUUUCAUGUCGUUUCCUCGCCAACAAAUGUCAUAAUUUAUCACAUACGUGUGCAAAUGGUUUUUUGGCUAUAGUAUGAGUAUAUGGUUCAGAGAAGUUCGGUCAGAUGCAAAGCAUGCUUAGCAUCUCAUAGUCGUAGGCUAUUCCUUUUAAAAUUGAAGCCAUCCAGGUUUUCAAUUAUGGAGAUGAUUUGGAAACUCAGCAUAGAAAAUUAUUUACUCUAAUGCAAAUUACACAUAUUAAGGCCUUUAUUCUUUUAUAUUAAGGUCUCCAGUGCAAGCAUUAGCCCAUCUUUAGCUGCUCAUAAGCAGUAUCAGUGAUAUAUAUAUAUAUAUAAGUACACUCUUGCUAAGAUUAAUCUUUGAUAUAUAUAAUUCAUUGCCUGGAUAUAGUUUGCUUUGAAUGUUUUUUUGCUCUUUAGUCUAUGAAGAAUUGCAAGGAGGAGGAUAAUAGAGCAGCAACCAGAGCUGACAAUUGGCCUGUAAAUGCUGCAAAGUUCUCCUAAAGGUGUGAUGUUGGUGGUGAUUUUCUUAUCCGGGGAUAUGGAUGUGGCGGGUCUGUGGGCACCAUGCUGACGCGGAGAAGGAGGUGCAGGUAGCGGGGGCGCUUGAGGUGAGGUGGCUGCAGGGUCGCUCGAGAAGAAUAGGCUCAUCAGCAACACCUGGAUGCCUUCGUCAUCAGCAAUGUGGACAAGGUGCAAAAGGGAUAUCGCCCUUACCUCUUAUUCAGUCUGGAAAAUUAUGCAAUGUUUGGUUUGGUAGAUUUAACAGUCGCUGGUUCGGAAAUUUGUUACCUAUAGAAGUAUAGGAAUAACAUGACUAAUAUUUAUUGAAUUUAUAGAGUUAUUGUUUUUUUCUACAAAGUCAGUUGUUAAAUUAGGAAGAACAUCGUCUAAAAUCUUGACAACAUAAAGGAGCAUAGAGUUAAUAGAUUAUGAAAUCCUGUAGUGCAUCAGAUGCACCCUUCACUAAUUUUUGAACACAUUUAUAUUAUCCAGGUUCCGACCUCAUUCGUUGUGAUGUUUGUCUUUUUUAUGUGGGCGAGGAAAACAUUUUUAGGAGUGAUACUCCCAAACUUUGAUUUCUUGGUUGUCGAAUCAUGGUGCUGAUUAGAUUUUACUUAACCUUAAUUAAUCUAUUUAUAUUGUGGCUUUGUCUUUUAGCUCAUCUUUUAGUUUCUCUUCUCCACUUAACACAAGAUUUUAUUGUAGGCUACCAAGUACAAUUAUACCACUUAUACUCUUUCUAUCUGAUUAUGCAAAGCUUGAUCUAUACUCAUUGAACUUUGUUAGAUAGUAGGCCCUCCUAUUAGUGUGCCUAAAUAUAAUUGUUUCUCUGUGUUUAUAGUAUCUUAGUCCAGUAGAAUGAAUGUUCUCGAGUAAUUAGAGGUAUUUGGAUCAAGUGAAUGUCUGAAUACCACUAAAAUCGAAAUCAUAAUGCUUAUCAUUGGUCAGCACCACCACCUACUCUGAAUCUCUGAUCAGAAUAGUACGAACUAUUAAAUUGGGAACUUAAUGCUUAUCAUUGUUGAUGUACAUAUGUACAACUAACAAUGUUUGUGCUGCAACCAGCUUACUUUAUUCCUUGCUGAAAUUUAUCUUGACUUAUUUCACAUCAGAUAGUUCUGAACCUAGAUGAUCUCAAUUAAGGUCAUUGAAAUUUGUUAAAUUAUUUUUAUCCACUCUUCUGAACGAGCGUAUACUAUGAUCUGAUUUGUAUAUCAUAUUACUGAGGCAGCGCUGGGCCAUGCUGUGGUGAGAACAUACGAGAGAUAAUUGGGGUGUGUGGCUGAUUGCUUCAUAUGCUGCUAAUGAUAUAUGUAGACUGCUGAUUGCUCCUGAUAUACAGUGUCGAUUGCAGCUGAUAGUAGGAUUGUACUCAAUUUGAUAGGUAAAGUGGGAUGGCGGGAUUGUAUAGUGCUCAUAAGCCAGUCCGGGCAUUGUCCUUCCUCGAAUGAAUAUGAGACUACUCCUCAUAUGUUAAUCAGUUGCUCCUCCCUAGCUUUGGUUUGGUCUGAACUUCAAAGUUUUCAUCCACUCAAUGUUGAUUCAGUCAAAGAUCUCUUGGAAAAAUUAUUUCGACAAGAUUCACUCUAUAAUGUUGUUAUCAUUGUCCUCUGGAAUAUAUGGAAGUGCAAAAACUCCAAGGUCUCCCGGGAUGUUUUUGAGGAAUUGCACAUUACUGCUAGCAAGAUUGCUGAUGAUUGAUACCAUGGUCCAACAGGUAUUCACAUGAAAUUAAUAAAUGGCACCUUACGGAUUGGAGUACUCUACUGUAUCACCUAUCUGGGAGAUUUUAAUUUUUUCCUUCUAUUAUUUCUCUUAAUCCCUGUGCACUCAUCGGACUUUGUAUAGUUCUCAGUUUUAUGAAGUGGUUCAGGCUGGCGUAAGCCGCCAUAGUCCCAGUAAAAAAAAGGCUACAAGCUUCGCUUCGGCCUUUUGGAACUGAAUAUUAUGUAGUUUUAUUGAGAUUAUUGAUAGUGCUUCUCUACUAUCAAAGAAGGUAAUAGUCUCUUAUGUGUUUCUUUUUGUCCAUUUGAAUGCACUCCAUUUUUUAGUGUAUUAAUUAACAUCAAACCUCCCAUUCUUUCUAGAGUGCUGAUGUAUUAUUAUUUUCAGCUUAACACAUUUAACUUCCUAUAGAUUUCAUGGUUUAUGCAGAUUAACCGAGCUAAGAUUUUUUGUGAAGCUAAAGCUGGUGUUAAGAUGAACGCCGCUAUGUAUAUAUUUGAAACAGUUAGAUACAUGCUUGACAGACUAUAUAGGGGUGAUCAAAACCAUGCAAAGCAUUAUGGGACAAGUUUCUCUACCUUAAAUAAGUGUUCAUUCUCUCGUGUUUACUAUUCGUUUAAGGGUCAUCAACCCGUGUAUUUAUUUUCAUUGAGCAAGUUUUACAUUUUUCUUCAGUGGUGUUCAUUGUGCAGUUCUAGAUUUUUAAGAGAGUAGAGUUUAUUGAUUUAUUACAUGGAGAGACCAGUAGUGUCGUAGUGGUCUUGACAUAAUUACUAACAUUUUCUACUAGAAAAAGUUUAAUUGCACUAAAUACAAAUUAGAACAUGCAUAGACAUUUAUCUUCUUUCUACAGAAUGGUUAGUGUAAACGUACUUUAAGUUGUACAUGAUUCUGUAUCUGACCAUUUUAUCUCAUAUGUUGAUGUGGUUGCAGAUAUGAACUUCAAAUUAUCCUGCAAUGUAUUGACUGCUCGGAGCUAACUUGACUACGCCAGUUUUCUUUUAUGGCUCAAAGUAGUUAGUGUCCCCCCUUAUUAUGAGAGAGGUACUACUUCAAACAUCUCUUCUUAAUGUUUUAUGUCAUGGCAUACAGUAUGAGGGAGUGUUAGUUGGCUUGACUUUCGUGGCACUCAUUGAUAACCUUUCAGUUUAGGAGUUUUUGUGGCCUCUUAAUCCAUGAGAGUAUGCUCAUGUUGAAGAAGUUAGUCAUAAUGAGGGGCACCAUAAAUGUUUGUUAUCUGGCACAAAUUCCUAAUGAAUAUCACAUGUGAACCUUUUACUGUUGUGUUAUUCAAAUUUCAUUGUACUAUUCAUACAGUAAAAUAUGAGUGCCAUGUCAGAAUAUGGUUCUCGAUCUGAAAGAUCAUAUUCAAAAUUACAGGUUCUAUGGCAGUGCACUGGUAGAAAAAGAGGCUUCCGUCCAGCCCCAUUAGUCGCGAAACUGUAGGAACCGCGACCAAUGAAGUCUUUAGUCGCGGUUCGACAGACGAACCGCGACCAAAUGCCUGGGCCCAGGGCGCUCGGUGGCCAGCUGGUGCACGUGAGGGGCUUUAGUCGCGGUUGGCCAGGCCAACCGCGACUAAAGCUCCUCCCCUAUAUAUACCAGUUCAGCACACUCACUUAGCCAUUUGGUGCCACUUCUCUUCGCAAGCUUCACAAGGGGGUGUAGGUUUGCUUUUGGUUCCUCUUAUGCACACAAGGUGUUUGAUGAAAUGCCCCAAGAGCGUGAAACAAACAUGAUAUGAAGUGUUGGAGCCACACUUGAGGUUCCUCAUUUAUUUUUUCCUCCUCGAUCGCGGUUAGCAACUUGAACCUUUCAUGCAUGUGUGUCAUUGAUAAAAUAUGCAUGUGUGUUGUUCAUUGUUUAAUUUCUAUUGUUUAUAGCUAGUUAGUUUAACAAAUGCAUGAUGGUUAAUUAUAUAUUUUAUAUUAUAAUAAUGCAGAUGAAUCGGCAAUGGAUGUACGGUAACCGACUCUCCCGCGAGUUCACUACGGGUUUGAAAGAUUUCCUCGUAGUGGCUAAUGCGAACAAGCAGAAGGGUUUUGUUAUCUGUCCAUGUGUUGACUGUAAGAAUCAGAAGGGUUACUCUUCCUCAAGAGAAGUUCACUUGCACCUGCUUCGGCACGGUUUCAUGCCAAGCUAUAAUUGUUGGACCAAGCAUGGAGAAAGAGGGGUUAUAAUGGAAGAAGAUGAAGAAGGGGAUGAUUUCAUCGAUGAAAGCUAUCUUGCUCAUUUCGGUGAUACUUUCAUGGAGGAUGCUGAAGGUGAAGGGGAAGGUGAAGGUGAAGAAGAGGCACGUGAUGAGACCGUUGAUGAUCUUGGUCGGACCAUUGCUGAUGCACGGAGACGCUGCAAAACUGAAAAGGAGAGGGAGAAUUUGGAUCGCAUGUUAGAGGAUCACAGAAAGUCGUUGUACCCCGGAUGCGAUGAUGGUCUGAAAAAGCUGGGCUGCACACUGGAUUUGCUGAAAUGGAAGGCACAGGCAGGUGUAGCUGACUCGGCAUUUGAAAACUUGCUGAAAAUAUUGAAGAAUAUGUUUCCAAAGAAUAACGAGUUGCCCACCAGUACGUACGAAGCAAAGAAGGUUGUCUGCCCUCUAGGUUUAGAGGUUCUGAAGAUACAUGCAUGCAUCAACGACUGCAUCCUCUACCGCGGUGAAUACGAGAAUUUGAAUGAAUGCCCGGUAUGCACUACAUUGCGUUAUAAGAUCAGAGGCGAUGACCCUGGUGACGAUGUUGAGGGCGAGAAACCCAGGAAGAGGGUUCCCGCCAAGGUGAUGUGGUAUGCUCCUAUAAUACCACGGUUGAAACGUCUGUUCAGGAACAAAGAGCAUGCCAAGUUGUUGCGAUGGCACAAAGAGGACCGUAAGUCGGACGGGGAGUUGAGACACACCGCAGAUGGAACGCAAUGGAGAAAGAUCGACAGAGAGUUCAAAGAUUUUGCAGCUGACGCAAGGAACAUAAGAUUUGGUCUAAGUACAGAUGGCAUGAAUCCUUUUGGCGAGCAGAGCUCCAGCCAUAGCACCUGGCCCGUGACUCUAUGCAUCUACAACCUUCCUCCUUGGUUGUGCAUGAAGCGAAAGUUCAUUAUGAUGCCAGUGCUCAUCCAAGGUCCGAAGCAACCCGGCAACGACAUCGAUGUGUACCUAAGGCCAUUAGUUGAUGAACUUUUACAGCUGUGGGGCAGACCUGGUGUCCGUGUGUGGGAUGAGCACAAAGAAGAGGAAUUUGUCCUACGAGCGUUGCUUUUCGUAACCAUCAACGAUUGGCCUGCUCUUAGUAACCUUUCGGGACUGUCAAAUAAGGGAUACAAUGCAUGCACGCACUGCUUACAUGAGACUGAAAGUGUACAUUUUCCAAAUUGUAAGAAGAACGUGUACCUUGGGCAUCGUCGAUUUCUUCUGAAAAUUCAUCCAGUAAGAAAGAAAGGCAAGCAUUACAACGGCAAGGCAGAUCACCGGCCGAAGCCUGCGGAACGCACUGGUGAUGAGGUAUUUGAUAUGGUCAAGGAUUUGAAAGUCAUCUUUGGAAAGGGUCCUGGCGGACAAUCAGUUCCGAAGGGAGCUGACGGGCACGCAGCCAUGUGGAAGAAGAAAUCUAUAUUCUGGGAGCUAGAAUAUUGGAAAGUCCUAGAAGUCCGCUCUGCAAUCGACGUGAUGCACGUUACGAAGAAUAUUUGCGUGAACCUCCUAAGCUUUUUGGGCGUGUAUGGAAAGACAAAUGAUACAAAGGAAGCACGGCAGGACCAGCAACGUUUGAAAGACCCUGAUGACCGGCAUCCGGAAUGGUUUCAAGGUCGUGCCAGCUACGCUCUGACCAAAGAAGAGAAGGUCAUCUUUUUUGAAUGCCUGAGCAGUAUGAAGGUCCCGUCUGGAUUCUCGUCCAAUAUAAAGGGAAUAAUAAACAUGGCGGAGAAAAAGUUCCAAAACCUGAAGUCUCACGACUGCCACGUGAUUAUGACGCAAUUGCUUCCGAUUGCUUUGAGGGGGCUCCUGCCGGAAAAUGUUCGAGUAGCCAUUGUGAAGCUAUGUGCAUUCCUCAAUGCAAUCUCUCAGAAGGUAAUCAAUCCAGAAGUUCUACCACGGUUACAGAACGAUGUGAUCCAAUGUCUUGUCAGUUUCGAGUUGGUGUUCCCGCCAUCCUUCUUCAAUAUUAUGAUGCACCUCCUGGUUCACCUAGUCGAAGAGAUUUUCAUUCUCGGUCCUGUAUUUCUACACAAUAUGUUCCCCUUCGAGAGGUUCAUGGGAGUAUUAAAGAAAUAUGUUCGUAACCGUGCUAGGCCAGAAGGAAGCAUCGCCAAGGGCUAUGGAAAUGAGGAGGUAAUUGAGUUUUGUGUUGACUUUGUUCCUGACCUUAAGCCGAUUGGUCUUCCUCGAUCGCGGCAUGAGGGGAGACUAAGUGGAAAAGGCACGAUCGGAAGAAAAUCAACGAUAUGUAUGGACGUCCAUUCUCUGACUGAAGCACACCACACUGUACUGACCAAUUCCAUCUUGGUGGCUCCGUACUUUGAGAAACACAAGAAUAUUUUACGCUCGGACAACCCGGGGAAGCCUGAAUCCUGGAUUAGGAAGGCCCACAUGGAGACUUUCGGCAGUUGGUUGAGAAAACAUUUAAUGAAUGACAAUGAUGUUGUAGAUCAGCUGUACAUGUUGGCCAAGACACCAUCUUCGACUAUAAUGACUUUCCAAGGGUACGAGAUAAAUGGGAAUACAUUUUACACGAUCUCCCAAGAUAAAAAGAGCACCAACCAAAACAGUGGUGUCCGCUUUGAUGCAGCAACCGAGAAUGGGCAAAAGGUCACAUAUUAUGGUUACAUAGAGGAGAUAUGGGAACUUGACUAUGGACCCUCCUUUAAGGUCCCUUUGUUCCGGUGCAAAUGGUUCAAGCUAACAGGAGGUGGGGUAAAGGUGGACCAGCAAUACGGAAUGACAAUGGUGGAUUUCAAUAAUCUUGGUUACCUUGACGAACCAUUCGUCCUAGCGAAAGAUGUCGCUCAGGUUUUCUAUGUGAAGGACAUGAGUAGCAAACCGAGGAAACGGAAAGAUAAGAAAACGAUCAGUACAUCAUGCGAUGAUCCAAAGCGCCACAUUGUUCUUUCAGGGAAAAGAAACAUCGUGGGAGUGGAGGACAAGACAGACAUGUCAGAAGAUUAUAAUAUGUUUGCUGAAAUUCCGCCCUUCAAAGUGAACACCGACCCAAGCAUUAAGUUAAAUGAUGAGGAUGCUCCAUGGAUACGGCACAAUCGUAAGCAAGAAGGGACACAAGGGAAGAAAUGAUGUGUAAUAAUUUAUUACCCGUGAUGUGUUUGGUGUCCAUUUUCGAAUGAUUCGAGAUACCACUGAUGAUACAUGAAAUUUGGAGUGAUUUAGUCAUACUCCUGCCUAGGCGUAUAAUAUGCAUACUCGUAGUCUUCAUAGCCGCCGUCGUCGUCGUUCCUGUCGUCGCCUUCUAAGUUGCCGCCGUCGUCAUCGCUGCUGUCGUCGCUGUCGUCGGGCGGCGCUCGUGGCUCGAACUGAGGGUAGCGCAGGCGGGGGAUAUCGCCGGCCGUGAUGUAGUCCAUGACGCUCUGCAGAGUCCGGCCGUACCACCAUAGCCGACGGCCGGCCUCGUGGAAGUUCCCAGGAGGCAGACCGUCCUCCUCAUACCUGGCGAGCGCCCUCUCACGCCGAUUAAUGAAGAAGGCGUCCCAAGUAUGCUGGUUAUCGGGAUGCCAGCGGGGAUUCAUCCGCUGCUCCGGCGUGAGGUCGAGGUAGUAGUGGUUCGUGAUGGCCGCCCGGCACGCAGUACCCUGAGGGACGGGAGGGACCGGCACGCCGCCGGCGCUUAGGCUCCAGCCGGUGGGGACGCGGUAGCCCGGUGGACAAGGGUAGUUCGAGGCGCAAAGCUCCUCCACCUGCUGGUAGGUUAGAGUGGGUGCGGUGGAAGCCAUGAGAGAGUGAUGAGAGAUUGUAGAGAUGUGAUAAUGCUGGCCAAGACGGGCUACAUAUAUGUAGUGAGAAAUGGCGGGAAAAAUGGGAGCGGGAAGACAGGAGGCGGGAAGAAAGUGGCGGGAAGAAAGAGGCGGGAAGACAAGGAAGAAAUGGCGGGAAGAAGAUAAUAUUUGUGUUUUUAACAUAUUGAAUUGAAUUAGUUCUAUUUUUCUGAAUUUUUUGAUAUAUUAUUUGUAUUUUUAACAUAUUGAAUUGAAUUACUUUUAUNNNNNNNNNNCGCCGUCGCCCUCGCCCUCAACGCCGCCCGCCGCCGCCCGCCGCGCUGUCAGGCGACGACUCCGGCGCCUCGGCCGGGUAAUUAUCCUCAAGCGCCGUCUCCUCCAGGCCCCGUGCCGCGCGGCCCAUGGCGGCGCACGAGAGCAGCAGCACGGCCAAGAGAAGAAGCGCGGUGCAGCGGGCCUUCUCCGGUGAAGUGCCGCCACGGGAGAGGCUCACCGGAGCUCUCUCCGGCACCCGCCUACGGGUCCCAUCUGUCAUACACAUGAACACACUGCUGGGUGCACUUCCGUGUACCCAUAGCAGUUUCUGUAUUUAAUAAUUUGAAUUAAAUUAAAUCAGGAUAUUAGAAAAUGAACCAAAACUUUGAAAAUUAAUAGAAAAUAAACCGUAACUCGGAUGGGAAAACUCUGUACAUGAAAGUUGCUCAGAACGACGAGACGAAUCCGGAUACGCAGCCCGUUCGUCCAUCACGCAUCCCUAGCAUAGCGAACACGCAACUUUCCCCCUCCGACCCAUCUGUCUGAAAACGCGAAACACCGGGAAUACUUUCCCGGAUGUUUCCCCCCUUCACCGGUACCACCUCGUACCGCGUUAUGGUACACCUAGCAAAUAAAAAACUUGCCAUGAUGAAUUACUAAAAUUUGCCAUGAUCUAUCAAAUAAUUUUGACAUGAUUCAUAAGUAAAAAAAGAAAUAUGUCAUCAGUUAUUUUAACAAUGCAUGGUCACUGGCUCAAAUUUGGCAUGAACUAUAAACUAAAACUAUCAUGGUGAAUUACUUAAAUUUGCCAUGAUACAUGUACUAAAAUUUGCCAUGGUUCAUACAAAAAUGUGUAAACCCUCUCCCACCCCUUCCUCGCCCCCUUCUUUUGCCACCGCCCUUUCGCCACCGCCACCGCCACCGCCACCGCCCCCCUUCUUCACUUAAUUAAUUUGUUUUUACUACAUGUUUUCAGGACUGACAUAAUGGCGGACGAUAGAGCUGACCCGAUUAUGGACAACUAUGAUCCGGACGGUGAAGCACAUAUGUUCGGCAUCAUAAACGGCGAUAUUCUAUAUGUGCCGACCGGACAAGAAGAAGAUGAUAUCUCUUCUUAUCUGAACCUUGACGGUGAAGAUGAAGGGCGCCGUCAGCAAGAUGAUGCCGAACAAACGUCGAUAAACGACGAUCUUCAAAUGGAAGUAGCAACCACCUCCGGCGCCGAGGUAUAUAUAUACAUUGAGCCUCUGGUGAUACAAACUAACUGAUUUGAAUAAAUAUGUGUGUACUAACGUGCGCGACUCUCUUUCUUAUUUUAGCCCUCGGCCGGAUCGUCGAAACAAUCGAGUACAUCGUCAAAGCGUGGCGCAACCAAGACGAUGAAACAAGGAGAAACAUGCACCAUCGAGGUUGUCGACAGUGCAACCGGCAGGCCGCUGGAGCCCCGCAAGAACGCCACCAAGUUUGUCAACCAAUGCGGAGCCGUUGUUAGAGACAACGUCUCGAUCACCGUCCAGGAGUGGAAUAAGCCAAAGAAGGCACGAAUUGCUGGUUUCACUUUUGUCGAUAAGAGAACAAAAAAAGAUUGCUUCAAGAAGCUUAUGGAACAUUUCAUUCUACCUCCGGAAUACAACAAAUUCGAUGAGGAGGGUAACAAGAUUGAGGAAAACAAGGAGAGGAUGAGGCUAGUCAAACAGUUCGCUCUUCAUAAGAUGGCCGACGCAUUCCGGAAAUUCAAGCAAAAUCUAGCCCGUGACUUUGUCAAGCAGAACAAGACUCCGGAUUUCAAAGGACAAUAUGAGAAACUGAAACAUGAUUGGCCAGAAUUUGUGAAGCAAAAGAAAUCGGAGCAGUUCAUUCAAAUAUCAAAAAAAAUAAGGAAAAUGCGGCUAAGAAGGAGUACAAUCAUAUUAUGGGGCCAGGAGGGUAUCGCCUUUGGGUGCCUAGGUUGGAGAAGAUGGAGAACGAGCUGAGGGCGCGAGGAAUCCGUCCAGGUACGGAGGGAUGGGACCCAAGGGCCAAAAGCUGGUGGUACGGGCAUGGGGGAACGCUGAACCCGAAGACAGGGGAGUGUGUUUACCGGGGCAAAAUAAUUAAACCCACCCAAGCCCUUAUUGACGCAAUGAGGGAUGCUCAAGAGGGGAAGAUCAAGUUCAACAGAGAGAACGACGCGCUGACAAAAGCCCUCGGGAAUCCUGAACACGGAGGACGUGUACGAGGCAUGGGGCACAUUCCGUGGAAAAUAGGGUUCCCCCAGAACGAUGACCCGUACGGUUACAGAAGCCGUAAGAGAAAGAUGGAUCGGGAAGCAGAUGUUGUGGCGCGGUUGGCAUCGGAAAUGGAUGUGAUGAAGAAAACCGUGAGUGUACUAGUAGCCGAAAGAGAUGCAGCUCGGGCGCAGCAUGAAGAUCAUCUAGCGGAUCUCGGAAGCCAGCAGCGGAGAAGCAGCGUGGCUUCCUCGGAGGCCCCACCGGCUGGUGCAGAUGCACCGACGAUCGAAAUUACUGCACCGGAGCCUCUGGUGGUCGAAAUUACUGCAUCGGAGCCUCCUCGCUACCCCGUGGACGAUAUAAAGGAGAUGAAAGAAUGUCAUCUGUAUUAUCCUAUCGGGAACAUGUCCAUGAAGGUAGCCAUCGGCAGUGCUUUACCAUGUUUACCUGGAGCACUCCACCACAACAACCCCAUUCAAGAUGGCUAUGCUCGUGUCACGGUGGAGGACAUAGUCCAAGGGUUUGAGGACCUGGAGAUUGACAUUGCUACACCUGAAGGGGAGAAAAGACUUGGAGAUGUCAAGCGCCAUUUCAUUCUAUGGCAAAAGAAGUUUAUCAAGUUUCCAGGCGAGGCGCCAAGGACAACAAGUCCACCCCCCUACGGUGGUGGUGGUGGCGGUGGUGGUGGUGGUGGUGGUGGUGGCGGUUCACCUACACCUCCGUCACGUCAGUCGACGCCCCUCAGUCCACAACGUCCGGCGGGUGAUCAGACGCCGCCCCCCAGUCCUCGUCCGGCGGGUGAUCAGACGCCGCCCCCAGUCCUCGUCCGGUGGGUGAUCAGCCGACGCCCCCCAGUCCACAACGUCCGGCGGGUGAUCAGACGCCGCCCCCCAGUCCUCGUCCAGCGGGUGAUCAGACGCCGCCCCCCAAUCCACCUCCGGCAAAGAAGCAGAAGCAGUCCUGGAUUAUUAACCCGGACCCUUAUGUACCUAAGACCACAAAGGUACCGGAGCCAUCACUGAAGCCUCUCCCCACAAGGCCUUGGGAACGUAGUGCCGAGGAAACUGCCGCGGCCGCGGCUGCUGAUCAUGACAAAUGGAAGGCGGACUGCAAGAAGAAAAGAGAGCCCGAGCCCAAGCCAGUAUUUUCUGAUGAGCAAAAGAAGUGGGCUAAGUCAUUUUUGAGCACACCGUCCCAAGCCGCGAAGAAUCUGCCUGACGACUAUGCACGUGAACUUCGUAGGCAGGCACUCAUGUUGAAGGAGAAGAAAGAGCGGGCGGAGAACCAGGAGAACAAAGCCUUGGAGGAGGCCGAGAAAACGGAAUUAGAAAGUAAAAAAGCGGGAAACGAGUUGCCCAGCUCGGGGAACAAAGUAAACAAUCGAUUGCCCCGCUUAUAGUGAAAGCCGCCGGUCCGGAUGACCCCGAUAUCAUAGUAGCUGCGGCAGCACAUGGAUUGACUGUAACGAGUGCCAGAGAACAAGUGGCCAACUUAGGUAUUACUCUUCGUGAACUGUUAGGCCUUGAUGAGGCGCCAGUGAAGGAGGUAGUAAUUACAUAUGUGAAGAAUGGGCCUCUCGUCGAGCCUGCGCAGGAAAAGGAUCUACCUCCACAAAUGAAAGGUCUGCUGAAAUGGUACAAGGGUUACAUAAAAAAUAAAAACGCCAAAGAAUAUAUUUAUGCGGAAGUUAGAUAUGAGCAUCACUUCAAACAUUACUAUGUACAAAUUCUUCUGAGUGAAUUGUUCCAGCUUUUCAAUCUGCGCGAGCUCGACAAAUCUAUCAUCAGUUGCUACGUUCUGUAAGUGAUUUAUUUCUACCCCAUCUCGUUCAUAUUGCCUGCACUAUAUAUAUGUCCUAACUAUAUUGUUGUGUCCGCUAUUAUACAUGCAGAAUGAAGAUUAAGGAAUGCAGAGUAAGGAACAUCCAUGAUGUUGGGUUCAUUGACCCACACAUCGUUAAUGGAUAUGUGUUGGAGCAUCACCCCGCCGACAUGGAGGCAGACCUGUGGCAGUUUCUUACAAAGCAGGAACUCAAAAGUGAUAUUCUAUUUCCUUACCAUUUUGGGUGAGUGUUUCUGUCUUGAGCACAUUCUCUUUUGUUUACUCCAUGCAUGGUAUGUGGCUGGCUAAUCGAUGAGUUAUGCAUGACGUACUGUGCAUGUAUCGUGUCCGCAGGUUUCACUGGAUUCUGCUAGUAAUUAAAGUUGACACCUCAGAAUGUCUCGUCCACGACUCUCUGAAUAUGGAUCCAAAGCUUUGGGGCGGCAUGAGAAGAAUGCUGCAGAAGUAAUUAUUUUCAUUCAUUUGCGCUCUAUAUCGAUCGGCCUAUUUCGUUCAUUUCCUAAUAUCAAGUAACUAAUAACUCUCUUGUUCAUUUAAUUUUCUUUGCCUCGUAGGGUUUGGAGACGGUUCGUAGAUACAAAGGUCGGUGAAUUCAAAAAAGAGCUAGAAUUCAAAAGGUCAAAGGCUAAGAAUGCUGGGGAUAUUCAGCCAGCGGGGACCAAUCUAUGUGGAUACUAUGUCUGUGAGAUGAUCCGGAGAUACACCUCUGAGCGGGUUCCGAGUGAUACCAAUGCUCAGAGGAAUAACCUCCGGAUGAUGCUUAGUCCAGAAGCUCGCUUCCGACCACUUCAAGAGGAACUAGCUGGAUGGUUCAGCAGGGAAGUCCUCCAUUCUAAAGGAGAACACCAUUACGAGGACGUAGAACUUUAUAUGCAUUAAAUUAUGUAUGGAAACUUGUUCAAAAUUGUAUAUGGUCAUCCGAUGAUAUUGAAUAUAUAUUGUAUAUUCCUCUUGAAUUCUUUUUGGUUCUAAUUUCAAAUUUGUUUGAAAUUGUACAUUCAUAUGCAUGUAUGUAGUACCGUAGAAUAUGUGAAACUCCUUCAAAAUUAAAAUAAAGCACAAAAGAAAUAAAACAAUACAAAUUAAACAGAAAACAGGUUUAGGGGGGGGGGCUAAAACCCUAAACCUGUGGCGGCCUUUAGUCGCGGUUGGCCAGAAGAACCGCGACUAAAGGUCCUCCGCCCCGACGGCCGCCUGGCGCCCACGUGGACGGGCCUUUAGUCGCGGUUCUUAAGCAACCGCGACUAAAGUGGGGGUCCUUUAGUCGCGCCUAUUUGGUCGCGGUUGCGCAACCGCUACUAAUGGCAGUUGCGAACCGCGACCAAAGGCCCUUUUUCCACUAGUGGUGGAGUAAUGUUCGUAAAUUAUAUAUUGCUUUCAAGUUUGGAGCUGGAAUAAUAUAUGUGCUGCAUUUAGUUAUAGUCUUAUAGAUAUACAUGAACAUCCAUUGUAUAUUUCUUGCAAGACAUGGUAACUACUAUUAUUUUGAUUGUUUCCGUGAACUAUUUUGACCUUGAUUAAGAAGUAGAAAGUUUUUAGCCUCGUAGGUUGUUUGAUCUACUAUAUCAAGUGGCACUUGGCUUCUCAUGGCUCUCCUCGCAUUUGCCAAAACAAAAUUAGUACACACUACCUAGAGCUCUGGAAAUUAGAACUGAAAAAUGGUCCUGCGGUUUAUUAGCUGAUAUAAAUCAUGCACAAUCCUCUACAUUUAAAAAUAAACCGGACACAAAGCAGUAUACUUUUUUCCGAGUACUACCUUGAGAGAGCCAAGGGGUUCUGCAUUUUAUAAAGAAGAAGAAAGUUGCCCGGUUCCAUACAUGCUUAUCUGAGAAAUAUAUCUUAUCUAUCUAGUGGAAACCAGGCAAAAACCUACAGAUACAAAAGGCACAAAGUCCCCCACCGGUCGUGACCGAACUACUGUUUUUGGAAAUAUAAAAUGAGCUAGAUUACUAACAUUGAUGUAAUGCUUGUAUGUCAACCUAUUCCUUUAUCGGUUCAAUUACAGAGUUUUGUUAUUAUGUGAAUGGAGUAAUGGAGAGCUAAGAAAAAACAAGGUAACAGUUAGUGUUACUCUUGCGAGGUAGUUUCAAUCAUAUCAUUGUUUGCUUUCCCUUUUCUCCUGCCUAGGUAUGUACAAUUAUUCCAACCCAGGUUUCUUUCAAGAAGGAUAUGGGUAUGUGUUUGAGGAAUGUCUACAUGAUAAAACACACCUUCAAGUUUGGUGAUAGUUAUGCUAUCAAACUUACAAUGGGGGUCUUAAUUUGUAUUUUUAAUAGAGCACUGGGUUCAUUGGUGAGACUUGUGAGGAUGUGCCUAGGCUAAAGAUGGCUCCUAUGUCGGUACCAAGUGGCAUGUGUUUAAAUGGAGUAUCCUUGUCAGGAGAGCUGAUUUCUGAAAUAUGGUACUUUAUGGGUGCAAGGAUUCACCAUGUUGCGGUCUUCGUCAGCGAAGUGGACUCCUAGGAAUUAGUCAAGGCCGCUAUGUUGUUUUAAGCUGAUAUUCUAUUGUACUUGUAUUUUUUUUGCUUAUCUAGUUGUUUGCCAUGCAGUUCUCGUUGUUGGUGGGGACAUUUGUUGUCUAAGAUCGACCUCAAAUAUCUGGUGGCACUAUAGCAUGGCUUUUGAUAUUCUAAUGUAUAUCUCUUACAAAAUAUUUCAAGAGCCCGUGGCAACGCACGGGCAUUAUACUAGUGUAAGUAAGGAUGGAGAUGAAGAUGGUGUGGCGACAAGGAUAUAACAAAACGCCUGGUUCCUUCAGCCAAAAGUUGGCAACGUUCCUUGUUACACACGCUCCGCCCAACAAACGCUCCAAAAGCCAAAAUACAAUUCCUCAAACAACGGCCAAAGACUACUUCCCCACAUGGAAAAGAAAUACGCACAUGGCGUUACAAUGUUGGCUACUCAUGUCUGAGUUCCUAAACCCUUGCAAAACAGAAAGAAAGGUUGUUUGCUAAACAAAAGAAAGGCCAACACAAUCCUAUCCAAACACUCCACAUUUUUACUAUGUGGCAAAAAUAUGCAACUUUUUUUUGUUUUUAGGUACAUGCCAUUUAAAAAAAACACAAUUUUUUUAUGUUCACACGCCAAGGUAUUUUGUACACAUGGCAAAAUUUUCCGAAGAAGAAAAAUCUCACGACCCCAUGGAUAAUUCAUAACUUUUUGUCUUUCAAGCAGGGCAAUUUUAAGUCAUUUUGUAAUGCUAUUGUGGCAAACGAUGGGAUCUUUAAUCAAUUUUCAUGGCGAAUUUGGGAUUCUUUUCCCUACUUUUUCACAUGGCAAUUUUAUUAUGAUUAAAAUGGAGAUCUUAUUAUUCAAAACAUGGCAGCUUUACUAUUAAGAGCAUGGCAAUUUAAGUAUGAUAGAAUCUCCUCCCCUGCUCGGUCUACCCCACAUGCAUGGCGUAUAACAUCCUCUAGCCCCAAUUGCCGCCAAACCUCUUUAGCCUUAUGGCAUCGAAAUAGUACAUGAAACACAUCUUCUGCUCCUUGUUUACAUGUAGGACACGUCGGCCGGACUGGGAUGUGUCUAUUAGCAAGAACCACAUUGCAUGGCAGUGUUCCGUGUAAGGUUCUCAGAAGAAAAUUUUUAACUUUCGCCGGACAAUUCAGUUUCCAAACCUUUUCCCAUGUUGGGUUAGCACUAGUGGCUCCCAAACCAUCUGUCCUCUGCAAUUUACGACCAUGCUGAAAGUACCAUAGAGCAUGGUAGGCCGAUUUCACUGUAAAAAUUCCAUGUUUAUUCAAACUUCAUGCUACAAAGUCACUCAUAUCAUGUGUAGGUAGUGGUAAAGCAAGGACCCGUUCCACAUCAAUCGGCCAGAAGGUUUGCUCCACAAGUGGCACAUCCCAGUGACCUGUAGCUGGAUCAAUUAAAUCACUCACCUUUGAUAGUAACUGGUUACCUCUUGGGGUAAUAAUCAUUCUGGAUGGUGAGUUAGGAAUCCACGCAUCCCUCCAAACAUUUAUUUUUUCACCAUCCCCUACUCUCCAAAUGUAUCCAUGUUUCUGGGUAUUCACCCCUUGCAUAAUGCUUUGCCAAGUGUAGGAGGAAUUCUUUUUCAGCUUAAUUAAUUUACCAGCACAAGAAGCGGGGAGUGAAAAACUUCCAUGACUUGAUGUCCACUUGCUGCUGGUACCUUUGGUGGGAGAGGAGAAAGCUUGUGCACAAUGAGCCGGUACAAGAUGCGAAGAGAGUUGCGCAAGCGGUAUGUGCUUUAGCUGCUAACUAUGCUAUUGCAUGUGACCCAAAGGCCUCGUUAAAGAGGGGAGGUUGGUGCAAACCCCCUAGUGGAUAUGUCAAGUUAAAUGUUGAUGCGGCCUUUGAUUGGGAUUUGCUUCAGGGGGCGAUGGGAGCAGUCAUCCAGAUGAUAGAGGACAUAUGGUUGUAGCUGGAAACAAGCUCAUUGAUUCAUGUUAUGAUGUACUAACUGUUGAGGCAAUGGCUUUGAAGUUUGGGUUGAAUAUGGCGCUCACAGCUGGGUGCAAUAGACUGAUUGUCAACUCGAAUAAUCUGGAACUCAUGGAAAUAAUGAAUAAGGAUGGCCAAUAUGCUGGAGAUGCCGCGGCCAUUGUCGAUGAUUGUUAUCAUCUGGCUUGCGAAUUUAGCUCUAUUGUCUUCGAAUUUUGCCCCAGAGAGUCGAAUGGGGUUGCACAUGAACUAGCUAGGAUUGCUAGAAGUUCGCUUUGUAAUGAGUGGUUAGAUAAUGCUCCUUCUGAGCUUCUUCACCUCUACUUAAAGAUGUAAGUCUGAUCACGAAUGAAUAAAGAGGAAGUAAAGUUGUCAAAAAAAAAGAGCAUGACAAUUUUAUUUUUAAUGGCAUGUCAUUCUUACCUCUUUUUUUUUGAGAAAAGCAUGUCAUCUUUACUAUGUCCUUCUCGCCUGCUGUAUGAAGUAGGCGGACCCUAGAUGGGCUUUCCCAAUAUUGGUUCCUGGGACAGGGUUCAUGCAGAGUUUUUUUUUCCUGGGCCAAUUUUCAUCUUUUUGUUUGGUUUUCUGUCUUAUGUGUUUCUUUAUGGAUUUUAUUUCUUUCUCAAUACAUGUCCAUUUUUCUAAAUACACACUGUAAAAAUUUACACAUCUUGAACAUUUUUUAUUAAUUGGCAUAAACCUAUUUUUGGAGUGUGUGAGCAUUUUUUAAUUGUCAUGUACAUUUUUCUGAAAGGCAGUAUUUAUUUUGUUGAAUUACGUGAGCAUUCUUUCCACAUUGUAUGACAUUUUCUAAUAAUCUCACGUAUAUUUUUUGAAACACGCGAACAUAUUUUUGAAUGCUAUAAACAUUUUUUAUAUCAUGCUGCAUUUGGUCUAUAUUAGUUUAAACUAAGUCAGUGACAAUUAAUAUGGAUCAUAGAGAGUACAAUUUUGUACAUGAUGUUUAUACUUUUAUAUUUCACUUUCAACAUUUUUUAUUUGUUAAACUCUAUUGUGUUUUUGGAAUAAGUGUAUUUAGAAUAUAUUUUUUUAAAUGUAAAUAAAAUGGAGCGAAUGAAGAAGCAGAGAAGAAAAACGAAGGCCGGCCAAAUGUAUGGCGUUCCCUGCCUCAUACCUGCAAAUCAAGCUAAGCAGCGGGUGAUAAUUUUUUACACAAUGUUUAUAGUUUUCUAUUUCACUUUGAACAUUUCAAAAUUUUAAGGAAAUUAUUAUUUUUAAAUAAAUGUUUUUAGUUUUUUUAAUAAAAAGGUGAAAAAAAGGAAAUUGAGCGAAUGAAGAAGCAGAGAAGAAAAACGCCCUUUCUUUCAUCAACUGAACUGCGUGCGUGCAUGGAAGGGCUAUCAUCUGCACUUAAGAGGAGUGACUUACCUAUCAUUGUGGAGAUGGACUCUAUUCUUGCAGUCAAACUGAUCCAAUCGAGGGAUUUGGACAAAUCUAUUUAUGCUUGGAUAGUUAAGGUGAUCAAGUAUGUUUUGGGGAUUCGUGGUUCUUGUAUUACUCAUGUAAAUCGCUCUUAAAAUAAAGUUAGCGACUGCUUAGCUAGAUUUGCUAAAUUAGAAGGACAAAGCAUGACUUGGGUUGGUUCUGGUCCAGAUGUUGCUGUUGAGCCAGCUAUUGCUCAAUGUAUGGACACCAUGAGUUGAGUAAUGCAAAAAAAAAAAAAAAGUUUGCGCAGAAUUAUUUUCGACCUGCCUCAUAUCUCUACUCUUAAUGGACGACUUGGUGAAUAGUCUUCAUGGUUUAUUUUCGCUGUUUUUUUUUGUCAUCCUCCCACCUCACGGUUUCAAAAAAACCAACCAAAACCAGAGGCCCGUCCCACGAAACGAAACCCAAUUUGCCCCCGUACCAUCACUCCUCCCUCUCCCUCUACCUCCCUUGUCUAGGGUUCCCCGCCACCACUGCGGCAUCCGCCGCCGAAUCCUAGGUCGCCGCACACCGUCGCCGCCGCCGCGAAUCCCCAGGGACGCCGCACGCCACCGCCGUCGCGAAUCACCAGAGACGCUGCACGCUGCCGCCGCGGAUCCCCAAGGGCGUGGUCGCAUUGUACUAGACAAAGUGUGGUCGCCGUCGUCCUCUCCUCGUCCGACCUUGACCUCAUCCCUUCGACUCCGGUGACUCCUCUGUGGCCCGGGCGGCCCUGGCCGACGCCGUCACAGCCAACGCCGGCCUCACCUCUGCGGCCUCACGCACUGCCGCCGCCGAGGAGCCGGCCUGAUAGGUUUGAACCAUCCCUUGAUCCCUCGAGUAUUCUGCGUCCCUUGAUGGCUCGAUUCCUUGUCUUCUCCAUCUAUCAAUCCCUCGCAUCCUUGCAUGCUACGAAGAGAAUGGUUCCCUUUCUACAGGGUCUGGUGUGAAAGAGUUGGAGCAAGGAGGACGUGUGCGGCCACUUCGCGCUUCGGCGAGAUCCUCAAGGUUGUCAUCGCAGACAAGGGCACUGGAAGAUCCAAGGGCGGCGGAUUCGUGAGUACCGCCCAAACAAUUCUCUCCUCCCCUCAUCAUCGAUUGAUCUUCCUGUAGUUAAUUUUCUUGCUUAAUUCAGCCCCGUUAGUUGAUGCUAUGCCUGGAUGGAUGCUUGGCAUGUUACGUUCCAGGAAGCGGAGGCGGCCAUUAGGGCGUGCUUGGGUCCGUACCCGGUGAUUGACGGCCGGAGGGCCAACUGCAACCUCGCCUGCCUCGAGGUCCAAGGCGCCACAACGAAAACGCCCGCCUCGAUACUCAGCUUCAAGGGAUGUGUCCUGCCACGGGUAGUGCCAUCACACCGGCACAAUGAACUCCCGUGCAACCCAGCAUCCGCAUUGAGACAUCUUUCUUGGCGCUGCCAUUGCUGCCGUACUCUGACAGUCCAUGCAUUGACGCAUCGAUUCAGAAGGUGAGCCCCAGCGACGGCUCCGGAAGAAGGGAUUGGCUGCAGCUGAUUUGGGAGGCCCAGUCGGGGAGAGCAGGGAGGAGGAGCAUCGAUGAUAUUCCUCCCGUCCCAUAGCCAAAGGGAGUGUCAGCGCACCCAGCGGCGGCACAUCUUGCGGCAGCAAUUGACGUAUCGUACCAGGCGGCUGUGUAGCUGGUGAAGUGGUGAGUGCAAAGUGUUUGUGCUAAUGAUUGAGCGGAGUUAUCUUAUGAUUGUCAUAUCACACUAUUUACGAGUAGUAAUGCUUAACUCCGUUGCCUUAGCGUGUGAUUGUGUCAUGUCCGUGACAAUACUAAUGCUCAAUGUUGUUGCCCGAGAGGCCCUUUUUGUAGUUAUCAUAAACGAGUAGGCAGCAUGUAAGAGCACCCACAGUGCUUAGAUGUAUGCUCAUUGCCCUUAAGCAGUGCGUUCUUGUCAACUCACAAGAUUGUACUAUUGUAUUUUGUAGGUACAUCUGAAGAUUCAUCUGCAGUUAGGUAGAAAAUGAUUCAUGUUUUACAUCCAAAAGUUAUACAUUUUUCAGGCUGUAAGCACCUUUAAAGUUAUUCAUGCAUACUUUUUUCAGGCUGUAAACUGCACCCUUAUAGUUAUUCAUGCCUUUUCUUUUAUAUAGUCGUGAUACUUAGAAUACUUAUAUAUUGUCAGUUAUAGGUAAUAUGUUCCAUCAAACAGGAGUUUACUCAGUAUUCAAUAAGAUAUUUUAUUUUUAAUAGUUAUAAGAGGAGACCUGCAUGAAAAACAAGAGUGCAGUUGGUUCAAUCAAAUAGAACUGCAGGUUGAUGGGGGUGGUUUAAUAAAAAGAAAAAGAUGAAAUAGAUUGGUGUUUAUUUAUUCUCUGCGGAAAAUUUUGGGCUCUUUUGUUAUGCUUGCAACUUUGUUUUGGAAUAGGGUAGUUAAAGUGUACUUUUCUUAUGGAAGGCAUGAAAAAGCAUGCGUAGCUAAUUACAACUCAGAAACAAAUGUCUUUGUUUCAAAAAUGACAAUGACGGAAUAAAUUGUUUCAAAAAAUAACUACAAAAAUCUAAAAAUCUAAACAUAGUGAUCAGAUGAACACGGUGGCCACUGAUGAUGUUGGAAUUAGGAUAAGUAGCGAGAUGGGUGGGAGGGCAUGUUGAAGUAGAGAACAUGGACUUGCGGGGAGGAGGGGUGCUUACUUGAGCCAAUUUAUUAGAUUAAGGGUGUGCAUGACUUUUUCCAUAUGCACGAAUUAUUAGUUAGUGAGAAUUAAGCGCCAUGCAUUCUUGGUUUGAUUGUUAUUCGUCGACCAUGAGCAAGAAUCUGUCAAUUAAUUAGAUGCUUUAAUUAACUUAUAUGUAAUGGCAGGGUGUCCAUGUUGAACGGAAACGCCUAUGGUUGCCCUUCAAGCACUAACAAAUUGGAAAUUCCAAGCCCUGCUGAGAUUACGAGCAGAGUGGAAAGGGAAUCAACACCAUCACGCCAAAACAUUGAAGGUGAAUAAGUGGACCACUAUCUAAGUAAAUAGACGAACCAUAUUUUGUUAGAACUAAGCAGUUGCUGCUAAUAUAAUCCUCUCCAGCAAGAUCAGUUUCGGACAAUAUAAUUUGCUAUUCACUUUCUAUGUGUUUAAGCAUGCUCAAACUCAAUACAAAUGAACAUAAUUCUUUUUUUUAGGUCAUUGCAUGACAAAUAAGAAUACUUACAUCACUGAAUUUCUGAUGUUUUUCUGUCGGAAGUUAGUUCAGUUAGGCACUUCUAAUUGCUUAAGCUCGAUUUCACUCAAGUUUGAUAUAAUCUGCAGGAGCAAUCCAAGAGCUAAAAACUACAGUGAUCUCACUAUUCACCAAGUAUUGUUAUUUUCUCUACCUACGUCCUAAUCAGGUGUGUCACCUUGUGUUGACUUUGCCUACUGAAUUAUAACGAGUCUUGAACUUUGUUAUCUGAUUUUCCUUAUCCUACUUCUUAGCUUUUCAUGCUAUUCUGCGCGCUGUGCAUAAUGUGCAUUUCUUGUUAUUUGCUAAUGUGUACUGGACAAGCGCGGCAGCAAAUUCAUAGUGUGCAUUUCUUGUUAUUUGCCAAUGGUUGUACUGGACAAAGCAUGGUCUUUUGUCCAAACACAUCCCUUAUGUUAUGUCCAAAAUUAGGUUGUUAGUCCUUUUUAGUGGGGUGCACUUAUAUCUCAAUUUUUCCUCCAGUUGUUUAUUACAUAUUGUGAUAUUGGUACAAAGGCUGCCACAAAAGACGAGCAUGUCUGGAUCAGCAAUAUGUCAGGUGNNNNNNNNNNNNNNNNNNNNNNNNNNNNNNNNNNNNNNNNNNNNNNNNNNNNNNNNNNNNNNNNNNNNNNNNNNNNNNNNNNNNNNNNNNNNNNNNNNNNNNNNNNNNNNNNNNNNNNNNNNNNNNNNNNNNNNNNNNNNNNNNNNNNNNNNNNNNNNNNNNNNNNNNNNNNNNNNNNNNNNNNNNNNNNNNNNNNNNNNNNNNNNNNNNNNNNNNNNNNNNNNNNNNNNNNNNNNNNNNNNNNNNNNNNNNNNNNNNNNNNNNNNNNNNNNNNNNNNNNNNNNNNNNNNNNNNNNNNNNNNNNNNNNNNNNNNNNNNNNNNNUAAAACACAUAGACUGUUUUUAUUUUACUAAAAUGUCUACUGCCGACGCAUGUUUGAACUGAAAUGUAUUCUGUUAACAAUUUAUGCUUUACCUUAAUUUCUGCUUUGUGUGCAGGCCCUAGCAGAGCUUGAACCUUCUUCAGCAAAUAAGGGUCACUGAGUUCUUAUAGUCAGUCACUGGACCACAAUGGUUGAUAUCCUUCAAUGGACACUGGAAGUAAUAUGAGCUACAGAUAUGCGUCUCAAUGGGGGGUUAUUUCUUUCCUCAACAAGUUACAGUACAGUAGCAAAGGUAAAGUGAACACACAACUUGAUUGUAUGGUUCUUAGAAUGUCACUGUACUCAGAGGCAGAGGACGAAAAAAAAUUAAGGUGUGGCGAAAUCUUAGGAAAAUAUUUUUUUUGAUGCAAAUUGAAAUAGUCAAUACAAAGUACAAACGAAAAACCAAAUACAAUGAAAAUGUAGACAUGUUUCAAUAGAAAAACAACCUAAAACAUACCAAUAAUCAAGUUUUCAAUGGCGUCUAGAAGACCUAGGUAAUGGCAAUGACCUACCCUCCUUCUGAAAAUCUUCCUUAAUUUUACUAUCAAUACUUUUGAAGAUCUCUCGCUCAAUAUAACAAACCAUCAAGUCACUUGAUCUUCAUGAGUGACAUGUGCCCAAACAUUGACACUUUAGCGGGUGCUUGGAUUCGAUUUCGAGCUGCUGCCACUACCAUUACUUCAAAAUACUUUGUCAAAUAUGCAAUCCAUAACAUCAAUUUGUAACUCAAUUCUGAUUGGUUUCAAGCUGCUGUUAUGCUACAAAUUUUCAUAGACAUGAGCAAUCUACCGCUUCCACCCCAUUCCUUUGGAUUUGCUGGUCCCUUCCCCUCCUUUUCCAUCUUAUGGCCAGAACUGCACCGGACUGGAGCCGCCGCCGUCAGCUGCCCCGUCGUCGGUCACCCGCCUGUUCAUCAGCCCAAUUUUCAUUACAUUUAUUACAAAAACUAAACUUUGCUAGCUCAUGAGCUACUGAAUUAGCAUCACGAAAACAGUGUGAAAAGAUGACCUUCCCUAUCACUAGUAGAAAACGGAGCUUUAAAACCGGUUUGUAAGGGCCUUUAGUGCCGGUUAUGGAACCGGCACUAAAGUGUGGGCACUAAAGGCCCCCCCCUAGUACCGGUUCGGCAUGAACCGGCGCUAAAGUGCCACCACGUGGCGUGAGCUCGCGCCCUGGUAUGGGGGACCUUUGGUACCGGUUGGUGUUACCAACCGGUACUAAAGGUUUUUUUUGAAUUUUUUUUUUGAAAAUUUCGGAAAAAAAUUUUGAUUUUUUUUUUGAUUUUUAAUUUUUCUGAAUUAUUUGAUGAUUUAGUCUCUAAUCACCUCUCUUAACUGCUCAAGUGUGGAUCACUCAUUCCAAAUCAUCUAACUGUUGGGGAACGUAGUAAUUUCAAAAAAAAAAUCCUACGCACACGCAAGAUCAUGGUGAUGGCAUAGCAACGAGAGGGGAGAGUGUAUGUCCACGUACCCUCGUAGACCGUAAGCGGAAGCGUUAGCACAACGCGGUUGAUGUAGUCGUACGUCUUCACGAUCCGACCGAUCCAAGCACCGAACGUACGGAGCCUCCGAGUUCAGCACACGUUCAGCUCGAUGACGUCCCUCGAACUCCGAUCCAGCCGAGUGUCGAGGGAGAGUUCCGUCAGCACGACGGCGUGGUGACGAUCUUGAUGUUCUACCAGCGCAGGGCUUCGCCUAAGCUUCGCGACGAUAUGACCGAGGUGGAAUAUGGUGGAAGGGGGCACCGCACACGGCUAAGGAACGAUCCGUAGAUCAACUUGUGUGUCUAUGGGGUGCCCCCCGCCCCCGUAUAUAAAGGAGCCAGGGGGGAGGAGGCCACCGGCCUAGGGGGCGCGCCAAGGGGGGAGUCCUACUCCCACCGGGAGUAGGACUCCCCUUUUCCAAGUUGGAGUAGGAGAGAAGGAGGAAAGAGGGGAGGAGGAGAAGGAAAAGGGGGGGCGCCGCCCCCUUUCCCUUGUCCUAUUCGGACUAGGAGGGGGAGGGGCGCGCGGCCCCCCUCCUUGCUCCUUCCUCUUCUCCCUCUUGGCCCAUGUAGGCCCAUUAACCUCCCCGGGGGGUUCCGGUAACCUCCCGGUACUCCGGUAAAAUGCCGUUUUCACCCGGAACCAUUCCGAUGUCCAAAUAUAGGCUUCCAAUAUAUCAAUCUUUAUGUCUCGACCAUUCCGAGACUCCUCGUCAUGUCCGUGAUCACAUCCGGGACUCCGAACAAACUUCGGUACAUCAAAACUUAUAAACUCAUAAUAAAACUGUCUGUUAGAGUCAGAUCCUCCGACGGAGCCGCAUAGUAAUGAACAACGUGGAGUGCAAGUCAAGCAGCUACCAAAUAGAUAGUUUCCAUCUCUGUUGGUCUAUUCGUAUUGUAUACAAACUCUGUAAUUUUUGGAUGCAUAUAUAUACGAGGAGGCUGUACCGUGGCUGGCAUUGAGCCGCCCGGUGUAUUCCAAUUUACGUGGUAUCAGGCCACAUCGUUCCUCUCCUGUCAAGACUCGAUCUCAAAACCUAAUCGCCGCCGCCGUUGCCGUUGCCACCAUCGUCGCUUCCCACAGCCUCCUUCUUCUCUGCCACCAUGAACGCUGACGACCUCAAGAAGCUUGAAGAGGAGCUCAAGCAACGCGAGUCCAUCAUCAGAACUCGCGAGGAAGAACUCCGGUGUCUUGCCGAGGAGCGCGGCAAGAUAGUUCUCGCAUCCACCCCUGCACCUGUUCCUGCACCGUCCUCCUAUGCUGCUUCAAUCAAGACAUAUGUUCCCAUCACUCUUGAUCUUCAGGAUUCCAACUACGCCAAAUGGCGUGAGCUUUUUCUCGUGGUCCUUGGGCGCUACGGCCUCUCCAGCCACGUCGGCGGCGGCGGCGCCGCCGACGCCACCCCCUCCGACACGUCGCCUACCUUGGAUUGGGGACGCGAUGACUACACGGUGCUCUCCUGGAUCUACGGUUCGGUCUCCAUCGAGCUCUUCGGCAUCAUCAUGGCUCCCGGCUCCACGGCGCGGCAAGUCUGGGACUCCAUUGCCAACCUCUUCCACGACAAUAAGAAAAGCCGCGCCUUAGCCCUCGAUGCCGAGUUCCGCAACACUCCACAAGGGGACAUGUCUAUUCAUGACUACUGCGCCAAACUCAAGUCUCUUGCCGACGCUCUCGGUGAUGUCGGCCAAAAUAUCACCGACGAGACGCUCGUCCUCACAGUGCUCCGCGGCCUCAAUGAACAAUUCAGUCAUCUUCGGUCUUUUCUACUGUUCCAGGUGCCGUUCCCAUCCUUCCUGCAGACACGUUCCGCUCUCGUCCUCGAGGAGACGCAGAAAAAGACGGACGCCAAGAACGCGGCGGCAACCGCACUCUGGGCAAGCAGCAACAGCAUCCUCCCUCAUGCUGGCGGGGAGCGUGCUCCUUCUUCUAGCCGCGGCACUGGCUACAACAACAGCGACUCACGCAACGCCGCCACACACUCCACCACGCCCUACCCCAACCCUGGCCGCGGCAGUGGAAAUGGCGGACGCCGCGGACGUGGAGGCGGCCGCGGACGAGGCCGCGACAAUCCUUGGAUGUUCAACCCAUGGACCGGCCUCCCGACUCGGGCUCAACAACAACAACAACAUCCUCCCACUGCACCGUGGCAGCCCCGCUGGCGUGCUCGCAGCGCCGGCGUCCUUGGUCCUCACCCCGGUGCAGCUCCUUUCCAGGCGUACACUGCAUAUGGUCAGCAACACACCAACAACGGUGGCAUGAUGCCGUCACCAUCUACAAGCUAUCCAGGAGGUCACCAGCAACUUGAUCCAGCCUUGCUGAACGCACUUCAGAACAUGCAGCUUCCUGGCAAUCAAGAGUGGUACAUGGACUCUGGAGCAUCAUCCCAUAUGGCAUCCGAUCAUGGUAUUCUCUCCUCCUCCCAACCCUCCUCUGCUCACACCGUCACUGUUGGUAACGGUGCCUCCCUUCCCAUCUCUCACAUCGGCACACACACCCUGCCCUCUCUUUCGAAACAUUUAUAUCUUAACAAUGUUCUUGUCGUUCCACAUAUCAUCAAAAAUCUUCUUUCCGUUCGCAAACUUACCACUGAUAAUUUUGUUUCGAUAGAAUUUGACCCUUGGGGUUUUUCUGUGAAGGCACUUCCCACAAGGAUCGAGAUUCUUCGAUGCAAUAGCUCCGGACCACUCUACCCAGUAUGUCGUCCCACGCCCGCCGAAGCACAUGUCAUCACCACCACCCUCGACCUUUGGCAUCGCCGACUUGGACACCCCGGUCAUCACACCAUGAAGCGUCUUCAAAGUUCUUGCCAUAUCUCCUACAAUAAAAUCAUGCCAUCCAUUUGUCAUGCUUGUCAGCUUGGGCGACAUGUUAGAUUACCCUUUUAUCCAUCUGUUUCUUAUAUUAGCAAACCUUUUGCAUUAUUACACUGUGAUCUUUGGACUUCUCCCGUACCCAGUACAUCUGGCUUUGCCUAUUAUCUUAUAAUUGUCGAUGAUUUCACUCAUUAUUUUUGGACUUUCCCACUGCGCAAGAAAUCUGAUGUCUAUGCAACACUUCUCACCUUUCAUGCUUACGCUCGCACUCAAUUUAAUCUAUCUAUUUUAGCUUUCCAAUGCGACAAUGGACGAGAGUUUGACAAUACAAAAAUAGAUACUUUCUGUGCCUCUCACGGUAUUCUCCUUCGCUUCUCCUGUCCAUACACCUCUCAACAAAACGGCAAGGCUGAAUGAGCUAUUCGCACCACCAACAAUGUCAUACGUACCCUUCUGGUCCAAGCUUCUCUCCCCCCAUCCUUCUGGGCCGAAGCACUACACACUGCCACCUUUCUUAUAAACAUUAGACCGACGUCGUCUACCAAAUUUCUCACACCAUAUGCAACUCUUCUUGGUUCGUCACCCCCAUAUGACUCACUUCGUGUGUUUGGUUGCCUCUGUUACCCUAACACUACAUCCACAUCUUCCAACAAACUAUCUCCACGCUCCACAAAAUGCAUCUUUCUUGGGUACCCGACACGCCAUAGAGGUUAUCGGUGUCUUGAUUUAACCACACGACGGAUCAUCAUCUCUCGUCAUGUGGUUUUUGACGAGUCCUCCUUCCCCUAUGCACCCGCCCCCAUUCCUAAUCCACCACGUUGUACAGAAAUUUUCGACCCACCUGAACCAAUCCAUCCGCUUGUUCCCCCUGCCAUGCAUGCAUCCCCUCCACCUGCGCCAGCUAUGCAUGCGCCUGCUAUGCAUGUGCCCAACACCCCGCCACCAACGCCUCAUUCUUCUGGCUCGUCUUCGACCCCGCCUACUAGCACCCCGCUCGCUUCUCCACCACCGGGCUCUUCCUCUACUCACGGGGUGCAGCCUAGCCCACCUGUGCAAUCCACCCCACCUGGCUCGCCAUCCCCUAACCCCAUACCACCGCCCGCUCCACUACAUCGUACACGCUCCACUACUGGCCGGCUUCCUCCACCCAUCGACCGCCUUAACCUCUCUGCUAUUGCUUCUUCUCCACUCCCACACAACUAUCUUAUGGCAUUACGCGAUCCCAACUGGCGUCAAGCCAUGCAAGAAGAGUUUGAUGCUCUCAUCCUAAAUAAAACAUGGACUCUUGUUCCUGCUCCUCCCGGUGCAAAUGUUGUGAGUGGUAAAUGGAUUUUUCGCCAUAAAUAUCAUGCCGACGGCUCUCUCGCUCGUCACAAGGCUCGUUGGGUAGUCCGUGGUUUUACGCAACAACCAGGAAUUGACUUUGAUGAAACCUUCAGUCCUGUUGUUAAACCUGCCACUAUUCGCAUUGUUCUCUCUCUUGCUAUCUCUCAAUCUUGGCCCAUACACCAGCUUGAUGUAAAAAAUGCCUUCCUCCAUGGCCAUCUUGAUGAAGUUGUCUAUAGUCAACAACCCUCUGGCUUUGUUGAUCCACGUCACCCCACUUAUGUGUGUCGUCUUCUUAAAUCUCUAUAUGGUUUAAAACAAGCUCCCCGCGCAUGGUUUCAGCGGUUUGCCACCUUUGCGCGCUCCAUUGGGUUCGUUGAAUCCAAAUCCGAUGCCUCUCUUUUCAUUUUUCACCAGGGCACCAACUUAGCAUAUCUCCUUCUUUAUGUCGAUGACAUCAUUCUUACUGCCUCCACCCCAUCUACUCUUGCUACUAUCACACAUGCCAUGGCACGUGAAUUUGCUAUGAAGGAUCUUGGCCCCCUACAUCACUUCCUUGGCAUUUCUGUUACACGUACUUCUAGCAGCCUCCACCUCUCUCAACGAAACUACAUUCUUGACAUCUUGAAUCGUGCAGGCAUGCGUGAUUGUCAUCCCGUCCCUACACCUAUUGAUACCAAAGCAAAACUCUCCUCCACAUCUGGGUCCCCUGUUUCCGAUCCUUCUCAGUAUCGUAGCUUAGCUGGCGCACUACAAUAUGCUACACUCACUCGUCCCGACACUGCUUACGCCGUGCAACAAGUAUGUCUCCAUAUGCACGAUCCACGAGAACCCCAUUUCUCUCUCAUAAAAUGCAUUCUCCGCUAUCUUCAUGGCACUCUCGACCUUGGUCUUUCUCUGCAUCGCACUUCUUCUCACUCUCUCAUUGCCUACUCGGAUGCCGACUGGGCUGGUUACCCGGACACACGACGCUCUACGUCUGGAUUUUGCAUGUACCUCGGUGAUAAUCUCAUUUCUUGGUCCGCACAACGACAAACGACCGUCUCCCGCUCUAGUGCCGAGGCAGAGUACAGGGCAGUAGCUGCGGCUGUUUCAGAGUCAUGUUGGGUUCGGCAGCUCCUACAGGAACUUCGACGGCCGAUCUCGACUGCCACAAUUGUCUACUGUGAUAAUGUCAGUGCCGUCUACUUGUCUGCCAACCCCGUUCAGCAUCGACGGACCAAGCAUAUUGAGCUGGAUAUUCACUUUGUUCGGGAGAAGGUCGCCCUAGGAGACGUGCGCGUUUUACAUGUACCCUCGUCCUCGCAGUUCGCGGACAUUUUCACGAAGGGUUUGCCUACUACUCUUUUUCAAGAGUUUCGCUCCAGUCUUCAGGUCGAGAGCUCUCCCGGUUCAGACUGCGGGGGCGUGUUAGAGUCAGAUCCUCCGACGGAGCCGCAUAGUAAUGAACAACGUGGAGUGCAAGUCAAGCAGCUACCAAAUAGAUAGUUUCCAUCUCUGUUGGUCUAUUCGUAUUGUAUACAAACUCUGUAAUUUCUGGAUGCAUAUAUAUACGAGGAGGCUGUACCAUGGCUGGCAUUGAGCCGCCCGGUGUAUUCCAAUUUACACUGUCAUCAAAAACGUUAAGCGUGCGGACCCUACGGGUUCGAGAACUAUGUAGACAUGACCUAAAACCAUUCUCGGUCAAUAACCAAUAGCGUGACCUGGAUGCCCAUAUUGGUUCCUACAUAUUCUACGAAGAUCUUUAUCGGUCAAACCGCAUAACAACAUACUUUGUUCCCUUUGUCAUCGGUAUGUUACUUGCCCGAGAUUUGAUCGUCGGUAUCCAAUACCUAGUUCAAUCUCGUUACCGGCAAGUCUCUUUACUCAUUUCGUAAUAUGUCAUCUCAUAACUAACUCAUUAGUUACAUGCUUGCAAGGCUUAGGUGAUGAGUAUUACCAAGAGGGCCCAGAGAUACCUCUCCGACAAUCGGAGUGACAAAUCCUAAUCUCGAAUUAUGCCAACCCAACAUGUACCUUCGGAAACACCUGUAGAGCACCUUUAUAAUCACCCAGUUACGUUGUGACGUUUGGUAGCACACAAAGUGUUCUUCCGGUAAACGGGAGUUGCACAAUCUCAUAGUUGCAGGAACUUUGUAUAAGUCAUGAAGAAAGCAAUAGCAGUAUACUAAACGAUCAAGUGCUAGGCUAACAAAAUGGGUCAUGUCAAUCACAUCAUUCUCCUAAUGAUGUGAUCCCACUAAUCAAAUGACAACACAUGUCUAUGGUCAGGAAACAUAACCAUCUUUGAUUAAUGAGCUAGUCAAGUAGAGGCAUACUAGUGACUAUAGUUUUGUCUAUGUAUUCACAUAUGUAUCAUGUUUCCAGUUAAUACAAUUCUAGCAUGAAUAAUAAACAUUUAUCAUGAUAUGAGGAAAUAAAUAAUAACUUUAUUAUUGCCUCUAGGGCAUAUACCACUUGCACUAGAGUCAAUAAUCUAGAUUACAUAGUAAUGAUUCUAACACCCAUGGAGUCUUGGUGCUGAUCAUGUUUUGCUCGUGAGAGAGGCUUAGUCAACGGGUCCGCAACAUUCAGAUCCGUAUGUAUCUUGCAAAUCUCUAUGUCUCCCACUUGGACUUGGUUCCGAAUGGAAUUGAAGCGUCUCUUGAUGUGCUUGGUCCUCUUGUGAAAUCUGGAUUCCUUUGCCAAAGCAAUUGCACCAGUAUUGUCACAGAAGAUCUUCAUUGGUCCCGAUGCACUAGGUAUGACACCUAGAUCGGAAAUGAACUCCUUCAUCCAGACUCCUUCAUUUGCUGCUUCAGAAGCAGCUAUGUACUCCGCUUCACAUGUAGAUCCCGCCACGACGCUUUGUUUAGAACUGCACCAACUUACAGCUCCAUCGUUUAAUAUAAACACGUAUCCGGUUUGCGAUUUAGAAUCGUCCGGAUCAGUGUCAAAGCUUGCAUCGACGUAACCAUUUACGACUAGCUCUUUGUCACCUCCAUAUACGAGAAACAUAUCCUUAGUCCUUUUCAGGUAUUUCAGGAUGUUCUUGACCGCUGUCCAGUGAUCCACUCCUGGAUUACUUUGGUACCUUCCUGCCAAGCUUAUUGCUAAGCAUACGUCAGGUCUGGUACACAGCAUUGCAUACAUGAUAGAGCCUAUGGCUGAAGCAUAGGGAACAUUUUUCAUUUUCUCUCUAUCUUCUGCUGUGGUCGGGCAUUGAGUUUGACUCAACUUCACACCUUGUAGCACAGGUAAGAAUCCUUUCUUUGCCUGAUCCAUUUUGAACUUUUUCAAAAUCUUGUCAAGGUAUGUGCUUUGUGAAAGUCCUAUUAAGCGUCUUGAUCUAUCUCUAUAGAUCUUGAUGCCCAAUAUGUAAGCAGCUUCACCGAGGUCUUUCAUUGAAAAACUUUUAUUCAAGUAUCCCUUUAUGCUAUCCAGAAAUUCUAUAUCAUUUCCAAUUAAUAAUAUGUCAUCAACAUAUAAAACUAGAAAUGCUACAGAGCUCCCACUCACUUUCUUGUAAAUACAGGCUUCUCCAAAAGUCUGUAUAAAACCAUAUGCUUUGAUCACACUGUCAAAGUGUUUAUUCCAACUCCGAGAUGCUUGCACCAGUCCAUAAAUGGAACGCUGGAGCUUGCACACUUUGUCAGCACCUUUUGGAUCAACAAAACCUUCCGGCUGCAUCAUAUACAACUCUUCUUCUAGAAAUCCAUUCAAGAAUGCAGUCUUGACAUCCAUUUGCCAAAUUUCAUAAUCAUGAAAUGCAGCAAUAACCAACAUGAUUCGGACAGACUUAAGCAUCGCUACGGGUGAGAAAGUCUCAUCGUAGUCAACCCCUUGAACUUGUCAAAAACCUUUCGCAACAAGUCGAGCUUUAUAGACAGUAACAUUACCAUCAGCGUCAGUCUUCUUAAAAAUCCAUUUAUUCUCAAUGGCUUGCCGAUCAUCGGGCAAGUCAACCAAAGUCCAUACUUUGUUUUCAUACAUGGAUCCCAUCUCAGAUUUCAUGGCCUCUAGCCAUUUUGCGGAAUCUGGGCUCAUCAUCGCUUCCUCAUAGUUCGUAGGUUCAUCAUGGUCAAGUAACAUGACUUCCAGAAUAGGAUUACCGUACCACUCUGGUGCGGAUCUUACUCUGGUAGACCUACGAGGUUCAGCAGAAACUUGAUCUGAAGUUUCAUGAUCAAUAUCAUUAGCUUCCUCACUAGUUGGUGUAGUUGUCACGGGAACCGGUUCUCGUGAUGAACUACCUUCCAACAAGGGAGUAGAUACAGUUAUCUCAUCAAGUUCUACUUUCCUCCCACUCACUUCUUUCGAGAGAAAUUCCUUCUCUAGAAAGGAUCCAUUCUUAGCAAUGAAUGUCUUGCCUUCGGAUCUGUGAUAGAAGGUGUACCCAACAGUCUCUUUUGGGUAUCCUAUGAAGACACAUUUCUCCGAUUUGGGUUCGAGCUUAUCUGGUUGAAGUUUCUUCACAUAAGCAUCGCAGCCCCAAACUUUAAGAAACGACAACUUCGGUUUCUUGCCAAACCACAGUUCAUAAGGCGUCGUCUCAACGGAUUUUGAUGGUGCCCUAUUUAACGUGAAUGCGGCCGUCUCUAAAGCAUAACCCCAAAAUGAUAGUGGUAAAUCGGUAAGAGACAUCAUAGAUCGCACCAUAUCAAGUAAAGUACGAUUACGACGUUCGAACACACCAUUUCGUUGUGGUGUUCCAGGUGGCGUGAGUUGCGAAACUAUUCCGCAUUGUUUCAAAUGUAAACCAAACUCGUAACUCAAAUAUUCUCCUCCAUGAUCAGAUCGUAGAAACUUUAUUUUCUUGUUACGAUGAUUUUCUACUUCACUCUGAAAUUCUUUGAACUUUUCAAAUGUUUCAGACUUGUGCUUCAUUAAGUAGAUAUACCCAUAUCUGCUCAAAUCAUCUGUGAAGGUGAGAAAAUAACGAUAUCCGCCACGAGCCUCAACAUUCAUUGGACCACAUACAUCUGUAUGUAUGAUCUCCAACAAAUCUGUUGCUCUCUCCAUAGUUCCGGAGAACGGUGUUUUAGUCAUCUUGCCCGUGAGGCACGGUUCGCAAGUACCAAGUGAUUCAUAAUCAAGUGAUUCCAGAAGUCCAUCAGUAUGGAGUUUCUUCAUGCGUUUUACACCGAUAUGACCUAAACGGCAGUGCCACAAAUAAGUUGCACUAUCAUUAUCAACUCUGCAUCUUUUGGCUUCAACAUUAUGAAUAUGUGUAUCACUACUAUCGAGAUUCAAUAAAAAUAGACCACUCUUCAAGGGCGCAUGACCAUAAAAGAUAUUACUCAUAUAAAUAGAACAACCAUUAUUCUCUGAUUUAAAUGAAUAACCAUCUCGCAUCAAACAAGAUCCAGAUAUAAUGUUCAUGCUCAACGCAGGCACCAAAUAACAAUUAUUCAGGUCUAAAACUAAUCCCGAUGGUAGAUGUAGAGGUAGCGUGCCGACCGCGAUCACAUCGACUUUGGAACCGUUUCCCACGCGCAUCGUCACCUCGUCCUUGGCCAGUGCUCGCUUAUUCCGCAGUCCCUGUUUCGAGUUGCAAAUAUUAGCAACAGAACCAGGUUCAAAUACCCAGCUGCUACUACGAGCUCUAGUUAGGUACACAUCAAUAACAUGUAUAUCACAUAUACCUUUGUUCACUUUGCCAUCCUUCUUAUCCGCCAAAUACUUGGGGCAGUUCAGCUUCCAGUGGCCAGUCUGCUUGCAGUAGAAGCACUUAGUUUCAGGCUUAGGUCCAGACUUGGGUUUCUUCUCUUGAGCAGCAACUUGCUUGCCGUUCUUUUUGAAGUUCCCCUUCUUCUUCCCUUUGCCCUUCUUCUUGAAACUAGUGGUCUUGUUGACCAUCAACACUUGAUGCUCCUUCUUGAUUUCUACCUCCGCGGCUUCAGCAUCGCGAAGAGCUCGGGAAUAGUCUUGUUCAUCCCUUGCAUAUUAUAGUUCAUCACGAAGCUCUUGUAGCUUGGUGGCAGUGAUUGAAGAAUUCUGUCAAUGACACUAUCAUCAGGAAGAUUAACUCCCAGUUGAAUCAAGUGAUUGUUAUACCCAGACAUUUUGAGUAUAUGUUCACUGACAGAACUAUUCUCCUCCAUCUUGCAGCUAUAGAACUUAUUGGAGACUUCAUAUCUCUCAAUCCGGGCAUUUGCUUGAAAUAUUAACUUCAACUCCUGGAACAUCUCAUAUACUCCAUGACGUUCAAAACGUCGUUGAAGACCCGGUUCUAAGCCGUAAAGCAUGGCACACUGAACUAUAGAGUAGUCAUCAGCUUUGCUCUGCCAGACGUUCUUAACGUCGUCAGUUGCAUCAGCAGCAGGCCUGGCACCCAGCGGUGCUUCCAGGAUGUAACUCUUCUGUGCAGCAAUGAGGAUAAUCCUUAGGUUACGGACCCAGUCCGUGUAAUUGCUACCAUCAUUUUUCAACUUUGCUUUCUCAAGGAACGCAUUAAAAUUCAACGGAACAACAGCACGAGCCAUCUAUCUACAAACAAACAUAGACAAGCAAGAUACUAUCAGGUACUAAGUUCAUGAUAAAUUUAAGUUCAAUUAAUCAUAUUACUUAAGAACUCCCACUUAGACAGACAUCUCUCUAGUCAUCUAAGUGAUCACGUGAUCCAAAUCAACUAAACCAUAACUGAUCAUCACGUGAUAUGGAGUAGUUUUCAAUGGUGAACAUCAUUAUGUUGAUCAUAUCUACUAUAUGAUUCAUGAUCGACCUUUUGGUCUCCGUGUUUCGAGGCCAUAUCUGCAUAUGCUAGGCUCGUCAAGUUUAACCUGAGUAUUCUGCGUGUGCAAAACUGGCUUGCACCCGUUGUAGAUGGACAUAGAGCUUAUCACACCCGAUCAUCACAUGGUGUCUCGGCACGACGAACUUUGGCAACGGUGCAUACUCAGGGAGAACACUACUUGAUAAUUUUAGUGAGAGAUCAUCUUAAAAUGCUACCGUCAAUCAAAUCAAGAUAAGAUGCAUAAAGGAUAAACAUCACAUGCAAUCAAUAUAAGUGAUAUGAUAUGACCAUCAUCAUCUUGUGCUUGUGAUCUCCAUCUCCGAAGCACCGUCGUGAUCACCAUCGUCACCGGCGCGACAUCUUGAUCUCCAUCGUAGCAUCGUUGUUGUUUACGCCAUCUAUUGCUUCUACGACUAUCGCUACCGCUUAGUGAUAAAGUAAAGCAAUUACAGGGCGUUUGCAUUUCAUACAAUAAAGCGACAACCAUAUGGCUCCUGCCAGUUGCCGAUAACUUCGGUUACAAAACAUGAUCAUCUCAUACAAUAAAAUAUAUCAUCACGUCUUGACCAUAUCACAUCACAACAUGCCCUGCAAAAACAAGUUAGACGUCCUCUACUUUGUUGUUGCAAAUUUUACGUGGCUGCUACGGGCUUAGCAAGAACCGUUCUUACCUACGCAUCAAAACCACAACGAUAGUUUGUCAAAUAGACUCCGUUUUAACCUUCGCAAGGACCGGGCGUAGCCACACUCGAUUCAGCUAAAGUGAGAGAGACAGACACCCGCCAGUCACCUUUAAGCACGAGUGCUCGUAACGGUGAAAUCAGUCUCGCGUAAGCGUACGCGUAAUGUCGGUCCGGGCCGCUUCAUCUCACAAUACCGCUGAACCAAAGUAUGACAUGCUGGUAGGCAGUAUGACUUAUAUCGUCCACAACUCACUUGUGUUCUACUCGUGCAUAUAACAUCAACGCAUAAAACCUAGGCUUUGAUACCACUGUUGGGGAACGUAGUAAUUUCAAAAAAAAAUCCUACGCACACGCAAGAUCAUGGUGAUGGCAUAGCAACGAGAGGGGAGAGUGUAUGUCCACGUACCCUCGUAGACCGUAAGCGGAAGCGUUAGCACAACGCGGUUGAUGUAGUCGUACGUCUUCACGAUCCGACCGAUCCAAGCACCGAACGUACGGAGCCUCCGAGUUCAGCACACGUUCAGCUCGAUGAUGUCCCUCGAACUCCGAUCCAGCCGAGUGUCGAGGGAGAGUUCCGUCAGCACGACGGCGUGGUGACGAUCUUGAUGUUCUACCGGCGCAGGGCUUCGCCUAAGCUUCGCGACGAUAUGACCGAGGUGGAAUAUGGUGGAAGGGGGCACCGCACACGGCUAAGGAACGAUCCGUAGAUCAACUUGUGUGUCUAUGGGCUGCCCCCCGCCCCCGUAUAUAAAGGAGCCAGGGGGGAGGAGGCCGCCGGCCUAGGGGGCGCGCCAAGGGGGGGAGUCCUACUCCCACCGGGAGUAGGACUCCCCUUUUCCAAGUUGGAGUAGGAGAGAAGGAGGAAAGAGGGGAGGAGGAGAAGGAAAAGGGGGGGCGCCGCCCCCUUUCCCUUGUCCUAUUCGGACUAGGAGGGGGAGGGGCGCGCGGCCCCCUCCUUGCUCCUUCCUCUUCUCCCUCUUGGCCCAUGUAGGCCCAUUAACCUCCCGGGGGGUUCCGGUAACCUCCCGGUACUCCGGUAAAAUGCCGUUUUCACCCGGAACCAUUCCGAUGUCCAAAUAUAGGCUUCCAAUAUAUCGAUCUUUAUGUCUCGACCAUUCCGAGACUCCUCGUCAUGUCCGUGAUCACAUCCGGGACUCCGAACAAACUUCGGUACAUCAAAACUUAUAAACUCAUAAUAAAACUGUCAUCGAAAACGUUUAGCGUGCGGACCCUACGGGUUCGAGAACUAUGUAGACAUGACCUAAAACCAUUCUCGGUCGAUAACCAAUAGCGUGACCUGGAUGCCCAUAUUGGUUCCUACAUAUUCUACGAAGAUCUUUAUCGGUCAAACCGCAUAACAACAUACUUUGUUCCCUUUGUCAUUGGUAUGUUACUUGCCCGAGAUUUGAUCGUCGGUAUCCAAUACCUAGUUCAAUCUCGUUACCGGCAAGUCUCUUUACUCGUUCCGUAAUACGUCAUCUCAUAACUAACUCAUUAGUUACAUGCUUGCAAGGCUUAGGUGAUGAGUAUUACCGAGAGGGCCCAGAGAUACCUCUCCGACAAUCGGAGUGACAAAUCCUAAUCUCGAAUUAUGCCAACCCAACAUGUACCUUCGGAAACACCUGUAGAGCACCUUUAUAAUCACUCAGUUACGUUGUGACGUUUGGUAGCACACAAAGUGUUCUUCCGGUAAACGGGAGUUGCACAAUCUCAUAGUUGCAGGAACUUUGUAUAAGUCAUGAAGAAAGCAAUAGCAGUAUAUUAAAUGAUCAAGUGCUAGGCUAACAAAAUGGGUCAUGUCAAUCACAUCAUUCUCCUAAUGAUGUGAUCCCACUAAUCAAAUGACAACACAUGUCUAUGGUCAGGAAACAUAACCAUCUUUGAUUAAUGAGCUAGUCAAGUAGAGGCAUACUAGUGACUAUAGUUUUGUCUAUGUAUUCACACAUGUAUCAUGUUUCUGGUUAAUACAAUUGUAGCAUGAAUAAUAAACAUUUAUCAUGAUAUGAGGAAAUAAAUAAUAACUUUAUUAUUGCCCCUAGGGCAUAUUUCCUUCACUAACUUCUCGACCGGUCAUCCAUCCCUCUCACUACUCCAGCCCGAGCACGCUUAACUUUCAGGUUCUAUUCUCCUUCGUUUCCGAGUCUGCACUUGUUGUUUUCCUGACAAUAGUAAGAUGUCAAUCCUAUUAACCCUCAGGAGUUUAGCUUGAGCAUGAAGUCACACAUUUCACCGUUUGAGUUUGAAACUAUUAUUCUAAAAAAACAGUAAUUAUUUAGUAACGCUAAUAUUUCUUGAAUAAGUUUGACCAUAGUUUGACCAUAGUUUGACCAGAUUUGACCAAAAUUCAAAAAAUUGAAAUAAUUAUUUAGUAACACUAAUAUUCUUUGAAUAAUUAAGUAGUAACACUAAUAUUUCUUGAAUAAGUAGUUUGACCAUAGUUUGACCAAAGUUUGACCAGAUUUGACCAAAAUUCAAAAAAACUGAGAUACUUAUUUAGUAACACUAAUAUUAUUACGUAAUUAUUUAGUAACACUCUAUAUUUCUUGAAUCAGUUGUUUGACCGGUUUGACAAGAUUUAACCAAAAUUCAAAAAAACAUAAAUUAGAGCAUAUCUUUUUUUCCUUUUACAAUUUUGUCAUUUCAAAAAUUGUCCUAAACCCUAAACCCGGGACUUAAAACAUCGGAAUCUCUAUGCUAAAUAGUAAAAACUAAGGGUUUAAACCAUAAAACCUAACCCCAAACUCUGAAAUCUAAACCCUAGCACUAAACGCUAAAAACGUCUAAAAACGUCCAAAACGCCCAAAAACUCUAUUUUCCCUUUGGAAUUUUGUGAUUUUCAAAAAUUGUCGAAACGGAAAACUGGCUAGCCAAUCGAGCAGUUACCAGUUAACGAUUUCCUCAACAAUGGUUGUAAGAGAACUCCGCAUACGGUAGACUUUUAUCCCAACUAGUACCAUACUGCAAUGCACAAGCUCUCAACAUAUCUUCAAGAAUUUGAUUGAGCCUUUCUGUCUGUCCAUCAGUCUGAGCAUGAUAUGUUGUACUGAAAUUCAACUUCGUUCCCAAAGAUUUAUGCACUUUCUGCCAAAAGAUGGACGUGAACUGCGUACCUCUAUCAGACACAAUCUUCUUAGGAACUCCAUGCUGACAUACUAUUCUUUCCAUGUAUAGCUCUGCCAAUCUUGCCCCGCUAUAAGUAGUCUUGACAGGCAAAAAGUGAGCGACUUUAGUGAGACGAUCCACUAUUACCCAUAUAGAAUCAUAACCUUGUUGAGUGUGUGGUAAUCCCACUAUAAAGUCCAUUCCGACUUCUUCCCAUUUCCACUCAGGAAUCUUCAUUGGUUGCAACAAACUAGCGGGUCUCUGAUGCUCAGUCUUUACCCUCUGACAAGUGUCACAUAUAGCUACAUACUCAGCCACAUCUCUUUUCAAUCCAUACCAGCAGUAAUUCUCCUUAAGAUUUAGAUACAUCUUAGUACUUCCAGGAUGGAUAGAAUAGGCCAACUCAUGUGCUUCACGCAAAAUUGUAUCAUGAAUGGCUUUCACCUCAGGCACACAUAUCCUUUUCACAAAACAUAAGGUUCCAUUCUCAUCUAUUAUGAAGCCAGGUGCUUUACCAAUCACCACAUUCUCAGCUAUCUCCUUUAGCUUUUCAUCUUCUAGCCAACCCUUACGUAUUUCUUGCUCCAACGUAGGAAUCACUUUUAUCUCCAUAGCACUAGCAACAAUACCAAGAUUCAGAUGUUGCAACUCCGCAUACAACUCUUCUGCCUCUGGUCUCAACUUACGAUUGUUGUCAUAUUUCUUCCUACUAAGAGCAUCAGCUACAACAUUCGCCUUACCUGGAUGAUAAUGUACCUCCGGUUCAUAAUCCUUGAUUAACUCUAGCCCGCGAAGUUGUCUUAAAUUCAAACAUGUCUGAGUGAAUAUAUACUUCAAGCUCUUAUGAUCGGUGUAGAUAUCACUCUUGUGACCAAUCAGAUAGUGUCUCCAGAUCUUCAAUGCAUGCACCGCAGCUGCUAGCUCCAGAUCACGAGUAGGAUAAUUUAACUCAUGCUUCCUCAACUGUCUCGAUGCAUGCGUCGGUGGUGGUGACCUCAUGUCCGCUUGCACCGUGUUCGAUGAAACGCCAACGAGGGUCAAAAGCUUCAAACCGCAUCGGCAUCGCUCGGGUACACGCUGGAGUGCUGGAUGUGAUGCUUGGCCAUCUCCAACUCACGAGCGUGUAAGAGAGAAAUCAUGAGACAGUAAUGAUUUACUUUGGUUUUGCAAUGUUUUUAUUUUAAAAAUAGUUGGUUUAUCUUUGUAAAAUAGUUAUUUACAUGAGAAUUAUUGAACAAAAUAGUUUUUAAAGAGCAAUUUGCAUUCAAGCAGUCUUCAUUCUUAACGAAGCUACGAGUUCACAUUUGCUCUAACCAAAAGGUCUUCAGUUUUUGCCACCACAGGAGCCUUGUAUUAGCUCUUGCGGUGCGAACGGGAGCUCGGAUGUCCGUGCGACUAAGCUGAUCUAUGAAAGUGGCCUUGGUGAUCCUGUGCCCCGGUUGGUAGGUUGGGAGACAGCAGGGAUGCAAACCAGCGCCAACGAUGGGCGAAGAUUGCACGACGGAUGAGCGGCGCUAGAGAUGGAAAAUCUGCUGGAGCAGUUUAGGUGAAAGGAUAAAGAUGUAGUUUUCAUUUUUUUUUCUAAUAAUGAAAGUCAGACUCACUGUAAAGAUCGACGUGGGCUUAACUUUAUGGAACUGGGCCUUAUGACACGUAGGGCCCAUCUGAAGCUUCUAGAGGUGUUAAUCCUGUGGUUGAGAAUGUGUGUGACAAAGCCUGUGUUUGAAGGCAAGAAUCGCAGGGGUGAUUGGGAAGAACACUAAACAGGACAAUUUACAGUACAACAUGAGCAUCUCCAUUAAAAGGCAGCACUUUUCUUUAUCCAAUGUUAGUACUUAGCUAAAGUGAUGAUAACUUUUACUAUGUAUAGAUUGAUAACUUGAUUAAUUCAUGCAGUAUAACAUUCUUGUAGACUGAAAAAUGUACCUUUUUUGCAAUGCAUCUUCCAUUGUAUGAGAGAAUGAUUUUUGUGGUUAAUAAAGGUUCCUCUCUCCUUUAUUUUGUCUUUAUUUUUACAUGGUAGAACAGAAAAUCCGUGUUUAGUGUAGCAAGGGAAUGGGGUAUUUUUUUGGGUACUCUGUUUUGUUGCAUGAAGCUGGUAACAAAAACUACGGGGGGCUGGUAAUUUUUGCACUUAGUUGAUUGGUAACUCACUGCAAUAGGCAAAAUUAUGUUUUCUAGUGGUGAAAGGAUGGUAAUUUUUGCACAGAUUGGGAGGGGGGUCUGGUGGGCGUGGGGUAAGUCUUUGUAUUAAGCAGAAUUUUUUUGGAGAUCUUUGGAUGAGUCUUUGAUUCUUACCAGGGUGAGGUGAUGUUGCCUGGUGAUUUCCUCGCCGUAUCCCUGGUAAUUUCCAGCGCUCCCCUGAUGGAUCUGCUCUUGUUUGAUCCAGAUCUAGAGGAGGGGUAGGUCUUUGCUGUUGAUUUUGAGCAGCUNNNNNNNNNNNNNNNNNNNNNNNNNNNNNNNNNNNNNNNNNNNNNNNNNNNNNNNNNNNNNNNNNNNNNNNNNNNNNNNNNNNNNNNNNNNNNNNNNNNNNNNNNNNNNNNNNNNNNNNNNNNNNNNNNNNNNNNNNNNNNNNNNNNNNNNNNNNNNNNNNNNNNNNNNNNNNNNNNNNNNNNGAGGGUAUACUUGCGUGGAAGGUAGGGGGGGGGGGAAGUUGCGAUCUGGAAAUUGCUGUCGUGGGGGGAUGGCAUUUUCUGUUGGGCCUUGUACAGCGAUUGGCCUUGUUAGCUAACAGGGUGGUCGGCCUGUUUAGCUGGCGGGGUGGCGGGUGAUCGACAGGUAAGGUAAGUUUUCUAUCGGGCACACUGUUGCCAAAUAUCGCUGUCCAUAAACUAUAUGUCCAAUACUUGCACUCACGGGCAUUUUUGCUACUAUUAAUAAAUUGGUAAAAAUCAGAGAAUGCGAGGCCUGGCCAAAUGGGCCGGCCCGGCCUGGGUUAAACGGGCCCGAACCCCUCUUGCCCUCUCUCCUAUAAAAGCUGUGCUUUUACCCCCGCACUCCAUCGCCUCGCCGCCGUUCCCCGCAACACCCUGUCGACCCAAUCUCACAUCCUCCUCUCGCCCGCCCGAGGUGAGCACUUGUAGUUCCUCUGGAUUGGUUGGUAGGCGCUGGUUCGUAGGUCUCGGAUCCAGCCAGCGUGGUCUCCCUCCGCGUGCAUCCGGAGUUUCUCGUUCCGAUUGUGGUUGGUAGGCGCGGCGCGGCGCGGGUUCAUAGGUGUCGGAUCCAGCGCCGUCUGUAUCCUAUUCGUAUGUGGAACCUCGGCUAGGAUAGGAUUUAAUUAGUUAGGUUUUGUAUUAGGGUAACACCACCUAGGGUUCGAUUGAUUAUCCGUAACAAGGAAUCAAUCUGACGUUUUAGUUAGGGUUUGCUUGGUUGGUUGUGGUCAGAUUUUGGUUUCUCAUGAAUUCUUCAACUGUGCCUGUCGCGAUUUUGGGCGGAAAUUGAUGAUUGAUUUCGGGGGCAAAAUCCGAGGUAAUUUGUGGAUGAAAGAUGGGGAAACUUGGGGAAACCAAGCAAAUCCAUGGAUCAAAAUCAACAAAACUUCAUCAUGCCAACAAAUCACAAAAAAAAUUUGGUGGGGAAAUUUCGAAUUAGGACGAAAAACAACAAGAUCAAAGCUAGAAAACGAAUAUUAAUUUGGAUGGAAUUCAUGCUAUGUUGUUCGAUUUCAGUUUAUGCCUGCCAGAAUGUUUAAUUUUUUGUUUUAUCAACUGUGUUUGAGCGUACUAGAUUUUUUGUUGCAUAUUCAUCUUCUUGCUCUGUUUGGAUAGGUAACAAUUAAUAUUUGGGAUCCUAAAAUAUUUAUGCACUGGCAGCACUUAACCUGCAGCUGCUGAUUAAUGUUGUAUUCAUAUGUGCUGCUUUCCAGCUCUCUUGUUUCGAUAGGUAUUUGGUUAUCGUUUGGGUCUAUUUAUUAUCGUUUGUAAAUGCUGGUUUGGUUUUCUGUGCUCACUAUCCCCUUGCACAUGGGAUGCAAUUUUUUUAUUUCCCUGCUGUUUAGUUUAUUGUUUCCUUUGAUGGUAAAGAGGCAUUAAUUCUGGAGAUAGAUGCAAUUUUCUUGCUCACAAUAAUACAAUGAAUGAUGGCAUCUCUAUCUACUUUAACCAAAUUAUAUCAUAUUCCCCCCUCUGUUAAUUAUUUUUCUGUUUUGGGUAUUCAUUCAUUUUGUUUAGUUGCCUAUCAGUAUAAAUACAUGGCUGCAUUGCUUUCACUUCAUAUUAAUAACUAUUCUGUCGCACAAUGCAAAUAUACAUAUGCUGUCCUAACUAAUUAAGUAGAAGCUUGGAUUGGUGCUGUAUGGUCUCUUCCUGACAUUAAAUCCUCCUCUGUUUGUGCUGUCUGUUUCUGCUGCUGCAGUCUUCUUCGCCGCCAAAAGGAAAUGAUGCUCUACAAAAUCCGCUCCCAUGCCCAAAUCCAAGACCUGCAGGCCCGCUCCGAUGAGCUGGGCCUCUCCAAUAAGUCCAUGCUUGUGAGUCUUGUCUCUCUGGAGUCGGUGCGCAUAGCGUGGGAGUCGUAUGCGCUCCUCCGCCCGCUGAUCAAGGAGUCGUGGAUUUGGGUAUGCCCGCAGCUGGAAAUCCUCUCGGACGUGGCAGGCUUGUCGCUGGAAAUCCAAAAGCUCGAGCAUGAUGUGUUACCCCAGCUCAAGCUUCAGGAGGCUAAGCUGGAAAGGGGCGCCCUGGAAGCCCUCCUACUCAUGAAGAACUCAGCUGUUGCGCUCUUACAUUUGAGGAAGUGCUUUAAGGAAGACUUGGGCGUAUUGCUUGCCAAGGAGGAUCUGGUCUCAGCCAAAGUCAAAAGGCUGAGCAAAAUGCUAAAGUAUAUUGCUGUCCGGUUGCUUCAGGAGCGUGAAUGCAACAUUGUCGGGCUUCAGGAGCGUGUCCGGUUGCUGGUCCAGCUGGUCACCGAGGUGUUGAACACCCCGGUUCAUUUCGAUGAUUCUGAUGAGUCUUCUGAUGAGUCUUCUGAUGAGUAGACUUAUCAGCCAGCUCGAGACUGUUGUGAUGAGUGUUUCUUAGGGGCGUGGCAAACAGUUUAGAAUCGAAUGUUGCGAUGUAUUUCUUGUAACCUCCUUUAUGUUUGGAUGUGUUAUUAAUGGAUUUUAAAUUUUAUGUAUUUUGGGUAGUGUUUUCUCAUUCUGUGCUAGUAGGUACAGUCACAUGGAGGUAUUCGCUCUUUUUGGGGAAUAUAUGCCAAAAGAAUAUACUCCCUCCGUUCUUAAAUAUUUGUCUUUCUAGAGAUUUUAAUAAAUGACUACAUACAGAGCAAAAUGAGUGAAUCUACACUUUAAAAUAUGUCUACAUACAUCCGUAUGUUGAGUACAUUUGAAAUGCCUAGAAAGACAAUUAUUUCGGUGUUGAGUACAUUUGAGAUGCCUAGAAAGACAAUUAUUUCGGAACGGAGGGAGUAGUAUCUUAGAAAAGGCAUACUUUAGAAAGGCAUACUUUAGAACAUGGAUGGAUUCACUCAUUUUGCUCUGUAUGUAGUUUGGAUGAAUAUAGACAUACUUUAGAACGUGGAUUCUAAAGUAUGUAGUUUCCUAGUGAAAUCUCUUAAAAGACUUGGGCCCUGUUUGUUUAAGAAGUCCUAGGACUUUUUUUAGUCUAAGUAAAAAGUCUCUAGUCCCUAUCUAUUUGUUUUAAGGAACUAAACAUAAACUAGAGGAUAAUAAAUGACAUGUUAAAAGACCAUGUUGCCCCUAAACAUGGACUAGAGGGUAAUAAACUAGCAGUUGCGGGAGCAGACCAGGGAAAAGUCUUAAAAAGACUCUCAUAUAGGGUCUUUCUCUUUUUAGUCUCAAAUGCCUAGUUUAGCCCCUAAAAGUCCCUCCCGUUUGAUUAAAAAGUGACUUUUUCUAGUCCCUACACAAAGUCCCUGGGAAAAAACACCCACUUAUAUUUAGAAACCGAGGGAGUCCCUACACAAAGUCCCUGGAAACAAACACCCACUUAUAUUUAGGAACCGAGGGAGUAGUGCUUAUCUGUGAGUGUCCAUGAUUAAAGCUUUGCAAAUACCAUAAACAAAACUUCACCCUGUACUUAGCUGAAUUGAAUUGAAAUGUGAUUAGCCUUCCACUAGCCAGCCAAGGAGGAAGGAGCCCACCGUUCCAACCUCCCUAUCUCUAUUUCCUCUUGUUGCGCUCAUCUUCCCCUUCUCCUGACACGUAAAUCUAGUUGAGGACUGCGGCAGAUCUAGUUGCGUUGGUCACCGCGCAACAACCCUAGCCACGACGAGCUCCACCACCGUGCGGUCCGGGAGCCGCGCCGCAGUCCUCAACUAAACUAGGCUGCUCCACCUUGCCGUCACCAGCCCCUUCUCCGCCCACCUCCCCCUUCUCUUGACACGUAGAUCUAGUUGCGUCAGUCGCCGCGCAACAACCCUAGCCACGAUGAGCUCCACCACCGUGCGGUCCGGGCGCCGCGCCACACUCCUCAACUAAACUAGGCUGCUCCACCAUGCCNNNNNNNNNNNNNNNNNNNNNNNNNNNNNNNNNNNNNNNNNNNNNNNNNNNNNNNNNNNNNNNNNNNNNNNNNNNNNNNNNNNNNNNNNNNNNNNNNNNNNNNNNNNNNNNNNNNNNNNNNNNNNNNNNNNNNNNNNNNNNNNNNNNNNNNNNNNNNNNNNNNNNNNNNNNNNNNNNNNNNNNNNNNNNNNNNNNNNNNNNNNNNNNNNNNNNNNNNNNNNNNNNNNNNNNNNNNNNNNNNNNNNNNNNNNNNNNNNNNNNNNNNNNNNNNNNNNNNNNNNNNNNNNNNNNNNNNNNNNNNNNNNAUCUAGUUGUGCCGGUCGUCGCGCAACAAGCCUAGCCACGACGAGCUCCACCACCGUGCGGUCUGGGAGCCGCGCUGCAGUCCUCAACUAAACUAGGCUGCUCCACCUUGCCGUCACCGGCCCUUUCUCCGCCCACCUCCCCCUUCUCCUAACAUGCCCAAAACCCUCUCGAUCUUAAAAGCCCCGUAUCUUUUAUCCUGUUAGGUUUUUGGGGAUUCUAAAAAUCUUCAACGAGGUUCCCCUAGUUGAAUUCGGAUGUAACUUUUCGAGUAGAUGACUUUUCAUAUAAAAAACUUUUUAAUCCGAGUUCGUAUGCAAAGUUAUGCCCAUUUUACUAAAUUCCAGAGAGAUUUUGUAAAUAAAGUCGAAAUUCAUAUUUAUAAAUUUUCCCAACAACUAGACCACAUAUCACACGGGAAACUUCUUUUCUUUUAUUUUUUGAACAUUUCCAUCAUUUUCUUUUAUUUUUUUAAAACUGAAAAGGCGGUCCACAAGGGGGGUGCAUUUAGUAAUGAUGCACCUUCACAAAGUGCGCCAUUACUAUGUGUAUGACUUGGUCAAACCUUGGUCAAAGUUAGUAAUGACGCAAACUUAGUAAUGGCGCACCUAUGCAAAGUGCGCCAUUACUAAGUUUGACCAAGGUUUGACCCAGUCAUACACACAGUAUCAAACCUUGGUCAAACUUAGUAAUGGCGCACUUUUCACCUAGUGCGUCAUUACUGUUUUGGUUACUAAUGGCGUACCUACACAUGACGCGCCAGAUGUAUAGUGUGUCAUUAGUGUCCAUAUUGGCUAUAGCUAUUUUUCUAGUAGUGUGCUAUAUGCCUAGACUCAUUGCAGCCUCGUCGAUCAAACUAAGCUGCCAUCCAGAGGCUACAGAUUCAAGUACACAGGUAGGAAGAACAUAUUGCAGAGAAUCAAAUUAAGCAAGUGGCAAGUAAUGAUGAAUGAAAUUCAGCAAUCUUACCCUAAACAUAGCUACGGCCGCCGUUCAGACAAGGAGAACGGCGAGGGAAGCGUGGAGAACGGCGGGGAAGCGAUGUCGCGACCAUUGUCCUCCUCCUCUUGCGCUUCGGAGUCAUCUUCGACUCGGUUGGAGGCUCCACAAUCUGCAACGGCACCUCGUGCACCGUGGGUUCCUGAUCUAGUGGAUUCUUUACCUUGGAUCAGAACGCUCACCACCUUCGUCUGGUCCACGGGCUGGACGAAUCGGCAUGCUCCAUCGCCCAGAGGAGGAUCUCGACGAAGUGCAUCGGUUGUGCGGGUGAGGGGGGGGAAGCUUUGCCUUCUCUCUACUCAUCAUUUGCUUCAAAGUGGCCAUUGUCGUCCAGUGCAUCUGACUUGUGUUGUGAAACCAAGAACGGAUCUCCGUCAACCUUCUCAUCUUGAUCUGGUCGCCGUAGGCGAUCUCCAUGAAGUCGGCGUUCUCGCCGCCGGCGAUCUGCUCGAUCUGCUGCACCAUCGAAGUUUUUGCGUGGAUGGAAGAGGGGGAUGGAUGUGGAAGCUGGGAAGAGCAAAGUUGCGGCCGCGAAAAGGAGGAGAAGGCUAGGAGAUGGCCGCGGUUGUAAUGGUGAUGGAAGAGGAGAAGUUUCACGGCGGUGGCCAUUUUCAUUGGACGAGAGGGGCAGCGGUUUUGCAUUGGACGAGAGGGCCACCUUAUCAUAUUUUCCUAGGACUAAAAUGCCCCUAGAUUAAAAGGUGUCCCCACCUUAUCAUCAGUACUUUCGAGUACUUUCAUCCGCGUACUUUCGAGUACCACGUAUGUAUGCACUGUUAGAUCGAGGCAAGCGAACGGCUCCAAAAAACGCCAACUACUGUAAAAGUUGUACUGAAGUAAUUAUCAUAUCUCACACUAGUGCAGAACCGGCCUUUAGUGCCGGUUCGUGACGGUCUUUAGUGCCGGUUCACCAACCGGUACUAAAGAGUGGGGACUAAAGGUCUCCCCUUCAGUACCGGUUCGUCACGAACCGGCGCUAAAGUGCAAACACGUGGCACGAGCCAGGCCCGGGUGCGCGUAGGGCUUUAGUACCGGUUGGUAACACCAACCGGUACUAAAUGUUUGGGUGUUUUUUUUAAUUUUUUCUUUAAUUUUGUGUUUUCAAUUUAAUUUAGUGAUUGUUUUACAUUAUAAUGAGUUGUUAAAUCAUUAGGUGAAAGUACCGCGGAUUAGUUUCGACUGGAUGCAUUUGGAUCUAGCUAGCUAAGUGAAUAAGUAUAUGCCAUAUCCAUAUUAUACUUGAUCACCUAAUUAGGUGAUCAAGUAUAAUAUAUAUGGAUAUGGCAUAUAUAUACUUGAUUACUUAGGUAGGAUCCAUCCAGCUGAAACUAAUCUGUGGUCUUUCAUUAAAUGAUAUAAUAACUCAUCAUCAUCAUUAUCAUAUUAAUAUAAAAACUCUUACAUCAUAUCAUCAACAUGAGUAUAUAUAUAUACUCUAGCUAGCUAGCUAAAAAUCAUCAUAGUCGUCAUUAUCACUAUUUAAUCAUCAUAGUUAUUACCGCUAUCUAAUCACCACCAAUAGUAGCUUAAAGAAGAAACAUUCACUUGUACCAGAAGCAAAAAUAUCAUCGAGUUCAACAUGAUUGUCAUGAUAUUAUAAGCGUUCAUAUAUAACACCACAAAAGCAAAUCACUCUUUGAGAUUAAGUUCAAAACGAAGAACACGAACAUGAAAGGACAAGUACUAAGAGCAGCAUGAACUAGCUAAAUCACUCCUGCUAGCUACUCUCUCUCUGGUAAAAUAGCAUAGAACAUGUAUAGCUCUCCUGAUUCAUUAUACUGGAGCAUGCAGAUGAGCCUGUCUCCUAAUCGUGGGCUGCGCUUCUCAUUGCUGCCCCCUAGUACUUCUCUGCGAUCGUUAACAAUUUUCCUCCAAUCUUUCACUAUUAAGCAUUCAUCGCUUGUAGAAAUCUUGAAUGCAUUCAUAUGCAAUGCAGGAUAUCUUGGCCGUAAGCUAACAAUUGACAUGCGACCUUUAGUCUCGAUCACCUGAGGCACAACUGUCAUCGGGAGUACCUGUUGAAGAACAUCGUAUAGUACUUAAUUAAUAUACUUAGUAAUGAAAGUUUAGCAAAAAAAUUAUGUAUGCAAAAGAUGCACUAAGGACAAAUAGUAAAAAUCUUACCAUCAUUCCUAAAUAGAUGUGACCGUAGUUCAAUACCAUCACUAUUGGUCGCACGUUUUGAGUACUAACAUUUCUAAGUGCAGGAAGAAAAUUUGUCUUGACAGUAUGAAGAUCCUCAAGCCAUGAAACAUAAUGACUUAUCUCCUCGCAGUUUAGUUCAACUCCGGGACAGUAGUAGGUCCUGUCUACCAAGCGUCGGACAUGUUUGCUUGAAUGAAAAUAAGCUGUCAAUAGAAAUUAGUUGUCAAUUAUUUUUGAAUAAGCAAUAUCAAAGACAAAAUUAAGUGCCCGUUUAACUGAUGAGUUCUCGUCCGAAACCGCUGAAGACUCAUAUUGAGUCCACAAAUUAUACACAUAGAGUUUAAUGAAGACCAAAUGCUUGUGAUAGUUUGAAAAAUAACAUAUUUAAAUUGUGCAUCUGAACGUAGAAAAAAUACAUUGAUCAGUACCGCCUUUCAGCCAAAACGCGCUACUGCUACAGAGAAGUACAUAUAAAAAAAUACAUUGAUCAUCAAUGAUCUUUUUGUAUAGAAUCUAAAUCGUCAAUAGGAAUCUACCACCGAUUUAAGAACCGGCGAAGACUCCUAUUGCAGCCACAGAUCCUACACAUAGAGUUCAAUGAAGACCAAAUGCUUGUGAUAGUUUGAGAAGUAACAUAUUUAAGGUGGUCAAAUUCUUGUUAGGGGAGCGAGGUGGGACUAAAAAUAGCGCGUGCCACAACCUCUUUAGUACCGGUUCGUGCCACGAACCGGUACUAAAGAUGCUGAUGCCCGGCCAGCACCUUUAGUACCGGUUCGUGGCACGAACCGGUACUAAAGAUUCACAAUGAACCGGUACUAAAGGUCUCCUCCCGCCUAGUCAUUUGAACCGACACUAAUGGACGCAUUAGUGCCGGCUCAUAUGCAAACCGGUACUAAUGUUUUUCAUAUUUGACCCUUUUUCUACUAGUGUCAUGUUCAUGAACCCUUUUGUCCCAAAAUAAGUGUCAUGGUUUUAGUUUUAAAUUUAAACUAAAAGCACGACACUUAUCAGGGAGUAUAGUACGUAGUUAGUACAGAAUAUUUACCCGCAAUAUAAGCGUUAGCAAAGCUUUCUCUUCUUGUGCUUGGAGGUUUUAGUACAUGCGCUCACCAGCCUCUUCUUAUAGGCAGACAGGUGCGCUACCUUGUCAGUGAGAGUAGAAGAGUGGGCGGCGAGCUUGGACAUCAAAUCCUUCAACAGAGCAGGGCAGCUUCUGGAGACAUGAUCGAUCGAAGUCGUGUGUCGAUCGCCAUGGCCUCGUCUAGUUUUUUUUUUUGAGGGGGAGGCCUCGUCUAGUUUGGUGGGAGAGUUGAUGAGCAAGUCAAAGCACGCGUCCUNNNNNNNNNNNNNNNNNNNNNNNNNNNNNNNNNNNNNNNNNNNNNNNNNNNNNNNNNNNNNNNNNNNNNNNNNNNNNNNNNNNNNNNNNNNNNNNNNNNNNNNNNNNNNNNNNNNNNNNNNNNNNNNNNNNNNNNNNNNNNNNNNNNNNNNNNNNNNNNNNNNNNNNNNNNNNNNNNNNNNNNNNNNNNNNNNNNNNNNNNNNNNNNNNNNNNNNNNNNNNNNNNNNNNNNNNNNNNNNNNNNNNNNNNNNNNNNNNNNNNNNNNNNNNNNNNNNNNNNNNNNNNNNNNNNNNNNNNNNNNNNNNNNNNNNNNNNNNNNNNNNNNNNNNNNNNNNNNNNNNNNNNNNNNNNNNNNNNNNNNNNNNNNNNNNNNNNNNNNNNNNNNNNNNNNNNNNNNNNNNNNNNNNNNNAGGUGGCGGCCGGGCGUUUUUGCUGGUUCUCGCGCGCGCUCGAGGAGGGGUGUUGACUCGCGGUGGAUCUGGGGGCUGAGCUCGGGUCGGGCGGCGGCGUUUGGCCCGUCAGCGCGGAGAUGGUGGCCCGCCGGUCGGUGCAGAGGCGGCGUCUCGCAGGUGCUGCUGCUUCCUGGUGCCGCGGUGCUGUGGGCGGGCGUGGGCGGGCGCGGAUCUGGCGCGGCGACGAGCGGCACCUGUGGUCCGCGUGGGAUGGCGGUGGGAGGCGCGCGUGGGGCGCGGCGGCUUGCCGGCGCAGGCAGGCCUUGCGGCGGGCUACCGUGGGGGGCAGGCUGGUCGGGAUGCGGCUGUUCCGGCCGGCGUCUGCAGGCUCGUGGCGGCGGCGGUGUGCCACGAGUGAGGACGACGACGCGGCGGCGUCGCACGGGAUGGGCGGUGCACAACUUCUCUUCUGCGGCCGGUGGAGGCGUGGCUCCACUUCCUCGAGGGAGGCUGUCUGGCAAUGUGUGGAUGAGCUUGCCAGCCCUGUGGUGCGGGGGCGGGCUCGGGCGGCGGCUUCGGCCGCGAGGGGCGCAGCAGGAUGUCGCGAGGACGCCCUGGUGAUGCGCGGGUCGGGGGCCCGGGUUGUCGGCGAAGAGUGCCCCAGCUGUGGGUGAUGCUGAUUCGUGUUGGGUAGCUCCGAUGGUGGUGGUGGUUGGUGGGCUCGCUGGUGCUGGUGCGGGAUGAUGUGUGGCUGAGGUGGUGUGGGAGCUUGGGUGAAGACCCUGUCCCGGUCUUGUGCCGUGACCAGUGAUGGCGGUGGCUGUGGCCGUCGUUGACCUUCCUGGAGGCAUCGCUGUUUUGUUGCCGCUCCCCUCCUGCACGGAUCCGGCCAUCUCGGCCUCUCCGGGGGAAACCCUUGAUCUGUGAUCGGACGAUGGCGGCGCCUUGGCGUCAUUUUCCCCUCUUGGGGGCUUCGUCUUGGGAGCCCGGCAUCGGUGGGCGGGACCCGUGGAUGGCGGCAGUUGUGGCGACCAGGCUUCUGUGGCAACGAUGACGGUGGGAGCGAUGUCGACGACGCGGCAAUGGUUGCGGUAGUCGGCUCUUCCCCGGCGUGUCUGCGGUUUUGCCUCAGUUUGUUCGUUGCUGUGGAGUCGAAGCUGCGGUGGCGGCGCCCUGUGAUAUACGAUGACCGGCUGCAGGUGGCCCGUUCGGCGAUCUCCCGUGGCGCCAGCCGUGCCUGGUUUUGUUCUUCAGAGUUCUCCGUCAGAGUCGGAGCUACGCUGUCUGGCCGCAGGUGGCUGAGAUUUGGCGCAGAUCUUCAUGUAGCUUCACACGUCCGCUUUGGUGUGGGUUGAGUCGACGAUCACCUGUGGCGAAGUCGGAGUCGUUUGCUCAGAGUGUAGGGAUGGCGAUGACGCCUCUAGGGGAGGAGUAAUGACGAUGACGCCUGCGUGCUGUCUCGACGAGACCCUCUUUGGAGUGGUGUGUGUGGGGUAUCUUAUGUGUGCCGCUCAGCUGUUGUGAGGGUUUUCGCUCGGUUCUCAUAAUUAACCGUGCAAUCUGGUUUUCGCUCGGUUUUCCCUAAUUAACUGAGCAACUCUCUUCUGCUUAUUUAAUCGAUGAGGCAAAACUUUUGCCUCCGUUUCAAAAAAAAGCACGCGUCCUUGAGCCCUUGGCCAGUGAUGCUGCUCAGCGUGGUUGCCACGGUACUCACGUCCAUGUGAGGAUGUGCCUGCACAAUCUAUCCUCGCAAACCAGCUUGAGCCUCUCUACACUAUUGGGAUUCUGUCCUACGCCGAGUGCCACGGACACUCGGCAAAGGGCCGAAAACUGCCGGCAAAGCCUUUGCCGAGUGUCACCCUCGACAAAAGCCACCCGGCGUACACCUCUUUGGCAAACAGGAGUUUGCCAAGAGCCAGAACACGGACACUCGGCAAAGACUUUGCCGAGAGCCAAACAAUACCACUCGGCGAAAUAAAGUAGCUAACGGAUAGCAGCCGGUGACGGCGGUUCCUGACACAUGGGACCAGGGGCCAUCUUUGCCGAGUGCACCUCUCGGCAAAGCCAGUCAGUAGGUGGCCGACACGUGGUAGCUCCUGACACGUGGGACUAGGCGAACAGGCCGAGGGCCAUCUAUGCCGAGUGCCCCUCUCGGCAAAGCCAGCCAGUAGGUGGCCGACACGUGUCAGCUCCUGACACGUGGGACCAGGCGAACAGGCCGAGGGCCAUCUAUGCCGAGUGCCCCUCUCGGCAAAGCCAGCCAGUAGGUGGCCAACACGUGUCAACUCCUGACACGUGGGACUAGGCAAACAGGCCGAGGGCCAUCUUUGCCGAGUGCCCCUCUCGGCAAAGCCAGCCAGUAGGUGGCCGACACGUGUCAGCUCCUGACACGUGGGACCAGGCAAAUAGGACGAGGGCCAUCUUUGCCGAGUGCCCCUCUUGGCAAAGAGUGCCACCUUUGCCGAGGGUGGCUCUCGGCAAACUCUAUAUUUGCCGAGCGCCACUCUCGGCAAACUCAGCCAAUAGGGGAAUGCCACGUCACUUCUCCUAAAAGCCGUGAAAAUAUUUUGUCGAGAGCCACCAUCAGCAAUUCUUUUUCCUUUACCGAGAGCCCUCUUGGUAAAGUUGCCAGGAGGGCUACAUGUUAUUACCCUUUACCGAGAGACCUCCCGGUAAAGUUGCCAGGAGGGCUACAGGUUAUUAUCCUUUUUCCGAGAGUCCUCUCGGUAAAGGGUGCGUUCUGGUCCAGUUUCAGAGUCAUUGCCGAGAGCAGCCCUCGGCAAUGGUGUGUCCAGGAGCCUUUUUUCCCUGUUUCUAUUUCUUUCCUGCAGCGAAACAUAUACAGCAGCAGCAUAUAGUUCAUCACACAUACAACAUGUCACAUAUAGGCAUCAUUGAACAAAAGAAGCAAUGAUUGAUUCUGAAAAACAUUCCACAUAAAAGCAAUGGUGCAUCAAAGCAAUAGACCACAAGUUUACAAGUCUCAAGAUGCAAGAGUUCUCAACAUACAAGGAACAGUUUCAAACAUAACAUGAAGUUCACGCGAUUUUGGAGAUCGGACUGAUAACAUCGACAUUAGAAGGCAUCAUUCCGUUUGCUGCCCCAACUCCAUCAACCAGAGUGAUCACAUCAACAUUAGAAGGCAUCAUUCUCUUUGCUGCCCCAACUCCACAAACUUGAGGUGGAACUACCGGAACAUUGUUCGACCCUUGUGAUCGGUUGAGCUGUGAUGGAUUGACCCAAUAGUGAGAUGAAUGCAUAUGGUAAUGCCGAAAAUGGUGAUAGAAAUAGUUUGAACAAAACUCACAAUGUUCCACUCUGGUGUCGGUGGCAUCUCUGGCACUGGUUGGCCUUGCAUGGAAUAAAGAUUGGCCACCAUAUGUUGUAAAGAAUUCACUAGAUCAUCUUGUGCCUUCAGCUUGGCCCGGUUUUCAUCUCGUUCUUUCUCGGUGUCAAUCAGUCGAGUCUACAAUAUGGCAAUGCAAAUGUCAUUCAUGUUGAAAUGCAAAUAUCCUCAAUAAUGAAGAAGGAUCAAUGAAGAAGGACCAUGAAGGAUCAAUGAAGAAGCACUGACCUGAAUAUCCUCAAUAAUGCUCACGGACUAUGGUACGUGAUGCUCUACGGUAGGAGUAGAGCCAGUACUCAUAGCACGGAGCGUGUUGACUCUUGAAAGGGAGGAGGUUAUGAAAAAAUCGAGGUGAACCGCCAUCCGGCCAUUCGGUCUACCGCCUGCCGCGGCAAUGGCCACAAGAGGGUCAAACGGUAGCACGUGAGGAUCAGCGUCAGGCCCGUACGUCUCCUUCAAUUUUUUGGUGUAGUUCUCUCCAUCUGACUGGGCUUUAGAGCUGAUCCAGUCCCUCUCCGGGUGGAGAGGGUCCUUGUCCUUGUCGUCUUUGGUACGUUUGAUGGUCCAUGCCUCGAAGUAAGUGAUAUCCUUGCCAGUGUCUUCUUUGUGCAAAAGAAAGUGAUCCAAACAAUCAAGGGAAUGCUCACAAAUGAAAGAGAACAUGAUGAAAAGAAAAGGAUGUGGUUGCCUACAUGUUUUGAGACGACACCUGGGAUGGUGAGGUUGCCUUGACGGUGUCCUCGACUCCCCAUCAACUUACGCCGUUCAGAUAUUACUUUGUGUUCAUCCUGCCACCCUAGAUCUGUCCACCGUUCGACGAUCUUCUCCCAGCACGGACGUUUGUCAGUGCACCACCGAGGAAUCACCUGUAGAUUAAACAAAUACAUCUUAGUAAGGAUUCUAAUUUUGCCGUAGUGUAGGAAAUAGCAAGCAUCCAUCGUCACUUGCCUUGAAGUAAUUGUCCCGUGAAAGAUGCGUCCCUCGAGCCUCCUGUUUGGAAAUCCUAUGGUUGAGAUAGUCCGCGUGAUACUUGACCACUAACCGGACGCGCUCCUCAUAGUGCAUGUCGUGGACUAGUUUCUUGGCAAUAUUCUCAACCACCACAUUUGCACGAUCCUUCUGACCCUCAACGCAUGUAUAGAAAUCCUACAAACAUGCAUACAUGUGAGAAGGGUUAAAUCAUGACUAUGGAAAAUUUAAACCUUUUGGUAUUGACAUUUAGGUGUUUGAAAGGACUUACCCAGAAAUCGUUGACCACUCGCAUGGCUCUGUUAUCAAAAACCCUCUGACGCAUAUCCAGGAAAUCCGGUGCAAGUUUUUAGUGAUCCCAUGACCAAGCUGGCUCAAUGAUACCGUUCGGCAAAGUGACCAGUCCAGGAUAAUUUAACCUACAAAGACCCCCAAUGAUGCCACUCGGCGACCGUGGCAGACGCCUCUCACCACCUUUUACUAAGCUUCUGCAUUUCGAGGAGUGAAGUCAUAUUAUAUGUGAGGAAAUGACAAAAGGUACAAUUUAUAUGGGAUGAGUCGAGAUAACCACUUACUUCUCUCCCAUUGGUUUAAUCAACACGUCUCUAUGCACAUAUGGACGUCUUGGAAGCUUUGAAGGACCACGCAACCACACUUUUCCUCUGGAAGUAGUGCUAAUAGUCGAACCGCUCGGCAGCGAACCGCUCACCUCGUGGUGCUCUGUCACCCGUGAGGGUCCAUCCCCACCCUCAGAAACCUAACGAACAACCAGCCUCCUCUCGGCGGCGGCGUCCUCCACCACCACCUCCUCCUCAUCCUCCACCACCUCCUCCGCAAAAUCCUCCUCCUCCUCCUCCUCACACGCCUCAUCCCCAUCCUCUGUUUCCUCCUCCUGAGCACGGUGAAGCACUGCAUCAGAGGGUCGAGGAGAAGAAAGAGGUGCUCUACUCCGGGCUGCACGUACUCCUCGUCCACCUCCUCCUCCUGCCUCACCUACUCCCCCUCCUCGUCCGCCUCCUCCUCCUGCCUCACCUACUCCCCCUCCUCGUCCACCUCCUCGUCCGCCUCCUCCUCCUGCCUCACCUACCCCUCCUCCUCGUCCNNNNNNNNNNNNNNNNNNNNNNNNNNNNNNNNNNNNNNNNNNNNNNNNNNNNNNNNNNNNNNNNNNNNNNNNNNNNNNNNNNNNNNNNNNNNNNNNNNNNNNNNNNNNNNNNNNNNNNNNNNNNNNNNNNNNNNNNNNNNNNNNNNNNNNNNNNNNNNNNNNNNNNNNNNNNNNNNNNNNNNNNNNNNNNNNNNNNNNNNNNNNNNNNNNNNNNNNNNNNNNNNNNNNNNNNNNNNNNNNNNNNNNNNNNNNNNNNNNNNNNNNNNNNNNNNNNNNNACGUGGUACUCGACCUUGUUUCGCACGUUUUGCCAGAUGGGUGUCUAGACCCGCCAAUCCUUUGGCCUUCUUGGCAGUUGUGGCCACCGAUGAAGGAGCGGCCACCACUUUCACCGGGCGAGUAGGUUGAUCAUUGUACAGAUCAUUCACUUUUUUCAAACUUUCCUUUGGAAUCUUCUUGCUACCUGUCAUGUUCAAUCACCUGAUACGAAGAAGAACAAACCAGUUAGUACAGAUGAUACAACUUGAUGUACAAUAAAUAUAUCACAUAUGAAGAAUAAAUGGAAUUGUCACAAUAAUACAUAUAGUUGUUACACACACAAAUACAUAGAGUUGUUGCACACACGAAUACAUAGAGUUGUUACACACACGAAUACAUAGAGUUGUUACACAGAUGAAUACAUAGACUUGUGACACACAUACAUAGAGUUCUCACACGAUUACAUGGAGUUGUUAGAAAUAAGGGUCAAUAUUAGGUGCAUCAUUUGGAUCAGGGCUUUCAUCAUCGCUAUCACGCCCGUUCAUACAUUCAUCCUCAAAGUCUUCAGGGGGGCCCUCAUCCUCAUCUAGCCCCAUGUGCCAUCGCAUAAGUAAUGCCAAAUCUCGAGGGUCAAAAACAUCCUCGUAUUUGUCCUCUACAUUAUCUACUUCCAUGUCAUCCAUGGCCUCAUGUUCCAUAGCAUCAUGUUUGUGAUGCACGCCACCAUCUUCCUUUGCAUAAUCUUCAUCUUCGUUAGUGUCUGCUUCUUGAAAGAACUCUCCCUCAUAUGUGUUAGGGUUUAUAUGGUAAUCGUCCUUGUUUGGGGUAGGUACCUUGAUAUGCGGGGAUACCUUGUACACGACAUCCCACUUCAAGAGAUCGAUAUAUCCCGUAGAUGUGCACGCGUAUGGGAGAAAAAACACUUGCGUAGCUUGUUGAGCCAUAAUAUAGACAUCAUUUCCUGCAUAUUUCGAAGCUCGUUCAACUUUGGCAAAGCCAAUACUAGGGGUUCGUCUCACUUUCUCAGGAUGGAGCCAGCUGCAUCUGAAUACGAUGGGCUUCACUCCUUGUAAACCACAAUACUUCAACUCAUAAAUUUCUUCGAUGGUUCCAUAGUAGUGACGUCCAUCUGUCCCUAGACAAUAGACCACACUAUUUAUUGACCUUCGGUUGGGCCUCUCACGCGUGUGUUUAUCAGUGUGGAAGCGAUACCCAUUCAUGUCGUAAGCCUUAAAUAACUUGGCCUCGUAUUCAAAACCUUUGGCUACUUCUCUCGCUUUGGCGUCCAUAUCAACCUCCUGAUAUGCCUACAAGAUUAAUAGGAAAUUGUCUGGUUCAUUAGUGGAAGCAUUACAGGCAAGUAAGAUCAACUUGAAGUAACAUAAAGUUAGAAAAGUUACUUUUCUUGAGAACCAAGAAAUGAAACCGCCAACAGCAUUGGUAUCUUCAAGAAGGUUUGCCGAUUCUUCGUCGCUAGGAGGCCAUGGUAGCUUCCAGAAUUCGUUCUGCAAUUCCCUAGCAAUAUGAAGAAUUCGAGUUAGAACUCAAGACUAGUGGUAGUUGUCAAUAAAGGUGAUCUACACUUACUCUAUGUAAGGUUGCACUUCUUCCAUGUUGGUCAAGACAUAGAUCAUAAUAGUCGACCACUCAGUAAGUGAAAAGUUCUUGGGCUGCGGUCCACUUGCUUUGCCACCUUGGCCUUCGAAGAGGCUAAGGUCGGAAACAUUACUAGUGGGUUCUUCAUUGUAACGAGGAGCUGGAUUUAACCUAGUAUGAAUACUGUCAUGAUAGUACUUUGUCGUGGUCGUGGCCACCUCCUCGUUCAGGUAUGCCUCGGCUAUGGAGGCUUCAAUGCGGGUUUUAUUCUUACAUUUCCCACGAAGAUGCUUGAACUCCCGUUCAGGUGCAUACUGCCAUCGGAACUGCACAUGUCCUCCCAUUCUAGCCUCAUACGCGAUAUGUAAGAUCAUAUGUUGCAUCGAAUUAAAGAAACCUGGCGGAAAUAUCAUCUCUAACUUGCAUAGCAACUCAGGUGCUUGUUCCUCCAACUUUGCAACCACUUCAUAAUCUAGUUCUUUGGCACAAAGCUGAUGGAAGAAGUAGCUCAACUCCGCCAGCACUCGCCAAAUAUCCUCUCUGACAUACCCUCGAAUCAUCACAUGCAUUAUCCGCUCAAGCCAUACAUGGUAGUCAUGACUCUUGAGGCCUCCUAUUCACUUUGUAGCCAUAUUGACUCCCCUCAUGAUAUUAGCUGCAUAUCCAUCAGGGAAGUACAAGUUGUUCACAAUCCAUUGGAGAAUUUCCAUCCUUUGGGGCAUUGAAGGGGUGAAAGGGGCUGGUGGCUUCUUCCAAGAAUUACCUUUUGCACGAGGCACCAAAUUUAAUUUUGGCCUGUUGCAUAGUUUGGCUUGAUCGAUCCUAGCCUAAAUGUUAUCAUUUGACUUCUCGGUGUCGAGGAGCGUGCCGAGUAAGGCCUCCGCAAUAUUAUUUUCAGUGUGCAUUACAUCAAUGUUGUGUGGAAGUAGAAGAUCUUUAAAGUAAGGGAGCCUCCAUAAGCUUGGAAUGUGGUGUGUCUCUCCAUACCCCACAAAACCUUUCCCAUCGAGCUUUUCCCCGAGAGCAUCUAACUCAUCCUUAAGCUGGGCACCGGUCAUAAUAGGUGGUGGCGGGUCAUCAACAAUAACACCUUUUUGGAAGUGCAUAGCGUCUUGCCUGUAUGGGUGAUCAAGACGAAGGAACUGCCGAUGUUGGUCAAAGCAUACAUACUUGUCACCCUUAGCCAGCCAAAUGAAAGUCACACGCUGUCGACACACUGGGCAAGGCCACUUCCCCUUUACACACCAACCACAAAAUAUUGCACGUGCCGGUAGGUCAUGUAGCGAUGUGUGGUACCAGAUAUGCAUAGUGAAGUGCUUCUUUGAAACGGCAUCGUAUGUCCGGACCCCGUUGUUCCAAGCAACAAGUAAGUCGUCCACCAAUGGCUCCUUAUACACACUCAUAUGCUUCCCGGGAUAGUUAGGACCUGGAAUUAUCAACGUCAGGAACGUGUGAUGUCAUUGCAUGCAAACGCCAGGGGGCAGAUUCAGGGGGAUAACAUAUACUGGCCAACAACUGUAUACGACAGCCAUCAAACCAUAUGGAUUGAACCCGUCGGUUGUUAUCCCAACAGCUACACUCUUCCAGUCAUCUAUUUUCUUAUGAAUUUCAACAAAUUUCUUCCAUGCUUCACCAUCCUAUGGAUGUUGCAUCUUUUUUGUAUUGUACAUCUUCCCUUCGGCGGCCCAUCUCAUAUAUUGGGCAGUUUCCUCGGUCAUAUAAAGCCUCUGGAUCCUUUCUAUGAACGAAAGAUAUCGAAGGAUAUUGACGGCAAUUGUGAGCUGCCUCUUGCUACCAUCAUCAUCUAUUACCUCAAUAUACCUAGAGGAUUUGCACUUGACACAAUAAUUCGUAUCUUUAUGUUCAUUUCUAAAUAGCAUGCAUCCGUUUGGACAAGCAUGUAUUUGCUCAUACGACAUCUUAAGUGAACUGAGGAUUUUGUUCGACUCGUACAUGUUCUUUGGCAAUAUAUGUUCUUUAGGCAACAGACCAGCAAUAACUGACAAUAAAUCAAUGAAGCAAAUUAUGCUCAUGUUAUGGUUUGCCUUCAGGGCCAUUAGGCGUGCAAUGCCAUCUAGUUGAGUAACCUCUGUAUGGGCGUGAAGGGGUUUUUGUGCCGCAAACAAAGCUGCAUGAUACUCUUCAGGGCUUUCCGGCGGCUCCUCGGAGUUCGGGUCCUCUCGCGGAUCCGCACGACGGAUGUCAUAUAAUAGGUUUUCAAUCCGAGUAUCAUAUUCGCCAGCGCGUUGUCGCACCACCUCCGCCCUGGACUGUUCUGUCUCACCGUGAAAGAUCCACCGGUAAUAGCUUGGCGUAAACCCAUAUUUGCCUAAGUGUUUACUCAUAGUAAUCUUAUCUCUUUCAUUCUGGUUAUCACACUCCGUGCAUGGGCACCAAAUUCCACGAACUGGCGUUUCUGCAACAAAUAAUAAUUCCAGGAAAUCAUUGGUCUUCGACCUCCACUCAGGGGUCAUACUCUCCAUGCUGGGAUGUCCGGUGUACAUCCACUCACGUUCUUCCAUCCUCUGAUAUAAAGUUAAACACACACACAUAAUUUUUUUAUGUAACAAGUGGUUCCAUCAAGUUUUAUGACAUGCACUGAGCUAUGUAAUAGGUAAAGAUAGGUCCUAAUCACACCCGAGAAUGUGUAGGCUGGGUCCGCUUUCAUGACGUACUCCGACCCGAGACAAAAUUUCGGCAGCACCUCCCCGCUGUUCUCCAAAUACACGUCUCAGCAAUAAGCCAAGAGGAUGUGUAUCUAGAGAACAACAAGGAGACACCAUCGAAAUUCUGUCUCGGAUCUUAGUACAUCAUGAAAACGACCCGCCUACACAUCCUCGGGUUGUCCAUGGAAAAUGUGGACAAUUCGAAAGAGUCAAGGUUAUAAAUAUGCAAAAACAUGCAUAUUUAUAGAUACAACCCUUCCGAACGGGAGACACCUAGGUUACGCGACUAUUUAGGUGAUCUACAAAUAAUGAAAACCUACACAUGAACGGGAAGAGAUUACCCUUGAAGCGUGCAACGGAAUUCACUCUCUCUUGUCAAAAUAGAUGCAUGUCCUGCAUGAAAGAAUGAAGUUGUGUCAAUCAUAUGUAAAACAAACAAACAUCAAUAACACUCACUCACACACACCCCACACACAAACACACUCACAUAUCCAUACACACACAUCACACGCUCACUCACACAUGCACACACACAGUGGCCCGCGCCGGCUCUCGCGGCGCCAACCGCGCCUCCCGCGCCCGCCCCAGCGCCGCAGUGGCCGUACUGGCCCGCGUCGGCCUCGGCCGCGUCAACCGCGCCGGCCGUGCCGGUCCAGCUAAUCAAGCAAAGAAGCAAUAAUUAUUUGCUCGGCUUCCCUUAGGGACCCGGGAGACCUAACACUAGUCGCCUCUUGCGUCGCCGCCGCCUCUCCCUCUCGCGCACGACGGCGCCUUGCCGCCGGCGACCGCGAACUUCGCCGUGUCCAGCCCCCUCCUUCCCCUAAAACCUACGCCCUAGACCCGUUAGGGUCCCAACACCUACCACUGACACACACACAUACAAAGCACACACUCACACACAUUAUUCACUAUAUAUGCAUAUAUAUACACCUUUUGUUGUAAUGGAGAGGGGGGAAACCCCUUUUAUUUAAAAAAAACGAGAUUGAGUAGGGGGGCUCACCAACGGGGCAGGGGGGCGGCGGGGGAGGUGGAUGCCGGACGAGGUAGAGCUCAGUGGAGGGGAUGCCGCGCCUGUGGUGCUCGCUGAAGCAUGGCCGAGACGGUGGCGGUGGACGAGCUCGGUGGAGGUGGCGUGGGGGGCUCGGUGGAGGCGGAGGGGCGGGGGAGGCACUCCCGGUGGCGGCGGCGGCGGUAGAGCUCGCCGGAUGGGGCGGCGGCACUAGGGGGCGGCAACGGACAGAGGGGGCGGGGGAGAGAGAAACAGAGAGAGAAGAGAGGAGUGAGCGCGCGCGAGGGGGAAAUUUUGCAUAAGUCCCCGCGGGAAACAUUUCUGAGAGCCAACAUUAAGCGACACUCGGUAAAAGUCUUAACCUAGAUCUCGGGGGCUUUUCCGAGAGCCGCACCGACAGUAGUUACCGAGGGCCGUCCUGCAAAACUCCGCAAUGACCUCCUUUUCCGAGAGCGACUCUCGAAAAAUCAUCCUUCUUGUGCAUUCCCCAUAAUAUGUAUUAUACUUUUUUUUGUUGUUUUCUUCCAUGCUUGGCAAACAACCUUAGCACAUCGUAAUUACCAUCUUGUGUUCUCUUUUUCAAAUGAUGGGCCUCGCCCGGUUCUAGAGACCGGCACCCUUCCGGUGGCCCUGGCGGUCUAGGCGUUGAUCGGCACCGAGAGGGGGUAGGCCACGGGGAAUAACUGCUUCUUCGUGUUAGUGCAUGUCACCGUGAGAUAACAUUCCAAGUCUAGGCUCGUUCUGUCACGGGAUCGCCCACCGAAGACUCUGUCUCAGGGACGAACGCAUUCGGUCCUCGACGUUCCCGCCCAUGUGUGUGGUUUGUGAGGCACGUGCCAUGUCAAGGACGUGCGUUGCUUAUUCAAAUAGCACACCACCCCUGCAUGCAUAUGCAUGGGCCACACGCAUGUACGGGUGCCCUCCUCCCUUGGGCGGUCUCCAUAUUGAGCACCCAUCCGGUGGCCCCGGCGAUCUAGGGCGUUAUUCGGCACCGAGAGGGUGUAGUCCACGGUGAAUAACUUCUACUCCGUGUUAGUGCAUGUCAUCGCGAGAUGACAGACCAAGUCUAGGCUCGUUCUGUCACGGGAUCACCCACCGAAGAUUCUGUCUCGGGAACGGACGCAGUCGGUCCUUGACGUUCCCGCCCGUGUGUGUGGUUUGUGAGGCACGUGCCACGUCAAGGACGUGCGUUUCUCAUUCAAAUAGCACACCACCCGUGCAUGCAUAUACAUGGGCCACAGGCAUGUAGGGGGUGCCCUCCCCCCUCGAGCGGUCUCCAUAUCGAGCAACCAUCUUGUGGCCCCGGCGGUCUAGGGCGUUAUUCGGCACCGAGAGGUGUAGUCCAUGGUGAAUAACUGCUUCUCCGUGUUAGUUCAUGUCAUUGCGAGAUGACAGGCCAAGUCUAGGCCAAAGCCACGGCAAGAUCCCAUCCAUGUAGACCCGACGCGUCCAUUUCGCCCCUCCAGGUGCCGGCUGUGAGGGGGUCCACACCCCGGAGAGGCGUGCCGCCUCUUCGGACAUGCCACCACACCGUAUGACAUGUAUGAGGGCCCGGUGCAAUGCUCCGGUGGCAUUGCUACCCUCCCAGGGCCCCCCGUCCCGCCUAACCCUGUAGCGUUUGACCACGGGAUCUAGCCCUUUAACUUUGCACGGACGGGCUUUGACCAGUGGAACUCUCCACCCGGUUGUGUUAGGUCAGCCCAUAGGAACACUUUGGAGCAACAUCCGGGCCUAAGCCACAGCAAGACCCCAUCCGUGUAGACCCGACGCGUCUGUUUCCCCCUCCAGGUGCCGCCGGCGACGCCGUCCGUGUGGGGGGGGGGGGCACACCCCGGAGACGCGGGCAGGGCGUUUGCAACCGCCACAACACUUCCAGACUUGUGAGAGGCCACCUACGCAAGAUUUGGCGGCAUGUGCUAGCCCCCGGAAGCCGCCGGCCACAGUCGUAGACACGCGAAGAGCAAUCCGCGGAGAGGGAAGUGUUCAGAUAGUUCUUUAAAGUUCUCUCUCGGUGCCGGUCUAGAAACUUGACCGGCACCGAGAGAGGGGGUAGGCCACGGUCAACAACUUCUUCUUCUCAUGUUUUUUUUACUUUACACACUCUUUAAAGUUGAGUUUUGAAAAAAAUCAUCAAAAGUCAUGGAAUUUAUAAACUUUGGUCGUAAAAGCAUAUGAAAUAUGAGAUACAAAAAGAUAGUGCAAAAAAGACAAAAAGAGGGGGGGGGGAAUUAGAGCAGUCAUUACCGAGAGUCGAUUCUUGGCUCUCGGUAAUUUCCACCUUUUCCGAGAGCUGCUCUCGGUAAACCAUCCACAUAGAUCUCUUUCCUUCUUGUGCAUUCUCGAUAAUAUGUACUAUACUUUUUUUGUUGUUUUCUUUCAUGCUUGGCAAACAACCUUAGCACAUCAUAAUUACCAUCUUGUGUUUUCUUCUUCGGAUGAGCCUCAUCCGGUUCUAGAGACCGGCACCCCUUCGGUGGCCCUGGCGGUCUAGGGCGUUGUUCGGCAUCUAGAGAGGGUAGGCCAUGGGGAAUAACUGCUUCUUCGUGUUAGUGCAUGUCAUCGCGGGAUAGCAUUCCAUGUCUAGGCCUGUUCUGUCACGGGAUCGCCCACCGAAGACUUUGUGUCGGGGACGAACGCAGCCGGUACUCGAUGUUCCCGCCCAUGAGUGUGGUUUGUGAGGCACGUGCCAUGUCAAGGACGUGCGUUGCUUACUCAAAUAGCACACCACCCCUGCAUGCAUAUGCAUGGGCCACGCGCAUGUACGGGUGCCCUCCCCCUCCCCCUCGGGCGUUCUCCAUAUCCAACACCCAUCCGGUGCCCCGGCGGUCUAGGGCGUUAUUCGGCACCGAGAGGGUGUAGUCCACGGUGAAUAACUGCUACUAUGUGUUAGUGCAUGUCAUCGCUAGAUGACAGACCAAGUCUAGGCUCAUUCUGUCACGGGAUCACCCACCGAAGAUUCUGUCUCGGGAACGGACGCAGCCGGUCCUUGACGUUCCCUCCCGUGUGUGUGGUUUGUGAGGCACGUGCCACGUCAAGGACGUGCGUUGCUUAUUCAAAUAGCACACCACCCCUGCAUGCAUAUACAUGGGCCACAGGCAUGUAGGGGUGCCCUCCCCCCCUGGGCGGUCUCCAUAUCGAGCACCCAUCCGGUGGCCCCGGCGGUCUAGGGUGUUAUUCGGCACCGAGAGGGUGUAGUCCAUGGUGAAUAACUGCUUCUCCGUGUUAGUGCAUGUCAUUGCGAGAUGACAGACCAAGUCUAGGCCAAAGGCACAGCAAGAUCCCAUCUGUGUUGACCCGACACGUCCGUUUCCCCCCUCCAGGUGCCGGCCGUGAGGGGGACCUCAACCCGGAGAGGAGUGCCGCCUCUUCGGACAUGCCACCACACCGUACGACAUGUAUGAGGGCUCGGUGCGAUGCUCCGGUGGCAUUGCUACCCUCCCAGGGCUCCCGUCCCGCCUAACCCUAUAGCGUUUGACCACGGGAUCUAGCGCUUUGACGUUGCACAGACGGGCUUUGAGCAGUGGAACUCGCCACCCGGUUGUGUUAUGUCAGCCCAUAGGAACACUAUGGAGCAACAUCCGGGCCUAAGCCACAGCAAGACCCCAUCUAUGUAGACACGAUGCAUCGGUUUCCCCCCUCCAGGUGUCGGCGGCGGCGCUGUCCGUGAGGGGGGGCACACCCCGAAGACACGGGCCGGGUGUUUGCAACCGCCACAACACUUCCAGACUUGUGAGAGGCCGCCUACGGAAGAUUUGGCGGCAUGUGCUAGCCCCCGGAGGCCGCCGGCCACAGUCUUAGACACGCGAAGAGUAAUCCGUGGAGAGGGAAGUGUUCAGAUACUUCUUUAAAGUUCUCUCUCGGUGCCGGUCUAGAAAGUUGACCGGCACCGAGAGAGGGGGUAGGCCACGGUCAACAACUUCUUCUUCUCAUGUUUUUUUUUACUUUACACACUCUUUAAAGUUGAGUUUUGAAAAAAAAUCUUCAAAAGUCAUGGAAUUUAUAAACUUUGGUCGUAAAAGCAUAUGAAAUAUGAGAUACAAAAAAGAUAGUGCACAAAAAGACAAAAAGAGGGGGGGGGAUUAGAGCAGUCAUUAACGAGAGUCGAUUCCUGGCUCUCGGUAAUUUCCACCUUUUCCGAGAGCUGCUCUCGGUAAACCAUCGACCUAGAUCUCUUUCCUUCUUGUGCAUUCUCGAUAAUAUGUAUUAUACUUUUUUUGUUUUCUUUCAUGCUUGGCAAACAACCUUAGCACAUCAUAAUUACCGUCUUGUGUUUUCUUCUUCGGAUGAGCCUCGUCCGGUUCUAGAGACCGGCACCCUCCGGUGGCCCCGGCGGUCUAGGGCGUUGUUCGACGCCUAGAGAGGGUAGGCCACGGGGAAUAACUGCUUCUUCGUGUUAAUGCAUGUCUUCACGAGAUAACAUUCCAAGUCUAGGCCCACUCUGUCACGGGAUCGCCCACCGAAGACUCUGUGUCGGGUACGAACGCAGCCGGUCCUCGACGUUCCCGCCCAUGUGUGUGGUUUGUGAGGCACGUGCCAUGUCAAGGACGUGUGUUGCUUAUUCAAAUAGCACACCACCCCUGCAUGCAUAUGCAUGGGCCACGCGCAUGUACGGGUGCCCUCCCCGUUGGGCGGUCUCCAUAUUGAGCACCCAUCCGGUGUCCCAGGCGGUCUAGGGCGUUAUUCGGCAUCNNNNNNNNNNNNNNNNNNNNNNNNNNNNNNNNNNNNNNNNNNNNNNNNNNNNNNNNNNNNNNNNNNNNNNNNNNNNNNNNNNNNNNNNNNNNNNNNNNNNNNNNNNNNNNNNNNNNNNNNNNNNNNNNNNNNNNNNNNNNNNNNNNNNNNNNNNNNNNNNNNNNNNNNNNNNNNNNNNNNNNNNNNNNNNNNNNNNNNNNNNNNNNNNNNNNNNNNNNNNNNNNNNNNNNNGAGAUGACAGACCAAGUCUAGGCUCGUUCUGUCACGGGGUCACCCACCGAAGAUUCUGUCUUGGGAACGGAAGCAGUCGGUCCUUGACGUUCCCGCCCGUGUGUGUGGUUUGUGAGGCACGUGCCACGUCAAGGAUGUGCGUUGCUUAUUCAAAUAGCACACCACCCCUUCAUGCAUAUACAUGGGCCACAGGCAUGUAGGAGGUGCCCUUCCCCCCUCGGGCGGUCUCCAUAUCGAGCACCCAUCCGGUGGCCCCGGUGGUCUAGGGCAUUAUUCGGCACCGAGAGGUGUAGUCCAUGGUGAAUAACUGCUUCUCCGUGUUAGUGCAAGUCAUUGCGAGAUGACAGACCAAGUGUAGGCCAAAGCCACAGCAAGAUCCCAUCCGUGUAGACCCGACGCGUCCGUUUCCCCCCUCCAGGUGCCGGCCGUGAUGGGGGCCACACCCCGGAGAGGCGUGCCGCCUCUUCGAACAUGUCACCACACUGUACGGCAUGUAGGAGGGCCCGGUGCGAUGCUCCGGUGGCAUUGCUACCCUCCCAGGGCCCCCGUCCCGCCUAACCCUGUAGCGUUUGACCACGGGAUCUAGCCCUUUGACUUUGCACGGACGGGCUUUGACCAGUGGAACUCUCCACCCGGUUGUGUUAGGUCAGCCCAUAGGAACACUUUGGAGCAACAUCCGGGCCUAAGCCACAGCAAGACCCCAUCCGUGUAGACCCGACGCGUCCGUUUCCCCCUCCAGGUGCCGCCGCCGACGCCGUCCAUGAGGGGGGGCACACCCCGGAGACGCGGACAGGGCGUUUGCAACCGCCACAACACUUCCAGACUUGUGAGAGGCCGCCUACGCAAGAUUUGGCGGCAUGUGCUUGCCCCCGGAGGCCGCCGGCCAUAGUCGUAGACAUGCGAAGAGCAAUCCGCGGAGAGGGAAAUGUUUAGAUACUUCUUUAAAGUUCUCUCUCGUCGCCGGUCUAGAAAGUUGACCGACACCGAGAGAGGGGGUAGGCCACGGUCAACAACUUCUUCUUCUUAUGUUUUUUUACUUUACACACUCUUUCAAGUUGAGUUUUGAAAAAAUCAUCAAAAGUCAUGGAAUUUAUAAACUUUGGUCAUAAAAGCAUAUGAAAUAUGAGAUACAAAAAAGAUAGUGCAAAAAAAGAGAAAAAGAGGGGGGGGGCGAAUUAGAGCAGUCAUUACCGAGAGUCGAUUUUUGGCUCUCGGUAAUUUCCACCUUUUCCGAGAGCUGCUCUCGGUAAACCAUCCACCUAGAUCUCUUUCCUUCCUGUGCAUUCUCGAUAAUAUGUAUUAUACUUUUUUUUGUUGUUUUCUUUCAUGCUUGGCAAACAACCUUAGCACAUCAAAUUACCGUCUUGUGUUUUCUUCUUCGGAUGAGCCUCGUCCGGUUCUAGAGACCGGCACCCCUCCGGUGGCCCCGGUGGUCUAGGGCGUUGUUCGGCACCUAGAGGGGGUAGGCCACGGGGUAUAACUGCUUCUUCGUGUUAGUGCAUGUCAUCGCGAGAUAACAUUCCAAGUCUAGGCCCGUUCUGUCACGGGAUCGCCCACCGAAGACUCUGUCUCGGGGACGAACGGAGCCGGUCCUCGACGUUCCCGCCCAUGUGUGUGGUUUGUGAGGCACGUGCCACAUCAAGGACGUGCGUUGCUUAUUCAAAUAGCACACCACCCCUUCAUGCAUAUGCAUGGGCCACGCGCAUGUACGGGUGCCCUCCCCCCAUCGGGGGGUCUCCAUAUCGAGCACCCAUCUGGUGGCCCCGACGGUCUAAGGAGUUAUUUGGCACCGAGAGGGUGUAGUCCAUGGUGAAUAACUGCUACUCCGUGUUAGUGCAUGUCAUUGCGAGAUGACAGACCAAGUCUAGGCCAAAGCCACAGCAAGAUCCCAUCCAUGUAGACCCGACGCGUCCGUUUCCCCCCUCCAGGUGUCGGCCGUGAGGGGGGGGGGCACACCCCGGAGAGGCGUGCCGCCUCUUCGGACAUGCCACCAAACCGUAAGGCAUGUAUGAGGGCCCCGGUGCGAUGCUCCGGUGGCAUUGCUACCCUCCCAGGGCCCCCGUCCCGUCUAACCCUGUAGCAUUUGACCACGGGAUCUAGCCCUUUGACUUUGCACGGACGGGCUUUGACCAAUGGAACUCUCCACCCGGUUGUGUUAGGUCAGCCCAUAGGAACACUUUGGAGCAACAUCCGGGCCUAAGCCACAGCAAGACCCCAUCCGUGUAGACCCGACGCGUCCGUUUCCCCCCUCCAGGUGCCGGCGGCGGCGUCGUCCGUGAGGGGGGGGGCACACCCGGAGACACGUGCCAGGCGUUUGCAACCGCACAACACUUCCAUACUUGUGAGAGGCCGCCUACGCAAGAUUUGGCGGCAUGUGCUAGCCCCCGGAGGCCGCCGGCCAAAGUCGUAGACACGCGAAGAGCAAUCCGCGGAGAGGAAAGUGUUCAGAUACUUCUUUAAAGUUCUCUCUCGGUGCCUGUCUAGAAAGUUGACCGGCACUGAGAGAGGGGGUAGGCCACGGUCAACAGCUUCCUCUUCUCAUGUUUUUUUACUUUACACACUCUUUAAAGUUGAGUUUUGAAAAAAUCAUCAAAAUUCAUGGAAUUUAUAAACUUUGGUCAUAAAAGCCUAUGAAAUAUGAGAUACAAAAAAGAUAGUGCAAAAAAAGACAAGGGGGGGGGGAAUUAGAGCAGUCAUUACCGAGAGUCGAUUCUUGGCUCUCAGUAAUUUCCACCUUUUUUGAGAGUGGCUCGGUAAAUCAUCCACCUAGAUCUCUUUCCUUCUUGUGCAUUCUCGAUAAUAUGUAUUAUUCUUUUUUUUGUUGUUUUCUUUCAUGCUUGGCAAACAAACUUUGCACAUCAUAAUUACCGUCUUGUGUUUUCUUCUUCGGAUGAGCCUCGUCCAGUUCUAGAGACCGGCACCCCUCCGGUGGCCCCGGUGGUCUAGGGCGUUGUUCGGCACCUAGAGGGGGUAGGCCACGGGGAAUAACUGCUUCUUCGUGUCAGUGCAUGUCAUCGCGAGAUAACAUUCCAAGUCUAGGCCCGUUCUGUCACGGGAUCGCCCACCGAAGACUCUGUCUCGGGGACGAACGUAGCCGGUCCUCGACGUUCCCGCCCAUGUGUGUGGUUUGUGAGGCACGUGCCACGUCAAGGACGUGCGUUUCUUAUUAAAAUAGCACACCACCCCUGCAUGCAUAUGCAUGGGCCACGCGCAUGUACGGGUGCCCUCCCCCCCCCUCGGGCGGUCUCCAUAUUGAGCACCCAUACGGUGGCCCUAGCGGUCUAGGGCGUUAUUCAACACCGAGAGGGUGUAGUCCUCAGUGAAUAACUGCUACUCUGUGUUAGUGCAUGUCAUCGCGAGAUGACAUACCAAGUGUAGGCUCGUUCUGUCACGGGAUCACCCACCGAAGAUUUUGUCUCGGGAACGGACGCAGCCGGUCCUUAACGUUCCCGCCCGUGUGUGUGGUUUGUGAGGCACGUGCCACGUCAAGGAUGUGCGUUGCUUAUUCAAAUAGCACACCACCCCUGCAUGCAUAUACAUGGGCCCCAGGCAUGUAGGGGUGCCCUCCCUCCCCUCGGGCGGUCUCCAUAUCGAGCACCCAUCCGGUGGCCCCGGCGGUCUAGAGCGUUAUUCGGCAACGAGAGGGUGUAGUCCAUGGUGAAUAACUGCUUCUCCGUGUUAGUGCAUGUCAUUGCGAGAUGACAGACCAAGUCUAGGACAAAGGCACAGCAAUAUCCCAUCCAUGUAGACCCGACGCGUCCGUUCACUAGUAGAAAAGGGGGCUUUGAUCCAGAUCGGGUAACCCCAUUAGUCCCGGUUCAGUCUAGAACCGGGACCAAUGGGGGCAUUGGUCCCGGUUCCUGAGCCCAGGGGGCCGGCCGGGCCACGUGGGCCAUUGGUCCCGGUUCAUCUGGACCUUUUGGUCCUGGUUGGUGGGAUGAACCGGGACGAAUGGGCCUCGCUCCUAGCCCACAACCAUUGGUCCUGGUUCGUGCCUCAAACCGGGACUAAAGAUUAGACCUUUAGUCCCGGUUUGAGGCACGAACCGGGACUAAUGGGGAUGAGACCUUUAGUCNNNNNNNNNNNNNNNNNNNNNNNNNNNNNNNNNNNNNNNNNNNNNNNNNNNNNNNNNNNNNNNNNNNNNNNNNNNNNNNNNNNNNNNNNNNNNNNNNNNNNNNNNNNNNNNNNNNNNNNNNNNNNNNNNNNNNNNNNNNNNNNNNNNNNNNNNNNNNNNNNNNNNNNNNNNNNNNNNNNNNNNNNNNNNNNNNNNNNNNNNNNNNNNNNNNNNNNNNNNNNNNNNNNNNNNNNNNNNNNNNNNNNNNNNNNNNNNNNNNNNNNNNNNNNNNNNNNNNNNNNNNNNUGGAUCGCCUUUUCAGUUUUAAAAAAAAUAAACGAAAAUGAUGGAAAUGUCAAAAAAAUAAAAGAAAAUAAGUUUCCCAUUUGAUAUGUGGUCUAAUUGUUGGGAAAAUUUGCAAAUGUGAAUUUUGACUUUAUUUGCAAAAUCUCUCUGAAAUUUGUAAAAAUGGGCAUAACUUUUUGUCGGGGGUUGGGUGCGACAUAUGCCAAAGGAUGGCUUAUCAUGGUGGGGGCGAGUAGAAUGUCACCGGUGCCUGGAAACGGGAUAAGGCAUAGACAUGCACGCCGGCGAAUCUUACCCAGCUUCGGGGCUCUCCGGGGAGAUAACACCCCUACUGCUGCUCUGCGGGGUCUCCGUAUGGUCACUAAAGCAAGGUGACUACAAUGGUGCUCCUGGAGCUGUAUCGGGAGGCAGGAGAGAGCAAGGCUAGUUCUCUCCUCCUUGGGCUAUGUGUCUAUCUCUAUCAAUGUCUGAACCCCUUGCAUGGGUGCCCCGGGGGGUUUAUAUAGUCCUACCCCCCAGGGGUACAAUGGUAAUCCGGCUGGGUGCGGGUCCCAGCCGUCUGUCUCUCAUGCCGCUGUCCUUCCUGCCGGCUUCUAGGCCCCGCCGACUGGUGGGUCCCGUGGAUAGGCCGAACACUGUGCAACGCUCCUGAUGACGCAGGCUUGGUCAUUGGGUCGUGGCAACAGUGCCGCCGUCUAUCAGGCGAUCACUAUCGCCACUCCCCAUCCAAUCUGGUUUAUGGUUUGUGGGGCCCUGGAGGGGAGACGGCCGACUCCGGGGAGGCCGACUCCCACAGGGCCGUCUUCGGGCGCUCUGGCCGCCUUCGGUUCACCCGCUGACAGGCGACCCCGCGGUCUUUGGGCCGUACAGGCCGGCGUCGUGGGCACAGUGGGUCGCGCACUGUGGCUGAGGUCAGGGCAGGCAUGGCAACAGUGCCGCGCCUCGCCGGGGAUCUCCUGGUGAUACAGCUAACUGUAGCCAUGCCAGUCCCUCGUAGGCAGGGAGGGACGGCCACGUCAUGACCGUACCCCACAUCGGGCCUCGUGAAGUGUCAUGGGCCGACUCCCAUAGUCGGCUUCUCUGGAGGUCGCCAGCUUGGAGUCGGCUUGCCCUGGAGUCGUCAUCUGGGACUCGGCUCCUCUGGAGAUCGCCAGCCGGGACUCGACCUCUCUAGAGGUCGCUAGCUGGGACUCGGCUGGAGGGGCGCGGUCUGCCCCGAUGUCUUGAAAGAUCCUGGGUCCCGGGUCAGCCUACCCGUGGCCCAUAACUCCGACAGUAGUCCCCGAAGCUGGUGAAGCCCUGCGGACGCCGCCUCGUGGGGCUUCAACAGUUUCAAACUUCCCAGCGCAGACUCUGAGACUUGGCCGUCAUCUUCUUUUGGCCGACUCGCCAAAGUCGGACUUGUUUAGCGAGGGGCCGCUGUUUGUAAGUCGCGGCCGAAAAUCAGGCGGCAUAUUGGAUACGCUUCCCUGCUGUCAUUGAGGCGGUCCUAUCGCGCGGCGCCACGCGGGGAGGAUAGUCCGCUCACCCACGCGCGCGAUGGGACGGGCCAUCAGGCGGGGCCCGCCACUACCGCGCCUCGGCAUCCGAACGGAUCUGCUGCGGUCGCGAACGGUUGGCUUCCCCACGUCGUUACUGCGCGCAGUAACUUCGUGGCGUAAAUCAUGGGGCGGCGUGGGGCUUCGUGCGCAGUUAAUCCCACGCCCGCCCCCUCGGCUCCUCAGCCCACGGGGCUAUAAAUAGGCAGAGAGGAGCGGGACGGUAUUGUACGCGCAUCCUCUCCCCCACUCUCCUGCCUUCUCUUCUUCCUCCGCCGCGAGCAAGAGCACCUCUCACCACGGCGAUGAGUUCUUCCUCCUCCGCGGCCCCUGCCACGCGCUCCGGCGUGUGGGACGGUUCGGAUGUGGAGGCGGAACACAUCGAGUUCCUCCACCGGACCCGCCGUCUCCCUAGCACGGACCUCGUGCGCGCCCGUCCCGCGCCGGCGGGAGAGACCCGGCCCGCGCCGGAGGAGGGCGAGCGGGUCGUCUUCCGCUCGCACCUCAUGCGCGGGCUGGGGCUGUCGGCGAGCGGUUUCUUCCGCUCGUUCCUGGAGUUCCACAACCUUUAACCGCACCACCUCACCCCAACUGCGGUGGUGUUGCUCUCCGCCUUCGCCACUCUGUGCGAAGGUUUCCUCGGCGUUCUCCCCACCCUCGAGUUGUGGGGAGAGUUCUUCUCUUCGAAGCUCGGCACGCAGGCCGCCGGCACGCCGGCUCAGUGCGGCACCUACAUCCUGGUGCAGCGCUCGACGGCCGACAACCCCUUUCCUCCUAUCUCGCUGAUAAAGUCGGUGAAGAUGUGGCAGCGUUCCUACUUCUACGUGAAGAACCUCUCCACCAACGGCGACUGGGUCAACCUGCCGCCCUUCAACCCGGCCCCCCUAACUGGGAGGCUCCCCAGCUAGCCCCAUCGAGCCAAGUCGCUGACUCCCUCCGGAGCCGCCGCCGUAGCGUGACUCCAAGUAUUGCUGCAGUCGGAGGGCCUCGUUGGAUCUGACCUUCUGGCCGCCUUCGUGGCGCGCCGAGUCCUCCCGCUUCAAGGCCGGCCUCAUCUAAUCUGUCAGAUGAGCGGCCGCCACGACCCGAGUCGGAUGUGCACCAAGGAGAUGCCCCACAGGGAGGUGGCGAACCUGGUGAACCACAUCGCGCAUUGCGAGUUCAUGGAGGACUGGCAGUUCGGCAAGGAGCCGUACUCACGCGACAACCCCCCUCCAGUGGUAAGUCGCAUCUUUCUGUAGUUUUGGUCUUCUUUGCGGCCGACUCCGGCUUCUAAUCUUUGUUGGUUUCUUCUGGGCAGAACCCCCUCAUGGAGCCCGUAGCCGGUGCCGCGAGAGAGCCCCGCGACUACGUCCCAGACCGCGAGGAUAGCGAUGUUGACGACCCCGACUUGGGGGCGACGGCACUGGAGGCCGACGCUGAAGGCGGCGGAGAAGGGGCAGACGGCGGCUUCAGGCCCUCGGCCACCUUCGCCGACUGGCCCGAAGACGACGCCGACGUGGAAGUCGUCCCACGCCACCAGCCGAGGGCCGGCCACUCCGGCCAAGGCGGUGCGAAGAGGCGUCAUGCCGGACCGAGCACGCUCGGCAGCAAGCCGAAGAAGUUCAAGGGAGCGGCCGCCGCGACCAAACGGGAGGAGGCGCCCGCGAAGGCCAACUGCUUCCGAAGGGAAGUGAGAAGGCCGCCGUUAGUUUCCGCGUAAGUCUUAACGCUCUUUUAUUUUCCUUUGUUGGAUCUUGUCCGAGUCAUCUUUGAUUUUCCCUCCGUUCUUUUCCAGAGCCCCCCUCUCCCUUGAGAGGGUCGCCAUCCCCUCUGUCAUGGGGUCGGUAGAGACGUCCGCCAACACCCGGCGGGUCGAUCCCGCCGCCGACCUUCGGGAGGCGACGGAGCGGAACACGCGGGAGAAGCGCGACGAGGAGGAGGCCGACCGCCUGGAGAAGGCGCAGGCCGAGAAGGCGGCCGCCAACGCUCAGAAGAAGCUGGAGGAGGCCGAAGCCGCCGCCGCGGCGAAGCGGCGUGCUGAGGAGGCCACGCGUCGCCGAUCGGCGAUGCUCGUCCCUCCGUUGUCGUCGGCACCGCUGGCUCCGGAGUUCACGGGGCAGACCGGAGAGGUCGGCACCGAGAACCCCCUCUGGAGGAGGGCGGUGAGGCUUCAGGCUCGGACACCCUCGCGCCGCCUCCGUCGCCUUCGCCACCGUCUGGGAGGCCGCACGGCAAAUAGCCGGUGGGCCCGUUGGAUCCGCAGAUCGCGGACGAGGCCGAGGCGCGGCUGCUUCUUCAGGUCGCCGCGCCGGCGCGCCGCCGGCUGGAGAGGACGACCUCGGCGCCGCGAGCUCGGGAGACCGGCGCCGCCAGCUCGGCGAGUCUGGACGUCGAGGCCUCUAGUGCCGCGCCCACCGGGUGGUUGCACGGAGGCGGCACCGGCCUGCUGAACCAAGCGCUCCUGGACGUCCAGGCGAAACUGCGCGCGGAAAGCGACACCCUCCAAGUCUGCACCAGAGCGCAUCUGGCCGUGCGGACAUCUGUCCGAGUACGUUUCCUUCUCCUUUUUUGAUUCCUGUCUUCCUCUGUGGGGGCGCGCCAGCGCACCCACUGGGUGUAGUCCCCGAGUUCCGGGCCGGCUGCUGAGCAGGCGGUUCGGAACUCACUCUGGCGAGUUCCGAAUACUAACUUUGCUUUUGUCGGCUUUUUGUAGGAGUAUCAUAACCUCCGCGCCACUGCCUUCAACCGCAAUGUUGAGGAGCUGAACAAGCGGACCGCCGACUUGGUGGAAAGCCGGGGUGAGCUCUUUUCUUCCUUCUUCGCGGGGGCGCGCUGGCGCACUCGCGGGCUGUAGUCCCCGAGAUUCGGGCCGACUGAUGAGCAGUCGGGCCGGAUCUCCCCUGCGAUCUAAUUUACUGAUGACCUACUUGUCUCUUCCUUCGUUCUUCAGGUGCCAACGCCGCCCUUCAGGAGCAGCUGGGCGAGGCCAACACUGCUCGGCGUGCCAAGGAAGCGGAGUGCGGCAGGCUCGCCAAAGAGCAUGAUCUGCUGGCGACGCAGCUGGCCGAGCAGAAGGAGCUGCUCCAGAAGGCGCAGGACGAGGCCAAGACGCGGGAGGCCGCCCUCAUGGCCGAGUUCGAGUUCGAGCGCUCCACCUGGACUGAUAGGGAGGCGAUGCUGACCUCUGGCUACCACGAGCUCGAGGACAUCGUUGAUGGUAAGUCUCUUUUGUUUCUUUGGGCUUCCGACUAUGUGUCAGGCCGACUUCUGAUUUUCCGACUUUCUUCUUUUUUGUCUUGGCAGACUUCUUUCCUGGUCAUUCACAGGCAGUCCCUCUGGCCAUCGAGGCUGCUCGGGAGGCGCGAAGGGCGAAGGGUGAGGUGAUCGCCGCCAAUGCCCCCCGAACCAUCGACGAGCAGCUCCUGAGCAUUGGGGCCCGUUUGCGUCCGGCUCACCGGCUGCCGUGCCGGCUUCAGCGUGCCGGUGCCCAGGCGGUUGCCGCCCUGUGGACGGACAUGCUGGCUCUCCGCACCGCCAGUCAGACCGCCGACUGGCUGGAAGUCGCCGCCGGCCGUCUUGAAGCAUGGAAGGGCUCCUCGGCCCGGGCUGGAGCGCGCCGGGCCUUGGAGUUCGUCAAGGCGUGGUAUCCGGGGCUGGACCUGGACCGCCUGGCCGCGUUCCGGUCAGAAGCCCAGGCCGAGCUGGAGGCCAUGGAAGGCGCCCUUUUCGAGCGCGCGUCAGCCAUCGCCGAGUACACGGACACCAACGUCUUCGUGCCCGAGCGGACUGAAGGCGGCGAGGAAGUGCCACCGGACUGGUUCGGGAUGAACCUGGAGUAUGACGAAGACUCGGCUGAGGUGAUCGACUCCAGCGCCGAGGAGGAGGACGAGGCAGAGGUUGGAGGCGAGGAGGAGGCGCCAGAAGACGAAGCAGGCGGCCAGCCUCAGCUCGAUCGCGCCUCCAGCAACGAGCCGCGCGGAGACAAGGCGACUGCCGCCGGAGGCGACCAAGCUGAGACCACCGCCUCCUAGACUGCUUUUUCCGCCUCUGUUUAUCAGUCUUUAGUAAUCUUUUGAAAGACCUGUUAGUUUCGAACAAUUCCACCUGCGGGGUGUAUCCUGAAUUUCUAUUCGAAGAUUCGGCCGAGGCCUAUGUAAAUAUUUAUCCGAUUUCCGCCUUUCCUUGCUUAUUGCUCCUUAUACUUUUUCCUUUGCCAUCUUCCUUUAGUUGCCGCCUUGCCAGCUGGACAGCCGCUCUGCGGACUGUCGCAAGUUCAAGUGCUUGGCUACUUCGGGAAGGCAAGUACUUGGCCGUUUAGAGUUUCCUUAGCAAGUCGGCUAGAAAGCGACGGGCCGACUAUCCGAGAGUCGGCUGUCUUUGAUAAAAGCUAAGACGGCGAGCCGACUGCUCAUGAGUCGGCUCUGUGGGGGGGAGGCUGGUAGCCGGCUUUGAGCUAUGCAUAAGCUUUUAGGUCCUUAGCCAUUUUUUCAUGUGUGCGCUCAUUCUUGCUUGUUCUAUGCCUACCAGCAGUCGCUCUGUGAGAUGCGGCUUUCGACAGGAGACGGCUUGAGCACAACACAUUACUUGUCCGACUGCAGGAAGCAUUUCAUAGCGCAAGACGGCAAGUCCCCGGGCCGACUAGUCGGACCCGGUGCCAGACGGUAUGAUAAAAAAGAGUAGCAUAUGCGGAAGCAUAAUUCUUAUCAUACAGAUAAUAAAAAGGCAGUUCUCGAGCUCGUCUCGGGCGGCCUAAGGUCUUAGUACUUUAAUACAAAGGGGGGGUAGUGCAAUACAUACUGCAUCAACUGUAAAAUCUUCGAAGAAGAUUCGCGUUCCACGGGUGUUCUGUUUCUUUGCCGGAGUCGUCCCUCUUGCGUGCUCGAGGCUUCUGAGCGUCGAUCAGAUAGUAGGCGUCGUUCCCUAGCAGUUUGCUGACGAUGAAGGGACCCUCCCAAGGUGCCGACAACUUGUGCUGGCCGGCUGUUCUCUGAAUCAGCCGGAGCACAUGGUCGCCCUCUUGGAACGAUCUCGGCUUGAUCUUGCGGUUGUAAUAUCGGCGCAGACUCUGCUGGUAUAUGCUGGACCGGCUGAGUGCCAACAGCCGGCCCUCUUCCAGCAGAUCAACACCGUCUUGGCGUGCUUCUUCGGCUUCCUCUUCGGUGUACAUGGUGACUCGUGGAGAGUCGAACUCUAUAUCCGUCGGGAUGACGGCUUCGGAACCGUAGACGAGGAAGAAAGGCGUGAAGCCGGUUGACUUGUUUGGGGUCGUGCGCAGACUCCAGAGGACGGCUGGCAGCUCCUCGACCCAACAGCCGGCCGAACGCUCGAGUGGUUCGACCAGUCGAGGCUUGAUGCCGGACAGGAUGAGGCCAUUGGCUCGUUCCACCUGGCCGUUUGACUGCGGAUGGGCAAUGGACGCUAAGUCCAGUCGGAUGCCCUGCGUCGCGCAGAAACGGGCCACGGCGCCCUUGGCAAAGUUUGUGCCAUUGUCGGUGAUGAUGCUGUGCGGUAUGCCGUACCACACCGUUAUGUCGGCGAUGAAGGUUACAGCAGUCGGCCCGUUCAACUUCUUGAUGGGCUUUGCUUCCACCCACUUGGUGAAUUUGUCCACCGCGACAAGUAGAUGAGUUAGGCCGCCUCGGGCCGUCUUGAAUGGUCCUACCAUGUCCAGGCCCCAUACUGCAAAGGGCCAGGCGAUGGGGAUCGUCUUCAGCGCGGAAGCCGGCUGAAGUGGCUUGGAGCGGAACAUCUGGCACCCCUUGCAUUUUUGGACUAGCUCUUUAGCUUCUUCUAGGGCAGUCGGCCAAAAGAAACCGUGCUGAAAGGCUUUGGCGACGAGUGCCCUUGAAGCCGCAUGGUGGCCGCACUCGCCCUGAUGGAUGUCUCUGAGAAUUGCUUGGCCUUGCUCUGAUUCUACGCAGCGCUGGUAGACACCAGUGACACUGCGCCUGACUAGCUCUCUGUUGACUAUGGUGUAUGCUGCCGCUCGGCGCUGCACUUGCCGAGCCAGGAUCUCAUCUGUCGGCAACUCUGUGUUCACUAGAAAUUUGAGGAUGGGCUGCGCCCAUGAAGGUGCUGCUAUCUCUUCAACUGCUACCACAGCGACUUGGAGAAGGGUGGCUGGGCUGGGUGGCGGCGGGCUGGAGUCUGCGGCCGUUUGCUGGAUUGACGGAGUUUCUGGGCCGACUGGCGCAGUGCCCGGGCCGGGCUCUGAAGUCCCCGGGCCGACUGGCGCAGUCCCCAGGCCGGGCUCUGAAGUCCCCGGGCCGGUUGGCAUAGUCCCCGGGCCGGGUUCUGGAGUCCCCGGGCCGGUUGGCACAGUCCCCGGGCCGGGUUCUGGAGUCCCCGGGCCGGUUUCAACUGUGGUUUUCUUGAGGCUGUCUGCUGGGGCUUUGGAGUCGGAUCCGACUACUUCUGGAGGAGCCGGCACAAAGAUGGAGUCUGACUCUGGUGAAGGCUUGAUAGACGGCUUGAGGAGGCGCUGAAGGGCGACGCCGGAAGGUAUCGCUUGGCGAGUGGAGCCGACUCGUGCCAAGGCAUCUGCUUGAUCAUUGUCAUUUCUUGGCACGUGAAGGAAUUCGCACCCCUCGAAGUAUCCGCUGAGUUGCUGCACCAGGAAGCGGUAGCUCGCCAUGUUUGCGUCUUUGGCGUCCCAGUCGCCGGAUGAUUGCUGAACCACCAAGUCAGAGUCGCCAUAACACAGGAUCCGGCGAAUGCUGAGUUCUUUGGCAAGCCGGAGCCCAUGAAUGAGCGCCUCAUAUUCGGCAACGUUGUUGGAGGCGGCGAAGUGGAUCUGCAGCACAUACUUGAGCUUGUCUCCUUUAGGGGAGGUGAGGACGACGCCGGCUCCCAGGCCGGUGCGCAUCUUGGAGCCAUCGAAAUGCAUCCGCCAAUGGGUGGAGUCAGGCGCUGGCGGCAGGUACUGGGUCUCGGCCCAGUCGACGAGGAAGUCGGCCAGCGCCUGCGACUUGAUGGCGGUGCGGGACUGGUAGUAGAUGAUGUAAGGAGCUAGAUCUAUAGCCCAUUUGGCUACUCGGCCGGAGGCGUCUCGACUUCCAAUGAUCUCGGCGAGUGGAGCGGUGCAAACCACGGUGAUUGGAUGCUCUUGAAAGUAGGGUUUCAGCUUCUUGGUGGCAAAAUGCAUGCCAUAGCACAUCUUCUGGUAGUGAGGGUAGUUCUGCUUGGAGGUUGACAGUACCUCGCUCAGGUAAUAUACCGGUCUCUGUACAGGGAGCGCCUUGCCUUCCUCCUUGCGCUCGACUACGAUGACUGUGCUGACUACUCGGCUGGUGGCAGCGAUGUACAAGAGCAUGGGCUCUUUGGGAGUCGGAGCCGCCAACACGGGGGGAGUUUUCAACAUCUUCUUCAGCUGGAGAAAUGCCUCAUCCGUCUUGUGGUUCCACUCAAAAAAGGUGGUCUUCUUCAUCAAUUGAUACAAGGGCAGAGCUUUUUCGCCCAGCCGACUGAUAAAUCGGCUGAUGGACGCCAGGCAGCCGGUGAACUUCUGCACGUCCAACAGUCGGCUGGGUACCUCCAUUCUCUCGAUGGCCUUGAUCUUCACGAGGUUGCACUCUAUGCCGCGUUCAGAGACCAAGAAACCAAGGAGCUGGCCGGCUGGUACUCCGAAAACGCACUUCUCACGGUUGAGCUUGAUCUGGAAUCGGCGCAGAUUCUCAAAGGUCUCCCUGAGGUCGUCCAGCAGCGUCCCAUGCUUCUCCGUCUUCACCACCACAUCAUCCACAUAGACGUGGGCGUUCCUGCCGAGUUGCUUGAGGAGGCACUUUUGCAUGCAGCGCUGAAAGGUGGCGCCGGCAUUCCUCAAGCCGAACGUCAUUGUCAGGUAGCAGAAGGCUCCAAAUGGUGUAAUGAAUGUAGUCUUCAGUCUGUCCGCUAGGUUCAGCUUGAUCUGGUGGUAUCCUGAGUAUGCGUCUAGGAAACUUAGCAGCUCGCAUCCGGCUGUGGAGUCUAUCACCUGAUCAAUUCUUGGCAGAGCAAACGGGUCCUUUGGCAGGCUUUGUUGAGGCUUGUGUAGUCGAUGCACAUCCGCCACUGCUUGUUCUUCUUCAGUACCAAAACUGGGUUUGCCAGCCACUCUGGAAAAAACACUUCCAUGAUGAAACCGGCUGCCAGGAGCCGGGCUAUCUCUUCCCCAACAACUCUUCUUUUCUCUUCUGACACGUGGUGCAAGGGCUGCCUGACGGGCUUCAUAUCUGGCCUGACGUGUAGCUUGUGCUCGGCGAAUUCCGUCGGUACACCCGGCAUGUCUUUGAGGGACCAUGCAAAGAUGUCCCGAUUCUCACGGAGGAAAUCGACGAGCUUGCCUUCCUAUUUGCUGUCAAGGCCCGUGCCCAUGACAGCGUACCUUUCUGGGUGCUCUGGGUCCAAGGGUAUCUUCUUGGUAUCUUUGGACGGCUUAAAUGAUCCUUCUGCCUCCGACUCCUUGGGAUCGGGCGACAUCUCUGGCUGCUUUCCGGCCAUCGCCACGACUCGGUCAAGGAGCCGCUUCUCGGCCGCGAUCACCAGGGACUCGGCCAGCCGACUGCUCUCGGCCGUGCAGGCGGACGACUUCUUGUAGUCGCCGGCUACGGUCAGAAUCCCCUUGGAACUCGGCAUCUUCAUCUUGAGGUAGGCGUAGUGGGGAACCGCCAUGAACUUGGCCAAGGCAGAUCGACCAAGCAGAGCGUGGUACAGGCUCUCCAAGUCCACCACCUCGAACCAGACCGGCUCUCGGCGGAAAUGAUCUUUGUCUCUGAAGAGGACGUCUAUCAGGAUCUUGCCGAUCGGCGAACAGGAGAGGCCGGGUACAAUUCCAUGGAACACGGUCCGGCUGCUCUGCAGCUGUCUUCGCUUGAUUCCGAGCUUCUCCAUGGUGUCCUUGUACAGGAUGUUGAUGCUACUACCUCCGUCUAUCAGGACUCGUGAAAAAUGGGUGGCCCGCCUAUCAGUGGCCAGGGUCGCACCUAGGACCAGGGCAUAAGAGCCCGGACUCGGCAUCACCUCUGGGUGAUCCGCCCGACUCCAACUGAUAGGCCUCUCGGACCAAUGCAUGAACUCUGGAGCAUCUGUUGCUACUGCAUUUACUUCUUGUUGCUGUUGGCGCCUGCUGCACCGGUCAUCUGCCACACUGGUGAACACUACGUAGGCUCCGUGCUCUUCUGGGAACUCGUCUUGCACUGCGCCGACUGGUCGAGCCGCCGGCAGCUGGGGCGGCGGCGGAGGCGGCAGCCCAGCGGGCGGUGGAGGAGUGAGGCCGUCUCCCUUGGCGAUCCUGGUGAGCCAGUGGCACUUUCUGGUGGUGUGGUUUGACGGCUUCGCGCCGCUGUGGAACUUGCAAGGACCAUCCAAAGUCUGCUCAUAGGUGAAAGCCGGCAACCAAUUGGACUUGCCACCCUUCUGCCGCUUGGCCGGAGGCUGCCCCUCCGGCUGUUGAUCUUCAACUGUCGCCACUUGCCGGCUGUUCGAAGUCGACUGCUGGGCCUUGCACUUGUUGUCGUUCUGUUGCUGUCGCCGACUGGUGUCUCCAGCCGGAGUUCUGAGAGCCUGAGGGGUCACCUUGCCAGCGGCGCUGACUUGGAUCUCUGUCUUCAUGGAAGAGUCGGCCAUGGCAUACUUGUCCGCUAUGACUAGCAGUUCGUCGAGGGUUUCUGGCUCAUCGCAGAGGAGCUUGUGCUUGAGGAGGGUGCCCUCUCGGCACCCGGCACUAAAGUACUCGAUGGCCUGCACGUCGUGCACGCCCUCGCAGGAGUUUCGAAGCUCACCCCAGCGCGUGAGGUAGUCGCGUGUUGAUUCAUCAGGGCCUUGCACGCACAAGGAGAGCUGGCGCGGCUUCGGAGGUCGCUUGUACGUGCUUGUGAAGUUGCGGAUGAAGGCUUCGGUGAAGUCGACCCAACUAUUGAUGCUGCGGGGCUUCAGGCUGUUCAGCCAUGUCCGGGCCGUGCCCUGGAGCAUGAGAGGAUCGUACUUCACGGCAACUCGCUUGUUGCCGUUUGCUAUGCUGACGGCUGUGGAGUAGUCUAUGAGCCAGUCCUCCGGCUUCACGGAGGCGGUGUACUUGGGUGUGUGUCGGGGGAGCGUGAACCCUUUGGGGAAGGGCUCGUCUCUGAUGCGGGGCCCGAAGCAAGGCGGACCCAGCUCGUCCUCUUCUUCCAGCGCCAGGGAUCGGUGGAGUCGGUCGAUCCGAUGGCGUGCGUCAUUCUCUCCGACUCCCUCUCGGCGGCCAAGGCGACCUCCGAGAGUCGGAUGCUCAAUAGGCAGCGGGGAAACUCGCCGCUCUCUUCUGGGCGGGGGAGGCAGGUAGUUGUCCCGCCGCUCUACUGCUCUCGAGCGGCCGUCUUGGUCGCGCUCGAUGGUGAUAUGAGUCCGACUGUGACUGACAGCCGGCUCCUUCUCUUUCCUUCCGCGGACUCCGCCAGUCGGCGUCCGGGAGGUCGCGCCUUGAUCUCGGCGGGGAGGCAAGUCGUCGUUCGGCUGCUGCAGCGCAUCUGCGUGGCCGCCGGCCGCGUUUUGCGCAGUGACCGCGUCAAGGAGCUGUUGGACUCACCCCGUCAUCACACGGCGCACUUCUCCCUCGAAGUUCUUCAGCUCGUCAGUCGCCGCUUGGACGGCGCGGAUGUUCUCCGCUGGGGUGGCGUACACGGGGCGUUUUGCCCCGAGCAAGUCGGCGAUGGCCGCGCCGUGCUGUCGGACCGCACCUAGACGGCUCGGCCCAGUCGGAGCCGGCGAGCUGCCUACGGCGCGAUCCAUCUCGUGCUGGUAUGCCUCUGACAAGCGCCUCAUGCUUGCCAGCUUCUUGGCGCCUUCGAUGAUCUGAAGGCGGCGCGUCUCCAGCGUCUCGGCAUCUGCGUCCUCUGGGAUGGGCGCGGUUAGGUCUUGCAGGGCCGCAGCUAGUGGGUCCUGGGCUUCUUCGCCAGAGUGCUCGCCGUGGCUGAUGACGAGCACCUCCAUGACAGCGCUUCCGCCGCUCUCCUCGUACGGAAGCGGCUCGUCGUAGACCACCACGUUGGUGGGAAAAAUGUCGAGCGACACGGCGUCAGAGUCGACCAGCAUCGGGUCAGAGGAGCCUAUGGACUCCAAGUCUACUGCAGGCUCGCCGGCGACGUGGAGUUGGUCGAGGAGGCCCGCGAGAAGGCUCUCGGGGCCACCCGUGCCCAUGUCGGAUGCAGGUUCGUCGGAGAGGCGCACCUCGCCGACAAGUUCGGCGAGGCCGUUCGCGGCGCAUGCGGCCUCUACGCCGCGCAGCGCGUCGAUGCAGACUCCAUCUGGCGAGCCUGGCUGGCUGCGCUCGCCAGGGAGGAAGAGGGUUCCCGUCCAGAACAGAUCUCCGGACAACGGUGCACCUCGCCCCACGGUGGGCGCCAAAUGUCGGGGGUUGGGUGCGACAUAUGCCAAAGGAUGGCUUAUCAUGGUGGGGGCGAGUAGAACGUCGCCGGUGCCUGGAAACGGGAUAAGGCGUAGACAUGUACGCCGGCGAAUCUUACCCAGCUUCGAGGCUCUCCGGGGAGAUAACACCCCUACUGCUGCUCUGCGGGGUGUCCGCAUGGUCACUAAAGCAAGGUGACUACAAUGGUGCUCCUGGAGCUGUAUCGGAAGGCAGGAGAGAGCAAGGCUAGUUCUCUCCUCCCUGGGCUAUGUGUCUAUCUCUAUCAAUGUCCAAACCCCUUGCAUGGGUGCCCCGGGGGGGUUUAUAUAGUCCUACCCCCCGAGGGUACAAUGGUAAUCCGGCUGGGUGCGGGUCCCAGCCGUCUGUCUCUCAUGCCGCUGUCCUUCCUGCCGCGGACAGGCCGAACACUGUGCAGCGCUCCUGAUGACGCAGGCUUGGUCAUUGGGUCGUGGCAACAGUGCCGCCGUCUAUCAGGCGAUCACUGUCGCCACUCCCCAUCCAAUCUGGUUUAUGGUUUGUGGGGCCCUGGAGGGGAGACGGCCGACUCCGAGGAGGCCGACUCCCACAGGGCCGUCUUCGGGCGCUUUGGCCGCCUUCGGUUCACCCACUGACAGGCGGCCCCGCGGUCUUAGGGCCGUACAGGCCGGCGUCAUGGGCACAGUGCGUCGCGCACUGUGGCUGAGGUCAGGGCAGGCAUGGCAACAGUGUCGCGCCUCGCCGGGGAUCUCCUGGCGAUACAGCUAACUGUAGCCAUGCCAGUCCCUCGUAGGCAGGGAGGGACGGCCACGUCGUGACCGUACCCCACAUCGGGCCUCGUGAAGUGUCAUGGGCCGACUCCCAUAGUCGGCUUCCCUGGAGGUCGCCAGAUUGGAGUCGGCUUGCCCUGGAGUUGUCAUCUGGGACUCGGCUCCUCUGGAGAUCGCCAGCUGGGACUCGGCCUCUCUGGAGGUCGCCAGCUGGGACUCGGCUGGAGGGGCGCGGCCUGCCCCGAUGUCUUGAAAGAUCCUGGGUCCCGGGUCAGCCUACCCGUGGCCCAUAACUCCGAUACUUUUGCAUACUAACUCGGAUGAAAAAGUUUUUUAUAUGAAAAAUCAUCUACUCGAAAAGGUAAAUCAUCCACCUAGAUCUCUUUCCUUCUUGUGCAUUCUCGAUAAUAUGUAUUAUACUUUUCUUUGUUGUUUUCUUUCAUGCUUGGCAAACAACCUUAGCACAUCAUAAUUACCGUCUUGUGUUUUCUUCUUCGGAUGAGCCUCGUCCGGUUCUAGAGACCGGCACCCUCCGGUGGCCCCGGCGGUCUAGGGCGUUGUUCGGCACCUAGAGGGGCUAGGCCAUGGGGAAUAACUGCUUCUUCGUGUUAGUGCAUGUCAUCGCGAGAUAACAUUCCAAGUCUAGGCCCAUUCUGUCACGAGAUCGCCCACCGAAGACUCUGUCUCGGGGACGAACGCAGCCGGUCCUCGACUUUCCCGCCCAUGUGUGUGGUUUGUGAGGCACGUGCCACGUCAGGGAUGUGUGUUGCUUAUUCAAAUAGCACACCACCCCUGCAUGCAUAUGCAUGGGCCACGCGCAUGUACGGGUGCCCUCCCCCACAUCAGGCGGUCUCCAUAUCGAGCACCCAUCUAGUGGCCCCGGCGGUCUAGGGCGUUAUUCGGCACCGAGAGGGUGUAGUCCAUGGUGAAAAACUGCUACUUCAUGUUAGUGCAUGUCAUCGCGAGAUGACAGACCAAGUCUAGGCUCGUUCUGUCACGGGAUCGCCCACCGAAGAUUCUGUCUCGGGAACGGACGCAGCCGGUCCUUGAUGUUCCCGCGCGUGUGUGUGGUUUGUGAGGCAUGUGCCACGUCAAGGACGUGCAUUGCUUAUUCAAAUAGCACACCACCCCUGCAUGCAUAUACAUGGGCCACAGGCAUGUAGGGGUGCCCUCCCCCCCUCGGGAGGUCUCCAUAUCGAGCACCCAUCCGGUGGCCCCGGCGGUCUAGGGCGUUAUUCGACACCCAGAGGGUGUAGUCCACGGUGAAUAACUGCUUCUCUGUGUUAGUGCAUGUCAUUGCGAGAUGACAGACCAAGUCUGGGCCAAAGCCACAACAAGAUCCCAUCCAUGUAGACACGACGCAUCCGUUUCCCCCCUCGAGGAGCCGGCCGUGAGGGGGGCCACACCCUGGAGAGGCGUGCCACCUCUUCGGAUAUGCCACCACACCGUACGACAUGUAUGAGGGCCCGGUGCGAUGCUCCGGUGGCAUUGCUACCCUCCCAGGGCCCCCGUCCUGCCUAACCCUGUAGCGUUUGACCAUCGGAUCUAGCCCUUUGACUUUGCACGGACGGGCUUUGACCAGUGGAACUCUCCACCCGGUUGUGUUAGGUCAGCCCAUAGGAACACUUUGGAGCAACAUCCAGGCCUAAGCCACAGCAAGACCCCAUCCGUGUAGACCCGACGCGUCCGUUUCCCCCUCCAGGUGCCGGCAGCGGCGCCGUCCGUGAGGGGGGGCACACCCCGGAGACGCGGGUCGGGCAUUUGCAACCGCCACAACACUACCAGACUUGUGAGAGGCCGCCUACGCAAGAUUUGGCGGCAUGUGCUAGCCCCCGGAGGCCGCCGGCCACAUUUGUACACACGCGAAGAGCAAUCCGCGGAGAGGGAAGUGUUCAGAUACUUCUUUAAAGUUCUCUCUCGGUGCCGGUCUAGAAAGUUGACCGGCACCGAGAGAGGGGGUAGGUCACGGUCAACAACUUCUUCUUCUCAUGUUUUUUUACAUUACACACUCUUUAAUGUUGAGUUUUGAAAAAAAUCAUCUAAAGUCAUGGAAUUUAUAAACUUUGGUCGUAAAAGCAUAUGAAAUAUGAGAUACAAAAAAGAUAGUGCAAAAAAAGACAAAAAGAGGAGGGGGGAAUUAGAGCAGUCAUUACCGAGAGUCGAUUCUUGGCUCUCGGUUAUUUCCACCUUUUCUGAGAGCUGCUCUCGGUAAACCAUCCACCUAGAUCUCUUUCCUUCUUGUGCAUUCUCGAUAAUAUGUAUUAUACUUUUUUUGUUGUUUUCUUUCAUGAUUGACAAAUAACCGUAGCACAUCAUAAUUACCGUCUUCUGUUUUGUUCUUCGGAUGAGCCUUGUCCGGUUAUAGAGACCGGCACCCCUCCGGUGGACCCGGCGGUCUAGGGCAUUGUUCGGCACCUAGAGAGGGUAGGACACGGGGAAUAACUGCUUCUUCGUGUUAGUGCAUGUCAUCGCGAGAUAACAUUCCAAGUCUAGGCCCGUUCUGUCAUGGGAUCGCCCAACGAAGACUCUGUGUCGGGGACGAACGCAGCCGGUCCUCGACCUUCCAUCCCAUGUGUGUGGUUUGUGAGGCACGUGCCACAUCAAGGACGUGUGUUUCUUAUUAAAAUAGCACACCACCCCUUCAUGCAUAUGCAUGGGCCACGCGCAUGUACGGGUGCCCACCCCCCCUCGGGCGGUCUCCAUAUUGAGCACCCAUACGGUGGCCCCGGCGGUCUAGGGCGUUAUUCGACACCGAGAGGGUGUAGUCCUCGGUGAAUNNNNNNNNNNNNNNNNNNNNNNNNNNNNNNNNNNNNNNNNNNNNNNNNNNNNNNNNNNNNNNNNNNNNNNNNNNNNNNNNNNNNNNNNNNNNNNNNNNNNNNNNNNNNNNNNNNNNNNNNNNNNNNNNNNNNNNNNNNNNNNNNNNNNNNNNNNNNNNNNNNNNNNNNNNNNNNNNNNNNNNNNNNNNNNAUCACGAGAUGACAGACCAAGUCUAGGCUCGUUCUGUCAUGGGAUCACCCACCGAAGAUUCUGUCUCGGGAACGGAUGCAGCCGGUCCUUGACGUUCCCGCCCGUGUGUGUGGUUUGUGAGGCACGUGCCACGUCAAGGAUGUGCGUUGCUUAUUCAAAUAGCACACCACCCCUGCAAGCAUAUACAUGGGCCACAGGCAUGUAGGGGUGCCCUCCCUCCCCUCGGGCGGUCUCCAUAUCGAGCACCCAUCCGGUGGCCCCGACGGUCUAGAGCGUUAUUCGGCACCGAGAGGGUGUAGUCCAUGGUGAAUAACUGCUUCUCCGUGUUAGUGCAUGUCAUUGGGAGAUGACAGACCAAGUCUAGGACAAAGCCACAGCAAGAUCCCAUCCGCGUAGACCCGACGCGUCCAUUCACUAGUAGAAAAGGGGGCUUUGGUCCAGGCCUGGUAACCCCAUUAUUCCCGGUUCAGUCUAGAACCGAGACCAAUGGGGGCAUUGGUCCCGGUUCCUGAGCCCAGGGGGCUGGCCGGGCCACGUGGGCCAUUGGUCCCGGUUCAUCUGGACCUUUUGGUCCCGGUUGGUGGGAUGAACCGGGACCAAUGGGCCUCGCUCCUGGCCCACAACCAUUGGUCCCGGUUCGUGCCUCAAACCGGGACUAAAGAUUNNNNNNNNNNNNNNNNNNNNNNNNNNNNNNNNNNNNNNNNNNNNNNNNNNNNNNNNNNNNNNNNNNNNNNNNNNNNNNNNNNNNNNNNNNNNNNNNNNNNNNNNNNNNNNNNNNNNNNNNNNNNNNNNNNNNNNNNNNNNNNNNNNNNNNNNNNNNNNNNNNNNNNNNNNNNNNNNNNNNNNNNNNNNNNNNNNNNNNNNNNNNNNNNNNNNNNNNNNNNNNNNNNNNNNNNNNNNNNNNNNNNNNNNNNNNNNNNNNNNNNNNNNNNNNNNNNNNNNNNNNNNNNNNNNNNNNNNNNNNNNNNNNNNNNNNNNNNNNNNNNNNNNNNNNNNNNNNNNNNNNNNNNNNNNNNNNNNNNNNNNNNNNNNNNNNNNNNNNNNNAAAGAAAAUAAGUUUCCCAUGUGAUAUGUGGUCUAGUUGUUGGGAAAAUAUGCAAAUGUGAAUUUUGGCUUUAUUUGCAAAAUCUCUCUAAAAUUUGUAAAAAUGGGCAUAACUUUUCCAUACUAACUCGGAUGAAAAAGUUUUUUAUAUGAAAAAUCAUCUACUCGAAAAGGUAAAUCAUCCACCUAGAUCUCUUUCCUUCUUGUGCAUUCUCGAUAAUAUGUAUUAUACUUUUUUUGUUGUUUUCUUUCAUGCUUGGCAAACAACCUUAGCACAUCAUAAUUACAGUCUUGUGUUUUCUUCUUCGGAUGAGCCUCGUCCGGUUCUAGAGACCGGCACCCCUCCGGUGACCUCGGCGGUCUAGGGAGUUGUUCGGCACCUAGAGGGGGUAGGCCACGGGGAAUAACUACUUCUUCGUGUUAGUGCAUGUCAUCGCGAGAUAACAUUCCAAGUCUAGGCCCGUUCUGUCACGGGAUCACCCACCGAAGACUCUGUCUCGGGGACGAACGCAGCCGGUCCUCGACGUUCCCGCCCAUGUGUGUCGUUUGUGAGGCACGUGCCACGUCAAGGACGUGCGUUUCUUAUUAAAAUAGCACACCACCCCUGCAUGCAUAUGCAUGGGCCACGCGCAUGUAUGGGUGCCCUCCCCCCCCUCGGGCGGUCUCCAUAUUGAGCACCCAUACGGUGGCCUCGACGGUCUAGGGCAUUAUUCGACACCGAGAGGGUGUAGUCCUCGGUGAAUAAGUGCUACUCCGUGAUAGUGCAUGUCAUCGCNNNNNNNNNNGCAUGUCAUCACGAGAUGACAGACCAAGUCUAGGCUCGUUCUGUCACGGGAUCACCCACCGAAGAUUCUGUCUUGGGAACGGACGCAGCCGGUCCUUGACGUUCCCGCCCGUGUGUGUGGUUUGUGAGGCACGUGCCACGUCAAGGAUGUGCGUUGCUUAUUCAAAUAGCACACCACCCCUGCAUGCAUAUACAUGGGCCACAGGCAUGUAGGGGGCCCUCCCUCCCCUCGGGCGGUCUCCAUAUCGAGCACCCAUCCGGUGGCCCCGGCGGUCUAGAGCGUUAUUCGGCACCGAGAGGGUGUAGUCCACGGUGAAUAACUGCUUCUCCGUGUUAGUGCAUGUCAUUGCGAGAUGACAGACCAAGUCUAGGCCAAAGCCACAACAAGAUCCCAUCCGCGUAGACCCGACGCGUUCGUUCACUAGUAGAAAAGGGGGCUUUGGUCCAGGCCGGGUAACCCCAUUAGUCCCGGUUCAGUCUAGAACCGGGACCAAUGGCGGCAUUGGUCCCGGUUCCUGAGCCCAGGGGACCGGCCGGGCCACGUGGGCCAUUGGUCCCGGUUCAUCUGGACCUUUUGGUCCCGGUUGGUGGGAUGAACCGGGACCAAUGGGCCUCGCUCCUGGCCCACAACCAUUGGUCCCGGUUCGUGCCUCAAANNNNNNNNNNNNNNNNNNNNNNNNNNNNNNNNNNNNNNNNNNNNNNNNNNNNNNNNNNNNNNNNNNNNNNNNNNNNNNNNNNNNNNNNNNNNNNNNNNNNNNNNNNNNNNNNNNNNNNNNNNNNNNNNNNNNNNNNNNNNNNNNNNNNNNNNNNNNNNNNNNNNNNNNNNNNNNNNNNNNNNNNNNNNNNNNNNNNNNNNNNNNNNNNNNNNNNNNNNNNNNNNNNNNNNNNNNNNNNNNNNNNNNNNNNNNNNNNNNNNNNNNNNNNNNNNNNNNNNNNNNNNNNNNNNNNNNNNNNNNNNNNNNNNNNNNNNNNNNNNNNNNNNNNNNNNNNNNNNNNNNNNNNNNNNNNNNNNNNNNNNNNNNNNNNNNNNNNNNNNNNNNNNNNNNNNNNNNNNNNNNNNNNNNNNNNNNNNNNNNNNNNNNNNNNNNNNNNNNNNNNNNNNNNNNNNNNNNNNNNNNNNNNNNNNNNNNNNNNNNNNNNNNNNNNNNNNNNNNNNNNNNNNNNNNNNNNNNNNNNNNNNNNNNNNNNNNNNNNNNNNNNNNNNNNNNNNNNNNNNNNNNNNNNNNNNNNNNNNNNNNNNNNNNNNNNNNNNNNNNNNNNNNNNNNNNNNNNNNNNNNNNNNNNNNNNNNNNNNNNNNNNNNNNNNNNNNNNNNNNNNNNNNNNNNNNNNNNNNNNNNNNNNNNNNNNNNNNNNNNNNNNNNNNNNNNNNNNNNNNNNNNNNNNNNNNNNNNNNNNNNNNNNNNNNNNNNNNNNNNNNNNNNNNNNNNNNNNNNNNNNNNNNNNNNNNNNNNNNNNNNNNNNNNNNNNNNNNNNNNNNNNNNNNNNNNNNNNNNNNNNNNNNNNNNNNNNNNNNNNNNNNNNNNNNNNNNNNNNNNNNNNNNNNNNNNNNNNNNNNNNNNNNNNNNNNNNNNNNNNNNNNNNNNNNNNNNNNNNNNNNNNNNNNNNNNNNNNNNNNNNNNNNNNNNNNNNNNNNNNNNNNNNNNNNNNNNNNNNNNNNNNNNNNNNNNNNNNNNNNNNNNNNNNNNNNNNNNNNNNNNNNNNNNNNNNNNNNNNNNNNNNNNNNNNNNNNNNNNNNNNNNNNNNNNNNNNNNNNNNNNNNNNNNNNNNNNNNNNNNNNNNNNNNNNNNNNNNNNNNNNNNNNNNNNNNNNNNNNNNNNNNNNNNNNNNNNNNNNNNNNNNNNNNNNNNNNNNNNNNNNNNNNNNNNNNNNNNNNNNNNNNNNNNNNNNNNNNNNNNNNNNNNNNNNNNNNNNNNNNNNNNNNNNNNNNNNNNNNNNNNNNNNNNNNNNNNNNNNNNNNNNNNNNNNNNNNNNNNNNNNNNNNNNNNNNNNNNNNNNNNNNNNNNNNNNNNNNNNNNNNNNNNNNNNNNNNNNNNNNNNNNNNNNNNNNNNNNNNNNNNNNNNNNNNNNNNNNNNNNNNNNNNNNNNNNNNNNNNNNNNNNNNNNNNNNNNNNNNNNNNNNNNNNNNNNNNNNNNNNNNNNNNNNNNNNNNNNNNNNNNNNNNNNNNNNNNNNNNNNNNNNNNNNNNNNNNNNNNNNNNNNNNNNNNNNNNNNNNNNNNNNNNNNNNNNNNNNNNNNNNNNNNNNNNNNNNNNNNNNNNNNNNNNNNNNNNNNNNNNNNNNNNNNNNNNNNNNNNNNNNNNNNNNNNNNNNNNNNNNNNNNNNNNNNNNNNGUUUUAAAAAAAAUAAACGAAAAUGAUGGAAAUGCCAAAAAAAUAAAAGAAAAUAAGUUUCCCAUGUGAUAUGUGGUCUAGUUGUUGGGAAAAUUUGCAAAUGUGAAUUUUGACUUUAUUUGCAAAAUCUCUCUGAAAUUUGUAAAAAUGGGCAUAACUUUUGCAUACUAACUCGGAUGAAAAAGUUUUUUAUAUGAAAAAUCAUCUACUCGAAAAGGUAAAAUCAUCCACCUAGAUCUCUUUUCUUCUUGUGCAUUCUCGAUAAUAUGUAUUAUACUUUUUUUGUUGUUUUCUUUCAUGCUUGGCAAACAACCUUAGCACAUCAUAAUUACCGUCUUGUGUUUUCUUCUUCGGAUGAGCCUCGUCCGGUUCUAGAGACCGGCACCCCUCCAGUGGCCCCGGUGGUCUAGGGCGUUGUUCGGCACCUAGAGGGGGUAGGCCAUGGGGAAUAACUGCUUCUUCGUGCUAGCGCAUGUCAUCGCGAGAUCACAUUCCAAGUCUAGGCCCGUUCUGUCACGGGAUCGCCCACCGAAGACUCUAUCUCGGGGACGAUCGCAGCUGGUCCUCGACGUUCCCGCCCAUGUGUGUGGUUUGUGAGGCACUGCCACAUCAAGGACGUGCGUUUCUUAUUAAAAUAGCACACCACCCCUGCAUGCAUAUGCAUGGGCCACGCGCAUGUACGGGUGCCCUCCCCCCCUCCUCGGGCGGUAUCCACAUUGAGCACACAUACGGUGGCCCCGACGGUCUAGGGCGUUAUUCGACACCGAGAGGGUGUAGUCCUUGAUGAAUAACUACUACUCCGUGUUAGUGCAUGUCAUCACGAGAUGACAGACCAAGUCUAGGAUCGUUCUGUCACGGGAUCACCAACCGAAGAUUCUGUCUCGUGAACGGACGCAGCCGGUCCUUGACGUUCCCGCACGUGUGUGUUGUUUGUGAGGCACGUGCCACGUCAAGGAUGUGCGUUGCUUAUUCAAAUAGCACACCACCCCUGCAUGCAUAUACAUGGGCCAUAGGCAUGUAGGGGUGCCCUCCCUCCCCUCGGGCGGUCUUCAUAUCGAGCACCCAUCCGGUGGCCCCGGUGGUCUAGAGCGUUAUUCGGCACCAAGAGGGUGUAGUCCAUGGUGAAUAACUGCUUCUCCGUGUUAGUGCAUGUCAUUGCGAGAUGACAGACCAAGUCUAGGCCAAAGCCACAGCAAGAUCCCAUCCGUGUAGACCCGACGCGUCCGUUCACUAGUAGAAAAGGGGGCUUUGGUCCAGGCCGGGUAACCCCAUUAGUCCCGGUUCAGUCUAGAACCAGGACCAAUGGGGGCAUUGGUCCCGGUUCCUGAGCCCAGGGGGCCAGCCGGGCCACGUGGGCCAUUGGUCCCGGUUCAUCUGAACCUUUUGGUCCCGGUUGGUGGGAUGAACCGGGACCAAUGGGCCUCGCUCCUGGCCCACAACCAUUGGUCCCGGUUCGUGCCUCAAACCGGGACUAAAGAUUAGACCUUUAGUCCCGGUUUGUGGCACGAACCGGGACUAAUGGGGAUGAGACCUUUAGUCCNNNNNNNNNNNNNNNNNNNNNNNNNNNNNNNNNNNNNNNNNNNNNNNNNNNNNNNNNNNNNNNNNNNNNNNNNNNNNNNNNNNNNNNNNNNNNNNNNNNNNNNNNNNNNNNNNNNNNNNNNNNNNNNNNNNNNNNNNNNNNNNNNNNNNNNNNNNNNNNNNNNNNNNNNNNNNNNNNNNNNNNNNNNNNNNNNNNNNNNNNNNNNNNNNNNNNNNNNNNNNNNNNNNNNNNNNNNNNNNNNNNNNNNNNNNNNNNNNNNNNNNNNNNNNNNNNNNNNNNNNNNNNNNNNNNNNNNNNNNNNNNNNNNNNNNNNNNNNNNNNNNNNNNNNNNNNNNNNNNNNNNNNNNNNNNNNNNNNNNNNNNNNNNNNNNNNNNNNNNNNNNNNNNNNNNNNNNNNNNNNNNNNNNNNNNNNNNNNNNNNNNNNNNNNNNNNNNNNNNNNNNNNNNNNNNNNNNNNNNNNNNNNNNNNNNNNNNNNNNNNNNNNNNNNNNNNNNNNNNNNNNNNNNNNNNNNNNNNNNNNNNNNNNNNNNNNNNNNNNNNNNNNNNNNNNNNNNNNNNNNNNNNNNNNNNNNNNNNNNNNNNNNNNNNNNNNNNNNNNNNNNNNNNNNNNNNNNNNNNNNNNNNNNNNNNNNNNNNNNNNNNNNNNNNNNNNNNNNNNNNNNNNNNNNNNNNNNNNNNNNNNNNNNNNNNNNNNNNNNNNNNNNNNNNNNNNNNNNNNNNNNNNNNNNNNNNNNNNNNNNNNNNNNNNNNNNNNNNNNNNNNNNNNNNNNNNNNNNNNNNNNNNNNNNNNNNNNNNNNNNNNNNNNNNNNNNNNNNNNNNNNNNNNNNNNNNNNNNNNNNNNNNNNNNNNNNNNNNNNNNNNNNNNNNNNNNNNNNNNNNNNNNNNNNNNNNNNNNNNNNNNNNNNNNNNNNNNNNNNNNNNNNNNNNNNNNNNNNNNNNNNNNNNNNNNNNNNNNNNNNNNNNNNNNNNNNNNNNNNNNNNNNNNNNNNNNNNNNNNNNNNNNNNNNNNNNNNNNNNNNNNNNNNNNNNNNNNNNNNNNNNNNNNNNNNNNNNNNNNNNNNNNNNNNNNNNNNNNNNNNNNNNNNNNNNNNNNNNNNNNNNNNNNNNNNNNNNNNNNNNNNNNNNNNNNNNNNNNNNNNNNNNNNNNNNNNNNNNNNNNNNNNNNNNNNNNNNNNNNNNNNNNNNNNNNNNNNNNNNNNNNNNNNNNNNNNNNNNNNNNNNNNNNNNNNNNNNNNNNNNNNNNNNNNNNNNNNNNNNNNNNNNNNNNNNNNNNNNNNNNNNNNNNNNNNNNNNNNNNNNNNNNNNNNNNNNNNNNNNNNNNNNNNNNNNNNNNNNNNNNNNNNNNNNNNNNNNNNNNNNNNNNNNNNNNNNNNNNNNNNNNNNGUUCAGUCUAGAACCGGGACCAAUGGGGGCAUUGGUCCCGGUUCCUGAGCCCAGGGGGCCGGCCGGGCCACGUGGGCCAUUGGUCCCGGUUCAUCUGGACCUUUUGGUCCCGGUUGGUGGGAUGAACCGGGACCAAUGGGCAUCGCUCCUGGCCCACAACCAUUGGUCCCGGUUCGUGCCUCAAACCGGGACUAAAGAUUAGACCUUUAGUCCCGGUUUGAGGCACGAACCGGGACUAAUGGGGAUGAGACCUUUAGUCCCGGUUCGUGCCACGAACCGGUACUAAAGGUCCCAUUUUCAAACUCUACCCCCCGGUGGAUCGCCUUUUCAGUUUUAAAAAAAUAAACGAAAAUGAUGGAAAUGUCAAAAAAAUAAAAGAAAAUAAGUUUCCCAUAUGAUAUGUGGUCUAGUUGUUGGGAAAAUUUGCAAAUGUGAUUUUUGACUAUAUUUGCAAAAUCUCUCUAAAAUUUGUAAAAAUGGGCAUAACUUUUGCAUACUAACUCGAAUGAAAAAGUUUUUUAUAUGAAAAAUCAACUACUCGAAAAGGUAAAUCAUCCACCUAGAUCUCUUUCCUUCUUGUGCAUUCUCGAUAAUAUGUAUUAUACUUUUUUUUGUUGUUUUCUUUCAUGUCUGGCAAACAACCUUAGCACAUCAUAAUUACCGUCUUGUGUUUUCUUCUUCGGAUGAGCCUCGUCCGGUUCUAGAGACCGACACCCCUCCGGUGGCGCCGGCGGUCUAGGGCGUUGUUCGACACCUAGAGGGGGUAGGCCACGGGGAAUAACUGCAUCUUCGUGUUAGUGCAUGUCAUCGCGAGAUAACAUUCCAUGUUUAGGCCCGUUCUGUCAUGGGAUCGCCCAACAAAGACUCUCUCUCGGGGACGAACGCAGCCGGUCCUCGACGUUCCCGCCCAUGUGUGUGGUUUGUGAGGCACGUGCCACGUCAAGGACGUGCGUUUCUUAUUAAAAUAGCACACCACCCCUGCAUGCAUAUGCAUGGGCCACGCGCAUGUACGGGUGCCCUCCCCCCCUCGGGCGGUCUCCAUAUUGAGCACCCAUACGGUGGCCCCGACGGUCUAGGGCGUUAUUCGACACCGAGAGGGUGUAGUCCUCGGCGAAUAACUGCUACUCCGUGUUAGUGCAUGUCAUCACGAGAUGACAGACCAAGUCUAGGCUCAUUCUGUCACGGGAUCACCCACCGAAGAUUCUGUCUCGGGAACGGACNNNNNNNNNNNNNNNNNNNNNNNNNNNNNNNNNNNNNNNNNNNNNNNNNNNNNNNNNNNNNNNNNNNNNNNNNNNNNNNNNNNNNNNNNNNNNNNNNNNNNNNNNNNNNNNNNNNNNNNNNNNNNNNNNNNNNNNNNNNNNNNNNNNNNNNNNNNNNNNNNNNNNNNNNNNNNNNNNNNNNNNNNNNNNNNNNNNNNNNNNNNNNNNNNNNNNNNNNNNNNNNNNNNNNNNNNNNNNNNNNNNNNNNNNNNNNNNNNNNNNNNNNNNNNNNNNNNNNNNNNNNNNNNNNNNNNNNNNNNNNNNNNNNNNNNNNNNNNNNNNNNNNNNNNNNNNNNNNNNNNNNNNNNNNNNNNNNNNNNNNNNNNNNNNNNNNNNNNNNNNNNNNNNNNNNNNNNNNNNNNNNNNNNNNNNNNNNNNNNNNNNNNNNNNNNNNNNNNNNNNNNNNNNNNNNNNNNNNNNNNNNNNNNNNNNNNNNNNNNNNNNNNNNNNNNNNNNNNNNNNNNNNNNNNNNNNNNNNNNNNNNNNNNNNNNNNNNNNNNNNNNNNNNNNNNNNNNNNNNNNNNNNNNNNNNNNNNNNNNNNNNNNNNNNNNNNNNNNNNNNNNNNNNNNNNNNNNNNNNNNNNNNNNNNNNNNNNNNNNNNNNNNNNNNNNNNNNNNNNNNNNNNNNNNNNNNNNNNNNNNNNNNNNNNNNNNNNNNNNNNNNNNNNNNNNNNNNNNNNNNNNNNNNNNNNNNNNNNNNNNNNNNNNNNNNNNNNNNNNNNNNNNNNNNNNNNNNNNNNNNNNNNNNNNNNNNNNNNNNNNNNNNNNNNNNNNNNNNNNNNNNNNNNNNNNNNNNNNNNNNNNNNNNNNNNNNNNNNNNNNNNNNNNNNNNNNNNNNNNNNNNNNNNNNNNNNNNNNNNNNNNNNNNNNNNNNNNNNNNNNNNNNNNNNNNNNNNNNNNNNNNNNNNNNNNNNNNNNNNNNNNNNNNNNNNNNNNNNNNNNNNNNNNNNNNNNNNNNNNNNNNNNNNNNNNNNNNNNNNNNNNNNNNNNNNNNNNNNNNNNNNNNNNNNNNNNNNNNNNNNNNNNNNNNNNNNNNNNNNNNNNNNNNNNNNNNNNNNNNNNNNNNNNNNNNNNNNNNNNNNNNNNNNNNNNNNNNNNNNNNNNNNNNNNNNNNNNNNNNNNNNNNNNNNNNNNNNNNNNNNNNNNNNNNNNNNNNNNNNNNNNNNNNNNNNNNNNNNNNNNAUAACUACUACUCCGUGUUAGUGCAUGUCAUCACGAGAUGACAGACCAAGUCUAGGAUCGUUCUGUCACGGGAUCACCAACCGAAGAUUCUGUCUCGUGAACGGACGCAGCCGGUCCUUGACGUUCCCGCACGUGUGUGUUGUUUGUGAGGCACGUGCCACGUCAAGGAUGUGCGUUGCUUAUUCAAAUAGCACACCACCCCUGCAUGCAUAUACAUGGGCCAUAGGCAUGUAGGGGUGCCCUCCCUCCCCUCGGGCGGUCUUCAUAUCGAGCACCCAUCCGGUGGCCCCGGUGGUCUAGAGCGUUAUUCGGCACCAAGAGGNNNNNNNNNNNNNNNNNNNNNNNNNNNNNNNNNNNNNNNNNNNNNNNNNNNNNNNNNNNNNNNNNNNNNNNNNNNNNNNNNNNNNNNNNNNNNNNNNNNNNNNNNNNNNNNNNNNNNNNNNNNNNNNNNNNNNNNNNNNNNNNNNNNNNNNNNNNNNNNNNNNNNNNNNNNNNNNNNNNNNNNACGUGGGCCAUUGGUCCCGGUUCAUCUGAACCUUUUGGUCCCGGUUGGUGGGAUGAACCGGGACCAAUGGGCCUCGCUCCUGGCCCACAACCAUUGGUCCCGGUUCGUGCCUCAAACCGGGACUAAAGAUUAGACCUUUAGUCCCGGUUUGUGGCACGAACCGGGACUAAUGGGGAUGAGACCUUUAGUCCUGGUUCGUGCCACGAACCGGUACUAAAGGUCCCAUUUUCAAACUCUACCCCCCCUGUGGAUCGCCUUUCCAGUUUUAAAAAAAUAAACGAAAAUGAUGGAAAUGUCAAAAAAAUAAAAGAAAAUAAGUUUCCCAUGUGAUAUGUGGUCUAGUUGUUGGGAAAAUUUGCAAAUGUGAAUUUUGACUUUAUUUGCAAAAUCUAUCUGAAAUUUGUAAAAAUGGGCAUAACUUUUGCAUACUAACUCAGAUGAAAAAGUUUUUAUAUGAAAAAUCAUCUACUCGAAAAGGUAAAUCAUCCACCUAGAUCUCUUUCCUUCUUGUGCAUUCUCGAUAAUAUGUAUUAUACUUUUUUUUUUGUUUUCUUUCAUGCUUGGCAAACAACCUUAGCACAUCAUAAUUACCGUCUUGUGUUUUCUUCUUCUGAUGAGCCUCGUCCGGUUCUAAAGACCGGCACCCCUCCGGUGGCGCCGGCGGUCUAGGGUGUUGUUCGGCACCUAGAGGGGGUAGGCCACGGGGAAUAACUGCUUCUUCGUGUUAGUGCAUGUCAUCGCGAGAUAACAUUCCAAGUCUAGGCCCGUUCUAUCACGGGAUCGCCCACCGAAGACUCUCUCUCGGGGACGAACGCAGCCGGUCCUCGACGUUCCUGCCCAUGUGUGUGGUUUGUGAGGCACGUGCCACGUCAAGGACGUGCGUUUCUUAUUAAAAAUAGCACACCACCCCUGCAUGCAUAUGCAUGGGCCACGCGCAUGUACGGGUGCCCUCCCCCCCCUCGGGCGGUCUCCAUAUUGAGCACCCAUACGGUGGCCCCGGCGGUCUAGGGCGUUAUUCGACACCGAGAGGGUGUAGUCCUCGGUGAAUAACUGCUACUCCGUNNNNNNNNNNNNNNNNNNNNNNNNNNNNNNNNNNNNNNNNNNNNNNNNNNNNNNNNNNNNNNNNNNNNNNNAUGUCAUUGCGAGAUGACAGACCAAGUCUAGGCCAAAGCCACAGCAAGAUCCCAUCCGUGUAGACCCGACGCGUCCGUUCACUAGUAGAAAAGGGGGCUUUGGUCCAGGCCGGGUAACCCCAUUAGUCCCGGUUCAGUCUAGAACCGGGACCAAUGGGGGCAUUGGUCCCGGUUCCUGAGCCCAGGGGGCCGGCCGGGCCACGUGGGCCAUUGGUCCCGGUUCAUCUGGACCUUUUGGUCCCGGUUGGUGGGAUGAACCGGGACCAAUGGGCAUCGCUCCUGGCCCACAACCAUUGGUCCCGGUUCGUGCCUCAAACCGGGACUAAAGAUUAGACCUUUAGUCCCGGUUUGAGGCACGAACCGGGACUAAUGGGGAUGAGACCUUUAGUCCCGGUUCGUGCCACGAACCGGUACUAAAGGUCCCAUUUUCAAACUCUACCCCCCGGUGGAUCGCCUUUUCAGUUUUAAAAAAAUAAACGAAAAUGAUGGAAAUGUCAAAAAAAUAAAAGAAAAUAAGUUUCCCAUGUGAUAUCUGGUCUAGUUGUUGGGAAAAUUUGCAAAUGUGAAUUUUAACUUCAUUUGCAAAAUCUCUCUGAAAUUUGUAAAAAUGGGCAUAACUUUUGCAUACUAACUCGGAUGAAAAAGUUUUUUAUAUGAAAAAUCAUCUACUCGAAAAGGUAAAUCAUCCACCUAGAUCUCUUUCCUUCCUGUGCAUUCUCGAUAAUAUGUAUUAUACUUUUUUUUGUUGUUUUCUUUCAUGCUUGGCAAACAACCUUAGCACAUCAUAAUUACCGUCUUGUGUUUUCUUCUUCGGAUGAGCGUCGUCCGGUUCUAAAGACCGGCACCCCUCCGAUGGCGCCGGCGGUCUAGGGUGUUGUUCGGCACCUAGAGGGGGUAGGCCACGGGGAAUAACUGCUUCUUCGUGUUAGUGCAUGUCAUCGCGAGAUAACAUUCCAAGUCUAGGCCCGUUCUAUCACGGGAUCGCCCACCGAAGACUCUCUCUCGGGGACGAACGCAGCCGGUCCUCGACGUUCCUGCCCAUGUGUGUGGUUUGUGAGGCACGUGCCACGUCAAGGACGUGCGUUUCUUAUUAAAAUAGCACACCACCCCUGCAUGCAUAUGCAUGGGCCACGCGCAUGUACGGGUGCCCUCCCCCCCCCUCGGGCGGUCUCCAUAUUGAGCACCCAUACGGUGGCCUCGGCGGUCUAGGGCGUUAUUCGACACCGAGAGGGUGUAGUCCUCGGUGAAUAACUGCUACUCCGUGUUAGUGCAUGUCAUCACGAGAUGACAGACCAAGUCUAGGCUCAUUCUGUCACGGGAUCACCCACCGAAGAUUCUGUCUCGGGAACGGACGCAGCCGGUCCUUGACNNNNNNNNNNGUCUAGGGCGUUAUUCGACACCGAGAGGGUGUAGUCCUCGGUGAAUAACUGCUACUCCGUGUUAGUGCAUGUCAUCACGAGAUGACAAACCAAGUCUAGGCUCGUUCUGUCACGGGAUCACCCACCGAAGAUUGUGUCUUGGGAACAGACGCAACCGGUCCUUGACGUUCCCGCCCGUGUGUGUGGUUUGUGAGGCACGUGCCACGUCAAGGAUGUGCGUUUCUUAUUCCAAUAGCACACCACCCCUGCAUGCAUAUACAUGGGCCACAGGCAUGUAGGGGUGCCCUCCCUCCCCUCGGGCGGUCUCCAUAUCGGGCACCCUUCCGGUGGCCCCGGCGGUCUAGAGCGUUAUUCGGCAUCGAGAAGGUGUAGUCCAUGGUGAAUAACUGCUUCUCCGUGUUAGUGCAUGUCAUUGCGAGAUGACAGACCAAGUCUAGGCCAAAGCCACAGCAAGAUCCCAUCCGUGUAGACCCGACGCGUCCGUUCACUAGUAGAAAAGGGGGCUUUGGUCCAGGCCGGGUAACCCCAUUAGUCCCGGUUCAGUCUAGAACCGGGACCAAUGGGGGCAUUGGUCCCGGUUCCUGAGCCCAGGGGGCCGGCCGGGCCACGUGGGCCAUUGGUCCCGGUUCAUCUGGACCUUUUGGUCCCGGUUGGUGGGAUGAACCGGGACCAAUGGGCAUCGCUCCUGGCCCACAACCAUUGGUCCCGGUUCGUGCCUCAAACCGGGACUAAAGAUUAGACCUUUAGUCCCGGUUUGAGGCACGAACCGGGACUAAUGGGGAUGAGACCUUUAGUCCCGGUUCGUGCCACGAACCGGUACUAAAGGUCCCAUUUUCAAACUCUACCCCCCGGUGGAUCGCCUUUUCAGUUUAAAAAAAAUAAACGAAAAUGAUGGAAAUGUCAAAAAAAUAAAAGAAAAUAAGUUUCCCAUAUGAUAUGUGGUCUAGUUGUUGGGAAAAUUUGCAAAUGUGAUUUUUGACUAUAUUUGCAAAAUCUCUCUAAAAUUUGUAAAAAUGGGCAUAACUUUUGCAUACUAACUCGAAUGAAAAAGUUUUUUAUAUGAAAAAUCUACUACUCGAAAAGGUAAAUCAUCCACCUAGAUCUCUUUCCUUCUUGUGCAUUCUCGAUAAUAUGUAUUAUACUUUUUUUUGUUGUUUUCUUUCAUGUCUGGCAAACAACCUUAGCACAUCUUAAUUACCGUCUUGUGUUUUCUUCUUCGGAUGAGCCUCGUCCGGUUCUAGAGACCGACACCCCUCCGGUGGCCCCAGCGGUCUAGGGCAUUGUUCGACACCUAGAGGGGGUAGGCCACGGGGAAUAACUGCAUCUUCGUGUUAGUGCAUGUCAUCGCGAGAUAACAUUCCAUGUCUAGGCCCGUUCUGUCAUGGGAUCGCCCACCAAAGACUCUGUCUCGGGGACGAACGCAGCCGGUCCUCGACGUUCCCGCCCAUGUGUGUGGUUUGUGAGGCACGUGCCACGUCAAGGACGUGCGUUUCUUAUUAAAAUAGCACACCACCCCUGCAUGCAUAUGCAUGGGCCACGCGCAUCUACGGGUGCCCUCCCCCCCUCGGGCGGUCUCCAUAUUGAGCACCCAUAUGGUGGCCCCGACGGUCUAGGGCGUUAUUCGACACCGAGAGGGUGUAGUCCUCGGUGAAUAACUGCUACUCCGUGUUAGUGCAUGUCAUCACGAGAUGACAGACCAAGUCUAGGCUCAUUCUGUCACGGCAUCACCCACCGAAGAUUCUGUCUCGGGAACGGACGCAGCCGGUCCUUGACGUUCCCGCCCGUGUGUGUGGUUUGUNNNNNNNNNNAUGUCAUUGCGAGAUGACAGACCAAGUCUAGGCCAAAGCCACAGCAAGAUCCCAUCCGUGUAGACCCGACGCGUCCGUUCACUAGUAGAAAAGGGGGCUUUGGUCCAGGCCGGGUAACCCCAUUAGUCCCGGUUCAGUCUAGAACCGGGACCAAUGGGGGCAUUGGUCCCGGUUCCUGAGCCCAGGGGGCCGGCCGGGCCACGUGGGCCAUUGGUCCCGGUUCAUCUGGACCUUUUGGUCCCGGUUGGUGGGAUGAACCGGGACCAAUGGGCAUCGCUCCUGGCCCACAACCAUUGGUCCCGGUUCGUGCCUCAAACCGGGACUAAAGAUUAGACCUUUAGUCCCGGUUUGAGGCACGAACCGGGACUAAUGGGGAUGAGACCUUUAGUCCCGGUUCGUGCCACGAACCGGUACUAAAGGUCCCAUUUUCAAACUCUACCCCCCGGUGGAUCGCCUUUUCAGUUUUAAAAAAAUAAACGAAAAUGAUGGAAAUGUCAAAAAAAUAAAAGAAAAUAAGUUUCCCAUGUGAUAUCUGGUCUAGUUGUUGGGAAAAUUUGCAAAUGUGAAUUUUAACUUUAUUUGCAAAAUCUCUCUGAAAUUUGUAAAAAUGGGAAUAACUUUUGCAUACUAACUCGGAUGAAAAAGUUUUUUAUAUGAAAAAUCAUCUACUCGAAAAGGUAAAUCAUCCACCUAGAUCUCUUUCCUUCCUGUGCAUUCUCGAUAAUAUGUAUUAUACUUUUUUUUUGUUGUUUUCUUUCAUGCUUGGCAAACAACCUUAGCACAUCAUAAUUACCGUCUUGUGUUUUCUUCUUCGGAUGAGCCUCGUCCGGUUCUAAAGACCGGCACCCCUCCGGUGGCGCCGGCGGUCUAGGGUGUUGUUCGGCACCUAGAGGGGGUAGGCCACGGGGAAUAACUGCUUCUUCGUGUUAGUGCAUGUCAUCGCGAGAUAACAUUCCAAGUCUAGGCCGGUUCUAUCACGGGAUCGCCCACCGAAGACUCUCUCUCGGGGACGAACGCAGCCGGUCCUCGACGUUCCUGCCCAUGUGUGUGGUUUGUGAGGCACGUGCCACGUCAAGGACGUGCGUUUCUUAUUAAAAUAGCACACCACCCCUGCAUGCAUAUGCAUGGGCCACGCGCAUGUACGGGUGCCCUCCCCCCCCUCGGGCGGUCUCCAUAUUGAGCACCCAUACGGUGGCCUCGGCGGUCUAGGGCGUUAUUCGACACCGAGAGGGUGUAGUCCUCGGUGAAUAACUGCUACUCCGUGUUAGUGCAUGUCAUCACGAGAUGACAGACCAAGUCUAGGCUCAUUCUGUCACGGGAUCACCCACCGAAGAUUCUGUCUCGGGAACGGACGCAGCCGGUCCUUGACNNNNNNNNNNNNNNNNNNNNNNNNNNNNNNNNNNNNNNNNNNNNNNNNNNNNNNNNNNNNNNNNNNNNNNNNNNNNNNNNNNNNNNNNNNNNNNNNNNNNNNNNNNNNNNNNNNNNNNNNNNNNNNNNNNNNNNNNNNNNNNNNNNNNNNNNNNNNNNNNNNNNNNNNNNNNNNNNNNNNNNNNNNNNNNNNNNNNNNNNNNNNNNNNNNNNNNNNNNNNNNNNNNNNNNNNNNNNNNNNNNNNNNNNNNNNNNNNNNNNNNNNNNNNNNNNNNNNNNNNNNNNNNNNNNNNNNNNNNNNNNNNNNNNNNNNNNNNNNNNNNNNNNNNNNNNNNNNNNNNNNNNNNNNNNNNNNNNNNNNNNNNNNNNNNNNNNNNNNNNNNNNNNNNNNNNNNNNNNNNNNNNNNNNNNNNNNNNNNNNNNNNNNNNNNNNNNNNNNNNNNNNNNNNNNNNNNNNNNNNNNNNNNNNNNNNNNNNNNNNNNNNNNNNNNNNNNNNNNNNNNNNNNNNNNNNNNNNNNNNNNNNNNNNNNNNNNNNNNNNNNNNNNNNNNNNNNNNNNNNNNNNNNNNNNNNNNNNNNNNNNNNNNNNNNNNNNNNNNNNNNNNNNNNNNNNNNNNNNNNNNNNNNNNNNNNNNNNNNNNNNNNNNNNNNNNNNNNNNNNNNNNNNNNNNNNNNNNNNNNNNNNNNNNNNNNNNNNNNNNNNNNNNNNNNNNNNNNNNNNNNNNNNNNNNNNNNNNNNNNNNNNNNNNNNNNNNNNNNNNNNNNNNNNNNNNNNNNNNNNNNNNNNNNNNNNNNNNNNNNNNNNNNNNNNNNNNNNNNNNNNNNNNNNNNNNNNNNNNNNNNNNNNNNNNNNNNNNNNNNNNNNNNNNNNNNNNNNNNNNNNNNNNNNNNNNNNNNNNNNNNNNNNNNNNNNNNNNNNNNNNNNNNNNNNNNNNNNNNNNNNNNNNNNNNNNNNNNNNNNNNNNNNNNNNNNNNNNNNNNNNNNNNNNNNNNNNNNNNNNNNNNNNNNNNNNNNNNNNNNNNNNNNNNNNNNNNNNNNNNNNNNNNNNNNNNNNNNNNNNNNNNNNNNNNNNNNNNNNNNNNNNNNNNNNNNNNNNNNNNNNNNNNNNNNNNNNNNNNNNNNNNNNNNNNNNNNNNNNCCGGUUCAGUCUAGAACCGGGACCAAUGGGGGCAUUGGUCCCGGUUCCUGAGCCCAGGGGGCCGGCCGGGCCACGUGGGCCAUUGGUCCCGGUUCAUCUGGACCUUUUGGUCCCGGUUGGUGGGAUGAACCGGGACCAAUGGGCAUCGCUCCUGGCCCACAACCAUUGGUCCCGGUUCGUGCCUCAAACCGGGACUAAAGAUUAGACCUUUAGUCCCGGUUUGAGGCACGAACCGGGACUAAUGGGGAUGAGACCUUUAGUCCCGGUUCGUGCCACGAACCGGUACUAAAGGUCCCAUUUUCAAACUCUACCCCCCGGUGGAUCGCCUUUUCAGUUUAAAAAAAAUAAACGAAAAUGAUGGAAAUGUCAAAAAAAUAAAAGAAAAUAAGUUUCCCAUAUGAUAUGUGGUCUAGUUGUUGGGAAAAUUUGCAAAUGUGAUUUUUGACUAUAUUUGCAAAAUCUCUCUAAAAUUUGUAAAAAUGGGCAUAACUUUUGCAUACUAACUCGAAUGAAAAAGUUUUUUAUAUGAAAAAUCAACUACUCGAAAAGGUAAAUCAUCCACCUAGAUCUCUUUCCUUCUUGUGCAUUCUCGAUAAUAUGUAUUAUACUUUUUUUGUUGUUUUCUUUCAUGUCUGGCAAACAACCUUAGCACAUCUUAAUUACCGUCUUGUGUUUUCUUCUUCGGAUGAGCCUCGUCCGGUUCUAGAGACCGACACCCCUCCGGUGGCGCCGGCGGUCUAGGGCGUUGUUCGACACCUAGAGGGGGUAGGCCACGGGGAAUAACUGCAUCUUCGUGUUAGUGCAUGUCAUCGCGAGAUAACAUUCCAUGUCUAGGCCCGUUCUGUCAUGGGAUCGCCCACCAAAGACUCUGUCUCGGGGACGAACGCAGCCGGUCCUCGACGUUCCCGCCCAUGUGUGUGGUUUGUGAGGCACGUGCCACGUCAAGGACGUGCGUUUCUUAUUAAAAUAGCACACCACCCCUGCAUGCAUAUGCAUGGGCCACGCGCAUCUACGGGUGCCCUCCCCCCCUCGGGCGGUCUCCAUAUUGAGCACCCAUACGGUGGCCCCGACGGUCUAGGGCGUUAUUCGACACCGAGAGGGUGUAGUCCUCGGUGAAUAACUGCUACUCCGUGUUAGUGCAUGUCAUCACGAGAUGACAGACCAAGUCUAGGCUCAUUCUGUCACGGGAUCACCCACCGAAGAUUCUGUCUCGGGAACGGACGCAGCCGGUCCUUGACGUUCCCGCCCGUGUGUGUGGUUUGUGAGGCACGUGCCACGUCAAGGAUGUGCGUUUCUUAUUCAAAUAGCACACCACCCCUGCAUGCAUAUACAUGGGCCACAGGCAUGUAGGGGUGCCCUCCCUCCCCUCGGGCGGUCUCCAUAUCGGGCACCCUUCCGGUGGCCCCGGCGGUCUAGAGCGUUAUUCGGCACCGAGAGGGUGUAGUCCACGGUGAAUAACUGCUUCUCCGUGUUAGUGCAUGUCAUUGCGAGAUGACAGACCAAGUCUAGGCCAAAGCCACAGCAAGAUCCCAUCCGUGUAGACCCGACGCAUCCGUUCACUAGUAGAAAAGGGGGCUUUGGUCCAGGCCGGGUAACCCCAUUAGUCCCGGUUCAGUCUAGAACCGGGACCAAUGAGGGCAUUGGUCCCGGUUCCUGAGCCCAGGGGGCCGGCAGGGCCAUGUGGGCCAUUGGUCCCGGUUCAUCUGGACCUUUUGGUCCCGGUUGGUGGGAUGAACCGGGACCAAUGGGCAUCGCUCCUGGCCCACAACCAUUGGUCCCGGUUCGUGCCUCAAACCGGGACUAAAGAUUAGACCUUUAGUCCCGGUUUGAGGCACGAACCGGUACUAAUGGGGAUGAGACCUUUAGUCCCGGUUCGUGCCACGAACCGGCACUAAAGGUCCCAUUUUCAAACUCUACCCCCCCUGUGGAUCGCCUUUUCAGUUUUAAAAAAAUAAACGAAAAUGAUGGAAAUGUCAAAAAAAUAAAAGAAAAUAAGUUUCCCAUGUGAUAUCUGGUCUAGUUGUUGGGAAAAUUUGCAAAUGUGAAUUUUAACUUUAUUUGCAAAAUCUCUCUGAAAUUUGUAAAAAUGGGCAUAACUUUUGCAUACUAACUCGGAUGAAAAAGUUUUUUAUAUGAAAAAUCAUCUACUCGAAAAGGUAAAUCAUCCACCUAGAUCUCUUUCCUUCCUGUGCAUUCUCGAUAAUAUGUAUUAUACUUUUUUUUUGUUGUUUUCUUUCAUGCUUGGCAAACAACCUUAGCACAUCAUAAUUACCGUCUUGUGUUUUCUUCUUCGGAUGAGCCUCGUCCGGUUCUAAAGACCGGCACCCCUCCGGUGGCGCCGGCGGUCUAGGGUGUUGUUCGGCACCUAGAGGGGGUAGGCCACGGGGAAUAACUGCUUCUUCGUGUUAGUGCAUGUAAUCGCGAGAUAACAUUCCAAGUCUAGGCCCGUUCUAUCACGGGAUCGCCCACCGAAGACUCUCUCUCGGGGACGAAUGCAGCCGGUCCUCGACGUUCCUGCCCAUGUGUGUGGUUUGUGAGGCACGUGCCACGUCAAGGACGUGCGUUUCUUAUUAAAAUAGCACACCACCCCUGCAUGCAUAUGCAUGGGCCACGCGCAUGUACGGGUGCCCUCCCCCCCCCCCNNNNNNNNNNNNNNNNNNNNNNNNNNNNNNNNNNNNNNNNNNNNNNNNNNNNNNNNNNNNNNNNNNNNNNNNNNNNNNNNNNNNNNNNNNNNNNNNNNNNNNNNNNNNNNNNNNNNNNNNNNNNNNNNNNNNNNNNNNNNNNNNNNNNNNNNNNNNNNNNNNNNNNNNNNNNNNNNNNNNNNNNNNNNNNNNNNNNNNNNNNNNNNNNNNNNNNNNNNNNNNNNNNNNNNNNNNNNNNNNNNNNNNNNNNNNNNNNNNNNNNNNNNNNNNNNNNNNNNNNNNNNNNNNNNNNNNNNNNNNNNNNNNNNNNNNNNNNNNNNNNNNNNNNNNNNNNNNNNNNNNNNNNNNNNNNNNNNNNNNNNNNNNNNNNNNNNNNNNNNNNNNNNNNNNNNNNNNNNNNNNNNNNNNNNNNNNNNNNNNNNNNNNNNNNNNNNNNNNNNNNNNNNNNNNNNNNNNNNNNNNNNNNNNNNNNNNNNNNNNNNNNNNNNNNNNNNNNNNNNNNNNNNNNNNNNNNNNNNNNNNNNNNNNNNNNNNNNNNNNNNNNNNNNNNNNNNNNNNNNNNNNNNNNNNNNNNNNNNNNNNNNNNNNNNNNNNNNNNNNNNNNNNNNNNNNNNNNNNNNNNNNNNNNNNNNNNNNNUAGUCCUCGGUGAAUAACUGCUACUCCGUGUAAGUGCAUGUCAUCACGAGAUGACAAACCAAGUCUAGGCUCGUUCUGUCACGGGAUCACCCACCGAAGAUUGUGUCUCGGGAACAGACGCAGCCGGUCCUUGACGUUCCCGCCCGUGUGUGUGGUUUGUGAGGCACGUGCCACGUCAAGGAUGUGUGUUUCUUAUUCAAAUAGCACACCACCCCUGCAUGCAUAUACAUGGGCCACAGGCAUGUAGGGGUGCCCUCCCUCCCCUCGGGCGGUCUCCAUAUCGGGCACCCUUCCGGUGGCCCCGGCGGUCUAGAGCGUUAUUCGGCAUCGAGAGGGUGUAGUCCAUGGUGAAUAACUGCUUCUCCGUGUUAGUGCAUGUCAUUGCGAGAUGACAGACCAAGUCUAGGCCAAAGCCACAGCAAGAUCCCAUCCAUGUAGACCCGACGCGUCCGUUCACUAGUAGAAAAGGGGGCUUUGGUCCAGGCCGGGUAACCCCAUUAGUUCCGGUUCAGUCUAGAACCGGGACCAAUGGGGGCAUUGGUCCCGGUUCCUGAGCCCAGGGGGCCGGCCGGGCCACGUGGGCCAUUGGUCCCGGUUCAUCUGGACCUUUUGGUCCCGGUUGGUGGGAUGAACCGGGACCAAUGGGCAUCGCUCCUGGCCCACAACCAUUGGUCCCGGUUCGUGCCUCAAACCGGGACUAAAGAUUAGACCUUUAGUCCCGGUUUGAGGCACGAACCGGGACUAAUGGGGAUGAGACCUUUAGUCCCGGUUCGUGCCACGAACCGGUACUAAAGGUCCCAUUUUCAAACUCUACCCCCCGGUGGAUCGCCUUUUCAGUUUAAAAAAAAUAAACGAAAAUGAUGGAAAUGUCAAAAAAAUAAAAGAAAAUAAGUUUCCCAUAUGAUAUGUGGUCUAGUUGUUGGGAAAAUUUGCAAAUGUGAUUUUUGACUAUAUUUGCAAAAUCUCUCUAAAAUUUGUAAAAAUGGGCAUAACUUUUGCAUACUAACUCGAAUGAAAAAGUUUUUUAUAUGAAAAAUCAACUACUCGAAAAGGUAAAUCAUCCACCUAGAUCUCUUUCCUUCUUGUGCAUUCUCGAUAAUAUGUAUUAUACUUUUUUUGUUGUUUUCUUUCAUGCCUGGCAAACAACCUUAGCACAUCAUAAUUACCGUCUUGUGUUUUCUUCUUCGGAUGAGCCUCGUCCGGUUCUAGAGACCGACACCCCUCCGGUGGCCCCAGCGGUCUAGGGCGUUGUUCGACACCUAGAGGGGGUAGGCCACGGGGAAUAACUGCAUCUUCGUGUUAGUGCAUGUCAUCGCGAGAUAACAUUCCAUGUCUAGGCCCGUUCUGUCAUGGGAUCGCCCACCAAAGACUCUGUCUCGGGGACGAACGCAGCCGGUCCUCGACGUUCCCGCCCAUGUGUGUGGUUUGUGAGGCACGUGCCACGUCAAGGACGUGCGUUUCUUAUUAAAAUAGCACACCACCCCUGCAUGCAUAUGCAUGGGCCACGCGCUUGUACGGGUGCCCUCCCCCCCCUCGGGCGGUCUCCAUAUUGAGCACCCAUACGGUGGCCCCGACGGUCUAGGGCAUUAUUCGACACCGAGAGGGUGUAGUCCUCCGUGAAUAACUGCUACUCCGUGUUAGUGCAUGUCAUCACGAGAUGACAGACCAAGUCUAGGCUUAUUCUGUCACGGGAUCACCCACCGAAGAUUCUGUCUCGGGAACGGACGCAGCCGGUCCUUGACGUUCCCGCCCGUGUGUGUGGUUUGUGAGGCACGUGCCACGUCAAGGAUGUGCGUUUCUUAUUCAAAUAGCACACCACCCCUGCAUGCAUAUACAUGGGCCACAGGCAUGUAGGGGUGCCCUCCCUCCCCUCGGGCGGUCUCCAUAUCGGGCACCCUUCCGGUGGCCCCGGCGGUCUAGAGCGUUAUUCGGCACCGAGAGGGUGUAGUCCACGGUGAAUAACUGCUUCUCCGUGUUAGUGCAUGUCAUUGCGAGAUGACAGACCAAGUCUAGGCCAAAGCCACAGCAAGAUCCCAUCCGUGUAGACCCGACGCGUCCGUUCACUAGUAGAAAAGGGGGCUUUGGUCCAGGCCGGGUAACCCCAUUAGUCCCGGUUCAGUCUAGAACCGGGACCAAUGGGGGCAUGUACCCGGUUCCUGAGCCCAGGGGGCCGGCAGGGCCACGUGGGCCAUUGGUCCCGGUUCAUCUGGACCUUUUGGUCCCGGUUGGUGGGAUGAACCGGGACCAAUGGGCAUCGCUCCUGGCCCACAACCAUUGGUCCCGGUUCGUGCCUCAAACCGGGACUAAAGAUUAGACCUUUAGUCCCGGUUUGAGGCACGAACCGGUACUAAUGGGGAUGAGACCUUUAGUCCCGGUUCGUGCCACGAACCGGUACUAAAGGUCCCAUUUUCAAACUCUACCCCCCCCCUGUGGAUCGCCUUUUCAGUUUUAAAAAAAUAAACGAAAAUGAUGGAAAUGUCAAAAAAAAUAAAAGAAAAUAAGUUUCCCAUGUGAUAUCUGGUCUAGUUGCUGGGAAAAUUUGCAAAUGUGAAUUUUAACUUUAUUUGCAAAAUCUCUCUGAAAUUUGUAAAAAUGGGCAUAACUUUUGCAUACUAACUCGGAUGAAAAAGUUUUUUAUAUGAAAAAUCAUCUACUCGAAAAGGUAAAUCAUCCACCUAGAUCUCUUUCCUUCCUGUGCAUUCUCGAUAAUAUGUAUUAUACUUUUUUUUGUUGUUUUCUUUCAUGCUUGGCAAACAACCUUAGCACAUCAUAAUUACCGUCUUGUGUUUUCUUCUUCGGAUGAGCCUCGUCCGGUUCUAAAGACCGGCACCCCUCCGGUGGCCCCGGCGGUCUAGGGCGUUGGUCGGCACCUAGAGGGGGUAGGCCACGGGGAAUAACUGCUUAUUCGUGUUAGUGCAUGUCAUCGCGAGAUAACAUUCCAAGUCUAGGCCCGUUCUGUCACGGGAUCGCUCACCGAAGACUCUCUCUCGGGGACGAACGCAGCCAGUCCUCGACGUUCCCGCCCAUGUGUGUGGUUUGUGAGGCACGUGCCACGUCAAGGACGUGCAUUUCUUAUUAAAAUAGCACACCACCCCUGCAUGCAUAUGCAUGGGCCACGCGCAUGUACGGGUGCCCUCCCCCCCCCCUCGGGCGGUCUCCAUAUUGAGCACCCAUACGGUGGCCCCGGCGGUCUNNNNNNNNNNAUAACUUUUGCAUACUAACUCGGAUGAAAAAGUUUUUUAUAUGAAAAAUCAUCUACUCGAAAAGGUAAAUCAUCCACCUAGAUCUCUUUCCUUCCUGUGCAUUCUCGAUAAUAUGUAUUAUACUUUUUUUUUGUUGUUUUCUUUCAUGCUUGGCAAACAACCUUAGCACAUCAUAAUUACCGUCUUGUGUUUUCUUCUUCGGAUGAGCCUCGUCCGGUUCUAAAGACCGGCACCCCUCCGGUGGCGCCGGCGGUCUAGGGUGUUGUUCGGCACCUAGAGGGGGUAGGCCACGGGGAAUAACUGCUUCUUCGUGUUAGUGCAUGUAAUCGCGAGAUAACAUUCCAAGUCUAGGCCCGUUCUAUCACGGGAUCGCCCACCGAAGACUCUCUCUCGGGGACGAAUGCAGCCGGUCCUCGACGUUCCUGCCCAUGUGUGUGGUUUGUGAGGCACGUGCCACGUCAAGGACGUGCGUUUCUUAUUAAAAUAGCACACCACCCCUGCAUGCAUAUGCAUGGGCCACGCGCAUGUACGGGUGCCCUCCCCCCCCCCCUCGGGCGGUCUCCAUAUUGAGCACCCAUACGGUGGCCCCGGCGGUCUAGGGCGUUAUUCGACACCGAGAGGGUGUAGUCCUCGGUGAAUAACUGCUACUCCGUGUUAGUGCAUGUCAUCACGAGAUGACAGACCAAGUCUAGGCUCAUUCUGUCACGGGAUCACCCACCGAAGAUUCUGUCUCGGNNNNNNNNNNNNAGUGCAUGUCAUCACGAGAUGACAGACCAAGUCUAGGCUCGUUCUGUCACGGGAUCACCCACCGGAGAUUCUGUCUCAGGAACGGACGCAGCCGGUCCUUGACGUUCCCGCCCGUGUGUGUGGUUUGUGAGGCACGUACCACGUCAAAGAAGUGAGUUUCUUAUUCAAAUAGCACACCACCCCUGCAUGCAUAUACAUGGUCCACAGGCAUGUAGGGGUGCCCUCCCUCCCCUCGGGCAGUCUCCAUGUCGAGCACCCUUCUGGUGGCCCCGGCGGUCUAGAGCGUUACUCGGCACCGAGAGGGUGUAGUCCACGGUGAAUAACUGCUUCUCCGUGUUAGUGCAUGUCAUUACGAGAUGACAGACCAAGUCUAGGCCAAAGCCACAGCAAGAUCCCAUCCGUGUAGACCCGACGCGUCCGUUCACUAGUAGAAAAGGGGGCUUUGGUCCAGGCCGGGUAACCCCAUUAGUCCCGGUUCAGUCUAGAACCGGGACCAAUGGGGGCAUUGGUCCCGGUUCCUGAGCCCAGGGGGCCGGCCGGGCCACGUGGGCCAUUGGUCCCGGUUCAUCUGGACCUUUUGGUCCCGGUUGGUUGGAUGAACUGGGACCAAUGGGCAUCGCUCCUGGCCCACAACCAUUGGUUCCGGUUCGUGCCUCAAACCGGGACUAAACAUUAGACCUUUAGUCCCGGUUUGAGGCACGGACCGGGACUAAUGGGGAUGAGACCUUUAGUCCCAGUUCGUGCCACGAACCGGUACUAAAGGUCCCAUUUUCAAACUCUACCCCCCCAUGGAUCGCCUUUUCAGUUUUAAAAAAAUAAACGAAAAUGAUGGAAAUGUCAAAAAAUAAAAGAAAAUAAGUUUCCCAUGUGAUAUGUGGUCUAGUAAUUGGGAAAAUUUGCAAAUGUGAAUUUUGACUUUAUUUGCAAAAUCUCUCUGAAAUUUGUAAAAAUGGGCAUAACUUUUGCAUACUAACUCGGAUGAAAAAGUUUUUUAUAUGAAAAAUCAUCUACUCGAAAAGGUAAAUCAUCCAUCUAGAUCUCUUUCCUUCUUGUGCAUUCUCGAUAAUAUGUAUUAUACUUUUUUUGUUGUUUUCUUUCAUGCUUGGCAAAAUACCUUAGCACAUCAUAAUUACCGUCUUGUGUUUUCUUCUUCGGAUGAGCCUCGUCCGGUUCUAGAGACCGGCACCCCUCCGGUGGCCUCGGCGGUCUAGGGUGUUGUUCGUCACCUAGAGGGGGUAGGCCACGGGGAAUAACUGCUUCUUCGUGUUAGUGCAUGUCAUCGUGAGAUAACAUUCCAAGUCUAGGCCCGUUCUGUCACGGGAUCGCCCACCGAAGACUCUGUCUCGGGGGAGAACGCAGCCGGUCCUCGACGUUCCCGCCCAUGUGUGUGGUUUGUGAGGCACGUGCCAUGUCAAGGACGUGCAUUUCUUAUUAAAAUAGCACACCACCCUGCAUGCAUAUGCAUGGGCCACGCGCAUGUACGGGUGCCCNNNNNNNNNNNNNNNNNNNNNNNNNNNNNNNNNNNNNNNNNNNNNNNNNNNNNNNNNNNNNNNNNNNNNNNNNNNNNNNNNNNNNNNNNNNNNNNNNNNNNNNNNNNNNNNNNNNNNNNNNNNNNNNNNNNNNNNNNNNNNNNNNNNNNNNNNNNNNNNNNNNNNNNNNNNNNNNNNNNNNNNNNNNNNNNNNNNNNNNNNNNNNNNNNNNNNNNNNNNNNNNNNNNNNNNNNNNNNNNNNNNNNNNNNNNNNNNNNNNNNNNNNNNNNNNNNNNNNNNNNNNNNNNNNNNNNNNNNNNNNNNNNNNNNNNNGGUGUAGUCCUCGGUGAAUAACUGCUACUCCGUGUUAGUGCAUGUCAUCACAAGAUGACAGACCAAGUCUAGGCUCGUUCUGUCACGGGAUCACCCACCGAAGAUUCUGUCUCGGGAACGGACGCAGCCGGUCCUUGACAUUCCCGCCCGUGUGUGUGGUUUGUGAGGAACGUGCCACGUCAAAGAUGUGAGUUUCUUAUUCAAAUAGCACACCACCCCUGCAUGCAUAUACAUGGGCCACAUUCAUGUAGGGGUGCCCUCCCUCCCCUCGGGCGGUCUCCAUAUCGAGCACCCUUCCGGUGGCCCCGGCGGUCUAGAGCAUUAUUCGACACCGAGAGGGUGGUAUCCAUGGUGAAUAACUGUUUCUCCGUGUUAGUGCAUGUCAUUGCGAGAUGACAGACCAAGUCUAGGCCAAAGCCACAGCAAGAUCCCAUCCGUGUAGACCCGACGCGUCCGUUCACUAGUAGAAAAGGGGGCUUUGGUCGAGGCCGGGUAGCCCCAUUAGUCCCGGUUCAGUCUAGAACCGGGACCAAUGGGGGCAUUGGUCCCGGUUCCUGAGCCCAGGGGGGCGGCCGGGCCACGUGGGCCAUUGGUCCCGGUUCAUCUGGACCUUUUGGUCCCGGUUAAUGGGAUGAACCGGGACAAAUGGGCCUCGCUCCUGGCCCACAACCAUUGGUCCCGGUUCGUGCCUCAAACCGAGACUAAAGAUUAGACCUUUAGUCCCGGUUUGAGGCACGAACCGGGACUAAUGGGGAUGAGACCUUUAGUCCCGGUUCGUGCCACGAACCGGUACUAAAGGUCCCAUUUUCAAACCCUACCCCCCCUGUGGAUCGCCUUUUCAGUUUUAAAAAAAAUAAAUGAAAAUGAUGGAAAUGUCAAAAAAAUAAAAGAAAAUAAGUUUCCCUUGUGAUAUGUGGUCUAGUUGUUGGGAAAAUUUGCAAAUGUGAAUUUUGACUUUAUUUGCAAAAUCUCUUUGAAAUUUGUAAAAAUGGGCAUAACUUUUGCAUACCAACUCGGAUGAAAAAGUUUUUUAUAUGAAAAAUCAUCUACUCGAAAAGGUAAAUCAUCCACCUAGAUCUCUUUCCUUCUUUUGCAUUCUCGAUAAUAUGUAUUAUACUAUUUUUUUGUUGUUUUCUUUCAUGCUUGGCAAACAACCUUACCACAUCAUAAUUACCGUCUUGUGUUUUCUUCUUCGGAUGAGCCUCGUCCGGUUCUAGAGACCGGCACCCCUCCGGUGGCCCCGGCGGUCUAGGGCGUUGUUCGGCACCUAGAAGGGGUAGGACACGGGGAAUAACUGCUUCUUCGUGUUAGUGCAUGUCAUCGCGAGAUAACAUUCCAAGUCUAGGCCCGUUCUGUCACGGGAUCGCCCACCGAAGACUCUGUCUCGGGGACGAACGCAGUCGGUCCUCGACGUUCCCGCCCAUGUGUGUGGUUUGUGAGGCACGUGCCACGUCAAGGACAUGCGUUUCUUAUUAAAAUAGCACACCACCCCUGCAUGCAUAUGCUUGGGCCACGCGCAUGUACGGGUGCCCUCCACCCCUCGGGCGGUCUCCAUAUUGAGCACCCAUACGGUGGCCCCGGCGGUUUAGGGCGUUAUUCGACACCGAGAGGGUGUAGUCCUCGGUGAAUAACUGCUACUCCGUGUUAGUGCAUGUCAUCACGAGAUGACAGACCAAGUCUAGGCUCGUUCUGUCACGGAAUCACCCACCAAAGAUUCUGUCUCGGGAACGGACGCAACCGGUCCUUGACGUUCCCGCCCGUGUGUGUGGUUUCCGAGGCACGUGCCAUGUCAAGGAUGUGCGUUGCUUAUUCAAAUAGCACACCACCCCUGCAUGCAUAUACAUGGGCCACAUGCAUGUAGGGGUGCCCUCCCUCCCCUCGGGCGGUCUCCAUAUCGAGCACCCAUCCGGUGGCCCCAGCGGUCUAGAGCGUUAUUCGGCACCGAGAGGGUGUAGUCCACGGUGAAUAACUGCUUCUCCGUGUUAGUUCAUGUCAUUGCGAGAUAACAGACCAAGUCUAGGCCAAAGCCACAACAAGAUCCCAUCCGUGUAGACCCGACGCGUCCGUUUCCCCCCUCCAGGUGCCGGCCGUGAGGGGGGCCACACCCCGGAGAGGCGUGCCGCCUCUUCGGACAUGCCACCAAACCGUAAGGCAUGUAUGAGGGCCCCGGUGCGAUGCUCCGGUGGCAUUGCUACCCUCCCAGGGCCCCCGUCCCGCCUAACCCUGUAGCGUUUGACCACGGGAUCUAGCCCUUUGACUUUGCACGGACGGGCUUUGACCAAUGGAACUCUCCACCCGGUUGUGUUAGGUCAGCCCAUAGGAACACUUUGGAGCAACAUCCGGGCCUAAUCCACAUCAAGACCCCAUCCGUGUAGACCCGACGCGUCCGUUUCCCCCCUCCAGGUGCCGGCGGCGGCGUCGUCCGUGCGGGGGGCACACCCGGAGACACGGGCCGGGCGUUUGCAAUCGCCACAACACUUCCAGACUUGUGAGAGGCCGCCUACGCAAGAUUUGGCGGCAUGUGCUAGCCCCCGGAGGCCACCGGCCAAAGUCGUAGACACGCGAAGAGCAAUCCGCGGAGAGGGAAGUGUUUAGAUACUUCUUUAAAGUUCUCUCUCGGUGCCGGUCCAGAAAGUUGACUGGCACCGAGAGAGGGGGUAGGCCACGGUCAACAACUUCCUCUUCUCAUGUUUUUUUACUUUACACACUCUUUAAAGUUGAGUUUUGAAAAAAAUCAUCAAAAGUCAUGGAAUUUAUAAACUUUGGUCGUAAAAGCAUAUGAAAUAUGAGAUACAAAAAAGAUAGUGCAAAAAAAGACAAGGGGGGGGGGAAUUAGAGCAGUCAUUACCGAGAGUCGAUUUUUGGCUCUCGGUAAUUUCCACCUUUUUCGGGAGUGGCUCUCGGUAAAUCAUCCACCUAGAUCUCUUUCCUUCUUAUGCAUUCUCGAUAAUAUGUAUUAUACUUUUUUUUGUUGUUUUCUUUCAUGCUUGGCAAACAAGCUUAGCACAUCAUAAUUACUGUCUUGUGUUUUCUUCUUCGGAUGACCCUCGUCCGAUUCUAGAGACCGGCACCCCUCCGGUGGCCCCGGCGGUCUAGGGCAUUGUUCAACACCUAGAGGGGGUAGGCCACGGGGAAUAACUACUUCUUCGUGUUAGUGCAUGUCAUCGCGAGAUAACAUUCCAAGUCUAGGCCCGUUCUGUCACGCGAUCGCCCACCGAAGACUCUGUCUCGGGGACGAACGCAGCCGGUCCUCGACGUUCCCGCCCAUGUGUGUGGUUUUUGAGGCACGUGCCACGUCAAGGACGUGCGUUGCUUAUUCAAAUAGCACACCACCCCUGCAUGCAUAUGCAUGGGCCACGCGCAUGUACGGGUGCCCUCCACCCCCUCGGGCAGUCUCCAUAUCAAGCACCCAUCCGGUGGCCCUGGCAGUCUAGGGCGUUAAUCGACAAUGAGAGGGUGUAGUCCAUGGUGAAUAACUGCUACUCCGUGUUAGUUCAUGUCAUCGCGAGAUGACAUACCAAGUCUAGGCUCGUUCUGUCACGGGAUCACCCAUCGCGAGAUGACAGACCAUUGACGUGGGCCUGAUGGUGGCCCUAUGGGUGUUCUUGGCAAGGGCCUUGCUGGGGCCCCGACAAGGGUCUUGCCGGGGCGCCUGCUGUCAUCCCCGGCAAGGCUCUUGCCAGGGGCCUUGUGGUCCUCCUUGGCUGGGAUCCCACCAAGGUUCGUCAUCUUCUAUAGUAUGUAUCUGAUCUUGAAUGUCUUCACAAAGAUCUGCAUGCCACCACGGGGAUGUCUCCCGAAUACUUGCCCCAUGGGGGCAGUGGACUCAAGGGUGACUCGCUCCGUAGGUGUGGGGCAAGCUGCCACGGCAAGUGUCUUGCCGGGUUUGCUAAAACAACCUCCCGGCAAGGAUCUUGCCGGGGGAGUCCGCUUCGUCCCCUUUGCUCUUUGUGGUCUUGGUAUUGGUGUCGUUCUGCUCCUUUCGAGCUUCGGCCUUACCUUGGCUCACCUCCCUUGCCUUGCUCAGUGCGGUGGUGCCUGCGGCUCAGACUGCCCGUGCACAGUUAUAGGGGUAUAAAAAGUGUACCCCUCUUUUUGUGCACCGACACCUUUGUAUGAGAUUAUUCUAUUUUAUGUUAGAUCAACUAUAUUGAUGUUCGUGGUACUAUGUUAUGUUCGGGCUACUAUGUUAUGUUCGAGCUAUUUCCUCUUUGCUAAAUUUUAUUUUGGAAACAAGAAAUCCAUUUUCAAUUUUAUUUGUCCUUUCCAACAGAUUUCAAAUGAGCUUUUCCUUGGUCUGGUCAUACAAGGCAUUAAGCACACAUGACAUUGCAUAUACAAAAGCUGACUGAAAUAAUUUGUUAACAACUUCUAACGACUGAUGAUCAACAAGUAAACAAAUCCCACAACAAUUAUUGAAAAAUAAAAUCCCGCGGCCAUCAGAUUUGCCUGCUUCUUCAGAUCGAUCAACUUCCUUAAGUUCUUGUUGAUCUUCUUCACUUCCACCUUGACUUCCGCGUCCGCCACCAUCGGAGGGACAUUGGCAUAGCCCUUAUUAUCCAGUGCCGAUGGCAGAUCUAGCUGUAGGGUUGCCCCGUGCCUCAAAUCAAUUAAGCCAUCCGUUUGAAGCCUCUUAUCGUAUUCAGCCAGCCACGCAAAAUGAUUGCAUCUUUUCAGCUUCUCAAAAACGGAAGGGAAACCCUAAAUCCCAAUUCCGAGGAAAUAAAAAGAAAUCUGGGGGCAGAAUUCAUAGCAAAAAGACACAAGAGAACAUAGAUUUAACCUUCCCCGUUUCUGGUUUGCUCUCGCAUUUCACAAAUUCCCACCCAUGGUUUCCAUUCUUCUCCGAUAUGGUUGUCAAACGCUUCAGUGGCGCGAUGCGUGGGCAGUCGGGGCAUCUGGUCAUCGGCAGUGAACCAUACUGCUGCCAUGAUGACGGAGAGGCCGAACUGGACAUGGACAUCUCUCGUCUCUCACCGUCCGCCGGCGAUGGCAGGCUUCGUCGCCGGAGAAGAAUAACAAUUUGGUGGGGCAAGGGAAAGGGAGGCAAUGGUGGGUUGCGGGUAGGCACGGGCACGGCGAUGGCUCGGGCUUCUAUGAUAUGUGGUUGGACAAGCCGUUAGACAUGUUUUGGAAGCCCCCAAAAGAUCGCGCUCGUUAAAAAAACAUGCAUCGAAGCGCAUUACUUCAAAAUAACUAAUUAACCCUACAAUCAUGGAUAUAUACCUUCCCAUUCUAGCGCAUAUCUACCCUAUCCUAACCACCCCCAUCUACCUUGUUUCUCCUCACAUAGCCAUCGCCGGGAUCGCGCCAUCGCUUCUCAAGCGACCACGCCGACGCCGGAUUAAAAAGGUCUCCUCCACGGCUCCUCCCAUCUUUGCUUGCAGUGCUAAUUUUUUUUUUCAUUGAUUCGACCAAGAAGUCAUUUCCGAAGAGAUUAGAAAAUCCAGCUUUUGCCAUAGUUGAGUGGUUCUGGUGUAAUUGGAGUACAGGAUGUCAUGCAAGAGCUUUUUGAUUAAUAGUUUGUAGUAGUUGAUCGUACGAACUAGUUAUGAAUAUAUUUUGUCGGUGGUAUUGUUAGGAAUUAAUUCGAUGAGGUUGUGGAUACAGUUUUCAUACUAUGGGUAUAUGUGUUGUUGUAGGGACCAUGGUCUCAGGGGCGCAUAACAACCGUGCGGAGUACGACAAGUCUUUCCAUGAAGCGCGCCGGGAGAUCAACUUGAAGGUGCAAAAGGAUCGCGCUGAGGUAGAUAAGAAACUCAAAAAAGAACGUUCAUACGUGGACAGGAUGAUAAAGGAGGAGCAUGAGGAGUUUUCCCGUAAGAUGGCGAAGAUGCGUCUUGAGAUUGAAGAAAAGUAUAAGCGGGACCGUGAGGACAUGGAAAAAAAGUUUUUCCUUGGCUACAAGGAAAUGCAUCAAACGUUGCAAAAGGACCGGAAGCUUGUGGACAGUAUUAUACAGAUGGAGCGAGUUAGGAUGGAUGCCUAUGUGCUGCAGGCACGUGCUGAUAUGGACAGUAAGAUGCUACAGGAGCGAUCGGACAUGGAUUAUAAGGCCAUGUUGGAGAAGGUUCGCUUGGAAGGACAUAUGUUAGAAGACCGUGCGAUCUCACGGCCACCCCGACAACAUGUCUUCAAUUAUUCUCCCCCUGUAAGUAUCUCGCACCGAUUCUAUAUAUUAAGGACCUACCUAUUUUAUGAUACAACCAUCUUCAAUUUGUGGCAACCUUAUAUCGGCGAUUAUAGGCUAAGCAUCAUGAGAGGACACAAUCGCCAUUCACUCGAGACCUUGCGAUAGAGUCACCCGUUCAAUGCCACAUCACUCCACCCCAACAACAUAUCUUCAAUUCUCCCCUUGUAAGUACCUCAAAACGAUGCCAUACCCAAGAUAUGGUAUGACCUUUUAAAACUUAUGUGUAAACCCACUGUCGACGUUUCAUACGCAGAAUAAGAAACCUGUGAUGGCAGAGUCCCCAGUCACACCACAUGAAGGAUACAUUCCACAUAACAAGGUGACAAGGUUUGAGAUGGCACAAUCCCCAGUCACUCCACAUGAAGGAUACAUUCCGCAAAAGCAGGUAACAACGCCGCAAUGUUGAUAUCCACGUAAAAAAUUAUGUUUGCUCCUUUACUCAUUGAAUGUAUUAACUCUGAUAUGAGAUACUAGGUGCUGGUCAUGGAAUUUUUUGUUCAUAGGGAUGAUGAGAUGUCACAUGUCCCGAGAGCAUACUUUGAUGAACAACCGGCAGAAGUCAGAAUUAUUGAACCCGGCAAAGUGACCUACGAUCUCAUUAUGAGUGAAAUGAGAGAUACUUUUGGUUGCAAAAUGGGAGCAGAACUGUACUACUUCUUACCCCGGGUCUACGUGGAAGCUGCCAGAAGGAAUGUUCUUGAUUGCAGGACCAGAUGAUGUAGAAAAAAUGAUUUCUGAUCUGAAUGGCAGCAAGACAUGUCACCUGUACAUUGUGUACAAUAGAACUACGGGUCAUUUUCCGCAGGAUGACAUUGAUCCAGAGGUUCAAAUUUUACAUGUUACAUGCAUCUACACUACAAGAAAUAUGUCAACUUAUGACCACCACUAUUGGUCACUGAAAGGUCACAAAUUUCCAUUUAUGACCCUUUUGUGACCAAAAACAGAAGGUCAAAAGCUGGCCGUCGUAAACUGACUAUAGCGACCUUUCUUCUGGAAUGGUCAAAGAUGUUUACGACCAAAAUAUUCCUACUGUGGCGUUUUGGUCACUAGCAACCUCCCCCAGGCCACGUAGGCAUCCAGCGUGGCAAGCUGACGUGGCACAAGAUUCAGCCCGGUCCAAUUCGAUUUUCUACAUGGGCCUAGCCCAACAAUUCGGCCUUUUUACUGUAUUUUUUCUCUCAUAUUAAUUUUGGCUAGGUAGAUGGGCCUGGCCCAUUUUAUUUUCUAGGACGUGGCCUUCUAUAAUUCAUUUCUUUUUUUGGGCCUCAGCCCUUUUACAAUCCAAUUUAUUUUGGGCCUCCACAACAUACAUUUAGAAGCUUGACAUCACAAGGGCAGCUAUUCCAGCUUGACAUAUCAGCAUGUACGCAUGUAUCCAAACCAUUUUAUUUCUUUCAACAGCCACAGCCACAAAGUAGAUAGUAGAUACAUUCAACAGACUAAAUUAACAUAGAAAUGAAGCAACAAAGGGCAGCCCGAGUAGAGGAACUACAUGGUACUACAACUACAUGGGACUACAACUACCAUUUCUAUUUCUACCAGCAGCAGUAGGGACUACCAAGGAGCUAAACGAACAGCGACCGAGCUAAACUAACAACGAUCAUCCAUCAUCAAUCAGUGACAGUAGCAAUGAGUGGCAGCGGCGAUGUUCGAGAGAGCCCCUCCCCCUGCUGCUGCUUGGUUGCCUGUUACUGCUUGGUGUGUUGCAUCACUAGUCACCCUGCAUGGCAAGAAUUUUAGCUUUACAUAAGGUUUACAAGAACAGGACCCUGAUACAUGAGAUUGACAUUCACAAGCUAUUUUUCUACAGGAUAUAUUUUUCUACAAGAUAUGCAUCUGUAGAUGACCAUACAUACAAAUAAAGUAAAUUCAGUAACAGAUUGCUAUCCACAAUAACUAUAGAUUUUGAUCAUACAGAUUUUGUAGAUAAACACAUACUAGAAGCUACAGCAGAACAUGGGUGUAGAGGAUACCACUCACGAAUUAAUUAAUUUGCUAGCUGAUUGGUGGAUACAGACAAUAUAAGAAUACAACAGCAACAAUUACAGUACCGCCGUAGCAUUGCAGGAUAGAAAUCACAUAAUACUGGUAGGCACACUAUUUCAGCAGGGGAAACAGACAAUAUAUUAUAUGAUAAGAAAGGCAUAUAUAUCCUGAGUGUUGUCCAUGGCGGCCAUGGCUCAAAAUCAAACGGAAAGACGACUACAGGAACAAAACGCACAUGAAACGGGGGCUAGGAGGAGCGCAGCGUCACCGUGGGAGCGCAGCGUCACCACUUGUACUCGAAGGCCUAUAAAAUAAAAUGGAUAAGUUAGAUUGAUUACUGUAGGUGCAGCACAUUUUCUGGAAGAGGCAUAAACAUGAAUGGAGCAUUAUACUUGGAAGGAAAAAACAGCAUCCUGUCACCAAGCAAACACUACUUGACACGAAACUGUGCAUUUCGUCCUUGUAUCCAUUAGUAGCAGGAUAGCAGCGAUGAUUCACAUGACUCGAAUAAUUCAUUAUGAGGAAACAUGUUGCUAGGUAUGAAACAAACUAUUUACAGAGGUAAAAUGGACACAUGUACAAUACAUAGCUUGCUGUAAGCAAGAAACACUAGUGCUCAUAUACCAAAAUCAACGGCUAUACUUAUGGACGAUAGUAACAAGGUUAAACAUCGAAGAAAGCACUUGCUAAGAUAUCAUAAUUUAGGGGCAUUUACAUCACCAAUGUGGCAAACUGCAAAGCUGGUCAGCAGAACAUAUUUGUCACCAGUUACAAGCAUAUUCUCGUUCAUGCAUAACUAUAGUCAGCUCUAUUUCAAAAACCAGAAGCAAACCAGUUUAUCAUUAUAUAGUGUUUCCCAAUUACCAUGCUCACUAAUGGAGAAUGAGAGAGCUAAGUCAGACUCUCCGGCCAUGUGCCCAGAAAUAACCUAUCUACUGCACAUGUAUCCAGACUGAGGAUCUGGCAUGGAUCGCGCAGAGAGGACAGGGGAGCUCACCUCGCAGCGGAGUGUGUGGUCGAAGGAGCAGCAGGCGAGGUCGGGGGCGAGGUUGGAGGGGCCGAAGACGGAGGCUAGCCAUGGCUGGUCGAAGGAGCGUGUGAUCUCCAUCAUUGCAGCUUCUGGGAUAAUAAUAGACCAAAUUAACUAGAGUUGAAGCUGGUAAACACAGGAGAACAAGAGCAUUAGAUAAAGUUCCACCAAUGUCCAAGCCUUGCAACAUGUUUGGUGACUUGGUGGGCAGAUGUAUUUAUGCACAAAAAGGGUGGAAUUUUUUUCAACUAAAGAAAAAACGCACAUCAUUCAGUAACCAGUACCAACCCUUGUUCCAAGUCAACGAUGUUUUGCUAAUCAAAAACAUGGCAUGUGAUAAUGGUACACACAAUCAUUCCUAGAAGUCCAUACUUGCGUGUACGGAACAAAUUCAGUCACCUCUACAGCAAUACAGAAACAUAGUAAUCCUGGACACUAGCAGUUAAGGACAUGUUUUCUUUAGAGGGUGAGGUAACUAGGCAUACUGCUAGGAGACAAGACAUCGAAAUGGAAACCUUCUGGUUGCUUAGUGGGCAUAUCUAAGCACAGGAAAGGGGGGCAUUUCUCAAUCAAACUGAAGAAAGAUGCACAUCAUUCAUUCAUUCAGUAAGCAGUACAGAUCCCUGUAGCUGUAGGUGCAUGCAUGGUGUAACAAAGAUGAGUAAUCAUUAGCAAGCAUUUCAGAGUUGUGCAGUUACUAGUGUGUGGUCAUGUGUUUACCCCAGCGCACGCCAACCAUGGGCACGAGAAAAUUGGUACACAAGCCACUAAUAGUCUGCUAGUCUUACUUAGAACAUAUGGUGGCACAUGAUGGCAGGCAGUAGUACGUAUACACAGAGCCAUGAUUCUACUAUGACUGUAUACUAAUGCACCAGAUGAUCAACAUAGUAUAAAUGAAUCAAGAAAACAAGUUCAAUUCCUAUGAUGAAUUCCAAUCUAUUAGUACCACUUUGAUUAGCAAAAUAACGCAGUUACAACUGGCCAAAAAUCAGGUCAGGGGCACGGCAAAUUGCUAGUCGAGUGGAAAGCGCAAAAGACUCUGCCAGGUACGGAGCAAUCCGAUCCGUCGAUAAUGCAAAAAACAGAGUCUCAUGUAACCAUGAUCAUUUGAUCACCACUGUUUUCCCGCUUGCUACCGGCAACCCCGGAUCUUUCAAAAAAAAAUGCAAAAACAGAGUCUCAGGAUUAUUCAGUGGGGGUGGUCAAAGCAGAACUCCUUGUGGACACCACAAGCGCAGGUCAUGCGCACCACCACUUCGGCGCCGGUGCAGGCUGCUUGCGCAGCUGGUAUGAGAGUGGGACUAUCCCCGGCAACGCUGCACACUUCCACCUCCCGAUGCUGUGCAGUGGAGGUAAGGAUGUCAUCAGGAAACAGAUUUAUCAAAAUGAACAAAGAAACUAAGAAAACUGUAUAAACUGUAGGAAACACAUGCAAUGUUCUGUAGAUAUCUUUUUGAAUGUUCUGCAGACAUCUAAUUAAAGUGAUCUUUGAAUCAAGAAAUAUGAGGCACAUGAUUAAAACUUAUUCACAUAGAUAAUAAGAUUCAGAUAACGGUAUGUUUAGCUCUAAGUGUGUCUGCUCGAUCGGUCACUAAGCAAAGAAAUGAUCAGGUUCAAGUAUGUCAAGGAUGCAGAGUAUACUAAUCAAAGUGUUGAGCUGUGCACAUGAGACCAUAAGCUUCAGAUAGCAGUAUGUCUGUCUCCAAAAAUAUCUAAUCAAUUAUGAAGAAGCUAAGAAACGAUCAGGUCAGGUCCCCAGCACUACCUUCUCCCUGCCAAUCAGCACCGACGGACGGACGGACGAAUCUCGGGUCAGAUCCCCAACGGAAUUCGCCAAAAUAGAAGCCAAGAGCAGCAACGACAGAGGGGAUCGAAGAACUUACAAGAUGGGGGCGAGGAGGACGGGGUGGUGGAUGGUGAGGCAGCGCGCGUCGUUGAGGGCCUCGCAGACCAUGACCCAGUCCCUAGAGUCGAGCCCGGCGACGAGGCCAGUGGCCCGGGCUUUGGGGCCGAGGACGGGCAGCAGGUCCACGGACCGGACGUACUCCAUGGUCGGCUCCACUCCCAGUGGGGGAGCGGGCGACGGCGACAGGAGGUGCCGUGGAGAGCAGCUUGGCGGCCUUCUUGGGGCGCUGGUCCGCCACGGCGGCCGGCAAUGCGUUGUCCAGCGCGCGGAGCGCCAUGGGUGGGAUGCCGAGGGCGGAGAUGUAUAAGCGGAGAUGGCAGUGGAGAUGCGGCGCCGAGGGCGGGACGAGCGCGGCGGCCCUGCGGCGGAGGGCGCCGACUGAGGCCUCCGGGACGGGCGAAGGAAGAGCGGCGGACGUCCUUCGGGAGGCGACGAGGAGUGGGUGGUGGCGCGCGGGCACGGGCGGCGGGGUCAGAUCUGAAUCAGGAGGGAUGGGAUCGGGGAGAGGGAGCGCUAUGGCAUAGGGUGGGGAGAGAUGGUGAGGGGAGGGAGGGACAAGGUCGGCAGCGGUGGGUGAGGAGGAUGGCAAUGUCGGUGGUGGGUGGGAACGGAGGGGAGAGGACUGGAUUGGGAGGUGGCGGCGGCGGCGAGGAGAUGGGGACGAGGGAGGAGGGGUGCGAUGGGGGACGGGGUCGAUGGGAUCUGAGCUAGGGUUUGGGUAGCGGGUGGGGGUAUCUCUUUUUCAUUUUUUUUCUUUUUCUGCAGAUAGUUGGAUGGAUGGAUGUGGGAUGGAGAGAUGGAUGGAUGGAUGGAUGGCCGCCAUGUCAUCAAUCCGUGGGAAGAGUUGUGAUUGGUUUAAAAAAAUCAGUGAUUUAAAAUAGUUUUCAAGUAUUAAAAAUAGAUGGAUUUUGUGAAGCAGUCAUCAGAAAUAUUUUGCAAAAGGGCACCACACAAAUUUUCACUAGAGUUAGAUCGCAUUUUAUGGAUGAGGACCAAUUUGUAUACAUUUCCGAUAUUUCUAGCUAUUUUUCAUCAUUUUCCGAUUGCCCAAAAUGAGUUUUUUUAAGGACCUACAAUAUAUUUGUUGCAAAAUUAGACCAAAUCAAUUUUCUAAAAUAAUAGGACAUAUUUAAUGCACAAUUGACCAAAUGGUGGGGUGUCAAAAGUUUUUAUCCACCACUCGUGAAAAAGACAAAUUUCUGUCGAUUCAGCUGGAAGCGGGUCAAAUUUGAACUGUAGCUACCUCGUAGUUUGCUCUUUAUUUUUUUCAAAAAUCAUUUCUAGGUACAUAAGUAUCUAUUUAAUCAGUGAAACACCAAAAAAAUUCCAAGAUUCAACCACUAGCUAGGAACGGUCAUUCCCGCCGUUUUGACCGCAUUUUGAAACGGGCAUACAAAAUUAAAAAAAAUCAAAAAAUUGGAAAACCUUCGCAUUGUGUCAUUAUAUGUGGCCAAGUUACCAGGAAAAAUAACAAACUUGCAAUACGACAAUUAUUUUAAAAAAGUGUUCUCAGAAAUGAGCUAUCAUGCGUGAAGAUUUAUGGCUUUCAAGCCAAAUGAUCAAUCUUAUUGCCACAUUCUUGGCAUAGUUUGUUCAAAUGAUCUCAUAUUGUGAACAAGGGUGCAUCUUGGAAUUCCAAACAAUGUUUCCAAAGGGAGUUUUCAUUUUUUUUGCACGGAAAAUUCAUUUUCCAUUUUUCGAGUGCCCGAAAUGAAGUUUUUUUUGUGAAGGACCUACCAUAUAUUUGUUACUAAAUUGUACCAAAUCAUUUUUAUAAAAUAUUAGGACAUAUUUAAUGCACAAUUGACAAAAUGGUUUGGUGUAAAAAGUUUUGAUCCACCUCUGGUGAAAAAGACAAAUUCCCGCCGAUUCAGCUGAAAGCGGGUCAAAUUUGAACUGCAGCUGCCUCAUAGUUUGCUAUUUAUUUUUUCCAAAAAUUAUUUCUAGGUACAUAAGUAUCUAUUUAAUCAGAGAAACAUCAAAAGUUUUCCAAGAUUCAACCACUAGCAUGGAACGGUCAAGCCCGCCGUUUUGACCGCAUUUUGAAACGGGCAUAAAAAAUUCAAAAAAAUCAAAAAAUUGGAAAACCUUCGCAUUGUGUCAUUAUAUGUGACCAAGUUUCCAGGAAAAAUAAUAAACUUGUAAUACGGUAAUUAUUUUAAAAAAGGGUUCUCAGAAAUGAGCUAUCAAGUGUGAAGAUUCAUGGCUUUCAAGCCAAAUGAUUAAUCUUAUGGCCACAUUCAUGGCAUAGUUUGUUCAAAUGAUCUCAUAUUAUGCACAAGGGUGCAUAUUGGAAUGGCAAACAAUGUUGCCUAAGGAAGUUUUUAUUUUCUUUGAACGAAAAAACCAUUUUCCAUUUUUUGAGUGCCCAAAAGGAGGUUUUUUUGUGAAGGACCUCCAAAAUAAUGGUUGCAAAAUUGGACCAAAUCAUUUUUCUAAAAUACUAGGACAUAUUUAAUGCACAAUUGACAAAAUGGUUGGGUGUAGAAAGUUUUGAUCCACCUCUCGUGAAAAAGACAAAUUUUCGCCGAUUCAGCUACAAGCGGGUCAAAUUUGAACUCCAGCUGCCUCAUAGUUUGCUAUUUAUUUUAUCCAAAAAUCAUUUCUAGUUACAUAAGUACCUAUUUAAUCAUAAAUACAUGGUAUGGUGGCGAUACGUCGAAGUUUGGGCGGUGCCCGAGGCCCCCAACUCUAGAGCGUGGCUAGUGGGUUGGGCACUCCCCAGGUAGGUGCUAGGAAGAAAAUUACAACAUAAGAUUCUCACGAGGAGACCGAUCGAUGCUCAAAUAUGAAUUAGCAGCCAAGUGUUUGAUUAGCGGUACGGGAAAUGUACAUGGCUAAUGGGCGUGAGUUUUGGCUGAGGAUGAUCAGUUACUAAGAAGACCGUCUUCACAAGUUUUCAGCUCAAAAGGAGGAGCCUAGGUGGUACUUGCUUUGCAAGCUACCACACUGGACAUAAAUACGAAUGUUGAAGCUCAGCUCAAAAUAAUGAAUGGAUUGAGCUGGCAUUUGGUGGAGGAUGGUUAUUUGGGCAUAGGAAAGCACUGUAGAAAAUGGAUACUAUUUGGAGAUGCCAAAGUGGUACUUUCUUCACAAACUGUUGUUCUGAACAGAAUAGGAAAAUGAAUAUUUUUGAAUUAUUUUUGAACUAGGCAAGGAAGGUUUUACAUAUUUGACAAAGAUAUGACCCAAAGAAUUUAUGAGAUUUUUUGGGGAAUUUUGGGAAUUACAGAAAUAUAGGUUGCUUCACAACCUAGGGCAAAACUGCCACAUGGACAUGACACAUAGGAAAAACUAAUGAGGUGGCGCCUAGUCAUAUUAACCCACCACAAUUUACAAGGCUAUGACCAUCUAUAUUGGUCGUUAACAACUAGAAAUAAGGCAGCGGACUAGCGCUGUUUGCUUUAUGACCAUUUCGUGUAAGGAAAUUACGACCUUUCUGACCAAAAUGGUCGCAAUGGUUUAGGGUUUGGAGCCCCCCAGACAGCUUUUGACCAAUUGGUCUAAAAUGGUCAUAAAUUUAUGACCAAUUCUUCCAGGGUCACUGACAGAAGGUCAUAAGUUGACAUAUUUCUUGUAGUGCUAGUUUAUGGCUACGUCAUUUUUGAGUUCUUCCUAAUACCAUUCCUAUGGUUUUCUACAGGAAGUGGGGAAUCCAAGAAAUGGAGGGUCUUGCUAGAGAGUUGGCGGAGAAAGGACAAGAACAACUUCAGUUGUAUGGUUACAUUGAUGUUAAAGAGAAAAAGAUUGAAGCACACGGGUCGUCGCCAAGCCCGACGCAAUCUCCAACAUCGAAAAGCAAGAGGUCACUGGAUUUUGGCAGUGCAGAAGACCAUAUAUAGUAGGCUCAAUUGUUUUUCAACCAGUUUAAGCUUCAAACUAGGAUUAUUUUGUUUCAAACAAACAUUUUUUUUCUGUUUCACACUAUGUUCGCAAUUAUGGUACAAUUUAUUCAUGAGACAGUUCUUUGAACAACAAUGCAUGUGUUUUAUGAUCAAUCAUACAGUUGUUUCUGAUUUGUUUGUGAGAUGGCAUUGCAUCUAAAAAACUUGUAAAAAAUCAUUUAUGUUGUCUUUGUUGAAACUGUUUUUUCGUGCCUUUCAUCUACACGUGUGUAAUCAUUAUAGCCUACAAAACCACACAACGUCAAAAAACAAUUUCCAGUUGGCGUGGAUGCUUGUCAUGUUGGUACAAGGGUUUAGAAAUUUUUUUGGGUCCAUUUGAAGCAUGCCGAAAAAAUCCGUCCUUCCAGACGGAACAUCCCCUGCUACCCGAAUGGCUAAGUUGAAUGACACCAAUUUUUUCCAUCAAGCGCGCAAGCACACACCAGGGGCCGCGUGAAAUUUGAGCUAAUUCCAAUUUUUUGGUGAAACACGAUGAGAUUUCUGUUAUUUUAUGUGUCCUGCCGAACGUGAAAUUGCUGCCACGAAAUUCUUCUCAGGAUCCACGCAGUCCGAAUGGCGUCAGAAGCGGUGUCUAAAAGCAUUAGGACCCUCCCCACCGCGUCACGCCCUCCUCCCACGCGCGCGUCGUAUCCCCACGCGUGUUACGCCGUCCGUACGAGCGCGCCCCGUCCCCACGCGUGAUUCUUUAUUUUCAUUUUUUAAUUUUUUUCCUAAAAUGUCCAGAAUUACAAAAAUAGUGAAAAAACUAUAAUUUCAAAUUUUGAUUAAACUUUUAAUAAACUAUGGAUUAAAAAAAUAGUUUUCAAAAAAAAUUUAAAAUUUUAAAAAAGAUCAAACUUUGGAUUAAACUGUCCACAAGUACUCUCUCCGUCCCAAAAUUCUUUUCUUAGAUUUAUCUAGAUAUGGAUGUAUCUAGUCACAUUUUAGUGUCUUAGAUACUUCCAUAUCAAGACAAAUCCAAGACAAGAAUUUGGGACGGAGUGAGUACCAACCAUGAAUAUAACAAGAUGAAUGGGCUACCCUCCAACCAUUUUUAUAAGGCUAACCCCAAAACUUGCUGGUUUUGACGUCAAAUAAGAUAGAAAUAUCAAGGGAAGAAGAUAGAAAUAACAAGCAAAACACGGAUAACCAACGACAUAUCAAAUAGACGGGUAGAAAUCAUAACAUAGUUCUGAUAGAUAAAGUUCACGGUACAACCAACGACAUAAUUAAAUAGAAAUUUUUAAAAGAUAAAAAACUUGCCCUAACACGCUAGGGCAAGACAAGCUGACGAGACCGGGCCUUCACCACCAUCUUCAUUGCGCCUCCUCUCCAGUGCUCCUCUCCAUACCGUCCUCGCCGAUGUAGUAGGGGAGGUUGUGCAUACCGUCGCGGGUGGGGAAGACGCAGCCGAAGUUUGUGAAGAUGUUGUGGGUUGUGAAUGCGAUUAAUUCGCAUCCACACCAAAACGCCAUGCCGAGGAGGUAGUAUGCAUUAAAUCUGUUGGUGAAGGUGACGGUGAGCCCUAUCGGCCGAGACCAGGAGUUUGGACGCACUUCAUCCAGUCGGAACAUCACCGGCGAGCCCGCCGGGAGGUGGGCAAAGACCGCACGGAGGAACCACUGGGCAAACCACCUUGCACCCCUCCAGCGUGAGAACACCCACACGCGAAGCGUGCUCUCCACGACGACGCCGGCCGGAUACUGUCUCUCCGGCACGGUCGGUGGGAGACGGUAGGUGGGGCCGUUGUACUGCAUCCUCGCGGCUCGCUCUGAGAGUGCUCUGGUUUGGGGAAGAAGAGAAGGGCGGCGCAAAUGGAUGUGUGCAGAAGGUGAGGGCUGGUGGUUUAAAUAGGGAAAGGGGAAGGGAAGGGAACCGACCGCGCUUACGUUCAAACGUGCCACGCCGAACGAUCCAUAUGCCACUUUAAUUGCCACAUUGAAUAGAUGCGGGUGGAUCAAAAAAGUGUAAAACCAAGGUUUUAAUUACCACGUUGAAUCGAAAAGUGUGAAACCAAGGUUUUAAUCGCCACACUCGCAUGCAUGCACGUCCGCCACCCGCGCAUGCAAACCCACGCCGCCACCCUUCCCAUGCAUGCAGGCCUCAGGCACACACAACGAGAUGGCCCAACGGUCCAUCCAGCGACUCGGUACCUGUUAAAAAAAACAAUAUCCCAGCCAAUCAGAUUGCAUCUCGUGGAUCGCCCCCCUCCUCCCCGCAGAUUCCUUCUAGAAGGGUUAGAUCAACGGUCCUUGAUCGCCACUAGGGUUAGAUGGACGGUCCUUGUAAUAAGGUGCACGCGGGUGAGGCUGGCGUGGGACGGCCCACCCGAAUUAGGCCCAAGCGAGCGUCGCGCCGGGCACAUCCCAGGGGUGCCGGGAGUUUAGUCCCACCUCGCUGAGCGAGGGGAGCUCGCACCGGUUUAUAUAGCGGGCUGAGCAUCCCCUCUCAAGUUCCUUUCUAAAGCGGGCAGCACAUGGCCUAACCAUGUCCGUCCCUGCCCUGUGGGGCCUACUAGCUACCUGUUAUCACAAUCUGGCGGGCCUGCAUCCUGGCCCAAUAAAUGAUUGGGUUACUAGUCGUAUGCAGGCCGUUGAAUUGUGAACUAAGCAGCAAGUUGACAGGCUUUUUGUGCCAUAUUUCAUUUUUUGCAUUUGUCACCAUUAUUUCCAUUGCAGCCAGUCCAUCAUGCUACAUUUUGGCAAGAACAAGCUAGAGUUGUACACACACUGAUUUACUACUCAAAAACAUCGGUCUAUACCUCAAGGGGGCAUUGUAAAUUAUUAUUUUUCCAAAUUUUCUUUCAUAGCCAUGUUUGGCACAUGUGGGUCACCAUGUAAAAGAAAAUUUGGGUGAUUUGGAGGUGGUGGAAAAACCAUCUUUUUUCAAAAACUGGCUUAAGUUGACCAAAUGGUCCCUCCGGAACGCGGGCAUUUUUUCGACCACCUCCAAAUCACCUCAAUUUUGGCACACAUGAUCUCUUGCACAAAAAAAGCUAGGUUUACAAGGUUUUGUAUUUUUUUAAUUUUUUUGAAUUUAUAAUGCCCUCUAGACCGACUGUUGAAAACAUCGGUCUAUACCUCAAGUGGGCAUUGUAAAAUAAUUUUUUUCAAAAUUUUNNNNNNNNNNNNNNNNNNNNNNNNNNNNNNNNNNNNNNNNNNNNNNNNNNNNNNNNNNNNNNNNNNNNNNNNNNNNNNNNNNNNNNNNNNNNNNNNNNNNNNNNNNNNNNNNNNNNNNNNNNNNNNNNNNNNNNNNNNNNNNNNNNNNNNNNNNNNNNNNNNNNNNNNNNNNNNNNNNNNNNNNNNNNNNNNNNNNNNNNNNNNNNNNNNNNNNNNNNNNNNNNNNNNNNNNNNNNNNNNNNNNNNNNNNNNNNNNNNNNNNNNNNNNNNNNNNNNNNNNNNNNNNNNNNNNGCACACAUGAUCUCUUGCACAAACAAAGCUAGGUUUCCAAGGUUUUGUAUUUUUUUGAAUUUUUUUGAAUUUAUAAUGCCCUUUAGACUGACUGCUCAAAACAUCGGUCUAUACCUCAAGUGGGCAUUGUAAAAAAAAAAUUUCAAAAUUUUCUUUCAUAGCCAUGUUUGGAACAUGUGAGUCACCAUGUACAAGAAAAUUUGGGUGAUUUGGAGGUGGUGGAAAAAAUCACCUUUUUUCAAAAAUUGGCUUAAGUUAGACCAAAUGGUCCCUCCGGAAUGCGGGCAUUUUUUCGACCACCUCCAAAUCACCUCAAUUUUGGCACACAUUAUCUCUUGCACAAACAAAGCUAGGUCUCCAUGGUUUUGUUUUUUCUUUGAAUUGUUUUUGGAUUUAUAAUGCCCUCUAGACUGAUUGUUGAAAACAUCGGUCUAUACCUCAAGGGGGCAUUGUAAAUUUUUUUUUUCAAAAUUUUCUUUCAUAGCUAUGUUUGGCACAUGUGGGUCACCAUGUACAAGAAAAUUUUGGUGAUUUGGAUGUGGUUGAAAAAAAUCACCUUUAUUCAAAAACUGGNNNNNNNNNNNNNNNNNNNNNNNNNNNNNNNNNNNNNNNNNNNNNNNNNNNNNNNNNNNNNNNNNNNNNNNNNNNNNNNNNNNNNNNNNNNNNNNNNNNNNNNNNNNNNNNNNNNNNNNNNNNNNNNNNNNNNNNNNNNNNNNNNNNNNNNNNNNNNNNNNNNNNNNNNNNNNNNNNNNNNNNNNNNNNNNNNNNNNNNNNNNNNNNNNNNNNNNNNNNNNNNNNNNNNNNNNNNNNNNNNNNNNNNNNNNNNNNNNNNNNNNNNNNNNNNNNNNNNNNNNNNNNNNNNNNNNNNNNNNNNNNNNNNNNNNNNNNNNNNNNNNNNNNNNNNNNNNNNNNNNNNNNNNNNNNNNNNNNNNNNNNNNNNNNNNNNNNNNNNNNNNNNNNNNNNNNNNNNNNNNNNNNNNNNNNNNNNNNNNNNNNNNNNNNNNNNNNNNNNNNNNNNNNNNNNNNNNNNNNNNNNNNNNNNNNNNNNNNNNNNNNNNNNNNNNNNNNNNNNNNNNNNNNNNNNNNNNNNNNNNNNNNNNNNNNNNNNNNNNNNNNNNNNNNNNNNNNNNNNNNNNNNNNNNNNNNNNNNNNNNNNNNNNNNNNNNNNNNNNNNNNNNNNNNNNNNNNNNNNNNNNNNNNNNNNNNNNNNNNNNNNNNNCCUCAAGGGGGCAUUGUAAAAUAUAUUUUUUUCAUUUUUUUCUUUCAUAGCCAUGUUUGGCACAUGUGGGUGACCAUGUAAAACAAAAUUGGGUUAUUUGGAGGUGGUGGAAAAAAUCACCUUUGUUCAAAAACUGGCUUAAGUUAGACCAAAUGGUCCCUCCGGAAUGCGGGCAUUUUUUCGACCACCUCCAAAUCACCUCAAUUUUGGCACACAUGAUCUCUUGCAAAAAAAAGCUAGGUUUACAAGGUUUUGUAUUUUUUGUAUUUUUUUUGAAUUUAUAAUGCCCUCUAGACUGACUGCUGAAAACAUCGGUCUAUACCUCAAGUGGGCAUUGUAAAAAAAAUCAAAAUUUUCUUUCAUAGCCAUAUUUGGCACAUGUGGGUCACCAUGUACAAGAAAAUUUGGGUGAUUUGGAGGUGGUGGAAAAAAUCACCAAAUGGUCCCUCCGGAAUGUGGGCAUUUUUUCGACCACCUCCAAAUCACCUCAAUUUUGGCACACAUGAUCUCUUGCACAAAAAAGCUAGGUUUACAAGGUUUUGUAAAUUUUUUUAAUAUUUUAUGCCCUGGGCAAUGUCAGUUCGAAACACUCUAGAGAUACUUCCUCAACCAAUGAUGCGACCCAAGGACCUUCAUGCAAAAACCAGGCACCUGCAUGCAAGAGUGGGGGACCUGCAUGUGAAUAGUGAUUCAUCAAGGCCUUGACUGAUGAAGCUAUGUACCUAGGGUAGGGUCAUGGGCCUGUCCAAACCUCCCUACCCAAGGACAUAUCUAGAAGAAACCGCAUGUCGAUUGACUCAGAAGUGUUCCACUCGACAGACUCGAAGACACUCGACCAUGACGAACCACUCGACCAUGAAGCCAACCACUCGACAGCCAGGAGACCUAAGGUCACUCUGCACGCCAACGGUCGGUCAUUAAGUACCUUUUAUGGUCAUCAUACCACUUUACUUGUGGCGUUACCAGUAACGCCAGAUCUUAAUGUAUCUUAAACCCUACAUAACUGAGGGCGGGAGGGGUCUGGCCGACUCUAUAUAAGCCACCCCCCUCCUCAGUGUAAAGGGUUCGCACCCCUGUAACUCAUACGCAUAUAAUUCAGUCGGCCGCCUCCGGGCUCCAAGACAUAGGGCUGUUACUUCCUCCGAGAAGGGCCUGAACUCGUAAAUCCCUUGGGUAUACAACUACUCCAUAGCUAGGAUCUUGCCUCUCCAUACCUACCCACCUACACUACUGUCAGACUUAGAACCACGACAGUUGGCGCCCACCGUGGGGCAGGUGUCUUAGCGACUUACUGGAGAAGUUGCGAUUUUUCCGAUCUCCUUCAUCAUGGUUUCAGGCGGAGUUUUGGUUGAGGGUCGCGAGAUCCGUCUCGGCGCGCUAACGUUCAUCGCCGUCGACUCCGCUUGGCUUCAGGAGGCUCCGCUCGACAUCGACGCGCUCCCCGUCCACGGAUCGACGCACUUUCGCGCGUGCAUCCGCGGCGUCCUCCUACGGCAACCGUCUACCCAGCAUCGGUCGACCCCUAUGUCGUCCUCCCUCUCUGUUUCCUGCUGGCGCAAGCGCUCCGGUCGGUCGAGGCUUCAGUGGUGCGUGAGACACGUGGUCGCUCGCUAGUCGGCCACUCCCCAAGUCACGGCAAUCGAGCCUGACGAAUCUCUCUGCGGCCUGUUCGACCUGUCGACAGGCUCUACAGAGACUACAUCCGAGUGCGACAGUAGUGAUCCAGUGGCGGAGGUUCUGAUGGUCGAUGGACCACACAGUCCUCACGAAUUUCCCUGCACCGACGGAGGCCACGGUGGAGGCGAACUGUCGCAUGCCCAUGAAGAGUAUCUCCCCGAGCCCCUCACUUCGCUACAGAGGGAGGAACUUCGUCGCCGGAACAUGGAUGCGCUGCACACUCCUAUCGUUGGAGAAACCCCUAAGGCUCGUGCCUUAGAGGAGGCACGCUUGGCCAACUUGGCUGAGCGCACUCGACUGGAGAACCUCCAGCGAGCACUCGACGAGCGUGCGCGACAACGGGUUCUAGAAUCCAGUCGGCAUAAACUCUUUCCACCACCGACUCAAGUAUAUCGAACUCCAAUUCAGAAUUUAGCGGUUGCAGCCCGUAUAGCAGAGUCGAUUCAGCCUUCCCAGUCAGAGACUGGCAGAGGCUUGUUACAGAUCAGAGAUCUACUCCGGGCAGCAGGAGAUCAAAAUUCAGCUGUAUCAUAGUCGCGGAAUAGGAUUCACAACAGAUCCGUCGCUGCAAAUACAGUCCAGUUGGCUCAUAGCCCAAGAUCGCCCCCGAGGCGUGAGGAGCGUGGUGACCGGCAUGAUCAGUACAAGAACCGUGAGCAAUAUGAUCACCGAAUCGAUCGCGAUGAUCGAUGUCGAGUGCCCACCCCUCCCCCAAGGGGUGGAUCGUACGCGCCUCGACAACAGGAUGAUAGACGCCAUCACAGUGUUGGGCGAAGGAUUCCAGUCGACCCCAGGGAACCAGGCUUUGAUGCGAGAUCCAUUAUCGUUCAAGGUUUGGUCGACAGGAACAGAGCUCACCGAGAAGGUCACGACAGAGAUGUACCCACCAGCAGGAGAGUACAUGUCUCAGGACCAGAGUGUUUCAGCAGAGCCAUCAGGGCCGCGGUGAUUCCCCCCAACUUCAGGUUGGCGACUGGGGUCAGUAAGUUCACUGGUGAGUCCAAGCCUGACGCUUGGCUUGAGGACUACCGUGUGGCUGUUCAGAUUGGCGGCGGCAAUGAUGAAGUGGCCAUGAAACACCUGCCUCUUAUGUUGGAGGGCUCGGCCAGAGCGUGGUUGAAUCAGCUAGCACCCAGCAUCAUUUACACUUGGGAAGAUCUUGCCCGAGUGUUUGUCAGAACGUUUGAAGGAACUUGCAAGCGACCAGCAGGACUGACAGAACUGCAAUCUUGUGUGCAAAAGUCGAAUGAAACUUUGAGAGAUUACAUCCAGAGAUGGAUCACGUUGCAUCACACGGUAGAGAAUGUAUCUGAUCACUAGGCAGUCUGCGCCUUCAAGGAAGGCGUUAAGUACAGAGAGCUAAACCUGAAAUUCGGUCGAACCGGAGACAUGUCUUUGAGUCGAAUGAUGGAAAUCACCACCAAGUAUGCCAAUGGUGAGGAAGAGGAUCGGCUCCGGAGUGGCAAACACAAGUCAGUCGCCCACGAAACCAGAGGAGGGAACUCUAGUCGGAUGCAGAAACGGAAAGCCGAGCCAGCUGCUCCUGGAGAAGCCUUGGCCGUGACUCAAGGAAAGUUCAAAGGGAAGCCCAAAGGGUCUUGGAACCCUAAGAAGGUGAAGGACAAGGAAGAGAAUGACGUGUUGGAUUUGCCGUGCCACAUCCACACGAAGAAAGAUGAGGAGGGUAAGCUCAUUUACCCGAAACAUACCACUCGACGGUGUUGGCUCUUGAUCCAGCAAUUCCAGGGGAAACAGCCCAAAGAUAAGGAAAAGGAGUCAGACAAAGUUGAGGACAAAAAAGAUAGUGAUGAUGGAUAUCCUCAGGUCAAUUCCACCCUGAUGAUUUUUGCUGACGUUGAAAGCAAAAGUCGAUUGAAAGUUAUCAAUCGAGAAGUGAAUAUGGUUGCUCCAGCGACACCCAGUUAUCUGAAUUGGUCUCAGACUGCCAUCACAUUCGACCAUUCUGAUCACCCGACACACAUGGCCACCCCUGGGAGGCAAGCUCUGGUGGUCGACCCAGUCGUCGAAGGCACUCGACUGACUAAGGUUUUAAUGGAUGGUGGCAGUGGCCUGAAUAUACUAUAUGCAGAGACGUUGAAAGGGAUGGGCAUUCCGAUGUCCAGGCUUAGUACCAGCAACAUGAGCUUCCAUGGAGUCAUUCCUGGAAAGAAGGCUGAGUCACUCGGUCAAAUUGCUCUUGAUGUGGUUUUCGGUGAUUCCAAAAAUUACCGCAAAGAAAAGUUGACAUUUGAAGUUGUGGAUUUCCAGAGUGCCUAUCACGCCAUUUUGGGCAGGCUAGCUUAUGCACGUUUUAUGGCUCGACCAUGUUAUGUGUACCUCAAAUUGAAGAUGCCUGGCCCCAAAGGUGUGAUCACUAUUACUGGCAAUCGGAAGAAGGCGGAAGAGUGCUUUCAGACAGGCUCAAAGAUCGCCGAUGCUUAGAUAUCAGCGGUAGAGUGGUAGGAAUACCAGAAAACUGCAGACCCGAGUGAUUUGUUGCGAGCCAAGAAGCCUGCUACGGAAUUGGCGUUUCAGUCGUCUGGUGAGACCAAACCGAUUCACAUUCACCCGACCGACCCCAGUGCUGCUCCAACUCAUAUCUCUACAACGCUCGACUCCAAAUAGGAAGAAGCGCUCAUCUAGUUCCUCCGUGAGAACUGGGACAUCUUCGCAUGGAAACCUUUUGACAUGUCGGGUGUUCCAAGGGGGCUGGUUGAGCACCGUCUACGAGUCGACUCAAAAGUGAAACCUGUCAAAGAACAUCUUCGACGGUCCGCCGUCCAGAAAAGAAAGGCCAUUGGCGAGGAGGUGGCUCGACUCUCAGCAGCGGAGUUUAUCCGAGAAAUUUAUCACUCCGAGUGGCUCGCCAAUGUUGUCAUGGUCCCCAAGAAGGACAAGUCACUUCGCUUAUGCUUUGACUUCAAACAUAUCAAUCGAGCCUGCCUGAAAGAUCAUUUUCCACUCCCCCGCAUCGACCAAAUAGUCGACUCGACUGCGGGAUGCGAGCGUCUGCCUUUCUUAGACGCGUAUUCCAGGUACCAUCAGAUCCGUCUGUAUGGACCCAAUGAGAUCAAAACAGCUUUCAUCACUCCAUUUGGGUGCUUCUGUUAUGUCACCAUGCCAUUCGGCCUCAAGAAUGCUGGAGCCACGUUCAUGAGGAUGAUUCAGAAGUGUUUGCUCACUCAAAUCAGUCGGAAUGUGGAAGCAUACAUGGAUGAUAUUAUGGUCAAGUCACGGAAAGGUUCCGACCUGCUGACUGACCUUGCAGAGACAUUUGCCAACCUCAGGAGGUAUGAUAUCAAGCUUAAUCCAUCAAAGUGCACAUUCGGAGUUCCUGGCGGAAAGUUACUCGGUUUUCUCGUUUCCGAACGAGGAAUCGACGCCAAUCCAGAAAAAGUUGGCACUAUACUCUGAAUGAAACGCCCUGUGUGCGUGUGCAUGAUGUCCAGAAGCUUACUGGUUGCUUGGAUGCUUUAAGUCGAUUCAUCUCUCAUCUCGGUGAAAAGGCAUUGCCUCUUUACCGACUGAUAAAGAAGUCAGACAAGUUCGAGUGGACUCCUGAAGCUGAUGCAGCAUUUGCAGAGCUAAAAGCCCUGCUCUCCACCCAGCCGGUGCUUGCUGCCCCGAUCAGCAAAGAGCCUUUGCUGCUUUACAUUGCAGCCACGGGACAAGUCGUUAGUACAGUACUUACAGUCGAGCGAGAAGAAGAAGGAAAAGCCUUUAAAGUUCAGCGCCCAGUAUAUUAUGUUUCUUAAGUUUUGACCCCAUCAAAGCAAAGAUACCCUCAUUAUCAGAAGCUUGUAUAUGGGAUUUAUAUGACCACGAAGAAGGUUGCUCAUUACUUCUCUGACCAUUCCAUUACAGACAUCAACGACGCUCCAUUGUCAGAGAUUCUGCAUAACAGAGAUGCAACUGGUCGAGUGGAAAAAAUGGGCAAUUGAACUACUUCCCCUAGAUAUCAAGUUCGAGGCAAAGAAAGCCAUCAAGUCCCAAGCAAUAGUAGAUUUCAUCGCCGAGUGGACUGAACAGCAACUGCCGAAUCAAGUUCACUCGGAGCACUGGACCAUGUUCUUUGAUGGUUCUAAGAUGCUGAAUGGUUCCGGUGCUAGGGUAGUGUUGGUUUCCCCCCGAGGAGAUAAGCUCAGAUAUGUGCUCCAGAUUCACUUUGAUUCCUCCAAUAACGAAGCAGAAUACAAAGCACUUUUGUAUGGGUUGUGUAUGGCCACUUCACUCGGCGUCCGUCGCCUCAUGGUCUAUGGCGACUCAGAUUUGGUGGUUAACCAAGUGAUGAAGGAGUGGGACGUCAGAAGUCCAGCCAUGACUGGUUACUGCAAUGCAGUGAGAAAGCUGCAGAAGAAAUUCGAGGGGUUAGAGCUUCAUCAUAUACCCCGACUGAAAAAUCAAGCAGCCGAUGAUUUGGCAAAAAUAGGUUCCAAGAGAGAACCCGUUCCCAGUAAUGUGUUUUUGGAAGACAUCCACACACCAUCAGUUCGGGAGGAUCCUUUCACCGAAGAAGCCCUGCAGCCAAAAAGUGCUACGGAUCCGACUGAAGUUGAAGUUCCAGCUGUGGUCGACCUGAUCAUGGAAGUGUUGGUCAUCACUCCCGACUGGACAGUGCCGUACAUCGUGUAUAUCCUAAGGAAAGAGCUCCCUGAGAAUGAAGAAGAGGCCCGACAGAUCAUCCGUCAAUCCAAAGCCUUUACUGUGAUAAAGGGACAAUUGUACAGAGAAAGCGCGACUGGUGUCGGUCAGAAAUGUAUAACACCAGAAGAAGGUCAGAUAAUUCUUGACGAUAUCCACUCGGGGACCUGUGGUCAUCAUGCGUCCUCUCGGACCAUUAUGGCUAAAGCAUACCGAGCGGGGUUUUAUUGGCCAAGAGCAAAUGAAAUGGUGAAGGAGAUAGUCGACAAGUGUGAAGGGUGUCAGUUCUACUCCAAUAUGUCACAUAAACCCGCCUCAGCCUUGAAGACCAUCCCACUCGUCUGGCCCUUCGCUGUUUGGGGAUUGGAUAUGGUUGGACCACUGAGAACUGGCAGAAGCGGCUUCACCCAUGUGCUAGUGGCAGUCGACAAGUUCACUAAGUGGAUCGAAGCCAAGCCUAUCAAGAAUCUUGAUGUCGGCACUGCUAUCAGCUUCAUCAGAGAGUUGAUAUUCAGAUAUGGAGUUCCUCACAGCAUCAUCACUGAUAAUGGGUCAAACUUCGGUUCCGACCAAUUCAGAGCUUUUUGUGCUUAUCAAGGCACGCGAGUCGACUACGCUUCCGUCGCCCACCCCCAGUCGAAUGGACAAGCAGAAAGAGCAAACGACCUAAUUCUCAAAGGACUGAAACCCCGGUUGAUGCGUGAUCUCAAGCACGCAGCAGGCGCGUGGGUCGACGAACUUCCAUCAGUUCUUUGGGGUUUGAGGACUACUCAUAAUCGUUCGACUGGGCGAACUCCAUUCUUUCUAGUCUAUGGAGUUGAAGCAGUUCUACCGAGUGACCUGCUUCACAAUGCACCCCGAGUCAAGCUCUACUCUGAAGAUGAAGCAGAACAAGCUCGGCAGGACGCAGUCGACCUUCUAGAAGAAGAAAGAGAGAUGGCCAUGAUCCGGUCGACUAUCUAUCAGCAAGACUUGCGUCGAUUCCAUGCCAGAAACGUGAAGAGCCGAGCCUUCCAAGAAGGAGACUUGGUCCUCCGAGUGGAUCAACAAAAGCCACACAAACUCGCUCCUACUUGGGAAGGCCCCUUCAUCGUCACCAAAGUUCUCCACAAUGGAGCAUACCGUCUUUACAAUGUCGAUCGCCAGAUUGAUGAGCCACGAGCUUGGAAUUCGGAGCUGCUCCACCCCUUUUAUACUUAAGUACUCACUCGGAUGAGAUGUAAUAAAAAGUACCUCUGUAGUUUGUUUAUCGAAGACAAGAGUAUUAUAAUUUUCCCAGUGAUUGUUGUUGCUUUGGUUUGCAUGAGAAAUCCCCUAGUGGGUGGCUUAGCUGCGCAUCCGCUUCGCCUAAGUUUGCAAAAAAAAUCCCUACCGAGUGACGAGCAAGCCUCUCACUCGGGGGCUUAGCUGUGAAUCCGUUUCACCUAAGUAUUUAAAAAUCCUACCGAGUGACAAGCAAGCCACUCACUCGGGGGCUCAGCUGCGAAUCCGUUUCGCCUAAGUAUUUGAAAAUCCUACCGAGUGGAGAGCAAGCCUCUCACUCGGGGGCUUAGCUGCAGUCCAGUACUCGCCUAAGCAUUUGAAAAUCCUACCGAGUGGAGAGCAAGCCUCCCACUCGAGGGCUUAGCCACAGUCCAGUACUCGCCUAAGCAUUUGAAAAUCCUACCGAGUGGAGAGCAACCCUCCCACUCGGGGGCUUAGCUGCAGUCCAAGUACUCGCCUAAUCUUUACCUAAUAAUAAAGCAAAUUGGGUUUCUUUCGUCCAUCAUGACAUUUUUCAGGAAAGUCCCUCUAUUUCAGAGAAUUCAACCCACAGUCCUGUUUUAAGUUAAAACGAAUCGUUUUUUUUUCAUAUUUGACAUAAAAGUCCCUGUGUUUUGUUGAAAUCAACCCGCGGUGCGGAUUUAAGUCACACCCGAACCGUAAUUUUACAUUUUUCGAAAACCCCACUGUUGUUUUAGGUAAUUCAUCCGCGGAUCAUAUCUAAGUCAAAUAAUGUUUUUUUAAAUCAUCCAUAACUUUUAAACCGUAACUCUGAUUCGAGCAUGUUAUAUAUGAAAUUUGAUUACAAAAAUAUGUACAAUAUGAAUAUGAGAAUAUUUUCACGUGUUAAGUACUUUUAAAUAUUAUUUUGGAAUAUAUUUAAGUCAAACAAAUGAUUUUCUUAAUUAUUCGUAUCUUUUAAACCGUAAUUUCGAUUUUAACAUGUUAUAUAUGAAAUUUUAUUAGAAAAAUAUGUGGAAUCUAAAUAUGAUGUUAAUUUUACCUGCUAAAUAUUUUUAAAAUAUCUUUUUGGGAGCAAACUUAUAAUUUAUAGCGUAAGAUCCGUUUUCAUUUCGUACUGGCGGCGACCCGGAUUGCAAAUAAACACCCCACUAUAAUAAUGUAGGGAAAAGAAAACAUCGAUAACUACACAUGCAUACCUCUGAAAAAUGUUGCAGGGGAAAACAAUAGAUUUCUCAUCGCGAGAGUGAGAGAAAGCGAGAGAGAGAGGGAAGGAGGGAGAGGGAGGAGAGAGGGAGAGAGAGACGCCUUAGGAUUAAACAUUUUCAAACACGAUUUUUUUGUUUUGUGUGAACACCGAGGCCAUCGCCGGCGAGGGUGAGAAGGAGGAUAAGCGGCAACACAAAUAUGAUGCCUCGCAAAAAUAAAGGAGAUGGACCUAUUGUGGUCUUGAGUGAUGGUUGUUGGGUUAAGAGUGUGUGUUAUGUUUUCUCCCCCGUUGCAAUGCACGGACUCUUUUGCUAGUAUUUGAAAAUCCUACCGAGUGGAGAGCAAACCUCCCACUCGGGGGCUUAGCUGCAGUCCAAGUACUCGCCUAAGUAUUUAAAAAUCCUACCGAGUGGAGAGCAAACCUCCCACUCGGGGGCUUAGCUAUAGUCCAGUACUCGCCUUAGUAUUUAAAAAUCCUACCGAGUGGAGAGCAAACCUCCCACUCGGGGGCUUAGCUGCAGUCCAGUACUCGCCUAAGUAUUUAAAAAUCCUACCGAGUGGAGAGNNNNNNNNNNNNNNNNNNNNNNNNNNNNNNNNNNNNNNNNNNNNNNNNNNNNNNNNNNNNNNNNNNNNNNNNNNNNNNNNNNNNNNNNNNNNNNNNNNNNNNNNNNNNNNNNNNNNNNNNNNNNNNNNNNNNNNNNNNNNNNNNNNNNNNNNNNNNNNNNNNNNNNNNNNNNNNNNNNNNNNNNNNNNNNNNNNNNNNNNNNNNNNNNNNNNNNNNNNNNNNNNNNNNNNNNNNNNNNNNNNNNNNNNNNNNNNNNNNNNNNNNNNNNNNNNNNNNNNNNNNNNNNNNNNNNNNNNNNNNNNNNNNNNNNNNNNNNNNNNNNNNNNNNNNNNNNNNNNNNNNNNNNNNNNNNNNNNNNNNNNNNNNNNNNNNNNNNNNNNNNNNNNNNNNNGUACUCGCCUAAGUAUUUAAAAAUCCUAUCGAGUGGAGAGCAAACCUCCCACUCGGGGGCUUAGCUGCAGUCCAGUACUCGCCUAAGUAUUUGAAAAUCCUACCGAGUGGAGAGCAAACCUGCCACUCGGGGGCUUAGCUGCAGUCCAGUACUCGCCUAAGUAUUUGAAAAUCUUACCGAGUGGAGAGCAAACCUCCCACUCGGGAGCAUAGCUGCAGUCCAGUGCUCGCCUAAGUAUUUGAAAAUCCUACCGAGUGGAGAGCAAACCUCUCACUCGGGAGCUUAGCUACAGUCCAGUGCUCGCCUAAGUUUGAAAUCCAUUCUGAUCCGCAAGGACGACGAGGUGCAGGUCGACUACUACCCUCUCCUUCGGAGCUACGCCACAAAUACAACAUGCGCUUUGCAAGGAGGACGAGGUGCAGUUCAACUGCUACUUUCUCCUUCGAAGCUACGCCACAAAUACAAUGUGUGCUCUGCAAGGACGACGAGGUGCAGUUCGACUGCUACCUUCUCCUUCGGAUCUACGCCACAAAUACAAUGUGCGCUCUACAAGGAAGACGAGGUGCAGGUCGACUGCUACCUUCUCCUUCGGAGCUACGCCACAAAUACAAUGUGCGCUCCAUCUCGAUCCGCAAGGAUGCAGGUCGACUGCAAUUUGUGCUCCAUCCUUACCUGCAAGAGCGAUGAAGAGCAAGUCGACUGGAUCCUCCACCUCAGGGCUGCGUCUCAAGCGCUAAACUAGAUUCCGAAUGAAGAAACAAAGUUCGCUCGAAGGCAAAUGCAAGCAUAUUCAAUGAUAAACAAAGUUCAGAUAAUAUCCUACGGGUUCGAAAGUGCUCAGGCGUCAAGCUUGUAAAAGUUUAUCAGUUACAAAAUCACUCGGCAUUCCAAGGCAAAUUUAAGACGAAGCAUAGAAGUUUUUUACUCCUCAGGUGGAGGACUGGAGAGCGCAACAAACUGGUCCAAGUCGAUUCCGUCAGCAAUCCGAGUGGUAGCAGCAAUGAAGGUCUCCAUGAAAGAUCAGAAGUCGUGCUUCUUGGUAUUGGCAACCUUGAUGGACGCCAGAUUUUCCCCUCGCGCAUCCUUGCAGUGAACACGGACUAGAGAUAGAGCAACAUCGGCGCCGCACCUGGCAAAAGAUUUCUUCCAUUCUUGCACUCGACCUGGAACUUCAUUCAGUCGAGUCAUUAGAGACUCGAGGUCAUUUUGAAGCGUCGCUCCUGGCCAGAGGGUCGUGUCGAUUUGCGAUGCCGCAACCUUCAGUCGAGCAAGGUAGUCAACCACACCAGCAACACGAGACUCCAGUCGGAGCACGUUCAUGGCAGCUUCAUCCUUCACAAGAGAGUUAAUGGGGUCCAAGCCAAUCUCCACUCGACUGGUCUCCUCCACUAAGUUUUGGCAGAAUUCUGUGAACACAAUUCAAAGGUAAACUAGCAGUUCUACGAUAAGUCGAUGAUUACAAAUCAGUAGGGUAAGAGAGAUUACCCUCAAGCAUGAUGAAUAACUUCUUGGCGAGCCCUCCCAGAUAAGCCUCCAGAUUAUUCUUCUUCCCCACCAGCUCACCAGCCUUGUCAUUCAGAGCUAUCUUGUCAUUCUUCAGACGGCUGACUUCCUUGUUGGCUGCGUCGAGAGCAGCCUUCAGAUUGGCGUUCUCCUCUUCAAGUUUACCGACUGAAGCCAGUUUUUCAUCCGCAAGCUUCGUUUUGUCCAAAGCCGCCCUCUGUGCCUCGGCAAGGUCAUGGUCCUUCUUCUUCAGAGCCUCCUUCAUUUUAUCUGCAAAAUUACAAUGAGAUCAGAAUCAGGAAUGGGCAGUAAGAUACAGACAGUUGUCAAGUUCUCACUAAUCAUUCCUUUUGCCUCGUCCUUCGCCUUCUGAAAGUUCUCCUGAACAAGCUUCAAGUCAAGGUCAAGCUGGAUAUGUUUGUUUUCCAACUCAGUAUAGCGAGCCACGAGCUCGCAAGAUUUCUGUGAAGGGUCAGUCGACAGACAUCAAAGAUAGGUCGCUUCCGAGUGACUAAGAGAAAAAUCAUAGCAUUUCUGAGACUACAGCUGAAUCAAAAUAUUCAAAGUAGUCUCGGGGACUACACCCAGUGGGUGCACUCAGCGUGCCCCCACUGGUUCUACCGACUUGGUUCGAUCAGUCUGCCGAAAGAGACAAAGAGGUUAUGGUCCUAAAACUACAGCUGUAUAGCUAACUGCCAGUAGUUAGUCUUGGUCUCAUCAUGAUCUACCAAAAAAAACACAGGUUCUUCAGACUACAGUCGACUACCAGCAGUCCACCAUAGUCUCGGGGACUACACCCAGUGGGUGCACUUAGCGUGCCCCCACCGGUUCCAAAAUUCCAUUCGACAUGGUCCGACCAGACCGAGUGAAGAAAUUCAAAAUACAAAGACUACAGUUGACUGCCAGCAGUCCACCAUAGUCUCGGGGACUACACCCAGUGGGUACACUCAGCGUGCCCCCACCGAUUCAAAUAUUCAAUCGCCACACCCAGUGGGUGUACAUCUUCGGAAAAAAAAAAUCUUCAGAUAGCAUAUCCUAACAGAACAAGCGGUGACCAACAAACCUGGACGUUGCUCCGAAGGGCUGAGCUAGCAUCAUAGGCCGCUUGGCUGGCUUCCCGGAUCGCCUUCACCUGCUCCAUCAUGAUCCCCGCCUGGCGUAUAGCCUCGUUAGCAGCACCCGCUUGGUCCUCUGGGACGUGGUGUGUGGCGAAAAGGGAGGGCGGAUCAGCAGUCGAUGUCGAAGGCCGGACACUCGUCAGCGGCACAGCGAAGGACACAGAAUGCCGAGUGACAUUGUCACCCUCUUGAACCGAUGCCUCGGGCACUGAUGCAAUCGGAGUGGUCUUGCCAGCCGACGCCUUUUUAUUCCUCCUCGCCCUUAGUGGCACCUCGUCGUCAUCAUCAGGGAGAUCAAUGACAUGAGGAGGAACUACAGGAAAAUCCGAAGUUGAAAUCGAAAUCCAAUCGACCAAAAGUAAAACCACAAAGAGCGUACCAAGGUUGGAGGUGGCAGCGUCUUCUAUUUCCUGGUCUUCGUUCUUGGCGGAAGUCUCGGAGGUAGCAGCACUGCAGAUUUCAGAAACCAGUCGGUUAGUCGAUGAGUCGACCAAGAGUUCGUCCGUGCUAAACGAGAAAACACAAGUUCUGCUGUUACCCGGAGAUAGUGGGAAUGGCCAUUCUCAUCUUGGGCAAGGCCUUCGGCGGCUUUGAUGGCGCCGCUCGUGGAUGCUUUGGCGCUUUCUCAGUCGGCGCCGGAGAAGCCGCCCGAGGGCGCUUUGACGAUUGCCCAACGGACGCAAUCGCUUUGCCACGCUCGCUCGCGGGGUCAUGGAUGAGCUUGGAUCGCCUUUCCGUGCGAGGAGGAUCGACUUCCUCCUCCUCCUCUUUGCUGGAUCCGUCGUCAUCCUCUUCCCCCUCACCAUCAGAUUGCCACUCCUCCUCACUUUCACCUUCGCUCGCCUCUCCCUCCUCGACAUGUUCAUGCGCCCCGUUGGGCAUCGAGUACAUCUCAGUCGUGGCCUAGAAGACAACAAACAAGACAAAAGUCAUUCAACUGAUUUUAAGCAAACAGAAUGAAGAAAGCAGAAUCACAGUCAGAAAUACAGAAUCAGACCUUGUCUACUUCGUAUGAUCGGACCUUGUCUAUUUCGAGGCAAACGAAGGGCUCCAAAAAACGCCAACUACUGUAAAAGUUGUACUGAAGUAAUUAUCAUAUCUCACACUAGUGCAGAACCGGCCUUUAGUGUCGCUUCGUGACGGCCUUUAGUGCCGGUUCGCCAAUCAGUACUAAAGAGUGGGGACUAAAGGUCUUCCCUUUAGUACCGGUUCGUCACGAACCGGCGCUAAAGUGCAAACACGUGGCACGAGCCAGGCCCGGGUGCACGCAGGGCUUUAGUACCGGUUGCUAACACCAACCGGUACUAAUUGUUUGGGUGUUUUUUUAAUUUUUCCAUUAAUUUUGUGUUUUCAAUUUAAUUUAGUGAUUGUUUUACAUUAUAAUGAGUUGUUAAAUCAUUAGGUGAAAGUACCGCGGAUUAGUUUCGACUGGAUGCAUUUGGAUCUAGCUAGCUAAGUGAUAAAGUAUAUGCCAUAUCCAUAUUAUACUUGAUCACCUAAUUAGGUGAUCAAGUAUAAUAUAUAUGGAUAUGGCAUAUAUAUACUUAUUUACUUAGGUAGGAUCCAUCCAGCUGAAACUAAUCUGUGGUUUCUUUCAUUAAAUGAUAUAAUAACUCAUCAUCAUCAUUAUCAUAUUAAUAUAAAAACUCUUGCAUCAUAUCAUCAACAUGAGUAUAUAUAUAUAUAUAUACUCUAGCUAGCUAGCUAAAAAUCAUCGUGGUCGUCAUUAUCACUAUUUAAUCAUCAUAGUCAUUACCGCUAUCUAAUCACCAGCAAUAGUAGCUUAAAAAAGAAACAUUCACUUGUACCAGAAGCAAAAAUAUCAUCGAGUUCAACAUGAUUGUCAUGAUAUUAUAAGCAUUCAUAUAUAACACCACAAAAGAAAAUCACUCUUUGAGAUUAAGUUCAGAACAAAGAACAUGAACAUGAAAGGACAAGUACUAAGAGCAGCAUGAACUAGCUAAAUCACUCCUGCUAGCUACUCUCUCUCUGGUAAAAUAGCAUAGAACAUGUAUAGCUCUCCUGAUUCAUCAUACUGGAGCAUGCAGAUGAACCUGUCUCCUAAUCGUGGGCUGCGCUUCUCAUUGCUGUCCCCUAGUACUUCUCUGCGAUCGUUAACAAUUUUCCUCCAAUCUUUCACUAUUAAGCAUUCAUCGCUUGUAGAAAUCUUGAAUGCAUUCAUGUGCAAUGCAGGAUAUCUUGGCCGUAAGCUAACAAUUGACAUGCGACAUUUAGUCUCGAUCACUUGAGGCAUAACUGUCAUCGGGAGUCCCUGUUGAAGAACAUCGUAUAGUACUUAAUUAAUAUACUUAGUAAUGAAAGUUUAGCAAAAAAAUUAUGUAUGCAAAAUAUGCACUAGGACAAAUAGUAAAAAUCUUACCAUCAUUCCUAAAUAGAUGUGACCGUAGUUCAAUACCAUCACUAUUGGUCGCACAUUUUGAGUACUAAUAUUUCUAAGUGUAGGAAGAAAAUUUGUCUUGACAGUACGAAGAUCCUCAAGCCAUGAAACAUAAUGACUUAUCUUCUCGCAGUUUAGUUCAACUCCGGGACAGUAGUAGGUCCUGUCUACCAAGCGUCGGACAUGUUUGCUUGAAUGAAAAUAAGCUGUCAAUAGAAAUUAGUUGUCAAUUAUUUUUGAAUAAGCAAUAUCAAAGACAAAAAUGAAGUGCCCGUUUAACUGAUGAGUUCUCGUCCGAAACCGGUGAAGACUCAUAUUGAGUCCACAAAUUAUACACAUAGAGUUUAAUGAAGACCAAAUGCUUGUGAUAGUUUGAAAAUAACAUAUUUAAAUUGUGCAUCUGAACACAGAAAAAAUACAUUGAUCAGUACCGCCUUUCAGCCAAAACGCGCUACUGCUACAGAGAAGUACAUAUAAAAAAUACAUUGAUCAUCAAUGAUGUUUUUGUAUAAAAUCUAAAUCGUCAAUAGGAAUCUACCACCGAUUUAAGAACCGGCGAAGACUCCUAUUGCAGCCAUAGAUCCUACACAUAGAGUUCAAUGAAGACCAAAUGCUUGUGAUAGUUUGAGAAGUAAAAUAUUUAAGGUGGUCAAAUUCUUGUUAGGGGAGCGAGGUGGGACUAAAAAUAGCGCCUGCCACAACCUCUUUAGUACCAGUUCAUGCCAUGAACCGGUACUAAAGAUGCUGGUGCCCGGCCAUCACCUUUAGUACCGAUUCGUGGCACGAACCGGUACUAAAGAUUCACAAUGAACCGGUACUAAAGGUCUCCUCCCGCCUAGUCAUUUGAACCGGCACUAAUGGACGCAUUAGUGUCGGCUCAUAUGCAAACCGGUACUAAUGUUUCUCAUAUUUGACCCUUUUUCUACUAGUGUCAUGUUCAUGAACCCUUUUGUCCCAAAAUAAGUGUCAUGGUUUUAGUUUUAAAUUUAAACUAAAAGCACGACACUUAUCAGGGAGUAUAGUACGUAGUUAGUACAGAAUAUUUACCCGCAAAUAAAAGUUAGUACAGAAUAUAAGCGUCAGCAAAGCUUUCUCUUCUUGUGCUUGGAGGUUUUAGUACAUGCGCUCACCAGCCUCUUCUUAUAGGCAGACAAGUGUGCUACCUUGUCAGUGAGAGUAGAAGAGUGGGCGGUGCGCUGGGACAUCAACUCCUUCAACAGAGCAGGGCAGCUUCUGAAGACAUGAUCGAUCGAAGUCGUGUGUCGAUCGCCAUGGCCUCGUCUAGUUUUUUUUUGAGGGGGAGGCCUCGUCUAGUUUGGUGGGAGAGUUGAUGAGCAAGUCAAAGCACNNNNNNNNNNNNNNNNNNNNNNNNNNNNNNNNNNNNNNNNNNNNNNNNNNNNNNNNNNNNNNNNNNNNNNNNNNNNNNNNNNNNNNNNNNNNNNNNNNNNNNNNNNNNNNNNNNNNNNNNNNNNNNNNNNNNNNNNNNNNNNNNNNNNNNNNNNNNNNNNNNNNNNNNNNNNNNNNNNNNNNNNNNNNNNNNNNNNNNNNNNNNNNNNNNNNNNNNNNNNNNNNNNNNNNNNNNNNNNNNNNNNNNNNNNNNNNNNNNNNNNNNNNNNNNNNNNNNAACCCCCCGUCGCGCCGCCGAGUCCCCCUCCCCCUCCCCCUGCCUCGCCGCCACCCGAGGAGGCCGCCGGCGAAGGCCGCGCGUGUUUCGGGGAAGGUGGCGGCCGGGCGUUUUUGCUGGUUCUCGCGCGCGCUCGAGGAGGGGUGUUGACUCGCGGUGGAUCUGGGGGCUGAGCUCGGGUCGGGCGGCGGCGUUUGGCCCGUCAGCGCGGAGAUGGUGGCCCGUCGGUCGGUGCAGAGGUGGCGUCUCACAGGUGCUGCUGCUUCCUGGCGCCGCGGUGCUGUGGGCGGGCGUGGCCGGGCACGGAUCUGGCGCGGCGACGAGAGGCGCCUGUGGUCCGCGUGGGAUGGCGGUGGGAGGCGCGCGUGGGGCGCGGCGGCUCGCCGGCAGAGGCAGGCCUUGCGGCGGGCUACCGUGGGAGGGCAGGCUCGUGGCGGCGGCGGUGUGCCACAAGUGACGAUGAUGAUGCAGCGGCGUCACACAGGACGGGUGGCGCGCAACUUCUCUUCUGCGGCUGGUGGAGGCAUGGCUGCACUUCCUCGAGGGAGGUUGUGUGGUGAUGUGUGGAUGAGCCUGCCAGCCCUGUGGUGCGGGGGCGGGCUCGGGCAGCGGCUUCGGCCGCGAGGGGCGCGGCAGGACGUCUAGAGGACGCCCUGGUGAUGCGCGGGUCGGGGGCCCGGGUUGUCGGCAAAGAGCGCCACAGCUGUGGGUGAUGCUGAUUCGUGUUGGGCAGCUCCGAUGGUGGUGGUGGUUGGUGGGCUCGCUGGUGCUGGUGCGGGAUGAUGUGUGGCUGAGGUGGUGUGGGAGCUUGGGUGAAGACCCUGUCCCGGUCUUGUGCCGUGACCAGUGAUGGUGGCGGCUGUGGCCGUCGUUGACCUUCCUGGAGGCAUCGCUGUUUUGUUGCCACUCCCCUCCUGCACGGAUCCGGCCAUCUCGGCCUCUCCGGGGAGAAACCCUUGAUCUGUGAUCGGACGAUGGCGGCGCCUUGGUGUCGUUUUCCCCUCUUGGGGGCUUCGUCUUGGGAGCCCGGCAUCGGUGGGCGGGACCCGUGGAUGGCGGCAGUUGUGGCGACCAGGCUUCUAUGGCAACGAUGACGGUGGGAGCGAUGUCGACGACGCGGCAAUGGUUGCGGUAGUCGUCUCUUCUCCGGCGUGUCCGCGGUUUUGCCUCAGGUUGUUUGUUGCUGUGGAGUCGAAGCUGCGGUGGCGGCGCCCUGUGAUAUACGAUGACCGGCUGCAGGUGGCCCGUUCGGCGAUCUCCCGUGGCGCCAGCCGUGCCUGGUUUUGUUCUUCAGAGUUCUCCGUCAGAGUCGGAGUUGUGCUGUCUGGCCGCAGGUGGCUGAGAUUUGGUGCAGAUCUUCAUGUAGCUUCACACGUCCACUUUGGUGUGGGUUGAGUCGACGAUCGCCUGUGGCGAAGUCGGAGUCGUUUGCUCAGAGUGUAGGGAUGGCGAUGACGCCUCUAGGGGAGGAGUAAUGACGAUGACGCCUACGUGUUGUCUCGACGAGACCCUCUUUAGAGUGGUGUGUGUGGGGUAUCUUAUGUGUGCCGCUCAGCUGUUGUGAGGGUUUUCGCUCGGUUCUCCAUAAUUAACCGUGCAAUCUGGUUUUCGCUCGGUUUUCCCUAAUUAACCGAGCAACUCUAUUCUGCUUAUUUAAUCGAUGAGGCAAAACUUUUGCCUCCGUUUCAAAAAAAGCACGCGUCCUUGAGCCCUUGGCCAGUGAUGCUGCUCAGCGUGGUUGCCACGGUGCUCACGUCCAUGUGCGGAUGUGCCUGCACAAUCUAUCCUCGCAAACCAGCUUGAGCCUCUCCACACUACUGGAAUUCUGUCCUACGCCGAGUGCCACGGACACUCGGCAAAGGGCCGAAAACCGCCGGCAAAGCCUUUGCCGAGUGUCACCCUUGGCAAAAGCCACCCAACGUACACCUCUUCGGCAAACAGGAGUUUGCCGAGAGCCAGAACACGGACACUCGGCAAAGACUUUGCCGAGAGCCAAACAGUACCACUCAGUGAAAUAAAGUAGCUAACGGAUAGCAGACGGUGACGGCGGUUCCUAACACAUGGGACCAGGGGCCAUCUUUGCCGAGUGCACCUCUCGGCAAAGCCAGCCAGUAGGUGGCCGACACCAUGUAGCUCCUGACACGUGGGACCAGGCGAACAGGCUGAGGGCCAUCUAUGCCGAGUGCCCCUCUCGGCAAAGCCAGCCAGUAGGUGGCCGACACGUGUCAGCUCCUGACACAUGGGACCAGGCGAACAGGCCGAGGGCCAUCUUUGCCGAGUGCCCCUCUCAUCAAAGCCAGCCAGUAGGUGGCCGACACGUGUCAACUCCUGACACGUGGGACCAGGCAAACAGGCCGAGGGCCAUCUUUGCCGAGUGCCCCUCUCGGCAAAGCCAGCCUGUAGGUGGCCGACACGUGUCGGCUCCUGACACGUGGGACCAGGCAAACAGGACGAGGGCCAUCUUUGCCGAGUGCCCCUCUCGGCAAAGAGUGCCACCUUUGCCGAGGGUGGCUCUCGGCAAACUCUAUAUUUGCCGAGCGCCACUCUCGGCAAACUCAGCCAAUAGGGGAAUGCCACGUCACUUCUCCUAAAAGCCGUGAAAAUAUUUUGCCGAGAGCCACCGUCGGCAAUUAUUUUUCCUUUACAGAGAGCACUCUUGGUAAAGUUGCCAGGAGGGCUACAUGUUAUUACCCUUUACCGAGAGACCUCUUGGUAAAGUUGCCAGGAGGGCUACAGGUUAUUAUCCUUUUUCCGAGAGUUCUCUCGGUAAAGGGUGCGUUCUGGUCCAGUUUCAGAGUUAUUGCCGAGAGCAGCCCUCGGCAAUGGUGUGCCCAGGAGCCUUUUUCCCUGUUUCUAUUUCUUUCCUGCAGCGAAACAUAUACAGCAGCAGCAUAUAGUUCAUCACACAUACAACAUGUCACAUAUAGGCAUCAUUGAACAAAAGAAGCAAUGAUUGAUUCUGAAAAACAUUCCACAUAAAAGCAAUAGUGCAUCAAAGCAAUAGACCACAAGUUUACAAGUCUCAAGAUGCAAGAGUUCUCAACAUACAAGGAACAGUUUCAAACAUAACAUGAAGUUCAUGCAAUUUUGGAGAUCGGAGUGAUAACAUCGACAUUAGAAGGCAUCAUUCCGUUUGCUGCCCCAACUCCAUCAACCGGAGUGAUAAAAUCAACAUUAGAAGGCAUCAUUCUCUUUGUUGCCCCAACUCCACAAACUUGAGGUGGAACUACCGGAACAUUGUUCGACCCUUGUGAUUGGUUGAGCUGUGAUGGAUUGACCCAAUAGUGAGAUGAAUGCAUAUGGUAAUGCCGAAAAUGGUGAUAGAAAUAGUUUGAACAAAACUCGCAAUGUUCCACUCUGGCGUCGGUGGCAUCUCUGGCACUGGUUGGCCUUGCAUGGAAUAAAGAUUGGCCACCAUAUAUUGUAAAGAAUUCACUAGAUCAUCUUGUGCCUUCAGCUUGGCCCGGUUUUCAUCUCGUUCUUUCUCGGUGUCCAUCAGUCGAGUCUACAAUAUGGCAAUGCAAAUGUCAUUCAUGUUGAAAUGCAAAUAUCCUCAAUAAUGAAGAAGGAUCAAUGAAGAAGGACCAUGAAGGAUCAAUGAAGAAGCACUGACCUGAAUAUCCUCAAUAAUGCUCACGGACUGUGGUACGUGACGCUCUACGGUAGGAGUAGAGCCAGUACUCAUAGCACGGAGCGUGUUGACUCUCGGAAGGGAGGAGGUUAUGACAAAAUCAAGGUGAACCGUCAUCCGGCCAUUUGGUCUACCGCCUGCCGCGGCAAUGGCCAUAAGUGGGUCAAACGGUAGCACGUGAGGAUCAGCGUCAGGCCCGUACGUCUCCUUCAAUUUUUUGGUGUAGUUCUCUCCAUCUGACUGGGCUUUAGAGCUGAUCCAGUCCCUCUACGGGUGGAGAGGGUCCUUGUCCUUGUCGUCUUUGGUACAUUUGAUGGUCCAUGCCUCGAAGUAAGUGAUAUCCUUGCCAGUGUCUUCUUUCUGCAAAAGAAAGUGAUCCAAACAAUCAAGGGAAUGCUCACAAAUGAAAGAGAACAUGAUGAAAAGAAAAGGAUGUGGUUGCCUACAUGUUUUGAGACAACACCUGGGAUGGUGAGGUUGCCUUGACGGUGUCCUCGACCCCCCAUCAACUUACGCCGUUCAGAUAUUACUUUGUGUUCAUCCUGCCACCCUGGAUCUGUCCACCGUUCGACGAUCUUCUCCCAGCACGGACGUUUGUCAGCGCACCACCGAGGAAUCACCUGUAGAUUAAACAAAUACAUCUUAGUAAGGAUUCUAAUUUUGCUGUAGUGUAGGAAAUAGCAAGCAUCCAUCGUCACUUGCCUUGAAGUAAUUGUCCCGUGAAAGGUGUGUCCCUUGAGCCUCCUGUUUGGAAAUCCUAUGGUUGAGAUAGUCCGCGUGAUACUUGACCACUAACCGGACGCGCUCCUCAUAGUGCAUGCCGUGGACUAGUUUCUUGGCAAUAUUCUCAACCACCACAUUUGCACGAUCCUUCUGACCCUCAACGCAUGUAUAGAAAUCCUACAAACAUGCAUACAUGUGAGAAGGGUUAAAUCAUGACUAUGGAAAAUUUAAACCUUUUGGUAUUGACAUUUAGGUGUUUGAAAGGACUUACCCAGAAAUCGUUGACCACUCGCAUGGCUCUGUUAUCAAAAACCCUCUGACACAUAUCCAGGAAAUCCGGUGCAAGUUUUUAGUGAUCCCAUGACCAAGCUGGCUCAAUGAUACCGUUCGGCAAAGUGACCAGUCCAGGAUAAUUUAACCUUCAAAGACCCCCAAUGAUGCCACUCGGCGACCGUGGCAGACGCCUCUCACCACCUUUUACUAAGCUUCUGCAUUUCGAGUAGUGAAGUCAUAUUAUAUGUGAGGAAAUGACAAAAGGUACAAUUUAUAUGGGAUGAGUCGAGAUAACCACUUACUUCUCUCCCAUUGGUUUAAUCAACACGUCUCUAUGCACAUAUGGACGUCUUGGAAGCUUUGAAGGACCACGCAGCCACACUUUUCCUCUGGAAGUAGUGCUAAUAGUCGAACCGCUCGGCAGCGAACCACUCACCUCGUGGUGCUCUGUCACCCGUGAGGGUCCAUCCCCACCCUCAGAAACCUGACAAACAAACAACCUCCUCUCGGCGGCGGCGUCCUCCACCACCACCUCCUCCUCAUCCUCCACCACCUCCUCCGCAAAAUCCUCCUCCUCCUCCUCACACGCCUCAUCCCCAUCCUCUGUUUCCUCCUCCUGAGCACGGUGAAGCACUGCAUCAGAGGGUCGAGGAGAAGAAAGAGGUGCUCUAAUCCGGGCUGCACGUACUCCUCGUCCACCUCCUCCUCCUGCCUCACCUACUCCCCCUCCUCGUCCGCCUCCUCGUCCGCCUCCUCCUCCUGCCUCACCUACUCCCCCUCCUCAUCCACCUCCUCGUCCGNNNNNNNNNNNNNNNNNNNNNNNNNNNNNNNNNNNNNNNNNNNNNNNNNNNNNNNNNNNNNNNNNNNNNNNNNNNNNNNNNNNNNNNNNNNNNNNNNNNNNNNNNNNNNNNNNNNNNNNNNNNNNNNNNNNNNNNNNNNNNNNNNNNNNNNNNNNNNNNNNNNNNNNNNNNNNNNNNNNNNNNNNNNNNNNNNNNNNNNNNNNNNNNNNNNNNNNNNNNNNNNNNNNNNNNNNNNNNNNNNNNNNNNNNNNNNNNNNNNNNNNNNNNUGCCUCACCUACUCCCCCUCCUCGUCCGCCUCCUACUCCUCCCCCACGUGGUACUCGACCUUGUUUCACACGUUUUGCCAGACGGGUGUCUAGACCCGCGAAUCCUUUGGCCUUCUUGGCGGUUGUGGCAACCGAUGAAGGAGCGGUCACCACUUUCACCGGGCGAGUAGGUUGAUGAUUGUACAGAUCAUUCACUUUUUUCAAACUUUCCUUUGGAAUCUUCUUGCUACCUGUCAUGUUCAAUCACCUGAUACGAAGAAGAACAAACCAGUUAGUACAGAUGAUACAACUUGAUGUAAAUACAAUAAAUAUAUCACAUAUGAAGAAUAAAUGGAAUUGUCACAAUAAUACAUAUAGUUGUUACACACACAAAUACAUGGAGUUGUUGCACACACGAAUACAUAGAGUUGUUACACACACGAAUACAUAGAGUUGUUACACACACGAAUACAUAGACUUGUGACACACAUACAUAGAGUUCUCACACGAUUACAUGGAGUUGUUAGAAAUAAGGGUCAAUAUUAGGUGCAUCAUUUGGAUCAGGGCUUUCAUCAUCGCUAUCACGCCCGUUCAUACAUUCAUCCUCGAAGUCUUCAGGGGGGCCCUCACCCUCAUCUAGCCCCAUGUGCCAUCACAUAAGUAAUGCCAAAUCUUGAGGGUCAGAAACAUCCUCGUAUUCGUCCUCUACAUUAUCUACUUCCAUGUCAUCCAUGGCCUCAUGUUCCAUAGCAUCAUGUUUGUGAUGCACGCCAUCAUCUUCCUUUGCAUCAUCUUCAUCUUCAUCAGUGUCUGCUUCUUGAAAGAACUCUCCCUUGUAUGUGUUAGGGUUUAUAUGGUAAUCGUCCUUGUUUGGGGUAGGUACCUUGAUAUGCGGGGAUACCUUGUACACGACAUCCCACUUCAAGAGAUCGAUAUAUCCCGUAGAUGUGCACGCGUAUGGGAGAAAAAACACUUGUGUAGCUUGUUGAGCCAUAAUAUAGACAUCAUUUCCUACAUAUUUCGAAGCUCGUUCAACUUCGGCAAAGCCAAUACUAGGGGUUCGUCUCACUUUCUCAGGAUGGAGCCAGCUGCAUCUGAAUACGAUGGGCUUCACUCCUUGUAAACCACAAUACUUCAACUCAUAAAUUUCUUCGAUGGUUCCAUAGUAGUGACGUCCAUCUGUCCCUAGACAAUAGACCACACUAUUUAUUGACCUUCGGUUGGGCCUCUCACGCGUGUGUUUAUCAGUGUGGAAGCGAUACCCAUUCAUGUCGUAAGCCUUAAAUAACUUGGCCUCGUAUUCAAAACCUUUGGCUACUUCUCUCGCUUUGGCGUCCAUAUCAACCUCCUGAUAUGCCUACAAGAUUAAUAGGAAAUUGUCUGGUUCAUUAGUGGAAGCAUUACAGGCAAGUAAGAUCAACUUGAAGUAACAUAAAGUUAGAAAAGUUACUUUUCUUGAGAACCAAGAAAUGAAACCGCCAACAACAUUGGUAUCUUCAAGAAGGUUUGCUGAUUCUUCGUCGCUAGGAGGCCAUGGUAGCUUCCAGAAUUCGUUCUGCAAUUCCCUAGAAAUAUGAAGAAUUCGAGUUAGAACUCAAGACUAGUGAUAGUUGUCAAUAAAGGUGAUCUACACUUACUCUAUGUACGGUUGCACUUCUUCCAUGUUGGUCAAGACAUAGAUCAUAAUAGUCGACCACUCAGUAGGUGAAAAGUUCUUGGGCUUCGGUCCACUUGCUUUGCCACCUUGGCCUUCGAAGAGGCUAAGGUCGGAAACAUUACUGGUGGGUUCUUCAUUGUAACGAGGAGCUGGAUUUAACCUAGUCUGAAUACUGUCAUGAUAGUACUUUGUCGUGGUCAUGGCCACCUCCUCGUUCAGGUAUGCCUCGGCUAUGGAGGCUUCAAUGCAGGCUUUAUUCUUACAUUUCCCAUGAAGAUGCUUGAACUCCCGUUCAGGUGCAUACUGCCAUCAGAACUGCACAGGUCCUCCCAUUCUAGCCUCAUACGUGAGAUGUAAGAUCAUAUGUUGCGUCGGAUUAAAGAAACCUGGUGGAAAUAUCAUCUCUAACUUGCAUAGCAACUCAGGUGCUUGUUCCUCCAACUUUGCAACCACUUCAUAAUCUAGUUCUUUGGCACAAAGCUGACAGAAGAAGUAGCUCAAUUCCGCCAGCACUCGCCAAAUAUCCUCUCUGACAUACCCUCGAGUCAUCACAGGCAUUAUCCGCUCAAGCCAUACAUGGUAGUCAUGACUCUUGAGGCCUCCUAUUCACUUUGUAGCCAUAUUCACUCCCCUCAUGAUAUUAGCUGCAUAUCCAUCAGGUAAGUACAAGUUGUUCACAAUCCAUUGGAGAAUUUCCUUCCUUUGGGGCAUUGAAGGGGUGAAAGGGGUGGGUGGCUUCUUCCAAGAAUUACCUUUUGCACGAGGCACCAAAUUUAAUUUUGGCCUGUUGCAUAGUUUGGCUUGAUCGAUCCUAGCCUGAAUGUUAUCAUUUGACUUCUCGGUGUCGAGGAGCGUCCUGAGUAAGGCCUCCGCAAUAUUCUUUUCAGUGUGCAUUACAUCAAUGUUGUGUGGAAGUAGAAGAUCUUUAAAGUAAGGGAGCCUCCAUAAGCUUGGAAUGUGAGUCCACUGGUGUGUCUCUCCAUACCCCACAAAACCUUUCCCAUCGAGCUUUUCCCCAAGAGCAUCUAACUCAUCCUUAAGCUGGGCACCGGUCAUAAUAGGUGGUGGCGGGUCAUCAACAAUAACACCUUUUUGGAAGUGCAUAGCGUCUUGCCUGUAUGGGUGAUCAAGACGAAGGAACUGCCGAUGUUGGUCAAAGCAUACAUACUUGCCACCCUUAGCCAGCCAAAUGAAAGUCACACGUUGUCGACACACUGGGCAAGGCCACUUCCCCUUUACACACCAACCACAAAAUAUUGCACGUGCCGGUAGGUCAUGUAGCGAUGUGUGGUACUAGAUAUGCAUAUUGAAGUGCUUCUUUGAAACGGCAUCGUAUGUCCGGACCCCGUUGUUCCAAGCAACAAGUAAGUCGUCCACCAAUGGCUCCUUAUACACACUCAUAUGCUUCCCGGGAUAGUUAGGACCUGGAAUUAUCAACGUCAGGAACAUGUGAUGUCGUUGCAUGCAAACGCCAGGGGGCAGAUUCAGGGGGAUAACAUAUACUGGCUAACAACUGUAUAUGGCAGCCAUCAAACCAUAUGGAUUGAACCCGUCGGUUGUUAUCCCAACAACUACACUCUUCCAGUCAUCUAUUUUAUUAUGAAUUUCAACAAAUUUCUUCCAUGCUUCACCAUCCCGUGGAUGUUGCAUCUUUUUUGUAUUGUACAUCUUCCCUUCGGCGGUCCAUCUCAUAUACUGGGCAGUUUCCUCGGUCAUAUAAAGCCUCUGGACCUUUCUGUGAAUGAAAGAUACCGAAGGAUAUUGACGGCAAUUGUGAGCUGCCUCUUGCUACCAUCAUCAUCUAUUACCGCAAUAUACCUAGAGGAUUUGCACUUGACACAAUAAUUUGUAUCUUUAUGUUCAUUUCUAAAUAGCAUGCAUCCGUUUGGAAAAGCAUGUAUCUGCUCAUACGGCAUCUUAAGUGAACUGAGGAUUUUGUUCAACUCGUACAUGUUCUUUGGCAAUAUAUGUUCUUUAGGCAAUAGGCCAGCAAUAACUGACAAUAAAUCAAUGAAGCAAAUUAUGCUCAUGUUAUGGUUUGCCUUCAGGGCCAUUAAGCGUGCAAUGCCAUCUAGUUGAGUAACCUCUGUAUGGGCGUGAAGGGGUUUUUGUGCCGCAAACAAAGCUGCAUGAUACUCUUCAGGGCUUUCCGGCGGCUCCUCGGAGUUCGGGUCCUCUCGCGGAUCCGCACGGCGGAUGUCAUCUAAUAGGUUUUCAAUCUGAGUAUCAUAUUCGUCAGCGCGUUGUCGCACCACCUCCGCCCUGGACUGUUCUGUCUCACCGUGAAAGAUCCACCGGUAAUAGCUUGGCGUAAACCCAUAUUUGCCUAAGUGUUUACUCAUAGUAAUCUUAUCUCUUUCAUUCUGGUUAUCACACUCCGUGCAUGGGCACCAAAUUCCACGAACUGGCGUUUCUCCAACAAAUACUAAUUCCAGGAAAUCAUUGGUCUUCGACCUCCACUCAGGGGUCAUACCCUCCAUGCUGGGAUGUCCGGUGUACAUCCACUCACGUUCUUCCAUCCUCUGAUAUAAAUUUAAACACACACAUAAUUUUUUUAUGUAACAAGUGGUUCCAUCAAGUUUUAUGACAUGCACUGAGCUAUGUAAUAGGUAAAGAUAGGUCCUAAUCCCACCCGAGAAUGUGUAGGAUGGGUCCGCUUUCAUGACGUACUCCGACCCGAGACAAAAUUUCGGCAGCACCUCCCCGCUGUUCUCCAAAUACACGUCUCAGCAAUAAGCCAAGAGGAUGCGUAUCUAGAGAACAACAAGGAGACACCGUCGAAAUUCUAUCUCGGAUGUUAGUAAUCAUGAAAACGACCCGCCUACACAUCCUCGGGUUGUCCAUGGAAAACGUGGACAAUUCGAAAGAGUCAAGGUUAUAAAUAUGCAAAAACAUGCAUAUUUAUAGAUACAACCCUUCCGAACGGGAGACACCUAGGUUACGCGACUAUUUAGGUGAUCUACAAAUAAUGAAAACCUACACAUGAACGGGAAGAGAUUACCCUUGAAGCGUGCAACGGAAUUCACUCUCUCUUGUCAAAAUAGAUGCAUGUCCUGCAUGAAAAAAUGAAGUUGUGUCAAUCAUAUGUCAAACAAACAAACAUCAAUAACACUCACUCACACACACCCCACACACAAACACACUCACAUAUCCAUACACACAUCACACACUCACUCACACAUGCACACACACAGUGGCCCGCGCCGGCUCUCGCGGUGCCAACCGCGCCUCCCGCNNNNNNNNNNNNNNNNNNNNNNNNNNNNNNNNNNNNNNNNNNNNNNNNNNNNNNNNNNNNNNNNNNNNNNNNNNNNNNNNNNNNNNNNNNNNNNNNNNNNNNNNNNNNNNNNNNNNNNNNNNNNNNNNNNNNNNNNNNNNNNNNNNNNNNNNNNNNNNNNNNNNNNNNNNNNNNNNNNNNNNNNNNNNNNNNNNNNNNNNNNNNNNNNNNNNNNNNNNNNNNNNNNNNNNNNNNNNNNNNNNNNNNNNNNNNNNNNNNNNNNNNNNNNNNNNNNNNNNNNNNNNNNNNNNNNNNNNNNNNNNNNNNNNNNNNNNNNNNNNNNNNNNNNNNNNNNNNNNNNNNNNNNNNNNNNNNNNNNNNNNNNNNNNNNNNNNNNNNNNNNNNNNNNNNNNNNNNNNNNNNNNNNNNNNNNNNNNNNNNNNNNNNNNNNNNNNNNNNNNNNNNNNNNNNNNNNCCCCAGCGCCGCAGUGGCCGUACUGGCCCGCGUCGGCCCCGGCCGCGUCAACCGCGCCGGCCGUGCCGGUCCAGCUAAUCAAGCAAAGAAGCAAUCAUUAUUUGCUCGUCUUCCCUUAGGGAGCCGGGAGACCUAACCCUAGUCGCCUCUUGCGUCGCCGCCGCCUCUCCCUCUCGCGCAUGACAGCGCCUUGCCACCGGCGACCGCGAACUUCGCCACGUCCAGCCCCCUCCUUCCCCUAAAACCUACGCCCUAGACCCGUUAGGGUCCGAACACCUACCACUAACACACACACAUACAAAGCACACACUCACACACACACAUACAAAGCACACACUCACACACAUUAUUCACUAUAUAUGCAUAUAUAUACACCUUUUGUUGUAAUGGAGAGGGGGGAAACCCCUUUUAUUUCAAAAAAAAUGAGAUUGAGUAUGGGGCUCACCAACGGGGCAGGGGGGCGGCGGGGGAGGUGGAUGCCGGACGAGGUAGAGCUCAGUGGAGGGGAUGUCGUGCCUGUGGUGCUCGCUGAAGCUUGGCCGAGACGGUGACGGUGGACGAGCNNNNNNNNNNNNNNNNNNNNNNNNNNNNNNNNNNNNNNNNNNNNNNNNNNNNNNNNNNNNNNNNNNNNNNNNNNNNNNNNNNNNNNNNNNNNNNNNNNNNNNNNNNNNNNNNNNNNNNNNNNNNNNNNNNNNNNNNNNNNNNNNNNNCACUAGGGGGCGGCGGCGGACAGAGGGGGCGGGGGCGAGAGAAACAGAGAGAGAAGAGAGGAGUGAGCGCGCGCGAGGGGGAAAUUUUUGCAUAAGUCCCCGCGGGAAACAUUUCCAAGAGCCAACAUUAAGCGACACUCGGUAAAAGUCUUAACCUAGAUCUCGGGGGCUUUUCUGAGAGCCGCACUGAGAGUAGUUACCGAGGGCCGUCCUGCAGAACACCGCAAUGACCUCAUUUUCCGAGAGCGACUCUCGGAAAUUCAUCCUUCUUGUGCAUUCCCCAUAAUAUGUAUUAUACUUUUUUUUGUUCUUUUCUUCCAUGCUUGGCAAACAACCUUAGCACAUCAUAAUUACCAUCUUGUGUUCUCCUUUUCAAAUGAAGGGCCUCGCCCGGUUCUAGAGACCGGCACCCUUCCGGUGGCCCCGGCGGUCUAGGGCGUUGAUCGGCACCGAGAGGGGGUAGGCCACGGGGAAUAACUGCUUCUUCGUGUUAGUGCAUGUCAUCGUGAGAUAACAUUCCAAGUCUAGGCCCGUUCUGUCACGAGAUCGCCCACCGAAGACUCUGUCUCGGGGACGAACACAUCAGGUCCUCGAUGUUCCCGCCCAUGUGUGUGGUUUGUGAGGCACGUGCCAUGUCAAGGACGUGCGUUGCUUAUUCAAAUAGCACACCACCCCUGCAUGCAUAUGCAUGGGCCACGCGCAUGUACGGGUGCCCUCCCCCCCUUGGGCGGUCUCCAUAUUGAGCACCCAUCCGGUGGCCCCAGCGGUCUAGGGCGUUAUUCGGCACCGAGAGGGUGUAGUCCACGGUGAAUAACUGCUAUUCAAUGUUAGUGCAUGUCAUCGCGAGAUGAUAGACCAAAUCUAGGCUCGUUCUAUCAGGGGAUCACCCAUCGAAGAUUCUGUCUCGGGAACGGACGCAGUCGGUCCUUGACGUUCCCGCCCGUGUGUGUGGUUUGUGAGGCAUGUGCCACGUCAAGGACGUGCGUUGCUUAUUCAAAUAGCACACCACCCCUGCAUGCAUAUACAUGGGCCACAGGCAUGUAGGGGGUGCCCUCCCCCCCCCUCAGGCGGUCUCCAUAUCGAGCACCCAUCCGGUGGCCCCGGCGGUCUAGGGCGUUAUUCGGCACUCAGAGGUGUAGUCCAUGGUGAAUAACUGCCUCUCCGUGUUACUGCAUGUCAUUGCGAGAUGACAGACCAAGUCUAGGCCAAAGCCACAGCAAGAUCCCAUCCGUGUAGACCCGACGCGUCCGUUUCGCCCCUUCAGAUGCCGGCCGUGAGGGGGUCCACACCCCGGAGAGGCGUGCCGCCUCUUCGGACAUGCCACCAAACCGUACGGCAUGUAUGAGGGCCCGGUGCAAUGCUCCGAUGGCAUUGCUACCCUCCCAGGGCCCCCGUCCCGCCUAACCCUGUAGCGUUUGACCACGGGAUCUAGCCCUUUGACUUUGCACGGACGGGCUUUGACCAGUGGAACUCUCCACCCGGUUGUGUUAGGUCAGCCCAUAGGAACACUUUGGAGCAACAUCCGGGCCUAAGCCAGCAAGACCCCAUCCGUGUAGACCCGACGCGUCCAUUUCCCCCCUCCAGGUGCCGCCGGCGACACCGUCCGUGAGGGGGGGCACACCCCGGAGACGCGGGCAGGGCGUUUGCAACCGCCACAACACUUCCAUACUUGUGAGAGGCCGCCUACGCAAGAUUUGGCGGCAUGUGCUAGCCCCCGGAGGCCGCCGGCCACAGUCGUAGACAUGCGAAGAGCAAUCCGCGGAGAGGGAAGUGUUCAGAUAGUUCUCUAAAGUUCUCUCUUGGUGCCGGUCUAGAAAGUUGACCGGCACCGAGAGAGGGGGUAGGCCAUGGUCAACAACUUAUUCUUCUCAUGUUUUUUUACUUUACACACUCUUUAAAGUUGAGUUUUGAAAAAGAUCAUCAAAAAUCAUGGAAUUUAUAAACUUUGGUCAUAAAAGCAUAUGAAAUAUGAGAUACAAAAAGGUAGUGCAAAAAAGACAAAAAUAGGGGGGGGGGAAUUAGAGCAGUCAUUACCGAGAGUCGAUUCUUGGCUCUCGGUAAUUUCCACCUUUUCCGAGAGCUGCUCUCGGUAAACCAUCCACAUAGAUCUCUUUCCUUCUUGGGCAUUCUCUAUAAUAUGUAUUAUACUUUUUUUGUUGUUUUCUUUCAUGCUUGUCAAACAACCUUAGCACAUCAUAAUUACCAUCUUGUGUUUUCUUCUUCGGAUGAGCCUCGUCCGGUUCUAGAGACCGGCACGCUCCGGUGGCCCCGGCGGUCUAGGGAGUUGUUCGGCACCUAGAGAGGGUAGGCCAUGGGGAAUAAUUGCUUCUUCAUCUUAGUGCAUGUCAUCAUGUGAUAGCAUUCCAAGUCUAGGCCCGUUCUAUCACAGGAUCGCCCACCGAAGACUCUGUGUCUGGGACGAACGCAGCCGAUACUCGACGUUCCCGCCCAUGUGUGUGCUUUGUGAGGCACGUGCCACGUCAAGGACGUGCGUUGCUUAUUCAAAUAGCACACCACCCCUGCAUGCAUAUGCAUGGGCCACGCGCAUGUACGGGUGCCCUCCCCCCCCUCGGGCAUCUCCAUAUUGAGCACCCAUACGGUGGCCCCGGCGGUCUAGGGCGUUAUUCGACACCGAGAGGGUGUAGUCCUUGGUGAAUAACUGCUACUCCGUGCUAGUGCAUGUCANNNNNNNNNNNNNNNNNNNNNNNNNNNNNNNNNNNNNNNNNNNNNNNNNNNNNNNNNNNNNNNNNNNNNNNNNNNNNNNNNNNNNNNNNNNNNNNNNNNNNNNNNNNNNNNNNNNNNNNNNNNNNNNNNNNNNNNNNNNNNNNNNNNNNNNNNNNNNNNNNNNNNNNNNNNNNNNNNNNNNNNNNNNNNNNNNNNNNNNNNNNNNNNNNNNNNNNNNNNNNNNNNNNNNNNNNNNNNNNNNNNNNNNNNNNNNNNNNNNNNNNNNNNNNNNNNNNNNNNNNACCCACCGAAUAUUCUGUCUCGGGAACGGACGCAGCCGGUCCUUAACGUCCCCGCCCGUGUGUGUGGUUGUGAGGCACGUGCCACGUCAAGGACGUGCGUUGCUUAUUCAAAUAGCACACCACCCCUGCAUGCAUAUACAUGGGCCACAGGCAUGUAGAGGUGCCCUCCCCCCUCGGGCGGUCUCCAUAUCGAGCACCCAUCCAGUGGCCCCGGCAGUCUAGGGCAUUAUUCGGCACCGAGAGGGUGUAGUCCAUGGUGAAUAACUGCUGCUCCGUGUUAGUGCAUGUCAUUGCGAGAUGACAGACCAAGUCUAGGCCAAAGCCACAGCAAGAUCCCAUCCGUGUAGACCCGACACGUCCGUUUCCCCCCUCCAAGUGUCGGCCGUCAGGGGGGCCACAUCCCGGAGAAGCGUGCCGCCUCUUCGGACAUGCCACCACACCGUACGGCAUGUAUGAGGGCCCGGCGCAAUGCUCCGGUUGCAUUGCUACCCUCCCAGGGCCCUCGUCCCGCCUAACCCUAUAGCGUUUGACCACGGGAUCUAGCCCUUUGACUUUGCAUGGACGGGCCUUGACCAGUGGAACUCUCCACCUGGUUGCGUUAUGUCAGCCCAUAGGAACACUUUGGAGCAACAUCCGGGCCUAAGCCACAGCAAGACCCCAUCCGUGUAGACCCGGCGCGUUCGUUUCCCCCCUCCAGGUGCCGGCGGUGGUGCCGUCCGUGAGGGGGGGCACACCCCAGAGACGCGGGCCGGACAUUUGCAACUGCCACAACACUUCCAGACUUGUGAGAGGCCGCCUACGCAAGAUUUGGCGGCAUGUGCUAGCCCCUGGAGGCCGCUGGCCACAGUUGUACACACGCGAAGAGCAAUCCGCGGAGAGCGAAGUGUUCAGAUACUUCUUUAAAGUUCUCUCUCGGUGCCGGUCUAGAAAGUUGACCGGUACCGAGAGAGGGGGUAGGCCACGGUCAACAACAUCUUCUUCUCAUGUUUUUUUACUUUACACACUCUUUAAAGUUCAGUUUUGAAAAAAUCAUCAAAAGUCAUGGAAUUUAUAAACUUUGGUCGUAAAAGCAUAUGAAAUAUGAGAUACAAAAAAGAUAGUGCAAAAAAAAUACAAAAAGUGGGGGGGGGGAUUAGAGCAGUCAUUACCGAGAGUCGAUUCUUGGCUCUCGGUAAUUUCCACCUUUUCCGAGAGCUGCUCUCGGUGAACCAUCCACCUAGAUCUCUUUCCUUCUUGUGCAUUCUCGAUAAUAUGUAUUAUACUUUUUUUGUUGUUUUCUUUCUUGAUUGGCAAACAACCUUAGCACAUCAUAAUUACCGUCUUGUGUUUUCUUCUUCGGAUGAGCCUCGUCCGGUUCUAGAGACCGGCACCCCUCCGGUAGCCCCGGCGGUCUAGGGCGUUGUUCGGCACCUAGAGAGGGUAGGCCACGGGGAAUAACUGCUUCUUCAUGUUAGUGCAUGUCAUCGCGAGAUAACAUUCCAAGUCUAGGCCCGUUCUGUCAGGGGAUCGCCCAACGAAGACUCUGUCUCGGGGACGAACGCAGCCGGUCCUCGAUGUUCCCGCCCAUGUGUGUGGUUUGUGAGGCACGUGCCACGUCAAGGACGUGCGUUUCUUAUUCAAAUAGCACACCACCCCUGCAUGCAUAUGCAUGGGCCAAGCACAUGUACGGCUGCACUCCCCCCUUGGGCGGUCUCCAUAUUGAGCACCCAUACGGUGGCCCCGGCAGUCUAGGGCGUUAUUCGACACCGAGAGGGUGUAGUCCUCGGUGAAUAACUGCUACUCCGUGUUAGUGCAUGUCAUCGCGAGAUGACAGACCAAGUCUAGGCUCGUUCUGUCACGGGAUCACCCACCGAAGAUUCUGUCUCGGGAACGGACGCAGCCGGUCCUUGACGUUCCCGCCCGUGUGUGUGGUUUAGGGGUGCCCUCCCUCCCUAUGGGCGGUCUCCAAUUCGAGCACCCAUCCGGUGGCCCUGGCGGUCUAGAGCGUUAUUCGGCACCGAGAGGGUGUAGUUCACGGUGAAUAAAUGCUUCUCCGUGUUAGUGCAUGUCAUUGCGGGAUGACAGAACAAGUCUAGGCCAAAGCCACAACAAGAUCCCAUCCGUGUAGACCCGACGCGUCCGUUUCCCCCCUCCAGGUGCCGGCCGUGAGGGGGGGCACAUCCCGGAGAGGCGUGCCGCCUCUUCGGACAUGCCACCAAACCGUAAGGCAUGUAUGAGGGCCCCGGUGCGAUGCUUCGGUGGCAUUGCUACCCUCCCAGGGCCCCCGUCCCGCCUAACCCUGUAGCAUUUGACCACGGGAUCUAGCCCUUUGACUUUGCACGAACGGGCUUUGACCAGUGGAACUCUCCACCCGGUUGUGUUAUGUCAGCCCAUAGGAACACUUUGGAGCAACAUCCGGGCCUAAGCCACAACAAGACCUCAUCCGUGUAGACCCGACGCGUUCGUUUCCCCCCUCCAGGUGCCGGCGGUGGCGCCGUCCGUGGGGGGGGGCACACCCCAGAGACGCAGGCCGGCCAUUUGCAACCGCCACAACACUUCCAGACUUGUGAGUGGCCGCCUAUGCCAGAUUUGGCGGCAUGUGCUAGCCCCUGGAGGCCGCUGGCCAUAGUUGUACACACGCGAAGAGCAAUCCGCGGAGAGCGAAGUGUUCAGAUACUUCUUUAAAGUUCUCUCUCGGUGCCGGUCUAGAAAGUUGACCGGUACGGAGAGAGGGGGUAGGCCACGGUCAUCAACUUUUUCUUCUCAUCUUUUUUACUUUACACACUCUUUAAAGUUGAGUUUUGAAAAAAAUCAUCAAAAGUCAUGGAAUUUAUAAACUUUGGUCGUAAAAGCAUAUGAAAUAUGAGAUACAAAAAAGAUAGUGCAAAAAAAUACAAAAAGAGGGGGGGAAUUAGAGCAGUCAUUACCGAGAGUCGAUUCUUGGCUCUCGGUAAUUUCAACCUUUUCCGAGAGCUGCUCUCGGUGAACCAUCCACCUAGAUCUCUUUCCUUCUUGUGCAUUCUCGAUAAUAUGUAUUAUACUUUUUUUGUUGUUUUCUUUCUUGAUUGGCAAACAACCUUAGCACAUCAUAAUUACCGUCUUGUGUUUUCUUCUUCGGAUGAGCCUCGUCCGGUUCUAGAGACCGGCACCCCUCCGGUAGCCCCGGCGGUCUAGGGCGUUGUUCGGCACCUAGAGAGGGUAGGCCACGGGGAAUAACUGCUUCUUCGUGUUAGUGCAUGUCAUCGCGAGAUAACAUUCCAAGUCUAGGCCCGUUCUGUCACGGGAUCGCCCAACGAAGACUGACUUGGGGACGAACGCAGCCGGUCCUCGAUGUUCCCACCCAUGUGUGUGGUUUGUGAGGCACGUGCCACGUCAAGGACGUGCGUUUCUUACUCAAAUAGCACACCACCCCUGCAUGCAUAUGCAUGGGCCAAGCGCAUGUACGGCUGCACUCCCCCCCUCGGGCGGUCUCCAUAUUGAGCACCCAUACGGUGGCCCCGGCGGUCUAGGGCAUUAUUCGACACCGAGAGGGUGUANNNNNNNNNNNNNNNNNNNNNNNNNNNNNNNNNNNNNNNNNNNNNNNNNNNNNNNNNNNNNNNNNNNNNNNNNNNNNNNNNNNNNNNNNNNNNNNNNNNNNNNNNNNNNNNNNNNNNNNNNNNNNNNNNNNNNNNNNNNNNNNNNNNNNNNNNNNNNNNNNNNNNNNNNNNNNNNNNNNNNNNNNNNNNNNNNNNNNNNNNNNNNNNNNNNNNNNNNNNNNNNNNNNNNNNNNNNNNNNNNNNNNNNNNNNNNNNNNNNNNNNNNNNNNNNNNNNNNNNNNNNNNNNNNNNNNNNNNNNNNNNNNNNNNNNNNNNNNGUGAAUAACUGCUACUCCGUGUUAGUGCAUGUCAUCGCGAGAUGACAGACCAAGUCUAGGCUCGUUCUGUCACGGGAUCACCCACCGAAGAUUCUGUCUCGGGAACGGACGCAGCCGGUCCUUGACGUUCCCGCCCGUGUGUGUAGUUUGUGAGGCACGUGCCACGUCAAGGAUGUGCGUUGCUUAUUAAAAUAGCACACCACCCCUGCAUGCAUAUACAUGGGCCACAGGCAUUUAGGGGUGCCCUCCCUCCCCUCGGGCGGUCUCCAUAUCGAGCACCCAUCCGGUGGCCCUGGCGGUCUAGAGCGUUAUUCGGCACCGAGAGGGUGUAGUUCACGGUGAAUAAAUGCUUCUCCGUGUUAGUGCAUGUCAUUGCGGGAUGACAGAACAAGUCUAGGCCAAAGCCACAGCAAGAUCCCAUCCGUGUAGACCCGACGCGUCCGUUUCCCCCCUCCAAGUGCCGGCCGCGAGGGGGGCCACACCCCGGAGAGGCGUCCCGCCUCUUAGGACAUGCCACCAAACCGUAAGGCAUGUACGAGGGCCCCGGUGCGAUGCUCCGGUGGCAUUGCUACCCUCCCAGGGCCCCCGGCCCGCCUAACCCUGUAGCGUUUGACCACGGGAUCUAGCCCUUUGACUUUGCACGGACGGGCUUUGACCAAUGGAACUCUCCACUCGGUUGUGUUAGGUCAGCCCAUAGGAGCACUUUGGAGCAACAUCCGGGCCUAAGCCACAGCAAGACCCCAUCCGUGUAGACCCGACGUGCCCGUUUCCCCCCUCCAGGUGCCGGCGGCGGCGUCGUCCGUGCGGGGGGGCACACCCUGAGACGCGGGCCGGGCGAUUGCAACCGCCAAAACACUUCCAGACUUGUGAGAGGCCGCCUACGCAAGAUUUGGCGGCUUGUGCUAGCCCCCGGAGGCCGCCGGCCAAACUCGUUGAUACGCGAAGAGCAAUCCCCGGAGAGGGAAGUGUUUAGAUACUUCUUUAAAGUUCUCUCUCGGUGCCGGUCUAGAAAGUUGACCGGCACCGAGAGAGGGGGUAGGGCACGGUCAACAAGCUCCUCUUCUCAUGUUUUCUUACUUUACACACUCUUUAAAGUUGAGUUUUGAAAAAAAUCAUCAAAAGUCAUGGAAUUUAUAAACUUUGGUCAUAAAAGCAUAUGAAAUAUGAGAUACAAAAAAGAUAGUGCAAAAAAAGACAAAAGGGGGGGCAAUUAGAGCAGUCAUUACCGAGAGUCGAUUUUUGGCUCUCGGUAAUUUCCACCUUUUUCGAGAGUGGCUCUCGGUAAAUCAUCCAGCUAGAUCUCUUUCCUUCUUAUGCAUUCUCGAUAAUAUGUAUUAUACUUUUUUUAGUUGUUUUCUUUCAUGCUUGGCAAACAACCUUAGCACAUCAUAAUUACCGUCUUGUGUUUUCUUUUUCGGAUGACCCUCGUCCCGUUCUAGAGACCGGCACCCAUCUGGCGGCCCCGGCGGUCUAGGCCGUUGUUCGGUACCAAGAGGGUGUAGUCCACGGUGAAUAACUGAUACUCCGUGUUAAUGCAUGUCAUCGCUAGAUGACAGACCAAGUCUAGGCUCGUUCUUUCAUGGGAUCACCCACCGAAGAUUCUGUCUUGGGAACGGACGCAGCCGGUCCUUGAGGUUCCCGCCCAUGUGUGUGGUUUGUGAGGCACGUGCCACGUCAAGGACGUGCGUUGCUUAUAUCAAUAGCACACCACCCCUGCAUGCAUAUACAUGGUCCACAGGCAUGUAGGGGUGCCCUCCCUCCCCUCGAGCGGUCUCCAUAUCGAGCACCCAUCCGGUGGCCCUGGCGGUCUAGAGCGUUAUUCGGCACUGAGAGGGUGUAGUUCACGGUGAAUAAAUGCUUCUCCGUGUUAGUGCAUGUCAUUGCGGGAUGACAGAACAAGUCUAGGCCAAAGCCACAGCAAGAUCCCAUCCGUGUAGACCCGACGCGUCCGUUUCCCCCCUCCAAGUGCCGGCCGUGAGGGGGGCCACAACACGGAGAGGCGUGCCGCCUCUUCGGACAUGCCACCACACCGUACGGCAUGUAUGAGGGCCCGGUGCGAUGCUCCAGUGGCAUUGCUACCCUCCCAGGGGCCCCGUCCCGCCUAACCCUGUAGCGUUUGACCACGGGAUCUAGCGCUUUGACGUUGCACGGACAGGCUUUGAGCAGUGGAACUCGCCACCCGGUUGUGUUAGGUCAGCCCAUAGGAACACUUUGGAGCAACAUCCGGGCCUAAGCCACAGCAAGACCCCAUCCGUGUAGACACGACAUGUCGGUUUCCCCNNNNNNNNNNNNNNNNNNNNNNNNNNNNNNNNNNNNNNNNNNNNNNNNNNNNNNNNNNNNNNNNNNNNNNNNNNNNNNNNNNNNNNNNNNNNNNNNNNNNNNNNNNNNNNNNNNNNNNNNNNNNNNNNNNNNNNNNNNNNNNNNNNNNNNNNNNNNNNNNNNNNNNNNNNNNNNNNNNNNNNNNNNNNNNNNNNNNNNNNNNNNNNNNNNNNNNNNNNNNNNNNNNNNNNNNNNNNNNNNNNNNNNNNNNNNNNNNNNNNNNNNGGAGACGCGGGCCGGGCGUUUGCAACCGCCACAACACUUCCAGACUUGUGAGAGGCCGCCUACGCAAGAUUUGGCGGCAUGUGCUAGCCCCCGGAGGCCGUCGGCCACAGUCGUAGACACGCGAAGAGUAAUCCGCGGAGAGGGAAGUGUUCAGAUACUUCUUUAAAGUUCUCUCUCGGUGCCGGUCUAGAAAUUUGAUCGGCACCGAGAGAGGGGGUAGGCCAUGGUCAACAACUUCUUCUUCUCAUGUUUUUUUACUUUACACACUCUUUAAAGUUGAGUUUUGAAGAAAAUCAUCAAAAGUCAUGGAAUUUAUAAACUUUGGUCGUAAAAGCAUAUGAAAUAUGAGAUACAAAAAAGAUAGUGCAAAAAAAAGACAAAAAGAGGGGGGGAAUUAGAGCAGUCAUUACCGAGAGUCGAUUCUCGGCUCUCGGUAAUUUCCACCUUUUCCGAGAGCUGCUCUCGGUAAACCAUCCACCUAGAUCUCUUUCCUUCUUGUGCAUUCUUGAUAAUAUGUAUUAUACUUUUUUUGUUGUUUUCUUUCAUGAUUGGCAAACAACCUUAGCACAUCAUAAUUACCAUCUUGUGUUUUCUUCUUCAGAUGAGCCUCGUCCGGUUCUAGAGACCGGCACCUCUCCGGUGGCCCUGGCGGUCUAGGGCAUUGUUCGGCACCUAGAGAGGGUAGGCCACGGGGAAUAACUGCUUCUUCGUGUUAGUGCAUGUCAUCGCGAGAUAACAUUCCAAGUCUAGGCCCGUUCUGUCACGGGAUUGCCCAACGAAGACUCUGUCUCGGGGACGAACGCAGCCGGUCCUCGAUGUUCCUGCCCAUGUGUGUGGUUAGUGAGACACGUGCCACGUCAAGGACGUGCGUUGCUUAUUCAAAUAGCAGACCACCCCUGCAUGCAUAUGCAUGGGCCACGCGCAUGUACGGGUGCCCUCCCCCCCCCUCGGGCGUCUCCAUAUUGAGCACCCAUACGGUGGCCCCGGCGGUCUAGGGCGUUAUUCGACACCGAGAGGGUGUAGUCCUUGGUGAAUAACUGCUACUCCGUGUUAGUGCAUGUCAUCGCGAGAUGACAUACCAAAUCUAGGCUCGUUCUGUCACGGGAUCACCCACCGAAGAUUCUGUCUCGGGAACGGACGCAGCCGGUCCUUAACGUCCCCGCCCGUGUGUGUGGUUUGUGAGGCACGUGCCACGUCAAGGACGUGCGUUGCUUAUUCAAAUAGCACACCACCCCUGCAUGCAUAUACAUGGGCCACAGGCAUGUAGAGGUGCCCUCCCCCCCUCGGGCGGUCUCCAUAUCGAGCACCCAUCCAGUGGCCCCGGCGGUCUAGGGCAUUAUUCGGCACCGAGAGGGUGUAGUCCAUGGUGAAUAACUGCUUCUCCGUGUUAUUGCAUGUCAUUGCGAGAUGACAGACCAAGUCUAGCCCAAAGCCACAGCAAGAUCCCAUCCGUGUAGACCCGACGCGUCCGUUUCCCCCCUCCAGGUGCCGGCCGUCAGGGGGGCCACACCCCGGAGAAGCGUGCCGCCUCUUCGACAUGCCACCACACUGUACGGCAUGUAUGAGGGCCCGGUGCGAUGCUCCGGUUGCAUUGCUACCCUCCCAGGGCCCCCGUCCCGCCUAACCCUGUAGCGUUUGACCACGGGAUCUAGCCCUUUGACUUUGCAUGGAUGGGCUUUGACCAGUGGAACUCUCCACCCGGUUGUGUUAUGUCAGCCCAUAGGAACACUUUGGAGCAACAUCCGGGCCUAAGCCACAGCAAGACCCCAUCCGUGUAGACCCGAUGCGUUCGUUCCCCCCUCCAGGUGCUGGCGGUGGCGCCGUCCGUGAGGGGGGCACACCCCAGAGACGCGGGCCGGCCAUUUGCAACCGCCACAACACUUCCAGACUUGUGAGAGGCCGCCUACGCAAGAUUUGGCGGCAUGUGCUAGCCCCUGGAGGCCGCUGGCCACAGUUGUACACACGCGAAGAGCAAUCCGCAGAGAGCGAAGUGUUCAGAUACUUCUUUAAAGUUCUCUCUCGGUGCCGGUCUAGAAAGUUGACCGGUACCGAGAGAGGGGGUAGUCCACGGUCAACAACUUCUUCUCAUGUUUUUUUACUUUACACACUCUUUAAAGUUGAGUUUUGAAAAAAAUCAUCAAAAGUCAUGGAAUUUAUAAACUUUGGUCGUAAAAGCAUAUGAAAUAUGAGAUACAAAAAAGAUAGUGCAAAAAAAGACAAAAGGAGGGGGGGGGGGGAUUAGAGCAGUCAUUACCGAGAGUCGAUUCUUGGCUCUCGGUAAUUUCCACCUUUUCCGAGAGCUGCUCUCGGUGAACCAUCCACCUAGAUCUCUUUCCUUCUUGUGCAUUCUCGAUAAUAUGUAUUAUACUUUUUUGUUGUUUUCUUUCAUGAUUGGCAAAAAACCUUAGCACAUCAUAAUUACCGUCUUGUGUUUUCUUCUUCGGAUGAGCCUCGUCCGGUUCUAGAGAUCGGCACCCCUCCGGUAGCCCCGGCGGUCUAGGGCGUUGUUCGGCACCUAGAGAGGGUAGGCCACGGGGAAUAACUGCUUCUUCAUGUUAGUGCAUGUCAUCGUGAGAUAACAUUCCAAGUCUAGGCCCGUUCUGUCACGGGAUCGCCCAACGAAGACUCUGUCUCGGGGACGAACGCAGCCGGUCCUCGAUGUUCCCGCCCAUGUGUGUGGUUUGUGAGGCACGUGCCACGUCAAGGACGUGCGUUUCUUAUUCAAAUAACACACCACCCCUGCAUGCAUAUGCAUGGGCCACGCGCAUGUACGCCUGCCCUCCCCCCUUGGGCGGUCUCCAUAUUGAGCACCCAUACGGUGGCCCCGGCGGUCUAGGGCGUUAUUCGACACCAAGAGGGUGUAGUCCUUGGUGAAUAACUGCUACUCCGUGUUAGUGCAUGUUAUCGCGAGAUGACAGACCAAGUCAAGGCUCGUUCUGUCACGGGAUCACCCACCGAAGAUUCUGUCUCGGGAACGGACGCAGCCGGUCCUUGACGUUCCCGCCCGUGUGUGUGGUUAGUGAGGCACGUGCCACGUCAAGGAUGUGCGUUGCUUAUUCAAAUAGCACACCACCCCUGCAUGCAUAUACAUGGGCCACAUGCAUUUAGGGGUGCCCUCCCUCCCCUCGGGCGGUCUCCAUAUCGAGCACCCAUCCGGUGGCCCCGGCGGUCUAGAGCGUUAUUCGGCAUCGAGAGGGUGUAGUCCAUGGUGACUAACUGCUUCUCCGUGUUAGUGCAUGUUAUUGCGAGAUGACAGACCAAGUCUAGGCCAAAGCCACAGCAAGAUCCCAUCCGUGUAGACCCGACGCGUCCGUUUCCCCCCUCCAGGUGCCGGCCGUGAGGGGGGCCACACCCCGGAGAGGCGUGCCGCCUCUUCGGACAUGCCACCAAACCGUAAGGCAUGUAUGAGGGCCCCGGUGCGAUGCUCCGGUGGCAUUGCUACCCUCCCAGGGCCCCCGUCCCGCCUAACCCUGUAGCGUUUGACCACGGGAUCUAGCCCUUUGACUUUGCACGGACGGGCUUUGACCAGUGGAACUCUCCACCCGGUUGUGUUAUGUCAGCCCAUAGGAACACUUUGGAGCAACAUCUGGGCCUAAGCCACAGCAAGACCCCAUCCGUGUCGACCCGACGCGUUCGUUUCCCCCCUCCAGGUGCCGGCGGUGGCGCCGUCCGUGAGGGGGGGCACACCCUAGAGACGCGGGCCGGCCAUUUGCAACCGCCACAACACUUACAGACUUGUGAGUGGCCGCCUACGCAAGAUUUGGCGGCAUGUGCUAGCCCCUGGAGGCCGCUGGCCACAGUUGUACACACGCGAAGAGCAAUCCGCGGAGAGCGAAGUGUUCAGGUACUUCUUUAAAGUUCUCUCUCGGUGCUGGUCUAGAAAGUUGACCGGUACCGAGAGAGGGGGUAGGCCACGGUCAACAACUUCUUCUUCUCAUGUUUUUUACUUUACACACUCUUUAAAGUUGAGUUUUGAAAAAAAUCAUCAAAAGUCAUGGAAUUUAUAAACUUUGGUCGUAAAAGCAUAUGAAAUAUGAGAUACAAAAAAGAUAGUGCAAAAAAAGACAAAAAGAGGGGGGGGGGAAUUAGAGCAGUCAUUACCGAGAGUCGAUUCUUGGCUCUCGGUAAUUUCCACCUUUUCCGAGAGCUGCUCUCGGUGAACCAUCCACCUAGAUCUCUUUCCUUCUUGUGCAUUCUCGAUAAUAUGUAUUAUACUUUUUUUUGUUUUCUUUCAUGAUUGGCAAACAACCUUAGCACAUCAUAAUUACCGUCUUGUGUUUUCUUCUUCGGAUGAGCCUCGUCCGGUUCUAGAGACCGGCACCCCUCCGGUAGCCCCGGCGGUCUAGGGCGUUGUUCGGCACCUAGAGAGGGUAGGCCACGGGGAAUAACUGCUUCUUCGUGUUAGUGCAUGUCAUCGCGAGAUAACAUUCCAAGUCUAGGCCUGUUCUGUCACGGGAUCGCCCAACGCAGACUCUGUCUCGGGGACGAACGUAGCCGGUCCUCGAUGUUCCCGCCCAUGUGUGUGAUUUGUGAGGCACGUGCCACGUCAAGGACGUGCGUUUCUUAUUCAAAUAGCACACCACCCCUGCAUGCAUAUGCAUGGGCCACGCGCAUGUACGGCUGCCCUCCCCCCGUGGGCGGUCUCCAUAUUGAGCACCCAUACGGUGGCCCCGGCGGUCUAGGGCGUUGUUCGGUACCAAGAGGGUGUAGUCCACAGUGAAUANNNNNNNNNNNNNNNNNNNNNNNNNNNNNNNNNNNNNNNNNNNNNNNNNNNNNNNNNNNNNNNNNNNNNNNNNNNNNNNNNNNNNNNNNNNNNNNNNNNNNNNNNNNNNNNNNNNNNNNNNNNNNNNNNNNNNNNNNNNNNNNNNNNNNNNNNNNNNNNNNNNNNNNNNNNNNNNNNNNNNNNNNNNNNNNNNNNNNNNNNNNNNNNNNNNNNNNNNNNNNNNNNNNNNNNNNNNNNNNNNNNNNNNNNNNNNNNNNNNNNNNNNNNNNNNNNNNNNNNNNNNNNNNNNNNNNNNNNNNNNNNNNNNNNNNNNNNNNNNNNNNNNNNNNNNACUCCGUGUUAGAGCAUGUCAUCGCGAGAUGACAGACCAAGUCUAGGCUCGUUCUGUCACGGGAUCACCCACCGAAGAUUCUGUCUCGGGAAUGGACGCAGCCGGUCCUUGACGUUCCCGCCCGUGUGUGUGGUUUGUGAGGCACGUGCCACGUCAAGGACGUGCGUCGCUUAUUCAAAUAGCACACCACCCCUGCAUGCAUAUGCAUGGGCCACGCGCAUGUAGGGGUGCCCUCCCCCCUCGGGCGGUCUCCAUAUCGAGCACCCAUCUGGUGGCCCCAGCGGUCUAGGGAGUUAUUCGGCACCGAGAGGGUGUAGUCCAUGGUGAAUAACUGCUUCUCCGUGUUAGUGCAUGUCAUUGCGAGAUGACAGACCAAGUCUAGGCCAAAGCCACAGCAAGAUUCCAUCCGUGUAGACCCGACGCGUCCGUUUCCCCUCUCCAGGUGCCGGUCGUGAGGGGGGCCACCCCCCGGAGAGGCGUCCUACCUCUUCUGACAUGCCACCACACCGUACGACAUGUAUGAGGGCCCGGUGCGAUGCUCCAGUGGCAUUGCUACCCCCCAGGGCCCCCGUCCCGCCUAACCCUGUAUCAUUUGACCACGGGAUCUAGCCCUUUGACUUUGCACGGACGGGCUUUGACCAGCGGAACUCUCCACCCGGUUGUGUUAGGUCAGCCCAUAGGAACACUUUGGAGCAACAUCCGGGCCUAAGCCACAGCAAGACCCCAUCCGUGUAGACCUGACGCGUCCGUUUCCCCCCUCCAGGUGCCGGCGGCGGAGCCAUCCAUGACGGGGGCACAGCCCAGAGACGCGGGCCGGGCGUUUGCAACCGCUACAACACUUCGAGACUUGUGAGAGGCCGCCUACGCAAGAUUUGGCGGCAUGUGCUAGCCCCCGGAGGCCGCCGGCCACAGUCGUAGACACACGAAGAGCAAUCCACGGAGAGGGAAGUGUUCAGAUAGUUCUUUAAAGUUCUCUCUCGGUGCCGGUCUAGAAAGUUGACCGGCACCGAGAGAGGGGGUAGGCCACGGUCAACAACUUCUUCUUCUCAUGUUUUUUACUAUACACACUCUUUAAAGUUGAGUUUUGAAAAAAAACAUCAAAAGUCAUGGUAUUUAUAAACUUUGGUCAUAAUAGCAUAUGAAAUAUGAGACAAAANNNNNNNNNNNNNNNNNNNNNNNNNNNNNNNNNNNNNNNNNNNNNNNNNNNNNNNNNNNNNNNNNNNNNNNNNNNNNNNNNNNNNNNNNNNNNNNNNNNNNNNNNNNNNNNNNNNNNNNNNNNNNNNNNNNNNNNNNNNNNNNNNNNNNNNNNNNNNNNNNNNNNNNNNNNNNNNNNNNNNNNNNNNNNNNNNNNNNNNNNNNNNNNNNNNNNNNNNNNNNNNNNNNNNNNNNNNNNNNNNNNNNNNNNNNNNNNNNNNNNNNNNNNNNNNNNNNNNNNNNNNNNNNNNNNNNNNNNNNNNNNNNNNNNNNNNNNNNNNNNNNNNNNNNNNNNNNNNNNNNNNNNNNNNNNNNNNNNNNNNNNNNNNNNNNNNNNNNNNNNNNNNNNNNNNNNNNNNNNNNGAUUCUUGGCUCUCGGUAAUUUCCACCUUUUCUGAGAGCUGCUCUCGGUAAACCAUCCACCUAGAUCUCUUCCCUUCUUGUGCAUUCUCGAUAAUAUGUAUUAUACUUUUUUUUUGUUUUCUUUCAUGCUUGGCGAACACCCUUAGCACAUCAUAAUUAACGUCUUGUGUUUUCUUCUUCGGAUGAGCCUCGUCCGGUUCUAGAGACCGGCACCCCUCCGGUGGCCCCGGCGGUCUAGGGCGUUGUUCGGCACCUAGAGGGGCUAGGCCACGAGGAAUAACUGCUACUUCGUGUUAGUGCAUGUCAUCGCAAAUGACAGACCAAGUCUAGGCUCGUUCUGUCACGGGAUCACCCACCGAAGAUUCUGUCUCGGGAACGGACGCAGCCGGUCCUUGACGUUCCCGCCCGUGUGUGUGGUUUGUGAGGCACGGGCUACGUCAAGGACGUGCGUUGCUUAUUCAAGUAGCACACCACCCCUGCAUGCAUAUACAUGGGCCACGUGCAUGUAGGGGUGCCCUCCCCCCCCCCUCGGGCGGUCUCCAUAUCGAGCACCCAUCCGUUGGCCCCGGCAGUCUAGGGCGUUAUUCGGCACCGAGAGGGUGUAGUCCAUGGUGAAUAACUGCUUCUCUGUGUUAGUGCAUGUCAUCGCGAGAUGACAGACCAAGUCUAGGCCAAAGCCAUAGCAAGAUCCCAUCCGUGUAGACCCGACGCGUCCGUUUCCCCGCUCCAGGUGCUGGCCGUGAGGGCGGCCACACCACUGAGAGGCGUGCCGCCUCUUCAGACAUGCCACCACACCGUACGGCAUGUAUGAGGGCCCGGUGCGAUGCUUCGGUGGCAUUGCUACCCCCAGGGCCCCCGUCCCGCCUAACCCUGUAGCGUUUGACCACGGGAUCUAGACCUUUGACUUUGCACGGACAGGCUUUGACCAGCGGAACUCUCCACCCGGUUGUGUUAGGUCAGCCCAUAGGAACACUUUGGAGCAAUAUCUGGGCCUAAGCCACAGCAAGACCCCAUCCGUGUAGACCCGACGCGUCCGUUUCCCCCCUCCAGGUGCCGGCGGUGGCGCCGUCCGUGAGGAGGGCACACCCCGGAGACUCGGGUCGGGCGUUUGCAACUGCCACAACACUUCCAGACUUGUGAUAGGCCGCCUAAGGAAGAUUUGGCGACAUGUGCUAGCCCCCGAAGGCCGCCGGCCACAGUCGUAGACACACGAAGAGCAAUCCGCGGAGAGGGAAGUGUUCAGAUACUUCUUUAAAGUUCUCUCUCAGUGCCGGUCUAGAAAGUUGACCGGCACUGAGAGAGGGGGUAGGCAACGGUCAACAACUUCUUCGUCUCAUGUUUUUUUUACUUUACACACUCUUUAAAGUUGAGUUUUGAAAAAAAAUCAUCAAAAGUCAUGGAAUUUAUAAACUUUGGUCGUCAAAGCAUAUGAAAUAUGAGAUACCAAAAAAAUAGUGCAAAAAAAGACAAAAAGAGGUGGGGGUGAAAUUAGAGCAGUCAUUACCGAGAGUCGAUACUUGGCUCUCGGUAGUUUUCACCUUUUCCGAGAGCUGCUCUCUGUAAACCAUCCACCUACAUCUCUUCCCUUCUUGUGCAUUCUCGAUAAUAUGUAUUAUAAUUUUUUGUUGUUGUUUUCUUUCAUGCUUGGCAAACAACCUCUUAGGUAUAUAGGAUGUCAGAUAAAAAAAGAUAGUGCAAAACAAAAACAAAAGGAGAAGGGAAAAAAUUAGAGCAGUGGUAACCGAGGGUCGAUUCUCAGCUCUCGGUAAUGGACACCUUUACCGAGCGCUGCUCUCGGUAAAGCAUCUAACCUAGAUCUUAACCUUUCCCCUUUCGUUUGUAUCUUCACUCACCUCUCGUCUCUUCCCACCGCCGGCGCCGCCACCCCCUGCGGCCGCCGCCACCCGCUCCUCCACCGCCGCCAACUGCGGCCGCCGCCAUCGCUNNNNNNNNNNNNNNNNNNNNNNNNNNNNNNNNNNNNNNNNNNNNNNNNNNNNNNNNNNNNNNNNNNNNNNNNNNNNNNNNNNNNNNNNNNNNNNNNNNNNNNNNNNNNNNNNNNNNNNNNNNNNNNNNNNNNNNNNNNNNNNNNNNNNNNNNNNNNNNNNNNNNNNNNNNNNNNNNNNNNNNNNNNNNNNNNNNNNNNNNNNNNNNNNNNNNNNNNNNNNNNNNNNNNNNNNNNNNNNNNNNNNNNNNNNNNNNNNNNNNNNNNNNNNNNNNNNNNNNNNNNNNNNNNNNNNCUCCGGCGCCAUCCCCUCCUCCACUGCCCUCCACCGCCACCAACUGGGGCCGCCACCCCUCCUCCACCGCUCCCCACUGCGGCCACCGCCACCCCCUCCUCCACCGUCCCCAACUGCGGCCACCUCCCCCAAGCUUCAUGGCCGACAACCGGCGUGGAGAUUCUUCGAUGUGGCCCAAGGACGGCCGCCGCAGCAGAGCUUCUCCGGUAGCGCGGCAGCUGGAGAUGCCCUCAGGUAUGUAGAAUAUUUUGCACAAAUGUAUGAAAUAUGAACAAAUGUGAUUAAAAGUAGUAGAUGAAGAUGGUCCUGCUUAGUAGAUGAAGAUGGUCCUAUUUAGUAAUGCCUAGAGUAGUAGAUGCAUGUCCUAUUGCUUGAUUGGAGUGCUUUUUUAGAUAUGUAGAAUAUGCCUGAUGCAUAUUGCUGUUCCUUAGAUAUGCAUAAUGCCCUCAGGUAUGUAGAAUAUGCCUGAUUGGAGUGCUUUUUUUAGAUAAAUACUAGAGUAGAUCAAUGAAACUAUAUACUUGUGCUUAUUUCCUUGUCAGUGGUGAACUCUGAUCUUUGGUUGCCUUUGCUUUUUUUAAUAAAAAGUUGGGGCAGGGGGGCAACCCCUUUCGUUUUAGAAUCUGCUUUGGAACUGAGAGUAACCAUAUAUAUUUUUUUAUUCAGACUCUGAUGAGAGCACUCAUAAUAAGUACCGGAGAGUCCCGAUUGGUAGGGCCGAGUCGUCCGCCUCCCAUCAGGCCACAACCGAGGCAUCAUCAUCAUCGGAUGGCGAUGUCGGAGUGGACCUAGAUCCGCUCGCCACCGAGUCGGGCGACAUGGAGGCCUCGGACGGCUCGGGGUCUACCUCGAGCAACAUUUCCAAGAGGAAGAAAUCCAGGCGUGGUCCGGGGAAGGUCCCGGAACCAACUGCUGCCAGCAACCGUACUGUCAUUUGCCCGACAGGAGAGGGGUAAGCAAGCAUUUCAUUUGCAUCAUAUUUUGGAUGCCACAGUGUCGGUGUCAAAACCGGCGGAUCUCGGGUAGGGGGUCCCGAACUGUGCGUCUAGGCGGAUGGUAACAGGAGACGAGGGACACGAUGUUUUUACCCAGGUUCGGGCCCUCUCGAUGGAGGUAAAACCCUACGUCCUGCUUGAUUAAUAUUGAUGAUAUGGGUAGUACAAGAGUGGAUCUACCAUGAUCAAGGAGGCUAAACCCUAGAAGCUAGCCUAUGGUAUGAUUGUUGUAAUGUAUGUUGUCCUACGGACUAAAGCCCUCCGGUUUAUAUAGACACCGGAGGAGGCUAGGGUUACACAGAGUCAGUUACAAUGGUAGGAGAUCUACAUAUCCGUAUUGCCAAGCUUGCCUUCCACGCCAAGGAAAGUCCCAUCCGGACACGGGACGGAGUCUUCAAUCUUGUAUCUUCGUAGUCUUGGAGUCCGGCUGAUGAUGAUAGUCCGGCUGUCCGGACACCCCCUAGUCCAGGACUCCCUCAAUAGCCCCUGAACCAGGCUUCAAUGACGAUUAGUCCGGCGCGCAUAAUGUUCGGCAUUGCAAGGCGGGUUCCUCCCUUGAAUAAUCCAGAGAAGAUCAUGAACACCAGGAUAGUGUCUGGCUCUGCAAAAUAAAUCCCACAUUCCACCGUAGAGAGAAUAAAAUAUACACUAGUUCAAUCUGCUGACGUAUUAUGCGGCGUGACAUCACACCGCUACCAAGCCACCGUUUGAAUCAUUUUUUACUAUACCGCCUCAGCACGUUUAGCGAAACGGUUUCCUUGGCACGUCUUGUCGAAGCAGAGAUCGUGUUCCCCUUAUUCCGGGAUUCUCAUCAAUACGAACGUGGGUAACCCAACCGCGCCAUUGAUGGUGGCGCUUGGGAGAUAAGCGAGUUUUACCAGGCCGGUGGGGGACGCACAGUUUCGUCCGCCUAUAUAUAAGGGAUAAGGAUUUACCUUCUCUCCUACGCCUUCUUCCUCCUUUGCUUAUCCAUCUCCGCGCACUCACGCUCCAACGCCCAAGCUCGCGCAUCUCGCCUCGACCUCCUCCGAAUAUGUCCGGAGCGGGAGGCAAGUGGUUGGCCUCCACCAUUAAGGAGGAGCACAUCACCAAACUGCGCAGCGCCUGAUACCUCUCCGGCGAUAUCGCGCAUCGGCUGCCCGACGAGGGGCAGCUCAUCCCUACCCCUGGGCCUCACGAGAGGGUCGUCUUUCUUCCCCACUUCCUCCGUGGACUGGGCUUUCCGCUCCAUCCAUUUGUCCGGGGGAUCAUGUUCUAUUACGGCCUGGAUUUCCACGAUUUGGCGCCGAACUUCAUCCUCAACAUCUCGGCGUUCAUCGUCGUGUGCGAGGCCUUCCUCUGCAUCCGGCCCCACUUCGGCCUGUGGCUCAAGACCUUCAAUGUCAAGUUGAAGGUUGUGAAGGGCAUGCAAGCGGAAUGCGGAGGCGCCAUGUUGGGUAAAUUACCCAAUGUCCUUUAGCUCGAAGGGGCCUUCGUGGACUCCGUCAAGGGGUGGCAAUCGGGGUGGUUCUACAUCACCGAGCCGCGCAAGCCCACAUGGGCGGCGGCCCCCGAGUUUAGAUCUGGCAUCCCCAUGCAGCUCACCUCCUGGAAAGAGAAGGGCUUGCUGUGGGGCAAUCCGAAGGAGGUGACGGGACUCCGAGCCUGCAUCCAGAAGCUGGUGAGCAAUAAGCUCGGGCUCGUCGACGUGGUCCAAGUCAUGCUCAUCCGCCGGAUUCUCCCAUGCCAAGAACAGGCAUUCAAUCUGUGGGAGUUCAAUCUGGAACAGCACCAGGCGCUGAGCGGGCUCUUCGAUACGACAUACGAAGGCGCCUGGAGGGUGCUGUUUAAGGGCGCCGAAGCCCCCGCAUCCGCGACGGAAGAUCGCAGAUUCAGCUCGCAGCAUCCAACUGACGAGGUAAGUGAUUCGACCCCAUUACGGGACACUUUAUAGUAAUCGAAUUGAUUAUAGGAGGGUUUCAUUCUUUCCUUUCCUUUGACAGGAAUGGAUGGAGAAGGCCAGGCAGCUUAUCAGCCCGACUCCCAUGCCAGAAGACCCAGUGGACGCCCGUUUAGCAGGGCUGCUGGUUCCGGCACCGCAUGUGGUGCCGGAGAAGAAGGCCAAGAAGGUGGUCGCGGGGACUCGAAAGAGUUUCCGCAAUCAGGUGUCCGACGACGAGGCGGACUCCUCCCCCGAAGACGACGAGGAGGAGGAGGACUCUCUCCCGGAGGAGGGAGAGAAGAAGAGGAAGGCUUCCCCAAUAGGGGAGGCUGAAGGGUCCAAGAGGGGGAGGACAAUCCCCCCGGACAGUUUCGCCAACACCUCCGUUGGCGAGGAUGAGCGGCCUCCAAGGGCCAGGCGUCCGGCAAGAUCAUAAGUAUCCGGAUUCUUGAUAUGCAAUUUCUUUCGUGCCGUGUAGUGUCCUUCUAACACCGCGUUCUGUCCGUAGUUCGGCCGAUGAUGAUCUCCCCGCUUCAUCAAGCGGGUCAUUGGCCCCGUCGGAUGUGGAUUCACUUCUGACCGCCACUACCCCCCGUGGCGAAGACGCCGAGGUGGGAUCCCAGAGAGGGACCCGUCGGGAGGAGGCUCCGGAGGCGCCGUCAGGCUGCCUCCCGGACUUUGUGCCGAACUCUACAUCGGAACCCGCAGUGGUUCCAGAGUCCGGCGAGCGGCCCCUUCAAAGGAAGGGCAAGACCGUGACACCGGCAACCUCCGUCCAACCGGAGGCGCCGGAUAACUUGUUGGAGGCGCUUAAAGGCGCUUCCAUCGAGGAAGAACACCGCACUAUCAUGAGUGCGGUGAUUCAGAAGGUUCAGCUUGCUAAGAGCGGGCUGACCGAAGCCUGCAGCAGCCUUUUAACAGGCUUUGAGGUAAGAAGUUAAAGUUAUGUAAUGUAAUACCGCAUAGACAGUAGCCCCUAAUGCUCAGUUCGGUGUUCGGAAAGAAAAAGCCGGACUGAGGAUCUAACAAGAUAUACGCAGGGUUGCUAAAAAUAUGUCAAUAUGAGUUUGCAGGCUGCGCUGCUGACCUCUGCCGCACUAACGGCGGAGGUCGAUGUGCUGAAGAAGGAUCUCGAGCGGUCCGAGCAAGAGCUCGGCCAUGCCAAGAGGUAGCUCGAGGAAAAAGAAGGUGAGUAACACCACUUUGAAUAAUUACCUUACAGAAAAGGGUUUUGGUUGCGAUAAAGUUAGUGAGGAUAAUACGGGUAUUGCAGGGGCCACUAACGAGGUGGCAGCCCUGAAGGAGGCUGUGUCCGCGGCUGAACGCAGUGCGUCCGCGGAACGGGCGGAGCGAGAAAAGCAGGAGGCACGGGUGGCGGAAGUUCGGCAAGAGCUCCAGGCUCUCAUGGAGAAACAUGAGCGUUUGGAGCGUGACUCCAAGACUCGAGAGUCCGAGCUUGCCUCGGCUCUCGAAAGUGCCAAGUCCGCCAAGGCCGAGGCCCAUAAGGCCCUUCAGGAGGUUGAAGAUAUAAAUAAGAUAGCGGCGGGUAAGGCAUUUUUCAUGCAAAGCAGGCAUGUUAAUGUAAACUACCUGACACUUACCCGCAUUCGGAGCUCUCUAGGGGCGUUUGCAGAUCUGCCGCGCAGUGCGUCUGAUGCCGCCGCAUUCUAUCGUGGCGAGGAGGGGAGCUCGACGGAGAAGGUCUUCUGGUCUCAGUAUGCUGAGGCCGGCCAUCCGGUGCCCCCAAGCGACCAGCUGAAGCAGCUGGUCGAACUCCACAAGGUAGCUGAGGAGGCCAUAAAGGGCCUUAUAGUCCGGCUGUGGCCUAAACAGGCCAUGCCUGGGAGCUACUUUGGCCUCAUGCGGCGGCUGGUGGAUGUGUGCCCCUGGGUGGAGGUCAUCAAGUGCUCCGCGUGUAUUGAAGGUGCUCGUCGUGCCCUUGCCCGCACAGAGGUGCACUGGGGCAAGUUGGAUGCGGAUAAGCUUCUCACGGAUCCACCGCCACCGGGCAAGGAGUAUCGCACGCCUGAAAUGUAUUAUAAAACUGUCCUGAAGGGAGCCUGCGAUAUUGCGGAUGAGUGCCCCAGAAAUGUAAUCUUUGAGUAAACUCGUUAUGUAUUAUCCUUUGCGCUGAAACGUUGUUCAUGUGCGCAUUAAGCAACGCUUGUUUCAUUUAAAAUAUUACCUUCUGUGCGGCCGUUUGUAAAAUCUGAGAGAUGGCAAGUCGUUGGCUUCAGCCCCCAAGCCACAAGUGCUGGGGUGUUCGGGAUAAACUUGAGCACUCUUGUUCCCAUUUUUGGGUCCAUCUAGGGAGGCGCUCAACACAACGAACAAGGAAACCGGACUUAUAAUGCUUGAACACUCUCACUUAGCCAUAGAAUUCUAUAAUUUUAAAUGUUGGCGAAGCCCAUGGUAUUCGGAAGACCGAAUCCGGGGAGCUAUCCACGCCUUCAUCGGACAUUGUCCGGAACUUCGCUCGAAGCGGCGUGAGUCUUUAAGGACCCGAAGAAACCUCUCGAACAGCGACCAGUCUCUCGCCUUAUCAUGCCAGUCAGUUUUAGCUUUCUCCACUGAGGUGCUCGCCCGGCUCAACCGGGGCGCAAUCACAGUGGUUCUCACAGUGCCACCUUAGCCGACAGAACGGAACGUAAGGCACCAAAACGUGGGAGCCGGGCAAACCCAACUAUUGACCCAAGACAUGAUUCGGAGCCGAUUCAUAUAAUGCUGUAAGUUCGGGGUGCCGUACUUAUGAAAGUGUUCGGACUUUAUCACACCAUAAUUUGGGGAACAGAAGCCCCUGGUGUAUUUGGCCGUACCAAAAUAUACGGGUGCAGGAUGUCGUAUAAUGAGCAUAUAUAUAAAAGAUAAUGCAAUUGCAAUGAAAAAGGUGCUGCAUUAUUUAUGAAAGCAAGUUUGCUAUGAGAGCGGACUGAUACAAAUAGUGCGGUAAGCAAGGGAUUUGGACUAAGUAAACAUGUCCCCCUCCAGGGGUGAGCUGCCGACUUGGUGUAUAUAAUCGAAUUUAAUGCUCGUAAUUGAGACCACCUGAUUGUUCGUCGCAGCCUUCUUUAGCCCCUGACUGUUGCAUCAUGAGUUCGGCAGGUUCAUCGCCGGACAGGGCCUCUGGUUAACGGAGUCCUGUGUACAUAAAGGAGAAAAAUAAAGAAAAAAUAAUAAAAAAGGGGGGGCACAUUUGCGAGCUCCCGGUGUGGUCGAACCGCACUCUAGGUUCAUUACGAUCGUGCCCCCUCCCCUGUGCCCAUGGUAUCUCCAAAGCGUAAUGAUGUACGCGGAGUGUUAUUCUUGCGAUCAUGCACGGGCGAGGGUUGGGGCCGCAUUGCUACACGUGCUCUGAUCGUGCCAGGUGGUCUUGGUUGGCAUUGCUUCGUGCGCGUUUUGCUGUAUCCGGCCGUUUAAUGGCCGGACUCGAGAAUUGCCUUAAGAGGCUGCUCUGCACUUCUGCCGCGAGAGCUGCUGUAUGUUCCUCCGUUCGGAGGGAGCGCUCUGUAUUCCCGUUGACCGUGAUGACUCCACGAGGGCCUGGCAUCUUUAGCUUUAGGUAUGCAUAAUGCGGCACCGCGUUGAAUUUUGCAAACGCGGUUCGUCCGAGCAGGGUGUGAUAGCCGCUGCGAAACGGGACUAUGUCGAAGAUUAACUCCUCGCUCCGGAAAUUAUCCGGGGAUCCGAAGACCACUUCCAGUGUUACUGAGCCUGUGCAGUUGGCUUCCACACCUGGUAUGACACCUUUAAAGGUCGUCUUUGUAGGUUUAAUCCUUGAGGGGUCUAUGCCCAUUUUGCGCACUGUAUCCUGAUAAAGCAGGUUCAGGCUACUACCGCCGUCCAUCAGGACUCUCGUGAGGUGAAAUCCAUCGAAGAUUGGGUCUAAAACCAAUGCGGCAAAUCCGCCAUGGCGUAUGCUGGUCGGAUGGUCUCUUCGAUCGAAAGUGAUCGGACAAGAGGACCAUGGAUUGAACUUCGGGGCGACUGGCUCCAUUGCAUAGACGUCCCUUAGUGCGCGUUUCCUCUCCCUCUUGGGUAUAUGGGUCGCGUAAAUCGUGUUCACCGUCCGCAUAGUGCGUGUUUCCUCUCCCUCUUGGGUAUAUGGGUCGCGUAAAUCAUGUUCACCGUCCGCACUUGUGGGGGAAAACCCUUCUGUCCUCUAUUGUUCGGCGGUCGGGUCUCCUCCUCGUCGUCGCUGUUUAGCCCCUUGUCAUUGUUUUCGGCAAUUAACUUGCCUGCUUGCUUGAACACCCAGCAAUCUCUAUUAGUCUGAUUGGCUGGUUUUUCAGGGGUGCCAUGUAUCUGGCAUAAGCGGUCGAGUAUUCGGUCCAAAUUGGACGGACCCGGAGUGGUUCUUUUAAAUGGCUGCUUCCGUGGACCGGGUUUAGAGCCUCGGAAUCCGGCGUUGACUGCCGUAUCCUCCUUAUCGUCGCCAUUAAUGCGGCGUUUGUUUUUGUUUCGACGUGACCUGCCAUUGUUGUCCUUAGUAUCCGGACUGCCAGAAUUUUUACAGAGAUUGUUGCUGCGGGCUAGCCAGCUGUCCUCUCCCGCGCAAAAGCGGGUCAUUAACGAUGUGAGGGCUGCCAUGGAUUUCGGCUUUUCCUGCCCCAGGUGCCGGGCUAGCCAUUCGUCCCGGAUGUUAUGUUUGAAGGCUGGAAGGGCCUCUGCAUCCGGACAGUCGACGAUUUGGUUUUUCUUUGUCAAGAACCGUGUCCAGAAUUGUCUGGCCGAUUCGUCUGGCUGUUGGAUAAUGUGGCUUAGGUCAUCAGCGUCUGGUGGUCGCACAUACGUGCCCUGGAAGUUGUCGAGGAAUGCGGCUUCCAGGUCUUCCCAGCACCCAAUUGACUCUGCGGGCAAGCUGUUUAGCCAAUGCCGAGCUGGUCCUUUAAGCUUGAGUGGGAGAUACUUGAUGGCAUGGAGAUCAUCACCGCGGGCCAUAUGGAUGUGGAGAAGAUAAUCUUCGAUCCAAACCACGGGGUCUGUUGUGCCGUCGUAGGAUUCGAUGUUGACGGGUUUAAACCCUUCGGGGAUUUGAUGAUCCAUUACUUCGUCAGUGAAGCAUAGCGGGUGUGCGGCGCCUCUGUAUUGAGCAAUAUCACGAUGCAGCUCGAGAGAGCGCUGUCUACUGUGUUCGGCCCGGCCGGGGUUAUUGUAUCCGGUGUGACGGUAUUCGUCAUGGGUCGUGGGGCGCCCACGUGAUCCGUAGAUGGAUCUGGAUUGUCUUGCCUUGUCCUCCAAUAUGUCUCGCAAGUCCGGUGCGUUCCCUCUUGGCUUCGUACUUUUGGAGCGAUGCCGGGGUACGGUCUUGGCUGGGGGCCUGGAUGCCUCUCUGUCACGUCCACGGGGUGGUCGGUUAGCCAUAUCUUGCGCUGGUGAUUGAGGUAUGUAUGCCUCCUCCUCUAAUCGGGGGAGCAGCUUGCGUCUUGGGUAACUUUUGGAGGGGCGUUCGAGUUUAUACUCUUCGGCCGCGAGGACCUCGGUCCAUCGAUCGGGCAGCAGGUCCUGAUCAGCUUGAAGCUGUUGCUGCUUUUUCUUUAGGCUGUUUGCUGUGGCGAUAAGCCUGCGUUUGAAACGCUCUUGUUCGACGGGAUCCUCAGGUACGACGAAUUCGUCAUCGUUGAGGCUUGCUUCGUCUUCGGAGGGAGGCAUGUAGUUAUGAUCCUCGACCUCUUCGUCUGCCGCCCUCUCGUGAGGGCUUGCUUCUGCAUCCUCCUGCGCUGAGUCGUGCUGGAGGGGAUUGUCUUCGGCACUCUCUGGGGUAUUAUUAUCUCCUGUGCCGGAAUCUCCAUUCUUGCUGUGGCGGGAUUUAGAGCGGCGCCGCUGACGCCGGCGUUUGGGCUGCUUCUUUAAAGAGUCUGCCUCCGCUGCUUCUUCGCCGUCCCCAUCUUUUGGGGUGUCCACCAUAUAUAUGUCGUAUGACGAGGUGGUCUUCCAGUGCCCUGUAGGCGCUGGUUCCUGUUCGUCUCCAGCAUCGUCGUCCAUAGCAUCGAUGUCGUCGGAGUCGUAGUCUAGCAUGUCGGUUAGAUCGUCGACAGUGGCUACAAAGUGGGUGGUGGGUGGGCUCUGAAUUCCUUCGUCAUCCGUACCCCAACCAUCCUGGCCAUAGUCCGGCCAGGACUCUCCCGAUAACGAGAGAUACUUUAGCGAAUUUAGGAUGUCGCCAAAGGGCGAGUAUUGGAAGAUGUCCGCGGCGGUGAAUUCCAUAACCGGCGCCCAAUCCGAAUCGAUUGGUAGGGGCGCGGGAGGUUCGGAGUCCGGCACCUCGGAAUCAUGAGUUUCGCGGGGGACAAGAUCAAUGUUCGGCUCCAUCGCCGUGGAAGUUGAAGCCCCUGAGGCGGCGUCUAUCCACCGAUCCUCGAUCUGGGCGAUCGGCUCCGGACUGAUGGCCGAAGCGGAUUCAUGUGUGGCCACCAAGGCACUGUUCGGCGGCAGAGCUAGAUCUUGCCCAUCGUAACAGUGCGGCACGCUCGGCUGCGGCUCGAGUCCAUCGAAGAUCAAGUCUCCGCGGACGUCGGCCGUGAAGUUUAGGCUCUCGAAUCUGACCUGACGGCCAGGGGCGUAGCUUUCGAUCUGCUCCAGAUGGCCAAGCGAAUUAGCCCACAGUGCAAAGCCGCCGAAUACGAAGAUCUGUCCGGGGAGAAAAGUCUCACCCUGGACAGCGUUGUUGGUUGAAGAUGCCAUCGGGCCUAUCGGUGACGGCACAUAGGAACUCUCAAUGAAAGCACCAAUGUCGGUGUCAAAACCGGCGGAUCUCGGGUAGGUGGUCCCGAACUGUGCGUCUAGGCGGAUGGUAACAGGAGACGAGGGACACGAUGUUUUUACCCAGGUUCGGGCCCUCUCGAUGGAGGUAAAACCCUACGUCCUGCUUGAUUAAUAUUGAUGAUAUGGGUAGUACAAGAGUGUAUCUACCACGAGAUCAAGGAGGCUAAACCCUAGAAGCUAGCCUAUGGUAUGAUUGUUGUAAUGUAUGUUGUCCUACGGACUAAAGCCCUCCGGUUUAUAUAGACACUGGAGGAGGCUAGGGUUACACAGAGUCGGUUACAAUGGUAGGAGAUCUACAUAUCCGUAUUGCCAAGCUUGCCUUCCACGCCAAGGAAAGUCCCAUCCGGACACGGGACGGAGUCUUCAAUCUUGUAUCUUCGUAGUCUUGGAGUCCGGCUGAUGAUGAUAGUCCGGCUGUCCGGACACCCCCUAGUCCAGGACUCCCUCACACAGCUUUGACACUCACAUAUGCUUGUCUUUUAUAUCAUGAAGUCAGUGGGAAUUUAUCCCGACACAACCUAAGGGGGCACGCCCGCCGAACCACGUCAUCGGCUCCCUCUUGAGGAAGCACUUCCCAGGAUUGUCCAAGCCGGAUGAUGACGAUCUGUCGUCGCCAGGUUUAACCUGGGAGCAUUACAUACACAACAAGGAUGAGCACGAUGUCACCAUGGCCACUCGGGUCAUCAAUGCUUUUUUUUUGUAAGUAUCUUAGCUCCGACCACUGUAUUUUUUCAUAUCCAAAUCCUUGCUUGCGUGGAUGGUGAGAAGAUGCCAUAUGCUUUCUUGUAGCAAACAUUUGCUUGCGUGGAUGGUGAGAAGCAGAAGGCGAUCAAAGGCAUCGUGAAUUCUGCCCGAAAGAUACUCUCUGACACCAAGCAUGCACUGCGGUACAAAGCCGUGAUGCAGUGUCGGCCGCUGGACUCGAAGGGAGAGAAGAUGACAAGGAAGACUGCUUGCCAGACCAACUUGUCGCGAGAAGAAUACCUGUUAGUGGUAAGUGACUACAUUAGUUGCUAGUACUUUGAUUCAUCCCUCUUGUUCCUCAAUUAUUCGAUUUUGUCUGACUAGGUGAAGGAACCCUGGAUGAAGGACGAUUGUUGGGAGGCCCUCGUUGACAUGUGGUGUGACCCAGCAUGGCAGGCGCAGCAUGUGGAGAAGGGAAACGAAUGAGCCAAAAUGUCAGGCCCGGCUCAUGUCCAGGGGAGCCGGAACCUAACCGCUCUCAAGCAACACAUGGUAUGUGGAUUAAGAUGUUAACUUUUUCGCAUGGUGCAUCUUGGUUCAUUCAACUUGAUGGUUAAUUUUGCAGGAGGCGAAGGUUGGUCGACCAGUCCACAUCCUGGAAGCCUGGAAAGAAGGCCACAAGGGGAAGGAUGGCGCCGAGUUCUGCAGCGAGUCGGCGGAGGAGAAAUGGGGGACCUUUAAAGAGGUCUUCCAGGAGGUGCACGGGGAGGAAGCCGAACCUACGUCCAAGCCCCUUGACCCUGAGCUUCUCAUCAUUGCUGGCGAGGGGAAGGGCCAUGGCCACCACCUCCUUUGCAACGGGGCGAUCGCCACCUCCGGGCACCGCAAGCUGCACGAGAUACGCGCGUCGAGCACCAGCUCAACUCCGUCCAUACGGAGUCGCCCAACCGCCGCAUAAAGUGAGAUAGCGCGUCUCAAGGUUAGCAUCCUAACCUUUUAUUUAUGUCGAUGCCUCGAAAUAGCACUGUUCCAACCUAUAUGAGCCUAAUGCCAUGUUACAGGAUUUAAUGGCGCAGCAGGCUGUUGAAGAGGAGCAAAGACGGAAGGCUGAGGAGGAGUCCAGAGAAAAGGAACGGGCAGACACUAACAAUAGGUUGAAGAUGCUUGAGGAUCAACUACAGGUAGAACAUUAUCUAAGCUAGAGUAGAAGAUUCAUUACAUAGGGACGAACCACCCUCACGUGACUCUACUCGUAUAGGUUCUUAUGCAAUCUCGAAGCAGUGCAAGUGAUGCCCCUCCUCCUCCUCCUCCGGAAUGUUAAACCGAUGGCCUCUCCUCCUCAAGAUGAUCUAUAUAUGAACAAGUGUACUUCUAUUGUGACGUGCACGUGUUUUGCAAGUAGUGACAAUAUGUAUGAAUUUGCGACUUGUGUGUGAUGUCUACUAGGAUAAUACAUUCGACUUGUGUGUGACAAUAUGUGGACUAUCCCUAAUUAUGCGUAUUUAUGUGGACUGGAUCAAAUUAUGCCUAUAUAUGAUCAAAUUAUGCCUAUAUAUGUGUGGACUAGCUCAAAAUGCACUGUAGUGGUUUUUAUCUGCAGGGAUCAGAAAAGAAAUAGAUUGACAGCCGAAUGGACGGGAAAGAUUUCCGAGAGCUACACUCGGAAAAAGGCAGACUACCGAGAGCCACUCUUGGAAAUAUGGUCGUCUGGGACACUACUGUUGUGCCACAACUUUUCCGAGAGAAGCUCUUGGAAAAGAAAGAGAGCAUUGCCGAGCCUAGCUCUCGGCAAAGCUAUGUAAACUGUCAGCUCCCAUGAAGGAUUGCUGAGAGCCACUUUGGGCAAGCAUAUCGUCAUUUUUUUUACUGAUAAAUGUGACCAGUGGGACCACAUGUCAGUUAGAAAGAACGCACAAACAAAAAAGGAUGUUGCAUGUGCUUUGCCGAGAGCCACACUCGGGAAAGUAGACAGUAACUGACGGAGCCGUCUGUUACGGACAGGCAUGCCACGUGGCUACUCUUUGCCGUGAGCGGCUCUCGGCGUCUGGAGGGUUUGCCGUGCGGUGUCUCUUUGCCGUGAGGCAGUGACGGCAAAGAGUGUAGUUUGUCGUGAAGGUGGGUUUGCCGAGAGUGACACCGAGUGUCCGUGCUUUAGCACUCGGCGAAGAGCAUUACACCCGGCGUACGUGAAAAUUCCAGUAGUGCCAUGUCCGCGACCUCCAUGAGAUGUUGAGCCAUGGCGACCCCAUCCCCUUCUUCUUCUUCUUAUUCUUCUUCUGGCAGCGAGUCGGUGUACACGAAAUGCAGCAGAUGCCUGAAAACCUCUGCUCGCAGGACCGUGGACCGUGCCGCGAGCACGCACCGAAGCCGAUCACGUCCGCCGCUCCGGAGGAGGCCACGGAAGUGGUGAGGCCAAUCAAACGGGGGCACCACCACGCCCUGACCGACGACGGACCAUUCGUAUUCAUAUGCGAGGACCUCGAUGACCGUGAAGCAGUCGUCCUUGAGGAGGUGUGGCGCUCCAGGUCGGCCCUCUCGACCAAGUCGUCGCAGCUCCAGUAGGCGCCGCUGGUCCUAGCGUAGCGCGGCACCGGCCGGGUUGGCGUGGUGGUCGAGCACGUCGAACGCGACCACGGCCUUGAUAGGCGGCGUCGAGGACGGCCUUGACAGACACAAAACCGGUGGUUUCCGGGGUGGUGCCGCUGGGGUAGAAGCCGAGGUGCCGUCUCCGACGCGGAAGGAAGGAGAUGAGACGCCACAGCUCAGCUGUUGGGGUUGCUCUUCCUCAUCCACGCAGGUACGAGUAGCCUUGGAUCUUCAUCAUGCAUGUGGUGCGUCGUCGGCGUCGUAGCACAGAGAAUGGAGGCCGAGUCGCCGUUCGCAGCAGCCAUGACGGCAGGCGUACCUGGGUCCGGUCCGGCGGCCGUCCAGCUCUGACGACCUAGGACUAGGAGCGAGCGAGACAGCUUGAUGAGGCCCGACUUGUCUCCGAUCGACGAGUCUCCUCCCUUGGCUUAUAUGGAUGGAGAUGGACCUCAGCUCAGCACCUACUCCCUCCCAGUCCGACCAAGGGAACUGAGGUCAACACGGACUGAGGCCCGGGGCGACGCCCUAGGGCCAAGCCCGCUUUCCCCUAAAAAAAAUGGAAAACUCGUUUGCGGCAAGUUGUCCGGACUAGGCCCACGACAGAGGAGAAAGGCUUUUACAUGAUGAUUAGGAUCUUUUCAAACUAACUAACCACUCCUCCGAUUUUCAUGGGGACUUAAUCUUCAAUCAAAACUCACCUUUAUGUAAAAGCAUGUAUCUUUUUGUAUAUUUUUUUUGGAGAAAUCUCGCCCACUUUUAUUGAUUGAUAACAAUGUUCAUAGGUACACGGUUCGGUUUAUAAGGGUUACCCAACCACACAUGUCUACCUAGCUACUCCUAAAUUACAAGCAAACUUGAUGAGAUUAUGAGCCUCGAAAUUAGAAUUCCUACACUCAUGAAUAAAAGACCAAGACGUACAUAUAAGAAGAUAUACGCGCCGCAAUCUCUUAGAUGAUAGCCGUAUUAGGACCUCCCAUCCCCUUGUUGAUAUCUUUUAUCACUUCUUGGCAGUCUGAUGCUACUACCAUAUUCUGAAUAUCAAGAUCAUCUGCUAGGGCAAGAGCUUCACUGCAUGCAAAAGUUUCGAGCAUCAUUGGAUCACCAGUUUCCUUUUGUACGUGUAGCAUUACUGGAAGAAAGACGAGCGUUCAGGAGGGGCUGGCCCGUUAAACGUUUCAACCAUUCCGGUUUUGGGAAGGUUUAGCCGAUUUUUUUCCCCGGUUUGGGAAUCUUCCUUCUAGGAGGUUCCUAAAGCGGGUUUUUUUUCCUGUUCCUUUUUCUUUUUUAGUUUUUUCCUGUUUCUUUUUCUUUCUUUCGGCGCCCUGUAUCUUCAAAAAAGAAAGCUAUUAAUGACUGUUUCGAUCAACAAGCACGCCGGCGGCUGUCACUUCCAUUUUCUUCUUUUUUCAUGUUUAUUUUCUUUUUAAAAAAGUUUACUGAGCUUAUUGAAAAGAAGCGUAAAUUUUCAAAAAUGUUUGUGUUUUUCUUACAUUGUCCAAAACUUCAAAACAAAUCCUGUUUUCCAAUUUUGUUAACAAAUUUAGAAAAAUUGUCGCCUUUUCCCCAAAAAACAGGGCUUCAAAAAUUGUUCACAAACGCAAUUUUUGUUUAGCAUUUUCAAAGCUUUUAUUUAGAGUUUAAAAAAAUCUCUCUCUUUUUUUUCAAAAAUGUCCGUGCUUUCAAUUUUGCUAAAAAAUCUCCCCUUUCCCAAAAGUUGUUUAAGAUUUAAAAAUAUUUGAGGUUUCCAAAGAAUGUUCGUGUUUUCAAAUAAAUUACAAUUUUAAUAAAAUAAAUUAUUCAAAAAUUUUGAAAUGAUUUUGUUUCAAUAAAUAUUCUAUUCUCUCAAUAAAAUCAUGUUCAAAAUCCAAAAAGUAUUUAGAUCUGUUGCCACUCAUAGUUCUUAUGCACCGCAAUGCAUAUUGAGACACCAAUAUUAUGCGGCUUUCCAUUGGCGGCUAUGUAUGUGUCGUGCCCGACUUUUUUAGGAAUUUUAUUUUAUGCCGCUGGAGUUGGUCCUUACAAGUUUGCGCUGCUUAUUAUUAAUAAAAAAUAAAAUUUAUUCAGCUCUUGCGUCUUAGGACACGCAGUCAUGAGUCAUGCGCCGCGAGUUCGGUCCCACUUUAUCACCAAGUAUAUAUUUUUUUCGGAUGUUUUUGGGGAGUCGCUACCAACUUUGGGCAAUGCGACGUUAGUUCGGCACCCCAAGAAAGAAGGCUAUCCGUGAAAUGAAGAACUAUUGUACAGACAUGGGGAUGAACACGAAUUAAGCGAAAACUUUGCACCCGUUCUACCUUAGGAUGGAAGCGAAUUGUAAAUAUGAGACGAAAAUUAAAAUUAAUUUGGGAACAAAAGCGGAAACGAAAAUGAAAUUGGGGAACAUAAUUUUCGUAUCUGAACAUGCAUAUUGUGUUUUUUCAUGUAUAUAUAGCCAACUCUAGACCAGCCUAGAUACGUACAUGGGCUAACUCAAAUGUCCUUGAACUUAAUUAUACUUGUAUAUGCUGCCAAAAAUAAAAAUCACGCAUAAUAGUAUUAUCACGCAUAAUAAAAAUAAAAAUCACGCACGCACGGAAGAUGGUGGUUUAUAUUUAUUUAUAAAGCGGAGCGAAAGCCUAUUUCGAGAAAAUUACUUAUGAAAGGUGGUUGCUUUAUUUAUAAAGCGGAUAUUUCUAAAAAAAAUUGUAAAACGGGGCGAAAAUCUAUUUCAAGAAGAACUACCGAUGGAGUACCUUUUGAGCCUUUGCUUGUAGAAGGCUGGGAUGUCGAUAGAAGGGCUUGGCUUGAAGAAGCGGAAGGUCUCGCCGACGAGGGGGAAGCCCAUGGAUCCGGGAGGGAGCCUCCCGGCGUUGCACGGAGGAUUCAUCCACCUGUACACGAGCCAACCUGCUACAAUCACCGCAAGGGCGCCGCAGAGGGAUGCGUACGACAAGUAGUAGCCCUCCUCCAUCUUCAAAUUAAGCUAGCUAAGCUGCCUGUGGUUUUUCUGGCAUUGCAGCCUUAGCUAUAUAUAUGAGUGUAAUGCUCAUCUCCUGCUAUAUAGGAGUAUAGUGUUUUCUCUGGCUAGUCUUUAGUUAGUCUCUUGCUAUAGUGUCUUCUUCGUCUCUUCCAUGUAUGUGAGCGCGCAAUUGACGGUGUUGCGUUGGAUUCACCAGUCCACAGCACACGCUAUUUUUUCUUCUGGUCAGCAAACCCAAGAGAAAAGUUGAAUUUUCUUCUGGUCGAUGUGGUGGAGAUGAGAGCGACUUCAUCAAUUUCUAGUGACAAUGUCAGGCUGUGUCAUCAAUUAGUACAACUCAAGUUCAAUUCAGUCCCACCGCCACCACACAUAGUUAGUCUUUAGCUAAUCUUCUUGGUCUCUUUCCAUGUCAGCACGCGCGCGAUUGGCGCCUUUAAUUGCCUUGGGUACACUAGUCCACGACACACGCCGUAGCAUUUUCUUCUGGUCAGCAGCCAGCACACCCAAGAGAAAAGUUGAAUUGUCUUGUGGUCGAUCUAGUGGACAUGAGAGCGACUUCAUCAAUAUCAGCGUUAGCUGCGCCUGCAUUAGCACUCAAGUUCAGUUAAGUUCCACCGUCGUCACCACACAUAGCUAGUCUCUAGCCAGGGCCGUUCCUGAGAUCUCGGGGGCCUGGGGCGAAGCUACAACCCAGGCCCUUUAAUGUAAACGUCAAAAUAAUUACCAAUGUAGAUAUGUAUACAUGAAAUCUUACUGAUAAACAUUUUCAAGUACAUCAACGGCAGUAUUCAUAUCAAAAAUACCUUCUGCAAUUCACACAGUCUUGUCUAAGCGACUCGGCCUCUAACCUCUUGACAUGCUCGUGUGUGGGCCGGCAAUGGGAAAUCCAUGCAUGGUAGAUCCUACAGGUUGGAGAUCAAACAUCACACACAGGUCUGAUCGCAUGGUCGGAGAAGAAAAGGGCGAAUCCGUCUGUCAUUUCUGAAAAAACAACGGUCAAGAUUUGAUUGUUUAUCAAUAAUGGUUGUGUGGUAAGUGGAAUUGGCAAUUAUGUACCAGGAAAAUGGGAUCCAACAAUACCUCUCACUUUCUUUAGAGCUACACAACAGGGUUAAUAGGAGUUAAUCAAAUGUCAGCAUACUAAUAAACUCCAAGUUGUGAUCUUCCUUCAUAAAAUCCAGACAAAAACAUAGUAUUGCCCAUCCCUUUCUGAUGUCGCUGCUGCCCUGUAUGUUCGCUUCCUGAAUUGUUUAGGAACGAAGGAUGGGUUCAUGGCGUACAAUAUUGAUUCGGCGCGGCCGCGCGGAAGAGCUGCACGUAGUAGUCGACGAAUUUGUCCCGAGUUUCAAGGUCCACUUGAAAAUGCUCGGUAAGUUUCAAGGUCUUGGACUAGCUUAUUUAACUUUCCAUCUUGCUUGGCAAUUUCACAUCUUUGCCCCGAGCUGGAGGAGCAGGUCACGUCUGUUGCGCUUCAUAUCGGUCGGUGUCCAAAUCGGCCCUUCCGACACUUAAAGCCUUUUGUUCUCCUGAGUCCAACACAAACUGUACGGUCAUUUUUUAUUCUGAUAAUAGUUUUAAAAUUUGUUAUUAUAUUUUGAAAUUGUGAAUAUUUAUUUACAUUUAUGUACAUACUUUAAUUUCUGCUUUCUAAAAUUCUUGAACAUUUUCUUGAAUUCAUGAAAAAAAUUUAAUUGUACAGACUUUUUUUAAUCUUGCCUUUCACUUUCUCUGUUCUAAAUUAAGUGUUGUUGAUUUAAUACAAAAUAAAUACGCCUAGAAAAUCAAAGGAAAGUAAACUGCUCAGGCAAGUGCUCCAUUGGCGAGUGGUCCGACCCACCACAUCGCACAUGUGCGUUUGUCGCAACGAGUGUCCUAUAGGGAGUCUCGUUAAGGGGUGUGUUCAUAACUCACCCACCAGGUACAUUAUUGUUGUUCAUAACUCCUCUGAGCCAUGGCUUAAGGGGAAUGUGUUGGGCUAAUAAGCCGUGGCGACGGGUCGAACGCGCCCGGCACUUGUAUGGGCGCGCGCUGGGUGUGUUGGACGCGUCGGGUCCGCGGCAGGGUCGUGUGUGUGUGUGUGUGUGUGCGUGCUGGUGCAGCACGGCGUGUCCAUGCGGGUGUGCAUCGUGUGCGUGUGUUUAGGUCUACGGUAGCUGUUGGUGAGUCGCGUGGCGCGAUCGAGGGUGUUGCCGUUGGUGCUCACCGUGGGUCCCGCGUGUUGAGCGCGACACGGGCACGAUCAGAGCGGGUGAAGUGCGAGCGAUCGGGGGGAGUGGAGGCGUGGGUGCGUGCCCAGUGCGUCGGCUUGUGUAUAAAGGCACGCGAUGGCCAUUCUAACAUCUUGGGAGGAGCUCGUGUUUGUGCUUCAGGGAAGCGGUCGUAGUUGCGGAUGCGGCAUUCGUGCGCCGUGAACUCCACCGUGUCCACUGCCUCCUUCGUUUUUCUUCUUCUUCUCUUCAGCUCGGGCUAGCGGGAAGUAACAGAGAGAGGGAGAGGUAGGUUAGAGGGACAGCUAGGGCAAGGUUAGACACCAACACCGAAUCUACCAAUACCAUCACCAGCUUAGCUAAGCUAGCCUUGAAUGCAGCUUGGACAACCGGCGUCCAGCUUACCUAUGUUACUAUAACCCUUUCUCUCUUCUUUAAUUGUUUGCCACAUAAGCAUGUUUGCGAGUCCCAAGUGCAUGAUAUCGCUUAUGUUACCCCCACUAUGGCCAACCGUGCACCGCGACCAAGGUGGGAGGAAAACCGAGAGAGCUUAAUGUUUAUUUGCUAAUUAAUAGCAUUACAUGCAAUGAACUAACCACUGCAUGUCGUUCUUGUUAGUCUCAAAUCAUUGAAAGCAUACACGCCCAUAUAUCUUAUUGGUUAAUUCCUUUACUUAUGAAAAGAAACAAGAAACGAGGUGGAAGUUAAUGCACAUCGACUAAGUGUUUUAGGUUUAUUUGAUUUUAUAAGUUGACUUAUACACCUAGAUGGAGGGAGUGGUAAAUCACAUGGUUUCAUCUAUAUCUAGGCACGACAUAAACCUCAUAGGCGCGCAUGCACACCACGUUCUUUUAUAAACAUAGUAAAUGGGCUUAGUUUUCUUUUGUGAGGAUAUAUAUGGAUGCUCAGAGACACAUAUGCACACACUUUAUAAUGUGAGGCAAUGCAAUAAUGCGGUUUGCCGUGAGAAAACCUUGGCAGUGUUUGUUUGGAUAAACCCGUUGGACGAUUGAUAAAAUUUGAAACCUAUCAAAAAAGUCAUGAAACUUAUUAUUAUUAUUGUUGUUGUUGUUGUUGUUGUUGUUGUUGUUGUUGUUGUUGUUGUUGUUGUUGUUGUUUUGAAAUCAUAGCCAGAACCCCGCAAAAAUAAAAUCAUAGCCAAAAAAUCAUCUUUUAAAAAUUUAGUGCUCAAUUUUUUUAAGUCUUUGAUUUUUCUUUCAGAAUUCUAUGUGCAAAGUUUAUUGAAUGCCACUUUAAAAUUCUAGCCCAUGUAGUUGCAUAGGUCGAUGACUAGUUAUUAAUAAUGCACUAAGUGAAUGUGAAAUUCAUACCCUGGCUGCUGCCUUGUAGGAGCAUACAGGCAACUAACGUAAUUCAAUUAAGUCCAUAAAAAACUUGUAAUGGGAUUCAGAUUACAAAUGAAUUACAAGAAUAAGUAAACGAAAGUCUGCUGGGCUUCUACUUGAAAGGUACAAUAAAUAUUGAGGCUGAAUUUUGCGGUUUCUGAAUUGUGAUGUAAUGUGCUAACUUUAAAAUCUAUUAUGCAAAAUUAGUUAUACUAGUAAGUAAGCCGUGUGUUGGUAUGAACAGAUAUACAUACAUAGGGAGAAUAUUAUUGUCUGUAGAGAGAAUAUUAUCAUGGCGUGGCACGGAGGCGUGUGGUGGUGGCGAUGGCGUGAUAGACAUGUUGUGUCAAGAAAUGGUAUAUCACUCAUCGCAUUGUAGACCAAAACCGGGCACGGCUAUGUACCGCCUACUGCAAGCGCACGGUCGGUUCACCUAUAGGGCGCCGGUGGAAGGUUGGCUCAGUAGGACGUGGCUUGUCAUGCUAACAUCAUGCUGAUGUCACCUGAAUUUCUUGUUUCUCCGCUUUACUUUGAUUUACAUUUAAAUUAAUUGCAUAUAUAUCAGAACUAAUAUUCACUGAUAAAUUUAUAAAACUUAAUAUGAAAAACUGUUAGCAUAAUAUAAAAAUUGUUAGCACGGUUUUACAAAAUGUUCAUAACUUUCAAAAAAAACAAGACUAAAAAAUAUGUUUGCGUAAUGUAAAAAAAGUUUCAUGCCAUUUAAAAAAUGUAUAUCUGAUAGGAUGGAAAUAGCUUCACAAAAAUGUUAUAUCCAAAUAUAAAAAAAUGUUCGCAGAGGUUGAAAAUUGUAUCAUGACAUUUUAACUAAAUAUUUUCAUGUUUCAAAAAAAUGUCCGUGAAAUUUCGAAAAUAUUUAUACAAUGUAAAAAUGUCCACGUAGUUUUUAAAAUGUUUAUUGCUAUUUAAAAAUAUACAAUGUGUAUUUUUCAAACAAUGUUAGCAUGUAUUUCGAACAUGUAUUUUUCAAAAAUGUAUAUCAUGUAUUUGAAAAAUGUCCAAUGUUUACUAAAAAAUCGUUUCUGCUUUAAAGACGUACACUGUGUGCUGAAAAAAAGUAAAUAUGUGUUGAGAAAAAAAAGAUGAAGACCAACAAAAAACGAAAGAAAAAACCAAAGAAAGAAGAAAAAUAACCAAAAGUAUAACAAAGAAAGAAAAAAAACAAAGAAAAUCAGUGAAAAAACAAAAUAUAUUAACAAAGGGGGGAAGAAAAAUCAAAGAAAAACUAGUAAAAAAAUAAACACAGUGAGAAAAAGAAAAGAAAAGGUAAAAACAAAGAAAACCAGAGCAAGCAACCGAACCUACAAUAAAGCGUUAGCGGCAGUGAACGGUUGCGCGAAUGGACAUGUCCAAGUCGCUUGUCCGUAGGCGAUCCAUAUUUCCUAAUAGGAAUCGGUACGGGCGAGACAUAGGCUUGGAGCAACGCCAAUGAUGCUCCCACAAACAACUACAAGGGGCACACGGCUGCCCAUGCGAGUGGUUAACCAACAUUGGUACUCCAGGAGUCGGGUCGGCUCGGAGAGCACCCGUGAGUGAUUCAUUGUGGCGGAACGACGGGGCAGGCGGAGACCAUCCAGUGAGAGGAGACCCAAGCCCUGGUCGGCGUCCGUCGUUAUAUAAUGAUAACACGCUUAACGAGAUUUGGGUAUUUGAUCUGAGAUUACCAUUGUCAUAUACGCACUAACCGUCGUGCGGGUUAAUGGUUAUGCGGCCCUCGAAGCAGUUAGUUCCUCUCAAAAGCUUUGUCAGAUGUAACAGUUCAGAGACGCUGGCUGAUUGUUGGGGUGAGCAGAAACUACUUGCUGUGUAUACAGAGGUGGGCUUGGUCGCCAGCCAGUCUCAUAACGUGCCCGGAGCGGGUUGGGUGAGCGGCCAAACAACACUUUCACGCUUAGGAUGUAGACUGGCGAGUCACCUAUUUGGAGAGCCUAGGUACGACUUUAGCGUGCUGAUUAUCCGAGGCCGGGCAUUACCCAGAAAAUUGUGUCCGACCAAAGGUAAUCGAGUGUAUCAGGUUAUGUAGUGCACCCCUGUAGGGAAUAUAAACUAUUCGAAUAGCUGUGUCCAUGGUAACAGGACGACUCGGAGUUGUCUCCCGACCUCUUACAAUUAAAACUGGAUGCUCGCUAAAGUACACCAAGAUAAUAGACAGGAAUACCUGCUUUCUCACAGGAAGACAAGGAAAGGAUCUCACGCUCCUCUCUUCUGUUGUUGCAAGAUGCUGGUAGUCUUUGUUAAGUUGAUAUUAUCCUCUUUAUUCUCGCAUUCUGCAGUAUAGUCCAAAGAUAUAGCUCCAUUCCUUUGAUACCAAUUUAUAUCUAGUGUAGAUCUGAUAUAAGUCUUGCGAGUACUUUGGAUGAGUACUCAUUGUUGCUUUGCUAUUCUCUUCAUUCAAUCUGGUUGCUGCAACAGCUGGUAGCCCCGAGGAUGCAGCUAGUUCCGAUGGUGCUUACUACGUGGAGACCGAUGUCGACGAGUAGUUUGGAGGUCCCAGGCAUGAGACCUGCGCCUUUUUGAUCUAGUAUCGUUGUUUUGCUCAACCUUCUUAUGGUAAAAACUUUUUAACUCGCAUGUACCAGGACUUAUGUUGUUUGUUGACUGUUGUAUUAUGGAUCCUCGUGGGAUUUACGUUUAAUUCGUGUCAUAGAGUUGUGUUGUGAUAUUAACAUGAAGUCAUCGUUCGUGAUCGUGGAUGAUGCAUGUAUGAUUAGUGCGCGAUUAUGAAUGGGGCCAUUACCCGGCGUGAAUAACGUCUCACAUAACACAUACAGUGCGUGGCAGCCAACCGGGAGAGCUAUAUCUCGCUCAUAGCGAGACGGAAGAAGCUCUCGCCUGAAGCAUCUGUAGUAGUGGGCCGGCCCAUUAGAACACUCUUAAAAUAAGACGCAGUCCACCGUGAGGAGAGAAAUAGAGAAAAAGAGUGCCAGUUAGGGAUUGAACUCUGUUUGUUGCCAUCUAGAGUUGCUCGCCAUUGAGCAACUGUCAGAUUUGUGGAAGAAUAGAAGGCACGAACUACCUGAGGAAAAGGAACCGUUCUUUCCACUGUCAGGUCUAUUUAAUUUUUUUUAUUUCUUCAUUUUUUUCAACAGUUUUCUUCUUUACUUUUCUCUGUUUUCGCUGGUUUUUUCCCUUUCCUUUCUUUUUUUCUUCAUUUUUCUUCCGUUUUCAUGGUUUCUUUCUUGGUUUUCACUGCCUUUUUUUUUCAUUCCCAUCCCUUUUCUUAGGUUUUUUGUUUCUUUCUCGUUUAUCAUUGGUUUCUUUUUUCAAGUACACAUGCAACAAAUUUUUAAUACCUCAGAAACAUUUUCUGUAUACACGUUUAACAUUAUUGGAAUACAUGAUCAACUUUUUUUUUGAAAACUUGAUGUCUAUUUUUGUCAUACAUGUUCUACAUUUUUGUAUAUAUCUAAUACAUGCUUAAUAUUUUACAAAUACAAGUUUAACAUUUUUUUAGAACAUGGUCAACACUGUUUCCGUAUACACUUUAAACUUUUUUCAAAUGCUUGAUUAAUAUUUUUUCAAUACAAGAUUAAUAGUUUUGAAAUACAUGUCGGUAUUUUUCCUAUACAUUUUGAACAAUUUGAAAUGCUUGAUUAACAUUUGAAAUACAUGAUUAACAUGUUUUCCAAAUACUUGAUUAACAUUUCAAAUAUAAGAUUAAUAGUUUCUUUUAAUAAAUGGUCAAAAAAUUAUAUACGUUUUGAAACGUUUGACUAAAAUUUGAAAUACAUGAUUAACAUUUCAAACACAAGAUUAAUAGUUUCUUUCAAUAAUACAUGGUCAGCCCAAUUAUCAGCCCAAUUAUCUCGCCUGGUCGGCUUGGCCAGACGAAUAGUACAUUUCAAAAGAAGAAAAAAGACAGACGAAUGCUUCUCCGUUCAACAGUCAACUCAAAGCUGAGGUCCUGAGCACGUACAUGAACACAAGGAUUUUUCUCUACUCGUGCCUCAUGGCGUGAACUGGUCUAUUGCUCACGUGUGUCACUGAUUAAUUCAUGUUCGGACGGAGCAGGAAGAAGAUUGAUCAUCAUAGUAAGUAUUUUGUUCAUAAUAUGGUCGAUCGUCCUGCUAAUCCGGUGCAGACAGGACGCAAUCAGGGUAGCAGCAAGCCUGUGUGGGCUAAUGCUCACUGUGAACAGACGACACUGGUAACUUGCCGGCUGCUGCAAAGGCCCGCAUAACACACACGGCACUAUGAGUCCCUGACGUGUAGGCAAAAUGCAACGUGUUUUCUUAUAAAAUGACAAGAGGGUUAGACAGCUAACGUAUCAGCUUCUAGCCACACACGCCACGCGGUGGGAAAUUUCUCAGCUACGACUGGCCAACCAACCAAGUCCUCUCGUUGCUCCAAGUCUUAUCAGCAUCUCGUCCUGGCCAAACAAAAUGAGAACACCGCCCGGUGCCCGCCAGAAAACCGGCUAAGGAAAGUCCGUCUAGUAUAGCUCCUCGCUGCAAAGCUCAAUGGCCUUGCAUCUGGCUUGCGGCAUGGGGUGCUGCUUCUCUCGGUUGGACGGCCGGCGCCGAAGGCUACUCGUCAUGGGGAGACGCCAGCGUCAGGGGCAGCUACUGUCCGGAACUACAUCGAGUGGGAUGGUAAGCUAAGGUGUACGUACGUACUAUCAUUUCCGAAACUUGAUUUUCAUUCUUAUGCACCUGCUGGGUCAUUCAUUGUUCGCACAACUAAUUAAUCAGGCUUAGCGGCUACUCGUCAGGAACGUCCGCCACCCGCGGAGUCCCGCCGUCGAGCCGCACCAUCGCAAGCCGAGGAGCACCGCUGCCACCCACCGACGCCCAAGCAGAGGGAGGCCACACACGGGGACAGGCAGGCUCGCCGCUGCCGGCACCACGCGCGCAGGCGGCGGCGGGAGGAGGGAGGAGCGCUGGGGGGAACGGGAAAGGGGCCCCCAGUCGCCUCGCUCGGGGAGGCGACGCGGGGGUAUGGGGGAGGGAGGGGGUGGGGGCCGCGAGCGAGAGCUAGCGGUAGUCCUGGCCAUGGGAAGCCCGGCCCGGCCGACCCGGGCCGGGCUCGGGCCUAGUUUUUGAGCCCGAAGGCCGGGCCCGGGCCCGUCGUUUUCCAUUUUUCUGAAGGUCGGGCCGGCCCGGCCCGAAGCCCGAUGGGCUUUUACGUGCUCGGGCCGGGAUCGGGCCCAGAAACACAGGCCCGAUGGCCGGGCCGGGCCCGGGCCUGAGUUUUUUGUGUCGGGCCCGGCCCGAGGUUUGGCCAGGUAUAGCUAGCGGCGGUGCGCGCCGGUGGCUACCCGCGACGGGGAGCCGGCGGCGGCGUAGGAGGAACCCUAGGGAGGGGAGCGCUCAGGGAGCCAGACGCUCUGUCCAGUUAUGCAUGUUAUCUGACACCUUUUGUGAGAGAGAAAAGAUGGACACAUUUAUGACAUAACAUUUAAAUACGCCUCACUCUUAUAUGGAGGGGCAAUUAAUAUAAGUAAUGAGACAACUACAUAUAACCGUUGUUUUUACUAUUAACCUUGCAUUUAGGCUGGAUUAACGAGCUGCUCGGCUUGUUAUCAUUAAGCUCAUUAUUGUUAAGCUCGUUAGCAUUAAGCUUGUUAAUAUUAACGAGCUAAAACCUCUGUUCAACUCGGUUCGUUAUGGACUCGUUAUGCUCGCGAGUAUUCACGAGUGCUCGUUAAUGUAUUGAACAACAUAGAAGAAUCCCAUGAUCCCAUAAAAAAAAUCACAAUUGACUAAAUUAAACAAGAACGUUAAGAUAAUAAACAACCCAGAAGAAUGCCAUGAUCCCAUAAAAAAUUCACGACGGCAUAAAAUAAAUAAGGAUGUUUGGUUCCCUGCGGCUGGCUCCUGGUUGACUCUAGGGUCUCCUGGCUGCUAGCUACUAGGUCUAGGAGAAGUGUUGAAGCUGGGUUGAUUUGAACUAGGCAUAUCAUGUCAAACUUUUGAAAAUUAGUUAGCUCAUGAAACUCGUUUGCUCACUCGUUAAGCUCGUUAAUCUUAACAAGCAAAAAACAUUCAGCCUGGUUCAUUAACUAACAAGCAACGAGCCGAACUAUCGAGCGCUCAUUAUGCUCACGAGCUUCGACCUUUUCGUCCAGCCUACUUUACCGUGAAAAAAAAACUUGCAAUGAUUUAGCAGAGCUUCGUUUUUUCUUUUACCUGUCGUCCCGUGCGUAUGUACAACGCGCAUGGCCAUGACGUCAGCUGGUUACGGGGUAAAAAAGGCGUAGCCAUAUGAGAGAAGAACAAAAGCCAGCCUCUUAGUAUUUGCGUUAAUUAGAUAUAUAGCGAGGUGCAUGUUAGAAAAGUUUUUGUCUCUUUGCAGGCAGAAGGGAUACUAGUAGAAACGAGAACGGUAGAAAAUCGCUUUCAUUCCAAUAGGCACUCAAUUCCCAUUUCGCUAGCUAUGUCAGAAAGCAGAAAAAGAAAGAAAGAAAAAAUGCACCGACGGAGUUACCCCUUUACGCAGCCACUCUUGUUAAAAGGCAUCUUUGCAAACCCUAGCUUAGCAGCAAACACCCUCCGCUUUCCAUUGCCGAUCGACCAGCAAAGCAAAAGCAAGAGGGCGACGACGAUGCGGAGGCUUGGCGUCGGCGCAGCAAUCGCAGGAGCCGGUCUGUCAGCUACCUUCUCCUCUCAUUCCAUUUCCGCCGCCCUUCCCUGCCUCCAACGUUGUUUUGCUGCUGGUUAUUAGUAUACUGUAUACUCCCAGAUCUGCUGGAGUAACUUGAUUGAUGUGUGGGUGGAUUCCCAGAUCUGGCUUGUUCGUAGCUGUCUAGCUACUUCCCUCUAAUUGUUUUUUGUCCUGCAAUUGGGAGCGAAUAGUUGGAGACGACAGAUCCCUCUUUCUCCAGCGAAGAAGAAGACAUUUCUAUCAAGGCAAUUACUGGAGAGAUAGUUUUCCGAUGCAUACUGCAUCAAUCUUUAUUUCACUUGAUUUUGAUGCACUUUUCUGCUACGUAUACAUGGGAUCAAUCGAUUCGGGCAAAUUUCGUGAUAUAUUUACGGUCAAAUAGUGCACAAGACAACCACGAUGUUCGAUAUAUACGGGAAUGGAUCGGUUGCGUUAGGGUGCUGAGCGUAACAGCACCGCCAGAUGUCAGAGUAUGGAAGUGGGGAACGAUGAAGGAAAACAACGAUUAAUAGUUCGGUACAGAGUAUAAACACGAGAGGUAUGUACGUGAGGAUGGAGCACACACUCAGGCCUUGUUAGUUUAAUCCUCCUCCCAAAGGGAUUGAAGAGGAUUUUGGCUUGUAGAGGAUUUAAUCCCCCUCAAUCCCUUCCAAUCCCCUUCAAAAUCCACCUCAACCGAACAAGGCCUCAUGCAGAUGAAGCCUAGCUAGAGUACGCAUGCAUAUGUGUCAGUAUAUGCAUAGCCAGAACGCAUACACGGCCGGGUGCGUGUGCGUUGCCGUCAUGCAUGUGUACCUAUAGUAUGCAAAAACACCUGCAUAGAGUAUGUAGUUUCAAGCCAACCAGCCUCUGUCAUCGAUUUCCAUCAAAGAAAACAAAAUUAUCCCAGGAAGUAUGUAAACAGCGGACGUGAGCACUGCACAAUGAGAACACACUACUAUAGGACACACUCACACUCCACAAAGAAAUGUCCAAUGAAGCAUGAACGAAGAUCAUUGUAUGAACAGAAAUGCCCCGAGGAGGUUGCUGUACGUCACCCUUAUUCGCAUCAUAGGGUUCCAAUCGUGGCUUCACAUGUACGCCUCCCUCUUCACCUUAAUUAAUCACACCUCUUCAAUUGUUUUUUUUUUAUCCCGUCCUUUUGCAAAAUGCUCCGGCUGUUAAGAUCAGGGAAAAAUUCAAUCCAUAUUUACUUGUCACGAAUUUAAUACAAAUUUGUACUGAAGCUGUGACAAGUAAUAUGGAUCGGAGGGACUACUAGAGAACAUCAGUAGGAUCAUAAAGCAAACCCCAUUCCUAUCUUUCGAUAUAACGAGUAUAUUGCUACCCCCACCACGGAGGAACAGUUUACGACGCACCAUUGGAAAGGAUUGGAUCCAGUCUGCCAGUAAGUCUUUAACGUCGUCAUGUGGUCUAUUGAGACCUAAGGCACAUAGUAUCACCUGCCAAACAAGUCUCGCCAAGCUGCAGCCUAAGCACGGAUGUUUCACUGUUUUGAUUUGCCCACAAAAUUUGGCAUUGUUCAUUUCCAGUGCACCCCCUUUUCACCAAAUUAUCUUUGGUUAAUAUGCUAUUUUAAGCAUCAGCCACAACAAUAUCCUGAUCUUAAGGACAAGGAGGGGUCUUCAGCUUCUAGAUGAAUUUGUAUCCCACCAACGUAGUAGUCUUCAAGUGCAAAUACAGUCCAUACGGGGCUGUUUGGUUUGGCACCGUCGCCAUCCCUGCCAAAACAUGGGCGUUGAGCGAGGCUUCGCCUGGUGUUUGGAUGAGAUCCAAAAUUUUGGCACGUCAGCGCACCUUCACUUUUCCCAUGUAGUUUUACGCCAAUUCGUUGGCUGGGCGAGGGCGGAUGAAUCGCUCGCCAAUUUUUUGACACGCCCACGGCGCCUAUGAUUUGGCAAGGCGCACAUGGGCAUGAACCAAACAGCCCCUAUAUACCAAAUAUUUUAUAUUUAAAGGGACAGAACAACAUAGACCCUCUCUUUGCACCAUAACUGUAGGGCUGGAUUAACGAUCUACUAGGCUCGUUCGGCUCGUUAUCAUUAAGCUCAUUAUUGUUAAGCUUGUUAUCAUUAAACUCGUUAAUAUUAAUAAGUUAAAAUUUCUGUUCAGCUCGGUUCGUUAUGGGCUCAUUAUGCUCGUGAGUGUUUACGAGUGCUCAUUAAGGUAAUAAACAACACAGAAGAAUCAUAUGAUCCAAAAAGUUCACAAUGAAAUAAAUUAAACAAAGACGUUAAGGUAAUAAACAACAUUGAAGAAUCCCAUGAGCCAGACAGAAGAUGUUGUUUGCCGUGAUUCUUCUCAAUAGAAUUCAGCUGUUUAUAUACAGCUCGUACAACUUCAGUUACACAUCAAGAGAUGGUGGAUAAUUAAGAGUGAAGUCUCUAGACCUUCUAUAUAGCACUAAGCCAUAAUGCUAGAGCACUAACGUAAUACAGCUAACACACCCCCUGUCGUGGUUCUAAGCCUGACAGUAGAGUGGGGGGUAGGUAUGGAGAGGCAAGGUCCUAGCUAUGGAGAGGUUGUAAACACAAAGGAUGUACGAGUUCAGGCCCUUCUCGGAGGAAGUAAUAGCCCUACGUCUCGGAGCCCGGAGGCGGUCGAGUGGAUUAUGAGUAUAUGAGUUACAAGAUGCCGAACCCCUCUACCUGUGGAGGGGGGUGGCUUAUAUAGAGUGCGCCAGGACCCCAGCCAGCCCACGUAGGAGAGGGUUUAAGGUGAGUUAAGUCCGGGGCGUUACUGGUAACGCCCCACAUAAUAGUGUCUUUACUAUCAUAAAGCCUACUUAAUUACAGGCCGUUGCAGUGCAGAGUGCCUCUUGACCUCCUGGUGGUCGAGUGAGUCUUCGUGGUCGAGUCCUUCAGUUCAGUCGAGUGAGUCCUUCGUUGGUCGACUGGAAGGCGACCUCUUCUAAGGGUGUCCUUGGGUAAGGUACUUAGAUCAGGUCCAUGACCCUACCCUAGGUACAUGACCCCAUCACCCCCUCAAUCUCAACCGCCAGACACAAGAUUGAGAUUGCGACGACACCGGUCUAGCAUAAGCUUCGUGCAUGGCUUGGUGAAGAUAUCCGCGACCUGAUCUUUUGAAGCUAUGAACCGGACCUCUAGAGCCCCUAGUGCCACCUUCUCUCGGACAAAGUGGAAGUCGACCUCGAUGUGUUUUGUCCUUGCAUGAAAUACAGGGUUCGCUGUAAGAUAGGUAGCUCCGAGGUUGUCACACCAUAGAACUGGAGGGCGCGUUUGCGAGAUGCGCAACUCUUUGAGUAAUGAUUGUACCCAAGUAACUUCAGCAGUCCCAUUUGCCAACGCCUUGUACUCUGCUUCUGUAGAUGAGCGUGACACGGUUGACUGUUUCCGUGCGCUCCAAGAAAUUAAGGUUGGCCCAAAGAAGACCUCAAAGCCACCGGUUGAGCGCCGAUCAUCAACACAUCCAGCCCAAUCCGCGUCUGUAAAAACGCUCAAGAGUGUAGACGGUGAUCUCCGUAUAUUGAGUCCAGAGGAUAUUGUCCCUUUGACAUAGCGGAGAAUUCGUUUUACAGCCUCCCAAUGGACCUUGGUUGGUUGAGCCAAGAACUGGCAAACCUUGUUAACAGCGAACGAAAUGUCGGGUCUGGUGAGUGUCAAGUAUUGCAGACCGCCAACAAUAUUGCAGCAGACAAAGGCAUCCUCAUCAUUGAGUGCUUCGCCAACGUCGCGUGAUAACUUUUCUUGCACAUUCAUGGGGGUUGAUACUGGCUUGCAAUUUUCCAUGUGUGUGCGAAGAAGAAGGUCGGUAGCAUAUUUCUUCUGAGUAAGACUGAGCCCCCCAGAAUCGGAAGCCACUUCAAUGCCCAAGAAAUACCGCAAUGGCCCAAGGUCCUUCACCGGGAAGGACUGGGCUAGCUGAUCCAAUAGACGCCGAAUAGUAGUCGGGCAUGAACUAGCGAUGAUGAUGUCAUCGACGUAGACGAGCAUAUACAUGGUGAUGCCGGCAUGAGCGAAGAUGAAGAAGGACCUAUCUGCUGCUGCAUACUACAACAAGAUGAAGGGCUACGCCGAUGCUAUGGCGUCAGUUGGCAAGCCCAUCUCCGAUGAGGAGGUUCUUGGCUACAUGCUCGCUGGUCUGGGCUCAGAAUAUGAGCCCCUUGUUGCUUCAAUCACGGCACGUGAUGAGCCAGUGAGCCUCGCUAGCUUCUAUGCGUAUUUGCUUAGCGCCGAGCUUCAUCUUGAGCAGCAGACUUCAAUCGGCGAGAUCUUCUCCUCCGCCAAUGCAGCAGCUCGCGGUGGAGGUCGUGGUGGCCAGGGGCAGGGCCGUGGCCGUGGAGGCCGCAGCCGCAACAAACCCACCUGCCAAGUCUGCCAGAAGUAUGGUGUAUGCUACCAACCUUCUUCUUCUGGUUGGAGAGCAUGUAGCGGAUUUGCAUCACAUGUGCACGAUUUUGCGAGGAAAACAUCAUGUGCAUGUUGGGGAACGUUGCAGAAAAUUAAAAAUUUUUCUACGGUUUCACCAAGAUCCAUCUAUGAGUUCAUCUAAACAACGAGUCAUGGGAGAGAGAUUGCAUCUACAUACCACUUGUAGAUCGCGAGCAGAAGCUUGCACGGUGAUGGUGGAGUCGUAUUCGACGUGAUUCAAAUCACCGAUGACCAAGUGCUGAAUGGACAGCACCUCCGCGUUCAACACACGUACGGUACGGGCGACGUCUCCUCCUUCUUGAUCCAGCAAGGGGAAGGAGAGGUUGAGGAAGAUGGCUCCAGCAGCAGCACGACGGCGUGAUGAUGGUGGAGUGACAGUUCUCCGACAGGGCUUCGCCAAGCACACGCGGAGGAGGAGAGGUGUUGGGGAGGGGAGGGGCUGCGCCUUCAAUGGUGUUUUGCAGCCCUCCCCUCGCCCCUCUAUUUAUAGGGGAAGGGAGAAGGGGGUCGGCCCCUCUAGAUGCAUCUAGAGGGGGGGCGGCGGCCAAGGGGAGGGGGGACUUGCCCCCCAAGCAAGGGGGGCGCCCCCUCUAGGGUUCCCCCCUCAACCCUAGGCGCAAGGGCCCAAGGGAGGGGGUGCGCCCAGCCCACCAGGGGCUGGCCAACUUGUUGGGGAAUGUUGCAGAAAAUUAAAAAUUUUCCUACGGUUUCACCAAGAUCCUGUUGGGGAACGUUGCAGAAAAUUAAAAUUUUUCCUACGGUUUCACCAAGAUCCAUCUAUGAGUUCAUCUAAGCAACGAGUCUAGGGAGAGAGUUUGCAUCUACAUACCACUUGUAGAUCGCGUGCGGAAGCUUGCAAGGUGAUGAUGUAGUCGUACUCGACGUGAUCCAAAUCACCGAUGACCAGCGCCGAACGGACGGCACCUCCGCGUUCAACACACGUACGGGACGGGAGACGUCUCCUCCUUCUUGAUCCAGCAAGGGGGAAGGAGAGGUUGAUGAAGAUCCAGCAGCACGACGGCGUGGUGGUGGAUGCAGGGCAUCACAGCAGCAGGGCUUCGCCGAGACUACGAGGGAGAGACGUAACGGGGGGAGGUGGAGGCGCCAGGGGCUGGUGUNNNNNNNNNNNNNNNNNNNNNNNNNNNNNNNNNNNNNNNNNNNNNNNNNNNNNNNNNNNNNNNNNNNNNNNNNNNNNNNNNNNNNNNNNNNNNNNNNNNNNNNNNNNNNNNNNNNNNNNNNNNNNNNNNNNNNNNNNNNNNNNNNNNNNNNNNNNNNNNNNNNNNNNNNNNNNNNNNNNNNNNNNNNNNNNNNNNNNNNNNNNNNNNNNNNNNNNNNNNNNNNNNNNNNNNNNNNNNNNNNNNNNNNNNNNNNNNNNNNNNNNNNNNNNNNNNNNNNNNNNNNNNNNNNNNNNNNNNNNNNNNNNNNNNNNNNNNNNNNNNNNNNNNNNNNNNNNNNNNNNNNNNNNNNNNNNNNNNNNNNNNNNNNNNNNNNNNNNNNNNNNNNNNNNNNNNNNNNNNNNNNNNNNNNNNNNNNNNNNNNNNNNNNNNNNNNNNNNNNNNNNNNNNNNNNNNNNNNNNNNNNNNNNNNNNNNNNNNNNNNNNNNNNNNNNNNNNNNNNNNNNNNNNNNNNNNNNNNNNNNNNNNNNNNNNNNNNNNNNNNNNNNNNNNNNNNNNNNNNNNNNNNNNNNNNNNNNNNNNNNNNNNNNNNNNNNNNNNNNNNNNNNNNNNNNNNNNNNNNNNNNNNNNNNNNNNNNNNNNNNNNNNNNNNNNNNNNNNNNNNNNNNNNNNNNNNNNNNNNNNNNNNNNNNNNNNNNNNNNNNNNNNNNNNNNNNNNNNNNNNNNNNNNNNNNNNNNNNNNNNNNNNNNNNNNNNNNNNNNNNNNNNNNNNNNNNNNNNNNNNNNNNNNNNNNNNNNNNNNNNNNNNNNNNNNNNNNNNNNNNNNNNNNNNNNNNNNNNNNNNNNNNNNNNNNNNNNNNNNNNNNNNNNNNNNNNNNNNNNNNNNNNNNNNNNNNNNNNNNNNNNNNNNNNNNNNNNNNNNNNNNNNNNNNNNNNNNNNNNNNNNNNNNNNNNNNNNNNNNNNNNNNNNNNNNNNNNNNNNNNNNNNNNNNNNNNNNNNNNNNNNNNNNNNNNNNNNNNNNNNNNNNNNNNNNNNNNNNNNNNNNNNNNNNNNNNNNNNNNNNNNNNNNNNNNNNNNNNNNNNNNNNNNNNNNNNNNNNNNNNNNNNNNNNNNNNNNNNNNNNNNNNNNNNNNNNNNNNNNNNNNNNNNNNNNNNNNNNNNNNNNNNNNNNNNNNNNNNNNNNNNNNNNNNNNNNNNNNNNNNNNNNNNNNNNNNNNNNGAAAUAUAAUAAUACUUUUAUUAUUGCCUCUAGGGCAUAUUUCCAACAGUCUCCCACUUGCACUAGAGUCACCAAUCUAGUUACAUUGUGAUGAAACGAACACCCAUAGAGUUCUGGUGUUGAUCAUGUUUUGCACGCGAGAGAGGUUUAGUCAGCGGAUCUGCGACAUUCAGAUCCGUGUGCACUUUGCAAAUCUCUAUGUCUCCAUCUUGAACAUUUUCACGGAUGGAGUUGAAACGACGCUUGAUGUGCCUGGUCUUCUUGUGAAACCUGGGCUCCUUUGCGAGGGCAAUAGCUCCAGUGUUGUCACAGAAGAGUUUGAUCGGCCCCGACGCAUUGGGUAUGACUCCUAGGUCGGUGAUGAACUCCUUCACCCAAAUCGCUUCAUGUGCUGCCUCCGAGGCUGCCAUGUACUCCGCUUCACACGUAGAUCCCGCCAGGACACUCUGCUUGCAGCUGCACCAGCUUAUUGCUCCACCAUUCAACAUAUACACGUAUCCGGUUUGUGACUUAGAGUCAUCCAGAUCUGAGUCGAAGCUAGCGUCAACGUAACCCUUUACGACGAGCUCUUCGUCUCCUCCAUAAACGAGAAACAUGUCCUUUGUCCUUUUCAGGUACUUUAGGAUAUUCUUGAUCGCUGUCCAGUGUUCCUUGCCGGGAUUACUUUGUUAUCUUGCUACCAAACUUACGGCAAGGUUUACAUCGGGUCUGGUACACAGCAUGGCAUACAUAAUAGAUCCUAUGGCUGAAGCAUAGGGGAUGACACUCAUCUCUUCUUUAUCUUUUGCCGUGGUCGGUGACUGAGCUGAGCUCAGUCUCAGACCUUGUAACAUAGGCAAGAACCCCUUCUUGGACUGAUCCAUUCUGAAUCUCUUCAAAAUCUUAUCAAGGUAUGUGCUUUGUGAAAGACCUAUGAGGCGUCUCGAUCUAUCUCUAUAGAUCUUGAUGCCUAAUAUAUAAGCAGCUUCUCCAAGGUCCUUCAUUGAAAAACACUUAUUCAAGUAGGCCUUAAUGCUGUCCAGAAAUUCUAUAUUAUUUCCCAUCAGGAGUAUGUCAUCUACAUAUAAUAUGAGAAAUGCUACAGAGCUCCCACUCACUUUCUUGUAAACGCAGGCUUCUCCAUAAGUCUGCAUAAACCCAAACGCUUUGAUCAUCUCANNNNNNNNNNUGCCCGAGACUUGAUCGUCGGUAUCCCAAUACCUUGUUCAGUCUCGUUACCGGCAAGUCACUUUACUCGUACCGUAAUGCAUGAUCCCGUGUCCAACACCUUGGUCACAUUGAGCUCAUUAUGAUGAUGCAUUACCGAGUGGGCCCAGAGAUACCUCUCCGUCAUACGGAGUGACAAAUCCCAGUCUCGAUCCGUGUCAACCCAACAGCUACUUUCGGAGAUACCUGUAAUGCACCUUUAUAGUCACCCAGUUACGUUGUGACGUUUGAUACACCCAAGGCACUCUUACGGUAUCCGGGAGUUACACGAUCUCAUGGUCGAAGGAAGAGAUACUUGACACUUGCAAAGCUCUAGCAAAACGAACUACACGAUCUUUUAUGCUAUGCUUAGGAUUGGGUCUUGACCAUCACAUCAUUCUCCUAAUGAUGUGAUCCCGUUAUCAACGACAUCCAAUGUCCAUAGUCAGGAAACCAUGACUAUCUGUUGAUCACAACGAGCUGGUCAACUAGAGGCUUACCAGGGACAUAGUGUGGUCUAAGUAUUCACACGUGUAUUACGAUUUCCGGAUAAUACAGUUAUAGCAUGAAUAAAAGACAAUUAUCAUGAACAAAGAAAUAUAAUAAUACUUUUAUUAUUGCCUCUAGGGCAUAUUUCCAACAGUCUCCCACUUGCACUAGAGUCACCAAUCUAGUUACAUUGUGAUGAAACGAACACCCAUAGAGUUCUGGUGUUGAUCAUGUUUUGCACGCGAGAGAGGUUUAGUCAGCGGAUCUGCGACAUUCAGAUCCGUGUGCACUUUGCAAAUCUCUAUGUCUCCAUCUUGAACAUUUUCACGGAUGGAGUUGAAACGACGCUUGAUGUGCCUGGUCUUCUUGUGAAACCUGGGCUCCUUUGCGAGGGCAAUAGCUCCAGUGUUGUCACAGAAGAGUUUGAUCGGCCCCGACGCAUUGGGUAUGACUCCUAGGUCGGUGAUGAACUCCUUCACCCAAAUCGCUUCAUGUGCUGCCUCCGAGGCUGCCAUGUACUCCGCUUCACACGUAGAUCCCGCCACGACGCUCUGCUUGCAGCUGCACCAGCUUACUGCUCCACCAUUCAACAUAUACACGUAUCCGGUUUGUGACUUAGAGUCAUCCGGAUCUGAGUCGAAGCUAGCGUCGACGUAACCCUUUACGACGAGCUCUUCGUCUCCUCCAUAAACGAGAAACAUGUCCUUUGUCCUUUUUAGGUACUUUAGGAUAUUCUUGACCGCUGUCCAGUGUUCCUUGCCGGGAUUACUUUGGUAUCUUGCUACCAAACUUACGGCAAGGUUUACAUCGGGUCUGGUACACAGCAUGGCAUACAUAAUAGAUCCUAUGGCUGAAGCAUAGGGGAUGACACUCAUCUCUUCUUUAUCUUUUGCCGUGGUCGGUGACUGAGCUGAGCUCAGUCUCAUACCUUGUAACAUAGGCAAGAACCCCUUCUUGGACUGAUCCAUUCUGAAUCUCUUCAAAAUCUUAUCAAGGUAUGUACUUUGUGAAAGACCUAUGAGGCGUCUCGAUCUAUCUCUAUAGAUCUUGAUGCCUAAUAUAUAAGCAGCUUCUCCAAGGUCCUUCAUUGAAAAACACUUAUUCAAGUAGGCCUUAAUGCUGUCCAGAAAUUCUAUAUUAUUUCCCAUCAGGAGUAUGUCAUCUACAUAUAAUAUGAGAAAUGCUAUAGAGCUCCCACUCACUUUCUUGUAAACGCAGGCUUCUCCAUAAGUCUGCAUAAACCCAAACGCUUUGAUCAUCUCAUCAAAGCGAAUGUUCCAACUCCGAGAUGCUUGCACCAGUCCAUAAAUGGAUCGCUGGAGCUUGCAUACUUUGUUAGCGUUCUGAGGAUCGACAAAACCUUCCGGCUGCAUCAUAUACAGUUCUUCCUUAAGAUGCCCGUUAAGGAAUGCUGUUUUGACGUCCAUCUGCCAUAUCUCAUAAUCAUAGUAUGCGGCAAUUGCUAACAUGAUUCGGACGGACUUUAGCUUCGCUACGGGAGAGAAUGUCUCGUCGUAGUCAAUCCCUUGAACCUGUCGAUAACCCUUAGCAACAAGUCGAGCUUUAUAGAUGGUAACAUUACCAUCCGCGUCCGUCUUCUUCUUAAAGAUCCAUUUGUUUUCUAUCGCUCGCCGAUCAUCGGGCAAGUCUGUCAAAGUCCAUACUUUGUUUUCAUACAUGGAUUCUAUCUCGGAUUUCAUGGCUUCAAGCCAUUUGUUGGAAUCCGGGCCCGCCAUUGCUUCUUCAUAGUUCGAAGGUUCAUUGUUGUCUAACAACAUGAUUUCCAGGACAGGGUUGCCGUACCACUCUGGUGCGGAACGUGUCCUUGUGGACCUACGAAGUUCAGCAGUAACUUGAUCCGAAGUACCUUGAUCAUUAUCAUGGUUUUCCUCUUCAGUUGCUGUGGGCAUCACAGGAACGGUUUCCUGUGCUGCGUCACUAUCCCGCUCAAGAGGUAGUACUUCAUCGAGUUCUACUUUCCUCCCACUUACUUCUUUCGAGAGAAACUCUUUUUCCAGAAAGCAUCCGUUCUUGGCAACAAAGAUCUUGCCAUCGGAUCUUAAGUAGAAGGUAUACCCUACAGUUUCCUUAGGGUAUCCUAUGAAUACGCAUUUUUCCGACUUGGGUUCGAGCUUUUCAGGUUGAAGUUUCUUGACAUAAGCUUCGCAUCCCCAAACUUUUAGAAACGACAGCUUAGGUUUCUUUCCAAACCAUAAUUCAUACGGUGUCGUCUCAACGGAUUUAGACGGUGCCCUAUUUAAAGUGAAUGUAGCUGUCUCUAGAGCGUAUCCCCAAAAUGAUAGCGGUAAAUCGGUAAGAGACAUCAUAGACCGCACCAUAUCCAAUAGAGUGCGAUUACGACGUUCGGACACACCGUUUCGCUGAGGUGUUCCAGGCGGCGUGAGCUGUGAAACGAUUCCACAUUUAUUUAAGUGUGUACCAAAUUCGUGACUUAAGUAUUCUCCUCCAUGAUCUGAUCGUAAGAAUUUUAUCUUUCGGUCACGUUGAUUCUCCACCUCAUUCUGAAAUUCCUUGAACUUUUCAAAGGUCUCAGACUUGUGUUUCAUUAAGUAGACAUACCCAUAUCUACUCAAGUCAUCUGUGAGAGUGAGAACAUAACGAUAUCCUCCGCGAGCCUCAACGCUCAUUGGACCGCACACAUCGGUAUGUAUGAUUUCCAACAAGUUGGUUGCUCGCUCCAUUGUUCCGGAGAACGGAGUCUUGGUCAUUUUGCCCAAGAGGCAUGGUUCGCACGUGUCAAACGAUUCAUAAUCAAGAGACUCUAAAAGUCCAUCGGUAUGGAGCUUCUUCAUGCGCUUGACACCAAUGUGACCAAGGCGGCAGUGCCACAAGUAUGUGGGACUAUCGUUAUCAAUUUUAAAUCUUUUGGUAUCUACACUAUGAACAUGUGUAAUAUUACGCUCGAGAUUCAUUAAGAAUAAACCAUUGACCAUCGGAGCAUGACCAUAAAACAUAUCUCUCAUAUAAAUCGAACAACCAUUAUUCUCAGACUUAAAUGAGUAGCCAUCUCGUAUUAAACGAGAUCCAGAUACAAUGUUCAUGCUCAAACUUGGCACUAAAUAACAAUUAUUGAGGUUCAAAACUAAUCCCGUAGGUAAAUGUAGAGGCAGCGUGCCGACGGCGAUCACAUCGACUUUGGAACCAUUCCCGACGCGCAUCGUCACCUCGUCCUUUGCCAGUCUCCGUUUAUUCCGCAGCUCCUGCUGUGAGUUACAAAUAUGAGCAACGGCACCGGUAUCAAAUACCCAGGAGUUACUACGAUUACUGGUAAGGUACACAUCAAUCACAUGUAUAUCAAAUAUACCUUUGGUGUUGCCGGCCUUCUUAUCCGCUAAGUAUUUGGGGCAGUUCCGCUUCCAGUGACCCUUCCCCUUGCAAUAAAAGCACUUAGUCUCAGGCUUGGGUCCAUUCUUUGACUUCUUCCCGGUAACUGGCUUACCAGGCGCGGCAACAUCUUUGCCGUCCUUCUUGAAGUUCUUCUUACCCUUGCCCUUCUUGAACUUAGUGGUCUUAUUGACCAUCAACACUUGAUGUUCUUUCUUGAUUUCAGCCUCUGCUGACUUCAGCAUCGAGAACACUUCAGGAAUGGUCUUUUCCAUUCCCUGCAUGUUGUAGUUCAUCACAAAGCUCUUGUAGCUUGGUGGGAGCGACUGGAGGAUUCUGUCAAUGACCGCCUCAUCUGGGAGGUUAAUGUUCAGCUGGGUCAUACGGUUGUGCAACCCAGACAUCUUUAGGAUGUGCUCACUGACAGAACUGUUCUCCUCCAUCUUACAACUGUAGAACUUGUCGGAGACAUCAUAUCUCUCGACCCGGGCAUGAGCUUAGAAAACUAGUUUCAGCUCUUCGAAAAUCUCAUAUGCUCCGUGAUGCUCAAAACGCUUUUGGAGCCCCGGUUCUAAGCUGUAAAGCAUGCCGCACUGAACGAGGGAGUAAUCAUCAGCGCGAGUUUGCCAAGCAUUCAUAAUGUCUUGGUUCUCUGGGACGGGAGCGUCACCUAGCGGUCCUUCUAGGACAUAUUGUUUCCUGGCAGCUAUGAGGAUGCUCCUCAGGUUCCGGACCCAGUCCGUAUAGUUGCUGCCAUCAUCUUUCAGCUUGGUUUUCUCUAGGAACGCGUUGAAGUUCAUGUUGACAUUAGCAUUGGCCAUUGAUCUACAAGACAUAUUUGCAAAGGUUUUUAGACUAAGUUCAUGAUAAUAAAGUUCUAAUCAAAUUAUGAACUCCCACUCAGAUUAGACAUCCCUCUAGUCAUCUAAGUGUUACACGAUCCGAGUCGACUAGCCCGUGUCCGAUCAUCACGUGAGACGGACUAGUCAUCGUCGGUGAACAUCUUCAUGUUGAUCGUAUCUUCUAUACGAUUCGCGUUCGACCUUUCGGUCUCCGUGUUCCGAGGCCAUGUCUGCACAUGCUAGGCUCGUCAAGUUAACCCUAAGUGUUUUCGCUGUGUAAAACUGUCUUACACCCGUUGUAUGUGAACGUAAGAAUCCAUCACACCCGAUUAUCACAUGGUGCUUAGAAACGACGAACUGUAGCAACGGUGCACAGUUAGGGGAGAACACUUCUUGAAAUUUUAUAAGGGAUACCGUCGUCCUAAGUAAACAAGAUGCAUAAUACAUAAUAAACAUCACAUGCAAUUAUAUAGUUGUGACAUGAUAUGGCCAAUAUCAUAUAGCUCCAUUGAUCUUCAUCUUCGGGGCUCCAUGAUCAUCUUGUCACCGGCUUGACACCAUGAUCUCCAUCAUCAUGAUCUCCAUCAUCGUGUCUUCAUGAAGUUGUCACGCCAACGACUACUUCUACUUCUAUGACUAACGUUUAGCAAUAAAGUAAAGUAGUUUACAUGACGUUAUUCAAUGACACGCAGGUCAUACAAAAAAUAAUGACAACUCCUAUGGCUCCUGCCGGUUGUCAUACUCAUCGACAUGCAAGUCGUGAAUCCUAUUACAAAGAACAUGAUCUCAUACAUCACAAUUCAUCAUUCAUCACAACUUCUGGCCAUAUCACAUCACAUGAUCAAUCGCUACAAAAACAAGUUAGACGUCCUCUAAUUGUUGUUGCAUCUUUUACGUGGCUGCAAUUGGGUUCUAGCAAGAACGUUUUCUUACCUACGAAUCACCACAACGUGAUUUUGUCAACUUCUAUUUACCCUUCAUAAGGGCCCUGUUCAUCGAUUCCGCUCCAACUAAGGUGGGAGAGACAGACACCCGCCAGCCACCUUAUGCAACUUGUGCAUGUUAGUCGGUGGAACCGGUCUCACGUAAGUGUACGUGUAAGGUUGGUCCGGGCCGCUUCAUCCCACAAUACCGUUGAGCAAGAAAAGACUAGUAGAGGCAAGUAAGAUGACAAAAUCCACGCCCACAACAAAGUUGUGUUCUACUCGUGCAAAGAGAACUACGCAUAGACCUAGCUCAUGAUGCCACUGUUGGGGAACGUUGCAGAAAAUUAAAAUUUUUACUACGGUUUCACCAAGAUCCAUCUAUGAGUUCAUCUAAGCAACGAGUCUAGGGAGAGAGUUUGCAUCUACAUACCACUUGUAGAUCGUGUGCGGAAGCUUGCAAGGUGAUGAUGUUGUCGUACUCGACGUGAUCCAAAUCACCGAUGACCAGCGCCGAACGAACGGCACCUCCGCGUUCAACACACGUACGGGACGGGAGACGUCUCCUCCUUCUUGAUCCAGCAAGGGGGAAGGAGAGGUUGAUGAAGAUCCAGCAGGACGACGGCGUGGUGGUGGAUGCAGGGCGUCACAGCAGCAGGGCUUCGCCGAGACUACGAGGGAGAGACGUAACGGGGGGAGGUGGAGGCGCCAGGGGCUGGUCUGUUCUCCUCCUCUCCCCCCCCCACUAUAUAUAGGGGUGCCAAGGGGGGGGGGGGCGCCGGCCCUAGUAGAUGAGAUCUACUAGGGGGGGCGGCGGCCUAGGGGAGGUUUCCCUCCCCCCCAAGGCACCUAGGGGUGCCUUCCACCACUAGGACUCCUCCUAGGGGAAAACCCUAGGCGCAUGGGCCUAUAGGGGCUGGUGCCCUUGGCCCAUGAUGGCCAAGGCGCACCCCCUACAGCCCAUGUGGCCCCCCGGGACAGGUGGCCCCACCCGGUGGACCCCCGGGACCCUUCCGGUGGCCCCGGUACAAUACCGAUAACCCCGAAACUUGUCCCGAUGCCCGAAAUAGCACUUCCUAUAUAUAAUUCUUUACCUCCGGACCAUUCCGGAACUCCUCGUGACGUCCGGGUCUCAUCCGGGACUCCGAACAACAUUCGGGUUUCUGCAUAUACAUAUCUUCAUAACCCUAGCGUCACCGAACCUUAUGUGUGUAGACCCUACGGGUUCGGGAGACAUGCAGACAUGACCGAGACGCUCUCAGUCAAUAACCAUCAGCGGGAUCUGGAUACCCAUGAUGGCUCCCACAUGCUCCUCGAUGUUGUCAUCGGAUGAACCACUAUGUCGAGGAUUCGAUCAAACCCUGUAUGCAAUUCCCUUUGUCAAUCGGUACGUUACUUGCCCGAGACUCGAUCGUCGGUAUCCCAAUACCUUGUUCAGUCUCGUUACCGGCAAGUCACUUUACUCGUACCGUAAUGCAUGAUCCCGUGUCCAACACCUUGGUCACAUUGAGCUCAUUAUGAUGAAGCAUUACCGAGUGGGCCCAGAGAUACCUCUCCGUCAUACGGAGUGACAAAUCCCAGUCUCCAUCCGUGUCAACCCAACAGCUACUUUCGGAGAUACCUGUAAUGCACCUUUAUAGUCACCCAGUUACGUUGUGACGUUUGAUACACCCAAGGCACUCUUACGGUAUCCGGGAGUUACACGAUCUCAUGGUCGAAGGAAGAGAUACUUGACACUUGCAAAGCUCUAGCAAAACGAACUACACGAUCUUUUAUGCUAUGCUUAGGAUUGGGUCUUGUCCAUCACAUCAUUCUCCUAAUGAUGUGAUCCCGUUAUCAACGACAUCCAAUGUCCAUAGUCAGGAAACCAUGACUAUCUGUUGAUCACAACGAGCUGGUCAACUAGAGGCUUACCAGGGACAUAGUGUGGUCUAAGUAUUCACACGUGUAUUACGAUUUCCGGAUAAUACAGUUAUAGCAUGAAUAAAAGACAAUUAUCAUGAACAAAGAAAUAUAAUAAUACUUUUAUUAUUGCCUCUAGGGCAUAUUUCCAACAGAUCCAUCUAUGAGUUCAUCUAAGCAACGAGUCAUGGGAGAGAGAUUGCAUCUACAUACCACUUGUAGAUCACGAGCGGAAGCUUGCACGGUGAUGGUGAUGAUGGAGUCGUACUCGCCGUGAUUCGGAUCACCGAUGACCAAGUGCUGAACGGACAGCACCUCCGCGUUCAACACACGUACGGGACGGGCGACGUCUCCUCCAUCUUGAUCCAGCAAGGAGGAAGGAGCGGUUGAGGAAGAUGGCUCCAGCAGCAGCACGACGGCGUGAUGAUGGUGGAGUCACAGUUCUCCGGCAGGGCUUCGCCAAGCUCACGCGGAGGAGGAGAGGUGUUGGGGAGGGGAGGGGCUGCGCCUUCAAUGGUGUAUUGCAGCCCUCCCCUCGCCCCUCUAUUUAUAGGGGGAAGGGGCAAGGGGGCCGGCCCCUCUAGAUGGGAAUCUAGAGGGGGGGCGGCGGCCAAGGGGGGGGCGGCUUGCCCCCCCAAGCAAGGGGGGCGCCCCCCUUAGGGUUUCCCCCCCCAACCCUAGGCGCAUGGGCCCAAGGUGGGGGGCGCGCCCAGCCCUCUAUGGGCUGGCUGCCUCCCCUUUGCGACCCAUGUGGCCCUCCGGGAGGGGUGGCCCCUCCCGGUGGACCCCCGGAACCCCUCCGGUGGUCCCGGUACAAUACCGAUAUGACCCCGAAUUCUUCCGGUGUCCGUAUGACAACUUCCCAUAUAUAAAUCUUUACCUCCGGACCCUUCCGGAACUCCUCGUGACGUCCGGGAUCUCAUCCGGGACUCCGAACAACAUUCGGUAGUCACAUACUAGUCUUCCUAACAACCCUAGCGUCACCGAACCUUAAGUGUGUAGACCCUACGGGUUCGGGAGACACGCAGACAUGACCGAGACCACUCUCCGGUCAAUAACCAACAGCGGGAUCUGGAUACCCAUGUUGGCUCCCACAUGCUCCUCGAUGAUUUCAUCGGUUGAACCACGAGGUCGAGGAUUCGAUCAAACCCUGUAUGCAAUUCCCUUUGUCAAUCGGUACGUUACUUGCCCGAGACUCGAUCGUCGGUAUCCAAAUACCUUGUUCAGUCUCGUUACCGGCAAGUCACUUUACUCGUACCGUAAUGCAUGAUCCCGUGGCCAACACCUUGGUCACCUUGAGCUCAUUAUGAUGAUGCAUUACCGAGUGGGCCCAGAGAUACCUCUCCGCCAUACGGAGUGACAAAUCCCAGUCUCGAUCCGUGUCAACCCAACAGACACUUUCGGAGAUACCUGUAGUGCACCUUUAUAAUCACCCAGUUACGUUGUGACGUUUGGUACACCCAAAGCACUCUUACGGUAUCCGGGAGUUACACGAUCUCAUGGUCUAAGGAAGAGAUACUUGACAUUAGCAAAGCUCUAGCAAACGAACUACACGAUCUUUGUGCUAUGCUUAGGAUUGGGUCUUGUCCAUCACAUCAUUCUCCUAAUGAUGUGAUCCCGUUAUCAACGACAUCCAAUGUCCAUAGCCAGGAAACCACGACUAUCAGUUGAUCACAACGAGCUAGCCAACUAGAGGCUCACUAGGGACAUAUUGUGGUCUAUGUGUUCACACGUGUAUUACGAUUUCCGGAUAAUACAGUUAUAGCAUGAACAAAAGACAAUUAUCAUGAACAAUGAAAUAUAAUAAUACUUUUAUUAUUGCCUCUAGGGCAUAUUUCCAACAGUCUCCCACUUGCACUAGAGUCACCAAUCUAGUUACAUUGUGAUGAAUCGAACACCCAUAGAGUUCUGGUGUUGAUCAUGUUUUGCUCGCGAGAGAGGUUUAGUCAACGGAUCUGCGACAUUCAGAUCUGUAUGUACUUUGCAAAUUUCUAUGUCUCCAUCUUGAACAUUUUCACGGAUGGAGUUGAAACGACGCUUGAUGUGCCUGGUCUUCUUGUGAAACCUGGGCUCCUUUGCAAGGGCAAUAGCUCCAGUGUUGUCACAGAAGAGUUUGAUUGGCCCCGACGCAUUGGGUAUGACUCCUAGGUCGGUGAUGAACUCCUUCACCCAAAUCGCUUCAUGCGCUGCCUCCGAGGCUGCCAUGUACUCCGCUUCACACGUAGAUCCCGCCACGACGCUCUGCUUGCAGCUGCACCAGCUUACUGCUCCACCAUUCAACAUAUACACGUAUCCGGUUUGUGACUUAGAGUCAUCCGGAUCUGAGUCGAAGCUAGCGUCGACGUAACCCUUUACGACGACCUCUUCGUCUCCUCCAUAAAUGAGAAACAUGUCCUUUGUCCUUUUCAGGUACUUCAGGAUAUUCUUGACCGCUGUCCAGUGUUCCUUGCCGGGAUUACUUUGGUAUCUUGCUACCAAACUUACGGCAAGGUUUACAUCAGGUCUGGUACACAGCAUGGCAUACAUAAUAGAUCCUAUGGCUGAAGCAUAGGGGAUGACACUCAUCUCUUCUUUAUCUUUUGCCGUGGUCGGUGACUGAGCCGAGCUCAAUCUCACACCUUGUAACAUAGGCAAGAACCCUUUCUUGGACUGAUCCAUUUUGAACCUUUUCAAAAUCUUAUCAAGGUAUGUGGUUUGUGAAAGACCUAUGAGGCGUCUCGAUCUAUCACUAUAGAUCUUGAUGCCUAAUAUAUAAGCAGCUUCUCCAAGGUCCUUCAUUGAAAAACAUUUGUUCAAGUAGGCCUUAAUGCUGUCCAGAAAUUCUACAUUAUUUCCCAUCAAAAGUAUGUCAUCUACAUAUAAUAUGAGAAAUGCUACAGAGCUCCCACUCACUUUCUUGUAAACGCAGGCUUCUCCAUAAGUUUGCAUAAACCCAAACGCUUUGAUCAUCUCAUCAAAGCGAAUAUUCCAACUCCGAGAUGCUUGCACCAGCCCAUAAAUGGAUCGCUGGAGCUUGCAUAAUUUGUUAGCGUUCUUAGGAUCGACAAAACCUUCCGGCUACAUCAUAUACAGUUCUUCCUUAAGAUGCCCGUUAAGGAAUGCCGUUUUGACGUCCAUUUGCCAUAUCACAUAAUCAUAGUAUGCGGCAAUUGCUAACAUGAUUCGGACGGACUUCAGCUUCGCUACGGGAGAGAAUGUCUCGUCGUAGUCAAUCCCUUGAACUUGUCGAUAACCCUUAGCGACAAGUCGAGCUUUAUAGAUGGUAACAUUCCCAUCCGCGUCCGUCUUCUUCUUAAAGAUCCAUUUGUUUUCUAUCGCUCGCUGAUCGUCGGGCAAGUCUGUCAAAGUCCAUACUUUGUUUUCAUACAUGGAUUCUAUCUCGGAUUUCAUGGCCUCAAGCCAUUUGUUGGAAUCUGGUCCCGCCAUCGCUUCUUCAUAGUUCGAAGGUUCACCGUUGUCUAACAACAUGAUUUCCAGGACGGGGCUGCCGUACCACUCCGGUGUGGAACGUGUCCUAGUGGACCUACGAAGUUCAGUAGCAACUUGAUCCGAAGUACCUUGAUCAUCAUCAUUUGUUUUCUCUUCAGUUGGUGUGGGCAUCACAGGAACAUUUUCCUGAGCUGCACCAUUUUCCCGUUCGAGAGGUAGUACUUCAUCGAGUUCUACUUUCCUCCCACUUACUUUUUUUGAGAGAAACUCUUUUUCCAGAAAGCAUCCGUUCUUGGCAACAAAGAUCUUGCCCUCGAAUCUUAAGUAGAAGGUAUACCCGACAGUUUCCUUAGGGUAUCCUAUGAAGACGCAUUUUUCCGACUUGGGUUCGAGCUUUUCAGGUUGAAGUUUCUUGACAUAAGCAUCGCAUCCCCAAACUUUUAGAAACGACAGCUUAGGUUUCUUUCCAAACCAUAAUUCAUACGGUGUCGUCUCAACGGAUUUAGACGGUGCCCUAUUUAAAGUGAAUGUAGCUGUCUCUAGAGCGAAUCCCCAAAAUGAUAGCGGUAAAUUGGUAAGAGACAUCAUAGACCGCACCAUAUCCAAUAGAGUGCGAUUACGACGUUCGGACACACCAUUUCACUGAGGUGUUCCAGGCGGCGUGAGUUGUGAAACGAUUCCACAUUUCCUUAAGUGUGUGCCAAAUUCGUGACUUAAAUAUUCUCCUCCACGAUCUGAUCGUAGGAACUUUAUUUUUCGGUCACGUUGAUUCUCUACUUCAUUCUGAAACUCCUUGAACUUUUCAAAGGUCUCAGACUUGUGUUUCAUUAAGUAGACAUACCCAUAUCUACUCAAGUCAUCAGUGAGAGUGAGAACAUAACGAUAUCCUCCGCGAGCCUCAACGCUCAUUGGACCGCACACAUCGGUAUGUAUGACUUCCAACAAGUUGGUUGCUCGCUCCAUUGUUCCGGAGAACGGAGUCUUGGUCAUCUUGCCCAUGAGGCAUGGUUCGCAUGUGUCAAAUGAUUCAUAAUCUAGAGACUCCAAAAGUCCAUCAGCAUGGAGCUUCUUCAUGCGCUUGACACCAAUGUGACCAAGGCGGCAGUGCCACAAGUAUGUGGGACUAUUGUUAUCAACUUUAUAUCUUUUGGCAUCCACACUAUGAACAUGUGUAAUAUUACGCUCGAGAUUCAUUAAGAAUAAACCAUUGAACAUCGGAGCAUGACCAUAAAACAUAUCUCACAUAUAAAUCGAACAACCAUUAUUCUCAGACUUAAAUGAGUAGCCAUCUCGCAUCAAACGAGAUCCAGAUACAAUGUUCAUGCUCAAACUUGGCACUAAAUAACAAUUAUUAACGUUCAAAACUAAUCCCGUAGGUAAAUGUAGAGGCAGCGUGCCGACGGCGAUCACAUCGACUCUGGAACCAUUCCCGACGCGCAUCGUCACCUCGUCCUUCGCCAGUCUCCGUUUAUUCCGCAGCUCCUGCUGUGAGUUACAAAUAUGAGCAACGGCACCGGUAUCAAAUACCCAGGAGUUACUACGAGUACUGGUAAGGUACACAUCAAUUACAUGUAUAUCAAAUAUACCUUUGGUGUUGCCGGCCUUCUUAUCCGCUAAGUAUUUGGGGCAGUUCCGCUUCCAGUGACCCUUCCCCUUGCAAUAAAAGCACUCGGUCUCAGGCUUGGGUCCAUUCUUUGACUUCUUCCCGGCAACUGGCUUACCGGGCGCGACAACAUCCUUGCCGUCCUUCUUGAAGUUCUUCUUGCCCUUGCCCUUCUUGAACUUAGUGGUCUUAUUGACCAUCAACACUUGAUGUUCUUUCUUGAUUUCAGCCUCUGCUGACUUCAGCAUCGAGAACAAUUCAGGAAUGGUCUUUUCCAUCCCCUGCAUGUUGUAGUUCAUCACAAAGCUCUUGAAGCUUGGUGGGAGCGACUGGAGGAUUCUGUCAAUGACCGCCUCAUCUGGGAGGUUAAUGUUCAGCUGGGUCAUAUGGUUGUGCAACCCAGACAUCUUUAGGAUGUGUUCACUGACAGAACUGUUUUCCUCCAUCUUACAACUAUAGAACUUGUCGGAGAUGUCAUAUCUCUCGACCCGGGCGUGAGCUUGGAAAACCAGUUUCAGCUCCUCGAACAUCUCAUAUGCUCCGUGAUGCUCAAAACGCUUUUGGAGCCCCGGUUCUAAGCUGUAAAGCAUGCCGCACUGAACGAGGGAGUAAUCAUCAGCACGAGUUUGCCAAGCAUUCAUAAUGUCUUGGUUCUCUGGGACGGGAGCGUCACCUAGAGGUCCAUCUAGGACAUAUUGUUUCCUGGCAGCUAUGAGGAUGUUCCUCAGGUUCCGGACCCAGUCCGUAUAGUUGCUGCCAUCAUCUUUCAGCUUGGUUUUCUCUAGGAAUGCGUUGAAGUUCAUGUUGACAUGAGCGUUGGCCAUUUGAUCUACAAGACAUAUUUGCAAAGGUUUUUAGACUAAGUUCAUGAUAAUAAAGUUCUAAUCAAAUUAUGAACUCCCACUCAGAUUAGACAUCCCUCUAGUCAUCUAAGUGUUACACGAUCCGAGUCGACUAGCCCGUGUCCGAUCAUCACGUGAGACGGACUAGUCAUCGUCGGUGAACAUCUUCAUGUUGAUCGUAUCUUCCAUACGACUCGUGUUCGACCUUUCGGUCUCCGUGUUCCGAGGCCAUGUCUGUACAUGCUAGGCUCGUCAAGUUGACCCUAAGUGUCUUCGCUGUGUAAAACUGUCUUACACCCGUUGUAUGUGAACGUAAGAAUCCAUCACACCCGAUCAUCACGUGGUGCUUAGAAGCGACGAACUGUAGCAACGGUGCACAGUUAGGGGAGAACACAUCUUGAUAUUUUGUAAGGGAUCAUCUUAUUUACUACCGUCGUCCUAAGUAAACAAGAUGCAUAAACAUAAUAAACAUCACAUGCAAUUAUAUAGUUGUGACAUGAUAUGGCCAAUAUCAUAUAGCUCCAUUGAUCUUCAUCUUCGGGGCUCCAUGAUCAUCUUGUCACCGGCUUGACACCACGAUCUCCAUCAUCAUGAUCUCCAUCAUCGUGUCUUCAUGAAGUUGUCACGCAAUGACUACUUCUACUUCUAUAGCUAACGCGUUUAGCAAUAAAGUAAAGUAAGUUACAUGGCGUUCUUCAAUGACACGCAGGUCAUACAAAAAAUAAAGACAACUCCUAUGGCUCCUGCCGGUUGUCAUACUCAUCGACAUGCAAGUCGUGAAUCCUAUUACAAGAACAUGAUCUCAUACAUCACAAUUUAUCAUACAUCACAACUUCUGGCCAUAUCACAUCACAUGAUCAAUCGCUGCAAAAACAAGUUAGACGUCCUCUAAUUGUUGUUGCAUCUUUUACGUGGCUGCAAUUGGGUUCUAGCAUGAAUGUUUUCUUACCUACGAAUAACCACAACGUGAUUUUGUCAACUUCUAUUUACCCUUCAUAAGGGCCCUUUUCAUCGAAUCCGCUCCAACUAAAGUGGGAGAGACAGACACCCGCCAGCCACCUUAUGCAACUAGUGCAUGUCAGUCGGUGGAACCGGUCUCAUGUAAGCGUACGUGUAAGGUUGGUCCGGGCCGCUUCAUCCCACAAUACCGUUGAAGCAAGAAAAGACUAGUAGAGGCAAGUAAGUUGACAAGAUCCACGCCCACAACAAAAUUGUGUUCUACUCGUGCAAAGAGAACUACGCAUAGACCUAGCUCAUGAUGCCACUGUUGGGGAACGUUGCAGAAAAUUAAAAUUUUUCCUACGGUUUCACCAAGAUCCAUCUAUGAGUUCAUCUAAGCAACGAGUCAUGUGAGAGAGAUUGCAUCUACAUACCACUUGUAGAUCACGAGCGGAAGCUUGCACGGUGAUGGUGAUGAUGGAGUCGUACUCGCCGUGAUUCGGAUCACCGAUGACCAAGUGCUGAACGGACAACACCUCCGCGUUCAACACACGUACGGGACGGGCGACGUCUCCUCCGUCUUGAUCCAGCAAGGAGGAAGGAGAGGUCGAGGAAGAUGGCUCCAGCAGCAGCACGACGGCGUGAUGAUGGUGGAGUCACAGUUCUCUGGCAGGGCUUCGCCAAGCUCACGCGGAGGAGGAGAGGUGUUGGGGAGGGGAGGGGCUGCGCCUUCAAUGGUGUAUUGCAGCCCUCCCCUCGCCCCUCUAUUUCUAGGGGGAAGGGGCAAGGGGGCCGGCCCCUCUAGAUGGGAAUCUAGAGGGGGGGCGGCGGCCAAGAGGGGGAGGCUUGCCACCCAAGCAAGGGGGGCGCCCCCCUUAGGGUUUCCCCCCCAACCCUAGGCGCAUGGGCCCAAGGUGGGGGGUGCGCCCAGCCCUCUAGGGGCUGGCUGCCUCCCCUUUGCGGCCCAUGUGGCCCUCCGGGAGGGGUGGCCCCUCCCGGUGGACCCCCGGAACCCCUCCGGUGGUCCCGGUACAAUACCGAUAUGACCCCGAAUUCUUCCGGUGUCCGUAUGACAACUUCCCAUAUAUAAAUCUUUACCUCCGGACCCUUCCGGAACUCCUCGUGACGUCCGGGAUCUCAUCCGGGACUCCGAACAACAUUCGGUAGUCACAUACUAGUCUUCCUAACAACCCUAGCGUCACCGAACCUUAAGUGUGUAGACCCUACGGGUUCGGGAGACACGCAGACAUGACCGAGACCACUCUCCGGUCAAUAACCAACAGCGGGAUCUGGAUACCCAUGUUGGCUCCCACAUGCUCCUCGAUGAUUUCAUCGGUUGAACCACGAUGUCGAGGAUUCGAUCAAACCCUGUAUGCAAUUUCCUUUGUCAAUCGGUAUGUUACUUGCCCGAGACUCGAUCGUCGGUAUCCCAAUACCUUGUUCAGUCUCGUUACCGGCAAGUCACUUUACUCGUACCGUAAUGCAUGAUCCCGUGGCCAACACCUUGGUCACGUUGAGCUCAUUAUGAUGAUGCAUUACCGAGUGGGCCCAGAGAUACCUCUCCGUCAUACGGAGUGACAAAUCCCAGUCUCGAUUCGUGUCAAUCCAACAGACACUUUCGGAGAUACCUGUUGUGCACCUUUAUAAUCACCCAGUUACGUUGUGACGUUUGGUACACCCAAAGCACUCUUACGGUAUCCGGGAGUUACACGAUCUCAUGGUCUAAGGAAGAGAUACUUGACAUUGGCAAAGCUCUAGCAAACGAACUACACGAUCUUUGUGCUAUGCUUAGGAUUGGGUCUUGUCCAUCACAUCAUUCUCCUAAUGAUGUGAUCCCAUUAUCAACGACAUCCAAUGUCCAUAGCCAGGAAACCACGACUAUCAGUUGAUCACAACGAGCUAGCCAACUAGAGGCUCACUAGGGACAUAUUGUGGUCUAUGUGUUCACACGUGUAUUACGAUUUCCGGAUAAUACAGUUAUAGCACGAACAAAAGACAAUUAUCAUGAACAAUGAAAUAUAAUAAUACUUUUAUAAUUGCCACUAGGGCAUAUUUCCAACACAACUCCCCACGCAGCCCAAGUGGCCCCCCGGGAGGGGUGGCCCCUCCCGGUGGACCUCCGGAACCCUUCCGGUGGCCCCGGUACAAUACCGGUACGCCCUCGAAACUUUCCGGUGUCCGUUUGACAACUUCCCAUAUAUAAAUCUUUACCUCCGGACCCUUCCGGAACUCCUCGUGACGUCCGGGAUCUCAUCCGGGACUCCUAACAACAUUCGGUAGUCACAUACUAGUCUUCCUAAUAACCCUAGCGUCACCGAACCUUAAGUGUGUAGACCCUACGGGUUCGGGAGACACGCAGACAUGACCGAGACGACUCUCGGGCAAUAACGAACAGCGGGAUCUGGAUACCCAUGUUGGCUCCCACAUGCUCCUCGAUGAUUUCAUCAGUUGAACCACGAUGUCGAGGAUUCGAUCAAACCCUGUAUACAAUUCCCUUUGUCAAUCGGUACGUUACUUGCCCGAGACUCGAUCGUCGGUAUCCUAAUACCUUGUUCAGUCUCGUUACCGGCAAGUCACUUUACUCGUACCGUAAUGCAUGAUCCCGUGGCCAACACCUUGGUCACCUUGAGCUCAUUAUGAUGAUGCAUUAUCGAGUGGGCCCAGAGAUACCUCUCCGUCAUACGGAGUGACAAAUCCCAGUCUCGAUCUGUGUCAACCCAACAGACACUUUCGGAGAUACCUGUAGUGCACCUUUAUAAUCACCCAGUUACGUUGUGAUGUUUGGUACACCCAAAGCACUCUUACGGUAUCCGGGAGUUACACGAUCUCAUGGUCUAAGGAAGAGAUAGUUGACAUUGGCAAAGCUCUAGCAAACGAACUACACGAUCUUUGUGCCAUGCUUAGGAUUGGGUCUUGUCCAUCACAUCAUUCUCCUAAUGAUGUGAUCCUGUUAUCAACGACAUCCAAUGUCCAUAGCCAGGAAACCAUGACUAUCUAUUGAUCACAACGAGCUAGUCAACUAGAGGCCCACUAGGGACAUAUUGUGGUCUAUGUGUUCACAGGUGUAUUACGAUUUCCGGAUAAUACAGUUAUAGCAUGAACAAAAGACAAUUAUCAUGAACAACGAAAUAUAAUAAUACUUUUAUUAUUGCCUCUAGGGCAUAUUUCCAACAGUCUCCCACUUGCAUUAGAGUCACCAAUCUAGUUACAUUGUGAUGAAUCGAACACCCAUAGAGUUCUGGUGUUGAUCAUGUUUUGCUCGCGAGAGAGGUUUAGUCAACGGAUCUGCGACAUUCAGAUCUGUAUGUACUUUGCAAAUUUCUAUGUCUCCAUCUUGAACAUUUUCACGGAUGGAGUUGAAACGACGCUUGAUGUGCCUGGUCUUCUUGUGAAACCUGGGCUCCUUUGCAAGGGCAAUAGCUCCAGUGUUGUCACAGAAGAGUUUGAUUGGCCCCGACGCAUUGGGUAUGACUCCUAGGUCGGUGAUGAACUCCUUCACCCAAAUUGCUUCAUGUGCUGCCUCCGAGGCUGCCAUGUACUCCGCUUCACACGUAGAUCCCGCCACGAUGCUCUGCUUGCAGCUGCACCAGCUUACUGCUCCACCAUUCAACAUAUACACGUAUCCAGUUUGUGACUUAGAGUCAUCCGGAUCUGAGUCAAAGCUAGCGUCGACGUAACCCUUUACGACGAGCUCUUCGUCUCCUCCAUAAACGAGAAACAUGUCCCUUGUCCUUUUCAGGUACUUCAGGAUAUUCUUGACCGCUGUCCAGUGUUCCUUGCCGGGAUUACUUUGGUAUCUUGCUACCAAACUUACGGCAAGGUUUACAUCAGGUCUGGUACACAGUAUGGCAUACAUAAUAGAUCCUAUGGCUGAAGCAUAGGGGAUGACACUCAUCUCUUCUUUAUCUUUUGCCGUGGUCGGUGACUGAGCCGAGCUCAAUCUCACACCUUGUAACAUAGGCAAGAACCCUUUCUUGGACUGAUCCAUUUUGAACCUUUUCAAAAUCUUAUCAAGGUAUGUACUUUGUGAAAGACCUAUGAGGCGUCUUGAUCUAUCUCUAUAGAUCUUGAUGCCUAAUAUAUAAGCAGCUUCUCCAAGGUCCUUCAUUGAAAAACAUUUGUUCAAGUAGGCCUUAAUGCUGUCCAGAAAUUCUAUAUUAUUUCCCAUCAAGAGUAUGUCAUCUACAUAUAAUAUGAGAAAUGCUACAGAGCUCCCACUCACUUUCUUGUAAACGCAGGCUUCUCCAUAAGUCUGCAUAAACCCAAACGCUUUGAUCAUCUCAUCAAAGCGAAUAUUCCAACUCCGAGAUGCUUGCACCAGCCCAUAAAUGGAUCGCUGGAGCUUGCAUACUUUGUUAGCGUUCUUAGGAUCGACAAAACCUUCCGGCUGCAUCAUAUACAGCUCUUCCUUAAGAUGCCCGUUAAGGAAUGCCGUUUUGACGUCCAUUUGCCAUAUCUCAUAAUCAUAGUAUGCGACAAUUGCUAACAUGAUUCGGACGGACUUUAGCUUUGCUAUGGGAGAGAAUGUCUCAUCGUAGUCAAUCCCUUGAACUUGUCGAUAACCCUUAGCGACAAGUCGAGCUUUAUAGAUGGUAACAUUCCCAUCCGCGUCCGUCUUCUUCUUAAAGAUCCAUUUGUUUUCUAUUGCUCGCCGAUCAUCGGGCAAGUCUGUCAAAGUCCAUACUUUGUUUCCAUACAUGGAUUCUAUCUCGGAUUUCAUGGCUUCAAGCCAUUUGUUGGAAUCUGGGCCCGCCAUCGCUUCUUCAUAGUUCGAAGGUUCACCGUUGUCUAACAACAUGAUUUCCAGGACGGGGUUGCCGUACCACUCUGGUGCGGAACGUGUCCUUGUGGACCUACGAAGUUCAGUAGCAACUUGAUCCGAAGUACCUUGAUCAUCAUCAUUGGUUUCCUCUUCAGUUGGUGUAGGCAUCACAGGAACAUUUCCCUGAGCUGCACCACUAUCCCGUUCGAGAGGUAGCACUUCAUCGAGUUCUACUUUCCUCCCACUUACUUCUUUCGAGAGAAACUCUUUUUCCAGAAAGCAUCUGUUCUUGGCAACAAAGAUCUUGCCCUCGGAUCUUAAGUAGAAGGUAUACCCGACAGUUUCCUUAGGGUAUCCUAUGAAGACGCAUUUUUCCGACUUGGGUUCGAGCUUUUCAGGUUGAAGUUUCUUGACAUAAGCAUCGCAUCCCCAAACUUUUAGAAACGACAGCUUAGGUUUCUUCCCAAACCAUAAUUCAUACGGUGUCGUCUCAACGGAUUUAGACGGUGCCCUAUUUAAAGUGAAUGUAGCUGUCUCUAGAGCGUAUCCCCAAAAUGAUAGCGGUAAAUCGGUAAGAGACAUCAUAGACCGCACCAUAUCCAAUAGAGUGCGACUACGACGUUCGGACACACCGUUUCGCUGAGGUGUUCCAGGCGGCGUGAGUUGUGAAACGAUUCCACAUUUCCUUAAGUGUGUGCCAAAUUCGUGACUUAAAUAUUCUCCUCCACGAUCUGAUCGUAGGAACUUAAUUUUUCGGUCACGUUGAUUCUCUACUUCAUUCUGAAAUUCCUUAAACUUUUCAAAGGUCUCAGACUUGUGUUUCAUUAAGUAGACAUACCCAUAUCUACUCAAGUCAUCAGUGAGAGUGAGAACAUAACGAUAUCCUCCGCGAGCCUCAACGCUCAUUGGACCGCACACAUCGGUAUGUAUGAUUUCCAACAAGUUGGCUGCUCGCUCCGUUGUUCCGGAGAACGGAGUCUUGGUCAUUUUGCCCAUGAGGCAUGGUUCGCAUGUGUCAAACGAUUCAUAAUCAAGAGACUCCAAAAGUCCAUCAGCAUGGAGCUUCUUCAUGCGCUUGACACCAAUGUGACCAAGGCGGCAGUGCCACAAGUAUGUGGGACUAUCGUUAUCAACUUUACAUCUUUUGGCAUCCACACUAUGGACAUGUGUAAUAUUACGCUCGAGAUUCAUUAAGAAUAAACCAUUGACCAUCGGAGCAUGACCAUAAAACAUAUCUCUCAUAUAAAUCGAACAACCAUUAUUCUCAGACUUAAAUGAGUAGCCAUCUCCUAUUAAACGAGAUCCAGAUACAAUGUUCAUGCUCAAACUUGGCACUAAAUAACAAUUAUUAAGGUUCAAAACUAAUCCCGUGGGUAAAUGUAGAGGCAGCGUGCCGACGGUGAUCACAUCGACUCUGGAACCAUUCCCGACGCGCAUCGUCAACUCGUCCUUCGCCAGUCUUCGUUUAUUCCGCAGCUCCUGCUGUGAGUUACAAAUAUGAGCAACGGCACCGGUAUCAAAUACCCAGGAGUUACUACGAGUACUGGUAAGGUACACAUCAAUUACAUGUAUAUCAAAUAUACCUUUGUUGUUGCCGGCCUUCUUAUCCGCUAAGUAUUUGGGGCAGUUCCGCUUCCAGUGACCCUUCCCCUUGCAAUAAAAGCACUCAGUCUCAGGCUUGGGUCCAUUCUUUGACUUCUUCCCGGCAACUGGCUUACCGGGCGCGGCAACAUCCUUGCCGUCCUUCUUGAAGUUCUUCUUGCCCUUGCCCUUCUUGAACUCAGUGGUCUUAUUGACCAUCAACACUUGAUGUUCUUUCUUGAUUUCAGCCUCUGCUGACUUCAGCAUCGAGAACAAUUCAGGAAUGGUCUUUUCCAUCCCCUGCAUGUUGUAGUUCAUCACAAAGCUCUUGUAGCUUGGUGGGAGCGACUGGAGGAUUCUGUCAAUGACCGCCUCAGCUGGGAGGUUAAUGUUCAGCUGGGUCAUACGGUUGUGCAACCCAGACAUCUUUAGGAUGUGUUCACUGACAGAACUGUUUUCCUCCAUCUUACAACUGUAGAACUUGUCGGAGAUGUCAUAUCUCUCGACCCGGGCGUGAGCUUGGAAAACCAGUUUCAGCUCCUCGAACAUCUCAUAUGCUCCGUGAUGCUCAAAACGCUUUUGGAGCCCCGGUUCUAAGCUGUAAAGCAUGCCGCACUGAACGAGGGAGUAAUCAUCAGCACGAGUUUGCCAAGCAUUCAUAAUGUCUUGGUUCUCUGGGACGGGAGCGUCACCUAGCGGUCCAUCUAGGACAUAUUGUUUCCUGGCAGCUAUGAGGAUGAUCCUCAGGUUCCGGACCCAGUCCGUAUAGUUGCUGCCAUCAUCUUUCAGCUUGGUUUUCUCUAGGAACGCGUUGAAGUUCAUGUUGACAUGAGCGUUGGCCAUUUGAUCUACAAGACAUAUUUGCAAAGGUUUUAGACUAAGUUCAUGAUAAUUAAGUUCUAAUCAAAUUAUGAACUCCCACUCAGAUUAGACAUCCCUCUAGUCAUCUAAGUGUUACACGAUCCGAGUCGACUAGCCCGUGUCCGAUCAUCACGUGAGACGGACUAGUCAUCGUCGGUGAACAUCUUCAUGUUGAUCGUAUCUUCCAUACGACUUGUGUUCGACCUUUCGGUCUCCGUGUUCCGAGGCCAUGUCUGCACAUGGUAGGAUCGUCAAGUUAACCCUAAGUGUUAUUGCUGUAUAAAACUGUCUUACACCCGUUGUAUGUGAACGUAAGGAUCCAUCACACCCGAUCAUCACGUGGUGCUUAGAAACGACGAACUGUAGCAACGGUGCACAAUUAGGGGAGAACACUUCUUGAAAUUUUGUAAGGGAUCAUCUUAUUUACUACCGUCGUCCUAAGUAAACAAGAUGUAUAAACAUAAUAAACAUCACAUGCAAUUAUAUAGUUGUGACAUGAUAUUGCCAAUAUCAUAUAGCUCCAUUGAUCUCCAUCUUCGGGGCUCCAUGAUCAUCUUGUCACCGGCUUGACACCAUGAUCUCCAUCAUCGUGUCUUCAUGAAGUUGUCACGCCAACGACUACUUCUACUUUUAUGGCUAACGCGUUUAGCAAUAAAGUAAAGUAAGUUACAUGGCGUUCUUCAAUGACACGCAGGUCAUACAAAAAAUAAAGACAGCUCCUAUGGCUCCUGCCGGUUGUCAUACUCAUCGACAUGCAAGUCGUGAAUCCUAUUACAAGAACAUGAUCUCAUACAUCACAAUUCAUCAUUCAUCACAACUUCUGGCCAUAUCACAUCACAUGAUCAAUCGCUGCAAAAACAAGUUAGACGUCCUCUAAUUGUUGUUGCAUCUUUUACGUGGCUGCAAUUGGGUUCUAGCAAGAACGUUUUCUUACCUACGAAUAACCACAACGUGAUUUUAUCAACUUCUAUUUACCCUUCAUAAGGGCCCUUUUCAUCGAAUCCGCUCCAACUAAAGUGGGAGAGACAGACACCCGCCAGCCACCUUAUGCAACUAGUGCAUGUCAAUCGGUGGAACCGGUCUCACGUAAGCGUACGUGUAAGGUUGGUCCGGGCCGCUUCAUCCCAUAAUACCGUUGAAGCAAGAAAAGACUAGUAGAGGCAAGUAAGUUGACAAGAUCCACGCCCACAACAAAAUUGUGUUCUACUCGUGCAAAGAGAACUACGCAUAGACCUAGCUCAUGAUGCCACUGUUGGGGAACGUUGCAGAAAAUUAAAAAAAAUUCUACGGUUUCACCAAGAUCCAUCUAUGAGUUCAUCUAAGCAACGAGUCAUGGGAGAGAGAUUGCAUCUACAUACCACUUGUAGAUCGCGAGCGGAAGCUUGCACGGUGAUGGUGGAGUCGUACUCGCCGUGAUUCGGAUCACCGAUGACCAAUUGCUGAACGGACAGCACCUCCGCGUUCAACACACGUACGGUACGGGCGACGUCUCCUCCUUCUUGAUCCAGCAAGGGGAAGGAGAGGUUGAGGAAGAUGGCUCCAGCAGCAGCACGACGGCGUGAUGAUGGUGGAGUGACAGUUCUCCGACAGGGCUUCGCCAAGCACACGCGGAGGAGGAGAGGUGUUGGGGAGGGGAGGGGCUGCGCCUUCAAUGGUGUUUUGCAGCCCUCCCCUCGCCCCUCUAUUUAUAGGGGGAAGGGAGAAGGGGCCGGCCCCUCUAGAUGCAUCUAGAGGGGGGGCGGCGGCCAAGGGGAGGGGGGACUUGCCCCCCAAGCAAGGGGGGGCGCCCCCUCUAGGGUUCCCCCCUCAACCCUAGGCGCAAGGGCCCAUGGGAGGGGGUGCGCCCAGCCCACCAGGGGCUGGCCAACUCCCCACGCAGCCCAAGUGGCCCCCCGGGAGGGGUGGCCCCUCCCGGUGGACCUCCGGAACCCUUCCGGUGGCCCCGGUACAAUACCGGUACGCCCCCGAAACUUUCCGGUGUCCGUUUGACAACUUCCCAUAUAUAAAUCUUUACCUCCGGACCCUUCCGGAACUCCUUGUGACGUCCGGGAUCUCAUCCGGGACUCCGAACAACAUUCGGUAGUCACAUACUAGUCUUCCUAAUAACCCUAGCGUCACCGAACCUUAAGUGUGUAGACCCUACGGGUUCGGGAGACACGCAGACAUGACCGAGACGACUCUCGGGCAAUAACCAACAGCGGGAUCUGGAUACCCAUGUUGGCUCCCACAUGCUCCUCGAUGAUUUCAUCGGUUGAACCACGAUGUCGAGGAUUCGAUCAAACCCUGUAUGCAAUUCCCUUUGUCAAUCGGUACGUUGCUUGCCCGAGACUCGAUCGUCGGUAUCCUAAUACCUUGUUCAGUCUCGUUACCGGCAAGUCACUUUACUCGUACCGUAAUGCAUGAUCCCGUGGCCAACACCUUGGUCACCUUGAGCUCAUUAUGAUGAUGCAUUACCGAGUGGGCCCAGAGAUACCUCUCCGUCAUACGGAGUGACAAAUCCCAGUCUCGAUCCGUGUCAACCCAACAGACACUUUCGGAGAUACCUGUAGUGCACCUUUAUAAUCACCCAGUUACGUUGUGACGUUUGGUACACCCAAAGCACUCUUACGGUAUCCGGGAGUCAUGGUCUAAGGAAGAGAUACUUGACAUUGGCAAAGCUCUAGCAAACGAACUACACGAUCUUUGUGCCAUGCUUAGGAUUGGGUCUUGUCCAUCACAUCAUUCUCCUAAUGAUGUGAUCCCGUUAUCAACGACAUCCAAUGUCCAUAGCCAGGAAACCAUGACUAUCUGUUGAUCACAACGAGCUAGUCAACUAGAGGCUCACUAGGGACAUAUUGUGGUCUAUGUGUUCACACGUGUAUUACGAUUUCCGGAUAAUACAGUUAUAGCAUGAACAAAAGAAAAUUAUCAUGAACAACGAAAUAUAAUAAUACUUUUAUUAUUGCCUCUAGGGCAUAUUUCCAACAGUGCAGCGCAUCCCAGACGGCGCGAGAGGUGUGGAGCUGGGUCAAUUGCCCGAUGAUGUCCUCAGUCAUGGAGGAUAGCAGGGCGAUGAGGACCACCUGGUCCUGUUGAUACCAGCGAAGGAACGCCGGAUUGGCCACGACACGGGCAGCAUCGCCGGUGCCCUCGGUGAUGGUCUCCGGUGGAGCAGGGAUAGAGCCAUCGACAUAGCCGAAGGAGCCCUGCGCGCGAAGGACGGGGACGGCCUGAGUUUUCCACAGAAGAAAAUUCUCCCUCGUGAGGCGGAUGGUGAUCAAGUUGGCGAUGGCAGCAAUGGAGGCGGAGCCGGACGAGGCCAUCGCGCCGGAGGUGCCAUCACUGGAAGCAGGGGCGGUGGACAUGGUGAGGAAAAGGGUCGAGCUCUGAUACCAAGACAGAAGAUGUUGUUUGCCGUGAUUCUUCUCAAUAGAAUUCAGCUGUUUAUAUACAGCUCGUACAACUUCAGUUACACAUCAAGAGAUGGUGGAUAAUUAAGAAUGAAGUCUCUAGACCUUCUAUAUUCUAGCACUAAGCCAUAAUGCUAGAGCACUAACAUAAUACAGCUAACAGAGCCCAUCGAGAAUUCACAAUGACAUAAAUAAAACAAGGACGUUUGGUUCCUGGCUGGUUCCUGGUUGACUAGGGUCUCCUGGCGGCUAGCUCCUAGGUCUAUGAGAAGUGCCGAAGUGGGCUCGGGUGCUAGGCCCCUGGGCUGGGCUAACUGGCAACUCUUUUGUUAGUGGGCUGAUUUGAAGUAGGGGUGUCAUUUCAAACUUUUGAAAAUUAGCGAGCUAAAUGAGUUAGCUCGUGAAACUCAUUUGCUCGCUCGUUAAGCUCGUUAAACUUAACGAGCAAGAAACUCUGUUCGGCUUGGUUCAUUAACUAACGAGCACGAGCCAAAACGAGCCAAACUAUCGAGCACUCAUUAUGCUCGCGAGCUUCGAGCUUUUCGUCACAUAUUGUGCAAAAUAAUUUCAAAGUUCUAUUACCUUGGUGAAAAUAACAUGGUCGUGGAAAGUCAGUAUUUCUGAGAACAUAGGUUCCUUAAAAGCCAUAUCUGCAGCCUCAACAUGGGACCAUGCCAGAGUUGCAUCGGCACCAUCUUCUUUGCAUCCCCUUUCAAUGCUUAAGGCGAUCCAGUGAGUAAAAUAGACAAUACUAUCACCAGGAAGUUCCUUUUGGGGACCAAAACAUGACAUCAAAUAAGCAUUGGUUAUUAUGUUGGGGUCGAAUACCAGAGAAACAUAGGAGAGAAUUACUGAUAUAGAAAUACUAAUGUUCUAAACUCCACGAAACUUCUUACCCCAAACUGGGUUGAGCAAAGCUCAUAUUCAGGCUGCAGUAUAAACUGGGUCUAUACUUAUAAACUGGGUUGACAGCUACAAGACCAUCCCGGCAUCCUUUUCGGUUCUGCAUGUAGUGAGUAAGCUCGUAUGCCAAGAGCACGUUAUCAGUAAUCAUACGUCCCGGCACGAAGGCACUCUGUGAAGGAGAAAUGAUAUCGGGCAACAACACCUUCAGCCGGUUUGCGAGGACCUUGGAAAUGAGCUUGUAGAUGACGUUGCAGAGACUGAUCGGGCGCUUUGAGGUCUCCAACAGAGUCAAGGGCCUGCUUCACCUCCUUAGCAGAAAACGUCCUGACAAGGCCAUCAUUCAUUGCCGGUGUAACGGACACUGGGACAUGUUGGAGAAUAUCAUCGUUUAAAGGACCUGCAUGAGAGGUGAACAAACUUUUGUAGUGGAUACAAAAAAGGCUUGCUACAAGGUCAAACUGAUUUGGCUGUAGAAAUAGAUUUGGUUUCAUUAAUGAACUCAGGGAGCCCAUCCCUUUCAAUAAAAAAAGAGUAGCCUAGGGCACUUCUAAAUGUGUCCUAGUUAUCGCACAUCUAAAUGACUCAAUCAAAUUAGAGAGAAAAAAACAACAACAAAUGCUUGCACAAAUCUUUACAUAAAAUAAAUGACAUAGGACUUAGAUAUGCAAUACUUAGAGCACAUCUAGAUAUGCUUUAGCAAAACUGAAGAGAAAAAAACAAGACCGAUCUGAUUGUUGGCCUUUAGAUUAAUCCGUCCAGUUCGGCUACACUUAAUACCACACCGUGCGCACGAGCCCAAUAAUGUUGUGUGGUGGCCAGCGUAUGCACUAUGCAACAUCGGCCAGAUAUGCAAGCAAUCCGGUGGUCCGUGAAGACUUGUGAGCGGCUAGGGUUGACGAGGCGCUGCUUGAUGAGUUGCGACGGAUGGUAUGGAUGAAGGCGUGGGGUGACCCGGGUAGCUAUGGGCUGAAAAAUAGUAUAUGUUUAUACCCAUAUUUAUUACUUUGAUUUGAAAAUAGUAUGCUUAUUAUAUACGGAAGUCUCAUGUACACAAGAACGUCAAACAUACCAAGACUAUUUCCUUGUAGGUUUUAUUACAGAAUAAGUAAUUUAUAUGUUGCUACGCUCUAUGUUUAUAUAGCCAAAAUUAUCCUUCAUUAAUGAAUGUUUAGGCGUUUAAAGGAUUUCAUGGUUUUUUAGUUGAAAAGAGCUCAUGUUGGAGCUGUGGUCUUGGAUGAGUCAACUAAAUUUUAGUGGUUCUCACGAUUUUAAUUCCCGACCCCCCUCGGGCAUUUGGUGAUGCUACUCCCGAAAGUUUAGUACAGAUGGACAUACGGUCUAUAUUAUGAACUAAAAAAGAUGUUCUAUGUCAAACUAGGGGUACUUAGAAGUCAUUUUCCUUUAAGCAAACAAAAAUCCAUUUGGAUUUCUGGAUAGAGAAAGUUUAUUGCAUGCGGUGUCAUUGUUGGUGUAUCUAUAGCAACCAAUCAGUGUCAGGUAAACACAUGUUGCAGUAUAGAUGCGCACACAUGUUUCUAGCUCCAGUUUACAUAUCCGUUGGAUUGGAGGUACAGGCUUUCCAUCAUGGUCUUACGGUUUACUUAGAAAAAAGAGUUUAUGAUCAUCACGUGUUCAUCCAGAUGUUUUUUGUUUAUUUGGUUUAGAGCUAGCAUCAGUUAGUCAUGCUCUCUCAGAAACAACAAAUAUAUAAUAAUAGCAUAGCUACAUGUCUCAGUGGCACCUUGCAUCAUAUUUUAACUUGCUCGAUUCAAAUGUGUGCAUGCUUUUUCAAAAUGUGUUAAUAACACUGUAUAUUAUGUAAGAUGGUUUUAAAAUUACACUUGUCCAUGAUAAGUUUCCCACGGCUCCAAAAAUAAAUUGUAUGGCGUUAUCUCAGAUAGCUGAUACUUCAGCUCAUCUAUAUAAAUCAUUGCUAUUCGACAAAAUAAAGUAACAACAAAAACAAAACCUUUAGUACCAUACAAGUUAGGGUAGGCUAGAUGUAAAACCCAUAAGAUCUCGCGACCAACUCAUGAUUCUAACACAUAAAUAGCAAGCUUCCACUCACCCAUGUCCAUGGCUAGUUCCUUGAUGAUACUCCAAUCCUUCAGUUCUCUCUUUACAGACUCCUUCCAUGUCAAAUUCGGUCUACCCAGACCUUUCUUGACAUUAUCCGGACGCUUUAGCCGUCGGCUAUGCACUGGAGUUUCUGGAGGCAUGCGUUGAAUAUGCCCAAACCAUCUCAGACAAUGUUGGACAAGCUUCUCUUCAUUUUGUGCUACCCCAACUCUAUUUCGUAUAUCAUCAUUCCGGACUCGAUCCUUCCUCGUGUGGCCACACAUACAUCUCAACAUGCGCAUCUCCGCCACACCUAACUAUUGAACAUGUCUCAUUUUAGUCGGUGAACACUCGCGUCAUAUAACUUUGCGGGUCGAACCGCCGUCCUAUAUAACUUGCCUUUUACCUUUUGUGGCACCCUCUUGUCAUAGAGAAUGCCAGAAGUUUGGUGCCACUUCAUCCAUCCGGCAUUGAUUCGAUAGCUCACGUCUUCAUCAAUACCCCCAUUUCUGCAGCAUUGACCCAAAAUAUCGAUAGGUGUCCUUCUGAGGCACCACCUGCCCAUCAAGGCUAACCUCCUCCUCCUCGCGCCUAAUAGUACUGAAACCGCACCUCAUGUACUCGGUUUUAGUUCUACUAAGCCUAAAACCUUUUGGUUCCAAGGUUUGUCUCCAUAACUCUAGCUUCCUAUUGACCCCCGUCCAACUAUAGUCAACUAGAACCACAUCAUCCACAAAGAGCAUACACCAUGCAAUAUAUCCUUGUAUAUCCCUUGUGGUCUCAUCCAUCACCAAAGCAAAAAAGAUAACGGCUCAAAGCUGACCUGUGAUGUAGUCCUAUCUUAAUUGGGAAGUCAUCAACAUCGACAUCACUUGUUCGAACACUUGUCACAAAUCAUCGUACAUGUCCUUGAUGAUGGGUAAUGUACUUUGUUGGGACUUUGUUUUUCUCCAAGGCCCACCGCAUGACAUUCUGCGGUAUCUUAUCAUAAGCCUUCUCCAAGUCAAUGAACACCAUAUGCAGGUCCUUCUGUUGCUCCAUGUAUCUCUGCAUAAAUUGUCGUACCAAGAAAUUGGCUUCCAUGGUCGACCUCCCAGGCAUGAAACUGAACUGAAUUUUUGUCAUGCUUGUCAGUCUUCUUAAGCGGUUCUCAAUGACUCUCUCACAUAGCUUCAUUGUAUGGCCCAUCAGCUUAAUUCCAUGAUAAUUAGUACAACUCUGAACAUUCCCCUUGUUCUUGAAGAUUGGUACUAACAUACUUCGUCUCCAUUCUUCCGGCAUCUUGUUUGCCCAAAAAAUGAGGUUGAAAAGUUUGGUUAGUCAUACUAUUGCUAUGUCCCCGAGGCCUUUCCACACCUCAAUGGGGAUACAAUCAGGGCCCAUUGCCUUGCCUCCUUUCAUCCUUUUUGAAGCCUCCUUGACCUUAGACUCCUGGAUUCGCCGCACAAAAUGCCUGUUGGUAUCAUCAAAGGAGUCGUCUAGUUCAAUGGUAGACCUGUCAUUCUCCCAUUGAACAACUUGUCGAAGUGCUCCUUCCAUCUAUGUUUAAUGGCCUCGUCCUUCACAAGGAGUUGGCCAGCUCCGUCCUUAAUGCAUUUGACUUGGCCAACAUCUCUCGUCCUCCUCUCCCAGAUCUUGGCCAUCUUAUAGAUGUACCUUUCUCCUUCCUUCCCGCCUAAACUCUAGUAGAGUUCUCAUACGCCCGAUCUCUUUCUUCACUGACCGCUCGCUUUGCGUCCUUCUUCGCCAUCUUGUACUUCUAUGUUGUUUGCACUCCUAUCAAGUAUAGGUGUCUGAAACAAUCUUUCUUCUCCUUAAUCGCCUUCUAGACAUCAUCAUUCCACCACCAGGUAUCCUUAGCUUGGCUUAUCCUUCCCCUGGACAAUCCAAACUCCUGUGAGGCCACCUUACGAAUGCAAGUCACCACCCUUCAUCCAUAGACUGUCUACAUCCCCUCCUUCCUGCCAAGGGCCCUCCUUAAUGACCCUCUCCUUGAACGCCUGAGCUAUCUCCUCCUUGAGCUUCCACCACUUCGUUCUAGUGACUCUGGCAUGCUUAUCCCGUUGUACAGGAAUUGGAAAGCGGAAGUCACCAACCACCAACUUAUGCUAAAGGGACAACACUCUCUCCAGGUAUCACCUUACAAUCUAGGCAUGCACGCCUAUCUUCUCUUCUCAAGAGGAUGAAAUCAAUCUACCUAGAGUGUUGACCACUACUAAAAGUCACUGGAUGUGGUUCUCUCUUUUUAAAGAGGGUGUUAGCUACAAUCAUGUCAUAGACUAGAGAAAAGCUUAACACAUUAUUUCCUUCUUGAUUCCUGAUGCCAUAGCCAACAAAGCCCCCAUGCACCCCUUCAAAACCUCUGUUAGAUGCACCCACGUGACCAUUGAGGUCUCCUCCUAUGAAGAGUUUCUCUUCAAUUGGUACGCUCCUAACCAUGUCCUCUAGCCCUUUCCAGAAAUCCCUCUUGGUGUUCUCAUUGAGGCCUACUUGUGGGGCAUACGCGCUGGUAACACUGAGAACUAGGUCCCCAAUUACCAGCUUGACCAAGAUAAUUCGGUCCCAUGUCUCUUGACGUUUACCCCUCCAUACUUGAGGCUCUUGUUGAUCAAGAUGCCUAUGCCAUUCUAUUUGCAGUUGUCCCCGUGUACCUCAACUUGAAACCAGUAUCCUCCACCUCCUUCGCCUUAUGUCCCCUCCAUUUGGUUUCUUGGACACAAAGGAUAUCAACACCUCUCAUCACCGCUGCAUCAAGUAGCUCCCCAAGCUUCCGUGUCAGAGACCCUACGUUCCAGCUACCUAAGCGGAUCCUCCUAGGCUCGGCUAGAUUCCUUACCCUUCGCACUAGCCGAGUCAAAAGUGAAAACCCUUGCUCAUUUUCCACAACAUCCGGGUGCCAAUGUAGCGCGCCACUGAGGAUGUAACGACCCGAUCCUCGCUCAUUUCCCACCGUAUCCAGAUCAAGAUACGGCGCGCCACUGGGAGGGGGGUGUGACAGCCCGGCCCUUGCCCAUUUGACAACAUACUCGGGUUCCGAUGUGGCGCAUCGCUGAGAGGGUUAUGCGCCAAAGAAAAUCUUUUGGGUUUCAUCUCCAUAAGAGUGGCUGAGUUUUCACAUUGGCUUGCCAAGCCUAUCACAACCCUCCGUCUUUAGCCGGGCUUAGGGCCGACUAUAUUGAGACAACAUAGGCAAAGUUUUUGCUUCGCUUAAUGUGUGAGUUUUUUUGCCGUCGUAUGACAAAUUGAGAGAGUUAGCCAAAUAUGGGUCUUUCAGCACAAGUUUACUCUAGCAACCACUUGAUUUCUAAUGAUAUGACUCCAGUGUGCUAUAUAUAAGCCGAUUGUGUCGUGUAUGGCGUUUGGAUCGCGGCCUCCAUGGAGGCCGAAUUUUUGAAAAUAUCAAAAUACAAAGUUUUUUGUUUCAAAAAAAUCUGAAAAAAAUUGUACAAGUAAGCAAGGAUGUGAUGUGUAUGUGUGUAAAUUUCAGGAUGAAAUACAUUUAAAUGCGACCUGUACAAAAAGAUAAAUUUGUGGCCAGACCUUUGAACAAUUGAUAGGCCAAACCUUAGUCCUAAAGUUUUGGCAAUCAGGACGUCAGCACACUAAUCAACUUUCCAGUUACCUCCGGCAAUGCAUUUCCUGCUAGCAUCUCCUAAAACUGCACUAGUCGAGCCCCUAAGCAAGUCUUGAUCAAAAGAUACAUCAAUAUUAAGUUUAACAAAGCCCAAAGGUUGUCGAGUACAACCCCUUUGUGCAUGGUAGCAUCAAGGGAAAGAGCAAUAAUAUAGUUUGCCACCAGGGUAUGAAUCCCCAUGGUACCCAUGGUAGUCUGAUUAACAUCUUGAUCAUUCUCCUCAUGGACCAGCUUACACCUUUCCUGCCACAAGUACCAAGUGGUAAUGGCUAUAAACUCACGAGCAUUAUCAAUACCCAAAAUAGACAGAUCCUAAUCCAGCAUAUGAAAUAAAAAUUCAAGGUCAGCCUCCAUAGCAUGAUCAAUUUCAAAAGCUCAUUUAAUCAGUACAUCUAACCCCAAAACUCUCCAAAUCCCUUAGCUUUGUUGGCAUUGGAACAAAACGUGCUUAAUAUCCUCAGGUCCAUUGGCAUAAGAGGGGCUUUGAGGUGAAAUUUUCAAUGUCUAUUGACAAGCGUAACACGUCAAGGAAGAGUGCCAUGCAACAUGCCACAAAUAAAGAUUUUUACCAUGUCAGACAAGAUAAUUUCCAAGUCUUACACCAAAUGGGAUAGUAAUAAAUUGUCCCAUUGCAUUAGUUCCUCUGAGUUUCCUCUCAUGUUGAUGAGCCCAUUCCACUAAAUAGAAUGAACGAACAGUGAAUAUCCCAUUUGUGAAACUCCACACAAUAAAGUUAGACAUAUCAUGAAACAAAAGAGAAAUCACAAGAACUCAUUGUGCAUCAAUUGGCCACAGCGCUCGUCUGAUCAAGUCAUCAUUCCAAUUUGGUAACGAGAUAAAUAAGAUCAAAAACCUAAGACAUGAGAUGUCCCCCUUUAGGAGUGACAAUUCUUCUAUUAGCACAAUUUGGGAUCCACGCAUGGUCACAAAUACCAAUAUUCUACCCAUUACCAACUCUCCAUAUAUUAAUAUCAACAUUCUACCCAUUACCAACUCUCCAUAUAUAACGGUGAUUCAAAGAAUUUACUCCCACCAUUAUACUUUGCAAAGUAAAAGAUGAGCCUUUUUUUAGUUUUGUAUUCAGCAAAUCAUCAUCUGGGAAAUACUUGGCUUUCAAAAUUGGAGUACAUAAAGAUUCUUGGUUCUCAAGAAGAUGCCACACUUUUUUAGCCAGUAUCGCCAAAUUGAAGCAAUGGAUAUUGCAAAACUCACCCAUCCUUGAUAUUUUUUGGGACAUAUUUUCAAACAAGCCAUCCAGUGUGUCUUCUUCUGAAUCCUCGUCACCCCACCAAAAAUGCGACACCGUGUCAGUGAUUCCUUUGCAAGUCGACUUAGGAUUUUAAAGACAUCCCUCCAUUCCUUUAUAUAAACGAGUGCAUGUUUGACCGAGUUUUAGAAAAAAAUUAUCGAUAUCCACAAUACGAAAUUUAUAUCAUUUGGUUCGUCAUGGAAAGUAGUCUUAUAUUUUACCUAUUAGGUAUUGCAAAUGUUGUUAUUUUAUUCUAUAAUCUUGGUCAAACAUUCAAGUGGUUGACUUGCAUGAAAAUCAAUACACCUUAUAUUUUGGAACGAAGGUAGUACAUAGCAUAGGUGGGAAAAGCUUUUUAGAUGCUAUUAGUCGACUACAAGAGCACAUAACUAUGGAUAAUUAACUUCUUUUACAUGUGGUAACUGAUCUACUAAUUAAGUAAUAACAUUACAGUGUUGUCUAGAAAAUGCUACGGUCAUUUUCAUGAUGCAUGCACUGUAUAUAUGCUGUUCUGUUGUAAUGACAUUAUCAUAUAUCCCUGCAAAAAAAAAUAUCACAUUAUCUAUCAUAUAUGAUGCUAAUUAAAUAAUUUCGAACAUGCAUGUAUUACAUAUGUGGUUCUGCUGCGCGUAAUAACAUUUCGUGUAUGGUGCUAAUUAAAUUAUUUUUGGAACUUAAUUACGCGCAGGUGGCCAAGGGACAGGAACACAGAAUAAUAUGGACUCGACAAGGGCAAGCUUCUCGCAGAUGUGGCAUGAGCAGGGAAUCCAGUUAAUGGUAAUCAUCAGCUUAAUGCUACAGCUCAUCCUGCUAUUCACUGGUAACCACCGGUGGCGCAGAAUCAGGUGGCGCAAAAUCAGUGGGUUCAUGAGGUUCAUAGUGUGGCUGGUUUACGUGGGGGCGGACGCUAUUGCCGUCUUCACCAUUGGCCUCUUCUCCCAAUACGAGGAAAAAUACAAACUGAGAAGCCACGACUCUUCUGCGCACGAUCGCAUGCUGCCUUUCCUCUGGGCACCCUUUCUCCUUCUUCAUCUGGGCGGCCAGGACACCAUCACUGCGUUUUCCAUUGAGGACAACAACCUAUGGCUGAGGCACUUGUUGAACCUCCUGAUCCAGGUCUCUCUGGCCAUGUAUGUCUUCUGGAAGUCGUUGGACAUACUCAACUCACACCUGCUAGCCGUUGCGGUGCCCAUAUUUGUUGCUGGAAUAAUCAAAUAUGGCGAGAGGACAUGGGCUCUACAGAGAGGGAGCCGAGAUAGCCUCGGAAGUCGCAAGGUGGAGGAAGAGGAAUCACAAGAUGAAAGUGUUGCUGGUGAUGUCGUGGCAGCUUAUGCUCUUAAAUCGGUACUUCAAGGCAGAGGGCUGCUUGCGGGACGGACAAUGUUCCAGCUGGGAGAUGGGGUCAAGGGGCAUCUGGUGGAUAAUUUUGCAGACAUGGGCCAAAGAGAAGGGAAGCUCAAGGUCGUAACGAUGGAGCUUCGUAUGAUUUAUGAUAUCCUGUACACAAAGGCUAUGGUGCUGCAAAGCUGGACGGGCCGGGUGCUCCGGUGCGGCGCCUUGAUCGCCAUGCUAGUCGCCUUUGUGCUCUUCUCGAUGAAUCAGGAACUACAAGGCCACAACAAAGCCAACGUUACCAUCACCUAUGCAUUGUUUGUCGGGAGUAUCUUCAUGGAAUUUUAUUCAGCCUCCAUGGUGAUAGUGUCGCCAUGGACAAGGGCAUGCUCGAAAGAGGGCAGCUUUCUCUGUUGGCUGGGCCGCGCUGCUUCCCGAAAAGGUUUGGCAUGUCCGUCCAUGGGGCAAUUUAACCUUACAGACUACUCCUUGUACGAGAAAUCUGUGCCAAGAUUUUCCAAGGUCAUCGCCGCAUUGGGUCUAGAGAAGCAAUGGAGAAACUUAUGGCACAUCAAGCACGUCGAAGACAAGGAGAUCAUGGAGUAUAUUGUGGGAUUUUUUGACGACACAGAUUCUGGGCAGAGAUACCAGCGCCUAGAGCUUGGCCGGAAAUUGAACUACUUGCUAAGUCUUCCCUUCGAGCAUGCCCUUUUUCGCCUGCAUAUAUUCACAGACAUGCACAUAAGCAGACACUUGCAGCUGGGAGGUGAUGCAAGUCAUUCGGCCCUGCUUGUGGCAGAGUGCAGAAAGAUAUCAGACUACCUCAUGUACCUUAUGGUGGUUCACCCUUCCAUGCUACCAGUCAGCACGGCUGCCCAAGACCUUGAACCCUGCUUCGCCGAAUGGAUCAGGCACAACCACAGUGACAACAUGACCAAGAGAGAGAUUCUGGAGGCAUAUGCAAAUCAAAGGCUCUACAAUGAGAGGUUCUCAUCAUGUCCCUUUGAAGAAUUUCCUUCCAUGCAUUCGUUGAGUGAGUUAAAGGAGGUAUUGGUGAGGGUGCUCAUAUACGCUGCUGGUAAGUGCCCCAUGGAACUACAUGCGCGCAAGCUCAGCGACGGAGUGGAGCCUCUCACCGUGGUUGCGUCAAUCAUGAUGCAUCACGGUCUAGGGGAUGUGGGAAGGGAGUUCAAGCUGUUGGCAUCUGAUGAUCCUCAUGUGCCCACACCAGGGUCGCUGGUGUCAGUGGAUCAGAGCAGCUGGAUCCGGCGGCCACAAGGGCCUCUCUACGCGUUUGAAUUCUACCAGCAUGCGUAUGAAUAUGAUCAUCAGACGUGGUCGCUUCUGCAGCCUUCGCAAGAAUACCCACGCUUAUUUGUUAGGGCUUGGGCACCGCGAGACAUGGUGUAUCAGUCAUGGAUGUCACGAUGGGAGGGAGGGCAAGCUGGGUGGUCAACAUCCGAGAGAGAACAAACUGAUUGGUCCUCAUCAGAUAUCCAGCAGCAUGUGGUCAACAUGAACGGACUCAACCUACCACUACCACUGCACACACAGCCUGGACAAUUUCCGUCGCUGCCGGUAACUAACUCCAUCAUAUAUAAUUCGUUUCUUGUUUUUCGUCAUGUCUCUUAUACACAUCUGGUGGAUACGUGCAGAAUGCCUCCCCUGAUACUGAUGUGGGAUCGGAGGUGUAUUGGUCGUCAUCGGAGACAUGGCAAGCUAAUCAGUCACCGGAGACGGAUAUGCACCGAAUUGAUAUACCAACUGACCCACAAAUCCAACAAAUUGCAUCGGGAACGGUAAAUGUUUCUAGCACUACUCCAGCAUGCAUAUAUAGUUGCUUCUUAGUUUUCCAUGUCUAAACCUGGAAAUGGUUUUGAAUUAUUUUUUUUUUUUUUGCGGGAUGAAAAUGGUUUUGAAUUAACCAGGUUAAAUGGUUUGGUCCUUGCUUUGGGUUUGCUUGGUUCGGUUUUUCAUGGGGAUAAACUUUUAACAGUUCGGUUUGGUUGGUUUAAGGAGGAAUGAGUUCGAUGUGGUUGGGUGUGGGCCUAUUUAGUUUGGUCCCUAACAGUUCCUAGCUAUGUCUGAUAACAGAUUUGUUAGAUCGGUUCCAUGCGUCCAGGCUCCGACGCAGGAGCACUGUUUCUCCAAGCGAGCGUACGUGCGCAGGAGUGCUGUUUGACAUGCUGCUUCCCAGCUAGCACAUGAUUAAGCCGGCGGGUUAUUAGGUGAUAUAUAUUUGUAUAGAUAUACAACACGCGUGGGUUAAAAAUCACAAGCUAAAACCACGGUUCGUUUACCAGUUUAGUUUGGUUUGGGUUCAGAUUUCUUGUGAUUUAGUUUAGGUUAGGUGUCAAUACACAUUUUUGUGGAUUGGUUUGGCUUGGUUUUCUUAAAUUUGUCACGUGGGUUUAGGUUGGGUAUGGUUAAGUUACCCGACCAUUGCCGGAUUUUCCCAUGUCUUACAGUGUACUAAUUACGGCACAAAUAUGGAUGGGUGUUCUACGUAAUAUUAACAUUUUGACCCAUGCAUGAACAGAAUACCUCACCUGAAACUGAUUUGGCAUUGGAGGUGUAUCUGUCAUCACCAGAGAUUGAGCAAAUUUAUUCGUCAUCAGAGAUCCACCAACUUGACGUACCGAUGCCCCCACAGUCCCAACAAUUUGCAAUACAACAGGUAACUACAUCUUUGCUAAGCUUGCAAGCUGUAAUGAAUCUAAGACCUUGUGCUUUUUUCGAGACUUUUAAUAAGAUGUCCAAAAAAAAAAGCUACAUCACCAUUGCUUGAGCAUACAUAUACAUAUACAUAUACAUAACUGACUGUUGCCUCUUAAUAUCUCCUCCUCCUCCUGCUCCUUCUCCUCUUUUUUUGGGUAUUAAUUGUUCCUCCGUCGUACUCCAUAUUUAUAGCUGACACCGUUCAAAAAAAUAUAUAUUUAUAGCUGACAUCGUUGUCCAUGGACAGAAUCUUGAAACUGUUGUGGCACCAGAAACAGAGCAAAAGCAAGUAGAUGGAGCACUGGAGAUUGAGCUUGCUGAUGUAGCGUCGGAGAUAGAGCAAGCUGGUGGGGUACUGGAGAUAGAGCAGAAGGACAAUGUGGGAAGUAGCACAAACUGAAGGUCGAUCUCGUGCCGUCUGUAGGAACAAAAUAUAUAUUUUGCAUUUCCACAAAAGAUAUCAGUAUUACUAUUACUUGGUUGUAAUGGUCCAAGAACUUGUGUAAGAUGUCGCUGUGUCAGCUCGAUCAGCUACCGUGGUUGUUCUUUUACUAGGACAUUUAUUUAUUUGUUCGCGUAUUUGCACUUUUUUUUCAUGCUUAGUCUGCCUGUACUCUAUGUAACCUAUAUAUACUUUUAUUCUAAAAAACCUAUAUGCUUCUAUAUGUUUCCUUUCAUACUCUGUAAGUGUUAAUGCUAGUUUUUAUGUAUUUAAUAGACUGUGCUAACUUUCUACUAAUCGGAAGAUAGUUACAGAUCCGAACACUUUUCUAGUUAAUUCAUUUAACUAAGUCUGCAUGCAUGCAUAGUACUCCGUCUGUUUUUUUUUAGUCUGACAUAUAAGAUUUGGUCAAAGUUAAACUUUGUAAAGUUUGACUAACUUUAUAGAAAAAACAUUAACCUCUGCAAUACUAAAGUUAUAUGUUAUGAAAAUUAAUUUAAUUAUGCAUCUAGUAAUAUUGAUUUCAUAGUGUGAAUGUUGAUAUCUUUUCCUACAAAACUAGUCAAACUUUACAAAGUUUGACUGUCAUCAAUCUUUUAUGCAAACCAAAAAGAAACAGAGGGAGUAUGUGUGCAUCUACAUGCAUGUCCAUACUCUUGAAAAUGUGCUAAUGACAUUUUUCUGUUAACUGUUCGGAAAAAUGCCAAAAUUGUUCGCAUACUAUGUUAAAAAUGUUUGUACCAUUCAAAUAUUUUUUUCCUGGCAUUUAAAAGAUGUUAACACGUUUAGAAAUGGUACAAACAUUCUACCCUUAACGGGAUGAUAUUUAAGGAUGAGCCCUGGACUGGGCCAUGUGUGCGCGCUUUGACGUGUUACUUUACACACGGUCUAUUGCAAGCUCUUAACGGGUAUUUUGUGUUGCUUUGGGCCUAAGCACUGGGCUAAAAGCCCAUUCUACCCUUGGUGGCCAAUGUGUCAGCGAAGGUUAGAAGUUUUAUUUGGAAGGUCAAUCCUUAUCUCCACAAGGUGAGAAUGGUUACAAACUACAUCUCUCUAGUUUAUCAUCUGAAAGAAGCUUAUCCGGGGCCAUCUGCCAUGAUUAUCCAUGAAGUUUAGUCAAGGAAGCGACACUUCGUAGGUUCUAGAAAUAAUGCAUGAAGGAAAGAGAGACGAACUUCGAAGCUCAUGAACAGGCAAAAACCGCUACCACUCUUGCUAGCGGACGCCAUGUCCGGUUAUCCGUGACACCUGGCAUUAUGCAUGUAAACCACAUUAUUGAGCAUUAAUAUGGUGGUGAGUUUAAAAAAAUGGAUACAUUGGUGCAUAUCCAUCACACCUUGCCCUCGCGAAUUCAGCAGAAUAUGUUCUUGAGGUUUGAUUAAUACUCAUAUUUGAGGUGAAUAUGGCACUUGGGCUUUUAUUUUAUUUUUUGUUCCGCAUAGUGCAUCCACAAUAUGUUUUUGGUGUGGUGGCAUGGCCCUUCCUCCCAUGGUGGCUUUGUUUCUCUCUCUUCAUCGGCGAUGGUGUUUGCGGUUUGGUGCGCGGUUCCUUCGGUUUGUUGGUAUGUUCGUGUGAGUGAUGGGGUGUCUGUUUUGGAUUCUUUCGCUUCAUAAUCGGUGAAGAGCCUUGUCCUCUUUGUAUCUGGUUUUCACCCGCUUUUCCCUAAUUAACCGGGCAACUCUCUUCUUCUAUAUAAAAUGUAGGAACCCCUACCCCUCUUUUCAGGUGUUACUCGAAGGAAAAAAAAAUGUGCAUCCACACCCCCAUCCAGAAGCUCUAGAUUUGUCUUGUGACCAGCGAGGCUUCUCAACAUCUGCAAAAAUAAAACUAAAAAUAACCCGCAAAACAAAAGGCUUCGCAACAUCCGUGUUUUUUUAUUCUUAACGCAAAUGUGCACGUUUUUUGUGUGUGUAUUACUACUUUGAUCUUCUCUAGUUCCUCCCGACGAUUAUUGUUAUUUUUUGGGAAGGCCAUUAUGGUUAGUUUUAUUGGAACUCAAAAUAGGUUUACAUCGUCUACGAGCUUGCUGACAACAAUGUCAGGAGGCUCGUUCCCGACGAUUAUUGUUAUCUUCUCGUUGCCAUGCAUAUACCUCGGUCUCUUUCAUCCCUUGAUGGGCAAACCAACCACGUACGAGCAUAGCAGGGAGGCCGUAGCGAUCGAGCGCAGAAGAUGCAUGCAUGGGCUAGGAAGAUAUUGAUUCAACGUUGCCGAACCUACCAAUACCAUCACCAGCUUAGCUAAGCUAGCCUUGAAUGCAGCUCUGACAACCGGCGUCCAAUGCAGCAGCCUACAAAUAGAGGCCACCGUCUCACAUCCACGGCAUCCAUUCCACUUGCACCCACAGAUCGACCCCCAUGGCAACCGGCUGUCGCUCCACCUCCGCCACCCGGGCCAUCGUCCUCGCGCUGCUGCUCCUCUGCUUCGCCGCCACUACGGUGCAGUCGAGGAAGCCUUCGGCCAGGUACAUCUCGUACGCGGCCCUCCCAAGACCCGACUGCCUGCGAGCCGGCCGUCCCGUUUUCUGCCGCGGGGUCUCGGCCAUCUCCGGCAAGCCUUCACCCGGGUGGGCCUUUAUAUCUUACAGUGCUCGUUGAUGCUGUCGUUUACAAAUUGAUUCUCUGGACUAUAUAGUACGUAUAUGAAUCCAAGCUUAAUUUGUUAGGUUUUGUUUGUUGCAGAUGUGCAUGUCACGACUCGACGCGGAGAUGGCGGCGGAUCUUCACAGAGAUCCCUGAGCCCCUAGCAGCAUCGAUCGUCCGUGCUUUGUAGAACUGCAAGACAAGAGGAAUAUAUAUGUUGGAAUUUAUGUUUACCUUUAACUUGUAAUCUCAACAGCAUAUCUCCUCCCCCUCUCUCUCGUAGCUAUCUCAAUCUUUGUAACGACCGUAUCGUUGGCGAUCGGUUCAACUUGUAAGCCACGGCAGGGCUUCUGCCUCAUAUCAAUAUAAAUCAUCGCGGCUCCCUUACGAGGGAGUAGGAACGCUUCCCAAUCUAACAUGGUCAUCAGAGCCACCUCUUCCUAAUACAUCUAGCUACAACAAAACCACAACCACAACCACCGCCGCCACCGCCGCCAUGUCUUCCUCGUCGUCCGCCUCCCUCAACCUUGGGGCACCGCCGACGGAGAAGCUCGCGAGAGGAAACUUCAUCCUCUGGAAGGCACAAGUCCUACCAGCACUGCGAGGCGCGCAGGUGACUGGUUUACUGGACAACAGCGAUGCAGCUCCGCCCAAAACGGCGGAGAUCACGCAGGCGGACAAAACCACGGCCAUGGCGCCGAACCCGCUGUAUGCGGCAUGGAUCGCCAAAGAUCAACAGGUGCUCUCAUAUCUGCUAAAUUCCAUGACCCUAGAAAUACUUGCGCAGGUCAUCGGAAAGGAGUCCACCUUCGAGGUGUGGACAGCGGUGACAACCAUCUUCGCCUCCCAAUCGCAAUCUCGGAUCACAAAUCUGAGAAUUGCGAUCACCAACACCAAGAAGGGCACCAUGUCUAGCUCCGCCUUCAGGCCAAGAUGAAGAGUCUUGGCGACGAGCUAGCAGCCGCCGGUCGUCCCGUCUCUGACCCGGAGAUGGUGGACUACAUCCUGGCUGGGCUGGACCGCGACUACGACCCUGUGGUUGCGGCGAUCGGCGCCAUCAAGAACACGAUCACUGCCGAAGAUCUGUUUGCCCAAAUCUCCGCCUUUGACCAGAGAAUGGAGAUGUUGGGCGAUGCUCUCCUGGUGGUUUCCACACCUCUGCAAACGCCGCCUACAGAGGCCGCGGCCAAGCCCGUGGGAGACCCUACCGUGGGCGAGGCACAAGGGGGCGCGGCCGUGGAGAUCGGCAGCCCUCUCCUGCUCGCGGCGGGAACAGCUACAGAGGACGCCAGCGCCAGAAUCAACCACAACAGUCGCGCGAUCAACAGCAGCGCGACAACCCCGAGUGCCAGAUAUGCCUCAAGUAUCAUCCGGGGGGCGCGGCUCUGCUGGUGGCGCUAUGAAGAUGGAGAACCAGAGGAGAAGGCGGCGCAUGCAGCCACCUACGGCGUAGAUACCAACUGGUACGCCGACACGGGAGCCACAAAUCAUAUCACAGGAGAACUUGAUCAGCUGACAAUGCGGGAGAAGUACAACGAAGGCGAUCAAAUCCACACAGCAAGCGGUUCUGGUAUGGCAAUAACACAUAUUGGUAGUUCAAUUGUUAAAAACCCCAUCAAAAACUUGCAUCUGAAAAAUAUUCUCCAUGUUCCUGAAGCAGCAAAAAGCCUUCUUUCUGUUCAUCGAUUCACUCGUGAUAAUCAUGUUCUCAUAGAGUUUCAUCCCUAUUUUUUCUUGGUUAAGGAUCUGGCCACACGGAGAAUCAUUCUUAGAGGACGGUGUGUGGGAGGCCUCUACCCACUCAUAUCAUCAUCAUCAUGAGCAUCAAAUAAACAAGCGUACCUUGUCGUCAAGCCAUCUUCAGCAAAGUGGCACAGUCGCUUGGGUCAUCCGUCCUCAGUAAUAGUUAAACAUGUCCUUAGCAAGAAUAAGCUCCUCUAUGAGCCUAGUGUUGAGUCAGUUUGCGAUCCGUGUCAACAAGCAAAAAGUCGUCAAUUACCUUACCCUAUCUCUACCAGUGUGUCCACUGCACCUUUGCAACUCAUAUUUUCAGAUGUCUGGGGGCCAGCCCCCACUUCCGUUGGUAAAUUUUCCUACUAUGUAAGUUUUAUUGAUGACUAUAGUAAAUUUACUUGGAUUUACUUAUUAAAGAAGAGAUCCGAUGUAUUCCAAGUUUUCAUCAAUUUCUAAAACCUUGUUGAACGCAAACUGAGCUCUAAAAUUAUUGCUAUGCAAACAGACUGGGGAGGUGAGUAUGAGAAACUCAACUCAUUCUUCCAAAAACUUGGCAUUUCCCAUCAUGUUUCUUGCCCUCAUGCUCACCAGCAAAAUGGGUCUGCUGAAAGAAAGCAUCGUCACAUUGUUGAUGUAGGGCUUGCAUUGCUAGCAAAUGCAUCCAUGCCACUUAAGUUUUGGGAUGAAGCCUUCUUAACUGCUACAUACCUUAUCAACUUGCUCCCUAGUAAGGUCAUCAAGCUUGAAACACCCAUCACACGGCUCCUUGGUAUAACGCCAAAUUACACAUCUCUUCGUAUCUUUGGUUGUGCAUGUUGGCCGAAUCUUCGGCCCUACAACACACGUAAACUUGCUUUUCGUUCAAAGAGGUGUGUGUUCUUAGGGUAUAGUCCCAUGCACAAAGGAGUCAAGUGCUUGGAUGUUCCUACAGGAAGAAUCUACAUAUCUAGAGAUGUUGUAUUCGAUGAGUCCAUCUUUCCAUUUGCAUCUCUACAUCCUAACGCUGGUGCACUCCUUCGAAAAGAGAUUCUUCUCCUUCUUGAACAUCUUCGGAGUUUUGAUCAAGGGGGAGACAAUUGCACUAACCAAAAUGAUGAUAUUGCUAGCACCAGUUCUGCUCUUGUUCCUGUGCAGGUCGGCAAUGGAAACGGCGCUCAAAACGGUGCUCAGAAUGAUCAAAACGGAGGGUUAUUUCAUGUGCUGCAAGAAGACGAAAACGGCGCUGAAAACGGAGUUGAUCCGGCUGCGCCAGCAACUCCUGUGCGGCAGUUGGCAUCGGAUCGCGGGACAGAAUCGUCCUCGGAUCACGGGCGCGACAGGCGCGGACGCGCUCCCUCGAUCAGCUAGCCCGGAGUCGCCACGUCGCCAGCCAGCGGGACCGCCAGCGGGGCCGUAUCCUCCUCGUGCUCCACACCACGGUCCCGCGCUCCAGGCAGCCAACCCUGAGCCGCCACAUCAUCUACAUGCGGGGCCGCAUCCCCUUCGGGCUCCGCGUCGCUGUCUCCCUGCAUGCAUGCGCCGGGCGAGGCGGGAUCUUCUGCAUCCGACGCCCCUGUGGACACCAGGAUGACUGGUGGAGACGGGGCCACACCUGGCUCAUAUGGAUCUCCUGUGGCAACGCCAGCGGGGUCGCCUGGAUCUUCUGUGGCAGAUCCUCCUAUGCAGCGUGUACAGCCAGCAACCUCUACACGAGUCAUGACACGUCUACAGAAAGGUAUAAAGAAUCCAAAAAUACGUACUGAUGGUACUAUACGAUAUGGUAUGUUGUGUAUCUCAGUUGAACCAACAACGUUGAAUGAGGCACUUGAUGAUCCAAGAUGGAAGAAAGCCAUGGAUGAAGAAUACUCUGCACUCAUGAAAAAUAAAACCUGGCAUCUUGUGCCAGAUCAGAGAGGUAAAAAUAUUAUUGACUGCAAAUGGGUGUACAGAGUUAAAAAAAGGGCAGAUGGAACUGUUGACAGGUAUAAGGCAUGGUUGGUUGCAAAGGGUUUUAAACAACGCUAUGGUAUUGACUAUGAAGAUGCCUUUAGUCCUGUUGUAAAAGCUGCUACAAUAAGACUUGUUCUAGCUAUUGCUGUGUCCAGGGGAUGGAGUCUGCGUCAGCUGGAUGUACAGAACGCGUUCUUGCACGGUGUUCUGGAAGAGGAAGUCUACAUGAGACAGCCACCUGGGUAUGUGAGUAAGAAAACACCACAUUAUGUAUGCAGACUUGACAAGUCACUUUAUGGGUUAAAACAGGCACCUAGAGCAUGGUAUUCUAGGUUGAGCACUCAAUUGAGAUGUCUUGAUUUCUUUGCAUCAAGAGCUGAUACAUCUCUGUUUAUUUACAACAAGGCAAAAGUGAUUAUUUUUGUGCUUAUCUAUGUUGAUGACAUUAUUGUGGCAAGUUCAUCACAAGAUGCUACUAAUGCUCUUCUACAUGACUUGAGCUCAGAGUUUGCCUUGAAGGAUCUGGGAGAUCUACACUUCUUUCUAGGUAUUGAGGUUAAGAAGACUCAGGAUGGCAUAGUUUUGAAUCAAGAAAAGUAUGCCAAUGAGCUUCUGGUGCGCAUGGGCAUGAAGAGCUGUAAACCUGCACUUACUCCAUUGUCCUCUUCAGAAAGACUCUCAGCUUAUGAAGGUGAGCCUCUUCAAGAGACAGAAAGUACAAGGUACAGAAGCACUGUUGGAGCAUUACAAUACUUGACACUUACACGUCCAGAUAUCUCAUUUGCUGUUAACAAAGUCUGUCAGUAUCUGCAUGCUCCUACCACUGCACACUGGACAGACGUCAAGAGAAUUGUGAGAUAUGUAAAGCACACUGUGAGCUUGGGUCUCAAUUUCAGACGUUCUAAUUCUACACUUGUGAGUGCAUUUUCUGAUGCUGAUUGGGCAGGUUGUAGUGAUGAUAGAAAAUCAACUGGAGGCUUUGCAGUCUUCUUUGGAUCCAAUCUCAUCUCUUGGUGUGCAAGAAAACAGGCAACAGUAUCAAGGUGAAGUACAGAGGCUGAGUAUAAAUCUUUGGCCAAUGCCACUUCAGAAAUUAUUUGGUUGGAGUCACUACUUGAGGAACUGGGAGUUAAGUUAAAUCGUAUCUCGUGUCUGUGGUGUGACAACUUGGGUGCAACAUAUUUAUCUGCAAAUCCUGUCUUCCAUGCCAGAACAAAACAUAUUGAAAUUGACUUUCACUUUGUACGUGAAAGAGUUGCAGACAAGAAACUUGAGAUACGGUUCAUCCCUUCCAAAGAUCAAGUAGCUGAUGGGUUUACCAAAGCACUGCCUACAAAACCAUUUGAAGAAUUCAAGAGGAAUUUGAAUCUAGGAUAGUUGAGAUUAAGGAAGGGUGUUGGAAUUUAUGUUUAUCUUUAACUUGUAAUCUCAACAGCAUAUCUCCUCCCCCUCUCUCUCGUAGCUAUCUCAAUCUCUGUAAUGACCGUAUCGUUGGCGAUCGGUUCAACUUGUAAGCCACGGCAGGGCUUCUGCCUCAUAUCAAUAUAAACCAUCGCGGCUCCCUUACGAGGGAGUAGGAACGCUUUCCAAUCUAACACCGAUUCCGUGAUCUGUAGUAGCCAGUUUGAUUUGUGUAGUACGUGCUGAACGUAAACGUGUGCUCCUCGAACUCUUCUUCUGGAUGAUAAUUAAAGGAACUGAACCGUUUUGUGGGUGCAUGCAUGGCAUGGCAACUUAAUUUUGGGUGCCAUGCAUGCAUACGCCACGAAAGUAUCACUUGAUGGAAAUGGGUCUUCGACAAAAUGAUCUUCUUCAUAUCAUAUAUAGAUAUAUCAGUAAUAAAUCACAUGUGGUUUCAUCGGCGCACAUGCACAACACAAUUUUCUUUAAUAGUACUACAUAUAUAGUGUAUAGAUUGAGAUAGACGCUCAAAAGCACAUAUGCACAAACUUUGUAAAAGUUGUGAGGAAAUAACACAUAACAGAAACAUCAGAAGAAAAGGACUUGUUAUUAGGCGGCCAAUGCUCCGCUCAAAGGCUUACUCGUACACAACGCCCAUGUACGUAUCCUAUAGGAUGAGCCAUUUCAGGGGAUUCAAGCAGACGUCGUUCCCGAUUUUUGAAGUUCCAAGCCGAUUUUAUAAGCUUCUGUACCUUUUUUUUUUUUAAUUUCUGCUCCUUUUCUACUUGGUUUUUGUUUCAUUGUCUCCUUUUUUAUUUUUUUUCCAAUCAGUUUUUUGUUCUUUCCUUUGUUUUUGUUUCUUUAUUUCCUUUUUAAUUCUUCAACUUUUUUUUCAAAUUCACAAACCCUUUUCAUACCCAAAAAAUUUAUCCAAAUCUCAAAUAUUUUAAAACUUGUGAAAAUUUUCAAAUUCUUGAAAUGUUCCAAAUGCUUAAAAACCAAAUUCGUGGACUUUUAAAAAAUAUUCGUUCUGAAUUCACAAACUUUGUGAAAAUAAAAAAAAUUACAAGAAAAAGUCAAAUUGAUUUUUAUAAAAUUGUACGAUUUUUCUCUCAGAUUUAUGUUUUCCCCAAGAGUCAACGGCCAACCGGUCACUUGCGAAUAGAGCGAAACAGGGAACCAGCGACUUCCUCGCCCCAUUUUAUUAGGCCAGCCACGAGCAGGUGGCAUGUAAGGACUCAUUCUCCAGCUAGCGCACAAGGCGCUAAUUACGAGCUUUCCAGAAGAAAAAAAAGAAACAGGUCGGUCGGUCAAGCACCUAAACAGCCCUUUUAAAUACAGCAGGCCAAAUGUUUGAUUUUUACUUUUUUGGUAUAUGAACGUUUUUGUAAAACUGUGAACGUUUAAAAAUUUGCUAAUUGUGAACGUUUAUGAGCGGGUUUAAAAAAUUGUGAACGUUUUUUUAAAAAAUAAUUAUGAAUUUUCUUUCAGAUUUAUGUUUUCAUUGAAAGUCAACCGGCCAAUUGUGAAUCGAGAGAACAAGGAAUGAACGAGUUGCUUCCCCCGUUUGUUGGGCCGGCCGAUGAGUGAGCGGUGCGUGAGCACUCGUUCUCCAGCUGGCGCAUAAGUUGCUAAUUAGGAGCUCUCCAGAUGAGAAAGAAACAAGUUUCUUUUUUAGUUGCUAAUUAGGAGCUCUCCUGAAGAAAUAGAAACAAGUCAGCCGGUCACACACCUAAAUAGGCCCAUUUCAUACAGAUAGGCAGAACUUCAUAGAUUUUGAAGCAACAAGAAACCCCAAACGACCUUGACAUGGGAGUCGACCGCACACCUCGCCUGUAGCAGUAUUUGCGCUUUUGUAAAACUGUGAGAGAAGAAGCAUACACUACACUACUAGUUACUCCCUCCGUUCCUAAAUAUAUGACGUUUUGGGCGUAUUUUAUUUUGCGUGUUGAACGUAAACGUAUGGCACAUACCUCACACUCUUCCGGAUGGUAUCCCCAUGCAUACACGAGGAAAGUAUCCACUUGAUGGAAAUGGGUCUUCUUCGGCAAAAAAUACUACAUGAUCUUCAAUGACACCAAGUUUUCUUCUGACUUCGUUUUUUUUUGUCGGGUUAUAUAUAGACUUAAUUAGACGCUCACAGAACACAUGCACACACUUUAUAAUGUUGUGAGGCAAUGUUAUAAUGGACGGUUUACCGUGCGACAACCUUGGCAGUGUUUGAUUGUAGAAACCCAUUGGACGAUUGGUAAAAUUUGAAACCUAUCAAAAAAACGUGAAAUUAUCAUCAUCAUCAUCAUCAUCAUCAUUAUUAUUAUUAUUAUUAUUAUUAUUAUUAUUAUUAUUAUUUGUAGUCAUAGCCAAGAAAAUCAUCUUUGAAAAUCUUAGUGUUCAAUAUUUUGGUUGUUUUUUAUUUUAUUUUUCAGGAUUCUGUGCGCAAAAUUUAUUUUGAGUUUUGUUGAAUGUUAUUGUUGGCAUUUGCCGUUCUGCUAAAACGGAACCACAAGACGCACAAAUUCAAGGAACGAUGAGAAGACAUGAGAAAUACUGUGUUGGGUGGGAAUUUCAAUUUGUUAUUAGGUUUUGUACUAGUGGCCGAAUUGGGGAUGGCGUUUGAAUUGGGUGCUAUGGUUUGAACUGGGACUAGGGUUUGACUACUGUAAUUAAUUUGUAUUUCAGAUGUAGGUUGAAAGAUGAGAAGUGGGGCAUUUACACUGUACUACAUUCAGUUUGAAGGUAAGAAGAUUAUAUCAAUACUGUACUACUAAGAUGUGCGGCAAGGAUAUUAGAUAUUUCACUCUCAGCGGUUGAUUUGUCGAGUAGCCUCCGCCACCUACUCCCUCCGUUCCGAUUUACUCGUCGUGGUUUUAGUUCAAACCACGACGAGUAAAUCGGAACGGAGGGAGUAGUGCUUAGUACUAGCAUGGCAGGAUAUCAUACGCAGACGCUCGUGGAUUUGUCGCGUCGUCCGGUUCUUUUCAGAAGGGGAAAAGGUUGUAGCCGGCGGACCGGCCGAAGCUUCGGCCGGUCACGCGCGGGUCGUCCGAUUUAUUAGCGAUCGAAGCGCCUGUUUAGCCACGUCUUCCACACAGGGGUCAAACGCGUGGAUGUUGGGGCCCACGAACCGCCCGCAACCUGCAGGCCUUCUUUUCCUUAUCCCUUCGUCGCUCAUCCCCUUCCAUAUCCAGCCGCAUCUCCCUCUCCGUCCACCCACAGCCUGGGGCGCACUCGCCGCCAUGGCCGCCGGCAACUCGAUACUCUUCGUUUUGAAUCGUGCGCAGAUCACCUGCACUGGAUGCAUCCCUCUCCAUGGCCGCCCACAGCCAGGCGCUUGCUCGUCGCCUUGUCCGCCGGCAACUGGACGCGCCCCCUCUCCAUGACAACCGCAGCCAGAACUUCUCUAGUCGCCAUGACCAACCAGCAAUCAGCCGCGGCGGCGACGAGUUUGUGCUGGAGUCGGGGGUUUGCUGGAACCAGGUUUUUUUUGCUGGAUCCACCCAUUUUUUUUUUGCUACAACCCCUUUCUUUUUUGCUACCAUCCCCAUUCGAUUUGAUGAACUCUUUUCGUUUUUGCUGGAACCGGUGUCCUGAUUUGCUGGAACCAGUUGGUGGACGUGCUGCAAGGUUGACACCUCGCCGGAGGAAGCUGCAUCCAGCGGCGAGGAGGGAUGCAUCCAACGUCAUUCAAACACAGGGAGUUGCAACCAUGUACGCCGGAGCUACAACCGGUGACUGGGGGAGUUGCAAGAGGGAGCGACCGUUUUUGCUGAUGCGUCUUUAUUUGGUGAACCAUUUUUUUGUUUUUGCUGGAACCGAUGUAUUUCUUUGCUGGAAUAGAUAUAAUUUUUUGCUUCAUCAGCUGCAGAGCUCUCAAAUGUUUCAUGUGGUUUUUGCUGGGACCUAAGUUUGGUUUGCUUCAACCGACCACCGGAGUUUCUGUAGGUACGAUGCAUGUCAAUGCAGGCCAGCGAGACGGUGACGCCUGCGCCAAGGACAGAGGGGGGUGGCGCACCAGAUGCUGCAACCGCGAGGGGUGAGGGAGCGGCGAGCUCGCCGGGUGCGCACGCACAACGGCGGGAGGGGGAAGAUUGGUUGCGGGGUUGGGGGCAUUUUUUCUGGAAACUUUGACCGAAGGAAGCAAAACGAGUGGGGGGUUGAGUUGCCAGAUCGGAGGUUCCAGCUGGCUGCAUCGGGCGGCUGGCGUUCGACCGGCCCAACAGUUGGGCCGGUGCGCCGGCGCCAGCGUUUUGAUUUUCGGCCGAAAAAACUAAAUUUCGGCCGAAUUUCGGCCAUCUCGCCUGGGCCCGGUAUAUGGGCCUUUCGUCCGAAUUAUUUGGCCCAGUUUGAAUUUAUUUGCCCGGCCCAGCUUCUAGGGCCUUCAUGUUACGCUUCUGCUCAUAUAAAAGCACGAACGCAAAUGUCCCAACCCUAGAAUCGCUGUUUUUCCUCUCGCUCCUCCUGUGGGCGGCGCCGCCGCUGCGCACAUAACACAUCCUCGCCAGCGUAGCUUCUCCGGCGUCCGGCCAACGCGCUCACUAGCCUCCCGCCUUCCUCCACAUCUCCUCGCCUCCACCCCAUCCAGUUCGUGCCAUUCGCUGCUCCAAGACAAGGGCAUGGCGCUCGGCGGCUGCGGCAACGAAGCUGAUGGUGCACGAGCCAACCAUGAAGGCAGUAGCACGGGGCAGCGACAGCAGCAUGGAGGGCGUCCUCUUGUUUGGGAAGGUACAAGCUUUCUUGAUGCGUAUACAUCUCAAUCAAGUACGUAGAUGCAGUUUCAGUUUCAGUACGUAGAUGCAGUUUCAGUACUUGUGCUUCUUUAGAUGAAUGAGAGGCUGCAAUAUCAUACAGGGGUAAGAAAAACUCAGUCUUGAUGAUUUGAACAGAGUAGUGGCAUCAUUAAUCUGAAAUACACAUGCAUCUUGUAGUCACCAAGGAUUCUGACAAUGUUUUGACUUGGUAUAUAAUCUGAAACGUACAUGCAUUUGGUAGUCAGAAAGGUUGCCCACGAUCUGGUAAUAGAAAAGUGGUUACAACCAGUGGCUUGUGCACAAAAUUAAAGCUUUUAUUAUCACAUCCAACCACUGGCUUGUAUAUUUGCAGAAGCAUCCCAUGUUUGAAUCGAUCAUUUAUUUAGAUCUACAACGCGUCCAAUAUAAACUUCAGUUGUGUUUGUGUAUUUAACUAAGUAGUUGUUGACCACUGAUUAAUUUCAAUGUCCAGCGGUACUAGAGCAUCAGCUUGUAUAUAAAUUAUUUAUUCCUUAGUAUCUAAACUAGAUAAUCUGUCUGUACUGUUUUUGUUCCUCAUUCAUAUCAGGACACCCUAGUAAGAAAGGUUUGCUUUCUUAGCUGUCUACUCUUUAUAACUAACCGUCGUUCUUUUGUCAUGUGAUUUUCAGGUAAUGGAACUGCAAAUAGGAGUGGCAGCGGCGACCAGGAUGCAAAUGGAAGUGGUUCUAUUGUUUUUCAGCUGCUGUCCUUGACCCAUAUACACAUUACAAGCUGAACCUUUGCAACCACACAAAUUAUGCCACUUCACUAACAGAUGCGAUAGUGAAGAUAUUAGACGCAGUGAGUGCUCUUUCAGCCAUUGAUGAAGUGAGCAAGUUCAGGGAGUGCCAAGGGAGGUUUGGGACCAGAUUGGCAGAAGAAGCUGCGGCGAGAAUGGGGCCAAGUAAGUUAUGGUGUUUUAGUUUUAGAAUUUCCAUUUCCUUUUGGUUUGCAUUCCUGAAAAUUUCAUUGGUGUUAUCUUGCAGCCCAAUGGUGGUUUCAGUUUGGAGGGGAUGUUCCUGCAUUGCAGAAAUGUGCAAUGAGAAUUUGCUCACAAUGUGUCUCCUCUAGUGGGUGUGAGAGAAAUUGGAGCGCUUUUGCUUUGGUGCACACAAAGCAAAGAAGUCGUCUUCUAUAUGACAAGGUCCACAAGCUAGUUUCUGUACGCUACAACUUAAAGGUAUAAACCAUCACUUUUACUUUCUACUUUGUGUUGUCCUUGCAUGUCAUAUAAUUUACUUGUUUACUAUUCAAACCUUGAAGAUACGUGCUGAAGAAGAUCAAGAGAAAGAGAGAGAUAUAGAUAAAGAAAUUGAUCCAAGUGCAUUGCUAAUGGAUACCACAAUGUUUGAUGAAACAAACCCAAUAAUGGAGUGGCUGAAUGAGGAUGUAGAGGAUCCGAUUGUGGAUGGAGCUGAUGCAGCUAGUGCUGUUUUUGAGCAAAUAAGGCGCCUCAACUCAAGCAGGAAGGCGUCUUAUGUUGGUUCAAAGGGUAAUAACAAGAAAAGAAAGAGGAAUGAUGAUGAUGAGAAUGAGUUUCUUGAAACUGAGAGUGAGGAUGAUGAAGAAGAGAAUGAAUAUGUUGAUAAUGACAUCGAGGAUGAUGAUGGGGUGAGUGAGGAUGAUGAGGAUGGUGAACAAGAUCAGCUAGAGACACAAAUGCAACUUGAAGAAGAGACACAAGUACAAGUUCAAAAGGAGGCACCAACAAGCACUGGCCAUUUGGAGACUAGAUCUGGACGACUUAUUAGGAAGAAGACCAAGAACGUCAACAGCCUCUACUCGUAAAUUUGGUAAGUCUCUUCUUUUUGGUGUUUCUGAUUCAGGUUUGUUACUUAGAAAAAUCUAGCUUGAUGUAUAUGUUCAAAGCGGCUGAUCUUUAAAUAGCUUGAUGUAUAUUGCUUUCUUUAAGUAGGUUGAUCUUUAAUUGUUCUCGUGCUCUAAUGUUUAUGCUCACUGUGUAUGAUUAGUACUGCUGUUCUAAUUGCUCACCUAGUAGUGUUGCUGUAAUUGAUACUUAUCUUCUUGUAUUGUUGCUAUAAUUGCUACUUAUCACAUACCAGUGAUGUUCUAGUUGCUACCAAUCACUUAGUAGUGUUGUUCUAAUUGCUACUUAACACAGUAUUUUAGUUGCUACUUGGAACUGCUAGUUACUUAGAUGUAUGCACUCUGUAUCAUGACCCUUCCUCUGUUUUCUCCAAACCAGAAAUGGCAGGUGAGCAAAGGAUAUCAAGAAGCUUUUGGAUGUUGGGAAGCUUGGAGCUGAUGCUUCAAAUAAGCUGAUGGUUGUCUUUUGGAGAUGUUUCUAUGUUUAAUGCUUUAAAGUCUUUUGGCUGUACUGGACUAUUUAAACUUUGAACUAUGCUGUGAUGGUUGAACUGAUGCUGGACGGUUAAGGGUUUAUGUUAGAGGCAACUUUAUAACUAAUGUGUGCCUGUUAUGUUGGACUGUUAAGGGUUAUGUUGGAGGCAAUUUUAUAACUAAUGUGUGUCUGCUAUGUUGGAUUGUUAACUGUUAUGUUGGAGGCAACAUUAUAGCUAACGUGUGCCUGUUAUGUUGGGCAGAUUCAAUUUUCUUAAUCCCUAGAGCUUAUGUGCUAAAGUUUAUAAGAUCUCUCCUGAUGGUUGUUGUGCUGAUAUGUUUUGCUCUAUUUUAUUUAAAGUUUUGUUCAAAUUUCGGCCGAAUUUCGGCCAAAUUUCGGUUAAAUUUUGGCCAAAUUUUCAAAUUUUGAUUUUGCAAUUUCGUCCGAGAUUUUGCCGAAUUUUUUGAAAUUCCCGAAAUUCGGCCAUUUCGGCCAAGGACGAAAAAAAACACAAACCGAAAAUCAUUUCGCAGGCCGGCGCAGAUCAUCGCCCUUUCAGAAGGUAUCCAAAGACGAUGGUGUCGACAUCCAUGCUCCUACUCUACUAGUGUUGUUAUACUCCUACUAGGUAAAAGUCAUGUCGAUGGGGCACGCAAACAAGACAAUUGAUGCACGCAUGCUCACGCGCCACCAUCGAUACAGACAAGACAUGCACACCUUGCAUGACACCGAUCGAUCACUCACCCAUCACCAGCCUUACUCCUAUACAUACAUACGCGUGUCAGCACACCGACUGUGAGAGCUGGCUAGCUGCCUUCAUCGAGCGGCAAUGGCCUCCGACCGCCUCAGCGCGCUCCGGGCCUUCGACGACACCAAGGCCGGCGUCAAGGGCCUCGUCGACGCCGGCGCCACCGCCAUCCCGGCCAUCUUCCACCACCCACCCGACGCCUUCGCCCCGUCCACUCUCGCCACCGACGUCGCCGUCCCGGUCGUCGACCUCUCCUGCCAGCGCUCGGACGUGGUCGGCGCGGUGAGGGCCGCGGCGGAGACGGUGGGCUUCUUCCUGCUGACGAACCACGGCGUGCCGGAGGCGGCCAUGUUGGGGAUGCUGGCGGCGGUGCGGCGCUUCAACGAGGAGCCGGCGGAGGCCAAGGCGCCGUACUACACGCGGGAGGCGGCGAGGCGCGUGCGCUACAGCUGCAACGCGGACCUGUUCCAGACGCUGGUGGGCAAGUGGCGCGACACCGUGUACAUGGACGACGCGGACCGGCCGGCGGCGGGCGAGGAGACGGAGGAGGAGCUCCUCCUCCCGCCGGCGCUGAGGGGCGUCGCGCCGGAGUACACGGGGCAGAUGCGGCGGCUGGGGCGCGGCCUCUUCGAGCUGCUGUCGGAGGCCCUGGGGCUGCCUCGCCGUGCCUACCUGGAGGAGGAGGCCGGCUGCAUGGCGGCGCUGAGCGUGGCGGGCCACUACUACCCGGCGUGCCCGGAGCCGCACCUCACGAUGGGCACCGUCCCGCACUCGGACCCCAGCUUCCUCACCGUGCUGCUCCAGGACGGCGUGGGCGGCCUCCAGGUGCUCGUGGACGACCCCCUCGAGGACGGCGGCGGCGAGCGUUCGGCGUGGGUGGACGUGCCGGCGACGGGGGAGGCGUCGCUGGUGGUGAACGUGGGCGACUUCCUGCAGCUGGUGUCCAACGACAGGUUCAAGAGCCCGGUGCACCGCGUGGUGUCCAGGAGCGUGGGGCCGCGGGUGUCGGUGGCGUGCUUCUUCAGGGCGGACGGCGCGACGGUGUGCGCCCCGGUGGUCGUCGACGGGAGCGGCCCGCCGCGGUACAAGAGCGUCAAGGCGGAGGAGAUGCUCUGCGUGUCCAACACACAGACCCGGCUCAACAACUUGAGGCUCUAGCUAGCUAGCUAGCAUCCGUCCGUUCAAAAGAAAUAACUAGCAAUAAACUUCCUAUUGAGGCAAAACCGAAUAUAUUUACAGUUUAGGUGUGAUUCAUCGGAUCUCAGAUCAUUGUAUAUAUAUGCGAGUACCUACCUACUCCCUCCGUCCGAAAAACCUUGUCCAAAGCUAUUCCUCAAAGGCCACCACUAGGCGCCGGUGCGCCGGCCGAAUACUUUCGGCCGGUCGGCCCCCAGCCGCCCGAUACAUACAUCCACAACCGCUCGAUUGGAUCCCGCAACAUUUUUUUCCUUCGCCGUACGAAAAAAAAAGACGUCCACUCGCAAGGCCGUGCCCUGCGCCCGUCCCGCUGACAAAUUGAAGUCCCCCUCCGACUUGGCUCACUGCCGAUGCUCGUCCCCGUCUGGAAAGAAGUUGUUCUAACAAAAAAAUCGCUGGUUUCAACAGAAUAAAUAGCUGGUUCCAACAAUACUAUAGAUCCAAAAAAUCAAAAAGACAGGCGGUAGCACAAAUCAAAGGCAGUGGAAGCAAAAAACAAAACGACGGUAACAAAAUUUUGAAGUGAUUCCAGCAAAAAGAUGGAUCGAACAAAACACAUCAAAAACAAGGUAGUAGCAAAAUAUGAAGACGAAGACGGUGGUAGCAAAAUUCAAAGACCGUGGUAGCAAAAAUUAGAGUGGUUCCAGCAAAAUUAUGGAUCCUGCAAAAAAAUCAAAAAAAAGGAUGGUAGCAAAAACUAAGGCGGAGGUGGCAAAAAUAAAAGACGAUGGUAGCAAAACUUGGAAUCGUUCCAGCAUAAAGAUGGAUGGAGAAAAAAAAAAUCAAAAAGACAGGGGAUGCAACGGUUGUAGCAAAAAACAAAACCAUGGAAGCAAAAUUUGGGAGCCGUUCCAGCAAAAAGCACUUUAAAAUGUGGAUUGUAGCAAAAAAUGUUGCUAAUUCCAGCAAAAGUAGUAACCAGAUGUAGCAAAAAAUGCCAUCGACUGCGGCUUCCACCACGGCCGAUUCCGGCAUCUCAUAAGCUAGUGCACGAUGGAGCCGCCGUUCCAGCACAGGUGGAGACGCGUCACUCAUCGGAGCAGAACGGGGGCAGGUGGAGACGAGGGGCUCGCCAUAGCAGCGUCGUGGGAGGUGGACGCGCCCGCUUGGUUGUAACAAAAAUCUGCAUCGAUUGUAGCAGAUUUCCCUGCCGGUUGAAGCAUCGUCAGUUGCAGCACCCUGCGGCGUGCACCUCCGUCGUCGCAGCUCCAGUGCGAAUGGUCCAGAAAAGAGCGCUGCCGGCAGAAACCCAUCGAGUCGGCAAAACACUCGUCGCAGCUCGGCACGCGAGCUAGCGGCCGUCUAAGGUGGGCAGGAAAGGAGGAAGAAGGGAUGGGGAGGGAAGGAAGGAACUGCAAGGCGGUGAGGUUCUGCCGCGGAAGGGUCAGGUCGUCUCGCCGGAGGCAGAGGACGGGCGUCUCGCCGGAGGCAGAGGACAACAAUGAGGCGCAGAGUUGUGGCUUUGUGAUCAGGAUGAAUGGUCGAGAAUAGAUACCGUGAAUGGAUAAGGAAAUGGGAUAAUAAAGAAGAGCAGGGCAGUGCGUGCGUCCAAAAGAAAAGCGUGGCAGCAGCUCGCGACCGGCGCCUUGCUUCGGCCGGUCAACCGGAAGCCAACGUUUCCCUUCCUCAAAUGGAUGUAUCUAGUACUAAUUUAGUGCUUGAUACAUCAAUUUGAAGGACAAGUUUUUCAGGACGGAGGGAGUACGUCUUAUUUCUGCAAAAUCCUUUCAUUGAUAAAUUACAAACCAAGUUACACAAAUAUUAGGAGCCGUUUCCGCGCUCUCACUUCUUCUGCUUUGAACUACCCUUCCUGUCACACUCGAUUUUAUCGCAAGCUGCUAAAUCAUGCAUGAUGCUUGAUCAACGGGUCAUCAUCGCGUAUAGAAUCCCUCUUCCAACUACUCAAAAAUCAUUGGCUAGAGGUUGCCAUUAUGGGCCCUUCCAAUGCCAACAAAGGAUUUGAGCUCAAUAUAAAAUCAUGAUAAUGUGAUCUAUGGACUUAAAGUUUACUUUCAUAAAAUUGAAUUGUUUCAUUUCUGAGAAGUGAAAGACGCGUGCGUCUGCAGACCCGUUUGGUUGUGCAGAUGACCGAUUUUUUAUUAAAUGUUUAAAUUCCGAUUCAUUACCAACAUCUCACUAAUGCAGAGUGGAAACAUGUCGGUUGUAUUGCAAGAUGCUAAAUCAUGCAUACGGUUCAUCAUUGGGUCAUCAUCGCGUAGAGAAUCCCUCUUCCAACUACUCCAAAAGGCAUUGGGUAGAGGUUGCCAUUAUGGGCCCUUCCAAUGACAACAAAGGAUUUGGGCUCAAUAAAAAUUUUCAUGAGAAAGUGAUCUACGACCUUAAAAUUCAUUUCCAUAAAAAUGAAUUGUUUCGUUUCGGAGAAGCUCAAGACACGUGUACACAAUACAUGAACAUGUUUGGUUAUACAGAUGGCCAAUUUUUAAUUAAAUAUUUGAAAAUUCCGAUUUGUUAUCGAUGUUGUUCGAUGAGAAUUUGUACUACAAAUAGUAUGAAAAUAUUUUGUACCAAUAUUUUAUGUGGAGCAAGGAGUGCCCACGGAUAUUGCAUGCGUGUCAUACACGUGCACGCAUGUACAUUAAAAACUGUUGGCUAAAAGAAAUUUUAAUAGGCGAAUGGCCGGCUAAUUGAUUAACUGUAUAUUAAGCUAGCUCAAUGUGUACGUGGGUGCAACUGCACUGCAUGGCCAUGCAAGUUUGAGAAGGGGGAGGGCAGGAGGAGGAGACGCGCCCAUGCGGCCACGUCGACGAGUAGCCCAGCCAAGAGGCGACGCGCCAUGGUGGCAGCGUCUAGAAGAUGGAGAACGUGCGCAUCCAGGCUUUGGCAACGACACGUCGUUGGCGUCCAGGACCGGGCGAGCACGGCACCCAUGAGGAGGUGCCCACGACGGCAGCAUCGGAGAGAUAUGCCGGGCAACUCACACGACAUGCCCGCACCCAGGAGGCAACGGCGCGCGUGCCUUACCCCUGGCGCCGGACCGACGUCCUACAGUCCAGAAGCGGUGUUCUUCUGAGGACACGCCGACGGCGACAACCGCGCGCCGAGGAGAAGGAUUUUGCUAUGCAACGCCAAGGUAUGGAGGAUCUUAUGUUUGUUAAAUUGCAGGUGGCUAACAUAUAUGCUGAGGCACGUAUGCAUGGGUCGUUCAUGCGGACGUACACACCCGACACGGCGAAACUCGAGCAACCGCCUGCGUGCAGUCCGACCACGCCGGGAGCUCGGCGGUUGUCACCCGGCUGGAGGGACGCGGCCAGCAGGGGAGGCGCCGAGGGCAGCGUCGAGGGGACCUGGAGGGAACCCACGCAGAGAGGAAGAACGCGUCCGUUGCGGCGGCGCUCUCGACGGGCAACACACACGUUGCCUGCCCUGUCCGGCGGCUGCGCGCGUGCCGAGGAGGGCGCACGGCAGCGAGUCGAGGGAGCCCGCGUGAAGGAGCAUGCCGAGUCGUCUGAGGUCAGAGCAUCUCCAACAGACGCCGAACGCGGCGCGCGCAAAAAACAGCUUUAGCGCGCGCCCAUCGCCUGGUUUGGCGCGGCGCGCUGCGCCCGCUCCAGCAGCCGCGCUGAAAUGCAGCGCGCGCGCCCCGCUCCAGCAGCGCGCUAAAAUGCAGCGCGUGCGACCAGAAAUGUAUGCAUUUUUGAAAGUAGAAAUUUUAAAAAAACUAGAUAGAUUGCAUAGAUUAAACGAUACAAAGGUAUUUUACAUCCGAAACAUAGAUUGCAUAAAAUAAAAACUACAAACGAUAAACAUAGAUUGCAUUAACAAAAAAAAACUACUCUAAGUCGCUAUCAUCAUCACCAUUAUCAUCCUCGGCGGUGUCGUCCGAGGUAGAUAGCCAGAUGUCCAGCCACCGCUCAUCGUUCGACGUGAAGAACGACCGCCCACCUGCUGCAACGAGGUCGGACUGCGCAUUCUCCAACGCCUUCCGCCGACGCCUGUCCAACCGCGACGCGCGGCGCCUUUGCGUGUCCUCCUCGCGGCGCCUUGCCCAGUAGGCUUGCUCGUAGGCGACGUCCUCCGGGUGGCGCUGGCGCCAGUCCGCCAUGACCCGCUCGUCCUCCUGGGCAACGAGGAGGCGGCGUUGCCGCUCGGCGUGCUCCGCACGGUCUUCCGCCGUGUUCAGACGAGGCAGAGGGGCGAGGUUGAGCGCUUGCUCGAGCGUGUACACAUCUUGGAAGUUCAUCUGGCCGCGCGGCCGGCCUAGGCGCCACGCCGCCGCGUCGUACGCGCGGGCGGCCUGUCGCACCGUCCCGUACGUGCCGAGGGCGAGCCGGAGUUCGCCGGAGCGUAUCUCCGCGGUGUAGCUGCCGUUGGGCCGCAGGCGGACGCCGCGGUAGCCGGACGCUCCUCGGCGGCGCGGCGCGGCGGUGGCGGGGCGCUGGAGCGGCGCGUGGCAGAGAGGGAGAGGGAGAGGGGAAGAGAUGUGUGUGGAGAAGGCGCGUGGCCCGCGCAGCUUUUAUAGGCGCGCGCGAAGCGGCGCGCCAAAUCUUGCGCGCGAGCUGGCGCCUUUUCGCGCGCGCGCAAACGGUUCCCGCGCGCGCUUAUUUCCCGCGGCCGCUGGAGCGCGGCAAACCGCCCCGCGCGCGCUAAAAGCUGGGUUUACCGUGCGCGUGCCGUUUGUGGCGUCUGUUGGAGAUGCUCUCAACAUAUACAUGUAUCUACUCUUCUUGUACGCAGGCCGUGAUACACAUACGCAUGUGCGUGUAAGCGUCACAAGCUCUAGGAGAAGCAUCUCCUGGGCAUGGCGGAGCGUUCGCUAGGCGUGGGCAUAAGGAGAAGGCAGCAGCGCCUCCCACACACGCCUAGUCCUACGGCCAGCCGGUGGCAACCGGAGAACUCACGCACGCAGGAGGCACACAUCCAUCCAUCUACCCACACGCAUCUGGGACUGGGAAGAAGGAGGAGCCCAAGGCUGCUCCCGACUCACGCAGAGGGAGUGCUCGCGCGGGCGGCCAAGACUCCUGUACGCAGCCGGGCGACGCUCAGCGGAGCCGGUGACGAAGAUCGACAUCAUGCUGAUAGUCUUUUCCCAAGGUGAGAAACGAUGCUAAUCUCUCCUAACCCUUCUCUUUUUGCACAUCUCCAUGGUGGGCAUCGGAGCUGCGGCCGCACGGCCGGAGACGGAGCCGGCCGCUGGCUCUAUCUGUUGCCGCUGAACACGACAAAGCCGUGCCGGGGCGGCCUCGGUGCACCCUCCGCACGUGUGCAAUGACUUGCACCUUGCACCCCUCCACCGGCGACCCCGUGGGGGUGAUGAUGACGCAUCGGGCUGCCGUUGGCGAGUAGCUCCAGGCGCACUCCUCGCCGGCGACACCCACACGCCGGCAUGCCUUCAAGAUGAUGACGCCGGGGUUGCCUCUCAUGUCAAACCCGCGGCGUUCUUUCACGCCUGACUCACCACCGGCGACGACGCGCUGGGGUUGCCCUUCAUGUGCAGUCUCCGGUGAUCCCUUCAUACCGGACUCCCAACCGGCGACGACGCGCCGGGGCUACCGUCCAUGUGCAGCCCCCGGCGAUCCCUUUAUGCCGGAGUCACUACCGGCGACGACGAGUCGGGGCUGUCAUAGCCCCCGGCGCACCCUCUCUUCAUGGACAACUACCGCGAGGAGGACAACGACGUACCGGGGCUACCGUCCAUGCACGGUCCCUGGUGCACCCCGCACCACCUAGUCCGCCAACAACACCAUCGUGCCGGACUCACCAACAGUGACGACGCAUCGGAGUUGCCCUCUGGCAAGCCCGCCGCUCACGGUGACGACGUGCCAGGGUUGCCGUUUCGUGUAGCCCCUCGGCGACCCCUUCAUGCCGGACUCACCGCCGGCGACGACGCGUCGGGGUUACCGUUUCGUGUGCAACCCCGACGAUCCUUCACAUCGGGCCCAUCCCGACAACGAUGAGCCGGGGUUGCCGUUUCGUGUGCAACCCAUGGCGAUCCCUCACGCCGGACCCAUCACCGGCGACUUACGCGAGGACAACGACCAUGCGCCAGGGCCUAGUAGCCCCCGGUGCACUCUCCACGGGCGACUCUCGCAAGGACGACGGCGGCGGCGGCGGCGGCGGCAGGGUUGCCUCUCGUGUGCAGCCCCCCGCGCACCCUUCACUUGCGACGACGAUGUAUCGGUGGGGCACCAUCUACACCUCUGUCGACAUCAAGCGCCCCCAAGGAGGGCCAUCGUAUAUGCCUCGACCGAUACGGAGCUCGGCCAGGGCGAUGAGCCAUGUACAUCGCCACCAUUGCAGAGCCCGUGCAAGGCGGGCAUCAUUUGCAUUGUCGCGGACACGGCCCAUCGUUGGGCUUAGUCCGCGCUGUCUCUCAGCUCGACAAGGCCAUUGGCUAAAGUGACACAUUUUUCGAGUGGGCAAUACCACCCAAGUCUACUCCAACAUCCACACCCACGCACAUCAUCAACAUCGUCCUAUAGUCGGCGAGGCGAAGCUAUACUCCACCGACAUGUCUUUAUCCGAUGAAGCAAACUACCACUUGAUAUGCCGACGAGGCAAUGUCAAGUCAUCCAGUCCGACACCGACAAGGCGGACAUCACUAGGCCAGGCACCGGCGAGGCGAAGGCCACCCACAUCUUCAUCAUCGGACAUCGACACUGCGGAGGGAUAUGGCUAAGCAUAGCCGGAGUGAUGGGCAUAUCGCUCUCCGUUUCACUUUGUCGCCACAUCAUCACCAUCUACACCAACCUCAUGGAGAAGAUGAGACCAGAAGACGACGACCAUUGCAGCAGCUUAAUCGGAGGUGGUUCACGAGCUUGACUCGCGGACGUAAUUAAGCGGGAGCUUUCCGAGGCCCCGUGAACAAGAACCUCACAUCGCUGAAGUCACUUUGGCCGCGCCAGCAGGCCAUGGAGCGCAUCCUUAAUAGGGACUUUGUAAUUUUGUUUCUCGACACGAGGUUAAUAAAAAUACAUAUUUCCUUAUGUCUUUUCUUUGUGUACUUAGUACAUUGGCACGCUCGCAUUUGUUUUUUUUUGUGUCAAACAAAUUGGCACGCCCGGUGGGACGGGGUUCUCCUCCCGUCGGUGUCAAAACCGACGGAUCUCGGUGUCAAAACCACGUGCUCACUUGCACAUCAAUAUUCCUUUUCCUUUUUAUGAAAUAAAAACAAUAAGGAGUCAUUAUUAUUCAUAGCAAUGAUUUAUUUGGUUAAUUGUCUCAUAUGCCUGCUCUUAAUCGUAUUUCAAUAAAAUUUGAGCUACAAAUUCCCGCUGCAACGCGCGGGGAAUCAUCUAGUUAACCUAGAGCCCAGUGCCAGUUCCUGUUUUUCCAUGUUUUUAACCUUUUUCAGAUAGGAAUAUCAGACGGAGUCCAAACGGAAUAAAACCUUCGCUGUGAUUUUUUAUGGAAAAUAUCAAAAAUACCAGAAAGAAAAGAUACCAGAGGGGAGUCCCGAGGAGAUCACAAGCCAGGUAGGCGCGCCCACCCCCCCUGGGCGCGCCUGAUGGGCUUGUGACCCCCUCGUGGGUCCCUCCAACUUGUUCUCGACGCCAUCUGGUCUUAUAAAUAAAGAAACCUCCAGAAAAAACCUAGAUCGGGAGUUCUGCCGCCGCAAGCCUCUGUAGCCACCAAAAACCAAUCGGGAGCCCUUUCUGGCACCCUGCCCGAGGGGGAACCCAUCUCCGGUGUCCAUCUUCAUCAUCCCUGCGAUUUCCAUGACGAGGAGGGAGUAGUUCUCCCUCGGGGCUGAGGGUAUGUACCAGUAGCUAUGUGUUUGAUCUCUCUCUCUCUCUCUCUCUCUCUCUCUCGUAUUCUUGAGAUGUAAUGAUCUUGAUGUAUCACGGGCUUUGCUACUAUAGUUGGAUCUUAUGAUGUUCUUCCCCCUCCCCCUUCUUGUAAUGAAUUGAGUUUUCCCUUUGAAGUUAUCUUAUCGGAUUGAGUCUUUAAGAACACUUGAUGUAUGGCUUGCACGUGUCUAUCUGUGGUGACAAUGGGAUAUUCAUGUGAGUACUUGAUGUAUGUUUUGGUGAUCAACUUGCGGGUUUCGUGAUAUUGGGAACCUAUGCAUAGGGUUUGGCGCAUGUUUGUCUCUCCAGUAGAAACUUUGGGACACUCUUUGAAGUUCUAUGUGUUGGUUGAAUAGAUGAUUCUGAGAUUGUGUGAUGCAUAUCGUAUAAUCAUGCCCGCGGAUACUUGAGGUGACAAUGGAGUAUCUAGGUGAUAUUAUGGUCUUGGUUGAUAUGUUUCUUAGGGUGUUAUUCUAGUAUGAACUCUAUGAUAGAUUGAACGAAAAGAAUAGCUUCGUGUUAUUUUACUACGGACUCUUAAAUAGAUCGAUCAGAAAGAAUAACUUUGUGGUGGUUUCGUACCCGACAAUAAUCUCUUCGUUUGUUCUCCGCUAUUAGUAGAUUUGGAGUGACUCUUUGUUGCACGUUGAGGGCUAGUUAUAUGAUCCAAUUAUGUUAUCAUUGUUGAGAGAACUUCCACUAGUGAAAGUAUGAACCCUAGGCCUUGUUUCCACACAUUGCAAUACCGUUCGUGCUCACUUUUAUUGUUAUUUACCUUGCUGUUUUUAUUAUUUUAGAUUACAAAAACCUACAUCUACUAUCCAUAUUGCACUUGUAUCACCAUAUCUUCGCCGAACUAGUGCACCUAUACAACUUACCAUUGUAUUGGGUGUGUUGGGUACACAAGAGACUCUUUAUUAUUUGGUUGCAGGGUUGCUUGAGAGAGACCAUCUUCAUCCUACACCUCCCACGGAUUGAUAAACCUUAGGUCACCCACUUGAGGGAAAAUUGCUACUGUCCUACAAACCUCUGCACUUGGAGGCCUAACAACGUCUACAAGAGAAGGUUGCGUAGUAGACAUCAGGGCAGAGGUGAAGGUCGACGGCGGCGGCAGCGCUCGAGUGCUGAGGUGACGUGAGGUGGAAGAAAGACGAAGAGGCAAGGGGAGAAAAGGAAAGGGACCCUCGGCCCUAUUUAUAAGACGAAGAGAUAAGCGACAGGCGCAGGAAUCGAGGAGCCCAAAAAAUGGAUAUGUCCCAGAGUUGUUUCCUCGAUUUUCGGAGGCUCAUUAAUAAAAGUAAGGUAUAUACAGUUUUUUAAUGAACAAGUGACCUCAUGGCGAUUUAUUAUAAUCCUGGAAGAUGACGUCAUGGCAGUUUAUUAUAAUCCUGGAAGAUGACGUCAUGGCGGAUUACAAGUUUUACUCGAAGGUACUAAAGAAGAAGUUUUUCUAAAGUGUUGAAGAUUGACAUGAACAGGUUCAAAUCAAUCUGGGGCCUAAUGUUGGGGAUAUAACUACUGAGUAUAAACCGCCCAGGAGGGGCCGGAUUAUACCUGUAAUGAGUUAUUCAUAUUGAAGCCCAUGAAGACAAGGUGUAUGCCACUUUAAUAUAAGAGAUCUAAAAGCCCAGGGCCCAAAGGCGGAUUAGGGCCCAUAGACAUAAACCGCCAUAAGGUGUGUAACUUGUGUUGUAAGAUAGGAAAGAGUAGAAACCGAGCCGAACACGUUUAUGAGUCGGUCGGGAUUCUGUAAAUCGCCGGGCGUCAAGCUGUGUAUAUAAAGGGAUGACCCGGCGGCGGUUCAAGGACAAGAAACAACAACUCGAGAGCCAGGCAAAGCGUAUUCGCUCCCUGGUCAUCGAAACCAUAGCAAUCCCAUCAUAACUGGAGUAGGCUUUACCUUCACUGUAAGGGGACGAACCAGUAUAAUUCCUUGCGUCCUUUGUCCGCUUUAACCCCUUUAAGUUCACUACGUUGCAAUGGCUCCACGACUAAGUUCUCACACUAGGACAUCUGCCGUGACAAUCCCAUGACAAGCGGCGAAAUAUUUAGCAGAGAAAUAAUAAAUCAUAUCCUGGGGACUACGCACACAACCAGGAUCAAGAGAAUUAAACCAUGUUUUAGCAUCACCCUUUAAUGAGAACGGGAAUAACUUAAGGAUAAAGUAAUAGCGAGUUUUCUCAUCAUUAGUGAAUAGGGUGGCUAUAUCAUUUAAUUUAGUAAGAUGUGUCACAACAGUUUCAAAUUCAUAGCCAUAGAAAGGAUCAGAAUCAACCAAAGUAAUUAACUCAGGAUCGACUGAGAAAUCAUAAUCCUUAUCGGAAAUAAAGAUAGGUGAAGUAGCAAAAGCAGGGUCAUAUUUCAUUCUAGCAUUCAAAGACUUUUCUUUAAGCUUAGCUAAUAAUUUCUUAAGAUCAGAUCUAUCAUUGCAAUCUAAGAAGUCUCUAGCAGUUUCUUCAUCCAUAACAUAACUCCCAGGCACAAUAGGCAAUUCAUAUCUAGGGGGGAGAAUCUUCAUCAUCACUUUCGUCAAUAUUAUCAGUUUUAGCAAUUUCAUUCUCUCUAACCCUAGCAAGUUGUUCAUCAAGAAAUUCACCUAAUGACACAGUAUUAUCAAGCAUAGAAGUAGUUUCAUCAUAAGUACAUGCAAAGCAGAAGUGACAUCAUCAAUAACAUGCGACAUAUCAGAAUGAAUAGCAGGAGUAGGUGUCGCAAGUUUACUCAAAACAGAAGGUGAAUCAAGUGCUGAGAUAGAUGGCAGUUCCUUACCUCCCCUCGUAGUUGAGGGAAAAUCUUGGUUAUUUUAUCUUUCAAGUUCUUCAUAGUGAUCAGCAGAUAUAAAUCCCAAGUGACUCAAAGAAUAGAGCUAUGCUCCCCGGCAACGGCGCCAGAAAAUAGUCUUGAUAACCCACAAGUAUAGGGGAUCACAACAGUUCUCGAGGGUAGAGUAUUCAACCCAAAUUUAUUGAUUCAACACAAGGGGAGCCAAAGAAUAUUCUCAAGUAUUAGAAGCUGAGUUGUCAAUUCAACCACACCUGGAAACUUAAUAUCUGCAGCAAAGUAUUUAGUAGCAAAGUAAUAUGAUAGUAGCGGUAACGGUGGCAAAAGUGACGGUAGCAGUUUUGUAGUGAUUGUAACAGUGGCAACGGAAAAGUAACAAAGCAAAGAUCGAUAUAUGAAAAGCUCAUAGGUAAUGGAUCAGUGAUGGAUAAUUAUGUCGGAUGCGAUUCCUCAUGCAAUAGUUAUAACAUAGGGUGACACAGAACUAGCUCCAGUUCAUCAAUAUUAUGUUGGCAUGUAUUCAGAAUAUAGUCAUACGUGCCUAUGGAAAAGAAAUUGCAUGACAUCUUUUGUACCACCCUCCCGUGGCAACGGGGUCCUAUUGGAAACUAAGGGAUAUUAAGGCCUCCUUUUAAUAGAGUACCGGGAAUACAUGAACUCCUCAAACUACGGUCAUCACCGGUAAGUAUCCCGAUUAUUGUCACUUCGGGGUUAACGGAUCAUAACACAUAAUAGGUGACUAUAGACUUGCAAGAUAGGAUCAAGAACUCACAUAUAUUCAUGAAAACAUAAUAGGUUCAGAUCUGAAAUCAUGGUACUCGGGCCCUAGUGACAAGCAUUAAGCAUAGCAAAGUCAUAGCAACAUCAAUCUCAGAACAUAAUGGAUACUAGGGAUCAAACCCUAACAAAACUAACUCGAUUACAUGAUAAAUCUCAUCCAACCCAUUACCAUCCAGCAAGCCUACAAUGGAAUUACUCACGCACGACAGUGAGCAUCUUUAAACCUCGCCUCAGCAACUUGCAAUACCCGUCACGAAGCUUCAGAAGUAUAUCACCUCAGCGCAGGAAGGGACGUUCAUUCCUGACAGAGAAAAGGACGGCCUGACUGAGGCCCUAGGGAAUGCUGAGCAUCCUGGACGAACACGAGGCACUCCAAGCUCCGUUCUGUGGAAGUUUGGGUUUCCCGACGCAGGCGAUUACAAAAGCCGGGAGAGAAAGAGGAAAGAGGAGCUGAGCGACAUGUAGAAGCUCAAUGCAAGACUACAAAAGCUAGAGGAAGCUGAGAGCAAGCGAGCUGCCGACCAACCAUUUCAGCGGCAUGAAGCUAACCCAGAAGCUACCCCGCCAUCUCAGCGGAGAAGCAGCAUGGCUUCCAUGAAGCCCGUUCAUCCUGACUUCACGUCUCAUAGCUACCCCGUGGAUACUAUCACGGAGGCUCAACAUUGCGAGCUUAUGACGAAAUGCAGGAGCCUCACUUUCAAGGCGUCUACAGGUGAAGGGGAGAAUUGGCUGGUUCAUGCUCUGAGGAGUACAUGUCUAUGGCAGAAGGAGUACAUCAAGCUUCCAAACUGGACGCCUCUGCUUCCUGCUCCUCCUCCGACGAGUCAGGGCACUCCGCCUCCUCCUCCUCCGGCGAGUGAUCAGGGCACUCCGCCUCCUUCUCCGACUCCUCCGACACGUGAGGGCAUGGGAAGCCUCUCGUCAAACCUUAUCAUCCUCAUCUAACAACGAUGAUGCAAAAAUUGCAUGACUGGUACAUGGAAACCUACAGGAAGUCUGGGAAAGACAUUUGUUAGUCGGAAUUAAAAAAGAGCAUGACUUCCCUGGAAUCGACCUGCUGCUUGUUGAAUUUGUGGAGUUAUUUCAAUUAUACAAUCAAAAGGCCCUCGACAAACAACUCAUGACUUGCUACUGUCUGUAAGUAUUACUUCUAUAAUUAAGUAUCCAGCUCAGCUCGUUCAUUGCAUGUAUAUAUAAUUAUCCUCACUAUAUUAUGCAGAUUGAAGAUGGUCGAAUGCAAAAAAAUAGGAAUCUUCGACGUUGGGUUCAUUAGCCCAAAUACCGUAAAUGAAUGGUCGGUACGAAAGGCGGCUGAAGAUACCGAGAACAACUUACUACAAACGUUCCUUACACAUCAAAACAAAAGGGAAAUACUCUUUCCUUACAACUUCAAGUGAGUGUUACUGUCUUCUGCAUAUUCGGUUCCGCUUACUCGUGGUUAAGUAAUGUAAUUGAUGAGUUAUGUGUGCGCAGCUUCCACUAUAUUCUGCUAUCCAUUAACCUUGACGGGGCAUUAGUAAUUGUCUUAGACUCGCUCCGUAAAGAUCCCAAGUAUUAUGCGGACAUGACUGCAAUGCUCCAGAAGUAAGUUCAAUCAAUAUCGGGACCAUAUUGGCAACUUUUAUUCAUUUCCUGAUAUCAAGUAAUCAUUUUCUUUGCCUGCCAGGGUUUGGAAAACGUUCACUGCUAAGGUUCCGGGUCUGAAGAAGGAGCUGCGAUUUACACACCCCAAAGUAAGUAGUACAAGCUAGUUUCUCGCAUCUCUCAUUGAUUCUAGUUUAAUCAAUAUCAUUAUCAUGCUUGCUUAUCAGUUUGAUUGAACUCUAUUCUCGUAAAGUGCUUUUUGCAGGCACCCAACACUCAUUUAUGUGGAUACUACGUAUGCGACUUCAUUCGCUACUAUACCUCUGAACGGGCCUCCUAUGAGAAACAAUUUGAAGUACGGAAACAAUAUUCAGAAUUUUAUUUUAUAUAUUACCAUCAAUUGUGUUGAGUUUCAUUCAUAUAUAUGUAUUGACCCCUUCUUUAAAUUAGAUCUGGCAGAUGCGGGAUGAACUCCUACCACAUGAUCGCAUACGAGCAAUUCAAGAGGAAUUGGCGGGAUUAUUUCUUGACCACGUCAUACCUGAACAAGGAGAAUACCAUGUGAAAUUGAAAUUGUUGUAAGGGAUGUUAUAUAUUGUACAAAUGUAGCAGCGUCGAAUAGAUAUACGAAAACUUGUUGUUCGACCAAGCACGAAGAAAGAGAUGUCACUUCUCUCUAUAUAUGUUCGUGACGAUCUUGUGUAAUUAAUGGUUUCCUUUAGUUGCUUACUAGCUAGCGCCGAGUUCUCUCUAUAUGUGUAGUAGCUAGAGUCGACCAAGCACGGAAAAACAAAGGUCACUUCUCUCUAUUAGCUCGCUAACACAAUAUGAAACCCCUAAAUUAACCCUCCAAAACCCCAACCCCCCCUCCCUUCCAAAAAAACAAAACCCCCAGCGACUGUGAGCUGCUGACGCGUGGCCGCCUUUUGGUCCUGGUUGGUGUUACCAACCGGGACUAAAGGUCCUCCCUCCCCCGCCCCAGGCAGCACCACGUGGAGGGACUUUGGUCCCGGUUCGUAAGCAAACCGGGACUAAAGGUUUUGGGUAUUAGUCCCGACCCUUUAGUCCCGGUUCCAGAACUGGGACAAAUGGCCCUUUUUCUACUAGUGACUUCUCAUAGGAGAUACUUUCAGAUAGACAUAAUCUCCUACUUUGAAAAUUAAUUCUCUUCUUCGAUUAUCUGCAUAGCUCUUCUGACGAGUUUGUGCCACUCUCAAGUUCUCUCUAAUCAACCUGGCUUGUUCCUCGGCAUUCCUGAGCACAUCUGGUCCAAAGACUUAACUUUCACCCGUUUGAUUCCAGAACAACGGUGUUCUACACUUAUGCCCAUACAAUGAUUCAAACGGUGCCAUCUUUAGACUAUUCUGGUGAUUGUUGUUGUUGUAAGAGAACUCCACAUACGGUAAACUUUUAUCCCAACUAGUACCAUACUGCAAUGCACAAGCUCUCAACAUAUCAUCAAGAAUCUGAUUGAGCCUUUCUGUCUAUCCAUCAGUCUGAGGAUGAUAUGCUGUACUGAAAUUCAACUUCGUUCCCAAAGAUUUAUGCACUUUCUGCCAAAAGAUGGACGUGAACUGCAGACCUCUAUCAGACACAAUGUUCUUAGGAACUCCAUGCUGACAUACUAUUCUUUCCAUGUAUAGCUCUGCCAAUCUUGCCCCGUUAUAAGUAGUCUUGACAGGCAAAAAGUGAGCGACUUUAGUGAGACGAUCCACUAUUACCCAUAUAGAAUCAUAACCUUGCUGAGUGUGUGGUAAUCCCACUAUAAAGUCCAUUCCGACUUCUUCCCAUCUCCACUCAGGAAUCUUCAUUGGCUGCAACAAACUAGCGGGUCUCUGAUGCUCAGUCUUUACCCUCUGACAAGUGUCACAUAUAGCUACAUACUCAGCCACAUCUCUUUUAAAUCCAUACCAGCAUUACUUCUCCUUAAGAUUUAGAUACAUCUUAGUACUUCCAGGAUGGAUAGAAUAGGCUGACUCAUGUGCUUCACGCAAAAUUGUAUCAUGAAUGGCUUUCACAUCAGGCACGCAUAUCCUUUUUCCAAACCAUAAGGUUCCAUUUUCAUCAAUUCUGAAGCCAGGUGCUUUACCAGUCACCACAUUCUCAGCUAUCUCCUUUAGCUUUUCAUCUUCUAGUUGACCCUUACGUAUUUCUUGCUCCAACGUAGGAAUCACUUUUAUCUCCAUAGCACUAGCAACAAUACCAAGGUUCAGAUGUUGCAACUCCGCAUACAACUCUUCUGCCUCUGGUCUCAACUUACGAUUGUUGUCAUAUUCCUUCCCACUGAGAGCAUCAGCUACAACAUUCGCCUUACCUGGAUGAUAAUGUACCUCCGGUUCAUAAUCCUUGAUUAACUCUAGCCAGUGACAUUGUCUUAAAUUCAGACAUGUCUGAGUGAAUAUAUACUUCAAGCUCUUAUGAUCGGUGUAGAUAUCACUCUUGUGACCAAUCAGAUAGUGUCUCCAGAUCUGCAAUGCAUGUACCACAGCUGCUAGCUCCAGAUCAUGAGUAGGAUAAUUUAACUCAUGCUUCCUCAACUGUCUUGAUGCAUGCGUCGGUGGUGGUGAUCUCAUGUCCGCUUGCACCGUGUUCGAUGAAACGCCAACGAGGGUCAAAAGCUUCGAACCGCAUCGGCAUCACUCGGGGUAGCAGCGGGUACACGCUGGAGUGCUGGAUGUGAUGCUUGGCCAUCUCCAACUCACGAGCGUGUAAGAGAGAAAUCAUGAGACAGUAAUGAUUUAAUUUGGUUUUGCAAUGUUUUUAUUUUAAAAAUAGUUGGUUUAUCUUUGUAAAAUAGUUAUUUACAUGAGAAUUAUUGAACAAAAUAGUUUUUCAAGAGCAAUUUGCAUUCAAGCAGUCUUCAUUCUUAACGAAGCUACGAGUUCACAUUUGCUCUAACCAAACGGUCUUCAGUUUUUGCCACCACAGGAGCCUUGUAUUAGCUCUUGCGGUGCGAAUGGGAGCUCGGAUGUCCGUGUGACGAAGCUGGUCUAUGAAAGUGGCCUUGGUGAUCAUGUGCCCCGGUUGGUAGGUUGGGAGACAGCAGGGAUGCAAGCCAGCGCCAACGAUGGGCGAAGAUUGCACGACGGAUGAGCGGCGCUAGAGAUGGAAAGUCUGCUGGAGCAGUUUAGGUGAAAGGAUAAAGAUGUAGUUUUCAUUUUCUUUUUCUAAUAAUGAAAGUCGGACUCAACUUUAUGGAACUGGGCCAUAUGACACGUAGGGCCCAUCUGAAGCUUCUAGAGUUGUUAAUCCUGUGGUUGAGAAUGUGUGUGACAAAGCCUGUGUUUGAGUAUUUACUAUCUAGGGAAGUAUAAACAAUUUACAAUCUCAGUGGACCCAUAAGCCAAUAUCCUUGAAUGUUUUUUUUCUGUUUGUGUGUAUAUGUCGCAAGUUUUCUUGUUUUAUUUUAGGUUUGGUACUCUAGCUAGGUCUAGAAUAGUUUUUUUUGUUCUUUUUUUAAUUUCAAAAAAAUCGAGGGAUGUCUCAGUUUUUAUUAAAAGAAAGAAAUAUUUGGUCCAAAGUUGAAUGAGCGUGUCAUGCAGGGUUAAAUCACAAGAUAAACUGAUGAAACACAUGAUGCAUUAGUGGAUAUAUAUGUAAAUCACACGGGUGAUUUGAAGACAAAUUGAAAAAAACAUGAUGUGUUAGUUAAAUAAAUAAAUAUCAUGAUACAAUUAUAAGUGACCAUGCAAUAAACUAUAUGUCCAAUACUUGCACUCACGGGCAUUUUUGCUACUAUUAAUAAUUUUUUUUGAGCAGAUGCUACUAUUAAUAAAUUGGUAAAAAUCAGAGAAUGCGAGGCCUGGCCAAAUGGGCCGGCCCGGCCCGGCACGGCCUGGGUUAAACGGGCCCGAACCCCUCUUGCCCUCUCUCCUAUAAAAGCCGCCCGCCUAGGGUUGGAUCUCUGUGCUUUUACCCCCGCACUCGAUCGCCUCGCCGCCGUUCCCCGCAACCCCCUGUCUGUCGACCCAAUUCAUCUCACGGAUAUCACCCGACGCCUCGUCCUCCUCUCCAGAUCAGAUCUUACGCCCGCCCGCCCGAGGUGAGCACAUGCUUGUACAUCCCGAUCAGCUUGGAGUUCGUUCCGAUUGGUUGGUAGGCGCGGCGCUGGUUCGUAGGUCUCGCAUCCAGCCAGCGUGGUCUCCCACCGCCUCCGGAGUUGCUCGUUCCGAUUGUGGUUGGUAGGCGCGGCGCGGCGCGGGUUCAUAGGUCUCGGAUCCAGCGCCGUCUGUAUCCUAUUCGUAUGAGGAACCUCGGCUAGGAUAGGAUUUAAUUAGUUAGGUUUUGUAUUAGGGUAACACCACCUAGGGUUGGAUUGAUUAUCCGUAACAAGGAAUCAAUCUGACGUUCUAGUUAGGGUUUGCUUGGUUGGUUGUGGUCAGAUUUUGGUUUCUCAUGAAUUCUUCAACUGUGCCUGUCGCGAUUUUGGGCGGAAAUUGAUGAUUUCGGGGGCAAAAUCCGAGGGAUUUUGUGGAUGAAAGAUGGGGAAACUUGGGGAAAUGCUAGAUCCACUCGAAACCAAGCAAAUCCAUGGAUCAAAAUCAACAAAACUUCAUCAUGCCAACAAAUCACAAAUAAAUAAAUAAAUAAAUAAAUAAAUAAUUGGGGGGCUAUUUUUGGUGGGGAAAUUUCGAAUUAGGACGAAAAACAACAAAAUCAAAGCUACUGAAAAAUCAAAGCUACGAAAAUAAAUAAAUAAAUACAUGUUAGAGAAUGAUGUGCCUGAUAAAGGAUUUGAGAAGCUACUGAAAAUAAUGAAGAAGAAGCUUCCAAAGGAUAACGAAUUGCCCGACAGUACAUACGCAGCAAAGAAGGUCGUAUGCCCUCUAGGAUUGGAGGUGGAGAAGAUACAUGCAUGCCCUAAUGACUGCAUCCUCUACCGCGGUGCCUACAAGGAUCUGAACGCAUGCCCGGUAUGCGGUGCAUUGCGGUAUAAGAUCAGACAAGAUGACCCUGGUGAUGUUGAUGGCGAGCCUCCCAGGAAGAGGGUUCCUGCGAAGGUGAUGUGGUAUGCUCCUAUAAUACCACGGUUGAAACGUCUGAUAAGAAACGGAGAGCAUGCCAAGUUGAUGCGAUGGCACAGUGAGGACCGUAAGAAAGACGGGAAGUUGAGAGCACCCGCUGACGGGUCGCAGUGGAGAAAAAUUGAGAGAAAGUACUGGGAUGAGUUUGCAAAGGACCCAAGGAACGCAUGGUUUGCUUUAAGCACGGAUGGUAUUAAUCCUUUCGGGGAGCAGAGCAGCAAUCACAGCACCUGGCCCGUGACUCUAUGUAUGUAUAACCUUCCUCCUUGGAUGUGCAUGAAGCGGAAGUUCAUUAUGAUGCCAGUUCUCAUCCAAGGCCCUAAGCAACCCGGCAACGACAUUGAUGUGUACCUAAGGCCAUUAGUUGAAGAACUUUUACAGCUGUGGAAUGGAAACGGUGUACGUACGUGGGAUGAGCACAAAAAGGAGGAAUUUGACCUAAAGGCGUUGCUGUUCGUGAACAUCAACGAUUGGCCCGCUCUCAGUAACCUUUCAGGAUAGACAAACAAGGGAUACCACGCAUGCACGCACUGUUUACUUGACACCGAUAGUAUAUACCUGGGAAGCUGUAGGAAGAAUGUGUACCUGGGCCAUCGUCAAUUUCUUCCGACCAACCAUCAAUGUCGAAAGAAAGGCAAGCAUUUCAAAGGCGAGGCAGAUCACCGGAAGAAGCCCGCCAUGCGUACCGGUGAUCACGUACUUGCUAUGGUCAAUGAUUUACACGUAAUCUUUGGAAAGGGUCCCGGCGGACUAGCUGUUCCGAAUGACGUUGAGAAUCAUGCACCCAUGUGGAAGAAGAAAUCUAUAUUUUGGGACCUACCCUACUGGAAAGACCUAGAGGUCCGCUCUUCAAUCGACGUGAUGCACGUGACGAAGAACCUUUGCGUGAACCUGCUAGGCUUCUUGGGCGUGUAUGGGAAGACAAAAGAUACACCUGAGGCACGAGAGGACCUGCAACACUUGCACGAAAAAGAGGGCAUGCCUCCGAAGCAGUAUGAAGGUCCUGCCAGCUACGCUCUUACGAAAGAAAAGAAAGAAAUAUUCUUUCAAUGCCUGCUCAGUAUGAAGGUCCCGACUGGCUUCUCGUCGAAUAUAAAGGGAAUAAUAAAUAUGCCAGAGAAAAUGUUCCAGAACCUAAAGUCUCAUGACUGCCACGUGAUUAUGACGCAACUGCUUCCGAUUGCAUUGAGGGGGCUUCUACCGGAAAACGUCCGACUAGCCAUUGUGAAGCUAUGUGCAUUCCUCAAUGCAAUAUCUCAGAAGGUGAUCGAUCCAGAAAUCGUACCAACGCUAAGGAGUGAUAUGGCGCAAUGUCUUGUCAGUUUCGAGCUGGUGUUUCCACCAUCCUUCUUCAAUAUCAUGACGCACGUCCUAGUUCAUCUAGUCGACGAGAUUGUCAUUCUGGGGCCCGUAUUUCUACACAAUAUGUACCCCUUUGAGAGGUUCAUGGGAGUCCUAAAGAAAUAUGUUCGUAAUCGCGCUAGGCCAGAAGGAAGCAUCUCCAUGGGCCAUCAAACAGAGGAUGUCAUUGGGUUUUGUGUUGACUUCAUUCCUGGCCUUAAGAAGAUAGGUCUCCCUAAAUCGCGGUAUGAGGGGAUACUGACUGUAAAAGGCACGCUUGGAAGGGACUCAAUAAUAUGCAGGGACGGAUAUUCUUGGUCUCAAGCACACUACACAGUUCUACAGAACUCUACCUUGGUGACCCCGUAUGUCGAUGAACACAAGAACAGUCUGCGCUCCAAACACCCGGAGCAGUGCGACGACUGGAUUACAUGUGAACACAUCAGGACUUUCAGCAGUUGGUUGGAAACACGUCUCAGAGGUGACAACACUGUUUGUGAUGAGCUGUACUUGUUGUCCAGGGGACCAUCUUCGACUGUAAUGAUUUGGAAAGGAUACGAGAUAAAUGGGAAUACAUUUUACACGAUUGACCAAGAUGAAAAGAGCACCAACCAAAAAAGCGGUGUCCGCUUUGAUGCAGCAACCGACAAUGGAAAUGACACAUAUUAUGGUUACAUAGUAGACAUAUGGGAACUUGACUACGGAGUAGAUUUUAAGGUCCCUUUGUUUAAGUGCAAGUGGGUCAAUCUAUCAGGAGGCGGGGUACAGGUAGACUCACAGUACGGAAUGACAACAGUGGAUCUGAAAAAUCUUGGGUACACUGACGAACCGUUCGUCCUAGCCAAUGAUGUGGCACAGGUUAUCUAUGUGAAGGACAUGUCUACCAGACCGAGGAAAAGAAAAGAUAAGGAAGCGAAUACAUCAUAUAAUGAGCCAAAGCGCCACAUAGUUCUUUCAGGAAAAAGGGACAUCCUGCGUGUGGAGGGCAAGACAGACAUGUCUGAAGAGUAUGAAAAGUUUCAUGAAAUUCCCCCCUUCAAAGUCAAGGCUGACCCAAGCAUCCUGAUAAACGAUGAAGAUUAUCCAUGGUUACGGCGCAAUAAGCAAACGACACAAGCGAAGAAAAAGUGAAGACUUUCUCCCGCAACUAUUAUGAUGAUACCAUGCCAACUUUGUAACAGACGAGUAUGAUACCAUUGUCCGGUUUGUACAUGCACAUGCUAUGCCAACUUUUUCAGAGUUCAUUUGAAAACUAUGAAUUUGAAAACCUUGCCAACCGAAGGGCGCUCACACCGGUUUAUAAGCCCGUCCCUCUACACGCCUUGUUGAGCUCACAAACUUGUGAUUCACAUAAAUUUCAAAGAAAACUAAUGGCACAAACAGAAAGUUUAUAAUUUUGCUGACCUAAAAGCAAAAAGAAUUUAAAAAUAAAGCAAAAAACCAAAAGAAAAUAAAUAAUGCAGAAAACAAAACAAAAAAACUUGAAAAAAAAAUAAAAAUAGCACUAAAGAGUUUCCAAAUAAAAUAAAACAAAAUAAAAUAUAAUAUAUAAAGCAACAAAGAAAAAAAAGAGUUUCCAAAUUUGAAAACUAAUGGCACUAACAGAAAGNNNNNNNNNNNNNNNNNNNNNNNNNNNNNNNNNNNNNNNNNNNNNNNNNNNNNNNNNNNNNNNNNNNNNNNNNNNAUAGUUUUUCUAAAACUAAAAGCAAAAAGAAUUAAAAAAUAAAGCAAAAAACAACAAAAACUAAAUAAUGCAGAAAAGAGAACAAAAAACUGGAAAAAAAAAUAAAAAUAGCAACAAUAAGUAUUUUGUUGUAAGUAGAAACAAAAUAAACUAAAUAAAGCAACAAAUAAAACAAAAAAACAAAAAAAAGUGCCACCUACUGGGCACCCACGGCCUGAAUACGACUAGAAACCCUACCAUGGGCCAGGAUUCAGGCCCGCGGGAGGCCCAGUAGGCCCACAUGCACAUAUUGCACGUUUAGGCCCGAAAGCCUGCUUUAGAGAGGAGCUUGAGAGGGAAGGCGCACCGCACCUUAUAAACUGGUGCGGCUCCCUCUCAACAAGCGAGGUGGGACUAAACUUUUCGGCGCGGGGCAGCACAAGGCCUAUGGUCCCGGUUGGUGGCACCAACCGGGACUAAAGGGGGGCAUUAGUCCCGGUUGGUUCCACGAAUCGGGACCAAUGCUCAGUGUAUAUAAACAACACUUGUGAAAAUUUUCAGUUUCAUCGCGCAUUUGCCCCCCGACGACGCCGCCAGGCUGCCCCGCCGCCAUCGCCGUCGCCCGUGCCCCCGAGCCCACGCCGUCGCCGGCCGCGCCCUCGAGCCCAGANNNNNNNNNNNNNNNNNNNNNNNNNNNNNNNNNNNNNNNNNNNNNNNNNNNNNNNNNNNNNNNNNNNNNNNNNNNNNNNNNNNNNNNNNNNNNNNNNNNNNNNNNNNNNNNNNNNNNNNNNNNNNNNNNNNNNNNNNNNNNNNNNNNNNNNNNNNNNNNNNNNNNNNNNNNNNNNNNNNNNNNNNNNNCUCUUCCUCGCCGUCGCCUCUGCCUCGCCCCGCGCCGCUUUGGUCAGGGCCGGCACCGCCCCCCUCUUCCCCCUUUUUUUUGCAAAUAUAGCUUUUUUUCCUGAUUAUGUGUGUAUAUGUAUGAGUAUAUAUGUAUAUGUGUAUAUCUGUUUAUAUGUCUUUUUUUAGAUUUUUUUGUUUUUUGCAUUUUUAUAAAAAUGUAUAUAUGUUCUCUGUGUAUAUAUAUGUUUUAUGUUCAUAGAUUUUUAUUUGAACAUUAUUUUAAAAAAACAAGCAAUACUACUUCAUGUAUUUUUAAGAAGGAAGAAGAAGAAAAAGAAUGAGAGGAAAAAGGAAAAAAGAAGAGGAAGAAAGGAGAAGAAGAGGGGAGGAAGAAGAGGAGAAAUAAAUAAGAAGAGGAAAAAAGAAGAGGAGAAGAAGAAAGGAAUAGAGGAGAAGAAGAAAAAAUAGGAGUGCGGCUAAUCUGCACCCGGGCUCAUCUGCACCCACGCUUAGAAAAAAAUUCAAAAAAAUACUAAAAAAAUUCAAAAAAUUCCAAUUUUUUUUGUGAUGGUAGAUAAUUUGACGCGUGAGGUGCGCCCCAAAAAUCAGCUCACUUGAGCAUCUGAGCAGCUCUCAGCAAAAAAGACAAAAUCAGGGUCUGUAAAAAUGUGUACUGUUCACGCACUGUUUUGACCCGAUUUGUCUUUUUUGCCGAGAGUUGCUCAGAUGUCCAAAUGAGUUGAAUUUUGGGGCGCACCUCACGCGUCAAAUUAUCUACCACCACAAAAAAAUUGGAAUUUUUUGANNNNNNNNNNNNNNNNNNNNNNNNNNNNNNNNNNNNNNNNNNNNNNNNNNNNNNNNNNNNNNNNNNNNNNNNNNNNNNNNNNNNNNNNNNNNNNNNNNNNNNNNNNNNNNNNNNNNNNNNNNNNNNNNNNNNNNNNNNNNNNNNNNNNNNNNNNNNNNNNNNNNNNNNNNNNNNNNNNNNNNNNNNNNNNNNNNNNNNNNNNNNNNNNNNNNNNNNNNNNNNNCCCCUCCCGAUAACUUCAAUACAUGGAGGGUCGAUAUACCCCCUCCCCGAUAACAUUAAUUUCUCCCGUGUAUGUAUCUCGUCAUUGUCGAUAUUACCCCCUUGAAGCGUUGUCGAUAUUAUCCCGGGUCGAGGGUUCUAGGGUCGAGGGAUCGAGGGUUCCAGGAUCGCCCAGGGGUCAAGGGUUCUAGGGUCAUCGAGGGUUCAAGGGGUCGAGGAUCGCCGAGGGGUCGAGAGGGUUCCUAGUGUCAAAGUAUUGAAGAAAUCCAUGGCUUCAUCAUUAGCCGGAAGUAACCAUGGCAUGAUGGUACGAAGUCCUCCAAAGUUAUUCUGGAAUGGAGUCCCGGAUAGGAUAAUUUGCCUUUUUGUACGAAUUUCAGCAAAGGCCUUUCAGAUAAUGAUAUUCGGAAGGUUCUUGCUGAACUUUGUACCAAAAAGUGAAUUAUCCUAUCUGGGACUCCGUUCCAAAAUAACUUUGGAGAGCGUCGUACCAUCAUGCACCUGUUACAUUCGCCUAAUGAUGAAGACAUGGUUUUGUUGAAUCCUUUGACACUAGGCAACCUCCCAACCCCUCGGUGAUCCUCGACCCCUUGACCCUCGACCGCUCAGCAAUCCACGACCCUCUACCCUACCGCGGGCGUCGAUGCCCACGUCACUUGUGGGACAUAGAUGUAGUGUUCAACGCCGACCCCCUCCCGAUAGCUUCAACACGUGGGGGGGUCGAUAUUACCCCCUCCUUGAAGCGUUCUCGAGGAGGCCCCUAACCCUUGAAGCGUUGUCGAGGCCACCCCAAACCCUAGAGAAGCAGCGUCGAGGCCAGUAAUAUGAUUCCUUAUUGUGAUCCUCUAGCUAGUUCUACGUUUGCCACUAAUAUAUCCAUAUAUGUCAUGUUUGAAUAAUAAUUGCCAUGUUGUAAAUAUUUGUAGAAACUAUGGACACGGCCCGAGACAAAGCACAAGAAGCGUUGUUGAGGGACAUAAUCGCACAAGGAAGUGAUGCCCUCGACUCGUUGAUGUUUCUCAACGACAACGAUGGUCUGGAAGGAGAGGGUGAAGAAGCAGCUGGCUAUGAUUUACAUGGCCCCGAUGACCCAAUGCCGGUGCAAGAAGGAGAGGGUGAAGAAGUAGACCGUGAGGACGGCUCCGGUGAUCACCAAACCGAGUCCGGCCAGGUAUAUAUAUUAGUUAAGCCUGUGCUGACUAGCUAAUUGAUGCAUUCAUUGUUUUGGUAUGUACACAUAUUAAUUAACUCUCGUCUUUGUUCUUUUUUCUAGCCCUCCGGAUCGAGCACAACUUUGGUAAAGAGACGAGGCCCGAAGAAAAAGUUGAGCUCGGAUGAAAAGUUUGAGAUCAUACAAAUCACGCGCGACGGCCAACCGAUUGAACCCUACCGGACAAAGAAGGCAUUUGUUGCUCAGUGCGGGGUUCUGGUUAGGGACAAGAUCCCGAUCAGCAUCCAGCAAUGGUAUAAGCCUAAGAACGAAGACCCUGAGGUGUCUUAUGUCAAUGAGAUGCAGAAAAAUAAUCUUUGGACUGAGCUGAAGUCAAAUUUCACCCUACCGCCGGAGGAUGAUCCGGAGAAGCCAGUUAUAGAGCCAUUAAUCAAGUCUUUUGCUCUGGGGAAGAUGGCAGACCUAUUCAGGAAUUGGAAGAAAGACCUCAAUAGGUAUGUCGAAAAAAAUGAGACACCAGAAUUCGUGGGCAAAUAUGAGAAGAUUAGAGAUGACUGGCCCGCAUUUGUGGCCCACAAGACAUCGGAAAAGAGUAAAAAGAUGUCGGCGACAAACAAGAGAAAUGCUCAGAAGAAGAAGCUUCACCAUCGCACGGGGUCAGGUGGCUACCUCGUUGCCCGGCCUAAGUGGGCCAAGGCUGAGAAUGAUCUCCUUGAUAAAGGGAUCGAACCAGAGACAAUGAACUGGCCAGAACGUUGCCGGACUUGGUUCUUUGGGGCCGGCGGAUCCUUAGACCCUAUAACAGGGAAGUGCAUUUGGACGGACGAAAAAUUGGACAUACCAGUCAAGAAGCUUCAGCAAUAUAUCGAAGCAGCGCAGCAAGGGAAGUUCAUUCCAGACAGGGAGAAGGACGAGCUCACAAUGGCCCUCGGCAAUCCUGAGCACCCUGGACGGACACGAGGCACGCCAGGCUCCGUUUCGUGGAAGGCUGGAUUUCCGGAUGCAGGGGGUUACAAAACCCACGAGAGGAGGAAGAAACUGGAGCAGGACCAAAUGCAGGCGCUGCUUGGAAGGGUAAUGGGGCUAGAGGAUCGAGAAAAGGAACGAGAAGCAGCAGAUCGCAACAAACGACAUGCCGAAGCUUCCCCCGAAGCUACCCCGCCAUCUCAGCGGAGAAGCAGUGUGGCUUCCACCAAGCUGCUUCAGCCAGAGCAUGCCUUGACGGCUCCUACCAGCUAUCCCGUGGAUGCUAUCAGGGAUGCUGAAAAUUGCCACCUUAUGGCGCAAUGGAGCAAUUUGAAGGUCAAGGCGGCUGUUGGCUCUGUUUAUCCUACUAAACCCGACUCAACUUUUCACUGCCGGCCGAUUCCAGAAGGAUAUGCUAAGGUGAUGGUCGAUGAAAUAACGGAGGGAUUUGAGGACCUCCAGCUUGACCACCCUACCGGUGAAGGGGAGUAUCGGCUGGGUUCUGCUCUGAAGACUCCAUGCCUAUGGCGGAAGGAUCUCAUCAACCUUCCGAACUGGACGCCUCCGCCUCCUCCUCCUCCGGUGAGUCAGGGCACUCCGCCUCCUCCACCGCCUCCUCCUCCGGUGAGUGACGAUCAGGGCACUCGGCCGGCUCCUUCUCCGGCGCGUGGCGGCACUCCGCCUCCUUCUCCGCCUGCGCCGGCGCGCCUGAGCAGCCAGCCUCCUCCUUCUCCGCCUCGUCAGCAAGGGAGGAAGAGACCCGCCGCCGCUCCGGCUUCUCCGGCGCGUCACAGUCCUUCUCCUCCACCUCGUAAGCAAGGAAAGAAGACAUCCGCUCCGUCUACUCUGCCGGCGUCUAGCAGUACAGCCAAAGGCGGGAGGAGAUACAGAUUCGGUCCUUCUCUGAAGACUCCAGAGAAGUUACCGUACGAGAGGAGCGAGGAGGAAAACGCGAAGAUCCCGCAGACCGAAGUGGAUGACUGGUUUCAAGGGUUGAAAGCAAAGAGACAUCCACCUCCGGAGGAGAAGGUAGAUCCGGUGAAAGCGAAGCGCACUCUGGCUGCCCUGACAAAACCACCCAAGUCUCCGCCGAAAGGCAACUAUGAGCGCAUUAUUGGAAAGGCAUUUGCCGAAGCGGAGAGGUCGGGAAGUACUAAAAGUGAUCAAAGGAUGAAAGAACGACGAGCUGGGAAACAAAUUGCCCAGCUCGGCGAGCAAGCGAAGCAAUCGUGCCCCCCGCUCAAGGUGCCUGCUAGCGACAUCGUCGAUCCGAGGAUGGUGCCCGGUUAUGGCAAUCCUGCAGAUUACCUGCCCGACGAUGUACAUUAUGAUAUCUUGGAGGUGCAGAUACAAAGAUACGAGUACGGGAAGCCUCUCGUCAAAGAUGAAAGUUCUCUAUCAACGAUGAUGCAAAGAUUGCAUGAUUGGUACAUGAAAAUCUGCAAAGAGUCUGAGGGGAGGAGUACUUUGUAUGUGAGAGCUAAAAAGGAGCAUGACCUCCUUGAAAUUGAACUGUUGCCUAUUCCAUUUGAGGAGUUCUAUCAGUUUUUCAAUCAAUUGGCCAUCGAUAAAGCAACGGUCAGCUCCUACUGUCUGUAAGUAGUACUACUUCCGUCAUUAAGUCUCUCUAUAUAACUCAGCCCUUUCAUUGCAUGUAUUUAUAAUUAUCCUCACUAUAUUAUGCAGAUUGAAGAUCGCCGAAUUGAAAAAAAGACAAGUGGGAGAUAUUGGGUUCAUUAACACGUAUCUCAUAGAUGCAACUGAGGUUCAAUAUCGUGCCCAAGAAACCGAGGCCAACUUGCUACGAUCGUUGGAAAUAAAUGAACACAAAGAUAUAAUACUCUUUCCUUACAACUUCAAGUGAGUGUUACUGUCUUGUGGCAUAUUCGGUUUCCUUGUUAGUCCAGGUUAUAGUAAUGUAAUAUUGAUGAGUUAUGCAUGUGUGCGCAGGUACCACUAUAUUCUCCUAGAGAUUAAGCUUGAGAAGGGAGUAGUAACUGUCUUAGACUCCAAGCGAAAAGAUCCCAAGGAGUAUGCGGACAUGACUGAAAUGCUCGAGAAGUAAGUUAAAUCGAUCAUUAUCCACCAUAUCAUCAACUUUAUUCAUUUUUUAUAUCAAGUAAUUGUUUUCUUUGUAUGGCAGGGUUGGAGAAAAUUCACCAAAAAAGCUCCGGGACUACCGAAGAAGCUGCAAUUUAGGCACCCAAAAGUAAGUACUAUAUAGUAGCAUAUUCCAGGCAUCUCCUAGUGAUUCAAGCGCUAGUUUCAUCAAUACCAUUUAGCAUGCUUGCUAAUUAUCAGUUUGAUUGACCUCUAUUUCUUGUAAAGUGGCUGUGGCAGGAACAAGGGAAUGAUUUCUGUGGAUACUACAUUUGCGAGUCCAUCCGCCACACGACCUGUGAGCGGGGCUACUCCAACAAACAAUAUGAAGUGCGUAAAUAACAAUAUUCACAAUUUUAUUUUAUUACCAUCAUUUGUGUUGAGUUUCAUUCAUUCAUAUAUAUAUGUAUUGACCCCCUUCUUAAAAUUAGAUGUUUCGGAUGCGGGAUGAACUCCUAGCACCAGAUCGCAUGUGAGCAAUUCAAGAGGAAUUGGCGGCAUUCUUUCUUGACCACGUGAUCGCUGAAGACGGAGAAUACUAUGUGGACCACGCGUCCGUAUUUUAGGAGAUUAUAUAUUUGUAAAAGAUAAUUAUUGUAUAUAUGUAGCCGGUAGUGUCGGAUAGAUAUACGAGAACUUGUUGUUCGACCUCGGAGAAGGAGAGGUGGUCGAUAUCACUUCUCUCUGUAUGCAUAUAUGUUCAUGACGAUCUUCUGUUUGCUUACUAGCUAGCUAGCGUGUCUAGCUAGUCCUCUCUAUACGUAUGUAUGGUACGUAGCGUCGACCAAGCACGGACAAAAGAGAGGACACUUCUCUCUAUUAAUUAGCUAGCUAUAGCACAAUAAAUGAAACACCUAAAUUAACCCCCCAAAACCCCCCAAACCCCCCCCCCCUUUUAAAAAAAAAACAAAAACCCCAGCCACAGAAAUGCUGACGCGUGGAUGCCUAUUGGUCCCGGUUGGUGCCACCAACCGGGACCAAAGGCCCUCCUGCCUGGGCUCAGCGGACAGGCCACGUGGAGGCCCAUCUGUCCCGGUUCUGGAUUGAACCGGGACUAAAGGGUCAGGGCAUUAGUACCGAACCUUUAGUCCCGGUUCAUGAACCGGGACUAAAGGCCCUCACCAACCGGGACUGUAGGCCCUUUUUCUACUAGUGUUACUGAGGCAGCGCUGGGCCAUGUUGUGGUGAGAACAUACGAGAGAUAAUUGGGGUGUGUGGCUGAUUGCUUCAUAUGCUGCUAAUGAUAUAUGUAGACUGCUGAUUGCUCCUGAUAUACAGUGUCGAUUGCAGCUGAUAGUAGGAUUGUACUCAAUUUGAUAGGUAAAGUGGGAUGUCUUGAUUGUAUAGUGCUCAUAAGCCAGUCCGGGCAUUGUCCUUCCUCGAAUGAAUCUGAGACUACUCCUCAUAUGUUAAUCAGUUGCUCCUCCCUAGCUUUGGUUUUGUCUGAACUUCCAAGUUUUCAUCCACCCAAUGUUGAUUCAGUCAAAGAUCUCUUGGAAAAAUUAUUUCGACAAGAUUCACUCUAUAAUGUUGUUAUCAUUGUCCUCUGGAAUAUAUGGAAGCGCAAAAACUCCAAGGUCUCCCGGGAUGUUUUUGAGGAAUUGCACAUUACUGCUAGCAAGAUUGCUGAUGAUUGAUACCAUGGUCCAACAGGUAUUCACAUGAAAUUAAUAAAUGGCACCUUACGGAUUGGAGUACUCUACUGUAUCACUAUCUGGGAGAUUUUAAUUUUUUCCUUCUAUUAUUUAUCUUAAUCCCUGUGUACUCAUUGGACUUUGUAUAGUUCUUAGUUUUAUGAAGUGGUUCAGGCUGGCGUAAGCCGCCAUAGUCCCAGUAAAAAAAGGCUACAAGCUUCGCUUCGGCCUUUCGGAACUGAAUAUUAUGUAGUUUUAUUGAGAUUAUUGAUAACGCUUCUCUACUAUCAAAGAAGGUAAUAGUCUCUUAUGUGUUUCUUUUUGUCCAUUUGAAUGCACUCCAUUUUUUAGUGUAUUAAUUAACAUCAAACCUCCCAUUCUUUCUAGAGUGCUGAUGUAUUAUUAUUUUCAGCUUAACACAUUUAACUUCCUAUAGAUUUCAUGGUUUAUGCAGAUUAACCGAGCUAAGAAUUUUUGUGAAGCUAAACCUGGUGUUAAGAUGAACGCUGCUAUGUAUAUAUUUGAAACAGUUAGAUACAUGCUUGACAGACUAUAUAGGGGUGAUCAAAACCAUGCGAAGCAUUAUGGGACAAGUUUCUCUACCUUAAAUAAGUGUUCGUUCUCUCGUGUUUACUAUUCGUUUAAGGGUCAUCAACCCGUGUAUUUAUUUUCAUUGACCAAGUUUUACAUUUUUCUUCUGUAGUGUUCAUUGUGCAGUUCUAGAUUGUUAAGAGAGUAGAGUUUAUUGAUUUAUUACAUGGAGAGACCAGUAGUGUCGUAGUGGUCUUGACAUAAUUGCUAACAUUUUCUACUAGACAAAGUUUAAUUGCACUAAAUACAAAUUAGAACAUGCAUAGACAUUUAUCUUCUUUCUACAGAAUGGUUAGUGUAAACGUACUUUGAGUUGUACAUGAUUCUGUAUCUGACCAUUUUAUCUCAUAUGUUGAUGUGGUUGCAGAUAUGAACUUCAAAUUAUCCUGCAAUGUAUUGACUGCUCGGAGCUAACUUGACUACGCCAGUUUUCUUUUAUGGCUCAAAGUAGUUAGUGUCCCCCCUUAUUAUGAGAGAGGUACUACUUCAAACAUCUCUUCUUAAUGUUUUAUGUCAUGGCAUACAAUAUGAGGGAGUGUUAGUUGGCUUGACUUUCGUGGCACUCAUUAACAACCUUUCAGUUUAGGAGUUUUUGUGGCCUCUUAAUCCAUGAGAGUAUGCUCAUGUUGAAGAAGUUAGUCAUAAUGAGGGGCACCAUAAAUGUUUGUUAUCUGGCACAAAUUCCUAAUGAAUAUCACAUGUGAACCUUUUACUGUUGUGUUAAUCAAAUUUCAUUGUACUAUUCAUACAGUAAAAUAUGAGUGCCAUGUCAGAAUAUGGUUCUCGAUCUGAAAGAUCAUAUUGGAAAUUGCAGGUUCUAUGGCAGUGGAGUAAUGUUCGUAAAUUAUAUAUUGCUUUCAUGUUUGGAGCUGGAAUAAUAUAUGUGAUGCAUUUAGUUAUAGUCUUAUAGAUAUACAUGAACAUCCAUUGUAUAUUUCUUGCACGACAUGAUAACUACUAUUAUUUUGAUUGUUUCCGUGAACUAUUUUGACCUUGAUUAAGAAGUAAAAAGUUUUUAGCCUCGUAGGUUGUUUGAUCUACUAUAUCAAGUGGCACCUGGCUUCUCAUGGCUCUCCUCGCAUUUGCCAAAACAAAGUUAGCACACACUACCUAGAGCUCUGGAAAUUAGAACUGAAAAAUGGUCCUGUGGUUUAUUAGCUGAUAUAAAUCAUGCACAAUCCUCUACAUUUAAAAAUAACCGGACACAAAGCAGUAUACUUUUUUCCGAGUACUAUCUUGAGAGAGCCAAGGGGUUCUGCAUUUUAUAAAGAAGAAGAAAGUUGCGUGGUUCCAUACAUGCUUAUCUAAGAAAUAUAUCUUAUCUAUUUAGUGGAAACCAGGCAAAAACCUACAGAUACAAAAGGCACAAAGUCCCCCACCGGUUGUGACCGAACUACUGUUUUUGGAAAUAUCACAUGAGCUAGAUUACUAACAUUGAUGUAAUGCUUGUAUGGCAACCUAUUCCUUUAUUGGUUCAAUUACAGAGUUUUGUUAUUAUGUGAAUGGAGUAAUGGAGAGCUAAGAAAAAACAAGGUAACAGUUAGUGUUACUCUUGCGAGGUAGUUUCAAUCAUAUCAUUGUUUGCUUUCCCUUUUCUCCUGCCUAGGUAUGUACAAUUAUUCCAACCCAGGUUUCUUUCAAGAAGCAUAGGUAUGUGUUUGAGGAAUGUCUACAUGACAAAACACACCUUCAAGUUUGGUGAUAGUUAUGCUAUCAAACUUACAAUGGGGGUCUUAAUUUGUAUUUUUAAUAGAGCACUGGGUUCAUUUGUGAGACUUGUGAGGAUGUGCCUAGGCUAAAGAUGGCUGCUAUGUCGGUACCAAGUGGCAUGUGUUUAAAUGGAGUAUCCUUGUCAGGAGAGCUGAUUUCUGAAAUAUGGUACUUUAUGGGUGCAAGGAUUCACCAUGUUGCGGUCUUCGUCAGCGGAGUGGACUCCUAGGAAUUAGUCAAGGCCGCUAUGUUGUUUUAAGCUGAUAUUCUAUCGUACUUGUAUAUUUUUUUGCUUAUCUAGCUGUUUGCCAUGCAGUUCUCGUUGUUGGUGGGAACAUUUGUUGUCUAAGAUCGACCUCAAAUAUCUGGUGGCACUAUAGCAUGGCUUUUGAUAUUCUAAUGUAUAUCUCUUACAAAAUAUUUCAAGAGCCCGUGGCAACGCACGGGCAUUAUACUAGUGUAAGUAAGGAUGGAGAUGAAGAUGGUGUGGCGACAAGGAUAUAACAAAACGACUGGUUCCUUCAGCCAAAAGUUGGCGACGUUCCUUGUUACACACGCUCCGCCCAACAAACGCUCCAAAAGCCAAAAUACAAUUCCUCAAAUAAUGGCCAAAGACUACUUCCCCACAUGGAAAAGAAAUACGCACAUGGCGUUACAAUGUUAGCUACUCAUGUCUGAGUUCCUAAACCCUUGCAAAACAGAAAGAAAGGUUGUUUGCUAAACAAAAGAAAGGCCAACACAAUCCUAUCCAAACACUCCACAUUUUUACUAUGUGUCAAAAAUAUGCAACUUUUUUUUGGUUUUUAGGUACAUGCCAAUUUUUUUUUUGAAAAACACAAUUUUUUUAUGUUCACACGCCAAGGUAUUUUGUACACAUGGCAAAAUUUUCCGAAGAAGAAAAAUCUCACGACCCCAUGGAUAAUUCAUAACUUUUUGUCUUUCAAACAGGGCAAUUUUAAGUCAUUUUGUAAUGCUAUUGUGGCAAACGAUGGGAUUUUUAAUCAAUUUUCAUGGCGAAUUUGGGAUUCUUUUCCCUACUUUUCCACAUGGCAAUUUUAUUAUGAUCAAAAUGGAGAUCUUAUUAUUCAAAACAUGGCAGCUUUACUAUUAAGAGCAUGGAAAUUUAAGUAUGAUAGAAUCUCCUCCCCUGCUCGGUCUACCCCACAUGCAUGGCGUAUAACAUCCUCUAGCCCCAACUGCCGCCAAACCUCUCUAGCCUUAUGGCAUCGAAAUAGUACAUGAAACACAUCUUCUGCUCCUUGUUUACAUGCAGGACACGUCGGCCGGACUGGUAUGUGUCUAUUAGCAAGAACCACAUUGCAUGGCAGUGUUCCGUGUAAGGUUCUCCGAAGAAAUUUUUUAACUUUCGCCGGACAAUUCAGUUUCCAAACCUUUUCCCAUGUUGGGUUAGCACUAGUGGCUCCCAAACCAUCUGUCCUCUGCAAUUUACGGCCAUGCUGAAAGUACCAUAGAGCAUGGUAGGCCGAUUUCACUGUAAAAAUUCCAUGUUUAUUCAAACUCCAUGCUACAAAGUCACUCAUAUCAUGUGUAGGUAGUGGUAAAGCAAGGACCCGUUCAACAUCAAUCGGCCAGAAGGUUUGCUCCACAAGUGGCACAUCCCAGUGACCUGUAGCUGAAUCAAUUAAAUCACUCACCUUUGAUAGUAACUGGUUACCUCUUGGGGCAAUAAUCAUUCUGGAUGGUGAGUUAGGAAUCCACACAUCCCUCCAAAUAUUUAUUUUUUCACCAUCCCCAACUCUCCAAAUGUAUCCAUGUUUCAGGGUAUUCACCCCUUGCAUAAUGCUCUGCCAAGUGUAGGAGGAAUUAUUUUUUAGCUUAAUUAAUUUACCAGCACAAGAAGCGGCCGUGCUGGGAGUGAAAAACUUCCAUGACUUGAUGUUCACUUGCUGCUGGUACCUUUGGUGGGAGAGGAGAAAGCUUGUGCACAAUGAGCCGGUACAAGAUGCGAAGAGAACUGCACAAGCGGUAUGUGCUUUAGCUGCUAACUAUGCUAUUGCAUGUGAUCCAAAGGCCUCGUUAAAGAGGGGAGGUUGGUGCAAACCCCCUAGUGGAUAUGUUAAGUUAAAUGUUGAUGCGGCCUUUGAUUGGGAUUUGCUUCAGGGGGCAAUGGGAGCAGUCAUCCGAGAUGGUAGAGGACAUAUGGUUGUAGCUGGAAACAAGCUCAUUGAUUCCUGUUAUGAUGUACUAACUGUUGAGGCAAUGGCUCUGAAGUUUGGGUUGAAUAUGGCGCUCACAGCUGGGUGCAAUAGACUGAUUGUCAACUCGGAUAAUCUGGAACUCAUGGAAAUAAUGAAUAAGGAUGGCCAAUAUGCUGGAGAUGUCGCGGCCAUUGUCGAUGAUUGUUAUCAUCUGGCUUGCGAAUUUAGCUCUAUUGUCUUCGAAUUUUGCCCCAGAGGGUCGAAUGGGGUUGCACAUGAACUAGCUAGGAUUGCUAGAAGUUCGCUUUGUAAUGAGUGGUUAGAUAAUGCUCCUUCUGAGCUUCUUCCCCUACUACUUAAAGAUGUAAGUCUGAUCACGAAUGAAUAAAGAGGAAGUAAAGUUGUCAAAAAAAAAAGAGCAUGGCAAUUUUAUUUUUAAUGGCAUGUCAUUCUUACCUUUUUUUUGAGAAAAGCAUGUCAUCUUUAGUAUGUCCUUCUCGCCUGCUAUAUGAAGUAGGCGGACCCUAGAUGGGCUUUCCCAAUAUGGGUUCCUGGGACCGGGUUCCUGCAGAGUUUCUUUUCCUUGUCGUCUUGUGUGUUUCCUUGGCCAAUUUUCAUAUUUUUGUUUGGUUUUCUGUCUUAUGUGUUUCUUUAUGGAUUUUAUUUCUUUCUCAAUACAUGUACAUUUUUCUAAAUACACACUGUAAAAAUUUACACAUCUUGAACAUUUUUUAUUAAUUGGCAUAAACCUAGUUUUGGAGUGUGUGAGCAUUUUUUAAUUGUCAUGUACAUUUUUCUGAAAGGCAGUAUUUAUUUUGUUGAAUUACGUGAGCAUUCUUUACACAUCUUGAACAUUUGUCCAUAUUUUUUUGAAACACAUGAACAUAUUUUUGAAUGCUAUAAACAUUUUUUAUAUCAUGCUGCAUUUGGUCUAUAUUAGUUUAAACUAAGUCAGUGACAAUUAAUAUGGAUCAUAGAGAGUACAAUUUUGUACAUGAUGUUUAUACUUUUAUAUUUCACUUCCAAUAUUUUUUAUUUAUUAAACUCUAUUGUGUUUUUGGAAUAAGUGUAUUUAGAACAUAUUUUUUAAAAUUUAAAUAAAAUGGAGCGAAUGAAGAAGCAGAGAAGAAAAACGAAGGCCGGCCAAAUGUAUGGCGUUCCCUGCCUCAUACCUGCAAAUCAAGCUAAGCAGCGGGUGAUAAUUUUUUACACAAUGUUUAUAGUUUUCUAUUUCACUUUGAACAUUUCAAAAUUUUAAGGAAAUUAUUAUUUUUAAAUAAAUGUUUUUAGUUUUUUAAUAAAAAGGUGAAAAAAAGGAAAUUGAGCGAAUGAAGAAGCAGAGAAGAAAAACGCCCUUUCUUUCAUCAACUGAACUGCGUGCGUGCAUGGAAGGGCUAUCAUCUGCACUUAAGAGGAGUGACUUACCUAUCAUUGUGGAGAUGGACUCUAUUCUUGCAGUCAAACUGAUCCAAUCGAGGGAUUUGGACAAAUCUAUUUAUGCUUGGGUAGUUAAGGUGAUCAAGUAUGUUUUGGGGAUUCGUGGUUCUUGUAUUACUCAUGUUAAUCGCUCUCAAAAUAAAGUUAGCGACUGCUUAGCUAGAUUUGUUAAAUUAGAAGGACAAACCAUGACUUGGGUUGGUUUUGGUCCAGAUGUUGCUGUUGAGCUAACUGUUGCUCAAUGUAUGGACACCAUGAGUUGAGUAAUGCAAAAAAAAAGUUUGCGCAGAAUUAUUUUCGAUUUUUUUGAAAAUUUUAAAUAUGUUUUUUUUUCUUUUCAAAAAAAUACCACACAAAUUUGGCAUUCAUUCCCUGCUUCAUAUCUCUACUCCUAAUGGACGACUUGGUGAAUAGUCUCCAUGGUUUAUUUUCGCCGGGUUUUUUUCGUCAUCCUCCCACCUCACGGUUUCAAAAAAACAACCAAAACCAGAGGCCCGUCCCACGAAACGAAACCCAAUUUGCCCCCGUACCACCACUCCUCCCUCCCCCUCGACCUCCCUUGUCUAGGAUUCCCCGCCACCACUGCGGUAGCCGCCGCCGAAUCCUAGGUCGCCGCACACCGUCGCCGCUGCCGCGAAUCCCCAGGGACGCCGCACGCCACCGCCGUCGUGAAUCACCAGAGACGCCGCACGCCGCCGCCGCGGAUCCCCAGGGAUGCCACCGCCACCGCCGCGGAUCCCCAAGGGCGUGGUCGCGUUGUACUAGACAAAGUGUGGUCGCCGCCGUCCUCUCCUCGUCCGACCUUGACCUCAUCCCUUCGACUCCGGUGACUCCUCUGUGGCCCGGUGGAUGCCAACUGUCAUGGAAUUUUCACGGCAGAUGUUGUAGUGUGAGGACUUCGUCGUGAGGCCAACACAUCUACGCGGUAGCUUGAAGGGGUUGGUCGAAAUCGAGAGACGCGAGGCGGAUCAACAUACAAGACAAGGAUUUAGACAGCUUCGGCCCCGGGAAACAUCAUCCGUUAAUAGCUACAUGUUGUUUGUGGCUAGGUCUCAUUAUGCUCGCGAGGGAGUCACCGUAAACCGGCUCUCCUAGUUAUGUCUAGCCCUAGAGAUUGUUUCUUGUUGCUUGUGCCUCUUUGGGGAGCCUUGUCCCUCCUUAUAUAAGUUAGAUGGGCGGGUUACAUGUGCAGUCCUAUUAGGAUUAGGACUAGUCUACCUUCUAAUACAAACCGGAUACAAGUCCAGGUCUUAACUCCUUGUAAGACAAAUAUUUCUCACGCCUUUCCUCUUAAACCGGCCCACCAUAACAUGAGCCGGCCUUCUGGGCCUUGGGCCUUGUCAUCCGUCUGUCCCGCCCGUCGGGUUACCAGUGAAUCAUAAUGUUCAGUCAGGUUGCUUGUAAACCAUCUGGUCAGUGUGGGUCGCCGGUGAAUCGCCAAGUCCGGCCAGGUUACGCCGCGGGGUAUAUCCCCGACAUCUCCCGUGAUAUCUGACGAUAUAUUUACAAGUAAUGCGCAUGGAUGGUUCAUCCGUGAUUUUAGGGUGGGUUAGUCGGUUGGAAGAUUUGUUAGUUAGCCUACUUAAAGGUAGCACGACGCUUUGGUGCUGUUGUUAGGGUUUGCUAACCCAGCGGAGGAGUCCCUAGUUCUUCUCUUACCCAAAGGAUUACGACCACCGUCUGUCAUUGCCGCAGUCGCCUGACACCAAAUCAACCAUGUCAUCGUCGAGCUCGAUUAGGUGCGCGCUGAGGGGCCGAUCAGUUGAUGUGCCCCUGAUCCCUUGCCCUGACUGUGGCGAAACGGGUAGAUUCUAUCUCUCUAGUACCGAAGAGCAUGAUGGUUGGGUGUUCUACAAGUGCAAACACCACGAUGUACAAUCCCUUUACACUUUGGGUUGACAUUUACUGCAUGAGUAAUUUUUUCUACUGUUUCGUUAGUGCUGGUUUGAUUUGUGUUCACUUGAUUCAUAGGAUCCAUGUGAUUUCUGGCGCUGGGAACUAGAGUACGUGGAUCAUCUUGUUGGUACAAGUGUCCUUGUUGGUGCUUAUGCCCUUGAUGCAAUGGCUGCGACACAGGAUAGAAGGGAACAGCUACAUCGCGCAAAACAACAGUGGGAAAAGACUGCAUGUACCAAGAGUGGCAACAUUGGAGGCAGGACAAAUUACAGCCAGAGAAAUGUGGCAACCAUUACGAAGCACCAAGCUUAUACGAUGUUAGGACUAGGGAGACAAAUUGUUUUCAUGCCGAAGCUGUUGACGGCUAGUGUAAUGGUGUUGUGUGUGUGGUGUGUGAUGUUGAUUGUGAAGAAAUAAUAUAUUUGUGAUCGUAUCAAGGCGAUUAUCAUGGUUACAUGUAAUAACAGCUUAAUAAGAAGAUGUGUUCUAACAUGAUAACUCUUAUAUGCCCCCCAACCCUAUUUUAACAUGACAGGUAAGAGUAAGAAAUAAAUCUUACACGAUGAUUCCAUGAAAUAGUUGUUUUGAUUAUUUCUUACCUUCUUGACUAUUAUGAGAAAAUAAGAGGUAAGACGGAGCAUGUUAAAAUUGCUAAAAAAUAAUGAAUAAACCGAGUUGCAAUGAAGGCAAACGAAUGGAAAAACGUAAACGACCAUUUAAAUUCUUGCCCACUAUGUUGUGCACGAACACAAGAGUACCAUGAAAUAAAAAUAAAGUAUGUCAUUACACCAAUGACUUAAAAAUCCCUUAAUUUAUUUUCGCACACUAUGUUUUGCCAAAACUACUCUAGAGGCACAUCAGGAACAUGGGAAACAAAUAGAUAAAUCCCAUGAUCUCCCUAGUACAACAACAUUAGCACCUUCUGUCCUAACAGCAAGAGGUUUUCCUUCUUCAUGAACUCGUUCCAUUUGUUGACGCAUACAUGACCAUCAAUAUCAGAAAUGGUGUAUGUACUUGACACAACACUGUGUGGAUGAUAAACAAUGGUUAUGGCACCAUAUUCCUCCAUUUCUUCAGGGACAACACGAUUAGGCAGUUUCUGUUUGAAAACAAUAUUUGUUACAUCAGCACGUGGCAACUUAAUGUUAUGUAGUAAAGGAAGAACAAUUAAUUUGGAACAAAGCUAAAAACAUAUUGAAAUGACACAAAGUGAAUGAAGUACCAAAAGAUGGUUACCGAGAAGUUCUUGUUGCAAUUUGACCAUGUCAACGUAUGGAGGAAUGCAUAUGCUCUCCCUGAUCAUAGUUUCCAGCAUCAUGACACUCCACUAACUUUUAAGGUCCAUCACUUGGCGUAUGACAUACUCCAUUAUUCUCCAGUUUAAGCUUGUCCCCUCAGUUACAACGACAUUGUCAAUAAUAUCUCUUUUCUCAUUGGACAAUUGGUAGUAUGCUACAAUAUUAUAGCACAGACAAUUUAAUUUAUUAUAUAUGGUAUAUGAUAAAGUUAGAGUAAUAAAACUUGCAGGAGCAAAAAAGUAUCUUACUCAGAUGUAUGAUAGGCAAAUUCCUAGUUGUCAAUACGCUACUUGGUACUUCUGAAUUGUCAGUACUGAACAUAAUCUCCUGACCCACAUGUAGCGUGUAAACUCUAACAAAUUCCUUCCAAGACUUCCCUGAAAUGUAUGUCAACUCAUUGUCAUUGGUAAUCACACAUGGGAAUUCAAACCCCUCAUUGGUACUGAAACUUGCUUCAAAGUUCCCAUAUUUUCCCAAGGACACGCCAAAUUUCUGUGUGAAACUGUAUCUGUCGUAGCAGGGAUUACCUGAGUAGCAUAUCUACGAUUGUUAAUAUAUAUGAACUGCCUGUUAAUCUAAAGAAUUUGUCUAAUCAUAGAUGACUAGCAUAGUAUAGUUCACUACUUCUUAGCAGUAUUAUCAUAUAACCCCAUAGAAGAUUUAAAUUAACAUGCACGUACACAAAACCAUUUUAUCAUCUAAGAAAUCAAGAUGCAAUAUAACUCUUUUUGCAGUAAACAUUACGAACAACUGAGAGAGUACAAAGGGUCCGAGUACAAUAUUCGUUCAAUAUUACUGCCUCCGUCCAAAAAUUUGUGGACAAAAUUUUGUACAUACGGAUGUAUCUAUGUAGAAAACAUGACGAGAUACAUGUGUAUCUACAUGGAUCUAACACAUUAAUUUUGGAUCGGAUGGAGUACUAAAUUUCUCAUGAUAUUUGCUACGGGUCAUGUCAGACUGGAUCUUACUGUCUUGUUUGCAAAUCCCUCGCGCACGGUGACGGUACAAAACUCCCUCAUACAAUGCUCACCGGGGCACAAACCCUUGGUGUCCAAACAAAUGCCACACUCCAAAUCGAGAUCAAUCUCAUUACUAGUAUGUACAGUCUUAAAGAUUAGUGCUAGCAGUUGAAUUUAGAUCUGACAGAUUCUAUAGUGCAAAUACGUACCGCGCUGAUCUCCUUAACCAUUUUCACAAAGGUUCUCAACGGCGGCAGCGCGUGUACCGCAUCGACUCCAUGGAUGGAAUCCAGUUUGAACCAAUGUUCGCACUUGGUAUGGUGUCAAUUAGGUCCACCCUUAGGCAAAGAAGCUUGAAGGCAUCAUGUGCUACCACUUUCGAUGGUUGUCUAGGGGGGUAGACCGUCUGGGAGGAAAUGAAAAAAUCAUGAAAAUCAUGUGUAACCUUGAACACACUGUGCAUGCAUGCUUGAUUUGGUUCAUGGGAUGGCAUCAAAAUAACUCAGAAUCCUAUGUACAUGGUGUAUUGAAGGAGAUGGCCCGAGACGGGCCCUUCCGGGCUAUCCUUGUACCCUCCGAAAGCACGUGUUGGUUUAUUGACCUAUAUUAAAUGACCGUCAAGUUUGUAGGGUUACAAUCCAUGGCCAUGUUAGGGAUACAUAUGCCAAGUUUGAAGCAUUUUCAUCUAAGUUUGCAAGUUUUUUCUUGUGUAAAUCUUAGUCUAAACUGAGAAGCAUCACUACAAGAAAUAUGCUAUCUUGUAACCUCCACUAUUGGUCACUGAAAGGUCAUAGUUUUUCAUUUGUGACCUUUUUGCGACAAAAAAUAGAAGGUCAAAAGCUGAGGGUCGUAAACUGACUAUAGUGACCUUCUCACAACGACCUUCUCUAUGAGAAGGUCGUGGACGUUUAUGACCAAAAUAUUCCUACUGUGGCGUUUUGGUCACUAGCAGCCUCCCCAGUCCACGUAGGCAUCCAGCGUGGCAAGCUGAUGUGGCACCAGAUUCAGCCCGGUCCAAUUCGGUUUUCUACAUGGACCUAGCCCAUUAAUUCAGCCCAUUUAGUAUAUUUAUUUUUGUUAAUUUUGUUCAGCUACAUGGGCCAAGCCCAACUAGUCAGCCCAUAAAUUUUUAUGCACGUUUGGCCUUUCAAGAAUAUAUAUACAAUUUUGUGCAGCCCAUUUCUGGUUUACAUUCAGCCUUUUUAUACAUUCAAAUAAUAAUUCAAUCCUGAUGUUGGUCCAAUACUCUUUUCAGCCCAUUCACAUAUUCGUACAAAUGAUCCUCCUUUUCGACAAAAUUUGCAAAUAAUUUCAUAUUUCAGCACUAAAUAUGUUUACAUCACAGGCCAUAAAGCCGUACAAACUAGUAUCACUUGUUCCUAUACAAAACUAUCAAAUGAUACAUACAACAAAACAGAAUACAGAAAAUUUAGUUCAACAAAAAUAAGUUUUCUUCCUCUUCCAUCUUCCAGGACACAAAACACCUGUGAAAGUAAAGAUGCCACAACAAAAAUGGAAGGAUCAGCCAUUAGAAGCAUAUUGAGUACAAGGGAAACACGCACUGUGAAAUUUUUGACAGCACGAAUAUUUUUUAUAUUAUAAUAACAAACAGAAAUGUAAUCUGAUUGCAUAAGACAUAUGGCAUUAUCAACAAGACAAAGCAAAAUUUAUAGUGCCAACUCGGGAAUAAGAUAAAGCAAAAUUUAUAAAUCUAUAGCAUCGCACACGAGGUCUAAAUUUAUAAUAUGUUCCUUUAGAAGCAAGAGUUGGUUCGUGUCUAGCUUUUAUUGCAGAUAACUAGUAAAUUUCCACAAAAAAUAGGAGCGACAUAUGUUUUAAUCUCGUGUUUGCAGUAUAUAUUCACAACAUGUAAGAAUACUUUGAUUAACAAACUAACCAACCAUCAACUAACACUUCACAGUACCAACUAACACUUCAUAGUACCAACUAACACUUCACAGUACCAAAAAAAUGGGGUGGCGCUCACCAAUUCAGAUGUGCAGCAGCCAUGAGGGCUUCUUCGUGUUCCACCUACAGCAACGGCAACUUCUACAAAUCUGAGACACAAAACAAACGCAUGCAGAAGGAAUCAGAGGGAGGGGAGAUGAAGAACAUGGCAGGCAUUUAUAUGAUGGCAGUACAUAUGGAACAAACAGCAGUCCAUACUUGCAUCAUCAUGUGUAUAACAAAAUCACGGUCGCCUCUACAGAUAGCACUACUAGAGUAGAGAGCCAAGCAUAAUAAUUCUACCAGGAGACAAUGUAAACACAGAGUCACACCAUUGACAGAUUAAGCCUUACAACAUGUUUGGUGGCUCAGUGGGUGAUGUAUGCAUGCACAAAAAGGGGGGCAAUUUUUCAAUCAAACUGAAGAAAAACACACAUCAUUUAGUAACCAGUACAAAUCCCGGUAGCUGUAGGUGCAUGCAUUGUGUAACAAUGAGUAAUCAAUAGCAUUUCAGAGUUGUGCAGUUACUAGUGUGUCGUCCUCUGUUUACCACACCACACAUGGGCAUGAGAAAAUUGCUAAAAACCACUGAUCGUGUGCUAAUCUACUUGGAAAAUUAUAUGUUUGAAAAAGAGCAGCUUGCAUCCUUUUUAUUAACCUACAAAGCAUAUGCGGUCACAGAAAGCAGUACUAAAAUAGAAAACACAAAGCAGUAGAAUAAACUAUGCACAUGUACUCGGCAGCCCACUCACAUUACCAGCUCCCUUAUAGAAAUAGCAAUCAUUUUAAAAGCAUCAUGACAGAUGUUAGCAACUGAACAUCUAAGGCUAAUCCAGCAGCAAAUGAACAUAGUGAAGAAUUUAUUUGCAAAGAACACAAAAGGCGGAAGAAAAAUUACAUGUUGAAGCAGCCGUGUUACUUGACGUCCUGCAACAGAUAACACUUGACGAUUAGAACCACUAUAAUUCAAACAGAGAAACAAAAAUGCCAAACUUAAGCAUAACGAAUGCACUGACCCUAUUGCGGCCACAUUUUAACCACUAGUGUUGUGAUAUAGACAAGAUAGUCAGCCGCUUACAUGGUAAAAGGAACAUGGCAGCACUAAGUUACACAGGAAUGUCCAGUAGGAGAUAUGAUCUGAUAGAUCCACAGAAACAACUCAGACCAGAACAGCACUAAGUGUUCACUCACAAAUUGGUACUAGCAUAGAGAUUUUCGUAUGCCUAGAACCUGUGGCAAUACAUGUUGACGUAUAUGCAAGGGUAUAUAUAUACUCGUAUUUGAUAGGACUAACAACACAUGAAUCAAAGAUAAUCACAAUCAGCCGCGUAAUCUACCACAAACCCAUGGUAACAGACACCAUUACACAGCUACACCAACAGCCUACCGAAGCAAAACUCCAAAUCGGAUGAAAAAUUAACUAGGAUGGGAUCUGACACUGGCAUCAACUAACUAGGGAACAGCCUAAACAAACACCGUUGAGAAUGGUGCCGAAAUGGAUCAGAUGACGAAAUUGGCUUACCCGGCCUCCGGGUACUGCUGCUUGAACUCGAGGUGGUGGGAGGCGACGGGGCUGGCGUGGCGGUCGUAGAUGAUGAACCUGGUGCUGGUGGUGCCCUGGUCGAUCGACGCCACGUACACCUCCUCUGCCUUCCCCUUCCCCGCCAUACUCCUUCCCCUUCCCCUUCCUCCACACGCCCCAGAGCAUGCUCGCCGGAAAAACAAGUGCCGAACCCUCUGCCGGCGGGCAAACAGAGGGGGGCGGCCGGAGCAGCGGACUGAGCCGGUGGAACAAGCGAGGAGGCGGUCGGCGUUGAAGUGGGAGGCAGUGGGACGCAGAUCCUGGUCGUCCUCCUCCUCAUUGUCGAUGUCGUCCAUGGAGGUCACCUGCCAGUUCAAAUCCAACCCAAUAAAGGGGAUCAGACAAGGAAGUAGAGAGAGGAUCUGGGCUGGGGAAGGGGAAGUAGAGACAAGGAAGUCAGCGUCGCGCUCGGCGUACUUGUCGGCCUUGAGGUAGCGCGUGAUGCGGCCGACGGGGAACUGGAGCCCGGCCUUGGACGACCGCGACACCGACUUGGUCUCCUUCGCCUUGCCGCGGCCGAGGUAGCGCGCGAUGCGGCCGAGGGGGAACUGGAGCCCGACCUUGGACGACCGCGACACCGACUUGGUCGCCUUCGCCUUGCCGCGGCCGAUGACGCCUCCGGUGGAACUCAUCACCGAUUCGCCUUUGGGGGAGGUCCGGACGCGGUUGGUGACGACGAAGGAGAAGACGAUGAAGACGCGGCAGGAGCAGCGCCUCCAGCGCGAUGACCGGCCGCUCCAGGAACCGCUCGCAGUCGGUGGUGGCGGCCCGGUGGCUCAGCCAGAUGCCGCCGCCGAGGACGACGAGAGGGACGAGGGGGAUCUGGAUCGGGGGAGAGGAGGGAGGGAGAGAACGAAAGAAAGAAAGAAGGCGGGGGGUGGAUGGAAGAUGCCAGCUAGGGUUUCGCCUCAGGCGGGGACGCAAGGAGCGACGGCUACCGUAGGAUCCGGGAGGAUCUGAUGGUGUUUUGUGCAUGAUCCGUGUGCCUUGUCCACGGACCAAUCAGAACGCAAUACAAUAUUAUGUCCAAUUGAAUUGGUCGUGAUAAAUUUAAAAAUAAGAUGUUAGAUCAUCUUAGCUAUUUACUUGACCUGAUAAAUUGGAAAAAUAUGAAACAAAUGAAAAACCUUCUCAUCAUGUCAUCAAAUGUGACCUAGUUUUUAGAAGAAAAAAAUAACAAAAUAGUAAUAAGGAACUUUUCAUUUUCUUUGCACGAAAAUUCAUUUUUCAUUGUUCGAGUGCUCAAAAUGAGUUUUUUGUGAAGAACAUACCAAAUAUUUGUUGCAAAAUUGUAUCAAAUCAUUUUUCUAAAAUACUAUACCAUAUUUAAUGUACAAAUAACCAAAUGGUUGGCUGUCAAAACUUUUAAUCCACCUCUCGUGAAAAAGACAAAUUUCCGCCGAUUUAGUUGAAAGCUGGUCAAAUUUGAACUACAGCUGCUUCAUAGUUUGCUAUUUAUUUUUUCCAAAAAUAAUUUCUAGGUACAUAAGUACCUAUUUAAUCAGAGAAACACCAAUUUUUUUUCAAGAUUCAACCACUAGCUAGGAACGGUCAAGCCCGCCGUUUUGACCGCAUUUUGAAACGGGCAUAAAAAAUUCAAAAAAAAUCAAAAAAUUGGAAAACCUUCGCAUUGUGUCAUUAUAUGUGACCAAGUUUCCACAAAAAAUAAUAAACUUGUAAUAUGGAAAUUAUUUUAGAAAAGUGUUCUCAGAAAUGAGCUAUCAUGUGUGAAGAUUCAUGGAUUUCAACCCAAACGCUCAAUCUCAUGGCCACAUUCAUGGCAUAGUUUGUUCAAAUGAUCUCAUAUUGUGCACAAGGGUGCAUCUUGGAAUUCCAAGCAAUGUUGCCAAAGGGAGUUUUCAUUUUCUUUGCACGGAAAAUUCAUUUUCCAUUUUCCGAGUGCCCGAAAUGAGGUUUUUUGUGAAGGACCUACCAUAUAUUUGUUGCAAAAUUGUACCAAAUCAUUUUUAUAAAAUACUAGACCAUAUUUAAUGCACAAUUGACAAAAUAGUUGGGUGUCAAAAGUUUUGAUCCACCUCGGGUGAAAAAGACAAAUUCCCGUCGAUUCAGGUGGAAGCGGGUCAAAUUUGAACUGCAGCUGCCUCAUAGUUUGCUCUUUGUUUUUUCCAAAAAUCAUUUCUAGGUACAUAAGUACCUAUUUAAUCAGAGAAACACCAAAAAAUUUCCAAGAUUCAACCACUAGCUAGGAACGGUCAAGCCCGCCGUUUUGACCGCAUUUUGAAACGGGCAUAAAAAAUUCAAAAAAAACAAAAAAUUGGAAAACCUUCGCAUUGUGUCAUUAUAUGUGACCAAGUUUCCAGGAAAAAUAAUAAACUUGUAAUACGGUAACUAUUUAAAAAAAGUGUUCUCAGAAAUGAGCUAUCAUGCAUGAAGAUUCAUGGCUUUCAAGCCAAAUGAUCAAUCUUAUGGCCACAUUCAUGGCAUAGUUUGUUCAAAUGAUCUCAUAUUGUGCACAAGGGUGCAUCUUAGAAUUCCAAACAAUGUUGCCUAAGGAAGUUUUCAUUUUCUUUGCACGGAAAAUUCAUUUUUCAUUUUCCGAGUGCCCAAAAGGAGGUUUUUUGUGAAGGAACUACCAAAUAAUUGUUGCACAAUUGGACCAAAUCAUUUUUAUAAAAUACUAGGCCAUAUAUAAUGCACAAUUGACAAAAUGGUUGGGUGAAAAAAGUUUUGAUCUACCUCUGGUGAAAAAGACAAAUUGUUGUCGAUUUAGUUGGAAACGGGUCAAAUUUGAACUGUAGCUGCCUCAUAGUUUGCUCUUUAUUUUUUUCCAAAAAUCAUUUAUAGGUACAUAAGUAUCUAUUUAAUCAUAGAAACACCAAAAAAAUUCCAAGAUUCAACCACUAGCUAGGAACGGUCAAGCCCGCCGUUUUGACCGCAUUUUGAAACAGGCAUAAAAAAUUCAAAGAAAAUCAAAAAUUGGAAAACCUUCGCAUUGUGUCAUUAUAUGUGACCAAGUUUCCAGGAAAAAUAAUAAACUUGUAAUACGGUAAUUAUUUUAAAAAAGUGUUCUCAGAAAUGAGCUAUCAUGCGUGAAGAUUCAUGGCUUUCAAGCCAAAUGAUCAAUCUUAUGGCCACAUUCAUGGCAUAGUUUGUUCAAAUGAUCUCAUAUUGUGCACGAGGGUGCAUCUUGGAAUUCCAAACAAUGUUGCCUAAGGAAGUUUUCAUUUUCUUUGCACGGAAAAUUAAUUUCUCAUUUUCCGAGUGCCCAAAAGGAGGUUUUUUUAUGAAGGAACUACCAAAUAAUUGUUUCCAAAUUGGACCUAAUCAAUUUUAUAAAAUACUAGGCCAUAUAUAAUGCACAAUUGACAAAAUGGUUGGGUGUCAGAAGUUUUGAUCCACCUCUGGUGAAAAAGACAAAUUCCCGCUGAUUCAGCUGGAAGCGGGUCAAAUUUGAACUGCAGGUGCCUCAUAGUUUGCUAUUUAUUUUUUCCAAAAAUCAUUUCUAGGUAAAUAAGUAUCUAUUUAAUCAGAAAUACAUGGUUUGAUGGCGAUACAUCGAGGUUUGGAGGUGGCCGAGGGCCCCAACUCUAGAGCGCAUAAGCUCGGAUGCCCGCCGCGUGGUCACCGCGUGACCGUGGUGUUACCAUGCGUUCUGGGAGGCCUAGGCAUGUCUAGUGGGUUGUUCACUCCCCAGGUAGAUGCUAGGAAGAAAAUUAUAACAUAAGAUUCUCAUGAGGAGACCAAUCGAUGCUCAAACAUGAAUAAGCAGCCAAGUGUUUGAUUUGCGGUACGGGAAAUGCACAUUGCUAAUGGGCAUGAGUUUUUGCUGAGGAUGAUCAGUUAGUAAGAAGACCGUCUUCACAAAUUUUUAGGGAAAUCAAGAAUAUGUAAAUAACACUUCCUUCACAAAGUGCUGCUCUGAACAGAAUAGGAAAAUGAAUAUUGUUGAGUUAUUUUUGAACUAGGCAGGGAAGGUUUUUGACAUAUUUGAUGAAGAUAUGAUACAAACAAUUUAUGAGAUUUUUUUGGGAAUUUUUGGAAUGACAGAAAUAUAGGUUGCUUCACAACCUAGGGCAAAAACUGCCACAUGGACAUGACACAUAGGCAAAACUGAUGAGGUGGCGCCUAGUCAUCACAACCAACCACAAUCUACAAGGCUAUGACCAUCUAUUUUGGUCGUUAACAACUAGAAAUAAGGCAGUGGACCAGCCCUGUUUGCUUUGUGACCAUUUGGUGUAAGGAAAUUACGACCUUUCUGACCAAAAUGGUCGCAAUGGUUUAGGGUUUGGAGCCCCCCGAACAGCUUUUGACCAAUUGGUCUCAAAUGGUCAUAGAUCUAUGACCAAUUCUUCCAGGGUCACUGAUAGAAGGUUACUAGUUGACAUAUUUCUUGUAGUGCAUUUCGCAUGGUAGCUUGUUUUGGUCAUGGGAUUCCAUGGGAAACAGUAGGCAUAAUUUUGUAUUGUAGAUGAUCUACUAAACAUGGGGGUGCCCCCAAACACGUCCUUGCGGCCUUGACUUGCACCCUCCGAAAUCACAUGUUGGUUUGUUGACCUACCUGAAAUCAACCCAACUUUGCAGGGUUGCAAGCCAUGGUAAUUAUUGGGGUACGUACAAAUUUCAACUAUUUUCAGCAAAGUUGCAAGUUUUGUCACGUACGGACAAUUUUCGGGCAUUUUCAGAACAAACAACAUAUUUUAUACCACUUAAAAAAUGCAUUCCUUUCUCGACGACACAUUUGCUUUUUCUUCGGAACUUUACAUUUGUUUUGGCCAAUUACACAUGCUAAUGUUUCAACCUCCCAUAACUCACGCCACCCAGAUCUCCCGAAAUCCCACGAUUACAGCUCCUCCCUCGUAACCACCCGCGGCAUCCAGGUCCCGUACCACCUCCCACGACUGCUGCAAGAUCAGAUUGUAGCCGCCGCCCACCAGGAACUCGCCUGAGGGGUUGGACGACAGUGGUGUUGUCGCCGUCUCCUACGCGCGUCAACGCGCUGCUCCUGUUGCUGCCGUCGAGCACCACACAUCAACAUCUAGUGUGGGACGCACUAUCCGUGUGGAGCAUUGGGCCGCCACCGUCGACGACAGAAGGUUACGUGAUCAUAGCUCUUUUUGUAAUCUUUCUCGAACACGCACGUCUACUAGUAAAGCCCUAAUAGGUUUCCCACAAGUUAUUCCAGUCGUCAAGAUUACCUAAUCACAGCUCUCAUUAAUAACUAUCAACACGAUCAAUCUUGGCACACUACACAAAUGUCCGAAGAGGUAAUACCACAACAAGGGUAUCUCUUUCAUGAAAUAACAUGUCGUAUGUUUAUGCAAUCCCAAAACCCUAGUUGAACUAUCCCAAUGUUAUGCAUGACCAAAAUCUGUAGUGUGCUUAAAGUUACAUGUAGUUCAUAUUAUUUAAUAAACUCAUCCGUGCCUGCGUAUAAGAUUCUAUUUUUGUUACACAUUUCUCAAUGUGAAGGUCAAAUAAAUUGAACCGGUUUUGCUUCUGUUCCAUAGGUGCAGUAAAAUGGAAACUACUGUUAAAAGUGCUACUAAUGGAGAAAAAUACGUCUCCGAAAUGACCGAUGAGGUACAUUGUUGACAUUUCGUUUGAAAACUGUACUUGCAUACACUUCUUUCAUACUCGAUAAAAUCUAUUGCCACUUUUGCAGGUAAUCUUGAGGAAGCACGGCCAUACAAAGUUAGUGUGCUCACCGUCAAGGCUCGCCAAAGUCAUGAAAUUGUUGUCACUAGAACACAUAGAGAAAAUCAUAAGCGAUACCGGUCUUGGGUGUCUAAACAUGAUUCGUGAGUUUAAAAUCCGGCGCAUUAUGUUGGUAAGACUAACAAAGAGCUUCAAUAGUGAGACAUCGUUCAUUACCAUAUGUAAAACACCCAGUCCUAUCACCGCAAAAGACGUGCACCAUAUAUUUGGCCUUGCGAUAGAAGGGGAGGAUAUUGAUGAAAAGCUGCAAAGCACGCCGGAUCCAAAUUUGUUUUAACACAUUUCAAAACAAUGGGAGCAUUGAUCUGGCUGACCUUGAGACAGCGAUCUUAAGUUCCAAAACUCCGGACAAUGACUUCCUGGCGCGGUUCGUUCAAUUUGCUAUUGGCACAGUUUUAGCACCAACGGCACAAUGUUAUGUCGACGCAAAAUACCUUAAACUUGUUGCGGAUAUUAAAAGCCUUCGAAAAUUGAACUGGGGAUGUUUCACAAUGAAACACUUGUUCAGGUACAUACACAAAUUUAGCUCUCUAGAUCAAGUGUCUCUACAGGGAAAUCUACCUCUACUUCAGGUUAGUGCAACAUCACUAGUUAACAUUGUACAAUUCUUUUUCUUUUCUAUAUCUCUCUCUAUAUUGACGAAGUAAUUUAUUGUGAAGAUUUGGUACUGGGAGCACCUGCGUUCCGGCAAAUUGAUGUAUACUCCUAUACCCCCACCAUUGGUCGCACGAUGGGACGAAUGCACGUGUGUAAUAAGAGCAGAAGCUUACACCUCAGGAGGUCUUCAUAAAGGACUGGUGUGUUUCUAGAUUUGACCCAUGUAUAUAUCCGGUUAUUUAUUUGCUACUACUGAUUCAUUGUACCUGAUUCAAAGGUUGUGAUGGAAAUUUGUGCUCGACAACCAGAGGCCAACAAUAGAAAGGAUCCAGGAAGAAAAAAAAUUGUACGUGAGGAUGAAGGUGAUUCAUCUCGAGCACAAUCACAAGGUCAAAAUAUGAGUAGCCACCAAGUAAGCCCAACAAAGACAAUUUUCAUUUUCCAAGAUCAGUAAAAGGUUGCAUCGAAACUCAUUCAUUUUGCUUUGUUCUGAAUAGGGUGUUAUUUCGUUUGCACAGGUGCAAAUGAUAGUUGCAGCCCUGAAUGCAUGUUGUGUUGAGCAAGAAAAGAAGAUAGACAGAUAGUUAAUGGAAAUUCAGCGUAGAUUUGAUGCGAAAUUCCUCACCCUGAGCGAAGAGUUAAUCUACAUUAAGAGUAAAUCUGGCAGUAAUCCUAGGCUCUUGCUGCUCGAGGACAAAAUUAAGAACUUAAGGAGGGACCCGAAGGUAUGUCAUGUUGUGCAUUUUUUAUUGUUAUGAAUAUGUUCCUCCAUAUUCAUUAUUGUUAUAGUUGUUGUAGGAAUUAAAAAACCAAACUAAAGUCAGCCGACAAUCCGAGUCACAGAAAGCAGGUGUCGAGGUAAUAAUUAUGGCCCACCACAUAAGUAGUAUUACCAAACUAAUUAUAAUUGACCAUUUUUGUUGUUGUAGGAACAAGUCAAUGUGUGCAGUGAUCCCUUCAUGGCGACUCCUAAGUUCGACGCAUCCACACCACGUACUUCGACUCCAACACCAAGUGCUAGACACGUCCUGCCAAACAAGGACGAUCCUCGAAUCACACCGUUGAAGCCUCUAUUUGAUAAUGAUUACGUGCUCACCGCUGAGGACAAAGAGGCAGCCAUUUUCAUCCGGGGAACACACGGCCCUGUUGAAGUCAUUCAAAUCGGAGACAUUCCCCUAAGAGCGGAAUAGCUGAAGCCAAUUUACGAUAAAAAAUACAUUUGUGGUGAUGUAAGCCCCUUGUACUCCAUUGUACAUCAACUAUUUGAACUGUUGGCACAUCAUUAUAUGAUUACAAAUUUGGCAGGUUACUAUGGCGUAUGCUCACAUCAGCGGAGUUGAGACUGAUACUACCUCAGUCAUAUCCCCCAAUGAAACCAGAAAGCUUUACAAACAAAAGGGGUUAUUCCAGAGGGCCGUGGAAGCUCAUUGCUUCAGCGUAUUGCAAAUAAAUUUGUAGGACGCCGGAAGGUACCUGUUUUCCUCACUUUCAUAUAUCAUAAUAGAUAGUGUAGAUGAAAUAUUUCAGGGGUCCCCCGAACCAUAAUUGUUACCUCAUAUACAUUAUUUCGUGGAAUGAGUCCUCUUUGACUUUAUGGCAGGUCCACAUCCCGUUUAAUGUGAAUGAUAACCAUUGGAUGGCAAUGGUGUUCAAUUUCGACAAAGAAGAGAUUCAAAUCCUAAACUCCUUGAAAAAUCAAUUUGCUGAGUCAAAGGAAACUGCUCUUGUAAGCUUUAUCUUGCUGCCUCUUUACUGUCGCAUGGCACAUGAACUCCAAAUCACCGUAACCCUUCGUAAUACUCGUAUUAUGCUAGGUGGCGGCGAUUCAGGCCUGCAUGGACGGAGCGGUGAAGGAUGGCUUGGUAACACCAGAUAAGCCCAUCAAAUUUACCGACUGGGAAGUAGUACACUAUGACGACAUACCGCAAUAGAAUGACGGGUACGUACGACCUCCUAAAUUAUUCCUCGUUGACACGUCAAGUUUACUAAAACCUAAACUAAACACUACAUGCAUUCAUGUGCGUUUUUUACACUGAAGUACAUGUUGACAUGGAACAGUGAAGUAUUUACCGACAAAGUGGAGCAGGUGAUCCAAACACUAUAUUUUCUUGUAGAAUAUCUUAUGACUGAACGAUGUGCUGACAUAUGUGUCGCUUAUCAAAUGUAGUCAGAGAUAGAUAUAUUUAGCUAGAAAAUAGUUUCAAGCUUGCUGCAUUCAGAUUGCAACAGUCUUCGCAUGGAAACAUACAAGUACCCCAUAACGGUUAGCGAAAAGCACAGAUAUUUUAUUGUAUUCACAUGUGUCAUGACGCUACCGAAUGCACUGAUGUCUGCUGUACAGGCAGAGACGUAUGAAGCCCACAUUGCAUCGGAACCUAUCAAUUCACAAGACGAUGUCCAAGAAAUUAUCGGUACUAUUGAGUGCAAGAUAUCAGACACGUCGAGCUCCCCAAAGGAUCCCGACACCCCGAGCUCCCCAAAAAAGCGAAGAGCACGUGGACGCCCGAGGAAGCUUGUUGAUGAAGUGCAAGCUAAAAAAACAAAAAACUAUGGAAGAGCUCAGAGUGAAAUUUGAUAGCAAGACCAUUGUUAAACAAGUGUCUUCUUCGAUAUCAAGACGAUCAUGCAAGCCAUCACAUGCUAUAUCGAGCCCAUUCAAGUUAACCAAAUGGUAGUUUAGGUACGUACUGGGUAGCACUGUAGUUAGCACUACUUAUGAUACAUUUUUUCAUUUACGAUUUGGUGAUUGAACUUUAUCAAACGUGCAUCAACGAGCGGUGAAAGAUGGCUUGCUAACAACAGCUAAGACCGUAAAAAGUAGGGUAUGAUAACAUACCUCAAUAUAGCAAUCUAUGUUGUCGAAGUACAUACUUUUGGCAAUCACGAACAUUAUAUAAUUUCAGCAAUUAGGGAUACAUGCUCAGUUCUUUUGGUUGAACUGCCAAUAGGUCAGUCUGCCAAUCAUUUGCAUGAUGUACUUUUGGCAAUAUAUUAUACAACCUAAGUGCAUGUCAAAAAUGGCAAUAGGUACUUUUGGCAAUCAUGUGCAUGCUACAUAUCUGGCAAUUACUAAUGCGUGCUCAUUUGUUUUGCUUGAAAUGGCAGUAUGUACUCCUGGCGAACAUUUGUGUGCUCUACUUUUGGCAGCUAUUAAUACAGGAUCAUUUAGAAUGAUUUAACUAUCCAUAGAAAUAACUAGAAUGUCAUUAUUUCUAAACAUACCAAAUUCAGUACAAGAUAUAGCAUUAGCAUCUUUAGUUAGAGUCAUAACAUAUAUGUACCAUAUAUCACCAUAGUGGAGGUAUUAGGCAAGGUUGACCGCAAUGCUUACAAGAUAAACAGUAGUUUAAUGAAGAAACAACACUUAUUAGUACAGGGUAGACGCUUAAUUAGGCGCCUAUCAUGUACAAAUUGGCACUGCUGCUUCCGAAAACCAUGUUUAAUAUAGUUAGCAUGUACCUAAGCACGUAGCAUUGGAAGUUGGCCAUUACCAGAAAUGAGCAAUGUACUACCAAACACUUAAACAUAGCAUGUUAAACACUCGCGACCCAAAAGAUAAACCGGCACAUAAGUUCAAGCAGUACGGUGGGGCAGAAGUAUCACACGACAACCAUAACAUAAAAACAGUCUUAACUAGGGCGGGCCAGUAGUAACAACCAAGUAGCGCAUCAGAUCCUCGACAUCUUGGCCGGACAAGGAGGCCUCGGGGGGUAGAAUGGAAGAUGCCCCUUCGCGUACUUCCCGAGGAAGGCACCAAAAGCGGAAUGCUCAGCCCGGCAGUGGGGCUUGCGGUUCCUCCCAUUACCAUGGCUGAUAUCGGUGCCAUGCAUGAUCAGGUUGUCGUAGUCGCUCUUGAUUCUCGCGCAGCAGAAGGGGCAGGCUAUGUUGCCGUAGAGCCCGUCGGAGCCGCUGCGGUAUGGGAUUUCCCCAUUCCGCAGCCUCCUGAGGACGUAGCGGCUCUUGCUUUCCCUCCUCUCCUUACUAUCAUCCACGUCUUCGUCAUCUUCAUGUGUGUUAGUUGAUUGACAGCUAUGUUAGAUUAGGAAUAUAGAAAUGUAGCAUUUCAUAAGAGUAUCAAGUACAUUCCAAAAGUAGGAACACAAAAAUAUGAUCAAUUAGAUGAUUCACACAACAUGUACCUCAUGUAUUGCUAUAUAUGUUUAUGUAUUAUUUGUUAUCUUUCUUGUUGUUUUUUCUUUGCUUUGCAUGCGUACCUGUUCUCCCCUGUAAAGAAGUACUCCUAUUUGUACAGUCUAAAUUGACAAUUAACUAAAGGGUUCGGGUUUUAGGGUAUGAACAAAUCAUUUUACUGCAUUCAAGCACAUAUUUUAUUUCAUACUGAAAAUAUAUAAUUCCAAAAACAGGAUCAUUUCUUGCCAUUUCUUGCAACAAUAUUUUGUAUGAUCUGGUUUUAUCAUAAAGAGAUACCAGACAAUAUCUAAUUUAAUUAUAUUCAAACUAGAUGAGUACAUACUACAAAGUAAAACUACCGCAUCAACAAAGAAAUGAUUGCCCUCACUUGAUAUUUUGAAGACAACAAAUCAUAUGAAUCAUGUCAUGAAUUAUGUAUAAAAAGAGAAAUUUUUGACUGAGGUACAUCGGUUGGGAACAUAAGAAAUUAUGGCUUUAAUUACUCCUUGUUGCUAAUAAUUACAUAGGGUGCAUACAUAAGAAACUCCACAACGAAUUACUUACUGCAAUCAGAAAAUGUCUUCACAAUAUAGCUGUAAGGCUUCAUGAUUUUCAUCAAAUAAACUAGUUUUUCUGACAACUAAAUAAAUGUACUGUUUACUAGGUCUCAACAGAUUUGGCAAUCAGAUUGAAAAUAAGAUGCAUAGUCCACUUCAUUAUAUGGAAAUCAUGAAGCAGAUCGAAAAGGUUUGCACUGUUAAGGCAUGAAAGAUUCUAUAAGAAAGGAGAAAAUGUGGUAUCAGCUUUGUGCAUAUGGAGCAUUAUGAUUACACUUAGUAAUGAAAAAUUCUAUAUAAUAAGAAUGCAAUGGAAAUCUUGUUGCUAGAAAUGUACUAUUGCAUGGACUUGGCAUGCAUGAUUACUGAUGUGGCAUAGUUUCAUGGAUUGAUUUGUGCAAGAGAAGAACUGAUCCAUGUUUGUUGUUAAUGGCAGGCAAUGGCCGUAAAUUGUUACUACAUGCAUCACUACUGACCAGAUGCAUAACUCGAUGAUGUGGCCCAGUUUCAUGCAUACCAAAACCAGAUAAUGGGUUGCCACUAUUGAAGAAAGGAGCAUAGUUUCAUGAAUAGCAAAACCAGAUAAUGGGUUGCACAAUUGAGGAACAGAGCAUAGUUGUAACAGGGGUUCUCUAAUUUAAAAUCUCAUCAUUGAUAGUAUUGUUGGUUACUAGCGAGGCACACGUGCAUUGGGCGUGAAAGCAACAUUUAAUGUCAACUAUUUUAGAUGCACUUUACAUUGCUAUGUUACUGUAGCAAUGGAUUUUUGUGUGUGUUUUCUUUAAUAAAGAGAUAAUGUUUGUGCAUAAUAUGCAUUCGGAUUCACAAAGGUCAAAGCAUUAGCAAUUCAUUUAGAAGAAAAGAGUUUGCGCUGUUAAAGUAUCCAAGAUUCUAUAACAAUGGAGAAACAUAGUGCUAUGAGGUUGUUUGUGCAUAGGUCGCAUUGUGCUUAAGCUUACAAAUGGAAUAUUCUAGAUGGUACGCAUGCUUGGAAUUUUUCUUUUGUAGUAAAUAAGAUAUCGAAUGGCCAACAAUGCUGGGAUUUACCAUCUGUCCACCGUUGGAUUGGCUUCAUCCAACAGCAAAUAUUCAAAGUUGUUUCCAAAGUACAUGUUUUAAAAGUUACCAUUUAUAGAAGCUCAAGCACCAUCGAUAAAUAUUUACUGUUGCAUGUCAACUUUUCAAGUUCUAGAUAUUAAUCAUUGAUCCUCUUGUUGAAUGUCAUGAAAUAAACAAAUUUGUAGGAAAUUUUCCAUCCACUCAAACAUGUGUGAAAGAAUCCUACGUUUUUAGUAUGCACAAUCAAACACUCAUACAAUCCUGUAGGAUUCAAGAUGACAUGCCACUCUAAUCCCACGUUUUCCCUAUUCCUGUGUUUUGGAAAUCGUACGAAUCAAAGAGGUGAUACCUAACAAAUACACCGUUUUCUACAGCAGAACUGGUUCAUAAUCAGUUUCUAAAUCAUAUUCUUACUCAUCUUCACAAAAUAAUUGCACGCACAGGGGGAUUUUAGGCCUACAUGACUACUGUUCCAUGCCAGGUUUCAGAUUGAAGGGGUUUCCUUCCAAAUGUAUGAAACAACUAGUACUAAUCCUAACCCUAAGGGAGAGAUCAAGAAACAUAACCUAUCUGGACAAAAUCUAAUCCGUGCUGCAUGCAAUUUAGGAGAAAACCCCAUGGGAGAAAACCCCCAAAACAGAGUAGGAGAAUAGAGCAGAACAGAGUAGUACCUCCGAGAGCUCGUCGUCGACCUCCUCGUCAAACUCGACUGCCUCGUCCUGCACUUCCUUAGUGUCGAGCUCGGCCCCCUCGUAGUACUUGUCGAUGAGCUCGUACUGCUCAUGCUUCCGCUUGGCCCUUUGCUCCUCCAAAUCCACUGCCACCUCCUCCUCCACCUGCUCCCCGACCGCAGGCUCGGACGCUGUGACGGCGGCCGGAGCAGUCACAACAGAUGGUGCACCGCCUCCCAUCGCCACGACGGCGCCGUCGGCCACACCAAUCGCGGCGGCAAUGACCACAACAGGCUUCUCCACUGCUUCUACCACUGCAUCCUUCUCCACCGCUGUGUCUUCAUGGCCAGCCUUCAUCUUCCGACGACGAAGGGCAAGGGAGAUGGUUGCUGGCUCAUAGGAGGUAGGGUUCAAAGUGAGAGGAGAGGGUUUUUGCUGAUUUGGGGAAGAAAAGCAGCAGGGGUGGGGGAGUGGGGGAGACGGGGGUGGGGGAGGCGGCCUUUAUUUGGCGUGUGGGUGGACGUUUCGAGUUACCGAGGCUAGACGCGUGGCAUCAUGCGCUCGUGCACGCCCCAACCACUUUAAUUUUUUUGUCAUGAAUUUGUAUAUUUUUUGACCUGUGAUUUAGCGAGGAAUUACACAACCACCUACUUUUGGUGUUACUUUUUCAUAGAACACCUACUUUACAGGUUUGUUGCAAAAAAACACAUAUUGGGGUAAUUUGUUGCAGCAAGGUCUAAUUCGCCAUUUUGGGUGGGUUGACAUGAUUUCUAACAAGUGAGUCCAGUUAGUAAGUGCACCACGGGAAAAAAACAUUCCACAUCAGCACCCAACUAGAGCUGUGCAAAAUUUACAAAUAGGUACUCCAGAAAUAAUUCUCAUUGUUUCUGGGCCCACAGAAAUGAACUAUUGACAUUUUUUUUGUUCCCACAUAACAUGUUAGCACGCAAGAGCAUGCACCAAACUUGUUCUCCUUCGACACACAGACGCUAUAACGACGGACAUGUACCAGUAAUUUUCACACUGCACGUGUCGAUACCAUCUUGACCAACACGCAACAACAUUGGUCUCAUUGGACUCACACAUGCCAAAAGGGGUCCAAAUCAUUCACCAAUUCUUCUAGUCACAUUCCACUCCAAGAUGCGAUAAUGGACCGACAUGUAUCAAUCUUGAUCUAUUUGCACAAAUAAUUGGUAUAAGGGCCAGAUGCACCAAUAGAGGUCACAAUGCACUGACACAUGUCACUUGGGCCAACACGCACCAUGCCCACAUACAAGGGACAAAUAAGCCUAUAGGAUCCACAUGCACCGAUAAACUACGUCUCGACAUGCAACAACUUUUUGUAGUCACAUUGCACGCACAGUGCAUACCAAGACACGCCAAUGGCCCGUCAUCUAGCAAUCUUCAUGUGUUUUCACUAAUCAUGGUCUCUUUGGCCUCACGGAUGCCAUAAGGGCCAAAUGCACCAAUAUUGACACGUUGCACUCAAACGUGCCACUUGGGCCAACAUGGAUCAUGGUUUGUUUACUAGCAAGGAUCACAUAAGCCAUUAUAUAGUGUUGGUACCCUAGCUAAUAACAACAUAUAUCAACAUUGGUCCUAGUUGCAGCUACAUAGGACCACUUAUGCCACACAUGGAGCGCAGCCUCGGUGCAUGGUUUUUUUUCUGUGCGUCUGUGUCUGGAUAAAUGUCUUAAGGAGAGGCAAAUUUGUUCUGCCGAACACACUGUAUCAACCGAACUGGCUAGACCCUUUACUUCACACCUGCAUGGCCCUGGUUCGAAUCCCCGUGAGGCAGUUGGAAAUGCCAAUUUUUUUAUGGGUACUGACACGUGGGGUUCCCUUGUCAUCCACACAAAUGCACCAGCACAUGCACCACAUUUGGCUAAGUGCACCUACUACUCCACAUCAUUUUCAACUUUCUUAUUCCCCUUCUCGACAAGCGUCGCCGCCGCCAUCUCCAGACGACGCCUCUCUUCGCCGUCGGAUCUGCGUGGCCGCUGCCAACUCCGGCAAGUAGGUAAGAUCUCCCCUCAUCCCCCUCGUGAAUCUUCUUCCCUUCCCCAACCGCGUGCGUCUCCCUCCGGACGCGGAUCUGAUCCAGAAAUUUUAAUUGGUACAUGCGGUAGAUGAUUUGUUGAUGGAUAUGAUGGUUCUUUCAUAGAUUGAUGGAUGUCGUAGUGUAGGAUCUGAGUUGUGCCAGGGAAAAGUGAGGCCCCAUGCAAAUCAAAAUGCGGCCCUAUGUGUGAAAAAAUAAAUCAAAAUAAUUCAUCUGUUCUUCACUAUAGUAUGUAGUACUGACAUUGGAUUGGAUUGGAUUGGGAUUUAUUAGGUAGAUGAUACUGGCAUUGCCAUUGUCAUUGGCAUUGCUUUUUAGGUAGAUGAUAGUAAACAGAUUUAAUAGGUAUUGCAUUUUAGGUUAUCACUAUGAUUUAUUAUAUGUAUGAUCUUUGUAUUGUACUAUGGUAGCGUACAAAUCAACUUAGAGUUGAACAUGUUCUGUGUACAAUGGAGGAAGCACCAUGUGGACGGUGCAAGUCACGGUGCCGGACCAGCCUUUGUACUGCCAUGCUAUUCGGCAUCUACUUCCAGCCUACUUUUGUUUUGCAGCAGUAACAAUUUAUAUGAACCUUCUGACGGUUCAUCUUUUUCUAUUUCCACUAAUGCAUUGUGUUUGUUAUUUGUUUUUUUCUUGCACAGAUCAUCCCAUGCAAUGUGAGAUUGACAUUCAAUGAGCUCAUCGGAGAUACCGUGACCUUCGACACUCUUGGGGGGCGUACACUAUGCAGGUUGAUAAGGGGCGAACGAUAACCCAGAUUGGAGGAGAUGAAUGGGAUCGUUUCAUCGCCCGCUUCCGUCUUAGUGGGGGUGAACGGAUCCUCUUCUCCUUAAGAGGAGAAAGGCCCAGGAUUUCUGUUAUCUAUCUGAAUUUGAUUGCCGAUAGUGAGGAUGAAGUUCAUGAGGAGGACGAUGGUGAGGAUUCAGAUGAUGAUGAGAACCCACUUGAUGAAGCCCUCUAUGCCCAAGGAGUGAGGCUGAGCAACGAGGAAACCAACAACCUCUGGGACAUGCUUCCGCUAUGUGAAGACUACGUCGGGAUGCCAUUCGUGACCAGCCUCACAAAGACGAAUGUUAAACAACAUCUCAUGGUAUGUUACUUAGUUUGGUAAUUACAUGAUAUGCAUGCUUAAUUAGUGUAGUAGUUGAUAUGAUAUGCAUGUUGUAGUACUGUGAUGAUAUGCCUAGUGUAGAAUUCAUUUAGUGCAGAAUUUUAUGGUAUGCAUGUGUUGUAGUAAUGCGAUAUAUGCUUAUGUAGUGUAGUAAUAUGUGAUGAUAUGCUUAGUGUAUGUAGUAUAUAAUCUAAUGAUAUGCUUAAUUACUGUAGUAAUUUGAUGAUUAGCGUGUAGUGUAGUGGUGUGAUGUGAUAUAUGUGUCUUGAAGUGUAUGGUUUGUUCAUAAUUGCACGUGACAUGGUCAUAUAUCAUAUCAACUAUUUUCAAAAAUUACCUAAGAGGUUAUCUGAUAGUUGUGGCAUCGAGCCGGAUGAAGAAGGCAUGGUUGCUGGACUACGCCUUACCAAAAUGGGCUCCAUCACCACCUGUGCCUAUGCAGUGGACACGGACGGUCGCACUAUCUUCAACCGGGCGGGGUGGAAGAAGUUCCUUCAUGGAAAGAAUCUUCCGAUAGGUCAGGGCAUCCUACUCACUGUUGCGAAUACCCGUCGCCGUGACUUGAGGAUGAUGAUCACCAUCAACCUCAUUUAGAACUGGCUGGGCCAUGUUUCGAUGUGAAAUGAACUUGGUAUGUUAGCUCUUGUUUUAGAGUACUUGCCGUGUAUUAUCGUACCUAUCUAUCUAUCUAUCUAUAUAUAGGUUCAGUAAAUGGGCCAUGUAUCGAUGUGAAAUGAACUUGUUAUGUUUGGGGCUUGCUUUGCUGUUGCCAUAGCGGUUAUUUGUGACUUCCUUGAACUUGAAUCUGUCUUGAAAUGUUAUUGGAUGCUUGGUGCUGUUGCUUUAUAGUAUAAAGCUGGGGGCGUUGGGGGACCUUUUUAGUAGGUUUGGUUAAUGGAGUUUAGCUCUUAUUGUACUUAUUGUUUUCUUUUCCAUACAAUUCUGAACCCAAACUACACAUGGCACAACCUUCUGUGAUUAGUUCCUUUGAUAACUAGUACUCCCUCUGUAAACUAACAUAAGAGCGUUUAGAUUACUAAAAUAGUGAUCUAAAUGCUCUUAUAUUAGUUUACGGAGGGAGUAUUGAAGAGCAGCCAUAGAGUUCCAUUCACAGUUUACUUGAAUAUUUUUUGAUGAAUAAACAAAAUAGGAAGCUAGCAAACUUAUUUAACGAGAUAAGCAAACUAUGUACUUGAUUACAUAAGCAAACUUGUUCAACCCUGACAAACUGGACAUAAACAAACAGGUUCAACUAUGACACACAUGACAUAUACAAGUUGGUUUAACCCAAGAAAAGCAAACUACAAAUUUCAAACAACAAGAUAAAGGAUAAGCACAAGCGCAAGCAACACGAAGGCAAAUUUUGAUGUCUCCUCAUCCCGCAUAGUGGCAGUUGUAGUAGGGAUCCUCUUCCUGCUCUUUUGAAAUUUCCAGACCUCUUUUGAUGUGUUGAUUAUCUUCCACGACUUGUAGGUGGCGUACGCAUCUAUUGCUGCAUACUCGAUGAAGUAAUCUGGCGGUGGGCUGACCCCCCACAGUUUAUGGUCUGCCUGCUUGUUGAUCUUGUUCUCAUCUUGCUGUAGAAUGGGUGGAUGACGCUGUCUGCAACAUCAACCAAGGAGUCAUAUGGUUUUCCGUUGUAUGGAACUCUCCACUUGCGCUGAAUGUCGAUGUGCUUGUUGGGGUUUAUCUCCAAACCAGACAUCUUCAACUUGUCCAUGUCAUUUUUAAUGCUGAAACCGGCAAAGGUGAACAACUUCUCCUCCUGUAGGAACUCUUUGAGGCGCUUUGGCCUACUAGGGGAGAGACAAGUGAUGAAUACAUGGAGUACUAGUGUUUAUUUUCAAGAUUUAAUCAUCUGUUUUUUACGGUUUACAAGUGAAUAAUACAUGGAGUAGAUGCUUAUACAGUAUAAGUCAUGGAUGAAUAUAGUUCAGAAACUAGUACACAAAGUUCUGAAAUUAAAAUCAAGUACACCAUGUUAUUUUUCUUUUUGGAAUAUAUAGUUGAGUCAAUGAUCUAUUUGCUUUCUUACUGCUAGUUUAGUUUUAUUUUGUUGAAUAAAAUAACAUAUACAUCUGCUUCACCAAGUUCUUAAGUGUUUUUGGUGGUGAAAAUAACACCAGACCAAGUUCAGAAACUACUUCACUACAUCAAGUUCAGAAACUAGAUUAAUGAAUCAAGAUGAGAAACUACACUGGUACAUCAUGCUCACAAAUUAAUCUUGUGCAACAAUUUCAGAUACUAUUCAAGUGCACCAGGUUCAAAAUAUAUUCUAGUGCAUCUACUUUGAGGAACUGCACUAGUGCAUCCAUUUUCACAAACUACACUAGUACAUCUAGUAUGAAACUAGUCUAAUAAAAUUUCGAGGGAGCAGUAUUGAUGAAUGGAAGAGGGUGAAUGAGUAGGAUUUUUCACCAUUUUGUGGCCGCAGCAAUGUGGUACACGAGGCAGAGACCCUCCACGCAGAACUGCAGAACUGCUGCCAUCUGUGGAGGUUCAUCAUCUUUGGUAAACUGCACAUCAACACCGAUGAUGUGGGGAUAUGAGCCGCAUGCGCUCCUCCUGAUCCAAAAGAUCAUCUCGUCGGCCUUGUCUGGUUCGCUGGUGCAGACGACCUCCGUCGUCUCCUUGCCGUGGAGCUCAACCCCUUUGAGGGUUACGGUGUACUCGCGCUUCUAACCGAGAACGUGAACGAUGUCGAGGUUGCCGCUCUGGUCGGACGUCUGGCCACAAUGACGCUUGGCAGACGCUUCCUCCGCCAUUGCCCUCCUCCUACGACUGCGGGCUUCGAAGAGAGAUGUUUGUGGGUUGUUUGUAGAAGAGAUGGAAGCGGCAAUGGAGGUUCUCGGAAUGAGGCAGUGAUGUAGUCGAUUUGGGGCUUUUUCACGCUUGGGAUGGGGACGUGGGGGAGGUGGUUUGUGUGUAGGACGUGGGGGUAGUGGUGGUGGGGCGCAGUUGCAAUCCGACGUGGCAACCGCGCUCUGUGCACUGCUGGGUGCGCGUGCAUCUGAGUUUAGUCCCACCACGGGCCUGCAUCCUGGCCCAUAUCACUGGGUUUGUUGUCGUAUGCGGGCCUUGGUGUGCGAAAUAUCAUGUUAGGUAGGUGGGCUUUUUUUUCUAUAAAAUCUUUUUUUGCCUAUGUGACAUGUUGACUUAUACUAAAAUAACACUUCCUUUUUUUAGGUACACAUGUCUUAUGUGAAAAGUUUAAGUUUGAUAACAAUUAAAAACAUUUAAAACCUUGCCACAUUGGCUUUCUUGGACAUGUGUAAAAAGUUUAAGUUUGAAAACAAUUGAAAAACAUGUAAAACCUUGCAUCAUCGAAUUUUAAUUUUAAAAUAAAUUUGAAAUAUUGCAGUUAAUUUGUAGACCAUCUCUAAAUCAAACCAAAUUUGUUUUACAUUGUCACAUACAUGUGACAAACAUUGUUAUUUACACAUCAUGUGUGCAAAAACUGAGGUGAUUUAGAUGUGGUCGAAAAAAGGUGAUUUUUUCACCACCUCCAUAUCACCUAAAAUUUAUUCUACAUGCUCAAAUAGAUGAGCCAAACAUGUCUAUGAAAGAAAUUUGAAAAAAAUGUAUCCUACAAUGCCCGCUUAAGGUGUAGACCGUUGUUUUGAUCAGUCAGUCUACAAGGCAGAUUAAAUUCAAAACAAAUUAAAAAAUUAUAAAACAUUGAAAACCUAGCUAUGUUUGUGCAACAUAUCAAGUGUGCAAAAUUAGAGAUGAUUUAGAGGAGGUCAAAAAAAAUCACGCUAAAACACGAGGGGCUAUUUGGUCUCACUUAAGCCAGUUUUUGUAUAAAAUGUGAUUUUUUCCACCACCUCCAAAUCACCACAAAUUUGUUCUACAUGCUUAAAUAGAUGUGCCUAGCAUGUCUAUGAGAUAAAUUUGGAAAAAAUGUAUUCUACGAUGCCCGCUUAAGGUGUAGACCAUUGUUUUGAUCAGUCAGUCAACAGGACAGAAUAAAUUCAAAAAAAAUUAAACAAUUAUAAAACCUUGAAAACCUAGCUGUGUUUUUGCAACAUAUCAAGUGUGCAAAAUUAUAGGUGAUUUAGAGAAGAUCAAAAAAUCAUGCUUAAACACGAGGGACCAUUUGGUCUCACUUAAGCCAAUUUUUGUAGAAAAUGUGAUUUUUUUACACCACCUCCAAAUCACCCCAAAUUUGUUCUAGAUGCUCAAAUAGAUGUGCCAAGCAUGUCUAUGAAAGAAAUUUGGAAAAAAUGUAUCCUACAAUGCCUGCUUAAGGUGUAGACCGAUGUUUUGAUCAGUCAGUCUACAUGGUAAAAUAAAUUAAAAACAAUUAUAAAAUUUUAAAACCUNNNNNNNNNNNNNNNNNNNNNNNNNNNNNNNNNNNNNNNNNNNNNNNNNNNNNNNNNNNNNNNNNNNNNNNNNNNNNNNNNNNNNNNNNNNNNNNNNNNNNNNNNNNNNNNNNNNNNNNNNNNNNNNNNNNNNNNNNNNNNNNNNNNNNNNNNNNNNNNNNNNNNNNNNNNNNNNNNNNNNNNNNNNNNNNNNNNNNNNNNNNNNNNNNNNNNNNNNNNNNNNNNNNNNNNNNNNNNNNNNNNNNNNNNNNNNNNNNNNNNNNNNNNNNNNNNNNNNNNNNNNNNNNNNNNNNNNNNNNNNNNNNNNNNNNNNNNNNNNNNNNNNNNNNNNNNNNNNNNNNNNNNNNNNNNNNNNNNNNNNNNNNNNNNNNNNNNNNNNNNNNNNNNNNNNNNNNNNNNNNNNNNNNNNNNNNNNNNNNNNNNNNNNNNNNNNNNNNNNNNNNNNNNNNNNNNNNNNNNNNNNNNNNNNNNNNNNNNNNNNNNNNNNNNNNNNNNNNNNNNNNNNNNNNNNCCAAGCAUGUCUAUGAAAGAAAUUUCAAAAAAAAUGUAUCCUACAAUGCCCGCUUAAGGUGUAGACCGUUGUUUUGAUCAGUCAGUCUACAAGGCAGAAUAAAUUCAAAAAAAUUAAAAAAUUAUAAAACCUUGAAAAUCUAGCUAUGUUUGUGUAACAUAUCAAGUGUGCAAAAUUGUAGGUGAUUUAGAGAAGGUCGAAAAAAUCACGCAUAAACACGAGGGACCAUGUUCUCUCACUUGAGCCAUUUUUUGUAGAAAAUGUGAUUUUUUUUCCACCACCUCCAAAUCACCCCAAAUUUGUUCUAGAUGCUCAAAUAUAUGUGCCAAGCAUGUCUAUGAAAGAAAUUUGAAAAAAACAUGUAUCCUACAAUGCCCGCUUAAGGUGUAGACCGAUGUUUCGAUCAGUUAGUCUAUAGGGCAGAAUAAAUUCAAAAAAUAAAAAAUUAUAAAACCUUGAAAACCUAGCUAUGUUUGUGCAACAUAUCAAGUGUGCAAAAUUAGAGGUGAUUUGGAGGAGGUCGAAACAAAUCACGGUUUAAUUUGUGUGUGUGGGGGGUAGACCUCCCGAGAGCCAUUUACUGGUCAUUUUCAUUCCGUAUAUGUGUAAACAUUCCAAAUUUUACCAAACAUGAAAAGCAAAUUAUGCGUGCAUGCUCUAUGUGGUCAAGGGAUGCGAUGCAGCAAAAUUGGGAUCAUUAGUGCAUGUAUACGCAAGUAGGGUCUCUGAAACGCACUUUUCGGGGAUAGCCUGUCACCACCCCGAGAGCACUAGCUCAGUUUCUCACCUGUAUGAAACCAACCAAAAAAAUCAGGAUGACAAGUCAUGGCCAUGUUAGGGCUACUUGCCAUGUUUCAACCAUCUUCAACAAAUUUUGAAAGUUUCGUCACAUGCGGGAUUUUUUUGGUCAUUAGUACAAUGUGGACCAUUUUCAACAUUUAUUGCAAGUUUUGUCACGUAUGGCAUUUUUCGGGCAUAUGCGACACGAAAAAUCCAUUUUUAAUACUUAAAAACAAGGACAGUAUUUUCUAUAUUUGUUGGGAUAUCAUUGUGAUAUUAUUGAAAUCUCGCAUAACUCACGCGGCCCACCCCUCCCUAAAUCCCGCGAUUACAGCGCCUCAUUCUAACCACCCGGCCGUGCCAUCCGCAGCUCCCACGACUGCUGCAAGAUCAUAUCAGAGACGCCGGGCUCACACGGAUUACAGGAGGCGCCGGCCAACGCCCACCGCCAUGAGGGGUCGGACUUCAGUGUUCUUCUCGCUGCUCCCUCCGUUUAUCCUUGCCACCGUCUACCGCGCUAUAGGGGCACUUCUAGUUUGCGACGCACUGUCCGCGGCCAUCAACUCGGCGCCGCCGUCUCCGAGAGAAGGUAUGUCCUGAUCGUAGCUUUUUUUAAUCGUUGUCGGCCGCUCCUUUAGUAGUUGAACCCUCAUAGGUUUUGCACAACUUCACGUGGUUAAGCAAUUGGAUACCCUUGUUAAACUGCGCUUAUUUUAUGCACGACCAACUAGGUUGUGUGCUUAAAGUCAUAAGUGGAUCAUAUGUUAAAUGACCCACUUAAUUUUUUUAAUAUUAGUUGACUGCUAAUUUUGUUAUACAUCUUUUAAUUAUUGUCUUCAGAUUAAUUGACCCGGUUUUCAUCAUUGCAUACAAGCCAGCAAUGUCAGUUUCAGAUAAAAGUCUUUGAACAGAGAAAAGCCUCGAAGAACUCAAACUAAAUUUUGACAGCAAGACCAUAGGCAAACAAAUGUUUUUGUUAUCAUCACGGUCACGCAGAGCCAUGAGAAGCUAUGUUGAGCCCAUUCAAACACAAAUAGGUAGCAUCAAUUGAUACAUGAUCUUGCUCAUGCUCUACUUUUAGCAUCAUUUGAUACAUGUUCAGUUCUUAUCAUAAAGUGUAUAUAUGUACCUUUGGCAAUCAUGAGCAUCCUCUACUUACUGCUAUAACUAAUGCAUCCUCAGUACAAAAAUUGAAUUGGCAAUACAAUUGUAUUGGCAACGAUUUGCAUGCUUUACUUUUGGCAAGAACUAAUGCAUAGUUGAGUUAUAACUGGUCAUAGAUAUGGCUGGAACAUCUAGAGUUAUCAUCACGGUCACGCGGAGACCCUAAACCAUCACUAGAUAUGCUGAGCCCAUUCAAACACAAAUAGAAGCAGCAAUUGAUACAUGUUAAUGCUCAUGCUCUACUUUUGGUAUAAUUUGAUACAUGUUCAGUUCUUACCAGAAAGUGGAAACAUGCACUUUUGGGAAAUAUGAGCGUCCUCUACUUAUUGCAAUAACUAAUGCAUCCUCAGUACAAAGCUUCAAUUGGAAAUAGGUAGAAUUGGCAAUCAUUUGCAUGCUUUACUUUUGACAAAAACUAAUGCAUAGUUCGGUUGUAACUGGUCAUAGAUAUGGCUGGAACAUCCUGAGUUAUAAACUGAACAUAAUCAUGCUAAGCUAUAACUACCAUAUUUAUAGUAGUAGAGUUCCUAGCAUGCAUCACCGUACGAUUCUAGAACGGUUGAAUUAACACAGCUAACAUAACAUAGACCAAUGUACGAUACUUGACUUGCUAUGGCCUUGUACAAUGCAAGGUGAUUAGGCGAGGUGUUUAGAGAGAUAAACCAGGCUUUUCUUAAGCACCGGUGCUUAUUUGUACAGGGUAGACGCAUAACUAGGCGUCUGUCCUGUACAAAUAGGCAAUGGUGCUUCAGAAAAACCUGGUUUCUUUUUCUAAGCACCACCCUUAGCAUCUACCAUUGUAUGAUGCCUAACAUGCAUCAGAAAAAUAGUACUAAUAACAACUUAGACAACUUAAGCAGGUUAGCAGCAAACACUUAGAUAAACGGCAGAUUAACCACCGCACACCAUAAGUUCACACCCACCAUAGACCAUAGGACAUAAGUUCUUACACACCAUAGACAAUAAGUUUUAGAGUCGACCAGCAAAUACCGAUAACAUAAAAGGACACGGCGGUCCUGGGGCAGCAGCAGCAGUCUAGCAGCACAUCACUUGUCUCCCAUGUUUAGCGGCGGCGCGGCGGGAUGUAGUAGGGCUCAUUGACUUUGACAAUCUUUAAAGCGCUCGUAGGCCGCAAGUUUGGCCAGAGUACUGGCCUUUUGCUUCCUACUGUAGGAGUUGCCAGUGGUGACGGCAUGUUGCAUCAAGCCAUCAAUGCCGCCCUUGAUCGCCUUGCCAUAGAAGGGGCAGCCAAGCUUGCCAUAGAAACGGUACUUGAAUUUUUUCAGCAAUCAGCUGCCUCAUGAUGUAGUGGCUCUUGAUGUGCCUGCUGUCCAUGUCAUACCCCACAUCAUCGUCAUCCUCCUGUGAAUUAGUACACAAAGAAGAACUCAGUUAAUCUAUUCUGCUACAUUGCUCUUAAUUAGAAUGUGUGAAAAGUACAUACGUGUAACAUGACAAAUAUCUAUUUGCUGGAAAUAAGGCGUAUAUGCACAUACAUAAUUGACCCAAAUAAUUUGACAUGCAUAAGUAUGGACGGUGGAAUAGUUGCAUUGAUAGAUUAGUGCACAAGAAGUACAUAAUUAACACAUGAAAGAGUUCAUGAUGUGGCUUGGUUUAAUGAUACUUGAUACUUGUUACAGGUGUAAUUCUGAUUGGAAUCAGAAAAAAAGGCUUCAUUAUACUCCUCCAUGUUACACACAAGGGGGUAUUCUUCUAUCUAUUGGAAUCAAGAAACCAUUAUUCUUUCUGAGAGCAGCAAUACUAAUUCUCCAACAUUGUUAGCCCCUGAUAAGUUUUAGAAGGAAAUUGAUAAAGGAGCUAUGGGCUACUAUCUUUAUCCCUUAACUUAUGACUCUGAUGAUACCGGUGUGGAAAAUACUUUGGAGGAACUUAACUUGGAAAAGGAAAUUUUGUCAUGCAAAACAAAGUGUUUUUUUGUCUAUUUAUUGGAAUCAGAAAUUGAAUUCUAGUUUUACAAAUAUAUGCUAAAAAAUAUUCAUUCCAGUGGUCUAAAAAAAGAUUCAUAAAUUGAAUUCUAGUUUAACAAAUACAAGUUGAGUAUUUAGGGCAUGUUGUCUAAAAAACAUUCAUUCCAGUGGUCAGAUGCUGAAAUUGAGGCCUUCACAACAUUGAAGAAUUGUCUGGUCACUGCUCUUGUUAUGGCUUUGCCUUAUUUGACCCUACCAUUUACUUUUUAAAUAGAUGCAUCAGGUGAAGGUAUUGGUUCUGUCCUCAUGCAACAAGGCAGACCAAUUGCUAGAAAAGGAAAUGUUGUCAUGCAAAAUAGGGGUUCUCAAAGAAAUAAUCAAGUGGUCAGAACAGGAUUCUUACCAAUUAAAUCUGAAUGUAGAUGCAUCAUAUGAUAGUUAAGAAGGAGAUGAGUCGACGGGUGGUGUUUUAAGGGAUCAGUAUGGCAACUUUGUGUCAAUCCAGUAAAUUACCAUUAUAUUCCAAAUGCAUCAUCUGCCUGCUUGAUGGAUUCGGUGGCAAUGAAAGAAGGCCUAUCUUUGGUAGCACCUGUAGGCUAUCAUCAAAUUAUUGUAGAAUGGGAUUGCUUACAAGUUGUUCAAGCUUUUACUCGAGGUAACACAUGGUGGAACGAAGGAUCGCGUAUUAUUGCUGAUAGUUUUGAUCUAGUUCUGGAGAUAGGAACUGCGCAUUUUCUCACUGUCCUCGGGAAGCCAAUGGUGUCGCACAUGAGAUCGCUAGAAAUAGCUAUGAGAAUCAUCUAUCUUGUAUUUGGGUUGAUUACGCCACUUCUUUCAUUCAUGUAUCCCUUGUGAACGAUGUAAGUUUGCUUAAUCAAUAAAGCAUGCCGUGAUGGAAUCAUAUAAUGAAUCUCUGUUUUAGCUAUACUAGUGGGUUUUUUCUUCUGUCUAUUCGAAUCAGAAAAUGAAUCAGAUUCUAAAACCGCCAUCCAACAAGAAAAUAUAUGCUAGAUCCCUAGCUACAAUCCUACAUGUACGCAAACAUUAUGGCUGGGCCAGUACAUGAGUAGAAAUACCUCAUCAAUACGUGAAGAAAAUGAUUCAGAUUCAAAAACCACCAUUCAAUAUGCAAGAAAAUCUAUGCUAGAUCCUUUCAACUAGCACACCCAUAUGAAAUUGAUGCUAUGAAAAAACAGGGUACUUACAGGGUACUUACAGGAAAUAUAAAUCUAAUAAAAUCAGAUUAGUACCUCAGAUAGCUCGUCGAUGACGUCCUCAUUGUAGUCGCUGCCCUUCCUGGGAUCCACGGCCAUCUCGAACUCUAUUUCCUCCUCGUCGUUCCCCUCGUAGAACUCCUCCUCGAUUUUGUCAUAGAGCUCGCGCUUCAGCCUCGCCUUCUGCUCAUCCAGAUCUUCAUCGACCUUCUCCUGCAUAGGCUCGCCGUCGGGUAGCUCGCCGGCUGGGAUGAUACCGAGAGGAGGCACAACAGUUGCUGCACCGCCUCCGUCGCCGCUACGGCGGACUCAACCGCUGCAACUGCGGCGGCAGCCAUGACAGCAGACUGCUCUCCACCGAUGGUUGCCUCCGGCUCGUCCAUCACAUCUUCACGGUCGUGCUUCAUCGGCGGUUGACGAGAGGACGAGGGACGUGUUGGAAGGGAGGAGAGGUGUGGAGUGGUGAGGAAGGGAAGAGGGUUUGGGAGAGGACGAGGUGGUAUGGCUGGAGUGGGAGAGGACGAGGAUUUUCUACCCGAUUUGUGGAAGAAAAUGAAUGCGGCUGCCUCUUGGAGUUACCGAGGGGUCGAGGGGGGUGAUUUGUCUCACCUACUAGGGCCUUCCACAGUGAGGACACGUGGGGUUUGCCCCGCGCCAUGCACCUCGCGUGCGGUUUGCCCCGCGCCGCCCUUCAAACUGCUGACACGUGGACACCAGCAGUGGUUACACAUGAUAGAUAUGGUAAAUGAAUUUCUUAAAUCUGAGGGCAUGUAAUUUGUAUCAAAAUGCAUCAUCAGCUUAGCGGUAACACCCUCACGAUCACAUACUAAUGCCCUUGGUUCGAAACUCCGUCGUGCAGUUUAGUUCCCUCUUUUUUGCCUAUGUGGUUUUUACAUGUGGAUCCCACAUGUCAUUCACAUACACGGAGAACACGUACAAACAAACUUGCCGGACAUGAUGUAAAUGGGCCCAAAAAAUUUCUACUUUGUAUCAUUCUUGUAUGGAUUUGUAUGGAUUUUCUAGUACGAUUAAGUGCUUAAAAUACUUCUCGGAGGUGAUGCGACAAGCGCACGUUGUCGAUCCACUGGGGUGGCCAUGCCCACAACAAGGAAAAAUUUGGUGUCAUUCUUAACAUGGCCAAAAAUUCACCUCCUUCACCGGCGGUUGUUCGGAUAGGAGGUAAGGGUCUGUGUGGAAGGACAGUUUUUUCUCGACAUGCUUCAAAUGGACCUAUAUUCUUUCUACACCCUUGUACCAACAUGAGAAGCAGCCAUGACUAGUUCCAUUGAUUUUCGAUAUUUUUAUUAUUUUUCUAGGGUUAUCACGAUGAUAAAACCCUAAAAUAUUUCCAACCAGCGCCACCCUUCCCUCUGAUCACUCUGACUAGCAUGUACUUAACUUAGCAUCAAGGCCAUGAAAACAGGAAUCAGAACCGUAUUAGAUUUUGAUCCCACACAUACAAAACAGAUAACACAAAUCACAGAUUGCAGGUACUACGAUUAUCUGAGUGAACUUCUAAUGCAUAACAACUUCUGGUAUUCAAAUACAUCACAUGAAAUACUGAGACAACUAGAAAUGCAAAACAGCUUCUGUGUUGAGAUUGAGCAAGGGAUUUUUAUUGUGAGGCGCAGCAUCUUCAGCAACCUAUCCAUGAUUCCACCUGUAGCAUAUAAGUAACUGAAAAUUUUAGAUUGAAUACAGUUGGUAUUGGAAAAAUGAUAGUACGGUAAUUUGAAGAUGCCAAGGAAAUCUGUCGCAACAACUGUAGGAGUAUACAAAUUUGAAUAUAAAGUUCAUAGAAGUCAAUGUUGAAUUAAUAAGACCUUUGCAAGAUGCAAAAUCACUGCUGUGAUGAGAGUAAACAGCAUGUAGGCCAUAGCACAUGCAAGAAGCACUUACAGGAAGUGAAGCAAAACGUUGUAGAGCACGGCAACAUGAGUAAGCCAACAUCCCUACUAAAAUUAUUUCACUGCUUAUGUCUAGCUUUUUUUCUUGAAUCAUUAGGAAGCCCUAAAUAUUUUGAUGCAAGAUCACCGACAGGGCACUAUUGAAAUAUUUCAAUGUCUACAUCUCUCUACUGAAAGUGCGUUACUGAAAUAUUUCAGUGGCUACGUGUGUGUGUACUGAAACAACACCACUGAAAUAUUUCAGUUGCUACAUGCGUGUACUGCAACAGCACCACUGAAAUAUUUUAGUUGGUACUUGUGUGUACUGAAAGUGAACCGCUGAAAUAUUUCAGUGGAUACGUGCGUGUACUGAAAGUGCACUAGAAAAAUAUUUCAGCGGCUACUUGCUUGUAUUGAAACAACACCCCAGAAAUAUUUCAGUGGCUACGCGCGUGUCCUCAAACUACUAAACUGAAAUAUUUCAGGGGUUGCGUGCGUGUACAGAAACUACAGUAUUGAAUUAUUUCAGGGGUUGCGUGCGUGUACUGAAACUGCAGGACUGAAAUUUUUCAGUGUCUACCCGUGUGUACUGAAAUUGCAUUGCACUACUGAAAUAUUUUAGUGUGUACCCGUGUGUACUGCAAUUGCACUACUCAAAUCUUUCAGUGUGAACCGGUCAGUAGUGAAAUAUUUCAAUGCCUACAACUAUCUACUGAACUUGCAGUAUUGAAAUAUUUCAGUGUCAACCCAAAGUCUAUCACUCUAAAACUGUGUACUGAACUUGUCUGGAGGCACUUCUUGCAGCCUCGAUGGUGCAAGUUCAAUUUACACAGAUUGCAUCACGUAAUUUGAACACAACUCUUGAGGUGACAGAAAAAAAUUCCUAUCAUGGAUACCACUCCAGCACAUCAAAACAUAGCAAUGAUGGAGAAUCGGAGUAUAGAUCUGAAGCCAAAAAAUGACUAAGUGAGGAAGAACAAGUUUCACAGUUUCACAUUAGAAUUUUAGAUCUACCGCACGACAGGAAAAGGAAAAUAUUUAGACCUAAAGGUUGGUGCUUGAGCAGUUCAUGAAGUUCCAGAUCGGGUUUUUAUACACAAAAGAGAUGAUCUGAUGGCAAAAGAAGGAUUAUCAUUACUACCGCAUAAGAGUAUAUCACGUUUGGAGUCUAUCCUAUAGGCCUUAAUGAAGAACAGGGGAAGAACACCAUGAAGCUUCGAGGAGCCCGUGCGAAACCUAAACAGAUCUAUGGAGGAAAGGAAGAAGAACUCACCAAAAAUUGUUGAACAGCGGAGAGGCGCCGCGAUUUUCUGGUAUGGGCAGGGUGAUGCAGUGGCCAAGGUCGGGGCAUGAUACGUCUCCAACGUAUCUAUAAUUUUUUAUCAUUCCAUGCUACUAUAUUAUCAACUUUGGAUGUUCUAUAUCCAUGAUUAUGCUAUUUUAUAUUAUUUUUGGGACUAACCUAUUAACCUAGAGCCCAGUGCCAGUUCCUAUUUUUCCAUGUUUUUAACCUUUUUCAGAUAGGAAUAUCAGACGGAGUCCAAACGGAAUAAAACCUUCACUAUGAUUUUUUAUGGAAAAUAUCAAAAAUACCAGAAAGAAAAGAUACCAGAGGGGAGUCCCGAGGAGAUCACAAGCUAGGUAGGCGUGCCUGGUGGGCUUGUGUGACGCCCCCGAUUCAAUCGUACACUAAUCAUGCACGCAAACGUGUACGAUCAAGAUCAGGGACUCACGGAAAGAUAUCACAACACAACUCUAAAAACAUAAAUAAGUCAUACAAGCAUCAUAAUACAAGCCAGGGGCCUCGAGGGCUCGAAUACAAGUGCUCGAUCAUAGACGAGUCAGCGGAAGCAACAAUAUCUGAGAACAGACAUAAGUUAAACAAGUUGCCAUAAGAUGGCUAGCACAAACUGGGAUACAGAUCGAAAGAGGCGCAGGCCUCCUGCCUGGGAUCCUCCUAACUACUCUUGGUCGUCGUCAACGGGCUGCACGUAGUAGUAGGCACCUCCGGUGUAGUAGUCGUCGUCGACGGUGGCGUCUGGCUCCAGGGCUCCAGCAUCUGGUUGCGACAACCAGGAAGGAAGGAAAGGGGAAAAAAGGGGGGAGAAAGCAACCGUGAGUACUCAUCCAAAGUACUCGCAAGCAAGGAGCUACACUACAUAUGCAUGGGUAUAUGUGUAAAGAGGCCAUAUCAGUGGACUGAACUGCAGAAUGCCAGAAUAAGAUGGGGAUAGCUAAUCCUGUCGAAGACUACGCUUCUGGCAGCCUCCGUCUUGCAGCAUGUAGAAGAGAGUAGAUUGAAGUCCUCCAAGUAGCAUCUCCAAGUAGCAUAUCCAGGUAGCAUCUCCAAGCGCAUCUCCAGUCGCAUCGCAUAGCAUAAUCCUACCCGGCGAUCCUCUCCUCGUCGCCCUGCGGAAAAGCGAUCACCGGUUUGUCUGUGGAACUUGGAAGGGUGUGUUUUAUUAAGUAUCCGGUUCUAGUUGUCAUAAGGUCAAGGUACAACUCCAAGUCGUCCUGUUACCGAAGAUCACGGCUAUUCGAAUAGAUUAACUUCCCUGCAGGGGUGCACCACAUAACCCAACACGCUCGAUCCCAUUUGGCCGGACACACUUUCCUGGGUCAUGCCCGGCCUCGGAAGAUCAACACGUCGCAGCCCCACCUAGGCAAAACAGAGAGGCCAGCACGCCGGUCUAAACCUAAGCGCACAGGGGUCUGGGCCCAUCGCCCAUAGCACACCUGCACGUUGCGAGGGCGGCCGAAAGCAGACCUAGCCUAGUGGCGUUCCAGUCCAAUUCGGCGCGCGCCGCUCCGUCGCUGACGUCUGAAGUGCUUCGGCUAAUACCACGACGUCGGGAUACCCAUAACUACUCCCACGUAGAUGGUUAGUGCGUAUAGGCUUGUAGCCGACUCAGAUCAAAUACCAAGAUCUCGUUAAGCGUGUUAAGUAUCCGCGAACGCCGAAUAGGGCUAGGCCCACCUCUCUCCUAGGUGGUCUCAACCUGCCCUGUCGCUCCGCCACAAAGUAACAGUCGGGGGCCGUCGGGAACCCAGGCCCACCUCUACCGGGAUGGAGCCACCUGUCCUUUCAGCCCCCUUAUCCGAAUCACUUGCGGGUACUCAACGAGCUGACCCGACUUUAGUCACCAUCUAUAUAGUAUGUAUGUAUGUAUAGUAUAUACCCGUGAUCACCUCCCGAGUGAUCACGGCCCAAUAGUAUAGCAAGGCAGACUGACAAGAAUGUAGGGCCAAUGAUGAUAAACUAGCAUCCUAUACUAAGCAUUUAGGAUUGCAGGUAAGGUAUCAACAGAUGUAGCAACAAUGUCAGGCUAUGCAUCAGAAUAGGAUCAAUGGAAAACAGUAACAGGCUACACUACUCUAAUGCAAGCAGUAUAGAAGAGAAUAGGCGAUAUCUGGUGAUCAAGGGGGGGGGCUUGCCUGAUUGCUCUGGCAAGGAGGGGUCGUCAACUCCGUAGUCGAACUGGGCAGGAGCAGCGUCGGUCUCGUAGUCUACCGGAGAGAAGAGGGGGAAGAAACAAUGAAUACAAUGCAAACAUAAACACGAUGAUGCGUGACGCGACAAUGAGCGGUGCUAGGUGUGCCCUAACGUGGUAUGAGGUGGUACCGGUUAAGGGGGGAAACAUCCGGGAAAGUAUUCCCCGUGUUUCGCGUUUUCGGGCACAGGAGCCGGAGGGGGAAAGUUGCGGGUUCGAUAGGUUAGGGGUGUGUGGCGGACGAACGGACUGCGUAUCCGGAUUCGUCUUGUCGUUCUGAGCAACUUUCAUGUUGAAAAUAUUUUAAUCCGAGUUACGGAUUAAAAGAUAUGAUUUUCUAAAGAUUUUAUUAAUUUCUGGAAUUUAAUUAAUUAUUUAAUUAAUUCGAAAAACAGAUUAAUGACAUCAGCAUGAUGUCAUGCUGACAUCAGCAGUCAACAGAGUUGACGUGGUCAACCUGACAUGUGGGUCCAGUGGGACCCACCUGUCAUUCUCUGUUUAGGUUAAUUACAGAUUAGUUAAUUUAAUUACUAUUUAAUUAACAUAACUAGUUAACUAAAUUAAUUAAACCGGAUUAAUUAACUUAAUUAAUUCAUUAGAUAAUUAAUUAAUUAAUAAUUAAUUUUAUUAAAUCAUUUUUAUUUUUAUUAAUUAUAUUUAUUUUAAUUAAUUUUAAUUUUUUUAUUAUUUUUUUUAAUCCCUCUUUUUUUGUUCUGGGGCGUGGGCCCCAUGUCUCUGUGGCCCAGAGGGGCUAGCGGGCAUGGGUGCGGGCGCUNNNNNNNNNNNNNNNNNNNNNNNNNNNNNNNNNNNNNNNNNNNNNNNNNNNNNNNNNNNNNNNNNNNNNNNNNNNNNNNNNNNNNNNNNNNNNNNNNNNNNNNNNNNNNNNNNNNNNNNNNNNNNNNNNNNNNNNNNNNNNNNNNNNNNNNNNNNNNNNNNNNNNNNNNNNNNNNNNNNNNNNNNNNNNNNNNNNNNNNNNNNNNNNNNNNNNNNNNNNNNNNNNNNNNNNNNNNNNNNNNNNNNNNNNNNNNNNNNNNNNNNNNNNNNNNNNNNNNNNNNNNNNNNNNNNNNNNNNNNNNNNNNNNNNNNNNNNNNNNNNNNNNNNNNNNNNNNNNNNNNNNNNNNNNNNNNNNNNNNNNNNNNNNNNNNNNNNNNNNNNNNNNNNNNNNNNNNNNNNNNNNNNNNNNNNNNNNNNNNNNNNNNNNNNNNNNNNNNNNNNNNNNNNNNNNNNNNNNNNNNNNNNNNNNNNNNNNNNNNNNNNNNNNNNNNNNNNNNNNNNNNNNNNNNNNNNNNNNNNNNNNNNNNNNNNNNNNNNNNNNNNNNNNNNNNNNNNNNNNNNNNNNNNNNNNNNNNNNNNNNNNNNNNNNNNNNNNNNNNNNNNNNNNNNNNNNNNNNNNNNNNNNNNNNNNNNNNNNNNNNNNNNNNNNNNNNNNNNNNNNNNNNNNNNNNNNNNNNNNNNNNNNNNNNNNNNNNNNNNNNNNNNNNNNNNNNNNNNNNNNNNNNNNNNNNNNNNNNNNNNNNNNNNNNNNNNNNNNNNNNNNNNNNNNNNNNNNNNNNNNNNNNNNNNNNNNNNNNNNNNNNNNNNNNNNNNNNNNNNNNNNNNNNNNNNNNNNNNNNNNNNNNNNNNNNNNNNNNNNNNNNNNNNNNNNNNNNNNNNNNNNNNNNNNNNNNNNNNNNNNNNNNNNNNNNNNNNNNNNNNNNNNNNNNNNNNNNNNNNNNNNNNNNNNNNNNNNNNNNNNNNNNNNNNNNNNNNNNNNNNNNNNNNNNNNNNNNNNNNNNNNNNNNNNNNNNNNNNNNNNNNNNNNNNNNUUUUAUUUUAGUUUUAUAACUAUAAAAGUAGUCCCUAAUUUAGUGUUAGUAUUUAGCUACUACCACAUAAGUUUGGGCAACAAAAUAAAUUAGUUUAAUAUUUUAUCUAUUGUAAAAGGCAUUCAACUAAUUGUCUUUGCUACUGUUUAAAACAUUUUAGAUUAUUUUACACUUUUAUAAAAGUGUGAUUUCUCCACCAUAUCUCCCCAUGCAUUAUUUGGCUCACUCCGAACAUUAUUUGGCUCACUCGGGAGGUGAUCACAAGUUGGUAUCAGAGCCGACUGCCUGUAGGAAUCCCCCUUUCACACUUCUUGGCCGAAGUCGAGUCUAGACAUUGCAAAACUUUUACUAACUUGGCUGUGUGCCUUACGGGCCCACGUCGCCAUUGGGUGGUACUAGGAUCUUUUACUCCUCGACCUUUACUCUGGGACUCUGAUCUCUCUUCUAUUCGGGUUAAAGGAAUUUUGCUAAAUCUAACAUUAGGAUCUCGUUAUCACUUUCACCCGAAGAGCCCCUUAUUACUGAUGAUCGUCUGCUGCACGUGAAGACCCUGAAGAUACUUUCCGCUGUUAACCCGAGAACUUGUGUUCAUCGCGUUUGCAAUUCCCCUUCCACCGUCAACCCUUAUAGAUAACUACUUGCAGUUGAUAUUCUUACAUUAAUCCCCGGUUGCUCUUGUUAUUACAAGACACCCCGAAACACCCGUCGUUGUUUCGAUAAUCGUUUGAGCUUACUGCCUUGCUAUUCCUUGUCACCUGAAUACCCCUACGGAUAAUUCUCGCACUUAUCGAGUAUCCGCUCAUCCCCCAGUUGUUCAUGUGUUUCACAAUGGUCUCCGAAAUACUAUUCGAUCCUCCAAAAAUCCUUAGUAGCUUAUUGCUCUGCAAUACUGAUCUAGUUGCAUGAUGGAUGCUUUCCAUAUAUCUGGCAAUAUUUGUUAGUAUCCUUAGGCACCGUCAUUUUGAUCCUUUUGAUUCAACAUGAGUGCGAAUGCACGCAAUCAUCAGUUGAUCCUUUUAAAUUAUCUUUUUGGCUCAGACGUCUUUCAAACAUGAGUUGGUUCUCGACCAAUCCAAUUGUCGUUGGUUGUACCCUAAGGCUAUUCAACUUAUCCAUCCCUAAUCAGAGCAUUGCUUUUGAUCCUUUGAUUUGGAAAUCAUAAUUCCUUUGCCUUUGACAAUUGAGUUAGUCAGUUGUUUCUAUAAUCUGAUCUCCUUGCAUUCUUCUUCCUCUAGUUGAGUACUGAUACUCGUAUCAGAUCCCUUGUGGACCAUCAAGUCCUUUGUUGGAUUUAUCUGACAACGCCCUUCAUAUUCAAUAACCUUGUGAGCCUUUCCUCGGAUACAUAAUGCCUUUGGUAAAUUGUAUCCUCUGCUUUUCUCAACCAUGCUCUGCCAUCGAGUUUGUGUUAUUUACUCUUGAAACUUGUGGUAUAUGUUUCUAAGAAGCCCCUAUGGGUUGAACAUAUGCCUUCUCUAAACCGUGUGAACCCGAAAGUUUUCACGAGUCAUACCCUUCUGGUGCUUCACCAGACAAAAUUUCAACACUACAACUUCAUCGAACGUGAGAAGUGAAUGAAAGGUUAUGCAUAGGAGAAGUGGGAGUCGACCUUGAACUUGUGUUCAUGCCCAUGGACGCGAUAUAUAUCCUAUCAUGAAAGCUUCUUGUAACAAUAACUAUUUCCUUGAUAACUAACCUAUGGUAUCUGUGAAUUGAUCCCUUGCAACCGUGGUUCCGACCAUGAUUGUUCUUCUUUGAUCUCAUUUCUCGGACAAGUUAAAACAAUUGUCUUCUAUGGAUCAAUACACCAGUCCAACCUUUACUUUGAUCUUGUGUCAAGUAUUACCCCCCUGGUAUCUCGAGAUUAUCGUGGAACUGCAUAACUUUUUAUGAGUUCUUCAUCAAGUGCUACCUUCCCACCGAUUUCAAUUUUUCGCGGGCUCUGAGUUAUUGAACACUCAAAGACACCGAUAACUGAACUAAGUCCGCUCUUCGGUUCAACAACUCUUCAGUAAACUUCUAUAAGUACGAGUUUGUACCCGAUCACGCCAUUCCUAGCCUGUUUGGCUAUAUCAUUGCCGUGACGAUUCUACCUGUGCUACCUGGUCCUUAUUCUCGGAGCACCAAUUUGCGACGAUAGCUAAGCUUACGUCGAUUUUCCUCGUCAUACCCUUUCACCUUAAACAACCAGCUUGGUUUCGAGUUUGUGUCGUACCCUUGGUUCCAAUAACCUUUCACUUCAUCAUUACUUUGACUUGAUGUCGUCGCCGAUCGAUUACAUCUUCAUGAACUCUCGCGACAAAGGUGUCGUGAUCGUCAACAUUCUGAGCUCAUCCAGGAUAUCAAUUGGAUUCAUGAUAAGAAAUACCAUCCUUGCCUCGAUGAAUUGUAUUAUCAUCGACCACUUUAUUGCCUUCCCACCAACACAAGCUUGUUCAUGUUUGGUGUUAUACCUUGAGUUCCUUGCUGUCCAGCAAAUGAUCUUCCUUACCUCGGAAGUAUUACCAUCUCUUUUUGUCAAGAAUGUGGUGAGAAUUUCACCACCUCUUAAUAAUUCUUGAUAUCAUAAUACUUCUUGCCAUCUUCGUUCACUCCUUGGUCCCCGUAUUGUUUUCAACCGUAAUACCGACAAUGGAGCUAUGACGUGUGAAUUCAAAACUUCUAGCAACCCUAUUGCUUUGAAGUGAAUGGGCGAUAGUUCAUUCUAAGUCCUUCGCUAAUUGAAUCACCAUUCUGACAUUGGUCGUGCAACCCAACCCAUAUUUCGGGCGCACAUUUCAACCAAUGUUUAAUUAUGUAUGUUUUCCUCGAGCAUACUUCCUUAUAUCAUUUGAUCUGGCAAAUGUUAUCUCCUUGUUCACUUAAUGGUGGAAAUCCAUCUUUUGGGGAAUCUCGGCGAAUUGCCGUUGAGUUCACCAGACACCUCCUUGUCCACUCCUUGGGUUAAUGAUGAACUCUUGUUAAUGGAAGUCACUUCAUAGUUCAUUUCCCGAGAAUCUUACAGUGUCAUCCCAUCAAUUGGUGUUGCACCUUUCUUCCCAGGCAUCCUGAGCCUGAGGUAUCCUGACACCAAUCAUACCUGAAUCUCCGUCAGAUAUGAUGGUUAGGACAACUUUCCAAGAGUUAUGAUAUUGAUCCUUUGAUGACCCGGUAACAUGAUGUCAUGCCUAGCACCCCCCCCCCCCNNNNNNNNNNNNNNNNNNNNNNNNNNNNNNNNNNNNNNNNNNNNNNNNNNNNNNNNNNNNNNNNNNNNNNNNNNNNNNNNNNNNNNNNNGAAAUUGUAAGACUUAUUCUACAAGUUAUUCUUGAUGGAUCCUUCGUGUUUCCAAAGUCUGAUCUUCACCUGAAGACCAUGUCACUGCUAUCUCGAAGCAUGUCAAUGGUACUCCGAUUUUCAACAGGCACGUUUGAAGCACGAUGCUAUAUUUUAAUUAUCAAUUAUCCUAACACCGUUGUAUGGGUAAUUUCAUGAGAUUCCUCCCCCCUUACCUAAAAGGUUUUCUACUUUAUAUCCUGUCUUGGAUAUCAUCCUCUGCUUGACUUUGGGGAGGAUAUACCCUUGAAAUAUGUGUUUAAACAUAUUUUCCUUUCCAUUGUUCUGUUUAAUCUGAUGAUCAUAUUUUCCUUCCAUUGGUUUGUUUAGACCUUUUCUAUGAUCUAUAUGAUAUAAGCAGUAAUAAUCCACUGCUUGUGCAAACACCUCGAUGUACAACUCUGUCAGUAAGACCCUGUUUUUAUUGUUGAUGACAUUCCGGUAACCACCGAUGGAUGAGAACUUUGCCUAUUGGUCCGCCUCGUUCAACGAGCGGGAAAAAUGGUUCUCUUCGUCCCUCACCCUUGGUACAAUGGUUGUUGCCGACAUAAUCGAUAGUCCAUCCUCUGACAGGCCUUGCUUACAUGAUCAUGCAAGACGUCAUCCCCUUCCUACUUUUACCCACAUGGUGGGCCCAUAACCCACAGUUCCACAGGAUCGAAACCUGACUCUCCUGUACACCUUGUUGACAAAGUUAUCCCUUACUCUUGGUUUCGUGUGUAAUUCAUGAGCCACCUUCCUAAUGCUCUAUUCUGGUAUCACACGCCAUACUUACUCUCGCUACUCUGAACCCCUUUCUCACUCUGGUUCAGACUUCGAGCAACUAUUUAUCCGCUUGGAACCUCUUAUUGUACCUUCGUACCUUACUCUCGAGGUAUUUUAUAUGUUCAACUCGAGAGAUAAUCUUAUGCUCAUUCAUGGGUUAACCCCCAGGUUGUAUCCCUCACAAGCAUUCUGUCGUAGUCAAGCUGCCCCUUACCUAUUUGUAAGUACGUUGGAGAUCCUGAAGCAAAGGAAGCAAAGGACGACAUCACCAUGAUGACCUGAAGCAGAGAAAUGAAGAUGUCAAUGUAAUGGAUCGACCUCUUCAAGAAGAGCAACCAAGACUGAGAAGAUUCGUUAGGAUUUCGUAACCAGACCUUCCCCCUUAUACCCCCUCUUAAAUCUCGGGACGAGAUUUCUUGUAGUGGAGGAGAAUUGUGACGCCCGGGUAAUUAAGCUACAGUGAUCCUCUGCUAGUGAUGCCACGUCACCUCGAUUAUAGUUGCUAAUCUCGCGUUAGUUCGAAAACGAUUCGCGUUCAAAUUCAAAAUCAAGCAAACAAUAAAAGAUUUCAAAUAUUGAAACUAAAAUGUUCGGAGUGAGCCAAAUAAUGCAUGGGUAAGUAUGGUGGAGAAAUCACACUUUUAUAAAAGUGUAAAAUAAUCUAAAAUGUUUUAAACAGUAGCAAAGACAAUUAGUUGAAUGCCUUUUACAAUAGAUAAAAUAUUAAACUAAUUUAUUUUGUUGGCCAAACUUAUGUGGUAGUAGCUAAAUACUAACACUAAAUUAGGGACUACUUUUAUAGUNNNNNNNNNNNNNNNNNNNNNNNNNNNNNNNNNNNNNNNNNNNNNNNNNNNNNNNNNNNNNNNNNNNNNNNNNNNNNNNNNNNNNNNNNNNNNNNNNNNNNNNNNNNNNNNNNNNNNNNNNNNNNNNNNNNNNNNNNNNNNNNNNNNNNNNNNNNNNNNNNNNNNNNNNNNNNNNNNNNNNNNNNNNNNNNNNNNNNNNNNNNNNNNNNNNNNNNNNNNNNNNNNNNNNNNNNNNNNNNNNNNNNNNNNNNNNNNNNNNNNNNNNNNNNNNNNNNNNNNNNNNNNNNNNNNNNNNNNNNNNNNNNNNNNNNNNNNNNNNNNNNNNNNNNNNNNNNNNNNNNNNNNNNNNNNNNNNNNNNNNNNNNNNNNNNNNNNNNNNNNNNNNNNNNNNNNNNNNNNNNNNNNNNNNNNNNNNNNNNNNNNNNNNNNNNNNNNNNNNNNNNNNNNNNNNNNNNNNNNNNNNNNNNNNNNNNNNNNNNNNNNNNNNNNNNNNNNNNNNNNNNNNNNNNNNNNNNNNNNNNNNNNNNNNNNNNNNNNNNNNNNNNNNNNNNNNNNNNNNNNNNNNNNNNNNNNNNNNNNNNNNNNNNNNNNNNNNNNNNNNNNNNNNNNNNNNNNNNNNNNNNNNNNNNNNNNNNNNNNNNNNNNNNNNNNNNNNNNNNNNNNNNNNNNNNNNNNNNNNNNNNNNNNNNCCAGAUGCUGGAGCCCUGGAGCCAGACGCCACCGUCGACGACGACUACUACACUGGAGGUGCCUACUACUACGUGCAGCCCGUUGACGACGACCAAGAGUAGUUAGGAGGAUCCCAGGCAGGAGGCCUGCGCCUCUUUCGAUCUGUAUCCCAGUUUGUGCUAGCCAUCUUAUGGCAACUUGUUUAACUUAUGUCUGUUCUUAGAUAUUGUUGCUUCCGCUGACUCGUCUAUGAUCGAGCACUUGUAUUCGAGCCCUCGAGGCCCCUGGCUUGUAUUAUGAUGCUUGUAUGACUUAUUUAUGUUUUUAGAGUUGUGUUGUGAUAUCUUUCCGUGAGUCCCUGAUCUUGAUCGUACACGUUUGCGUGCAUGAUUAGUGUACGAUUGAAUCGGGGGCGUCACAGCUUGUGACCCCCUCGUGGGUCCCUCCAACUUGUUCUCGACGCCAUCUGGUCUUAUAAAUACAGAAACCUCCAGAAAAAAACCUAGAUCGGGAGUUCCGCCGCCGCAAGCCUCUGUAGCCACCAAAAACCAAUCAGGAGCCCUUUCUGGCACCCUGCCGGAGGGGGAACCCAUCUCCGGUGUCCAUCUUCAUCAUCCCUACAAUUUCCAUGACGAGGAGGGGAGUAGUUCUCCCUCGGGGCUGAGGGUAUGUACCAGUAGCUAUGUGUUUGAUCUCUCUCUCUCAUGUUCUUGAGAUGUAAUGAUCUUGAUGUAUCGCGGGCUUUGCUACUAUAGUUGGAUCUUAUGAUGUUCAUCCCCCUCUCCCUUCUUGUAAUGAAUUGAGUUUUCCCUUUGAAGUUAUCUUAUCGGAUUGAGUCUUUAAGAACACUUGAUGUAUGUCUUGCACGUGUCUAUCUGUGGUGACAAUGGGAUAUUCAUGUGAGUACUUGAUGUAUGUUUUGGUGAUCAACUUGCGGGUUUCGUGACAUUGGGAACCUAUGCAUAGGGGUUGGCGCAUGUUUGACUCUCCGGUAGAAACUUUGGGACACUCUUUGAAGUUCUAUGUGUUGGUUGAAUAGAUGAUUCUGAGAUUGUGUGAUGCAUAUCGUAUAAUCAUGCCCACGGAUACUUGAGGUGACAAUGGAGUAUCUAGGUGACAUUAUGGUCUUGGUUGAUAUGUGUCUUAGGGUGUUAUUCUAGUACGAACUCUAUGAUAGAUUGAACGGAAAGAAUAGCUUCGUGUUAUUUUACUACGGACUCUUAAAUAGAUCGAUCAGAAAGAAUAACUUUGUGGUGGUUUCGUACCCGACAAUAAUCUCUUCGUUUGUUCUCCGCUAUUAGUGGCUUUGGAGUGACUCUUUAUUGCACCUUGAGGGCUAGUUAUAUGAUCCAAUUAUGUUAUCAUUGUUGAGAGAACUUCCACUAGUGAAAGUAUGAACCCUAGGCCUUGUUUACACACAUUGCAAUACCGUUCGUGCUCACUUUCAUUGUUAUUUACCUUGCUGUUUUUAUUAUUUCAGAUUACAAAAACCUAUAUCUACUAUCCAUAUUGCACUUGUAUCACCAUAUCUUCGCCGGACUAGUGCACCUAUACAACUUACAAUUGUAUUGGGUGUGUUGGGUACACAAGAGACUCUUUGUUAUUUGGUUGCAAGGUUGCUUGAGAGAGACCAUCUUCAUCCUACGCCUCCCACGGAUUGAUAAACCUUAGGUCACCCACUUGAGGGAAAAUUGCUACUGUCCUACAAACCUCUUCACUUGGAGGCCCAACAACGUCUACAAGAGAAGGUUGCGUAGUAGACAUCAGGGCAGAGGUGAAGGUUGAUACGUCUCCAACGUAUCUAUAAUUUUUGAUUGCUCCAUGCUACUUUAUCUACUGUUUUGGACUAUAUUGGGCUUUAUUUUUCACUUUUAUGUUAUUUUUGCAACUAACCUAUUAACCGGAGGCCCAGCCCAGAAUUGCUGUUUUUGCCUAUUUCAGUGUUUCGAAGAAACAAAAUAUCAAACGGAGUCCAAACGGAAUGAAACCUUCGGAAACGUGAUUUUCUAACCGAACGUGAUCCAGGAGACUUGGACCCUACUCCAAGAAGUAACAGAGGCGGUCAUGAGGGUGGGGGCGCCCCCUCCCCAGGGCGCACCCCCCAGCCUCGUGGGCCCCCUGUUGCUUCAUCGACAUACUCCUUCCUCCUAUAUAUACCUACGUACCCCCAAACAAUCAGAACAAGAGCCAAAAACCUAAUUCCACCGCCGCAACUUUCUGUAUCCACGAGAUCCCAUCUUGAGGCCUGUUCCGGAGCUCCGAGGGGGCAUCCACCAUGGAGGGCUUCUACAUCAACACCAUAGCCCCUCCGAUGAAGUGUGAGUAGUUUACUUCAGACCUUCGGGUCCAUAGCUAGUAGCUAGAUGGCUUCUUCUCUCUUUUUGGAUCUCAAUACAAUGUUCAACCCCUCUCUCGUGGAGAUCUAUUUGAUGUAAUCUUCUUUUUGCGGUGUGUUUGUUGAGAUCGAUGAAUUGUGGGUUUAUGAUCCAGCUUAUCUAUGAAUAAUAUUUGAAUCUUCUCUGGAUUCUUUUAUGUAUGAUUGAGUUAUCUUUGCAAGUCUCUUCGAAUUAUCCAUUUGGUUUGGCCAACUAGAUUGGUAGUUCUUGCAAUGGGAGAAGUGCUUAGCUUUGGGUUCAAUCUUGCGGUGUCCUUUCCCAGUGACAGAAGGGGCAACAAGGGACGUAUUGUAUUGUUUCCAUCGAGGAUAACAAGAUGGGUUUUUUAUCAUAUUGCAUGAAUUUAUCCCUCUACAUCAUGUCAUCUUGCUUAAGGCAUUACUCUGUCUUUAACUUAAUACUCUAGAUGCAUGCUGGAUAGCGGUCGAUGAGUGGAGUAAUAGUAGUAGAUGCAGAAUCGUUUCGGUCUGCUUGUCUUGGACAUGAUGCCUAUAUACAUGAUCAUACCUAGAUAUACUCAUAACUAUGCUCAAUUCUGUCAAUUGCUUAACAGUAAUUUGUUCACCCACCAUAGAAUAUCUAUGCUCUUGAGAGAAGCCACUAGUGAAACCUAUGGCCCCCGGGUCUAUUCUCAUCAUAUAAAUCUCCAUUACUAUAAUACUUGCUUUGUUUUUACUUUGCCUUUUACUUUUCACUUUGCACCUAUAUACCAAAAAUACCAAAAAUAUUAUUUAUCAUCUCUAUCAGAUCUCACUCUCGUAAGUGACCGUGAAGGGAUUGACAGCCCCUAAUCGCGUUGGUUGCGAGGAGCUAUCAUUUUGUGUAGGUACGAGGGACUUGUGCGUGGCCUCCUACUGGAUUGAUACCUUGGUUCUCAAAAACUGAGGGAAAUACUUACGCUACUUUGCUGCAUCAUCCUCUCCUCUUCGGGGAAAUCCAACACAGUGCUCAAGAGGUAGCAAGAAGAGUUUCUGGCGCCGUUACCGGGGAGGCUCACGCAAGAGCAAGUCAACCAUACCAAGUACCCAUCACAAUCCCUAUCUCUCGCAUUACAUUAUUUGCCAUUUGCCUCUCGUUUUCCUCUCCGCCACUUCACCCUUGUUGUUUUAUUCGCCCUCUCUUUCCCAAUCUCCUCCUCUUUUUCCCGCUUGCCUUUUUGUUUGCUCGUGUGUUAGUUUGCUUGCUUGUCGUCCUGACUAGUCUCAUAUCUUCUCCGUUAUCUCCCGAGAAUGAAGUUCUAAAUUUUAAACAAAGGGAGGGAGAAAAUCUAAAAGACUCUUGGUAUAGAAUUUGCAAUGCUCAAAAUAGAUCUACCAGGAAGCAAUCUACUUUAGUUCUUCUUCGUAAUACGUAGGUGCUAAUCCUUGAUAUAGAUAUAUCCUUGAUACCAUUACCGGAAGGAAUUUCUUGGGUAGCCAUACUUUUGAUUCUUAUCAUGCUUUAAUAGAUUUAUUUGGCUCACCACCUCUUUUGAUUAAUGGAAUUAUGUUAACUUUGGAGCAUGUUAUGCAAAGACUUGAAAUUAUUGAGAAUAAAGUUGCUACCAUUGAAUCAAUUGAAAAUCUUGAUAAAAAGAUCCACAAUCAAAUUACCCAAUAUGGAUCUAAGGUAGGAAUGACUUUGAAAAAUAUUAAAGAAAAAGAACCCAUAGUUAAUGAGAAAAUAAAUCUAGAUUCCACAAGAAUCCAUAAACUUGAGGGUAUCAUUACCAACUUGGGAACCGCUUUUUCUUCCGUACAAAACACUCCAAGUUAGUCUACUAAAAAUACUAAGCUUAUUUAUGUUCCUAAGAAUAAGGGUGAAUCAUCUAGUAAGGAAUCUGCGGAUCUUAAAUCUAUAAGUGUUCAUCCCGAUCUUUUUGCCAUCAUUAAGGAACCAUUUGCUAUGAAUGAAUUUUUCGAUCUUUUGCCUGAAAAUUCGACAAUUACUAGAAAGAAAGAAAAUUCUAAAGGAGGUAGAUGCCUCAUUGAAGAAUUGCCUACCAAAGAUGGCAAUACCUAGAUCUAUCCUUGCUUUUAUGCCUAGCUAGGGGCGUUAAACGAUAGCGCUUGUUGGGAGGCAACCCAAUUUUAUUUUUAGUUUUUAGUUUUUGCUUCUGUUUAGGAAUAAAUAAUCCAUCUAGCCUCUAUUUAGAUGUGGUUUUAUGUUUUAAUUAGUAUUUGUGCCAAGUAGAACCUAUAGGAUAACCUACGAUGAUAGUUGAUUUGAUUCUGCUGAAAAACAGAAACUUUGCGCGCACGAAUAUAAUUUUGUUAAAUCAUAGAAACAUGCUUUUGCGUUGAUUAUUUUUGCUGCUGUUCAAUAAGCAAAUUGUACAGGACUUCCUAUUUUGGUAGGAUUGUUAGAGUUGCAGAAGUUUGCAUUAGGUACAGAUUACUACAGACUAUUCUGUUUUUGACAGAUUCUGUUUUGCGUGUGUUGUUUGCUUAUUUUGAUGAAUAUAUGGCUAGUAAAAUAGUUUAUGAUCCAUAGAGAAGUUGUAAUACAGUAGGUUUAACACCAAUAUAAAUAAAAAAAGAGUUCAUUACAGUACCUUAAAGUAGUCUUUUGUUUUCUUUCUCUAACGGAGGUCACGAGAUUUCUAUUGAGUUUUGUGUUGUGAAGUUUUCAAGUUUUGGGUGAAUUCUUUUGAUGGAUUAUGGAAAAAGGAGUGGCAAGAGCCUAAGCUUGGGGAUGCUCAUGGCAACCCCAAGAUAAUACAAGGACACCAAAAAGUCAAAGCUUGGGGAUGCCCCGGAAGGCAUCCCCUCUUUCGUCUACUUCCAUCGGUAAUUUACUUGGAGCUAUAUUUUUAUUCACCACAUGAUAUGUGUUUUGCUUGGAGCGUCUUGUAUUAUUUGCGUCUUUGCUUGUUAGUUUACCACAAUCAUCCUUGUUGUACACACCUUUUGAGAGAGCCAUGCAUGAAUUGGAAUUUGCUAGAAUACUCUAUGUGCUUCACUUAUAUCUUUUGAGCUUGAUGGUUUUGCUCGUAGUGCUUCACUUAUAUCUUUUGAGCGUGAUAAUUUUUGCUCUAGUGCAUCACUUAGAUCUUUUAGAGCACGGUUGUGGAUUUGUUUUAAAGAAACUAUUGAUCUCUCAUGCUUCACUUAGAUUAUUUUGAGAGUCGUUAAUAGCAUGGUAAUUUGCUUAAUAUUAAUAUACUUGGUAUUCAAGAUAUGUGAAACUUUCUUUUGAGUGUGUUGAAUACUAAGAUAAGUUUGAUGCUUGAUAAUUGUUUUGAGAUAUGGAGGUGAUAAUAUCAAAGUCGUGCUAGUUGAGUAAUUGUGAAUUUGAGAAAUGCUUGUGUUGAAGUUUGCAAGUCCUGUAGCAUGCACCUAUGGUUAAAGUUGUGUAACAAAUUUGAAACAUGAAGUGUACCUGGCUUGUGCAUCCUUAUGAGUGGCGGUCGGGGACGAGUGAUGGUCUUUUCCUACCAAUCUAUCCCCCUAGGAGCAUGCGCAUAGUACUUGAUUUUUGAUGACUUCUAAAUUUUUGCAAUGAGUAUAUGAGUUCUUUUGACUAAUGUUGAGUCCAUGGAUUAUACGCACUUUUACCUUUCCGCCUUUGCUAGCCUCUUCGGUACCGUGCAUUGCCCUUUCUCACCUUGAGAGUUGGUGCAAACUUCGCCGGUGCAUCCAAACCCCGUGAUAUGAUACGCUCUAUCACACAUAAACCUCCUUAUAUCUUCCUCAAAACAGCCACCAUACCUAUCUAUCAUGGCAUUUUCAUAGCCAUUCCGAGAUAUAUUGCCAUGCAACUUUCAUCAUCAUAUACAUGACAUACAUUACUUUUGUCAUAUUGCCAUUGCAUGAUCAUGUAGUUGACAUCGUAUUUGUGGCAAAGCCACCAUGCAUUAUUUUUCAUACAUGUCAGUCUUGAUUCAUUGCACCAUCCCGGUACACCGCCGGAGGCAUUCAUAUAGAGUCAUAUCUUGUUCUAGUUUCGAGUUGUAAUCCUUAUGUUGUAAUCAAUAGAAGUGUGAUGAUCAUCAUUAUUAGAGCAUUGUCCCAAAAAAAAGAAAAAAAGAAAAAAAGGAAAGGCCAAAAAGAAAAAAAAGGAAAGGCCAAAAAAAGAGAAAAAAAGAAAAAAAAAAGAGAAAAUAAAUAAAAAGGGACAAUGCUACUAUCUCUUUUUCCACACUUGUGCUUCAAAGUAGCACCUUGUUCUUCAUGUAGUGAGUCUCAUAUAUUGUGCUUCAAAGUAGCACCUUGUUCUUCAUGUAGUGAGUCUCAUAAGUUGUCUUUUUAUACUAGUGGGAAUUUUGAAUUAUAGAACUUGGCUUGUAUAUUCCUACAAUGGGCUUCCUCAAAUGCGCUAGGUCUUCAUGAGCAGGCGAGUUGGAUGCACACCCACUAGUUUUCUUUUGUUGAGCAUUCAUAGCUCUAGUGCAUACGUUGCAUGGCAAUCCCUACUCCUCAUGUUGACAUCAAUUGAUGGGCAUCUCCAUAGCCCGUUGAUUAUUAUCCUCGUCAAUGUGAGACUUUCUCCUUUUUUUGUCUUCCCCACACAAUCCCCAUCAUCAUAUUCUAUUCCACCCGUAGUGCUAUAUCCAUGGCUCACGCUCAUGUAUUGCGUGAAGGUUGAAAAAGUUUGAUAUUAUUUAAGUAUGAAACAAUUGCUUGGCUUGUCAUCGGGGGUAUAGAAGUUGGGAAAAUCUUUGUGUGACGAAAAUGAAGCAUAGCCUAACUAUAUGAUUUUGUAGGGAUGAACUUUCUUUUGCCAUGCUAUUUUGAGAAGACAUGAUUGCUUUGAUUAGUAUGCUUGAAGUAUUAUUAUUUUUAUGUCAAUAUGAACUUUUGUCUUGAAUCUUUCGGAUCUGAAUAUUCAUGCCACAAUUAAGAAGAUUUACAUUGAAAUUAUGCCAAAGUAUCACUCCGCAUCAAAAAUGCUCUUUUUAUCAUUUACCUACUCGAGGACGAGCAGGAAUUAAGCUUGGGGAUGCCUGAUACGUGUCCAACGUAUCUAUAAUUUUUGAUUGAUCCAUGCUACUUUAUCUACUGUUUUGGACUAUAUUGGGCUUUAUUUUCCACUUUUAUGUUAUUUUUGGGACUAACCAAUUAACCGGAGGCCCAGCCCAGAAUUGUUUUUUUUCUAUUUCAGUGUUUCGAAGAAACGGAAUAUCAAACGGAGUCCAAACAGAAGGAAACCUUCGGAAACGUGAUUUUCUCACCGAACGUGAUCCAGGAGACUUGGACCAUACUCCAAGAAGUAACAGAGGCGGUCACGAGGGUGGGGGGCGCGCCCCCUACCUCGUGGGCCCCCUGUUGCUCAACCGAUGUACUCCUUCCUCCUAUAUAUACCUACGUACCCCCAAACGAUCAAAACAGGAGCCAAAAACCUAAUUCCACCGCCGCAACUUUCUGUAUCCACGAGAUCCCAUCUUGGGGCCUGUUCCAGAGCUCCGCCGGAGGGGGCAUCCACCACAGAGGGCUUCUAUAUCAACACCAUAGCCCCUCCGAUGAAGUGUGAGUAGUUUACUUCAGACCUUCGGGUCCAUAGCUAGUAGCUAGAUGGCUUCUUCUCUCUUUUUGGAUCUCAAUACAAUGUUCUCCCCCUCUCUCGUGGAGAUCUAUUCGAUGUAAUCUUCUUUUUGCGGUGUGUUUGUUCAGACCGAUGAAUUGUGGGUUUAUGAUCCAGCUAUCUAUGAAUAAUAUUUGAAUCUUCUCUGAAUUCUUUUAUGUAUGAUUGAGUUAUCUUUGCAAGUCUCUUCGAAUUAUCCUUUGGUUUGGCCAACUAGAUUGGUAGUUCUUGCAAUGGGAGAAGUGCUUAGCUUUGGGUUCAAUCUUGCGGUGUCCUUUCCCAGUGACAGAAGGGGCAGCAAGGCACGUAUUGUAUUGUUGCCAUCGAGGAUAACAAGAUGUGGUUUUUAUCAUAUUGCAUGAAUUUAUCCCUCUACAUCAUGUCAUCUUGCUUAAGGCGUUACUCUGUUUUUAACUUAAUACUCUAGAUGCAUGCUUGAUAGCGGUCGAUGAGUGGAGUAAUAGUAGUAGAUGCAGAAUCGUUUCGGUCUACUUGUCUUGGAUGUGAUGCCUAUAUACAUGAUCAUACCUAGAUAUACUCAUAACUAUGCUCAAUUCUGUCAAUUGCUCAACAGUAAUUUGUUCACCCACCAUAGAAUAUCUAUGCUCUUGAGAGAAGCCACUAGUGAAACCUAUGGCCCCCGGGUCUAUUCUCAUCAUAUCAAUCUCCAUUACUUUAAUACUUGCUUUGUUUUUACUUUGCCUUUCACUUUUCACUUUGCAUCUAUAUACCAAAAAUACCAAAAAUAUUAUUUAUCAUCUCUAUCAGAUCUCACUCUCGUAAGUGAUCGUGAAGGGAUUGACAACCCCUAAUCGCGUUGGUUGCGAGGAGCUAUCAUUUUGUGUAGGUAAGAGGGACUUGUGCGUGGCCUCCUACUGGAUUGAUACCUUGGUUCUCAAAAACCGAGGGAAAUACUUAUGCUACUUUGCUGCAUCAUCCUCUCCUCUUCGGGGAAAUCCAGCGCAGUGCUCAAGAGGUAGCAAAGGUCAACGGCGGUGGCAGCGCUCGAGUGCUGAGGCGACGUGAGGUGGAAGACAGACGAAGAGGCAAGGGGAGAAAAGGAAAGGGACCCUCGGCCCUAUUUAUAAGAUGAAGAGAUAAGUGACAGGCACAGGAAUCGAGGAGCCCAAAAAAUGGAUAUGUCCCAGACCCGUCUCCUCGAUUUUCGGAGGCUCAUUAAUAAAAUUAAGGUAUAUACAGUUUUUUUAAUGAACAGGUGAUGUCAUGGCAAUUUAUUAUAAUCCUGGAAGAUGACGUCAUGGCGGUUUAUUAUAAUCCUGGAAGAUGACGUCAUGGCGGAUUACAAGGUUUACUCGAAGGUACUAAAGAAGAAAUUUUUCUAAAGUGUUGAAGAUUGACAUGAACAGGUUCAAAUCAAUCUGGGGCCUAAUGUUGGGGAUAUAACUACUGAGUAUAAACCGCCCAGGAGGGGUCGGGUUAUACCUGUAAUGAGUUAUUCAUAUUGAAGCCCAUGAAGACAAGGUGUAUGACGCUUUAAUAUAAGAGAUCUAAAAGCCCAGGGCCCAAAGGCGGAUUUGGGCCCAUAGACAUAAACCGCCAUAAGGUGUGUAACUUGUGUUGUAAGAUAGGAAAGAGUAGAAACCGAGCCGCACAUGUUUAUGAGCCGGUCGGGAUUCUAUAAACCGCAGGGCGUCAAGCUGUGUAUAUAAAGGGAUGACCCGGCGGUAGUUCAAGGAUAAGAAACAACAACUCGAGAGCCAGGCAAAGCGUAUUCGCUCCCUGGUCAUCGAAACCAUAGCAAUCCCAUCAUAACUGGAGUAGGCUUUACCUUCACCGUAAGGGGACGAACCAGUAUAAUUCCGUGCGUCCUUUGUCAGCUUUAACCCCUUUAAGUUCACUAUGUUGCAAUGGCUCCACGACUAAGUCCUCACACUAGGACAUCUGCCGUGACAAUCCCACGACAAGCGGGGAAAUAUUUAGCAGAGAAAUAAUAAAUCAUAUCCUGGGGACUACGCACACAACCAGGAUCAAGAGAAUUAAACCAUGUUUUAGCAUCACCCUUUAAUGAGAACGGGAAUAACUUAAGGAUAAAGUAAUAGCGAGUUUUCUCAUCAUUAGUGAAUAGGGUGGCUAUAUCAUUUAAUUUAGUAAGAUGUGUCACAACAGUUUCAGAUUCAUAGCCAUAGAAAGGAUCAGAAUCAACCAAAGUAAUUAACUCAGGAUCGACUGAGAAAUCAUAAUCCUUAUCGGAAAUAAAGAUAGGUGAAGUAGCAAAAGCAGGGUCAUAUUUCAUUCUAGCAUUCAAAGACUUUUCUUUAAGCUUAGCUAAUAAUUUCUUAAGAUCAGAUCUAUCAUUGCAAUCUAAGAAGUCUCUAGCAGUUUCUUCAUCCAUAACAUAACUCCCAGGCACAAUAGGCAAUUCAUAUCUAGGGGGGAGAAUCUUCAUCAUCACUUUCGUCAAUAUUAUCAGUUUUAGCAAUUUCAUUCUCUCUAACCCUAGCAAGUUGUUCAUCAAGAAAUUCACCUAAUGACACAGUAUUAUCAAGCAUAGAAGUAGUUUCAUCAUAAGUAUCAUGCAAAGCAGAAGUGGCAUCAUCAAUAACAUGCGACAUAUCAGAAUGAAUAGCAGGAGUAGGUGUCGCAAGUUUACUCAAAACAGAAGGUGAAUCAAGUGCUGAGCUAGAUGGCAGUUUCUUACCUCCACUCAUAGUUGAGGGAAAAUCUUGGUUCUUUUAUCUUUCAAGUUCUUCAUAGUGAUCAGCAGAUAUAAAACCCAAGUGACUCAAAGAAUAGAGCUAUGCUCCCCGGCAACAGCGCCAGAAAAUAGUCUUGAUAACCCACAAGUAUAGGGGAUCACAAUAGUUCUCGAGGGUAGAGUAUUCAACCCAAAUUUAUUGAUUCAACACAAGGGGAGCCAAAGAAUAUUAUCAAGUAUUAGCAGCUGAGUUGUCAAUUCAACCACACCUGGAAACUUAAUAUCUGCAGCAAAGUAUUUAGUAGCAAAGUAAUAUGAUAGUAGCGGCAACGGUGGCAAAAGUGACGGUAGCAGUUUUGUAGUGAUUGUAACAGUGGAAACGGAAAAGUAACUAAGCAAAGAUCAAUAUAUGAAAAGCUCAUAGGCAAUUGAUCAGUGAUGGAUAAUUAUGUCGGAUGCGAUUCCUCAUGCAAUAGUUAUAACAUAGGGUGACACAGAACUAGCUCCAGUUCAUCAAUAUAAUGUUGGCAUGUAUUCAGAUAUAGUCAUACGUGCUUAUGGAAAAGAAAAUGCAUGACAUCUUUUGUCCUACCCUCCCGUGGCAAUGGGGUCCUAUUGGAAACUAUGGGAUAUUAAGGCCUCCUUUUAAUAGAGUACCGGGAAUACAUCAACACCUCAAACUACGGUCAUCACCGGUAAGUAUACCGAUUAUUGUCACUUCGGGGUUAACGGAUCAUAACACAUAAUAGGUGACUAUAGACUUGCAAGAUAGGAUCAAGAACUCACAUAUAUUCAUGAAAACAUAAUAGGUUCAGAUCUGAAAUCAUGGCACUCGGGCCCUAGUGACAAGCAUUAAGCAUAGCAAAGUCAUAGCAACAUCAAUCUGGGAACAUAAUGGAUACUAGGGAUCAAACCCUAACAAAACUAACUCGAUUACAUGAUAAAUCUCAUCCAACCCAUUACCAUCCAGCAAGCCUACAAUGGAAUUACUCACGCACGUCGGUGAGCAUCUUUAAACCUCGCCUCGGCAACUUGCAAUACCCGUCACGAAGCUUCAGAAGUAUAUCACCUCAGCGCAGGAAGGGACGUUCAUUCCCGACAGAGAAAAGGACGAGCUGAUUGAGGCCCUAGGGAAUGCUGAGCACCCUGGACGAACACGAGGCACUCCAGGCUCCGUUCUAUGGAAGUUUGGGUUUCCCGAUGCAGGCGGUUACAAAAGCCGGGAGAGAAAGAGGAAAGAGGAGAUGAGCGACAUGUAGAAGCUCAAUGCAAGACUACAAAAGCUAGAGGAAGCUGAGAGCAAGCGAGCUGCCGACCAACCAUCUCAGCGGCACGAAGCUACCCCAGAAACUACCCCGCCAUCUCAGCGGAGAAGCAGCGUGGCUUCCACGGAGCCCGUUCAUCCUGACUUCAUGUCUCCUAGCACGGAGGCUCAACAUUGCGAGCUUAUGACGAAAUGCCGGAACCUCACUUUCAAGGCGUCUACAAGCGAAGGGGAGAAUUGGCUGGUUCAUGCUCUGAGGAGUACAUGUCUAUGGCAGAAGGAGUACAUCAAGCUUCCAAACUGGACGCCUCUGCUUCCUGCUCCUCCUCCGGCGAGUCAGGGCACUCCGCCUCCUCCUCCUCUGGCGAGUGAUCAGGGCACUCCGCCUCCUUCUCCGGCUCCUCUGACACGUGAGGGCACUCCGCCUCCUCCUUCGCAUACUACGGCGCGUCGGAGCAGUCCGCCUCCUCCUCAGCCUCGUCGGCAAUGGCGGAAGACAAACACCGUCGCUCUGGCUCCUUUGGUACGUCAGAUUUCUCCGCCUCGUCGGCAACAAUGGAAGAGAGACGCCGCCGCUCCGGUGGCUAGCAGUAUAAGCAGAGGCGGGAGCCAAUUUAGAUACGGUCCAUCUCUCAAGCCUCUGGAAAGUUACCAUAUGAGAGGACCGAGCAGGAAAAUGAGGACAUAUGUCGUGCCCAACUAAGGGACCAUUUUGCAAAGAAAACUCCACCUCUGAAGGAGAAGGUAGAUCCGGUGAAAGUGAAGCGCACUAUCAAUGCCCUGAAGCGACCACCACUGCCUCCGCCGGAUUCCAACUAUGGCCGCAUAAUUACUAAGACACAUGCUAAAGCGCAGCAGUCGGGAAGUACUUCCAGUGCUGCAAGAGCGAAAAAACGAAGAAGUGGGAAAACAAUUCCUCAGCUCGGCGAACAGGAGAAGCAAUCGUGCCCCCCGCUCAAGGUGUCUAGCGAUAUCGCUAAUCAUCCGAUGCUACUGCCCGAUACCACUCUUGAUGAUUACCUGCCCAAUGAUGUAUAGUUUGAAACGGCUGAGGUAGUAGACGUCUUUAGAUACGAGCAUGGGAAGCCUCUCGUCAAACCUGAUCAUCCUCAUCUAACAACGAUGAUGCAAAAAUUGCAUGACUGGUACAUGGAAACCUAGAGGAAGUCUGGGAAAGACAUUUGUUAGUCGGAAUUAAAAAAGAGCAUGACUUCCUUGGAAUCGACCUGCUGCCUGUUGAAUUUGUGGAGUUAUUUCAAUUAUACAAUCACAAGGCCCUCGACAAACAACUCAUGACUUGCUACUGUCUGUAAGUAUUACUUCUAUAAUUAAGUCUCUAGCUCAGCUCACUCAUUGCAUGUAUAUAUAAUUAUCCUCACUAUAUUAUGCAGAUUGAAGAUGGUCGAAUGCAAAAAAAUAGGAAUCUUCGACGUUGGGUUCAUUAGCCCAAAUACCGUAAAUGAAUGGUCGAUACGAAAGGCGGCUGAAGAUACCGAGAACAACUUACUACAAACGUUCCUUACACAUCAAAACAAAAGGGAAAUACUCUUUCCUUACAACUUCAAGUGAGUGUUACUGUCUUCUGCAUAUUCAGUUCCGCUUACUCGUGGUUAAGUAAUGUAAUUGAUGAGUUAUGCGUGCGCAGCUUCCACUAUAUUCUGCUAUCCAUUAACCUUGAUGGGGCAUUCGUAAUUGUCUUAGACUCGCUCCGUAAAGAUCCCAAGUAUUAUGCGGACACGACUGCAAUGCUCCAGAAGUAAGUUCAAUCAAUACCGAGACCAUAUCGGCAACUUUUAUUCAUUUCCUGAUAUCAAGUAAUCAUUUUCUUUGCCUGCCAGGGUUUGGAAAACGUUCACCGCUAAGGUUCCGGGUCUGAAGAAGGAGCUGCAAUUUACACACACCAAAGUAAGUAGUACAAGCUAGUUUCACGCAUCUCUCAUUGAUUCUAGUUUAAUCAAUAUCAUUAUCAUGCUUGCUUAUCAGUUUGACUGAACUCUAUUCUCGUAAAGUGCUUGUUGCAGGCACCCAACACUCAUUUAUGUGGAUACUACGUAUGCGAGUUCAUUCGCUACUAUACCUCUGAACGGGCCUCCUAUGAGAAACAAUUUGAAGUACGCAAACAAUAUUCACAAUUUUAUUUUAUAUAUUACCAUCAAUUGUGUUGAGUUUCAUUCAUAUAUAUGUAUUGACACCUUCUUUAAAUUAGAUCUGGCAGAUGCGGGAUGAACUCCUACCACAUGAUCGCAUACGAGCAAUUCAAGAGGAAUUGGCAGGAUUCUUUCUUGACCACGUCAUACCUGAACAAGGAGAAUACCAUGUGAAAUUGAAAUUGUUGUAAGGGAUGUUAUAUAUUGUACAUAUGUAGCAGCGUCGGAUGGAUAUACGAAAACUUGUUAUUCGACCAAGCACGAAGAAAGAUAUGUCACUUCUCUCUAUAUAUGUUCAUGACGAUCUUGUGUAAUUAAUGGUUUCCUUUAGUUGCUUACUAGCUAGCGUCGAGUUCUCUCUAUAUGUGUAGUAGCUAGAGUCAACCAAGCACGGAAAAAGAGAGGUCACUUCUCUCUAUUAGCUCGGUAACACAAUACGAAACCCCUAAAUUAACCCUCCAAAACCCCAACCCCCCCCCUCCCCCCCGUCCAAAAAAAAACAAAACCCCCAGUGACUGCGAGCUGCUGACGCGUGGCCGCCUUUUGGUCCUGGUUGGUGUUACCAACCGGGACUAAAGGUCCUCCCUCCCCCGCCCCAGGCAGUGCCACGUGGAGGGCCUUUGGUCCCGGUUCGUAAGCAAACCGGGACUAAAGGUUUUGGGUAUUAGUCCCGACCCUUUAGUCCCGGUUCCAGAACCAGGACAAAUGGCCCUCUGGAACCGGGACAAAUGGCCCUUUUUGUACUAGUGACUUCUCAUAGAAGAUACUUACAGAUAGACAUAAUCUCCUACUUCGAAAAUUAAUUCUCUUCUUCGAUUAUCUGCAUAGCUCUUCUGACGAGUUUGUGCCACUCUCAAGUUCUCUCUAAUCAACCUGACUUGUUCCUCGGCAUUCCUGAGCACAUCUGGUCCAAAGACUUAACUUUCACCCGUUUGAUUCCAGAACAACGGUGUUCUACACUUACGCCCAUACAAUGCUUCAAACGGUGCCAUCUUUAGACUAUUCUGGUGAUUGUUGUUGUAAGAGAACUCCGCAUACGGUAAACUUUUAUCCCAACUAGUAUCAUACUGCAAUGCACAAGCUCUCAACAUAUCUUCAAGAAUCUGAUUGAGCCUUUCUGUCUGUCCAUCAGUCUGAGGAUGAUAUGCUGUACUGAAAUUCAACUUCGUUCCCAAUGAUUUAUGCACUUUCUGCCAAAAGAUGGACGUGAACUGCGGACCUCUAUCAGACACAAUCUUCUUAGGAACUCCAUGCUGACAUACUAUUCUUUCCAUGUAUAGCUCUGCCAAUCUUGCCCCGCUAUAAGUAGUCUUGACAGGCAAAAAGUGAGCGACUUUAGUGAGACGAUCCACUAUUACCCAUAUAGAAUCAUAACCUUGCUGAGUGUGUGGUAAUCCCACUAUAAAGUCCGUUCCGACUUCUUCCCAUUUCCACUCAGGAAUCUUCAUUGGUUGCAACAAACUAGCGGGUCUCUGAUGCUCAGUCUUUACCCUCUGACAAGUGUCACAUAUAGCUACAUACUCAGCCACAUCUCUUUUCAAUCCAUACCAGCAGUACUUCUCCUUAAGAUUUAGAUACAUCUUAGUACUUCCAGGAUGGAUAGAAUAGGCUGUCUCAUGUGCUUCACGCAAAAUUGUAUCAUGAAUGGCUUUCACCUCAGGCACACAUAUCCUUUUUCCAAACCAUAAGGUUCCAUUUUCAUCAAUUCUGAAGCCAGGUGCUUUACCAGUCACCACAUUAUCAGCUAUCUCCUUUAGCUUUUCAUCUUCUAGUUGACCCUUACGUAUUUCUUGCUCCAACGUAGGAAUCACUUUUAUCUCCAUAGCACUAGCAACAAUACCAAGGUUCAGAUGUUGCAACUCCGCAUACAACUCUUCUGCCUCUGGUCUCAACUUACGAUUGUUGUCAUAUUUCUUCCUACUGAGAGCAUCAGCUACAACAUUCGCCUUACCUGGAUGAUAAUGUACCUCCGGUUCAUAAUCCUUGAUUAACUCUAGCCAGCGACGUUGUCUUAAAUUCAGACAUGUCUGAGUGAAUAUAUACUUCAAGCUCUUAUGAUCGGUGUAGAUAUCACUCUUGUGACCAAUCAGAUAGUGUCUCCAGAUCUGCAAUGCAUGUACCACAGCUGCUAGCUCCAGAUCAUGAGUAGGAUAAUUUAACUCAUGCUUCCUCAACUGUCUCGAUGCAUGCGUCGGUGGUGGUGAUCUCAUGUCCGCUUGCACCGUGUUCGAUGAAACGCCAACGAGGGUCAAAAGCUUCGAACCACAUCGGCAUCGCUCGGGGUAGCAGCGGGUACACGCUGGAGUGUUGGAUGUGAUGCUUGGCCAUCUCCAACUCACGAGCGUGUAAGAGAGAAAUCAUGAGACAGUAAUGAUUUAAUUUGGUUUUGCAAUGUUUUUAUUUUAAAAAUAGUUGGUUUAUCUUUGUAAAAUAGUUAUUUACAUGAGAAUUAUUGAACAAAAUAGUUUUUAAAGAGCAAUUUGCAUUCAAGCAGUCUUCAUUCUUAACGAAGCUACGAGUUCACAUUUGCUCUAACCAAACGGUCUUCAGUUUUUGCCACCACAGGAGCCUUGUAUUAGCUCUUGCGGUGCGAACGGGAGCUCGGAUGUCCAUGCGACGAAGCUGAUCUAUGAAAGUGGCCUUGGUGAUCCUGUGCCCCGGUUGGUAGGUUGGGAGACAGCAGGGAUGCAAGCCAGCGCCAACGAUGGGCGAAGAUUGCACGACGGAUGAGCGGCGCUAGAGAUGGAAAGUCUGCUGGAGCAGUUUAGGUGAAAGGAUAAAGAUGUAGUUUUCAUUUUUUUUUCUAAUAAUGAAAGUCGGACUCAACUUUAUGGAACUGGGCCUUAUGACACGUAGGGCCCAUCUGAAGCUUCUAGAGUUGUUAAUCCUGUGGUUGAGAAUGUGUGUGACAAAGCAUGUGUUUGAGUAUUUACUAUCUAGGGAAGUAUAAACAAAUUACAAUCUCAGUGGACCCAUAAGCUAAUAUCCUUGAAUGUUUUUUUUUUUCUGUUUGUGUGUAUAUGUCGCAAGUUUUCUUGUUUUAUUUUAGGUUUGGUACUGUAGCUAGGUCUAGAAUAGUUUUUUUUUUGUUCUUUUUUUAAUUUCAAAAAAAUCGAGGGAUGUCUCAGUUUUUAUUAAAAGAAAGAAAUAUUUGGUCCAAAGUUGAAUGAGCGUGUCAUGCAGGGUUAAAUCGGAAGAUAAACUGAUGAAACACAUGAUGCAUUAGUGGAUAUAUAUGUAAAUCACACGGGUGAUUUGAAGACAAAUUGAAAAACUAUAUGUCCAAUACUUGCACUCACGGGCAUUUUUGCUACUAUUAAUAAAUUGGUAAAAAUCAGAGAAUGCGAGGCCUGGCCAAAUGGGCCGGCCCGGCCUGGGUUAAACGGGCCCGAACCCCUCUUGCCCUCUCUCCUAUAAAAGCUGUGCUUUUACCCCCGCACUCCAUCGCCUCGCCGCCGUUCCCCGCAACACCCUGUCGACCCAAUCUCACAUCCUCCUCUCGCCCGCCCGAGGUGAGCACUUGUAGUUCCUCUGGAUUGGUUGGUAGGCGCUGGUUCGUAGGUCUCGGAUCCAGCCAGCGUGGUCUCCCUCCGCGUGCAUCCGGAGUUUCUCGUUCCGAUUGUGGUUGGUAGGCGCGGCGCGGCGCGGGUUCAUAGGUGUCGGAUCCAGCGCCGUCUGUAUCCUAUUCGUAUGAGGAACCUCGGCUAGGAUAGGAUUUGAUUAGUUAGGUUUUGUAUUAGGGUAACACCACCUAGCUAGGGUUCGAUUGAUUAUCCGUAACAAGGAAUCAAUCUGACGUUUUAGUUAGGGUUUGCUUGGUUGGUUGUGGUCAGAUUUUGGUUUCUCAUGAAUUCUUCAACUGUGCCUGUCGCGAUUUUGGGCGGAAAUUGAUGAUUGAUUUCGGGGGCAAAAUCCGAGGUAAUUUGUGGAUGAAAGAUGGGGAAACUUGGGGAAACCAAGCAAAUCCAUGGAUCAAAAUCAACAAAACUUCAUCAUGCCAACAAAUCACAAAAAAAAUUUGGUGGGGAAAUUUCGAAUUAGGACGAAAAACAACAAGAUCAAAGCUAGAAAACGAAUAUUAAUUUGGAUGGAAUUCAUGCUAUGUUGUUCGAUUUCAGUUUAUGCCUGCCAGAAUGUUUAAUUUUUUGUUUUAUCAACUGUGUUUGAGCGUACUAGAUUUUUUGUUGCAUAUUCAUCUUCUUGCUCUGUUUGGAUAGGUAACAAUUAAUAUUUGGGAUCCUAAAAUAUUUAUGCACUGGCAGCACUUAACCUGCAGCUGCUGAUUAAUGUUGUAUUCAUAUGUGCUGCUUUCCAGCUCUCUUGUUUCGAUAGGUAUUUGGUUAUCGUUUGGGUCUAUUUAUUAUCGUUUGUAAAUGCUGGUUUGGUUUUCUGUGCUCACUAUCCCCUUGCACAUGGGAUGCAAUUUUUUUAUUUCCCUGCUGUUUAGUUUAUUGUUUCCUUUGAUGGUAAAGAGGCAUUAAUUCUGGAGAUAGAUGCAAUUUUCUUGCUCACAAUAAUACAAUGAAUGAUGGCAUCUCUAUCUACUUUAACCAAAUUAUAUCAUAUUCCCCCCUCUGUUAAUUAUUUUUCUGUUUUGGGUAUUCAUUCAUUUUGUUUAGUUGCCUAUCAGUAUAAAUACAUGGCUGCAUUGCUUUCACUUCAUAUUAAUAACUAUUCUGUCGCACAAUGCAAAUAUACAUAUGCUGUCCUAACUAAUUAAGUAGAAGCUUGGAUUGGUGCUGUAUGGUCUCUUCCUGACAUUAAAUCCUCCUCUGUUUGUGCUGUCUGUUUCUGCUGCUGCAGUCUUCUUCGCCGCCAAAAGGAAAUGAUGCUCUACAAAAUCCACUCCCAUGCCCAAAUCCAAGACCUGCAGGCCCGCUCCGAUGAGCUGGGCCACUCCAAUAAGUCCAUGCUUGUGAGUCUUGUCUCUCUGGAGUCGGUGCGCAUAGCGUGGGAGUCGUAUGCGCUCCUCCGCCCGCUGAUCAUGGAGUCGAGGUCCUGGGAAUGCCCGCAGCUGGAUUCCCUCUCGGACGUGGCAGGCUUGUCGCUGGAAAUCCAAAAGCUUGAGCAUGAUGUGUUACCCCAGCUCAAGCUUCAGGAGGGUAAGCUGGAACGGGGUGCCCUGGAAGCCCUCCUACUCAUUAAGAACUCAGCAAGUAAGCUCUUACAUUUGAGGAAGUGCUUUGAGGAAGCCUUGGGCGUAUUGCUUGCCAAGGAGGAUCUGGUCUCAGCCAAAGUCAAAAGGCUGAGCAUGAUGCUAAACGAUACUGCUGUUCAUGUACUCAAAGCUAACAACACUCGCUUGUUUAAGGAGUGUGUCCUGUUUCUGGUCCAGCUGGUCACCGAUGUGUUGGAGACCCCGGUUCGUUUCUGUGAUACUCGUAAGUGUAAGCAUUCUGAUGAGUAGACUUAUCAGCCAGCUCGAGGCUGUUGUGAUGAGUAUUUCUUAGGGGCGUGGCAAACAGUUUAGAAUCAACCCUUUAUGUUUGGAUGUGUUAUUAAUGGAUUUUAAAUGAUAUGUAUCUUGGGUAGUGUUCUCUCAUUCUGUGCUAGUCGGGUACAACUUGCAAUUACUUUCAGUUUUUUUUUUGAGAAAUACAG
Molecule: long non-coding RNA, 611027 nt
Filed under: Triticum aestivum (bread wheat)
Lineage: Eukaryota; Viridiplantae; Streptophyta; Magnoliopsida; Poales; Poaceae
Description: long non-coding RNA (TAES_LNC003945)
Rfam family: MIR1120/MIR1122 microRNA precursor family (bases 126136-126222)
Source: RNAcentral